RNAcentral lists this long non-coding RNA (539827 nucleotides) under Olea europaea (common olive). Its description in RNAcentral is "long non-coding RNA (OEUR_LNC002381)". The stretch from base 223181 to 223339 matches the Rfam family "5.8S ribosomal RNA". The record is from RNAcentral. Lineage: Eukaryota; Viridiplantae; Streptophyta; Magnoliopsida; Lamiales; Oleaceae.
CCCUAUGACCUUGGUAGCCUCCAGUCUCUUGAGACAUUGGAAAUAUAUACAUGUGGAAAUCUGAAAUCAAUUUCAUAUCAAAGUGGACAAAAAGGCCUCCUUUCCCUUCAGAAGUUGGAAAUUCGUAAUUGCCAUGAGUUGAGCAACCUGCCAAAUGAAAUGCUAGAGUAUAGUAAGUCUCUACAACAUCUAUCUAUACGUGAAUGCCCAAAUCUCACUAUGCUUCCUGAAUUGAGUCGGAUGGGAUCUCUACAGAAUCUAAAGGUGGCGAAAUGCCCCAAUCUCACUUCAUUUCCUGAAUUGAGUGGGAAUGGAUGCCUUAACAGUUUAAUAGAAUUGCGGAUUGGGAAAUUCUCGAAUUCAAUCCAGUUCAAUGCAUUUCAAGAUUUUCUCGAUGGUAUCAAGCACAUAAAAUCUCUUGAGAAAUUAUACUUACAAGGUCAAGCGGAUUGGGUCUCUCUACCGGUUCAGCUUCAACAUAAUACUUUACUAAAAGAUUUGACAAUAUGUGAUUUUGGAAUGGAAGAAUUGCCCGAUUGGUUUGGGAAUUUGUCAUCUCUUGAAGUAUUGAAACUAAAGUUUUGUGAAAACCUCAGGCAUCUAGCCUCUAAAGAAGCUAUGCAACGACUCACCAAAUUAAAACUAUUAAAUAUUCAGUCAUGUCCGUUGUUGAGAAAGAGAUGCACGAAAGAAAGCGGUCCUGAUUCUGAGUGGCCAAAGAUUUCUCAUGUUCAUGUGGAAUUUUCGAAGAUUAGUGCGUUUGAUGUUUCUGUAAGUAUAUUUAAGGUUUGAAUAUUGAAUUUACUGUUCAUUAAUUUUGGUUAAUAUAUGUUUGGAAUAUUACUACAAGGGUAGGUUUAAUUACAAGGAUUUCUCGAUUAAAUGUUUACCUAAAUAUUUGGUUAAAUGACUUUAUUUUUCAAUUAAUUAUAUUAUCCUUUUUUUUAAAACUUUUAAGUUAACUAGUGUGCUAACAUAGUUACAGUUAUGAAUUGCUUCGGGUGCCUUAUGGAUUUUGUAUAAAUUUUAUUAGGUUUUGUUGAAGAAGAGCAUCCACCCAACAACAACUUGAUACUCAUUUAUUGUCCCAACAAUUCCUGAUUCUAUUUGGAUCUUCAGCAACUUUACUUUUGUAAGUGUUCUUAUCAUUACAUAAAUAUUAGCAUGAUUUAAAUGAUCUUCAGAGUACACAAAAAGAAAGAAUUGUAAGAUAAAAACAAACAAUUUAUAAUGUCAUUGUAACUUCAACUUAAUUAUUUCAGGUAUUAGACUCGUCACAUAUUCGAGAUGAAAGUAUAGAUGAGGAUUUCAGAGGUUAUUGACAUUGGUCUUUCUGUAAGUAUAUUUCAACUUUGAGUAUUUUACAUUCAUUUUGAUUAAUUACAAUGUCGGUUUAAUUAGUUAUUGUUACCAGUAGAUAAAGAGCCUAUCGAGAUUGUUCCGUGAUUUUGUGGAACAAAGAUUUUUGGGUUAAAUGAUUUCUGUAAGUAUCAUUAAGUUAAAUGACCUUUUUUUCUUUUUUUUUAUUGCAUUAAUACUGUUUAUAUAUAUAUAUAUAUNNNNNNNNNNNNNNNNNNNNNNNNNNNNNNNNNNNNNNNNNNNNNNNNNNNNNNNNNNNNNNNNNNNNNNNNNNNNNNNNNNNNNNNNNNNNNNNNNNNNNNNNNNNNNNNNNNNNNNNNNNNNNNNNNNNNNNNNNNNNNNNNNNNNNNNNNNNNNNNNNNNNNNNNNNNNNNNNNNNNNNNNNNNNNNNNNNNNNNNNNNNNNNNNNNNNNNNNNNNNNNNNNNNNNNNNNNNNNNNNNNNNNNNNNNNNNNNNNNNNNNNNNNNNNNNNNNNNNNNNNNNNNNNNNNNNNNNNNNNNNNNNNNNNNNNNNNNNNNNNNNNNNNNNNNNNNNNNNNNNNNNNNNNNNNNNNNNNNNNNNNNNNNNNNNNNNNNNNNNNNNNNNNNNNNNNNNNNNNNNNNNNNNNNNNNNNNNNNNNNNNNNNNNNNNNNNNNNNNNNNNNNNNNNNNNNNNNNNNNNNNNNNNNNNNNNNNNNNNNNNNNNNNNNNNNNNNNNNNNNNNNNNNNNNNNNNNNNNNNNNNNNNNNNNNNNNNNNNNNNNNNNNNNNNNNNNNNNNNNNNNNNNNNNNNNNNNNNNNNNNNNNNNNNNNNNNNNNNNNNNNNNNNNNNNNNNNNNNNNNNNNNNNNNNNNNNNNNNNNNNNNNNNNNNNNNNNNNNNNNNNNNNNNNNNNNNNNNNNNNNNNNNNNNNNNNNNNNNNNNNNNNNNNNNNNNNNNNNNNNNNNNNNNNNNNNNNNNNNNNNNNNNNNNNNNNNNNNNNNNNNNNNNNNNNNNNNNNNNNNNNNNNNNNNNNNNNNNNNNNNNNNNNNNNNNNNNNNNNNNNNNNNNNNNNNNNNNNNNNNNNNNNNNNNNNNNNNNNNNNNNNNNNNNNNNNNNNNNNNNNNNNNNNNNNNNNNNNNNNNNNNNNNNNNNNNNNNNNNNNNNNNNNNNNNNNNNNNNNNNNNNNNNNNNNNNNNNNNNNNNNNNNNNNNNNNNNNNNNNNNNNNNNNNNNNNNNNNNNNNNNNNNNNNNNNNNNNNNNNNNNNNNNNNNNNNNNNNNNNNNNNNNNNNNNNNNNNNNNNNNNNNNNNNNNNNNNNNNNNNNNNNNNNNNNNNNNNNNNNNNNNNNNNNNNNNNNNNNNNNNNNNNNNNNNNNNNNNNNNNNNNNNNNNNNNNNNNNNNNNNNNNNNNNNNNNNNNNNNNNNNNNNNNNNNNNNNNNNNNNNNNNNNNNNNNNNNNNNNNNNNNNNNNNNNNNNNNNNNNNNNNNNNNNNNNNNNNNNNNNNNNNNNNNNNNNNNNNNNNNNNNNNNNNNNNNNNNNNNNNNNNNNNNNNNNNNNNNNNNNNNNNNNNNNNNNNNNNNNNNNNNNNNNNNNNNNNNNNNNNNNNNNNNNNNNNNNNNNNNNNNNNNNNNNNNNNNNNNNNNNNNNNNNNNNNNNNNNNNNNNNNNNNNNNNNNNNNNNNNNNNNNNNNNNNNNNNNNNNNNNNNNNNNNNNNNNNNNNNNNNNNNNNNNNNNNNNNNNNNNNNNNNNNNNNNNNNNNNNNNNNNNNNNNNNNNNNNNNNNNNNNNNNNNNNNNNNNNNNNNNNNNNNNNNNNNNNNNNNNNNNNNNNNNNNNNNNNNNNNNNNNNNNNNNNNNNNNNNNNNNNNNNNNNNNNNNNNNNNNNNNNNNNNNNNNNNNNNNNNNNNNNNNNNNNNNNNNNNNNNNNNNNNNNNNNNNNNNNNNNNNNNNNNNNNNNNNNNNNNNNNNNNNNNNNNNNNNNNNNNNNNNNNNNNNNNNNNNNNNNNNNNNNNNNNNNNNNNNNNNNNNNNNNNNNNNNNNNNNNNNNNNNNNNNNNNNNNNNNNNNNNNNNNNNNNNNNNNNNNNNNNNNNNNNNNNNNNNNNNNNNNNNNNNNNNNNNNNNNNNNNNNNNNNNNNNNNNNNNNNNNNNNNNNNNNNNNNNNNNNNNNNNNNNNNNNNNNNNNNNNNNNNNNNNNNNNNNNNNNNNNNNNNNNNNNNNNNNNNNNNNNNNNNNNNNNNNNNNNNNNNNNNNNNNNNNNNNNNNNNNNNNNNNNNNNNNNNNNNNNNNNNNNNNNNNNNNNNNNNNNNNNNNNNNNNNNNNNNNNNNNNNNNNNNNNNNNNNNNNNNNNNNNNNNNNNNNNNNNNNNNNNNNNNNNNNNNNNNNNNNNNNNNNNNNNNNNNNNNNNNNNNNNNNNNNNNNNNNNNNNNNNNNNNNNNNNNNNNNNNNNNNNNNNNNNNNNNNNNNNNNNNNNNNNNNNNNNNNNNNNNNNNNNNNNNNNNNNNNNNNNNNNNNNNNNNNNNNNNNNNNNNNNNNNNNNNNNNNNNNNNNNNNNNNNNNNNNNNNNNNNNNNNNNNNNNNNNNNNNNNNNNNNNNNNNNNNNNNNNNNNNNNNNNNNNNNNNNNNNNNNNNNNNNNNNNNNNNNNNNNNNNNNNNNNNNNNNNNNNNNNNNNNNNNNNNNNNNNNNNNNNNNNNNNNNNNNNNNNNNNNNNNNNNNNNNNNNNNNNNNNNNNNNNNNNNNNNNNNNNNNNNNNNNNNNNNNNNNNNNNNNNNNNNNNNNNNNNNNNNNNNNNNNNNNNNNNNNNNNNNNNNNNNNNNNNNNNNNNNNNNNNNNNNNNNNNNNNNNNNNNNNNNNNNNNNNNNNNNNNNNNNNNNNNNNNNNNNNNNNNNNNNNNNNNNNNNNNNNNNNNNNNNNNNNNNNNNNNNNNNNNNNNNNNNNNNNNNNNNNNNNNNNNNNNNNNNNNNNNNNNNNNNNNNNNNNNNNNNNNNNNNNNNNNNNNNNNNNNNNNNNNNNNNNNNNNNNNNNNNNNNNNNNNNNNNNNNNNNNNNNNNNNNNNNNNNNNNNNNNNNNNNNNNNNNNNNNNNNNNNNNNNNNNNNNNNNNNNNNNNNNNNNNNNNNNNNNNNNNNNNNNNNNNNNNNNNNNNNNNNNNNNNNNNNNNNNNNNNNNNNNNNNNNNNNNNNNNNNNNNNNNNNNNNNNNNNNNNNNNNNNNNNNNNNNNNNNNNNNNNNNNNNNNNNNNNNNNNNNNNNNNNNNNNNNNNNNNNNNNNNNNNNNNNNNNNNNNNNNNNNNNNNNNNNNNNNNNNNNNNNNNNNNNNNNNNNNNNNNNNNNNNNNNNNNNNNNNNNNNNNNNNNNNNNNNNNNNNNNNNNNNNNNNNNNNNNNNNNNNNNNNNNNNNNNNNNNNNNNNNNNNNNNNNNNNNNNNNNNNNNNNNNNNNNNNNNNNNNNNNNNNNNNNNNNNNNNNNNNNNNNNNNNNNNNNNNNNNNNNNNNNNNNNNNNNNNNNNNNNNNNNNNNNNNNNNNNNNNNNNNNNNNNNNNNNNNNNNNNNNNNNNNNNNNNNNNNNNNNNNNNNNNNNNNNNNNNNNNNNNNNNNNNNNNNNNNNNNNNNNNNNNNNNNNNNNNNNNNNNNNNNNNNNNNNNNNNNNNNNNNNNNNNNNNNNNNNNNNNNNNNNNNNNNNNNNNNNNNNNNNNNNNNNNNNNNNNNNNNNNNNNNNNNNNNNNNNNNNNNNNNNNNNNNNNNNNNNNNNNNNNNNNNNNNNNNNNNNNNNNNNNNNNNNNNNNNNNNNNNNNNNNNNNNNNNNNNNNNNNNNNNNNNNNNNNNNNNNNNNNNNNNNNNNNNNNNNNNNNNNNNNNNNNNNNNNNNNNNNNNNNNNNNNNNNNNNNNNNNNNNNNNNNNNNNNNNNNNNNNNNNNNNNNNNNNNNNNNNNNNNNNNNNNNNNNNNNNNNNNNNNNNNNNNNNNNNNNNNNNNNNNNNNNNNNNNNNNNNNNNNNNNNNNNNNNNNNNNNNNNNNNNNNNNNNNNNNNNNNNNNNNNNNNNNNNNNNNNNNNNNNNNNNNNNNNNNNNNNNNNNNNNNNNNNNNNNNNNNNNNNNNNNNNNNNNNNNNNNNNNNNNNNNNNNNNNNNNNNNNNNNNNNNNNNNNNNNNNNNNNNNNNNNNNNNNNNNNNNNNNNNNNNNNNNNNNNNNNNNNNNNNNNNNNNNNNNNNNNNNNNNNNNNNNNNNNNNNNNNNNNNNNNNNNNNNNNNNNNNNNNNNNNNNNNNNNNNNNNNNNNNNNNNNNNNNNNNNNNNNNNNNNNNNNNNNNNNNNNNNNNNNNNNNNNNNNNNNNNNNNNNNNNNNNNNNNNNNNNNNNNNNNNNNNNNNNNNNNNNNNNNNNNNNNNNNNNNNNNNNNNNNNNNNNNNNNNNNNNNNNNNNNNNNNNNNNNNNNNNNNNNNNNNNNNNNNNNNNNNNNNNNNNNNNNNNNNNNNNNNNNNNNNNNNNNNNNNNNNNNNNNNNNNNNNNNNNNNNNNNNNNNNNNNNNNNNNNNNNNNNNNNNNNNNNNNNNNNNNNNNNNNNNNNNNNNNNNNNNNNNNNNNNNNNNNNNNNNNNNNNNNNNNNNNNNNNNNNNNNNNNNNNNNNNNNNNNNNNNNNNNNNNNNNNNNNNNNNNNNNNNNNNNNNNNNNNNNNNNNNNNNNNNNNNNNNNNNNNNNNNNNNNNNNNNNNNNNNNNNNNNNNNNNNNNNNNNNNNNNNNNNNNNNNNNNNNNNNNNNNNNNNNNNNNNNNNNNNNNNNNNNNNNNNNNNNNNNNNNNNNNNNNNNNNNNNNNNNNNNNNNNNNNNNNNNNNNNNNNNNNNNNNNNNNNNNNNNNNNNNNNNNNNNNNNNNNNNNNNNNNNNNNNNNNNNNNNNNNNNNNNNNNNNNNNNNNNNNNNNNNNNNNNNNNNNNNNNNNNNNNNNNNNNNNNNNNNNNNNNNNNNNNNNNNNNNNNNNNNNNNNNNNNNNNNNNNNNNNNNNNNNNNNNNNNNNNNNNNNNNNNNNNNNNNNNNNNNNNNNNNNNNNNNNNNNNNNNNNNNNNNNNNNNNNNNNNNNNNNNNNNNNNNNNNNNNNNNNNNNNNNNNNNNNNNNNNNNNNNNNNNNNNNNNNNNNNNNNNNNNNNNNNNNNNNNNNNNNNNNNNNNNNNNNNNNNNNNNNNNNNNNNNNNNNNNNNNNNNNNNNNNNNNNNNNNNNNNNUCCCCUUCCAAAAAAAAAAAAAAAAAAAAAAAGAGUAGUGUUAAUGAGCUACAAUGUCACAUGGCAAGUUAUCAUGGAUUUCUCAAAUGUCUAUCUGUGGAGAUAUAAAUGAGCUCAAUUUGAUGCACGAUAAGUUUUUUACAAAAUGAUGCACCACAUUAACAAAGCAUGCAAUGUGAUCAUAGAUCAUGGAAGUAGUGAGAACAUGGUACCUAAAGCAUUAGCGAAAGGGAGCGAAAAAUAUAAUAAGGAGGUAUGUAAAAUUCUACUUUUUAUUGAAAAAUAAUGCAAAGAAGAGAUUGUGAAUGUGAUAGAAAUGAAUGGUUGUCACGAACAUGGGCAAAAUCAUGAUAUUGUGAUGUAGAUGCUACACUUAUAUCCAAAGAUAACAAUUAUGGGUUUGGUAGUGGUCCAAUAAGAAUAUUAUUUGUUGCCACUUAAGAAACUAUUUGCGAGUAUCACUCUCAGAGCAAACAAUUUACUUAGCGGAUGACAUGAUUGAAAAAGACGUUCCAAAUGACUUAGAUAUUACCAACCAUGAUAAUGCAAUAGAGGUAGAAACGUAUGUGUAAUAUGAAACCUAGAAACUUGCAAAAAGUUUUAUUUAUUGUCCCCUAUUUAGAAAGUGAACCAACAAAAGUUAAUAAGGCAUUUUUAAAAAUGAGAGACUUUAAAACCUAGAAACUGAAGCAGCAAGGGAACAAAAAUCAAUUCACUUUCCUCUCAGAUACCAUACCCACAUCACAUUUCGCACAAUUAGUAAACGAAUAAAAUCCGUAAGUUAUUUACUUCCAAAGUUCCCUAAGGGAAUGUCUUAUAAUUCAUUUGGAUCUCAACCAUUGUAACCCCAACCCAUACUUCCCACUAGCCACCCUACUUUUCAUAGGUAAGAUUGUUCCCAGGGAAAUCUCCGGAGUCAUUUCCCUUCCGUACAUGUUCCAAAGAUUUUUUUCUCCUGAACCAUCUCUACUUUUACUUAAUGUUAUCAAAUCUCAAGCUACCAACAACCAUCUCUACUUUUAUUCUAAACAAUGGCAAGCAUCACAAAAGGACGUGUGAAAUAAAGAAAAUGAGGUAUAUGUAAGUUUUAUAUCCCAUCUUUAGUAACUCCACAAAAUCAUACACGAGAAGAUUAAUAGGGUUACUUUAGACUUUCAUUAUAUUGUUCUAAUUUAUCUAAUCAUUAGUGAAGAAUCAAUGCCAAAUAUUUACCAAGCAUGAUGUUAGACCAUAUAAAAAAUGUAAAUUGUUUAAAGAUUUUCAGUUACAACAUUCAAAAAACAAAUGUUUAGUUUAUAUGUUGUUAGAUAGACCUUUAGCUAAACGGCAAAAUCAACACACACAUAAGCAUUGUGCAGUAGAAGGAAUCAUGUAGUAGGAUAACUCAUCCCACAUAUCUGAAUCUUGAGUCCACCGUACUUUACCUGCCAGUUAUAAACUUCCUGGAUGAAAUGCUAGCUUUUAGGAAUAUGUAACAGGAACCUGACUCAAGAAUCAUAACAACUACAAGGCAAUAACCCAAGGGAUGCAUGAAAUUUUCAGAAAUUAGCAGCAAAUAAUCAUUUUAUAGGAUAUCAUGUCCGGUCUUAGCAUAAAGCAUAAUAAAAUUUGAGCUCUCAUGCGAUUGUCAAGUGAUGAAAUCAACUUCGUUAUCAGCCCAUUGUGUGAGGUAGUCCUCAAAGAUAUUUCAGUUGCAAAGCAUAGAAUUUGAAAGCUGAAUGCAAAUUUAGGUAAUUACCAUAUAUAAUAUGUACGUAUAUGUUAACUACCAUAAUUAAAAGAAAUAAUUAAGGAAACUUUCCUUUUUAUUUAAUUAUACCAAAAAUCGAAAAGGUAAUUACCAUAUAUAUUAUGUACAUAUAUGUUAACUACCAUAAGUGAAGGAUUCAAUUAAGGAGACUUUCCUUUUCUUAUUCAAUCUUACCAAAAACCAAAAAGGUAAUUAACAUAUAAACGUAUAUGUUAAUUACCAUAAUUAAAAUGAUUAAUAUAUAUAUUCCAGAAAAAAAGAGAAAAAAGAAAACCCCCACACACACACACGAAUAUUUUUCAAGAAUUCUCAUACGUGCUAAUAGGAUCAUCAAAUUCGAGGUAAGUGAAAUACAUGUAUUUUCAUUGUUUAAAAUUAUAGAAGUUGAUAUUAUGAUUAUGUUAUGAAAUCAUAGAGUUUAGUAGCGCUACGCACGAAAUUAUAACCACGAAGUUGGGUUUUAUUAAUUUCGUGUCUCAUCUAACAUUUGUUCACAAAUCUCAUGGACUUUUGUUAUUCAUGUCAUGCUAUUUCACUUAUUGAGAUCAUCAUCUCAUAUGAAUCAAAAAAAAUUUUAGGUAAUAAUUAACUGUGUUUGAGAUGGAUGAAAAUUGGGCGAGCACGCAAUGGUGGAUAAUAAAACAUUUUAAUAAAGUUAUGUUAAGAUUUAUUUAUGUUUUGAUGAUCAAAUUAUUUUGGUUGUGAAGAUUUUAAGAUUUAAUAUGUUGUUUAGAAAUUUUCCUUUCCAUUUAAAAACUUUUAUGUACUAAAUAAAUGAUUGUUUAAGGAUUUUAUUCGUAUGUUUGAGAAUUAUUUUCUCAUUCUUUAUAGAGAGGAUGGUAUUGUGGGAUACCUUGACUAAAUAUAUGAAAUUCGAGACUACACCACACAAUUAUUAUUUUAUUAGACUAUAAUCUCAUUUGAGCAUAGCACCACUGUUCAUGGAUGUUCGAGGGACGGACACUUCAACUAUAUUAGAAAACUAGCCACAUAAGAGAUGCCAUGCUACCUAAUUUAAUUGAUUCUAUGUAUAGUUCUUAAUAAUGCCCCACUGCUACACAUAUCAGAUACUAUUCACUAUCAUAGCACCUUAUCAGAAGGGGUUAUUCUUAUACAUUCUGUUUUAAAUGGUUCGAAUUACACUCAAUCAUAAAAAACUGCAAUUUUAUUUUCUUGUUACUUUUGCCAUGAAGCAAUAUCGCUUUCUUGAAGUUUUAGUUUUCCUCUCGUUAUGAUUGAAUUUUGUCAAGUUUAUUGGUUUGUUAUUCACAUCUCUUCUCCCAUAUGUGGAGAAAAACUAAACUAGCUUCUAAUACAUUGGCAACCAAAAUAAGGGAAAUGAACAGAAAUCAUACCACACCAAGAAAGUGUGCUAUGAGCACAUACUCUCUGUACAGGGUUGGACGCAACUUCUUGAUGUACAUGCUACUUAAGCAUCUGAAAUUACAUAUGAACAACUUUGUGUUUCUUUCUUUUCUUUGCCAACUGGCAGGGUGAUGGGUUUUGAAUAGUAAGUUCUCAUCCUAGCAAGUUAGACAAUACAUUAGAAGGGCAAAAAUUCAAGAGUAAAAAGUAAAUAUUUUCAUUAGCAUAACAAUUAGAAGAUAUUAUUAAAUUUCUCCACCCCGACAGCACAAGAAUGACUGAUUAAUGAUAAAACUAAAAUUUUAACUGUCAAUGCAGGUUGAUAGGAAGUACUAAAAGAAAUAUGUUGAUUUGUAUUGAUUGAGGUAGCAAACAUCGACCUUUUUUGGGGUCAGUAUAGACCAAAUUGAGUAGAUUUUAAUGGGUUAGGGUCAAUGUGACUCAAUUAGUAUCGCUUCUAGUAUGGAUAGUUAAGAUAUUUACGCAAAACAAGGCCUUUUGAAUAAAGAAUCAAAAUGUAAGGCUAUUUUGCAGUUUGCACGUUGUAAGAAGGUUAAUUUAAAAUUGCUCAAAUAUCUAAUAUCCAGUUAAGUGUACAAAAACUGGACCAUAAAACAUGGGCAUCAACGCAACUUUGUGUAGUCUAAUGAGAAAAUAGAGUGACAACCAACUCUAGAAAGACCCUCAUGUCCCUUAAUAACAUUUCAAAAAUAAAAAGAUAAAACAUAAGAUCACCUUUAGACAAUGUAAACUGAAUAAAGUUCGUGUAUUACUUGCAGCUACUUCUGGAAAUUAUAAUCGAUAAAAAUGGAAUAAAUGGUUAAUGGUUUGACAAAGCUAGUCGAAUAUAGAACAUUCAAAAAACACAGUUCUGUAGGAAAAUGCAUAUCACGGGACAUGGUGAAAAUGCAAAAGCAAACAGAUUGACAACGAAGUAAAAGUCCUCGCCUACAAAGAAGGGACUUGGAGCAACAAAAUCAAACCUAUAAAUCAGGAUUUUUAAAAUGUGAUAUGGAUAUUUUUUAUAGUAAAAGAGUUUUGAUUUAAGUUAUUAAUCAGGAUAAAUUGACUUCUCCAGAAAGCAAUAUGAAAAUACCUACGAAUAUCAAGAACAAUUAUAAUGAGCCCAUCGACUGCAAGUUUUGUAAUGUAACCCGGUGCUCCAUUGGUGUUGUUAAUAUUUUGAUCAUAAGCAGGAAACAAGGAGACUCGAAAUCAUCGGAGCAUCGACUAUAUUGGGAAAGUUCGGUUUGAUUGAGAAGGAGAUUAGAUCGGGUAAAAAAUAAAAUAACCACAAUGUGGAGAACCACUAUAACUAAGAAGACCACCAAAGCCCAAAAGCGUCCACCUAACUUCACUCCUCCAAAAACCCCAAAUUUCUGCAACUGUUAUUUCUGUUCCUAGAUACUGCCAGAUUUAAAGGCAGAGUACCAGCUCCAUCAAGAUUAAUGACAGCUCGUGUAAGACUAAAUCAUUUAGAGCCAUUGAAUCGAGUGCGAAAUCAACAUAAAUAAAUCCGGUACUUCCUUCAAACUUUGGUGAUGAACAGGUGGUAAUCUCGGCAACACGAUAAAUCCUCAGCCACUUGUACUCUCUUGUUCUUAUUUGAUGAAUUGAAAAUUGAUUUAAAAAAAUGGAAGGGUGCCUGGUAAAAUUAUAUAUUUCUCUAUAUUGAGAAAAUGUUAGAUGAAAAUAAGCUUGAAAAAAAAAAAAAAAAAAAAAUUUGCAUGCAAUAAGAGGUUAGAGAAUGGGGGUAAAAUACACUCAUGGUUUCGAACUUUACCCUUAUUUGCAAUCUGGUUACUGAACUUUAGUUUAUUGCGAGCAAUUAGGUUAGGCCAUUUCAUUAGCCUUCUAUUCAACCACUUAAUAGAAAUUUUAAAAUGACAAUUAAAAGUAAUGGAAUCUCAAUUCAAAAUGUCAAUUCAACAUUUCACCCUCGAUCACUAAACUUUUAAUUUGAAUCAAUCACACUAAAUUUUUAAUUUCAAAGUUCUAAAUAAUUUCUAAUAUUAUUUUAAAUCUAUUAAAUAAAUAAAAUAAUCCAUAUCAAAUAACUAAAAUAAUAAAAACUUUAAUUACUUAAUAAUUUCUACAACUAAAAAAAUUUCAAAUUUCAUAAAUUAGUUAAUUCAAAGUUCCAACUAAACACUUCCCACUUGAUAUAACAUAAUAAAUACUAAUUGGAAUCUUUGAAAUUGUCUAAUUUGAAAAUUUAAAAAUUAUCUAAUAGUAAAAAUUAUCAAGCAAUAUGGAAUUUUUUUUUAUAAAAAAUUAAAUUGUAUGGUAUGCAUUAUUUUAUUCAUUUAAUGAUCUCAAAAUAAUUAAAAUAUUAUUAUAAAUAAAAAUUAAUACCUUAGAAUUAAAGAUCAGAGGUGUGAUUGCUCUGAAUUGAAAGUUUAAUUACUUGACUGCUUGUAAGAUUGAAGUUCACUGAUGGUAAAAUUCAUGAUGCAUUACAUACCAUGUUGGAUGUAGAAAUUUUGAAUUUAUGUUACUGGAAUUUAUAAUACUUAUAUUAUGCCCUUGUUUGGUAAGGAUUAAAAUCAGAUUUUCCGUAGAUUUUAAUAAAAUUUGAUAAAAUGUGUGAUUGAAAGGUUGUGGAUCUUAUGAAAUUUGUGGUUAAAGUUAAUUAUUGAUUUUGAUUUAGAUUAAAAUCCAAAUUUUAAUUCCUAACAAACAUGGGUUAUAUGUUAUGUUUGUAAUUUUCAUGCAGCUAUAGAUUUGAUUAAUGUAUUUGUCAAUUAUCAAAGAUUUUGGAAUAGAACAAUGAAUAUAUGGGCUUGGAGGAGGUUAGGAUUUUUGUAUUGAUUUGAUGUACAUACAUUAAUCUAGUUGAUAUUCCUUUUAAUCGGUUAAAUAUGGAUCAAAAAACAAUAGCAAUCAAAAUACAUAUUGAAUCUAGCAUAACAUGUUCCCUAACAUUCUAUUUGGAGCUCACAAGUAAGGAUCAUAAUCUAAACCAACUUCACGUAGCAUAUGAACUUCGUGAAAUAGUGCCAACUAUAGAGGUUAGAGAUAUCAUAAAAAAAGGAGCUUCAGUUCAUGGUGUAAAUAUUAUACAAAAAGGAGUGUGUGGUUGGUUGUUUAGGUUAAAAUGGACAAUAGAGUUUGGAAACUUAGUAAAAUAGGGAGGUUUUAAGUAAAGAGUGUAAAAUCAUGAACUCAUGCAGGUUGGAUUUGAUAAUGGGAGAUCAUAAGCAAGCAACAAACUAUAGAUACAAUAAAUGACAUGAUGAAUACAUUUGGUGUGUCGGGUUAUGAAAAAAAGUUGAGGUCUACAGAGCAUGAGUUUAAGACUAUAAUGAAGGAUCCUGAAGAGUUAUAUGGGAAUAUUCUAGCAUAUUUGGAUGUCUAGUGCGGGAGAAUUUGGGAUCUAUUACGAGCAUUGAGACUAAUGAAAAUUGCCAAUUCAGGCAUCUCUACAUGGAAUGGGGCAUCGGUGAAAGGUUAGGAAUCUUUUAAACCCAUAACUGUUGUUGUCCUUGAUAGGACAUUAUGGUUGGGGGGAAAAUCACGUAUAACCAAAUAAAUAAAUCUAAUUCAGUAAAUACUACACAUUAAUUUAUAAAUUAUGAAUACUGGAUUUUAAGCAAUAAUACACCAAAAUUACUUGCUCCAUAAAUUACUCUUAUUUUUAGUAACUGAAAUUCAAUAAUGGCAAAUAAUACGCCCAUCAUUCAAUACAUUCAUCAUCAUUCACUCUUUCAAAAAUAUAAAAGUUUAAAAUACAAAGUUGAAAAUGAAACACAACCCGGGUUUCUUGAACUGCAAGAUAAUGUAAUUCAUUUUUUUCUUUUGCUGCUGAAACUCAAAAUAGGCUUGCUAUAUUCUUGUUGUUAAAGAUAACAUAUAUUUGGAGAGAAGUAUAGAGCAAAUGGGACGAGAAUCGGGAAUCCUAUUGUUUCUUGGAGGGAUUCUAGGUAUAUGCAAUUUCCACCUUUACUAACGUACAAUCUUUCCAGGAGAGUGACACUGAACUGACCAAGAAGGACAGAGUGUACAGAUGCCGAUCUGAGUUCAAUUUAUUUUUUAUUUUCGAUUGAGAUAUGCAAUAUUUGCCGGCUACAUUUAAUAGACUUGAUGGGUUUCUUUCAUCAUCUUCUUCAAAUGUCAAUAUGUGAGAAGAAAUUGUUAGUUCAAAAGUGUCUAAACCAUCUUUCUCUUGAAUUAAAAUUUGCACAUGACAACCACCAAAUCAUUCAUCUACUUUUGCUGUAAAUGAUUCCUUCGCUUUGAAAUGGCCUACAAUUUUAGAAGUUUAACGUAAACUGAAAACUUCAGAUUCACGAUCAGAUGUGAUCCCGCUUGCAUUCCAUCGUUGAUCUGAAUUUCGAUUUUCACUACAAAUUUUCUAAUUUAUAGAAAAUAAAUCAAUAAGAUAACACCCAUUAGCACAUUGUCGAAAUAACUUAUGAUAUUCAGAAAUCAAGAAUCAACAUACAAACCAGUUAUAGACAAGGAACUUGCGGUCACAUAAACAAUGGUGUGUCAACUUUCUAAAAUCCCAUCCUCAUCUUAUGUAGUGAUAAUGUGUAUGUACUCUGAUAUCUUUAUCACAAAGAAACUAAUGCGAAAGGUUAGUAUAAUGGCCACACACACCAAAAACAAUAAAAAUUUUAUGUGAUAUUUGUUUACUACAAGAAGAUACAUAAAUUUCACUCUUUUGAAUUGAGAGAAUCUAUCGAAAUUUCACAAAAGUAUUGGAUUGAACAAGUUCAUGGCACGCUCAUUGUGAAAAUAAAUGGUUCAAUAUAUCAUAAACUUGUUAUAUUCUUGAACUCGACCACCACCUGAUCUAAAGUGAUUCAAACAUGCUAGCAAAUAAGCAUUAGAUCUUAGCAUGAAUCUUGUAACACUUCACUUGCUACAUCACCAACAAUUGAAUCAAGAAGCCGAUGUUAACAAAAGUAAAGCAGAUAGACGCUUAAUUCUACCGAAUCAAGAAUACUAUUCAUACUCAUUUGUAGUAUAAUACUGUCAUUCGAUUUUAUAUAUAUUACUUUUAAAUUAGUUUAUAGUAAGAACGAGUGAUAAAGUUAAAUGUAAUUUAUUUUUAUAAAAGACGUGUAUUUUCAGUUUUAUAAUUUUUGAACAUGCACAUUAGUCAAAGAGAGUAAAAUGAUUAUUUAGAAAUAUUGAUUAGGAUAUGACACAUGUAUAUAUAAACACAUGAUCUUCAAUCCUAGAAUAUUAAGUCUUAAGUUUCUCUUGUAUAAAGCAAGACAAGAUUAUGAUAUAGAAUUCUUAAAGAAGAAAAAAAUAUUUGAUAAAAAUUGAGGGUUUCACUUUCUAUUGAAUAUAAAACAGAAAUAAGAGUGCAAUAAAGGAAUGAUUUUAUGAGUUUUUCGAAACAUUUAGGGAGAUAUUAUGAAUUUUCUUUAGAUUGAAUUUUGGGGAUUGUUCCAUAAAUCAAGCUAAUUUGUGUUAUUUGGCUUUAUUAAAAAUUAAUCAUCUUUACCACAAAUUAAGAGUAACUUUAGAAAUAAUAGUGCCUGGUGUAGUGCCAACCCUUCCAUUUCCAUAUUUCCCCCAACCCAAAUCCAACCCAAGAAACUGGCUGCAAAGUGCAAACCCUUCCAUUUCCAUAUUUCCAUUUGAAGUAGAAGCGUGAAUUCAUGGCAGUGGAGCGUGUGCGAAGUCAGGGACGAGAAGCGGAAGCAUUAGCUGUGUGGUGUUGGUGAAGUGUGAAGUUCGAAUCCGUGGCGGUGGAUUUUUUCGACUUUGUGCGCAUGUAUUUUUCUUCAAAUUUGACAGACCUUUGUUAAUUUUUGUGUAUAAAGAAUUAAUUCUGCAACCAGCCCUUCUGCGUUCUACCGCCUGUGCGUAUAUGUCUUCCCUUUAAUUCAAGCCUCUACCCUUUUUCUACUAUGUACACAAAACAAAUUCGAUCCCCCGUUUUUUGCUGUGUUCCAAUCGUCUUUUCUAUGGUUCUCUCCCUUUUUCUUCAAUGUUGGCGUGUAUAUCUGUUCUCCACCAAGGCAGUCGCCUUUUUGUGUAUCCCCCCGGUAGUAUAUAUUAAUUUAAGGCAGCAAUUCUCAUCUACUUGAACUCCAAUUCCCCUCAAAAGGAGCCAACAACUUGUAGUUUAUUUCACCUCAAAUUCCCACCAGUAGCCGCAAUAUCUGUAUUGAGAGAGUUCAAAAGCAAUUGCAUUUUUUUACUACAAAACCAGUCCCUUUUGCCUCCAUUUUCUAUUGCAUAUAUAUGUUCAGCCUUUCAGUCUUUCCUCCAAUUUCAACAAUUGGCAGCCUCAAAUUGUACUUAUCAGUGGACCGUGUGUGAAGUUAGGGACAAGAAACAGAGGCAGCAGUUGCGCGGCGCCUGCAAAUUGGGAAGUACGAACAUGUUUUCAAUUAAUAGAACUCCCCCUCUUGUAAUAUAUUUACUUGGACAGCAAUACUGAUCUUAAUGAAUAUUUACUAAUUUCUUAUAGCUAGUUUUCACUCGAUGAAUGUGGGAACAAAGAAAGAGAAAGCAUUAUAUUAAUUUCCUUAUCGCCCUUACUACAAGACAUCUCAUGGUUAGAAUUUGCAGUAAUGCUCAAACUGAGUUGCAAAUCAGGCCAAUCUUGAACUUCGAUUAUCUCUUCCUUGUUCGUCUGGAAAUGGAAAUUAUGUUUAAAAGAAUAAAAGUAUUAGUAGAGAAAUAUUUAUAUGAAUUAAGAUAUAAUUUCUUACCUUAUUUUGAAAGGGAUCUCUAAAAGUUUUGCUAAAUGUUUUGAUAGAGUCCCAACUAGUGAAACUGUCAAACUCAAGCUGUGAUGAGUAAUCAACGGAAAUUGGGAUUGUAAUGUUGAAGCUAAAUGCUAGAAUUGAAUUUAGAAGUUCACACUCUAUUGAAGCAGAAUAACAAACUACAACCUCCAGGUAUUUCAAGAGACCUAGAUUCUCUCCAACUAUAAGACUCAGUCAAAUAAUUCCUCUCUUCCUCUUUCUCUCUAUCACAUUUUAUGGGCAUUUUUCCCUAUCACCAUUACUUUUUACCCCUUUACUACUGAUUUGGUGGAAUAUUCUGGAAUGUCGACUGACUUGGUUGCCUUGCUUCAUUCUUUCCUCUUCUUGUGUACGUGAAGCAUAUGGGAGGUCUAUCAUUACUUGCCCCUGAAAUCCACCUUGUCCUCAAGGUGGAAGUUGUGAUUUGAUCACUUCAUCAUACACCUACACCAUUUCCUUUGCAAUGCUCAUCAUGACCCGAGCAGAAAAGGGAUAUGUCAAUCCAAAAAAAAUUAGUAUACCCUUAACUACAAGGAGUAUCUUGUAGUACCAUAAUUGAUUAUCACCGCGACCUCCACCUCUUGUGUAAUCGGCCCUUUUUUGGCCUUUUGCGCAAUAAAUCCGAACACCAAAUUAAUUAAAACUCUCAGUUUAUUAUCAACAUAAUUCGUGGAUAUAUUUGUAUGAAUUGGGUUGCUCAUAGUUGGGCUGGACAAAGUUGGGUUACAACUGAUAAUGUUAGGUCUAUUUAGGCCGAAAUAAGAUUGGGCCCAUUUCAAUAAAUCCUUUUCAUCUUCUAUUGUUUGGGCUAGCUUUAUAAUUUGUUCUACCCUUUGGGCCUCUUUCAUUAAUUCAUCUCCAUCUUCCCAUCCUUGGGCCCAAUUCAUAAUAUGGCCCAAACCAUAAGGUUGUAGCCUUAUGUUAUUACCACGUGACAUGGGGUGUCAACCUAUUAACCAAAUUCCUCCGCAAUAGAUCCUCCGGCAGCGUUUGUAAAGGGGCAACCAGGCUACCAGCGUCACACGGGUUAUUGGAAGCUAUAAUAGCUCCGAUUUCCUUAGAUUUGGGUGAGUAGAGUUUCAUAAUCGAAGGUGGCUUCGGAUGAGGUCGCUGUCUAUCCUUUUUGAGAUGGUCGGAAUUCAUCUCCAUCUUCAAUAUUAGCUGGCUCUGAUGAAUUCUCUGCAAUCUCUUUUUCCUUUCUCUCCCUUUCCGGCUCAGCCAUGGAUUUCUUCUCCUGGUUCGGCCAAUUUACAAUGACCCAUCUCACCUCUGACCUCUUCUCCUCCUCCAAUCGACCCCACUGUUCGGCAAUUGAAGUUUCCUUGUGUACCACACUCUUGUGCUAUCCCGUAGGCACUUUUUCACUAGAGAGGUUAUUCACGCGGAAUCGAACCAACACCAUCUUCAAUUCUUCCCAAGUUUGUAUAGGACAACGAUUGUCGAUCUCUUAAAACCAUGCCCAAGCCUUUUCAACGAAACAAGCUACUGCGACCUCUACCUUUUCCUUCUUUGGUAAGCCGCGAUUCAUGUUUAUGCAUCGCUCUGCCUCAAAUAGCCACGGAAAUCUAAAUUAUCCCCAUAUAAUAUCCAUGUGUUAAGUCGGCCACAUGAAUCCAACCCUGAAUCAACGGCUCGCUGUCCUUUCUGUUGCAUCACCAUCUUCUCCAACGUACUCCCCGAGAAUCGAUCGCUCUAAUACCAAUUUGAUAGAGUCCCAACUAGUAAAACUAUCAAACUUAAGCUGUGAUGAGUAAUGAACGGAAAUUGGGAUUGUAAUGAUGAAGCUAAAUGCAAGAAUUGAAUUUAGAAGUUCACAAUCUAUUGAAGCUGAAUAACAAACUACAACCUCCAGGUGUUUCGAGAGACCUAGAUUCCCUCCACCUAUAAGACUCACUCAAACAAUGCCUACCUUCCUCUUUCUCUCUUAUCACAUUUUAUGGACAUUUUUCCCUAUCACUAUUACUCUUUUACCCCUUUUCUACUAUCUUGAUGGAAUAUUCUGGAAUGUCCACUAACUUGGUUGACUUGCUUCGUUCUUUCCUCUUCUUGUGUACUUCAAGCAUAUGGAAGGUCUAUCAUGUUUUUGAUAUAAUUCUUGACUUGUAUUGUCGAGUUGUUGUGUUAGACAUAGGAACCCUUUUGUCAUAUUGAUUCACAUUGACAAAUUGUCGUGGAGGCCAUCUUUUCUCUUCAAGAAAUUGGUUAUGUUUGAGUGGGCAAUUUGGCGUUCUGAAGAAAUUAUUGCCAUCUACACUUAUAUAAGGAUUAAGCCUGAUUUUGGGAUGUUCUUUAUUGGAUGACCAUGGCCGAUAUCUAAGCCCUCAUUAAUUUCCAUUCCAUUCCAUUUCAUUUUCCUCUCUCCAAUUUUCUACUACAUAAUCUUCCAUAAAAUAAUAUUACACGUAAAUCGAAAAUUUUUCUUUCUUUUUCAACCAAUCAUUUUUCAAAAAAAUACUAUUCUACCCAUUUUCAUUUUCACAAAAUGGGGGCCAAACGGGGGCUAUAUAUGUACACAAAUCUUUAGAAUCAAGAAAUUCUCAAACGAAUAAUUGAAAUUUAAGGGAAGACUCAAAAGUGUUGUCAACGAAGGUUGUUAGACCAUGAUUUUGAACUUUUGAGACCAGGGAAAUAAAGGUUUCAAUGAGAUGCCCUGUUGCCAACCAACACAUUUUUUGGUUUGACUGCUCCGGUCUCAUCAUUUAGAAACUGUGGUGGCAUUUUUUAAACUGCAUCAAAAGGAUAAAACGGGGAAAUGGGAAAAUAGAUUUUAGGAAUUAUAAUGUCAUAAUAAAACACUCUUCUUGUUAGGGGCAAAUUUCUAUGAGAAUGUUUAACUUUGCUUCCUUCUACAAGCAAGGCUCCUUUUUAUUCUAUGGCUUUUUUUUUUUUUUUUUUUGAAAAUUGGCUAAAAUUUUUGUUCUCUUAGCAGCGCCAAAAAAUGCAUGUUUACAACUACUUAUGUAGUAUUUCAGCUAAGCCAUACAUGCACUUAGUUUAUUAGAAUAUUUGAAUAUAAUGUUAUGACUUAUGAGGGUUGAGUAAUCAGUAUUCCAUAGCGUGCUUAUCCUUAACUUUCACAGAAGUUCCUUCAAAUAUUACAAAAUAUGAAGUGUUACUUGGGGAACAAAAAUUAGACUUUUUCAAUUGAGGUGUGUUUUCUGGAUUUAUUACAUAUACGCGUGAAUCUAUUUUCUUUUUCAAGUCACAAGGACUAGUUUUUUGAUAGAUGUAUGAGAGAUGAAAAGUAUAAACAUGCAUGUAAAAGGGAAUUUUGUGUAUUCUUCUUCUUUAGGUUGUGGUGAAGAUGCCAAAAGUUGUUUGGAGACUGCAAGAAGUUUCUAAAAUUGGUGUGUAUUUUUCUAUGUGAAUACAGAUUUGAGAAUAGGACUUGAUCUACUACCUUUUUCGUGCGUUCUUCCUGAUUUUGAUUGAAUGUCUAUGUUGCAUGGAACAACCGUGACCAUGAUAAGCCAUAGGUUGCAAGUGUGCAUGUGCAUGUAUUAACAGGUUGGCCCCUAUUUAUGUCCCGUUUUUGCCCUAUUUCACUACUUUUGUGCCCAACUUUCUGCCAAGUUUUGGGCACUCCUUUGGUCCUUUGUGGUCCAUUUGAGCGGGCAAUUUUUUUUUACAAUUUGUGUCGUGUUGAUGUGUGAUUUUCAGCUCUUCAUCUGAGCCUCGAUUAACUUUUGAGUGCAAUUGUUUGGAGCUUUUGAUUGGAAAGUUGAUUUCCAAUUUACUGUGAUUAUUUACUUUAUAUAUUGCAUAGUUAACUUAGUUUGUGUUUAUUAAUUUUUUGAUAGCAAAUUUAUCACUACAAUUGGUAUCGGAGCCCGAUUUUAGCCUACUGUAGUGGCUGAUUUUUUCAAUCUCUGUGAUGGAAUUAAUAUUAGUAAAUUGAAUAUGUAUUUUCAUGGUGCAAUUGAAGCGUGUGUUUGCUGAUUUUGCAAUAGGGACUUCAAUUCUUAAUUAAUUUUGCAACUCUUAUAAUACCUACCGACCACAGACAGUUUGCUUUGAUAAAUUGGCUAAAACUCUUUAAAUUUUUACAAUAAUAGGUCAUUGUAUGAGGUGACUAAUAGGAUUGCAGCCUUGCUUGAUAUUAGUAUUAUAGGAUUAUUUGCCUAAAUUGUGAUGUUAUCAUUUUUGUAGCUUUAAUGAUGGUUGCGAAAUUUUGUAUUGCUAUUGAACCACCAAAAAUCAAUGUGCUUUGCAUCUUUCUGAUUUUACUUUUUUUAUUAUUGCUAGAGAAUUGAAUAGUUAUGGCUGCAGAGGUGCCAAGCUGAGCAUAUUAAUGGGGUGCAGAAGGAAUUGAUGCAAUGGAAGAUGAGAAUACUAAAAGCAACAGAGAAGUGGGCACAACUGCCAUUUUAAUGUAUUGUUUAAUAGUGAAUAUACAAUGCUCAUUUCCUUUUGAAAAUCUCAUUGGUGGAACAUGUUUUGUGGUCUUGUAAUUAUAUUUUGGUGGUACAUGUUUUAAUUUUAUUUUGGAAAAUAGAAUGUGUUGAACAUUUUACAAGUUUAUUAUGCGAAUUAUUAGUUUAUUAUUUGAACUAUUGGAUCAAAGAAUAGGAUUUUCAGUAGCGUAGUAAGCAUAUAUAAAAAAUACGAAUUAAUUUGAAAAAAUAUAAAAAUGACCAAUGACAAUGUUUGCAAAAUGUUGCCACGACCUAAGAAGAAGAGAAGGCAAUGUUGAAAAAAUUUAUAGGCAAUGUUGAAAAAAUGUUGCAAAAAAGUAAACAGCAACGCUGAAAAAACAUUGCAAAAAAGUUAGGAACACUGAAAAAACGUUAAAAAAAGUAAAUGGCAACAUUGGAAAAACGUUGCAAAAAGUUAACGGCAUCGCUGCAAGUUGCAAAAAAAUUAACAGCAACGCUGAAAAAAACGUUGCAAAAAAGUUAACGCCCACGUCUAAAAACCAUUGAAAAAAAUCUUUUGCAACAAUUUUUGAACAUUACAAAAAUUGGCCUUGUGCUAUGGUGAAUAAACAUUGUUGUAUCUCUUCUCUCGAUAGCAACAUCGACUCUUGCAACACACACUAAAACGCUGCAAAUGACCUUUGAAGUGUUUUAUGACCGCUGCAAAAACCCUUUUUUGGUUUAAUGACUUCUUAUGAUAUUUAAUCUAACUAUAAAAUGCAAUCGAUACUACACGAGAAAAUUGUGGAGACUCAAACUUGAGACUCAAUACCAUGUGGCAAAUUUUCGAGCUGGUUUUUAGUUAAAACAAAGGGAUUAUGAAGAUUCAGGGACAAAAGAAGGAUUAUUGAAAUAUUAGCUAAAUUGAAGUCAUUUCAAAAUGAAAUCAUGCUAUUUUCUAGGGACCUUUUGAGAUUAUUUUUCUUCAAAUGAAAGCAAACACCAAGAAAUUAAUUGACUUUAACAUGAUAAGAUUAUAAUUUUUUUCCGAAUUCAACAAUCUCCUAUUUCUUAAGCCAGUUCUGACAGAUUGGUGAACAAAUUAGAGAUAAAUUCUCAGUAUUUAAGCUGACCGAGCUAAGAAACGAGAUUGAUAGGAACUUGAAUCCUUAGUUGCAAUAAUAAAAGUGAAAAGGGGAUGUAGAUAGAAAAAUAACUACACUUGAAAAAAUUCUAGGAGAGUAAGGUUCUCUUUCUUGUCAACUUGUAAGCUGAACUUAAUACUGAGAAAGAAGUUGUAAAUUUUCUCAUAAUUGUACCACACAUUUGGAGGUGUUUACCUUUGGAAGUACUGCCAGAUGCAAAACAACCCAUUGCCUUGCUGCAAGUUUUAGCUGUGCCCCAGCUUGAGUCAACAGUGUCACUGGAAUUCUCCUUCAGCUCUAACUAAUAUUGAAACUUCUGCAGCAUCUCUUACUAAGAUUGGAACUUUUGGUGCCUGUAACAAUAGAACUAGCUAAAGAAAAAUAUCAGGUUGGACCAGGGUAAACUAUCAGGUAAGUUCACUUCUCUUCAUAUUUUCUUCCGCUGUGGUCAGAAUGGUCAUAUUAAAUCUUAAUUGCAGAAUUUUUUAAAAUGACUCUAAAUUAUAGUCCGAACAGAUUUGCACAUAUGCCUGAGAGUUACAAUCACAUAUGGUAAGCCUUCCAUUGUUUAUAUAAAUGUUAAAACAUUCACCACAAAAAAAAUGUAAAGGAAAUUUUGAGUGUAUGGGGGAAUAUAGAAUUUUUCUCACACGAUUUCUUGUGGUGUUAAAUGCCAUACAAAAUCAAACUGUUAUGAAUUUUUAAAUAUGAAUUAAAAGCAUAUAGAACAACCUUCUAAUCUGUAUAAACAGGAGUCUAAAUUCAAAACUAAGCAAGUUGGGUUAAAAAGACUGAUUUUAAAUGUUUUAAAAGUAAAGUGAUAAUAUUGCGAAUUUAUUAAUGUGAUGAAUGAACAGAAAUUGUCGUAAAAUACAUUCCAUGACUCAUAUAGCGCGACAAUGUCUGCAACAAACAUCUUGUUGUUGCUAAAUUUCUUUUGCAACAAAAUUUCAAUUUUUGCAACAAUAUAUAUAUAUAUAUAUAUAUAUAUAUAUAUAUAUAUAUAUAUAUAUAUUUUGUUUGUCGUGAAUCAAUUAUUUUUUGUAGUGUGAUCUGUGGUGUACCCACUCAAACUAAGAACCAAUAGGCCUAUUUAAUCACUAAGAUUUAUAUACUGUCUUCCUUGAGGCUCUUAGAAAAGCUUUAGAAGUUUUCAGUGUCCAUUGUUACUUGAUUUCCAAUUGGUAGUGUAAUCUGCCUUAGGCUUUUUUAACUCGUUGAUUGCUUCAUUAAGUUCACCAUGUGUUCUUGGCUGUGAUUUUCUUUAGGGUGAACUGCAUUGAUACUUAACAUAUAAAAAAUGGAAAUGAACUUGUGAGUCUUGUGAGUUUGACAUUGGACAUGGAUGGACUGGACAUUUCUAGAACACAAUACGUCUUGUUUAAAUAAUCUCUCAUGUGGACAUCUAGAUUUGAUUUAAUUUACCUAUCUAUUGACUUGGUUUAAUUUUUGAAGUGGCACGAUCAAGCUUAUACACCCUUACUAAGCACCAACGUUACUCGACAUUACAAUGUGAUUAAGUGUUAGGCGCAAGGCCUCAAGAAGAGAGAAUUGCCAACUUAUGUGUUUAAUGCUAUAUUCUAGUAUUUAGUUAUCUCAUGGUUGUGCAAAAGCUGCUUCUAGGGUUCUAAAAGAUGGAUAUGACCUUAAUUCUAGAAAAAGUCAUCUAGCUUGACAUAAUUUGUAUUUUGUAUAUAUAAGCAACUCAGAUGUAAACUAGUUAUUAACACAGUCAGGUUCAUGAUCAUGGACUUGGAUUUAAUUGAGCUUAAUGAUCUACGUUAUGAUUAACUUGUUCAGAUUGUCCAAUCACACACUCACGUUUGAAUAUUAACUGUGUAUGUGUAUAUGUUUGUUUGACCUUGAUUGGUGACAUCUGACAAUAAAACUUGCUCAUCCAAAAUCCAUCUUUGAAAAUUCUUUUUCUUAUUUUCAUGUGUGUUUUCCACGUGUAAGAUUACAUAAAGGACCAAGUUGGACAAAUAAAUCUAGGUGUAAAUUAUUUUAGUUUGUUCGUUUUGAACAAGUUGGGUGUUGGUCCAUAAACCUUCGAAGCUCAAUUGCACAUUUAUAGUCUUAGGGAAAAUUUAACCAAUUGAUGGGCUUACGGGUAUUGAACUUAAGAAUAUGUUGCCCAAAAUCUCUACACCUUCUCUCUCUCAGCCGAUUUACCACAAACUCAAAACCCCAAAUCAAUUCAUGGGCUGUGAAAUUUCUUGAUUAAGUUAUGCUAUUUGAUCUUGAGUUUGAUGUUUUGAAAAUAUUUUCAUGAAAUGCAGAGCAAAAGGGUGGACACAAUUACCGGAAUAACACUUGUAAGUCUAAGUCAAUCUAAUGGUUCAAAUUUAAUAAGUUCUAACAGUAAGGGAUAGAAGUUGACUGCAGAUGUAGGUGAACCAAAAGGACGCGAAUUAAACUAUGAAUAGAACGGUAAACAAAAGGUUACCAAAGUUCAGAACAGAGUCAGAGCUAACAAGCACAAUUACCACCUAUCUUGAAGCAACAAUUCCUACUCCAGAAUUCUAUCUUGACAUGUAUCAACUCAAUACCCUUCUCCAAUAUCAGGUUGAGUUCUAACCCACUAGCAAUCAUAACAUCAGUCCAUAAAUUUACAUCAAUGAUAUGGUAAUCUCUCUGCUCGUUUUACAUUACUGUUGGGUUAGAUCCUAGUGAUAGCAGCCCCGGCCCAAAUGGCUUUAGUGCCAGAUUUUUUGUUCGUGCCUGGGAUAUUGUCAAAUAGGAUCUUCAGGAGGUGGCUAUAGAUCUUUCAGGAGGGGGGUUCGUUUGCCUACGGUUCUGGGUGCUACUAACACUGUGCUCAUUCCCAAGGUAGAAGCUCCAAGUAGUUUUGCCUAUCAAUCUUUGCUCUGUCUUUGCUUGUUUAAGUGUUACGUGCAAGGUCACCUGAAGAGAGAAUUGUCAACUUUUGUUCUUAAUGCUAAAUUCUAGCAUUCAGUUAAUUCAUGGUUGUGCAAAAGCUGCUUCUAAGGUUCUAAAAGAUAUGAACUUAAUUAUAGGAAAAGUCAUCUAGCUUGACAAAAUUUGUAUUCCAUAUAUAUAAGAAACUCAAAUGUCGACAGGUUAGUAGCAGAGUCAGGUUCAUGAAUAUGAACCUGGAUUUAAUUGAGCUUAAUGGUCUCUGUUAUGGUUGACUUGUUCAAAUUGUCCAAUCACACACUGAUAUCAUAAUCUUAAUUAACUUUGUUUAUGAAUAUACAUUUGUUUGACCUUGGUUGGUGAUAUUUGACUAUGAAACUUUCUCACCAAAAAAAGUCAUCUUUGAAAAUUCUCUCACAUUUUCGUGUAAUCGUGUAAGAUUUCAUAUAGAUCCAUGUUGGACAAAUAAAAUCUAGAUGUAAAUUAUCUUGGAAGCUCAAUUGCACAUGUUUAUAGUCUUAGGGACAAAUUUGACUAAUUUCGAUACUUGAUGAAUUAUAGGUAUUGAAGCUAGGAAUGUGUUGCAGAAAAUAAUCUCUACACCACCUCUAUGUCAACCGAUUAAAAAAAAACUUGAACUUCCAAAGUUAUCUAUGGGUUGUGAAUUUUCUUGACUAAUUGAUGCUAUUUGAUCUUGUGUUUGAGGUUAUGAAAACAUUUUCAUGAAAUACAGAGCAAGAAGGUGAAAACUAUUAUGGAAAUAACACAUCUAAGUCCAUAUCAAUCUAAUGGUUAAAUGUCAUUAGUUUUGACAGUGAGGGAGAGAAGUUGAAAGGAGAUGAAAGUGAAACUAAAGACCACGAAUCAAAGUAUGAAUAAAUCGGUAAACAAAAGAUUACCCAUACUUGACGAACAAUUCCUACUCCAGAAUUUUAUCUGGACAUGAAUCAACUCGGUACACUUCUUUAUGAUUGGGUUGAGUUCAAACCCACUAGCAAUGACAACAUGAAUUUCAAUUCUAAUUUGUUUAAAAUUCUGGGAACAUUAGUAGAAGCGGUGGAAGAUCCAGAAUUGUAGGUUUAUUCAUUUCUUUUACAACUAAGAAGGACUACAAACAAGAGAUGCUUCCAUGGUUGCUUUUCAAUGUGUUUUAUCUUUUGGAGUUAUGGUGUAAUUCUAAAACAAUUGAGACGUUUGUAUCAUGUUCAUAAUAAUGAAUUAUUUACUCGUGACAUGAAGGCUCUUGGAUAUUUUUCUUAAGGGUUUAUCAUGUUAUAUUGAGAGUUUGAAUUUUAUUUGCUGCAGUGGGAAAAUUUCAUGUAAUCUGAAUUCUGAACCCGAUGUGUACAAGUUAAUGAGCCAAUUAUAAUGUAUUGAUCGAUCGCAAGUUAAUUUUGAUAUACUAGUAAACGAGUAAUCUAAAAUCUUACUUUUCGUGAUUAAUUACUUUUAAUUGGUUAAUUGAUCAGAAAAUCAGUAUACUGCUAGAGAGCAUGGGUUUACUUUAUUAUAAGUGAGACCCACAAAUAAAUGUUCGGAGUUUGUUGGAGAGAUAGGCACUUCUCUUACCUUAGAUCAAUGUAAAAUUUUAAUUGAAGAUUUCUUUACAAUCCACCAAUAUGAAAGUUGGUACUAUAUUCUUUUUCAAUGGGAUGGAAUGUUCAGAUGCUAUAGAAAAUGCAACAAUACAUGCAAAGACAGAGCGUUUUCAUGAUUUUACUAUUGAAUCACACCAGACCCUACAAGAGUUUUUCAUAGUAUAACUAAAAACUAAACAAAAUCGGGGGAGAAUUGAUAAGUGUAUUUUAUACACUUAUUUGGACUUAAAAAUAUCGACAUUUAAUAGAUGUUUAAGCAAUUUUAGCCUAAUUUAUUAUAUAUUUCAUUUAUUAGGUAAAAGUCGAUGACUGGAAGUUGAAUUGAAAGAAAGAAACGAAAAUGACUAAAAAUGGCAAAGUAUAAAAUUUUUGGGAUCAAAUUGAAAAUAUCUAAUUGUUGUGGACCACAUUUGAUACUUUGAAAAUUGAUAGAAGUCAAUUGGAUGCAAUUAGAAGUAAAAAAAGAAUAGAAUAUGAUUAGACUAUUACAAUCAAUUUUAGUCACAUAAGACAUAUUCCAGAUUUUUAGUCAAAUAUUGAGACCCAUUUUUAGCAUAGUAAAUUCCAAAUUGGAAAAAUUAUAUAUGUAACAAAAUUGUAACUCUUUGAGUUAGCUUUCUGAAGUAUUUUGAAUCAAUUCAAUCGGAUAAUGGGAGACAAGGUUAUGUUCAAAAUACUGACUGUUGUGCAGAGACAAAAAUCUGCACGCAAAGGUAACUUUCCUUAUUCGAUUGUAAUUCUUUUGAAAAUCAAUUUGGACGUGAUUUUCAACGAAUUUUCGACUCCUACAAAUACCUAACAGCAGAAAACAUUAAAGGAGCUCUCAUGCAUCUCUCAUAUACAUCUGAUACUCUAAUAUUGAUCAAUUAUUACCAUCAAAGGAGGAAAUUUCAUAGUUUUGUGAGAGAAUUGAAGGAGACUUGCAAGAAUUCAAUUAAGUGAAGAUUCAAACUUGAUUUUUGGGCAAAGAAAAGAGGACGCAAGUGGAGAUUCAUAGGGAAACUAUUGAAGAGAUUCAAAAUUCAUCUUCAUCUUCCCAAUUUAUCAAAAAUUCGGGUUAUGUCUUUCCACUUAAAUAUGAUUUCUUGUAAUUUCAAUAUGUUAGGCUCAUUUUAUACAUUACUAGGAUAAGAUGAACCCUUGUUAUGAUAUUUUUAGUUGUUAAUUAAUUAUUUUGACUUUAAUUUUGUUUAAUUUGUGAAUGUUUAUUAUCGUUUUUAUCAUUCUUUUUAAUUGUUUGAUCACCAAUUAAAUUGUUAGUGAAUUUUAUUGUCAUCGAGAGAGAUAAUUGGAUUUAAGCACAAUAUAAUAAACAUUAUAAGAUUCGAUAGAGAAUGGAGAUAUACCUCUAUACUUUAUGUGGUUUAAAUAUAUGUUCUAGCACUUAUUAAUGCAUUUAUCAUGUUUGUAUCGUUUAUCAGGUAAUAAAAAUGUCACAUGAGGGGAAUAUAUUUGAUCGCUAUCGAAAGAGCCUUUCGAUUAAAUUAGGAACAUUAACCAACAUGAAUAAUUUCAAAUUGUCAAUUUGAUUGUUACACCUAAAAAUAGAAUAACAAGGGGAAUUUGACAUCUUAGUCAUACUUUCGUAUAUUUGAAAAAACUCAUUAAAUCACUUUCUAGUUUAAUUAAUAAUUUAGAUAUUAGUUAGAAAAAUUACAACAACUUGUUUGCUAUUCGAUUAAAGUUGCAAUUAAUUUUAACUCGAUCAAAUAGGGUUCAACGCUCUAUUCACUACUUUAUUACUUGUUCACGAUCCCGUUCACUUGCGCGAAGUCAAACGAUCAAGAAAUGUGAGAUUAUAAUUUUACAUUAUGGAGCAUUCAUAACAUCAGCCCUCUUAGAUUUUCCGAUGGCAUGACGCUUUAUUCGAUCAAGAACAAGUUAUCGGCUAUUGACAAGUGAGCAAGCAUUACCGCUGAUUUUAAGUAACCAUUCCAUGAAUCCAAACAAAAUAAAGGACAAUAAAAAUGAAUACUUUCAGAUUUUAGAGAGAGGGAAGUAAACGGAGAUUCUUCGUUAAGUCCGACUCUAGGUACUGGAAAAUUUCCACCGUUGAUUCAUCAGGCAAAAGACCUUUUAUCCACAUAUAAAUAUUCAGAAGUUUCCAAUUGCUAACAUAAAGUCCAUGGUUGUAAACAAACAUGAUAGGUAACGUGUGCAGAAAUUCAGUUUCGACCCCAAAAAAGGAAAUUGUAAAGGAACAUAGAAAAGUCUAUAUUAGAUGAAAGUAUUUAUCUUAUGUGAACUACAGCAAUGAGCAGUAACCAUAAUUGAUAUCUUAGAAUGCUUAAUUCGAAGUUACAAGAAUCAUGAACGGUAGGAAAUAAACUGGGUGUAACUAUAAUUUUAAAAGUUCGGGGGUUUAACUGAAAUUUAAGAAAAUCUUGUAUCCUAGAUGGAAUUUUUCAUCUCUUGCAGCCUUUAGCUUCACGUGUAAUUAAAAUUGUCUAUGUGAAGAAAUCAAUCGAGAACUCUUCAUCUGAGGCCCUUUAGCUACUAAGAUUUUGGGCUUCUGUUUAUCUACCUCAUGUAAGCCAUUGAUUAAGCCGAAUCCCAACUCCAUAUCCAUUUCUUAUCUUGUUCAAAAUCUGUCACGAAAACCGAUACUAAUGAUAACAACAAACUAAGCCUUUUUUUUUUCUUUUUUUUUUUCAAAAAUAAUUUAUUGAUUCAACAAACUCUUCUUGUAUUCUAAGGGUCCAGUUUGGAGUUUAGGGGUAUCAAUUAUGGGUUUAUUUUAAAGUAUCGAUUCUGAGCAUUUAUAAACAGAUUGAUUUUAAUUGAUUUUAGUAGCAAUUUUUAAAAUGAUACAGUUUAUUAUCAAUUGAUCCAAAAAGUUUUUAAAAGAAUAAAAUUACAUAUAUGCUUCUUUGUGUAAUUUUUAAUUUAUAAUUACUUGUGUAAAUUUUUUUAUACAUAAGUGAUAUUUUAUUUUUAAGUAAUUUUUCACAUAUAAGUUAAGAUUUUCUUAAAAUUUUAAGUUAAUGUUUUUUUACUUAUAUAAAUUUUAUAAUUAUAAGUUAAUUUUGUACUUUUAAAUAUUUUUUACACAUAAGCAAAUUUUUUACUUAUAAGCAAUUUCACAUUUUAUAUGUGAAUUUUUAUUUUAGAGGUAGGAUUUUUUCUUUAUAAUUAAACAUUGUUUACACAAAAUGAUUUCUAUAUUAUGAGUGUUUUUUACUUUUGAGUGGUUCGUUGUUUGGGUUAAAAUGGACAAUAGAGUUUUGAAACUUGGUAAAAUAGACAGGUUCAAAGUAAAGAGUAUAAAAAUAUGAACUCAUGCGGGUUGGAUUUGAUAAUGGGAGAUCAUAACCAAGCAACAAACUAUAGAUACAAUAAAUGACAUGAUGAAUACAUUUGGUGUGUAGGGUAAUGAAAAAAAUUGAGGUCUACAGAGCAUGUGUUUAAGACUAUAAUGAAGGAUCUUGAAGAGUCAUAUGGGAAGAUUCUAGCAUAUUUGGACGUGUUGUGGGGAAAAUUUUGGGAUCUAUUACGAGCAUCGAGACUAAUGAAAAUUGCCAAUUCAGGCAUCUCUACAUGGAAUUGGGGCAUCGGUGAAAGGUUAGGAAUUUUUUAAGCCUAUAAUUGUUGUUGAUGGUAUGUCCUUGAUAGGACAUUAUGGUUGGGGGAAAAAUCACAUAUAACCAAGUAAAUAAAACUAAUUUAGUAAUACUGCACAUUAAUUUAUAUAUUAUUAAUACUGAAUUUUAAGAAAUAAUACACCAAAAUUACUUGCUCCAUAAAUUACUCGUACUUUUUAGUAACUGAAAUUCAAUAAUGGCAAAUAAUAUGCCCAUCAUUCAAUACAUUCAUCAUCAUUCACUCUUUCAAAAACAGAAAUCCACGAAAAGUUUAAAAUGAAACGCAACUUGGGUUUUUUGAACUGCAAGAUAAUGGAAUUCAUUUUUUCUUCUGCUGCUGAAACUCAAAAUAGGUUUCCUAUAUUCUUGUUGUUAAAGAUAACAUAUUUUGGGGAGAAGUAUCGAGCAAAUGGGACGAGAAUCGGGAAUCCUAUUGUUUCUUGGAGGGAUUCUAGGUAUAUGCAAUUUCCACCUUUACUAACGUACAAUCUUUCUAGGAGAGUGGCACUAAACUGGCCAAAAAGGACAGAGUGUACAGAUGCUGAUCCGAGAAAUUUUUUUUUUUUUAUUUUCGAUUGAGAUAUGAAAUAUUUGCCGGCUAUGUUUAAAAGAUUUGAUGGGUUUCUUUCAUCAUCUUCUUGAAAUGUUAAUAUGUGAGAAGAAAUUGUUAGUUCAAAAAUGUCUUAAUCAUCUUUCUCUUGACUUAAAAAGUACCAAAUCAUUCAUCUACUUUUGCUAUAAAUGAUUCCUUCGCUUUGAAAUGGCCUACAAUUUUACAAGUUUAACGUAAACUGAAAAAACUCAAAAUUCACAAUCAGGUGUGAUCCUGCUUGCAUUCCAUCGUAGAUUUGAAUUUCGAUUUUCACUACAAAUUUUGAUAUAGAAUUCUCAAAGAGAACGAUUUCUUUAUUUUACUAGUUUCUCUUUUGCAAAUUAAAAUUAUUCAAUAUUUUCAUGGAUGAAGGUAUGUUUCUUGAUCAAUUAUAUUUGUAUGUGAAAAUCAUGAAAUUCUAAGAUCUUGGUAUUAGGGAUUAAUUGCUUACAGUUUCAUCAAGUAACUAGAGUUGUUAAACAUUUUGAUCAUAAGAAGACAACAAGGAGACUCGAAAACAUCAGAGCAUUGACUAUAUUAAGAAAAGUUCGGUCUGAGUGAAAAGUAAAUCUUUGGUAAACAAUUAAAUGGCUAGGAUCUAAAGAGCCAUUAUAAACCCCAAAGACCGUCCACCCCAAUUAUCACUCCUUAACAAACCCCAAAUUUCUUCAAUUGUUAUUUUUGUUCCUAGAUACGGCCAUAUUUGAAGGCCAAGUACCAGCUCUAUCAAAAUUCAUGACAGCUUGUGUGAAAUUAAAUCAUUUAGAACCAUCGAAUCGAGUGAGAAAUAACCUAUAUAAAUUCGACACUACCUUCAAAGUUUGGUGAUGAACAAGUUAAGUGGAAAUCAUUGCAACACAAGAUAAACCCUCAGCCACUUGUACCCUCUUGUUCUUGUUUGGUGAAUUGAAAAAUGACUAGAGCAUGUGGGUUAUAAAUAUGGAAGAGUUUGAGUCGUAAAAUUAUUUAUUGAGAAAAUCUUAGUUGAAAAUAAGUUUGUGAAAAAAUAAUUAUGUAGGCAACAAUUGGUUAAAGAUUUGGGUAAAAUACACAAAUGUAUUAACAGCAAAAAAACUCCCCAAAGAUUUAUCAGUAUGCGAGGUACCCGUUCCAUAUUGGAAAUCACGGAAAUCACAGAAAUCCUUCAUUUUUGAAACCUUUUAUUCAAACUACCCUCUUAUGGUCAAUGUCCUUUAGUUUAAUAGUUAAAACAGUAAAAAAAAAGUCAAAAUAAAAAAAUAAUAAUAAUUGCAAUUGUAUUUACCAAACUUUUUUAUUUUACUUUAAAUUAUACCCAAAUUUUUUGUAUGUGCUAUCCGCAACUCCUAAACAUUUAAAAAUACUCAGAUCCAAGAAUCAAAGUCAAUUUCUAAAUAAAAAAUGAUAUAUAUAUACACACUCACACACACACAUAUAUAUAUAAACAAUCCAAGUCAAUCAGGAUCAGAGUCAGGGGUCCACAAGUGUGAAAUCCGCAUGGUGGAAUUGCAUUCUCGACACGAUCGCCAAAUUAAUAGAUUAGUCAGCUUAAUUUAUCAAAUUAAUAAUUAGAACAAUGCUACGUACAUAAUUUUUUAACCUAAUCUUUAUCAAUUGCUCACAAUGCAGGAUGGGGCCACAUUUGAAAAUUUUUAUAUUCACGGGGAGUCCGCAUGCAUUGUGAGAGGGGAUAACUUUUAGUGCAUUCUAUUCAAUACAAAUAAAAUUAUUCUAAUAAUUAUGAGGUCGAGUAUUUUACAUAAAAUGAGACCCACGAGAAAAUUUAAGAGCAUUGAAGAAAAGCCCAAAAAAUGUCGGCAAUUAUCAUUGCAGUUGCUCCUUUUGCUAUUCUGUCGCCUUCACCAGAAACCCAUCUGCCAAAUCGAAUUCAAGCUUAUUGACUCAAUUCCGGUAUUUUUUAUUUAUUUAUUUAUUUUUUGUUGGGUUCUAUGUCUUUUAAUUUCUUUUUAUUGAAAUAAAAAAAUUAUGCGGGUUUUGCGUUUAGCGAAAGUCUGGAAUGAAAUCAGAAAACCAGUUUUCAGUUCAAGAUGCCAAAAAGGCUACAUUCAAUUCUUUAGCUUGUGAGAGCAAGAGCAGCUAAAACUGCCGCUGCAAAGAACAUUGAGGUUGAAGUUGACAGGCCAUUAGGCUGCCGACAAUGGGGGCAAAAAUCAGGUGCUGGAGUGAUAAUCAUUGUGAGUAAUUUUUUAUUUCCACAUUUAGAUGCACAUUUGUUCAUGAAUUUGAGAGUUUGAUGACUAUCAUUUGUAAUGAUAUUUUUUUUUCCAGGGUCGAAAAAAUAAAUUGUCAAAAUGUGGGAAGCUAAGUCAGAAGCAGCUAAUACAGUCAGCUAUGCCAACUAGAUUGAAGAGUCAGCACUGCCAAAGGGGAUUGGAAGGUUCCCGAAGAAGAUAAGCUGGAGGAAAUCUCAUGUGCUUUUCUGUUGUGAAAUUUAUUGCAAGAUUCCUUUACUUGUUGUAUAAAUAGUAGGCAGGUUGGAUUGUAUAAUAUACGACCAGAAAAUCAGAAUUAUUCAGAUGUAUCUUCUUCUACAAAUUUCUAAUUCAAUUCUUCAUAGUUGAACCGUCUUCUUCCUACAUUUCAUAUUUCUUUUAUGGUAUCAGAGCCAUUAUGACCCAAAAUGACCUUCAAAUGUCAAUGAUAAUCAAGAUCAAUCCUCAAAUGCAAACAAUCAGAGCCAACCUCCAAAUACAAAUAUAGAUCCCGUUGAUCCAUCUCAGCCAAAUAGUCCAUUCUUUAUUGGAGCAAAUGAUAAUUCUGGUGCAUUACUUGUUACUCAGAUGCUGGAUUCCAGCAACCAUUAUUCCUGGGCAAGGUCUAUGAAAAGGGCCCUUUGAAUCAAAAACAAGUUGGGAUUCAUUGAUGAUGCAACUAGCCCUUUGACAGAUCAUUGGCUUCGAUGCAAUGAUAUUGUUAUCNNNNNNNNNNNNNNNNNNNNNNNNNNNNNNNNNNNNNNNNNNNNNNNNNNNNNNNNNNNNNNNNNNNNNNNNNNNNNNNNNNNNNNNNNNNNNNNNNNNNNNNNNNNNNNNNNNNNNNNNNNNNNNNNNNNNNNNNNNNNNNNNNNNNNNNNNNNNNNNNNNNNNNNNNNNNNNNNNNNNNNNNNNNNNNNNNNNNNNNNNNNNNNNNNNNNNNNNNNNNNNNNNNNNNNNNNNNNNNNNNNNNNNNNNNNNNNNNNNNNNNNNNNNNNNNNNNNNNNNNNNNNNNNNNNNNNNNNNNNNNNNNNNNNNNNNNNNNNNNNNNNNNNNNNNNNNNNNNNNNNNNNNNNNNNNNNNNNNNNNNNNNNNNNNNNNNNNNNNNNNNNNNNNNNNNNNNNNNNNNNNNNNNNNNNNNNNNNNNNNNNNNNNNNNNNNNNNNNNNNNNNNNNNNNNNNNNNNNNNNNNNNNNNNNNNNNNNNNNNNNNNNNNNNNNNNNNNNNNNNNNNNNNNNNNNNNNNNNNNNNNNNNNNNNNNNNNNNNNNNNNNNNNNNNNNNNNNNNNNNNNNNNNNNNNNNNNNNNNNNNNNNNNNNNNNNNNNNNNNNNNNNNNNNNNNNNNNNNNNNNNNNNNNNNNNNNNNNNNNNNNNNNNNNNNNNNNNNNNNNNNNNNNNNNNNNNNNNNNNNNNNNNNNNNNNNNNNNNNNNNNNNNNNNNNNNNNNNNNNNNNNNNNNNNNNNNNNNNNNNNNNNNNNNNNNNNNNNNNNNNNNNNNNNNNNNNNNNNNNNNNNNNNNNNNNNNNNNNNNNNNNNNNNNNNNNNNNNNNNNNNNNNNNNNNNNNNNNNNNNNNNNNNNNNNNNNNNNNNNNNNNNNNNNNNNNNNNNNNNNNNNNNNNNNNNNNNNNNNNNNNNNNNNNNNNNNNNNNNNNNNNNNNNNNNNNNNNNNNNNNNNNNNNNNNNNNNNNNNNNNNNNNNNNNNNNNNNNNNNNNNNNNNNNNNNNNNNNNNNNNNNNNNNNNNNNNNNNNNNNNNNNNNNNNNNNNNNNNNNNNNNNNNNNNNNNNNNNNNNNNNNNNNNNNNNNNNNNNNNNNNNNNNNNNNNNNNNNNNNNNNNNNNNNNNNNNNNNNNNNNNNNNNNNNNNNNNNNNNNNNNNNNNNNNNNNNNNNNNNNNNNNNNNNNNNNNNNNNNNNNNNNNNNNNNNNNNNNNNNNNNNNNNNNNNNNNNNNNNNNNNNNNNNNNNNNNNNNNNNNNNNNNNNNNNNNNNNNNNNNNNNNNNNNNNNNNNNNNNNNNNNNNNNNNNNNNNNNNNNNNNNNNNNNNNNNNNNNNNNNNNNNNNNNNNNNNNNNNNNNNNNNNNNNNNNNNNNNNNNNNNNNNNNNNNNNNNNNNNNNNNNNNNNNNNNNNNNNNNNNNNNNNNNNNNNNNNNNNNNNNNNNNNNNNNNNNNNNNNNNNNNNNGACCUUGAAUCAAAUAGGAUUUUUAUUUCUAGAAAUGUUCUCUUCCAUGAAGAUAAUUUCCCUUACAAAAAUCGGAAUACAGAACCUGAUCAAAUCAUAGGGUCUAAGCACAUUCUUCCAAGCCCUAAUGAACUAGUCUAUUCUCUUCCAACAAGUGUUGAUUUGAACUACCCUGUAAAUCAAACCUCUCAGUCUUCAACAUAAUCUUCAGGAAGCAUGCAGCAGAUCAAUGAUAAUCUAAAUCCAAGUACUUCAACUGAACCAUCCGAUUCCUCCCAAAGCAUCUCGAUAACUCCUAUAACUCCUUAUCAACCUCGCAUGUCUACUAGGAACAGGAGAGCUCCUUCAUACUUGCAGGAUUUUGUGUGUCAGCAAGCCACCUCACUACCCCAUUCACAAGAGUUGGACAAGGAUAAAGGUUUUGCUACACCAGGUGCCCCUUUUCCUUUAUGUGCUACUUUGUCAUAUCAUAAACUAUCUAAACCACACAAAGCUUUUAUCACAUCUAUUUCCACACACAGAGAACCUAAUUCAUAUCAGGAGGUUGUCAAGUGUCGUGAAUGGAGAGAUGCCAUGAAUGCUGAGAUAAAGGCUCUAGAGUUGAAUGAUACUUGGGUUGUGACAGACUUGCCACCUGGAAAGGUAGCUAUAAGAUGUAAGUGGGUUUACAAAAUCAAGUUCAAUGCAGAUGGGACAGUGGAAAGGAACAAAGCUAGAAUAGUAGCAAAGGGAUAUACGCAAGUUGAAGGCCUUGACUACCAUGAAACCUUUUCACCUGUGGCGAAGAUGGUGACUGUGAGGACUCUACUUGCUGUGGCAGCAAUCAAGGGCUGGCACUUACAUCAACUAGAUGUUAACAAUGCGUUCUUACAUGGAGAUUUGGAUGAGGAAGUUUAUAUGGAGCUUCUACCGGGCUAUCUUGCAAGUGAUCAGGCAAAGGUGUGCAAACUUAACAAAAGUUUGUAUGGACCAAAACAGGCUUCUCGACAAUGGUACUCAAAGUUGUCAUCUUUUAUUCUUCAACAAGGAUUUCAACAAUCUAAGUNNNNNNNNNNNNNNNNNNNNNNNNNNNNNNNNNNNNNNNNNNNNNNNNNNNNNNNNNNNNNNNNNNNNNNNNNNNNNNNNNNNNNNNNNNNNNNNNNNNNNNNNNNNNNNNNNNNNNNNNNNNNNNNNNNNNNNNNNNNNNNNNNNNNNNNNNNNNNNNNNNNNNNNNNNNNNNNNNNNNNNNNNNNNNNNNNNNNNNNNNNNNNNNNNNNNNNNNNNNNNNNNNNNNNNNNNNNNNNNNNNNNNNNNNNNNNNNNNNNNNNNNNNNNNNNNNNNNNNNNNNNNNNNNNNNNNNNNNNNNNNNNNNNNNNNNNNNNNNNNNNNNNNNNNNNNNNNNNNNNNNNNNNNNNNNNNNNNNNNNNNNNNNNNNNNNNNNNNNNNNNNNNNNNNNNNNNNNNNNNNNNNNNNNNNNNNNNNNNNNNNNNNNNNNNNNNNNNNNNNNNNNNNNNNNNNNNNNNNNNNNNNNNNNNNNNNNNNNNNNNNNNNNNNNNNNNNNNNNNNNNNNNNNNNNNNNNNNNNNNNNNNNNNNNNNNNNNNNNNNNNNNNNNNNNNNNNNNNNNNNNNNNNNNNNNNNNNNNNNNNNNNNNNNNNNNNNNNNNNNNNNNNNNNNNNNNNNNNNNNNNNNNNNNNNNNNNNNNNNNNNNNNNNNNNNNNNNNNNNNNNNNNNNNNNNNNNNNNNNNNNNNNNNNNNNNNNNNNNNNNNNNNNNNNNNNNNNNNNNNNNNNNNNNNNNNNNNNNNNNNNNNNNNNNNNNNNNNNNNNNNNNNNNNNNNNNNNNNNNNNNNNNNNNNNNNNNNNNNNNNNNNNNNNNNNNNNNNNNNNNNNNNNNNNNNNNNNNNNNNNNNNNNNNNNNNNNNNNNNNNNNNNNNNNNNNNNNNNNNNNNNNNNNNNNNNNNNNNNNNNNNNNNNNNNNNNNNNNNNNNNNNNNNNNNNNNNNNNNNNNNNNNNNNNNNNNNNNNNNNNNNNNNNNNNNNNNNNNNNNNNNNNNNNNNNNNNNNNNNNNNNNNNNNNNNNNNNNNNNNNNNNNNNNNNNNNNNNNNNNNNNNNNNNNNNNNNNNNNNNNNNNNNNNNNNNNNNNNNNNNNNNNNNNNNNNNNNNNNNNNNNNNNNNNNNNNNNNNNNNNNNNUCAAAAUGUGGGAAGCAAAGUCAGAAACAGCCAAUACAGUCAGCUAUACCAACUAGAUUGAAGAGUCAGCACUGCCAAAGGGGAUUGGAAGGUUCCCGAAGAAGAUAAGCUGGAGGAAAUCCCAUGUGCUUUUCUGUUGUGGAAUUUGUUGCAAGAUUCCUUUACUUGUUGUAUAAAUAGUAGAUAGGUUGGAUUGUAUAAUAUACGACCAGAAAAUCAGAAUUAUUCAGAUGUAUCUUCUUCUACAAAUUUCUAAUUCAAUUCUUCAUAGUUGAACCGUCUUCUUCCUACAUUUCAUAUUUCUUUUAUAAAUAUUCAAUUGAUUUACACUCGAAAGAUUUAGACUGAAUAAAUUCAGAAUCUAGGGUAAAGAAUGAUUUUUUUCGAAGACUUAAUGAGAAGUAUUGAAAUACAAAUUUAAAACUAUGAAAAGCUGGAUAGGUUUUCUUGUUGUUGAACUGUAAAUACGAAUUUGGAAUGGUGGGUAGGGGAAGAGGAUAAAGUGGAUGGGGUGGGAUGGAAAAUAAAGGUUUAAAGGUUUGAAAUUGUGGACGGUACAUAUAAAAUAUUUUGAGUAUAAUUUGCGAAAAAAUAAAAAGUUUGGGCACUACAACUGCAAUUAUUUCAUUUUAAUUUUGACAUUUUAAACUUUUUUUAACGGUUAAACUAAUAGUUAUUAAUUUCAAACAAAAGGUUUUAAACAUGUGGGUUUUUUACGAUUUCCAAUAAACAGAGAGUAUAUUACACAUAGACAAGUUUCAGGGGACUUGGGAGUUUUGCUAUUAAUCCACCCACCCAUAGUUAUUGAAUUUCACCCUUAUUUGCAAUAUAGUUAUUGAACUUUAAUUUAUUUCAAGCAAUUAGGUUAGGCCAUUACAUUAGCCUUCUAUUAAACGACUUAACAAAACUUGUACAGUGACAAUAAAAGUAACCAAAUCUCCAUUCAAUACAUCAGGUCAACAUUUCACACUCGAUCACUAAACUUUUAAUUUGUAUCAAUCACACUGAACUUUUAAUUUCAAAGUUCUAAAAAGCGUUUGUUAAUUUUAAUAUUAUUUUAAAUCUAUUAAAUAAAAAAAUCACUACAACAGAUUUUACUUUUUACGGCAUGCAUUGCAUGCCUUAAAAAGUAGUUUACGACAUACAGUUUAUGCCGUAUAAAGUCAUAUUUAAUGCAUGCCGUAAAAAACAAGAAGCACGCCGUUAACAAACUAUUUUUGACAUGAGUCUGCAUGCCAUAAAUGCUUAACCUUUUUUGACAUGAGUCUGCAUGCCAUAAAUAAGAUAGUAUUUUUUAAGGCAAACAUUUUUGUGUCAAUUUUUCUCUUUGGACUGGAUAAUUGAAAAGCCCAAUUUUCAAUUUUACCAAAGAAAAUGAAAAUAUUGGACUGGCCCAAAAUUCCAGUACACGGCAUCUUUUACAGCAUGCAAAGAAUGUAUGCCGUAAAUAUUCGAUCUUUAAGGCGUGCAAAAAAUGUAUGCCGUAAAUAUUAUAAGUAAUUUAUCAAUUACGGCAUGCAUUUAAGGCAUGCCGUAAAUAGUCUAUUUUUACGGCAUGCGUUUUUUGCAUGCCGUAAAAAGUUCAUUUUGUUGUAGUGAAUAAUCCAUAUCAUAUAACUAAAAUAAUAAAACCUUUAAUUACUUAAUAAUUUCCACAACUAAAAAAUUUAUAGUUUUCAAAAAUUAGUUAAUUCGAAAUUCCAAUUAGACACUUUCUACUUGAUAUAACGUAAUAAAUAUUAAUUAGAAUAUUUGAAAUUGUCUAAUUUUGAAAUCUUAAAAAUUAUCUAGCUGUAAAAUUAUUAAGUAAUAUGAUUUUAUUAUUUAUUAUUGUUUUAUUAUUUUAUUGGUUGUUUGAUAUGCAUUACUUUAUUUAUUUAAUGAUCUUAAAAUAAUUAAAAUAUUAUUAAAAAUUAAAAAUAGUUUCUGAUACCUUGGAAUUAAGCUCAGUGGUGUAAUUUCUCAGAAUUAAAGUUCAGUGAUCGUUGGUAAAAUUAACUUUGCUUACUUGAUAGAACAUGUGAAGAUUGUGUUACUUCUGUCGGUCACUUUCCCUAUGUUAAGUGAUUUAAUGGAAAGUAAAAGGAGUGACUUAAUUACUCACAAAUUAAAGUAUAUUUUUAUGAUUGCUUUGAAUUAAGCCCAGUGGCCUGAUUUCAAGUAACAGUAGAGUAAAUAAAAUUUACUCAUUAUGAAUCACAAAGAAGGUAGUCAUUUAAUUGGACUUUUACCUGGCUUAUAAUCAAACACCACAUAAUGGGAUCAACUAAACUAGAGGGGGUUAUUCACUUAUUCUGAACAUAUUACUCAAAAACAAUUGUCUCUUGCUUAAUGGAAUAAGCUACUCAUUUUCAUCCCAUUGUAAGCAGAAAAUCAAACAUAAUUGUUCGCGACCCAUAGCUAAAACUGUUAACAUACAUACUAUGAUGGGUUUUUAUUUAAAUUCUUAUUAUGGGCUUCAUAUUAAGUGAUAAUUAUAUUAGGGCUAUCUAAAUUUCAUAGGGCCAAAUAAGUUAUCUAUUAAUUGGGCUCUAGAGAUAUCUGUUGAGUAUGGACUUUAAUGUGUAGAAACCCGAUACUAAUUGAAUUAGGGUUAAUGGGACUUUAAUUUGAGUUAGUAUAUAAGGAUAAUUAUUAGAGUUUGUUGGAAAAAUGGUUAUGAAAUUGGUCAACUUUAAACCCAAAUUUUAGUAGGAUCCACCUUUUAAUUAAUACGGGACCUAGCAUAUUCACGUUCUACUCCGCGAUAUGAUUAUCGUGAUAUGUUUAUUUGUCGAAAAUCAUUUAGAAUUGAAUAAAAUAUUAAGUGUUAAACUAACUCACAUAAAACUAAGUAUUAUGGAAGAAUUUGAUUUUUCGAAUACUUAUCCCACAUAGGAAAGUUAGGAAACUUUGGUGUGGUUUAUAAGGUGGGAGUUUGAGAAUUGAGUUUGAGCCUCAAUGAGUACCAAUAGUCUUUGGAAAGGGAAAGACCUAUAUCCUAUUGGGUUCGGUCAUAAACCCACACGCUCGGACUGCCGCCGUCCGACACGACACGAGCACGUGUUAGAGUCCGGUUCGAGUGGGGGUGGACCUUUGCACUAAAUUAACUUUUUGGACAAAAUUUAUUUAAAUUUUUGGGCCAAAUUGUAAAUAAUCAAAUUCUUGGGUACAUUAUGAAAUUUAAAUUAUGGCUUAUUCCGGGUUAUUUUUUGGUCUGGAUGAAAACAGUCGUCUGUUAACCGACCAAGCAGCGGACUGUUAACCGACUUAACUGACGCAACUUUAGAACAAUGUGUCUGUUUCGGGUUUUUGAGGUUUGUCUGAAAGGUGACGACUGUUCGAAUGGCCACGAACAAGUCUAUAAAUAGCCUGCCUCUCUGCCAGAAAAUUCACACCAUUUUUCAUUGCAAAUAUUCUGUGCUUUGAAUCUUAUUCUCGUCUCUCUCAUUCUAAUAUUGUUUCGAAGUCAUAUACACUUCGUUGAGUUCGUUGGAACUCCUACAGAUUGCAGUGUUGCUUCCAUAGGAGACGAAAAUUCGUUCUAUCCUGGGAAACAAUUGCUGGACGCUUUUAGCAUCAUUGAAGGCAGCAAAUUCAUUUUAAAGAAAUAUUGUGAAGUCGGUGGGCUCGAAUUACAUUUUGGAUCCUGUUGAUCAUUUCUUACAUUUUGGAUCCAAUUUUCGAAGGAGUAACUUCAAAUUCUAAAAACAACAAUCUUAAAACGAAUUUUCUAUUAUUUUGUUUCUGUUUCUACUCCUUCUUUCAGUUGAUUUUCUGAUUGUGUUUUAGAAAUGGCAAGUUCUGGUACCACACUCCCGAAUACGACCGGGGAAAAAUUAGAAAAAUUUAAUGGGUAAGAUUGCAAGCGUUGGCAACAAAAAAUGCUUUUUUUAUGUGACNNNNNNNNNNNNNNNNNNNNNNNNNNNNNNNNNNNNNNNNNNNNNNNNNNNNNNNNNNNNNNNNNNNNNNNNNNNNNNNNNNNNNNNNNNNNNNNNNNNNNNNNNNNNNNNNNNNNNNNNNNNNNNNNNNNNNNNNNNNNNNNNNNNNNNNNNNNNNNNNNNNNNNNNNNNNNNNNNNNNNNNNNNNNNNNNNNNNNNNNNNNNNNNNNNNNNNNNNNNNNNNNNNNNNNNNNNNNNNNNNNNNNNNNNNNNNNNNNNNNNNNNNNNNNNNNNNNNNNNNNNNNNNNNNNNNNNNNNNNNNNNNNNNNNNNNNNNNNNNNNNNNNNNNNNNNNNNNNNNNNNNNNNNNNNNNNNNNNNNNNNNNNNNNNNNNNNNNNNNNNNNNNNNNNNNNNNNNNNNNNNNNNNNNNNNNNNNNNNNNNNNNNNNNNNNNNNNNNNNNNNNNNNNNNNNNNNNNNNNNNNNNNNNNNNNNNNNNNNNNNNNNNNNNNNNNNNNNNNNNNNNNNNNNNNNNNNNNNNNNNNNNNNNNNNNNNNNNNNNNNNNNNNNNNNNNNNNNNNNNNNNNNNNNNNNNNNNNNNNNNNNNNNNNNNNNNNNNNNNNNNNNNNNNNNNNNNNNNNNNNNNNNNNNNNNNNNNNNNNNNNNNNNNNNNNNNNNNNNNNNNNNNNNNNNNNNNNNNNNNNNNNNNNNNNNNNNNNNNNNNNNNNNNNNNNNNNNNNNNNNNNNNNNNNNNNNNNNNNNNNNNNNNNNNNNNNNNNNNNNNNNNNNNNNNNNNNNNNNNNNNNNNNNNNNNNNNNNNNNNNNNNNNNNNNNNNNNNNNNNNNNNNNNNNNNNNNNNNNNNNNNNNNNNNNNNNNNNNNNNNNNNNNNNNNNNNNNNNNNNNNNNNNNNNNNNNNNNNNNNNNNNNNNNNNNNNNNNNNNNNNNNNNNNNNNNNNNNNNNNNNNNNNNNNNNNNNNNNNNNNNNNNNNNNNNNNNNNNNNNNNNNNNNNNNNNNNNNNNNNNNNNNNNNNNNNNNNNNNNNNNNNNNNNNNNNNNNNNNNNNNNNNNNNNNNNNNNNNNNNNNNNNNNNNNNNNNNNNNNNNNNNNNNNNNNNNNNNNNNNNNNNNNNNNNNNNNNNNNNNNNNNNNNNNNNNNNNNNNNNNNNNNNNNNNNNNNNNNNNNNNNNNNNNNNNNNNNNNNNNNNNNNNNNNNNNNNNNNNNNNNNNNNNNNNNNNNNNNNNNNNNNNNNNNNNNNNNNNNNNNNNNNNNNNNNNNNNNNNNNNNNNNNNNNNNNNNNNNNNNNNNNNNNNNNNNNNNNNNNNNNNNNNNNNNNNNNNNNNNNNNNNNNNNNNNNNNNNNNNNNNNNNNNNNNNNNNNNNNNNNNNNNNNNNNNNNNNNNNNNNNNNNNNNNNNNNNNNNNNNNNNNNNNNNNNNNNNNNNNNNNNNNNNNNNNNNNNNNNNNNNNNNNNNNNNNNNNNNNNNNNNNNNNNNNNNNNNNNNNNNNNNNNNNNNNNNNNNNNNNNNNNNNNNNNNNNNNNNNNNNNNNNNNNNNNNNNNNNNNNNNNNNNNNNNNNNNNNNNNNNNNNNNNNNNNNNNNNNNNNNNNNNNNNNNNNNNNNNNNNNNNNNNNNNNNNNNNNNNNNNNNNNNNNNNNNNNNNNNNNNNNNNNNNNNNNNNNNNNNNNNNNNNNNNNNNNNNNNNNNNNNNNNNNNNNNNNNNNNNNNNNNNNNNNNNNNNNNNNNNNNNNNNNNNNNNNNNNNNNNNNNNNNNNNNNNNNNNNNNNNNNNNNNNNNNNNNNNNNNNNNNNNNNNNNNNNNNNNNNNNNNNNNNNNNNNNNNNNNNNNNNNNNNNNNNNNNNNNNNNNNNNNNNNNNNNNNNNNNNNNNNNNNNNNNNNNNNNNNNNNNNNNNNNNNNNNNNNNNNNNNNNNNNNNNNNNNNNNNNNNNNNNNNNNNNNNNNNNNNNNNNNNNNNNNNNNNNNNNNNNNNNNNNNNNNNNNNNNNNNNNNNNNNNNNNNNNNNNNNNNNNNNNNNNNNNNNNNNNNNNNNNNNNNNNNNNNNNNNNNNNNNNNNNNNNNNNNNNNNNNNNNNNNNNNNNNNNNNNNNNNNNNNNNNNNNNNNNNNNNNNNNNNNNNNNNNNNNNNNNNNNNNNNNNNNNNNNNNNNNNNNNNNNNNNNNNNNNNNNNNNNNNNNNNNNNNNNNNNNNNNNNNNNNNNNNNNNNNNNNNNNNNNNNNNNNNNNNNNNNNNNNNNNNNNNNNNNNNNNNNNNNNNNNNNNNNNNNNNNNNNNNNNNNNNNNNNNNNNNNNNNNNNNNNNNNNNNNNNNNNNNNNNNNNNNNNNNNNNNNNNNNNNNNNNNNNNNNNNNNNNNNNNNNNNNNNNNNNNNNNNNNNNNNNNNNNNNNNNNNNNNNNNNNNNNNNNNNNNNNNNNNNNNNNNNNNNNNNNNNNNNNNNNNNNNNNNNNNNNNNNNNNNNNNNNNNNNNNNNNNNNNNNNNNNNNNNNNNNNNNNNNNNNNNNNNNNNNNNNNNNNNNNNNNNNNNNNNNNNNNNNNNNNNNNNNNNNNNNNNNNNNNNNNNNNNNNNNNNNNNNNNNNNNNNNNNNNNNNNNNNNNNNNNNNNNNNNNNNNNNNNNNNNNNNNNNNNNNNNNNNNNNNNNNNNNNNNNNNNNNNNNNNNNNNNNNNNNNNNNNNNNNNNNNNNNNNNNNNNNNNNNNNNNNNNNNNNNNNNNNNNNNNNNNNNNNNNNNNNNNNNNNNNNNNNNNNNNNNNNNNNNNNNNNNNNNNNNNNNNNNNNNNNNNNNNNNNNNNNNNNNNNNNNNNNNNNNNNNNNNNNNNNNNNNNNNNNNNNNNNNNNNNNNNNNNNNNNNNNNNNNNNNNNNNNNNNNNNNNNNNNNNNNNNNNNNNNNNNNNNNNNNNNNNNNNNNNNNNNNNNNNNNNNNNNNNNNNNNNNNNNNNNNNNNNNNNNNNNNNNNNNNNNNNNNNNNNNNNNNNNNNNNNNNNNNNNNNNNNNNNNNNNNNNNNNNNNNNNNNNNNNNNNNNNNNNNNNNNNNNNNNNNNNNNNNNNNNNNNNNNNNNNNNNNNNNNNNNNNNNNNNNNNNNNNNNNNNNNNNNNNNNNNNNNNNNNNNNNNNNNNNNNNNNNNNNNNNNNNNNNNNNNNNNNNNNNNNNNNNNNNNNNNNNNNNNNNNNNNNNNNNNNNNNNNNNNNNNNNNNNNNNNNNNNNNNNNNNNNNNNNNNNNNNNNNNNNNNNNNNNNNNNNNNNNNNNNNNNNNNNNNNNNNNNNNNNNNNNNNNNNNNNNNNNNNNNNNNNNNNNNNNNNNNNNNNNNNNNNNNNNNNNNNNNNNNNNNNNNNNNNNNNNNNNNNNNNNNNNNNNNNNNNNNNNNNNNNNNNNNNNNNNNNNNNNNNNNNNNNNNNNNNNNNNNNNNNNNNNNNNNNNNNNNNNNNNNNNNNNNNNNNNNNNNNNNNNNNNNNNNNNNNNNNNNNNNNNNNNNNNNNNNNNNNNNNNNNNNNNNNNNNNNNNNNNNNNNNNNNNNNNNNNNNNNNNNNNNNNNNNNNNNNNNNNNNNNNNNNNNNNNNNNNNNNNNNNNNNNNNNNNNNNNNNNNNNNNNNNNNNNNNNNNNNNNNNNNNNNNNNNNNNNNNNNNNNNNNNNNNNNNNNNNNNNNNNNNNNNNNNNNNNNNNNNNNNNNNNNNNNNNNNNNNNNNNNNNNNNNNNNNNNNNNNNNNNNNNNNNNNNNNNNNNNNNNNNNNNNNNNNNNNNNNNNNNNNNNNNNNNNNNNNNNNNNNNNNNNNNNNNNNNNNNNNNNNNNNNNNNNNNNNNNNNNNNNNNNNNNNNNNNNNNNNNNNNNNNNNNNNNNNNNNNNNNNNNNNNNNNNNNNNNNNNNNNNNNNNNNNNNNNNNNNNNNNNNNNNNNNNNNNNNNNNNNNNNNNNNNNNNNNNNNNNNNNNNNNNNNNNNNNNNNNNNNNNNNNNNNNNNNNNNNNNNNNNNNNNNNNNNNNNNNNNNNNNNNNNNNNNNNNNNNNNNNNNNNNNNNNNNNNNNNNNNNNNNNNNNNNNNNNNNNNNNNNNNNNNNNNNNNNNNNNNNNNNNNNNNNNNNNNNNNNNNNNNNNNNNNNNNNNNNNNNNNNNNNNNNNNNNNNNNNNNNNNNNNNNNNNNNNNNNNNNNNNNNNNNNNNNNNNNNNNNNNNNNNNNNNNNNNNNNNNNNNNNNNNNNNNNNNNNNNNNNNNNNNNNNNNNNNNNNNNNNNNNNNNNNNNNNNNNNNNNNNNNNNNNNNNNNNNNNNNNNNNNNNNNNNNNNNNNNNNNNNNNNNNNNNNNNNNNNNNNNNNNNNNNNNNNNNNNNNNNNNNNNNNNNNNNNNNNNNNNNNNNNNNNNNNNNNNNNNNNNNNNNNNNNNNNNNNNNNNNNNNNNNNNNNNNNNNNNNNNNNNNNNNNNNNNNNNNNNNNNNNNNNNNNNNNNNNNNNNNNNNNNNNNNNNNNNNNNNNNNNNNNNNNNNNNNNNNNNNNNNNNNNNNNNNNNNNNNNNNNNNNNNNNNNNNNNNNNNNNNNNNNNNNNNNNNNNNNNNNNNNNNNNNNNNNNNNNNNNNNNNNNNNNNNNNNNNNNNNNNNNNNNNNNNNNNNNNNNNNNNNNNNNNNNNNNNNNNNNNNNNNNNNNNNNNNNNNNNNNNNNNNNNNNNNNNNNNNNNNNNNNNNNNNNNNNNNNNNNNNNNNNNNNNNNNNNNNNNNNNNNNNNNNNNNNNNNNNNNNNNNNNNNNNNNNNNNNNNNNNNNNNNNNNNNNNNNNNNNNNNNNNNNNNNNNNNNNNNNNNNNNNNNNNNNNNNNNNNNNNNNNNNNNNNNNNNNNNNNNNNNNNNNNNNNNNNNNNNNNNNNNNNNNNNNNNNNNNNNNNNNNNNNNNNNNNNNNNNNNNNNNNNNNNNNNNNNNNNNNNNNNNNNNNNNNNNNNNNNNNNNNNNNNNNNNNNNNNNNNNNNNNNNNNNNNNNNNNNNNNNNNNNNNNNNNNNNNNNNNNNNNNNNNNNNNNNNNNNNNNNNNNNNNNNNNNNNNNNNNNNNNNNNNNNNNNNNNNNNNNNNNNNNNNNNNNNNNNNNNNNNNNNNNNNNNNNNNNNNNNNNNNNNNNNNNNNNNNNNNNNNNNNNNNNNNNNNNNNNNNNNNNNNNNNNNNNNNNNNNNNNNNNNNNNNNNNNNNNNNNNNNNNNNNNNNNNNNNNNNNNNNNNNNNNNNNNNNNNNNNNNNNNNNNNNNNNNNNNNNNNNNNNNNNNNNNNNNNNNNNNNNNNNNNNNNNNNNNNNNNNNNNNNNNNNNNNNNNNNNNNNNNNNNNNNNNNNNNNNNNNNNNNNNNNNNNNNNNNNNNNNNNNNNNNNNNNNNNNNNNNNNNNNNNNNNNNNNNNNNNNNNNNNNNNNNNNNNNNNNNNNNNNNNNNNNNNNNNNNNNNNNNNNNNNNNNNNNNNNNNNNNNNNNNNNNNNNNNNNNNNNNNNNNNNNNNNNNNNNNNNNNNNNNNNNNNNNNNNNNNNNNNNNNNNNNNNNNNNNNNNNNNNNNNNNNNNNNNNNNNNNNNNNNNNNNNNNNNNNNNNNNNNNNNNNNNNNNNNNNNNNNNNNNNNNNNNNNNNNNNNNNNNNNNNNNNNNNNNNNNNNNNNNNNNNNNNNNNNNNNNNNNNNNNNNNNNNNNNNNNNNNNNNNNNNNNNNNNNNNNNNNNNNNNNNNNNNNNNNNNNNNNNNNNNNNNNNNNNNNNNNNNNNNNNNNNNNNNNNNNNNNNNNNNNNNNNNNNNNNNNNNNNNNNNNNNNNNNNNNNNNNNNNNNNNNNNNNNNNNNNNNNNNNNNNNNNNNNNNNNNNNNNNNNNNNNNNNNNNNNNNNNNNNNNNNNNNNNNNNNNNNNNNNNNNNNNNNNNNNNNNNNNNNNNNNNNNNNNNNNNNNNNNNNNGGUUUUAUUUUGAUUCAGGAAAAAAAAUUUGUUGAAUCUGAUUCAUGAUUACAGCUGCCAUAUAACAGUGAAUUGAAACUGUUGAAUAUAAUUCAUAAUUGCUGCGGCCAGUUUGAUGAAUUCGUUCAAAUGGAUUCAGAUUCCAAUUUUGAUAAAUUCCAUUUGUUUAUCUAUUUGCGGAUACCACAUGAAAUUGAAUAAUUGUUGAAUCCAAUUUUUUAAUCAUGGAAGCCAUGUGACAAUGGCCUAUUUAUUGAAACCCAGUAGAGCCAUUGUGAAAUUGAUUUUGAUGGCUGCAAUACCCUUUUUGGGGGGCUUGAAUUUGAGUGCCAUUUUGUGGGUUUUUAAUAUGGGCGAGCCGAAACCCAUUUGGACGUAAAAAAUAAAAAAUAAAAAAAAGAAAAGAAAAUGAUUACUGUGUGGAUGCUGCCAGCUUCUUGAUAUGGAAAGAUGAAGCAUUUAUUACUGCAUUUGUUGGUCUUGCCGGUGCAAAGAAACUAUUUCUUGGUCAGCAUGGUUGAUAAUGAUUACAAAAACGGUGACAUCUUCGCCAUGUUUAAUAGACAGAACCAAAAUACAUUGUUGAGAACCGAAAAUCAACUGAUUUGACAUGGAAUACCUAUACAAUUAUCUUAUUUGGUGGGGAUUAAAAUUAAAUUUUUAGUAGGUUCUGAUAAAAGUUUUAAAAUGUGUUUGUUUUUAUACCAUCCAACGGCCUGUUUUUAACGCGGAUGGGACCAUCUCGAUUGACCAAACCAAUUCUACAACCUAGAUUGAUCCACAAAACAAAAUCGGAUCAAACAUCUAGGUCCGAACAUUACCGAAUUUUUAGGACUGCCCAUUUGAAUAUUUGAAGGGUUCAAGCAGAAGGCUUUUGAUCAAACUCAUGCCUGAAUUCAUCACCAAACUCAUUUAAAAAGAACAAGAAAUUGGCUAUGAAUUGAACAAUCCUGUAGGGAAUAAUUUUUUAUGCAAUACCCCGGAAUUGCUGAAGCAUUAUAAUCAAUUAGUAUCUCGAGACAAUUUCAUAGUACAAAAUCAAAUAUUCUCCGUGCAAAUUUAUGGGGUUGGAGUGGAAGCAGAGAAAGACUGAAAGUUAAUAUUCUCUAAUUGCUGGAAUUAAUUUGUGUAGUUCAUUUAUUUUUAGGGUUGAGAUUUAAUCUAGAUUGAACCCUUUUUAUGAAGUUAUUUGCGUCAAAUUCUAUUCAUAUGUUGUAUAAAUUAUCAUUAUCAUUCAUGUUGUAUACAUAGAUAUUAUUUUUCAGUUGUAUCAAUGAUUUAUAUAUGGCAUUAUAGUUAAGAAUUCUUGUGAUUUUUGAUGUGAAGAAUAGGAGCUCUUUUAUUAUUGUGUUUUAGGAAAAGAUUCUUGUGGGUUCGAAUGUUUCAAAAAAAGAAAAGUAAAGAAAACAUCUAGUGUCAUGAUAUUUUAAUACUAAUUUUAAACCCCAAUAUACCAUAUAUAAAAAGUGUUGAUAGGUUGGAAAUAUUUACGAGGUGUGUACCCUUUUGAGGUGUCUGCCAUCAUCUUCAAGAUUUUGCUAGUCAAGGUUGUGAUCUUGAAAAUCCAAAGGAAUUUGUUUGAUCAUUGACAUGCUUCCUUGAGAAAAGUAGUUGAAAGGAAUGUAGAUUUUGCAUUCACAUUAAGUAGGGCUAUUCCUAGAGCAACAUGCAAUUUGAUACUGUUAAUGAGUAUGUACGAGUGCAUGGACUUUCCAUGUCUGAUAAUAAGGAGGUUUGUACAGGCAGCAAGCAAAUUAACCAAAGUAACCAAGUUUGGCAUUUCAUUUACCUUAUACGUCUUUUUGAACGUUGUUCAAGCACUCAGAGCUCGACAGAAUGAGGCAAUUUUCAAAUAAUGCAUGAAAAAAUGCUCGUCAACCUAGUUUGCCUAAUUUCGUUCCCUAUCAUCUCAAACGUGGACACCUUUUGAGGUUGUACUGUUCUUCUCUUUUGGACAUAAUAAAUCAAUAUUAAGAUUUACUCUCCUCUCUCUUACUCUCCUAACAUUAAAUUAUUGUUGACCUUUUUUGUGUCAUUCAAGCUAUUGAAUGCAUUACAUAAAGGCCAGUAUAGUGUGAUGGGAGUAUAAUGUUUCCAAUUGGAUGGAUUGCAUUUUCUAGACUGUAACCUUAGAUGCUGUUUAGUAAGCACCUCAAAUCGUAUUUAUAACUAGAACUUUCAAAUUCUCAUGUAAUUCACUGUAUUUUCUUAUACCUCAUUUAUAUCUAGUCAUUUGCGACUUAUUAAACUAGUGGUUGUGAAACAGUCGUCCACUAAAUCUAUUUGUUAUUUUCACCUUAAUUUUUUGAAUGGUAUUACUUGUUCUUUCUCCACCCCUCGUCCCACAUACAUUUGCACACACAAAAGCAUGUAUGUUCUUGAUGCCCAAUAAACUGAAGGAUACAUGAUGAUUAAUAUGGAUCCCAAUGACUCUCAACAACUACUUAUUCCUUGCAUUUUAAUUUUGAUUUUGCAGGAUGGGGUGGGCCGGGAGGAUACGUUUAUCAAAAGGCCUACUUGGAGUUUUUCGGUUCUCCACAAAAUUUGAAUGCACUAGUUGAGAAAUGCAAAUCGCUCCCAUUCUUUACCUACAUGGCUAUUAAUAAAGAUGGAACCUGGUUUUCCAACGUCAACCAAACUGAUGUGAAUUCAAUGACAUGGGGAGUCUUUCCUGCAAAGGAGAUUAUACAACCAACUGUUGUGGAUGCUGCCAGCUUCUUGGUAUGGAAAGAUGAAGCAUUUGAAACAUGGUCAAGUGGAUGGGUGAANNNNNNNNNNNNNNNNNNNNNNNNNNNNNNNNNNNNNNNNNNNNNNNNNNNNNNNNNNNNNNNNNNNNNNNNNNNNNNNNNNNNNNNNNNNNNNNNNNNNNNNNNNNNNNNNNNNNNNNNNNNNNNNNNNNNNNNNNNNNNNNNNNNNNNNNNNNNNNNNNNNNNNNNNNNNNNNNNNNNNNNNNNNNNNNNNNNNNNNNNNNNNNNNNNNNNNNNNNNNNNNNNNNNNNNNNNNNNNNNNNNNNNNNNNNNNNNNNNNNNNNNNNNNNNNNNNNNNNNNNNNNNNNNNNNNNNNNNNNNNNNNNNNNNNNNNNNNNNNNNNNNNNNNNNNNNNNNNNNNNNNNNNNNNNNNNNNNNNNNNNNNNNNNNNNNNNNNNNNNNNNNNNNNNNNNNNNNNNNNNNNNNNNNNNNNNNNNNNNNNNNNNNNNNNNNNNNNNNNNNNNNNNNNNNNNNNNNNNNNNNNNNNNNNNNNNNNNNNNNNNNNNNNNNNNNNNNNNNNNNNNNNNNNNNNNNNNNNNNNNNNNNNNNNNNNNNNNNNNNNNNNNNNNNNNNNNNNNNNNNNNNNNNNNNNNNNNNNNNNNNNNNNNNNNNNNNNNNNNNNNNNNNNNNNNNNNNNNNNNNNNNNNNNNNNNNNNNNNNNNNNNNNNNNNNNNNNNNNNNNNNNNNNNNNNNNNNNNNNNNNNNNNNNNNNNNNNNNNNNNNNNNNNNNNNNNNNNNNNNNNNNNNNNNNNNNNNNNNNNNNNNNNNNNNNNNNNNNNNNNNNNNNNNNNNNNNNNNNNNNNNNNNNNNNNNNNNNNNNNNNNNNNNNNNNNNNNNNNNNNNNNNNNNNNNNNNNNNNNNNNNNNNNNNNNNNNNNNNNNNNNNNNNNNNNNNNNNNNNNNNNNNNNNNNNNNNNNNNNNNNNNNNNNNNNNNNNNNNNNNNNNNNNNNNNNNNNNNNNNNNNNNNNNNNNNNNNNNNNNNNNNNNNNNNNNNNNNNNNNNNNNNNNNNNNNNNNNNNNNNNNNNNNNNNNNNNNNNNNNNNNNNNNNNNNNNNNNNNNNNNNNNNNNNNNNNNNNNNNNNNNNNNNNNNNNNNNNNNNNNNNNNNNNNNNNNNNNNNNNNNNNNNNNNNNNNNNNNNNNNNNNNNNNNNNNNNNNNNNNNNNNNNNNNNNNNNNNNNNNNNNNNNNNNNNNNNNNNNNNNNNNNNNNNNNNNNNNNNNNNNNNNNNNNNNNNNNNNNNNNNNNNNNNNNNNNNNNNNNNNNNNNNNNNNNNNNNNNNNNNNNNNNNNNNNNNNNNNNNNNNNNNNNNNNNNNNNNNNNNNNNNNNNNNNNNNNNNNNNNNNNNNNNNNNNNNNNNNNNNNNNNNNNNNNNNNNNNNNNNNNNNNNNNNNNNNNNNNNNNNNNNNNNNNNNNNNNNNNNNNNNNNNNNNNNNNNNNNNNNNNNNNNNNNNNNNNNNNNNNNNNNNNNNNNNNNNNNNNNNNNNNNNNNNNNNNNNNNNNNNNNNNNNNNNNNNNNNNNNNNNNNNNNNNNNNNNNNNNNNNNNNNNNNNNNNNNNNNNNNNNNNNNNNNNNNNNNNNNNNNNNNNNNNNNNNNNNNNNNNNNNNNNNNNNNNNNNNNNNNNNNNNNNNNNNNNNNNNNNNNNNNNNNNNNNNNNNNNNNNNNNNNNNNNNNNNNNNNNNNNNNNNNNNNNNNNNNNNNNNNNNNNNNNNNNNNNNNNNNNNNNNNNNNNNNNNNNNNNNNNNNNNNNNNNNNNNNNNNNNNNNNNNNNNNNNNNNNNNNNNNNNNNNNNNNNNNNNNNNNNNNNNNNNNNNNNNNNNNNNNNNNNNNNNNNNNNNNNNNNNNNNNNNNNNNNNNNNNNNNNNNNNNNNNNNNNNNNNNNNNNNNNNNNNNNNNNNNNNNNNNNNNNNNNNNNNNNNNNNNNNNNNNNNNNNNNNNNNNNNNNNNNNNNNNNNNNNNNNNNNNNNNNNNNNNNNNNNNNNNNNNNNNNNNNNNNNNNNNNNNNNNNNNNNNNNNNNNNNNNNNNNNNNNNNNNNNNNNNNNNNNNNNNNNNNNNNNNNNNNNNNNNNNNNNNNNNNNNNNNNNNNNNNNNNNNNNNNNNNNNNNNNNNNNNNNNNNNNNNNNNNNNNNNNNNNNNNNNNNNNNNNNNNNNNNNNNNNNNNNNNNNNNNNNNNNNNNNNNNNNNNNNNNNNNNNNNNNNNNNNNNNNNNNNNNNNNNNNNNNNNNNNNNNNNNNNNNNNNNNNNNNNNNNNNNNNNNNNNNNNNNNNNNNNNNNNNNNNNNNNNNNNNNNNNNNNNNNNNNNNNNNNNNNNNNNNNNNNNNNNNNNNNNNNNNNNNNNNNNNNNNNNNNNNNNNNNNNNNNNNNNNNNNNNNNNNNNNNNNNNNNNNNNNNNNNNNNNNNNNNNNNNNNNNNNNNNNNNNNNNNNNNNNNNNNNNNNNNNNNNNNNNNNNNNNNNNNNNNNNNNNNNNNNNNNNNNNNNNNNNNNNNNNNNNNNNNNNNNNNNNNNNNNNNNNNNNNNNNNNNNNNNNNNNNNNNNNNNNNNNNNNNNNNNNNNNNNNNNNNNNNNNNNNNNNNNNNNNNNNNNNNNNNNNNNNNNNNNNNNNNNNNNNNNNNNNNNNNNNNNNNNNNNNNNNNNNNNNNNNNNNNNNNNNNNNNNNNNNNNNNNNNNNNNNNNNNNNNNUCAGAUAGUUAUCCAUUCUCAACGAGUCUUCAAUAUUUUGUUCUACAACAAAAUAUCUACGUGUUCAUUUAAGUGUCAUCACACUUUAGUUUGUGAGAUCAGCUACUUACUUCAUAAGUAAGAAAUGUCACACAUAAUAGUCUAUCCGUAAUAACGAUAUAUGUAUCUCGUUAUUACUUACGACCAUAGACGAUUUAAGAUUCAAUUAUAUGUAAUUUGUAUCUCACAAUUACAAUUCCUUGUAAUUAAUAUAUUAUCAUGAUUUGAAUCUAGGAACUCUAUUAUUCAAUUUAAUUUAACAUUAAUUAAAUAAUCUGCCAUAAAGUUGCAUCAAUUAUAUAAUAAAAGUAUUUAUGUCCAAGGUUGAUUGGACUUAGGGCAUAAAACUAACAAGAUCUUCAUCUUAGAAUAUAGGAUUAAACAAUUUUAAACUAGAUUUAAUCUAUCGUUGAUUUGUAUCAUAUUGUCCACUGUAGGAGAGCAAUUGGUUUUAAAUAACACUAUAAAUGCUAAUGCUAAUGCUAAUUCUGUUUCGGGGAAGUCAUUUGCACAUACUGUGGUCAUAUUUGGGUUACUAUGUUGCAUGAAAAGCUAGGCAUAAAGAGGUGGAUGUUAGUAUUGUUUUGCUUAAAAAUUUUACAAUUUCUUGAUGAUAUGCUUGUUUGUUACAAUUGACGAAAGUAAUUGCUUAACUAAAUUGAAGCCUAUUAAUCCUUCUAAGUCGAUUCAAAGCUGAGUUAUAUCAAUAAUUAAGAUGCCAGCUAAGACUAUUCGAAUGAAUUAUAAAGCUUUUUUUGUGUAAAUAGUAGUGCUAUUUAGUCCCUUAUUGGGAUUAUAACCUUAGUCUAUGUAAUUCCACUGAGGUUAUAAUAUAAUUUCACUAAGGCUAUAAUCUCGAUUUACGUGAUGUUAGUUAAAAUGCUAAAUAAAAAGUGAAAUUAAAUAAUUUAUUUAAUUAUAUUUAUCAUUUAACGUCACAUUAGUAUCACAUAGAUCAGAGUUAUAACCCCAGUAGGAGUAAAUGGCAUUAUUCUUGUGCAGACGGAUCUAUCCUUGGAGGUCUUGCUUAUUACAAUGCAACUUUGGGUUCAAGUUCGCAAUGCACAAACCUACAAAGAAUUAUUCUUCAAAUUGAGUUUAUGGUGGCCCACAUACUAAACUUGAUGCUUAAUGUUUGAGAAGUCAUGAUUAUGUUAAUCAUAAAUCCAUCCAACCCAUUCAUUUAUAUGUCUACUACUUGAAAUUCAUUAGUGAAUAAAGUCACUUGUACAAUAUUUUUGCACAACUUGGUUGACAACAAGUGUGUUGCAAAAUUCUGAACGUUGAUUUUAAAAAUAGCUUUUCAAAUAAAUGAAAGUGAUGUUUGUCAAUUUAUAUAUUGUAAAUCAAGUUGUAAAAUAAAUUGCACAAGUAGCAUGAUUGUUCAUUAGUACCACCAAAUUCCUCCAUGCAGCUACAGUGUAUCCUAUUUGUUAGCUAGAUCUCCUACCUCCACUUUUAUGGAAGGUUGGUUAACAACCCUCAUGGCGUAGAAAUAGACAGAACCCAAAGACAAAUGCCUCUACCAACCACUGAAUUCUUGGUCUCGAGGGCAAGCCAAGCCGUAGUAUCAAUUAAAGUGAAAGAACCCAAAUCCUUCUCUUAUGCCUUCUACGCUGCAUAAUAAACAUAAAUGAUUGAGAAUGGUAACUAUUUAAUAUGCUAGAUUUAGAGUUUUAGAUCUGUUCUCCCAUAGCUUAUGCAUUUGUAGGCAACAACUAUUUUCAUUUGCAUAUGCUAGUCGGACUUAUUUACAUCACUAGACAUCCAAUAAGAUGAUAAACAGUGGCGGAAGUCAAUAAAAUUAUAUAUAUUUUUCAUGAGCUUUGGUAAGAACAUAUAAAGAUAUCAACUUUUGAAUAACUAUACGUAAAAAUAAUAAUAAUAAAAUAAUAUUUUGUCAACUUUACCCGUCAAAAAUAUUAAUUUGUGUUUCUAACAUGAGGAAAUAUGACACUAAAGUCAAUGAAAUUAUGUAAAAGUGACGGGAUAUGGAAAAGGAAGCAAAUGUUGGGGGGACUGAAAAUCCAAUUUUAAAGGAGGACUACGAAUAUUUCCAAAAAUGCUAAAGUCCAAUUUUUCAAAAAAUGAAAAAAUAAAAAUAAUAAAAAUUGAUUGUAACCCCUCGGAUUCGAUCCCCAAUCUCCAAGGCCAAAACAAGAAACAUUUAUCAAUAAGCUUAAACCACCUUUAUGUCAGUAAACUAAGUUAUAAAAAUUGUACUUGUUUUCUGUUUCAAAAUAUACAUAAAAAUAUUAGAUGACUUCAAACCUAGUAUAAACGGAAUAUAGCAUAUUGUUGGAAUAAUAUAUUUUAAAUUAGUUUUAAAUAUUUUUGUUCAAUUCUAAUAUAAAUUAUAUUAUUCUACCUCUUUCUUCUAUAUAUUAUUCCAAAUCAGAGUUCAACCAAUUCUACAUUUACAUUUGAACAUACUUUUUAAAUAUUGACUUGAACAAAUUGACUGUUUCCAUAGCCUCCGGAAAAUUGUUGAAACUGUCUUUAUCACUUUCUACAAUUCCCUAUUGCGAAUGAUCUCUUUUAGUGUCAUUGUUUGUAUAAUUUUAAUUAUGGCAUUGAAAGAAAAUAUUCUAAAAGAUGGAACUCUAAGAAAUGAUAAAGAACUGUUUCAAAAUUUUUUGGGAGGUCAUGAAUGCGGCCAAUUUGUUAAUGCCAAUAUUAGAAAAUUCCAAUCUAGAUUCAUAAAGAUGUAAAAUUGGUUAAAAGAUGUCAUUUAUGUAGCUUUUCAAACUCUGUGGAAAUAUAUAUCAUUCAUUGCAAAUUUUAUUGAGAGUUUAAUGUAUUUAAAGAAUUGAGAAGACACCGUGCUCUAAAUCCAAGAGAAACUGGACGCAUUAAUAGUUGAAGAUUUAUAAGAUCUAACUUCGUAGUUCUUGAGUGUUGUUUAUCUUAAUUUUUUUGACUAUUUAAAAAAAAAAUUGUAGAAUUAAUGUGUUACACUUGUACGAUUUUAACCCCAUCCACAUUAAAAUUAGUUGAUCCAAAGUCCGAAAAACGAGGAUUUUUUUCAAUUUUUAAAAUUUUAAAAAAUUAAUAAUCAAAUGGGCUUGUGGGUGGCUCAACUCAACUCAUGAGUCCUAUGAGCCAAAAGACGAAAUCGAGCAAUGUUUUUGGACACUAGUCAAAUUAGACUCGUUCUAAUAAAAAUUAUCUAUAUAAAGAAUUAUACAGAAUAAUUUCAACAUUGUCAACUGAUUGUAAAAGAACAAAAUCGGGGGUACAUACUAAUACUUAGUAUGGAUUAAAAAAUAGUGAUAGAAAGAAACAACAUUCAACUUGAUCCAUUGCUACUUCUAGAUGAAAUCAAGUUUAAACCUUAGCCUUGCUUCUUUGAGAUUUAAAUUUGAAAAGUCAAAAUUGUGUUUGGUGUUUUCAAUAGGAUUAGUAUGGGCUUUAUAUUAGUCUAUUUAGGUUGGGCCAGAUUUAAGAUGUAUCCGUUUUUUAGCACCAUUCAUUUAUUUUUUAUAAUUAUAUUCACACCACAAUUUUUUUAACUGCACAAAAUUUUAAUUAAAAUGAAGAUCCUCUAAUUUUGUUCAGUUUUAGACUUAUAUCUCUUUUUCAUCAUGUUUUAUUUUAAUCUUUAAUUAAUUAAUACACGUUGUCUUAGAUAACAACUUCUGUCCAAAUAGUAUGCUCAUGUGGGAAAAAUAUAUUGUCAAGCUUUUAUAUUUAUUGUUUAUCUUUCUUGAUACAAAUCUUCAUCGUAAUGGAUUUUUUGAUUGUCAUCAAGAACUAGAUAAAAUAAGAUUAAGAUUAAAAUAUGAAAAAAAUAUAUAAAUAAAUAAAAAAUUAGAGAUGUAAGUGCCUAAAUGAGUAAAGCAAAAAUUACGACUCCAAUUGUGACUUGACGUACUUAACAAAAAAAUAAGGUGUAAAUUAUAUUUACCCUUUAUUUUUUACAAUUGGAUAAUCAGGCAAUUUAUGUUAUAAAACUAAGUUAAAAAGAGUGAACAAUAUAAGAGAAUUGAAGAUCAAGUCUCAAGUUUAGUUUCUUAUAAUGAUUGAUUUUUAUAUAUAAAAUUUCAAUGAGAAAUACAAUUUGAACAAAAUACACUUUACAGUAAGUUGAAAAGUUAUAUAAAUUCAAUAAGAGUAACUAGUCAUUCAUCAUUAUUUAUUAUUUUACAACAUUUCUCCUUCAAUGACUAUUUAUAAUAACCGUUAAAGGCCCUGCAAAAACUCAAUGGGACAAAACACCAAGUGAAGGGAAAAAUACAAAUAAUUAUCAAAAAUUUGGAAAUACUACCUCGUUAAAAUAUUGUCAGAAAAUAUAUUGGAACAAAACUUGCGCAAAAGAAAAAGAAUACAUCUAUUCCCUUGAUUUCAAUAAAUAAAAUUCCUUGUAUCGAGCCAUUUAUAUUUUGUACACCAACAUUUCGACGCCGCUGUUGUCAUACAAGAUAUUCAUAUAUCUCUCAUUGGUUAAUUGUAGUUAGUAUGACGGUCUAACUAAUAUAUAUAUAUAUCUUCUUGUUGCUCUCUUUAGUAAUUUAUGAUUUUAAUCAUGUGAUACUAAAUCAUAGAAGUAUGUUAAGGAUAAAAAUCUUGUAGAUUAUGAACAUUUAUUACAUAAAAAUUUCUCGUUAAAAUCUUUUGUACAGGCUAUGAGAAUUGUCUCAUUAAAAAUCUCGGUCAAGAAAAAACUAUAAUGUAUAUUUUCUUUUCCUCACGAUAAUAUUACUUAAAUAUAUACAUUUUAUUUAUCUUCUCAAAUGUUGUAGUAAAUAAUGCUUUUGGACAUGUUUGUCACAUAAAUCGUCACGGUAGAUGCAUGUGAAUAAUAAAUUGGUUUAUAACCUUUAUAAGUUCCAAAUAAUAACCCGCAUCUUCAUAAUCAACUGGUAUUGAAUCAUGAACUAUUCACAAGAUAUAAUAAUGCAUCUAUUGUAGAAAGAUAUGGUACUUUACGACCAAUAAGUUAUUUAUUAUAACUUCGAGAACGAAAAACAACCCUCUUUUCAUUUGAAGUGAAAAUAACUAUCACGCGUUAACGGAUGUAUCAUUUUUUGAUAUGAAAUCUUUUUAGGAUCUUUUUAUAUAAAUGCUUGACCUGCAGGCCUAGAUCAACUACCAUUGGAAGCUCUUCGGAGGUUCCAAUAAUAUUUUAAAUGAGCAACUUAUACAUAAAUAACUACAAAUUCAAGUAUUGAUAUCUUUAUAAAAUUAAAUAGAUAUAUAGUAUCAUUAUGGUGCCUAUUUUCAUCAAAUAUAUGAGCUAUGAUUUUUUCUAUAUAUGCCUAUUCUUGAAUUUCUAAUGGUUAUGAAGGCUGGUCAUCGCGGAACUUUUCACCCGUAAAAAAUUUAUGAAGUUUUGUCUUGGGAAAUUGAGAAUUAGUCCUUGUUCCGAACUACAUGGGCUUCAGCCAUACACAAAGAUCAUUAAAGAACAACUUGGUAACAUACACUUGAAAAGUUUUCUUACUAUCAAUAGUAGUUAAUGGUGCAAAGUCUGAUUCUCCAAGUGUUGGUAAAUGGAAAUAUGCUGUCUUUUGUUUUCUCUUAUUUGUGUAUAGUUGUGUUACGCCUUUACCCAUGAGACAGGUCACGUAAAGAGUCAUGCAAGGUCAGCACUACAUUUAGCUUUAUUUUUUCAAUGUCUUUUUUGAGGUGAUUGGGUCAUUCCUCUAAAUGCCUAACCUAGAAUAUUAUUCUAAUCUAAGAUGAUGCGUCACUUCUCCUCUAUAAUAAAUAAAUCUGAGGCAAUGACAUUUGCUGCAACCCUUGCCUUAGCCAAAUUGUAAGAGUACACUGCUCAAAAUGAUUGAUGCGAUACUUUGCAACAACGGUGUCCAGUCAGAUCACAACUUUCAACUCAUAUUUAGGCUAUGGAACCACAUGCAUUUGAUGACUAUGAAUUGACCCAAUUGAACGUGACAAUUGAGCACUUAAAAUAAAGUCGUGUGUCAAGCAAUCAGAGAGGGCCUCUUUUACCUAUAAAUACUCAAUCUCUCUCAUUUAAAGAUGAGUUUUUGAAUGGUUGACACACAAUAAGUACCAAAACCUAGUAACAAUAUACUUCCGUUCAUUGUGUUUUUCCCACAUUCAAAAUACUUCACCAUCUGAUUUGAGUGUCAAAGUUCAUGCGACCAUUCACCCACUGUUGGAGCUAUGGUCUAUGCAGUCUAACGUGAAUGUACAAGUGUGUUGAUAAUAUACACAUGGACAAGAGAGAAGUUGAGAUCCAUUGAUAGUUGAAUCUUGCUGUAUUGGAAGAUCAAUUAGUAUGUUGUUCAUUUCAGAGAUAAUAUAUAUGUAUGUAUAGGUAUCUAUGUGCAGAACAGAUUUAAGUAGCAAAAGAGUGCAAAAGUUGUUUGCCAUGUACUCACCCAAUAUAAGUGUGUUUUUACACACUCGUUCAAUAUCUAAAUAAGCUUAAAAUAUUAAUUAAAUAAGUGAAUUUCUACUCAAAAUUUUACAAUUAUUACUUUUGUAGGUAAAAAUCAUUCAAAAAAGAGAACAAAGUAAGAUGGAGCGAAAAGGGAUAAACAAGUACCAAAAACGUGAUGUUGGGAACCAAAGUGCACAACUUACUGAAAGUUCAAGGUCCUGUGCUUGCAAUUUUUGGGGGUUUAACAGAAAGAAAAGUCAAACUUUGAGGACAAAAUUGUACAAAAUCAAAGUUGACGGACCUUCUAUGCAAUUAUCUCAUGGACUUAACUGCAAAAAUGACAAAAAGCCUUUUUUCCGGCCUUGAAAACAGAAAUUGGGCCUAGGCGCCAUUUUUAUGAUCAAAACAAGGCCAGGGACAUUUUUGCUUUUUUAUUCAAAACUCUGGGGACUUGUGCUGCAAUUUUCUGAAAAGGGUUUUAAUUGAAUUGUAAAAAAACAACAACCAGGGCAUUUUCUGGAUUCUGCUUCUUUCGGACUGGAGCGUCCUUUUUUUUUUUUUUUUUUUUUUUUUGGCCUUUUUUUUUUUUUUUUUUUUUUUUUUUUUUCCCUCUUUUCUUUCUUCUUUAUUUUUCUCUUCUUUUUCCUUUUUAUUUCCUUGGUAUUUUGAAGGAUACAAUAAAUAGUAAAAGGAGAACAACAAGAAAAAGUGAAAAAAUAUAUGGGGAAAGCAAUAUCAAGCUCUAAAAAGGUUUCAUCUAUAACUUUGCAUUUCUUUAUUCUUUUGUCAAACUUGCAAUGUAUUGUAUGAAAUAUUCUCCUUUUUACUAUUUAUAUAACAUGGGCUACAUAUUUGUGUUGGGAUUUAUGGCAUUAACUUAACAUAAAUUUUUAAUUAAUUUUAAUAUUCGCUCUUUGAUGUUAAGUUACUUAUUUUCAUGUGUUUUUACUAUUGUUAUUAUUGCAUUUUCAUUUAUGUGGCCAAUAAACGAUUACGUUUAGUGAUUUGUACAUCGUUCGAGAGAAGACUGUGCAUUUUAUAUCAAAUAGUGGAAACCCUAGGUUUGUGUAGUGGAUCUCUAACCCUAGGUGACUUAAUGAGCUAUUUUCACAAAGAGUUAAUGUGGUUGUUUGAUUUUAAUCGACAUAGAGAUAUAGUAGGUUAAAUCAAUCAACUAGGAUUAAUUUCGUUCGAGAGAGGUAACUAACUAAAAUUGAAAGAUCGAGUCUAACAUCGUAAAUGAGUAAUUUGUCAAUUGGCUUUUAGAGAAAUUAAUCAGGCGACGGUUAAACGAAACCAUGAAUCCUAACCACGUUUGCUUCCAAAAUUUUCAAGAUUUUUAUAUUUUCUUAGUUUGCGAAAUUUUAGUUAUUUUCCAAAAUAAAAUAUUUAUUUUGUGUUUAUUUUUAUUGUUAGAAUUAAAUUAAUUAAAAUUGUGUAAUCUAAAGCAAACAUUCCUCGAGGUAUUGACAAUCCGGACUCAAAAGAUCCACUUUAUUACUUAAACGCGAUCCACACUUGCGACAUGCACUUUUAGCGAACAAGUUUUUAACGCUGUUGUCAAGAAAUGUUUUUAUUUUGAUUACCACUUUAGUUAAUUUUAGUUUUAACAAUUUCUUUUUAUUUACCUUUAAUUGCUUUUGUUUUUGUGUAUUUUGGCUAAGCCCCAUAUUGUUAAUCUACCUUGUGUUUAUUUUCUCUCCCUGUACGUUUCAAAUAUUUGCAGUAUUCUGACUUUGGAAAAGUAACAAAAUUGUUUCAAUGACAAAUCUCUAUAUGGACAGUCAAGAUAUGCUUGGAGGAUAUCCAUGUUGUGAAAAUUGUUACACGAUGCAUUGUGAUGUGAAUUGUUUGUUUUCGUAUACUAGUUUUAUACACAUCGAAACUUCUGAAGUUUAGAAAUUAUUUGAGGUGUCGAAAACAAGCCAUUGACAAAAAUGAUGAAGGGUACAUGCUCGCGGGAGAUUUGGUACCUUGCAAUUGGGAUGAAGAUGUUAAGAUUAUAGGAGAUGGCCCUCCUCUACAGAACGAAAAGGUAAUUGCAAAGUAUUUCAAAGAGCUUGCCAAAUUGGAUGAAAAUGAUAUGCUUAUGGGAGACUACAUGUACUAGGAAGGAUUUCUACAAUGAGGGUAUAAUCCGCUUAAUGCAAUCAAUGAGACCAACUUCUCACUGCCUGUGGAUCUAGACUGUGGACAUGUCAUUUAACUCGAGGAUAUAUCGACUAUGAUAGAAGAGAUUAAAAAGAGUGGAGAAUUGAUCACAAAGGAAUCAAGUAAAGAUGUGGCAAUUAAUGAGGAUGAAAUCAACAUAUAUUCUUUUAACUUUAUUGAUUGUCAAAAUAUUGAUUUUGUAAUUAAACCCCAUGUAGGGGUGGAAGUCUACAUAGUUGAAGUUGAGUCGGAUGGAAUAGAGAAGUCCUGCUACAUUGAAAAGGACAAUGUCGAUGUUUGGAGAUCAAAUGAGAAGUGGAACAAAGCCAAAUGAAGAAAAAUGGGCAAGGCAUCUAAAGCCUUCUUUAGGUGCCCAUGAUUCAAAGCCAAAGUUGAGCUAAAAAUUAUAAGAAAUUGCUUGUUGGGAGGCAACCCAAUUUCUUAAUUUUUAAUCUUUUUAUUUAAUUUUAUGUAUUUUCUUAUUUUUAUUUAAUUAGCUAUCAUUUUUUGUAGGUAAUUUUUGAAGUCCCACAUAUCUAUGGUUUCUCACAAGUUUGGAGGUAAAUUGUGUACAAGAAGGUCACUUGUUGAAACUCAUUGAAAGCAUCGCAAGUCCAAGUCAAGUAUUGGUACCUCUUCACAAAUGUUCAAUCAGGGAAGUCUCGUUAACCUCCUUCUUAUCUAGUUCUUUAUACAUUGAGGACAAUGUGUGAUUUAAGUUUGAAGGUGAUUGUGCUUAAAUUGGUGAUUUUGUGUUGACAUGUUAGAUAGCCUUCCUGGUUUAGGGUUGCUUGAUGUUUAAAAUUGUUAUUGAUUCAUGAUAUAUGACCAAAUAUGCUAUUUGUACCUUUUUUUUUUUUUUUUCAAAAAUUGCUUAUCCAUUUUAAGAUCCUGAAUUACUUUGAGCACAAUAGUCAUGUUUAAUUGUUAUCUAGAUGUGGAAAUUUUUUAACUGAUGGAGAGAAUUUUGAAUUGAUUGAACUAGGUUGUGAGUUGUUUGAAAAUUUAUAUCAACCUAUAUCCACUUCUCUUCGACUUAACCAUAUUAUAAGAUAAGUUUGAGGAUGUCGAGCGGAUGAAGGAUAUUAUCUAGAAGUGUAUUAAUUUCAUGCAUGUUGAAAAUAUUUGUGUGGAGUGUCGUUUGCCAAGUAUAAGCUAGGUAAUGAGUAAACCCCAUUUUUGUUGCGCUUUAAAAAAAAAAUGUUAUUGUACUUGUUGAAUCCUAGACCUCACUUCUUAACCUUUUUGACUCAAGUCCGUAGGGAUAUCUCCAAACCCGGUACCAAAUAGCCUAAACAAUCGGGGAGUUACCGACUUAAAGCUCGUUACAAGGGUCAAAACGAAAGUUUACGGGAGUGAAGUAAAACAUGAGAUUCGGAUUUAAAAAAAAAAAGAAAUAAAGCAAAAAAAAAAAAUAGAGAAAAAAAAAGAAGAAAAAAAUUUGUUGUUGUGCAAUUGUAUUUGAUAUUUGGGUUUAGAUAACUAGUGAGUUUGAAUUGUUUAGUAUAAACUAAAAUGUGAAAGCAUUCUUUAGUAGAGAAUCAUCCCGUGAUUAGAUAUUGAGAUUGCCGAUUAGAACCAACCAAAUUAGAGCGGGAAAAGAAAAUAGUGAUUGAUAGCAACCUUUAGAUUUACACCUUGAGAAAGAAAAGAGCACGUCUAUUUGAGGAAUGUGAAUCUCACAAACGAGAAAGAAAAUAUUUGACCACAAAAGGUCGGGUUGGAGCGAGUUUGAAAAUUUUUCCAUCGUGACAACCUUUUUAUAAUUUAGAUGAUAAUUAAAAGUGACUAUGCACACACACUGAUUAAACAUCAGAUAAGCUCAAAUUAAUUUUGCUAGUAUUACUUGGAACAUAUUUGUGAAUUGAUUAUAAAAUUUUACACUCAUUGAUAACAAGUUAUCUAAUAUGUUGAUCUUUAUCUUAUUUUACAUGAUUAUUUUAGUACAUAAUCUUGCUCAGGAUGAGCAAGAGCUUAAAUUUGAGGACAUUUGAUAAGCAUAAUUUUGCACACUCAUUUAAUACCUAGAUAAGUCUAAAUAUUGAUUAAAUGAGCGAAUUUCUAUUCACAAUUACGCAAUUAUUGCUUUUGUAGGUAAAAAUCAUCCAAGAAAAGAGAACAAAGUAAAAUGGAGCGAAAAGGGAUCAAAAGAGUACAAAAACGUGAAGUCGGUAACCAAAGUGCACAAGUAAGAAAAAUUCAAGGACAUGGGCUUGCAAUUUUGGGGGCAUAAUUGAAAGAAAAGUAAAAUUUGAGGACCAAGUUGUACAAAAUUAAAGUUUAGGGGACCUUUCAUGCAAUUAUCUCAAGGACUUAACUGCAUCAAUGACAAAAAUCAGGCCCGGCGGCGCCUAGGCGCCAUUUUUACAAUCAAAAUAAGGCUCGAGACCUUUUUGCCUUUUGUCCAAAAUUCUGGGGACUUGUAUUGCAAUUUUCUGAAAAGGGUUUUAAUGAAUUGUAAAAAGACGAGACGGGGAUUUUCUGGAUUCUGCUUCUUUCGGGCUGGAGCGCCUUCUUUUUAUAUCUUUUUCUUUUCUUUCUUCUUUAUUUUUCUCAUUUUCUUUUCUCUUGCCUUUUUAUUUCCUUGAUAUUUUGGAGGACACAAUCAAUGGAAAAAGCAGAAUAUCAAGAAAAGAGUGGAAAAAUAUUUGGGGAAAGCAAGAUCGAGCUCUAAAAUGGUUUCAUCUAUAACUUUGCGUUUUCUCCAUUAUUUUGUCAAACUUGCAAUGUAAUGUAUGAAAUUUACCAUUUAUAUAACAUGGGCUAAACAUUUGUGUUGAGAUUUAUGACAUUAACUUAAUCUAGUUUUUAAUUAAUUUUAAUAUUUGCUCUUUGAUGUUAAGUUAUUUAUUUUCAUGUGUUUUUACUAUUGUUAUUAUUGCAUUUUCAUUUACGUGGUCAAUGAGUGAUUAUAUUUUAUGAUUUGUCCAUCGUUCGAGAAAAGAUUGUGCAUUUUAAAUCAAAUAGUAGAAACCCUAAAUUUGUGCGGGAGAUAGAAACAUACUCUUAACCCUAGGUGACCCAAUGAACUAUUUUCACAUAGAGUUAAUACGGUUGUUUGGUUUUAAUCGAUAUAGAGAUAUAGUAUGUUAAACCAAUCAAUUAGAGUUAAUUUCCCUCGAGAGAGGUAAUUAACUAAAAUUGGAAGAUUGUGUCCAACAUCAUAAAUGAGUAAUUUGUUAAUUGGUUUUUAGAGAAAUUAAUUAGAUGACGGUUAAGCGAAAUCAUGAAUCUCGACCACAUUUGCUUACAAAAUUCUCAAGAUUUUUAUUAUUUUGUAGAUUUUUAGUUAUAUUCCAUAAUCAAAUAUUUAUUGUGUGUUUGUUUUAUUGAUAGAAUUAAAUUAAUUAAAGUUGUGUAAUUUAAAGUAAACAUUCCUCAAGAGAUCACAAUCCGGAUUCAAAAGGUUCACUUUAUUACUUGAAUCCGAUCCGUGCACUUGCGACAAGCACUUUUAGCGAACACUCACGUGGCCUUAUUCCCACAUUUAUGCUCCUCAAACAUAUGAAUAACUACGUGAGGUUCAUAAGUACCACCAAAUCACCAGUAAUACUCAUGGUGUAGAAAUAUUAGACACCAAAGAUAAAUGGUGUCGAGCCUUCAGCAACCACUGCAUUCUUGAUCUUGAGUGCGAGCGCAAGUAUUCGAAAAAUAUAUACAACCAUCCAAAGUUAAACAAUAGGGGACAGGAAAAGAAUAUGUUCAAUCUGAUACCUUUGGAGCCCUGCCUAACCGGGUAAAUGGGACAGGUACAGGACGAGGGUCAUUGCCCCGUUUAAAGUUAAUUUCAAAUUUAAGUUUUUAUCCAACAAAAGUAAUAGAUUUAUCAUCAUUUUUUAGAGUGAACAUAAGUUGUUUUAACAAAUUGGUAAAAAAGUAAUGAUAUUUACUAACUAAGGACAAAAAAAUAAUACCAAAAAAUAAAAAGAAAAAAAUAAAUGAGGCGAUAAAUGGGGCAGGUGACCCUCCUUGAUCCCGUCCCGCUUUAAUCGGGUAUGAAUGUAGGGUAAAAUAACAAAAUACCCAACAGAAUAGGGGUGGAAAUGACCGACUCAUACCAUACGCGCACUAUUGCAUCCCUAUUAAAGAACCAAAAUCCUUUUCUUAUGCCUUCAUGAUUGAGCAAUAAACAAGCAUUUGAACCUUAAUUCUCAUCAUGAAUCAGUAGCUAAAAAUGAGUGCAUCAUAGUCGGAAAAUAUAUUUUGGAAUAAGAAGUGUUUAUUUCUAAUCACAAUAUACAACCAAUCGGUUAGACUCAAGCCCAGACGACCUUUAGGGAUGUCCAAAUACAAGUUUUAUAAGCAUGAAUGUGAUAUGCUAAAUUUUAAUACUCAAGACUUCAAUUGUUAGCCAAAUUAUAGCAGAAUAUAAUAUAUUAUUUAUAUACUGGAAGAACAUAAUAGAAAAUUACAAACAAAAGGGAAGAAACCAGCAAACCGAGGCCUCUAACACAGUGUCAUUAAAAGUAAAAUGUGGACACUCCCAUGGGGUCAAUUUUUGGUCCGUUCGGUCCGACAUUUAUGUAAGUUGGUCAUGCUAUCACACAAGUUCAAGAUCCGAAAUUCUAAUUUAGUCCUUGAUUUGCACCCCCAUGCACGAGCACAUGAAAAGCACCUCUAUGUUACACAUGAUUAAACACUUCCAAAGUAUAGCCUUAUAUAAAGUUGUAUUUUCUUCCAUCUUUUUUCUAUGUGGGAUAAACUUUAAUUGGUUUUCCUCCUACACAUAUAUCCAUAUUCCAAUGGUCCAAUUGGAACUCCAAUUUCUCAUUCACUUGAACAUCAAUUUUGACAAGUUAAUAUAUAAUUUCGAUAUUCUCACGAAAGAGAACAUAAAUCAACUUUGAUAUUCCAAAUUGAACCAACGGAUCCCACCUAAAAUUGUGCUAAAAUUAGCUCAACAAAGUCAUUUUUUCAACAUCAAUAUCGUACAAUUCUCACUAUGGAAGUGCUAUGAUUUGUACGUAAACAUAGAAGCAUUAUCUUGCAAUAUCUUAUACUAAUAUCUCACAUUUCUUUGCCUCUUCAUUUUCUUUUGAAGAGUCGAGAAUGAUUUCAAAAAUUAGCUUAAUCAAUGCUUACAAAUUAUUAUGAAAUUAGAUCUUUAGCUAUUAAUUUUUCACUUAGUAUGUCUUAUUUAUGUCUUGAUUAAUGAGCAAUUAUCAUUUAGGGAUAAGUUUAAUGAGCAUUUAAUUAAUUAAUUUGACAAUUUAAUGUUAUCACUGUGUAAUCUCUAAUUUCUGUAGACACGUCGAAAUUUCCUUCAAGUGGAAAUAAUAGAUUUCACUCCAUGAUGUAGUGAUGGUAAUUUAUCCCGCCUCGUCGCGGGGCGGGGCGUAAAUGGUCGCCCCGUCGCGAGGCGCAGCUGCCCCGCCUUGAACUAGCCCUGUGAAGAAAAAGUAAAAAAAAAAAUUAAAAAUAAUUUUAUUUUUAGACAAUUCAUCCGUUAAAAACUCAUUUUAAAUUUGUAUUUUAUUAUCUAAUAAUAACAUAAUUCGAAACUUUGAAAAUGUAAAAAUAAUAAAUAAUAAAUAAAUAAAAUUAAACGGGGCAAAAAGUUGCCCCGUCCCUACCCCCUUGCCAGGCGGGGCGGGGUUUUGGCCAAACGCCCCGCCCGUCCCAAACUCGCCCCGUUACCAUCACUACCGUGAUGGAUGUGUAAUAAAAUUUGAAUAUAUGAGUGAGCAAUGAGUAACAAUUUAUUUUUAUUUUUUUAAAGCUCAGAUAGUAAGUAAUGACCUAUAGAGAAAUUUAAUGAGCAUUUAUUUAAUUAAUUCACAAAAAUGGCAGCAGUGGCAAAUUGUGAUUUUUUUGGUAGAGGAAAUAGGCACCAUCAAUGGUGGUGCUUUUGAGGUGGCGAUGAUGUCGAUUUUGCAGUGUUUUUGGAUGAUGGUGAUGGUGUGAUGACGACAGCGAGACGGAGUGAUGAUGAUGUGGUGAGAUGAGUUUCGAUGACGUGACUAUAGUGAAGGUGGUUGUUGGUAGAAGUGGACAUAACAUAAUAGGUUACACGUAUAUUUCAUGUAUAACAUAGUAUGCUAAGUUUUGACCCUCGGGGCAUAUCUCAGUGGUGCAAAGUAUGAGAGUGAGGUAGUUUCAGCCUUGCUGACAGCUGCAGUAUGAGGGUUCGAUUCUUGAGAUAUAAAAUUGUACUCUUUGUGGACACCAGUAUACGGACAAGCUCUUGUUCCCUAACCUGCUAAUGCACAUCCUGUGAUUUACCUCCCUUGCGAUGCUCCAAGGACGGAACAAUGAGGACUCUCAAGAUUGGGAUUCAACCUUUUUUAGUAUGCUAAGUUUUAUAUUUAUAACAUUGUAGGUUAUAAGUGUUAUAAUAAUUAAUUGUAUAACAAACUGUAAUGUACAUAUUAUAUUUUGUAGAAGUUAUUAUUAAAAGUGUAAUAUUUGGAGUAUUUAUGAAAAAUAAACGUAGUUAGUGGCAAAUAAACACUAUAAACACAAAUCAAAACAUGUUUUAAUUUAGGGGGGGGGGGGGGGGGGGAAACCAAUUUUAAGACUCUUAUAUUGUCAGAAAUAUAGAAAAUAGGAAAUAAGUUCAGUGACUAACGAGAAGCAAUGAUAAAAGUUUAGUGACCGUCGUGAUAAUUAACCUAUAACUUGCCAUCAGAGAAAGUAAUUAAGAAAUACGGGUUUCAGUUAAUUUUAAUAUAUAAUUUAUUAAACAUUUUUGUUUGGUGGUGGAACACAUUAUAAAUUUUUUAUGCUAGCAUACCAACCAAAAUUAAACCUGCCAAUGUCUUAAUUUAUCAAUUAAAUGAUCAGUAAAUAUUACUUUUAAUUAUUUUUUCUCCAAGGGCACUACUGUGUCCUUGAUAUCAUACUUUUGGUAUAUUAGUCAUUUUCUAGAUGUUUUGUGGAUUUGUAGUCGUAUUUGCCGACGAUAAUAAGUACUUAAUUAUAUUAACAUAAAUUUUGAACACUUUCGAUUACAAGAAUUUUAUGUUUUUCCUACAAAAAAAAAUUGUUGUAAAAGGUUUUUAUUUGUAGGAAAAAACUUUUGUGGACGAAAUAAAUUUGUAGAAAUAUUUGUGAGGCAAACAUCGAGGAGAUAGGUAAAAGACGAUAAAUUUUUAAAAUUUGUAGGCUAAAGAUUUUCCCUACAAAACCUUUUAAAAUUUGUAGGCUAAAGUUAAUUUUGCCCACAAAAUGAUUUCACUUUUCCCUACAAAUAAAUAGUGUGAAAAGGACAUCUAUGGGCUAAGAUAUACACAUUUUUCCUUGCAAUUAAAAAUUUGUGACAACAUGUUACAAAUUAUUUUGUAGAUUAAACCCUGUUUUUCACUAAAAAUAAUUUUUUGGAGGGAAAGAAUAUUUGUGGGCUAUUAUGAAAUAAGUCAUAGGGAAAAAAUAAAUUAUAUUACUUUAUUCAAAAUAAUAUAAAGAUACAAAAAGACAAUAAAUUAAUUAAGACAUGUCAAUAUAACAUUGAAUCCAAAGUAUUUCAUCAAAAACACAAAUAAAAAUCAUUCACCAAAUAUAAUUACAUUUAAACUUAAAAAUAGUUAGCAAAUAUGUUCUGUAUCUAUUAUUAUGUACCUAAAAAAUACAUCUCUGCGUCCUCGUGAGUUAGAUAUGCAACUGAUUUUAACCAAAUUUGUGCUCCCUAUCAAAUAGUGCACUAGACUUCCAACCCGAGACCAGGAAACCAAUGGACCAGCACAAGCACGCCAUAGCUAAAUAUAUAUAUAUAUAUAUAUAUAACAAAAUGUAUUCAAAGAUCACAAAAGUAUGAAUCAGGAACCAAAUAUAUAACUAACCAACAAAAAGGACGAGAAACAAUACAUCAAUAUUAACUUAAAUCACAAACUCCAGCAACUCUUUGAAUUCAAAUCAUAAUUAACUAAAAUUAAUUCUCCCUGCUCAACAAUAACAAAUGGCAGACAAGGAAAGGAAUUAUUAGCGUUGUUCUCCUCUAUGAAAUUGAUUGUUGAGUUAAUGACCAGAAGAGUGAUAAUCCCAAUAAAGUCCUCCCAAUCUGGUGGUUUUCCCCGUAAAGAUUAAAAAUGUAGGUAGACUGAUAAUAAGACUGAUAAUAAUGAGAUCGACGUGAGUGAUGCCUCAAGACUAAACAGAUUCCCAUAGUUCUUCAACUUUAGCUUGACUUCUCGAAGUUCUAUUGACCGCGUGAUCCUUAUUAACUAACUCAGGGAAGCCUAAUUAUUUGUUUAUUUGCAAUAUAGUUUUGCUUAAUAAUUUUUUUAUUACUCAUUCACGUAACAAGAAAUAAGCACUUUCGAAAAACCAACAGUAGUAGGUUGACUCUGGCCUCCAAUUGUCUAGGCCUAACUGUAAAGGGGGAGGGCAUAUAUAGAGGGUUAAGUUGCAACUAUAAAGCAAUUCUUUAGCUUUUUGUAUUCAAAUAAUGUCAAAUCAAUGGAAUUACAGAAAGAUUCAUCACGCCCUUUAUUUAACAAGACAAAAUUGAUAAUUGAACUUUCACUUUUCAAACUCAAUUUAUUAUCCUCAACUAAGUGAAGUACUGAGGCAAGAACAGUACUAGUAAGUCAAUUUUUGCAUAUAAUUUCCCUGAUUAAACCAUGCUUUAAGAAGAGAUUUGGUCAUAGUAUCUUUGUAAGUAAAAACUAACAGCGGGAUUCAGGCUGAAUGAGAAUUAAGACAGUUUCUUUAUUGCAGAGUUCUGAUUGAUAAGGCAAUAAAUUAAGACAGUUGAAUAAGCAUUUUAUAGUACGUGCUAUACAAUUAAUGUGGUAGAAUAAGGUUCAAUGGAAACCAGAGCCAAAAGUGGAUACACGGAACAAAGACAAAACAAAGUCAGAACAACGACUCCGUCUCAUAAAUUAGUAGAAGCACAAUAUUAAUCAGAAGUUCAGGACACAAAACAUUAUGAUGAUUUGGAAACCAUAACAUUUUCAAUCGAGUUUGAACCUCCACUUUACUGUGGAUCGCAGAUAUUCCACUUCAACCCAAUAAAUGAAUUGACUCAAAACAUUAUGAUAAUUUGGAACCCAAAACAUUUUCAAUGGAGUUUGAACCUUCAAUUUACUGUAGAUCUCAUAUAUUUCAUUGCAACCAGAUAAAUGAAUCGAUAGAAACCCAAUAAACGAAUUUGUAACCUAAUUUGAAUUUCACAUUAAUUUCCAACAAAAUAGAUAACAACCCAACAAAUAAAAACCAAUAAUGAUACCUCUAAGCUGUCUUUGGCCCUAGCUUAGAUCUUUAGGUUACUGGGCUUGACGGCUGAUGGCUGAUUCAAGGUGGCGGGACGAUAAUCUUGUGGCGGGUCAGAGCAGAGAAAAUUGAAGGGAGAAGAAGAAAAAAAAGGUUGAACCCCAACCUUAAGGGCCUCCACCGACCCUGCCCUGGGCCAUCGUGGAGGAGGUAAAUCGCAGGAUGUGCCUCCCAGGAGCCAGGGUGGAGAGCACAUGGAUAGGUCAAGACUGUUAACCCAUAUGGUAACUCCCGCUUGCAACAAAGCCAAUUCCACCUUGCGGGGAAUCGAACUCUGCAUACUGUCGCGCUGAGCCCUAUCCGCCCUCCCCUUUGCCACUAGGAGAUAUGCCCUGGGGGCAGAAGAAGAAAGAAAUCGUGGAGGGAGAAAGAACGAGGAAAAGGAAAAUGGUAAAAAGAAAGGAAAAUGGACAGAAAACGUGGGAAGAAAAAGAAAGGAAAGGGCAACAAAAAAAAAAAAAAAAGAAAAGAAAAGAAAAGGAAAUUAUCUUUUCACUUCAAAUAUAAAUUUCGUAGGGAUAAAAAAUGUAAACAAAAAUCGGAAAUUUUCCCGCUAAUUAUUAGCCUACAAACAUAUAAAAUAUUUCUGUAGGCAAAAGAUACAUCUUACCCGUCAAAUUUUUUGUCGAGUAAAAAUAUAAAAUUUUGUGAUCACAAGUCCUUAGGCUAUUGAAAAUUUUGAAACAAAUUAUAGCACUCCAAAAUGUCUUCUUUGUGGGGAAAGGUGAAUUCCGCCCACAAAUUUCAGAUUCUCUUCCAAAAUUUUGCAAGGAAAGUACAAAUUUCUUGUAGUAGGCUUCAAAUUUUAUAAUCAGCCUUACCCUUGUCAUAUGUUCAAAUUGUAACUUUUCUAUUCCUAGACUAUAGUAUUAUGCUAAUGAAAAACCACUCCAUUUUCCUCAACUACAAGAUUUAUAUUUAUGCUGGAAUACCAACAAACAACAAACCUACUCAGUGCGUUUAAUGCAACGUAUUAGACUCCGUAAGAAAUUAAGUAUAAACAUAUAGUGAAUUGUAAUAGGUAAAUAAUAUUAUGUUGGGUUAAGAUGAAUUAAUAUGAAUUUAGUUUUUAUUCUUUUGAAGCGAGUAGAUAGCAUAGUGACGACGGUGGAGAUGUGUUUAAGCCGGAUAAGAUAAGAUAUUAUUUUGUUAGUAUGAUGACAAUUAACUUAGUCUAACGAGGUCUGCAGGACACAUCUUUCAAGUGCUAAUUUAUCAGUCACAGGGUUAGUAAAGAUAAAUCAUUAUUAUCUUUUAAAAAAAAUACUAAUUUUGAUAUCAUUCAUUUGGAGUUAUCCAGUAAUAACAUUUUAUUUAUGUAUUAUCCCUAGAUGUUAAAUGGAUUCAAAGUCAAUUUUUUCAACGAUAAUCUAUAAAACUAGAGUGGAAGUUUUCUUUGAUUGGAACUGUAGUUCUUAGAUCGACAUCGACACGGUCAAAGUUGCCGGAUUUUCGCUAGCCUCUCGCCCAAUUCCUGCUCUUGCAGCAAAAACAGACUGUCGACCCCUUGUCGUUGAGCUCUCGUUCGAGCGAUAGUAUUACUCGUAAAACUCUAUUUCACGUUUUUAAGAGUUUUAUCUAGCUCAUAUUAUCUAAUUACCUCAAACUAUAAAUACCAAAACCUAACAUGAAUUUUGGUGUGGUUGUUUCAUUAUAUUUCUCCUUCAUAACAUCCUUCAAAGAUUCAAGAACACAAUCAAACCUCGAUAUUGAUCCAUUGACUCUUGAUUUCUUACAACCACAUAUAUGGAAAAAACAUCAAAUUCUUGGAAUCCUAAACACCCACUUCCUAUAUACAUAAAGGAAGGUACUUUCUUAAGAACAUUCAAAGGCUACUGAAAAAUUGAGGAAGGUUGGACCAAGAAUACAGAAAAAGUAUAAGAACGAGCCGUUCUUGGUGAUCUACAGGAGAUAGAUAAUUCCAGAGGAUUAGGAACAUAUGUGAGUGAAGCAUGUUUCCGUAGGUGUUGGAAAUUGCAGGAAGUUGAUAGUGAAUCUAGUGGAAUUUUCUAGGCUGGAUUGUACUGUAAUUUCAUCAUUGUUAAUAGUGGAGAUUACUGGCUUAUUCCCGUAAAUUUACCUAGUUGAGUUUUCUUCGUCAACAAUUUUUGUGUUCUUUAUUGCUUUCAUAUUACAAAUUGUGACAGUUCAACAUAGGAUAAUUUGACUCGUUUGAUUUAUCAUCCAUAAACAAUCAAAAAGUAAUUUGUUACUUUUAAUUGUAUAAUUCCACAUGUUGGGUCAAAAUAAAUUGGCUAACUAAAACCUUCAAGUGAUAUCUAGCAAACUUUCACAUUGAAUUAAUAAAAUGAUAAAGUCAAGUAUAAUAAGUAUCCCGAAUCAAAAUUAGGAAUGGUUUUAUGGAACAAAUUUUUUUAUUAGUAUUCAUAAAUUGUAAUCAUGAUAUUGGAUACGUUCCAAAUGAUGUUCCAAUUAAUUUUUUUUUUACUUAACUUAAAUGUGUCGUCUUGAGUAGUAAUAUGGCAAGUAAGGGUCAUUUCCCAUAGAGGAUUGAUUCAAUUAUGUCAAUUGCUCACGAAAAGGUAAAAUUAACAAUAAUAUACGAAAUAGAUUAAAUUGGGGGGGGGGGUUUGGUUCGUUGAACUAAGGAAAGCGAUAAAUUCAAAAUAGAAAGGGCUUGAAAUUUGAAAUAAACAAAGUGGUUUUUGAUUAAAUACGAGAAAAAAUGUGAUUGAGGGAUAUUUCAUCACCACGAGAAUGAUUUUCUUGUUAAUUAGCACAAUAGAUUUUUGUUCUUAAGAUUAACAACAAUUCGAGAAUAAUUACAAACUCAAUUAUCUCAAUCUUUUCUUACAUGUUAGUUGAAUAAAACAAGUUCUUUACUAACCAUAUUUAUUAAACAACCUAGAACAAGCUUCCUAGAUUUAAUUUAACAAAUGCAUGGUAAAAUCAAUUAAAUUGAUGCAGACCUAGAAGAAGCUUACAUAGAGAAGAUAGACAAAUACCACAAUAAUUGAAAAAGAAAAAGGGGCAUAAAGAUAAAGGAAGGACCAUUAUUAAAGAGUAAGGACACUUAUUAAAACAUAAAGUAAAAACAUAAGAGUGUAAAGACGAAGGAAUUUUUAUUAUGUGCAUAGAGCUAUAAAGUUAAUACUUAUACACUUGUAAAGAUAUACAAUAUUCUUUACUUUUCUGAAAUAAGUUGAUGUUAUGUACCAACAUCUACUUCUCUAUAAAAGCAAAGGGCAAGGGCUUUUCACACAAGAAGGCACACCGACCAACACAGAGUACACUAUAACACUUGUAAUAAAAAAUCUCUAUUGAUUGUUGUAAACUCGAAGAUUUCUAAUUAAAGCAAGUUCUUUCAUACUUUCUUUCAAUUCUCUUUUACUUUAUUUAUCUUUCGGGUAAGACCUAAAAGGGAAAGCAUCAAGUGAGCGAUUAAUUUUUUCAGAAGUAAUAUACAAUAUUUUAUUUUCUAUUCAAACAUAUUUCUAACGUUAUUAGCCUCUUUAUUCAAAAUUUCAUGACCAUAAGAUAAAGUAAUCAUUCGAGUUAAGUUGGUUGUGUUUUGUCCCGAUUAAGGGAGUCUGUUUUAGCCUUUUUAAACAUGAUGAAAAUCUUUUUUAUUACAGUCUUAAUUCCUUUUUAGAAGGUCCAAGUCGAUCAUGCAAAGUUAUAAACCUUUUUGGGCCAACGAACUUCUAGUUUGUGAUAAUAUUUGAUUUAACCAUUUUUAUAAUGUAUAAUAUAUGUAAGAUGGAAGUACAUAAAGUUUUUCCUUUAUCCGUUUCUAGCUAGAUAUAAAAGAAUUUAUGCAAAGAUAUUCAACAUUAUUUUCUUACGUCGUCUCAAAUUGACAUCCAUUGCAGCGGAUAUUUUUAAAACUCUGCAAAUUUUUUUCUGAAUUUGCUAGAAUAAAGUAUAUUAUCAAUAUAUAAUUUUGUAUUAUUUGGUAAAAUGACACGAUCUCUUCCGAAACUUUCAACGAUAUUUGAUGCACCUGAGAUUGUAUUAACAUAUUUUCUGUUAAUGUUAAGUACAAUAAAUAUGUUUUGUCUUGAAGAAUAUCACAAUAUCAAUUAAGUAAGUGUCUUGACAAUUCAUGAAUCUACAAAUAUAAUAAAAUAGAUAUAUUCUAAAAAACUUGAAUUUAAAUUUAAAGGAGUAAAGAUAAUUCAAUACUAUGAAAUUAACGAUGCAUAAAACGGUUUCAAAUUUUUUGUGAAAAGUAAAACAUAUUUCAAAUUGAAUUCUUAAAAUAAAGGGAAAUACUAUAAAUUAAACUAAUCUAUAUCUUCCAUUACACCACUCUCAAUCAACUGAUCAAUAUUCUUAUUUAGAUCAGUAAAGAAAUCAGAGACAUAAAAAUAAAUUGCAUCUACUGGACAAUCAUAAUUAGCAAAACUGUCUCUACUUUUUUCUAUUUCUUUGAUUGAUUUUUGGUAUAGAUUCACAAGAUGUUUUUCUGUAUUAUAGGUACAUGCUCAAUGUUCUUUCAUUCCACAUCUAAAUUAACUUUCUUCGUACUCCUUUUUGGAUGAGUUACUUUUGUUUGCUUAUUACCUUUUGAAAUUGUAGCCUUGCUGGUGAUAAUUUUGUUGAUUAUUUCGUCUAUGGUUUAUUCUACUUGCACGUUUGUGUAUACAUCCAAAUAUGUAUUCACGUCUAUAUCAUUGUCUUGAUGUUGCAUUUGUUUCAAAUAAUGCAAUGUCAUUUGAGUACUGAAUUAAGUGUAUUAUUUUUAUUAAUUUAUUUUCAUAACAAAUUGGAUUAUCAUUUCCAGAUUUCCGCACAGUGGAUGUCCCCCUCUCUUAUUGUUGUACAGUUUAUCUAUCUACCUUCACUUUUUUUUUUAAAUUUUUUUUCCCUUCAAUACAAUAAAAGAGGAAUUUUGUUUUGGCAUUGUUCAUUGGAAUCCAUCCCUGCCCUUUUUUCCUUCCUGUUUUCCUUGUCCAUCCGGACUCUUCUACGUCUUUCAAUUUAAUUUUUCCAUAUUUUCACACAUGCAACGAGCACCGUAUCUUUUUAUAGAUGUCAACACAUAAUUGGAUAGUUUGAUAUAAUGUCAUGUGGUAUUCCAUCAUUAGACAAUUUAAAGCAUGGUCAACUUUUUCAUCCAAUUGUUUAUGGACUUUGCUUGGUGUGCAUAAUGUUUUGUACAUUAAGGUAUCCCACAUUCACAUGGGAUAGGGUCCCCUUGAAUAUUACGGGCUUUACUUGGUGUACAUAAUUUUUUGUACAUCGAGGUAUUCCACAUUCACAUGGGCUGGGGGCCUGCUCGAAUAUUUAUGGGUCUCAUCACAUCUGAGUGUAUAGAUACCUUAAUUUACAAAAAAAUAUGUACAACUACUGCUAUUCACUAUUAAUUGUCACAUACAAUUAUGUCAAAUUUCUUGUCAAAGUAGCUUUAUCCAUCAAUUAUAGCCAUCCCAUCCUAUCAUCCAAUUUUUUGUCAAUAACCUUGGUCAUUACAGUGUCGGCCUUGACUAUGGGGGAUAGACGAUCGCCUAAGGUCCCACUUUUAUGUUUUAUAGAUAAGUCUAUAAAUGAAAAGGAAUUGAAGAAAAGAAGGGGAAAAUGGCAAAAAAUAGCAAAAUUCAAAGUACCGGGAUUAAAUUGGCUAUUGGAUAGAAGCCGGGUACAAAUUCCGUACUUUGAAAGCCGGGGACUUGAAGAAAAUAAUAAAUUAAAUGGGCCUAAUUUUUGGACUUAAAUUUGGAUUCAAAUCCAUUAACUAAUUAGAUUCCUAAUUCAGCAUUAAAAAGUGGGUUCGAAUUAGUGUUUGGUGGACUUUGACAUUUAAAUUGGAGACAAGAGCAUGGGCUGCUGGAAAGAAAUACCAGUAUACCACUAAUUGGACCUCUUUGCUGGGAUGAAUUUGUGGAAGAAAAAAGGGCCAACUGCUGCGUCUCUAUAUAUAUACUCAGAAAACUCACACAAAGAAACGGGAGGAGAGCUGCUUGGGAAUUUUCGGCACAAAAACGGGAGAGAAAACAUUGAGCUGCUGGAAUAUAUUACAUACAUCAAAGCUGAUUUUUGGGAUACAAGUCGGCAGCUUGUGGAGAAAAGUCGAGGGAAAUUAUACACGCGGAAAUUGGAGAAAAAGAGGCAGCCUGCAGAACACAUAAAGUGGGAAGAAAACAAGUUGGUGGCUGUUUUUAAUACAUUCAAACACACAAAAACAGAAGUAGCAGCUUUGGGAAGACAAAAAAAGGGCUGAAAUAUAUAUACAAAUUGGCGGCAUAUUACAGGAAUUAAAGAGGAACAAAGUAGACAUAUAUACACGGCUGGAAAGAAGAAUAAAAGACAUGCAGACAGAGACGAGAAAUUGCAAGAAAAAGGUGGCAGAUUCACGUUCCAUCAAUUUUUGGUGAUAUCUUUUAUCUUUUUUGUGCUUAAUUUCGACAAUAUGCUUGACUAGAUUUUUAUAUUAUUAGGAUGUGAUGAACCCUUGUUAUGAAAUUUUUGAUUUGAAUAAUUAGAUAGGCGUUAAAUUUAUCUGAAUGUUUAUUAUCGUUUUUCAUGCUUUUCAAUUAUUUGGCAACUAGUUGAAUUAUUUGUGGAUUUUGCUAUUAUUGAGAGAGAUAAUAAGAUCAUUAGCACGUAGUAAUAAAUAUUGUAAGGUUGAUAUACCUCUAUAUUUCAUAUGAAAUUUAUAAGAUGUUCUAGUUCGUUUAAUGUAUUUAUCAUGUUCACAUCUUUCAUCGAUAUAUGGGAAGGUCACAUGAGGGGAAAAAAUUUGAUAACUAUCGAGAGAGGUUUUCAAUUAAAAUGGGAACAUUAACCAACAAGCAUGCUUUCAAAUUGUCAAUUUAAAUUGUCGAACUAAAAAAUUGAUUAAUAAGGGGGGUUCUACAUCUUAUCAACAUUUCUUGUGAAGUUGAUAAAUUUUAUUUACAUUGCUUUCUAGUUAGUCGAUAGAUUUAAUAGUUUUUAGUUACCACUCAUUUUACUAUUCGAUUAAGGGUAGGGUUAACUUAAACUUGAUCAAACACAUAGUUCUCAUGGGUUCGACACUGUACACACCACUUUAUUACUUGUUCCCGAUCUCGUUCACUUGCGAAUAAUCAAACGAUAUAUAUAUAUAUAUAUAUAUAACCCCAUAUUUAAAAUUGAUCUAAGGCCCCAAAAUCUCAGGACCCGUCUUGCUGGCCAAGUAGCAUUAUUCAUCUUUUUACUCUUACUUCCCCCCACAAAAUUACCAUUCAUACGUCUCCUUCUUCUAACCUUUUGUUUUCUUUCUCCAAAAUUCUCUCUAACAAAUUCAAUUUUUGUAGAAUCAUAUGUUACUAGUGCAUUCUGUGAACUUCUUGAGAAAAACCGAGAGAACUCUGUUCAGAGGACGGAAUGAGAACAAGAAUCGCAAAUCAAGUACAAAAAUGGCAUCGAAGAUUUCCCUAAAGGCGGCGAAAGGGCAAGAGUGUAAAGAAGCUUGCGGUGGCGGCCCAAGGUGGAGUGUUGCGAAGUGGGUUAGCUACAGUUUUGAAGGAUGGUCCCCUGCAUAAAUACAGUUCAUAUGGAUUAAAGUUCGUUAGGUGAGAACUAGUCCUCGGCAUAAAUACAGUUCAUAUGGAUUAAAGUUCGUUAGGUGAGAACUAGUCCUCGGCAUAAAUACAGUUCAUAUGGAUUAAAGUUCGUUAGGUGAGAACUAGUCCUCGGCAUAAAUACAGUUCAUAUGGAUUAAAGUUCGUUAGGUGAGAACUAGUCCUCGGCAUAAAUACAGUUCAUAUGGAUUAAAGUUCGUUAAUUUUUAGCUUGUUUGCCAUUUCUCUUUUAGUUGUUUGGUAUCUUUCCCAGCCGCAUUCUACUAUUAUUUCUAUUAACUUCUCUAUGUUCUUUUCUCCUCUACAUUUGCAGUUUCAUCCAGGGAAGAAUGUGGGUCUUGGCAAGGAUCACACCCUUUUCUUUAAGAUAGAUGGCAUCAUCAAAUUUGAGAAGUUUGGGCCUGAUAAGAAAAAGGUUUAUUUCAUAUAUACGUAAACUCGUCUCUCUCUAUUUGUAUCUUGCAACCAUAUAAAUAAUUGGUUAAUAAUUUUUUCAGAGCGUAAAGAUAUAAUGAUGUAUAUGUUUAUAAUGAAUGAAAUUACUUGACUAAACAAAAUGGCUUACAAGACUCAUAGGCGGAUAUAAAUUAAUGAAGACUUGGGUUAUGUGUGUGUUGUGUUGCACAAACAUUAAAAAGAAAUGGCCUGCAGCUCGUGUGGUUGGGUCUUUGCUUUUGGAUGCUAGAUACACAGGUUCAGUUCCCUUCAAUGGCACUCCCCCUUUCGGUUCCUGUUUGGUACCUACUAAAAUCUGGAUUAUAAUUUGAGUUAAAGUUAACAAUUCAUUUUAAUCAUAUACUUUAUGAAUCUCAUAACUUUUUAACACAUUUGAUCAACUUCUGUCAAAAUUUGUUAAAAAUCUGAGUUUAAUCCACAUUAAAUAAUAACUAAAUAUUAACAUAUAAUUGAACUAACUUCAGCAAAAGGAAAGGUAGCUCAUAUGGUAGAAGGGGUCCCUAUAUAGAGGUAUGGGCUUCAAUUCCAUGCCUGCACACUUUUUUGUUUAACUUUUUGAUACAACUAGUUUGCAUCUUGUGCGUUGCACGAUUUUUGUAUUUAUUAUGUUAUUAUUAGCGUGGAAUGUGUAGAAUUUAGAAAAAGUAUUUAUGAAGUUUAAUGGAUUUUUUUGAAUUCUCUUUUGGAUUUUUAUUUUGGGUCUAUUUUUUGUGACUUUGUGUUACUUGAUUGCGCGAAAGCGAUGAAAUUAUAAGUCUCCAAAUUCAUUAUUUAAGAAAGAUCUAGUGUUUAGAUAAGCUAUAAAUCAUUUAUAAGCAUAUGUUCGACCCUCCAUUUUUUCAAAAAUUCAUUUUUAACUACACAUUACUCUAUAAAAUUAUCUUACAUGUAAAUUCAAAGUUUUUCUUUACUUUUUAACCGCACAUUUUUCAACAAAACUCCAUUCUAAAAUAAAUUUAGCGAAAAGUAAUAAUAAUAAUAAUAAUAAUAAUAAUAAUAAUAAUAAUAAUAAUAAUAAUAAUAAUAGGGGCUCAAACAAGAAUUGAGAUCUGCUGUUAAAUUUUGUUGUAUAUUCAAUUAAUUCUUGACAUAUCAUUAAUUUAAUAGGUUAGUAGUGAAGUUAAUGAAGUAAAUUUGAGAUGACAUGUUAACUAUUGAUGACAUGUUGAGAUUUAAUUUGAUGGACAGAAAAAUAGAAAACAAAAUUGAACAGAUCUCAACUCCUCAAACAAGGGCUAAAUUAUUAAAUUUCAUUUUUGACCACACAUUUCAAGAUAUCCGCAAUUACUAUCUAUUUUUUCAUCACUCAUAAAUUCUUCCAAAACAAAGGCUAAAUAAACAAAAAUCAGUGGUGAAUAAGUGAAUAAAUUUUCCGCAUCUAUUAAAACAUGUUUGAAACAAAGUUUUAUACUCUGUAAAUGAUUUAUAAAUUCUGUUAAAUGGAGGUUUGAUACAUUCUCUACUCUCUCCUUGUAAAUUCUCGAAAGAGGGUUAGGAGCUUUCUACCUCACCCAUGCCAUUGGCUCAAUACUGAAACCCUGCGCUAAAGUUUUUAUUAUUAAAACUCACAAUUGAUUCGUAAGAGUUUCUUCAAAAAAUUCUAUUUUUAACGGUAUAUUUUUUCAAUUUAGAGAACGUCUAUAAAUUUAGAAAGAAAAUUGUUUUAAAUAGCGUAACAGUCUCUUUAGCUUUAACAUUUAGCCUCUAUUUGUCACCUAUUAUUUGAAAAAUUAAAGAGUUUUGAAUAGUAUUUUUGAAGAAUAUAUAAUUAAAAAUUAAAUAAACUUUAUUGGUUUGUGUGUAAAAUAUUUUAUUAUGUGAAUGUGUGGUUGAGAAUGAUAUUAUAGUGAAUAAUUUAAAAUUUUAAAGGUUGUCAAGCAUGGGCUUAAUUUUAUUACUCACAAUAUGUAAUUAUUACUUUUUCCUGCAUUUUAUUCUUACCAUCUUCUCUCCAAAUUAUUAUAUUAGUGAUAUGUCCCUUCAUUUUUAUUAUUAUUAUUAUUAUUCUAUUUUUUUUUUUUUUUGUAUAUAGCGUUUCACUGGGUCAAUAUAUGGAGCAUAUAUUUUAAAUGCAUUCAACUAUAGAGAGUGAUUUUGGCUCUUUUAAAUAGAGAAAUAUUUUAAUUUUAAAUAACUUCUUGGAUGUUGUAGUAGUAUUAAGAAAAAAUUGUGGCAAAAAUCACUCUAAUCAAACCUAAUUUCUUCUUUGCCUGAGUUAUCCAUGUCCAUGCAAACUUCUCCACAAUACCGACUUCCAAAAAUCUUAGAAUCAUGCUCUAAAUCCAAAAUCUAAAAAAUAUAAGCAAAAAAUUGAUUGUGAUGGAAACAAUCUUUUCUUUUCCUUUUUUUUUUUAACUAAAAAAAUUCUAAAAGUUUGCUUAUUUAUGUCAUUUUACUUAUUAUCAUAAUAUUUGUAAACAGCAAAAAUGCUUAAAAUUGGAGGUGUAUCAAACAAAUAUCGUAGUGCCCAAUAUAAUUGAUCGUAUUUUAUUUUUUAUUUUUUGUUUUAAGUGAUUGGUUUGACUUUCUAAAAAUAACACAUAGAGUGCUGGUGACCAUUCAAUGUCGAUUUUCGACAGUUAUGGACAAAAAUGACCACUCUUGUAAAGGAUGUCAAAAUUGAAAGGACAUGUUCUGAAUCUUCAGAACCUAGUAGUAUAGGGACCAAAAAUGAAAAAAAAUAAAUUUUGAAAAGGUAGUAAAAGAAAAAUUUUAUGGGCAAAGAAUGAAAACCAUCAAGAAGAUAAACCCAACUUCCAUGAUAAAAUAUCAAACUUUAGUGGUGAUCUACGGUCCUACAAGCAUGCUCUAACCAUGUUCUAUGUUUCCAAACUCAUUAGCACAAAAACUCUAUGCUAAUCUACUAUGUGUUAUAUUCUUUUUUUGAAUAACGGAAAUGAUAAGCUUACAGAUUUAUUUACACACCAACAAAGAACUUGACAAUGGAUGUGUCAAUGGAAUUUUAAAUAAUUAUUCAUACUUGAGCAAGCUCCCAAACAUUAAGGAGUGGGAAUUUUGUGCACGUAGUUGUAUGAGUACUACAAAAUAUCUUCAUUGAGUACUUGUUAUUCAAAGUUUUGUAGGAUCUCUUACUACAAAAUAUCUCUCUUCCCUCAUUCAUAUAAAAUGUAUGGAUCAUCUUGUACUCAACUUUAGAAUGACAUCCUUUUAGUCCUUAUACCCAGAAUGACAUCCUUGCAGUACUUCCAUUUUCAUAGUUUCUAUGUUUUGAGAGUAAUUUUGAGGAAAUACUCACCUUCAGAAUGACAUCCUUUUACUCCUUUUGUUUUCAUAGUUCGCAUGUUUUGAGCAUAAAUCUGAGACUGUGGUAAUGCAGUUUUUUAAAAAAGCAGUUGUUUGCCUAAUAUAAAAUCUCGAUACAAGGUUCUCUGCCUUUUCCUUCAUGCAGGAACUUAUUAAAAAUCAACUACCUACAGGCUAUAAUGGACAAGACUUGUACAAUACCCUUACCGGAAGCCCAACUUAUUUGUUGGAAUUACCAUUGUCUCCAUUAUUGGGAUUUUGAUAAUGAGAAAUAAAAUGCACGUUUGGGAUUCCCAUUCCCACAUAGCAAGCUUCUAUGUAUGUACAAUAUUAUGUGUAUGAUAGAUUAGAUUUAGUGCGAACAAUUAAACAAUUUUUACAUUUAUAAUUAGAAGGGAAUUGCGAGAUCAUCUUAUUGCUUUCCUCUUGGUGCUGUAAUUUUAGAUCGGCAGAACUUAAUUUGAUCUAUGAUUUGUGUUCUCCGCAGGUUGUGCUAUCUGCUUUUGAUUCAGACGCCUCACUUGAUGUAUUGGACCAUCCAGUUCUGAACUUAAUCUACUACCAUGUAGUAGAUUAACUGAAUUUUUGUUCAGUUAUAAGAAAAUAUUUAUAAUCCAAUAGGAAAAAGAUUAGUAGAAAAAAUUUCAGAUUUUCUUUGAAAUCCUAUAGUUUAUGUACAAUUGUACUGUUCGAACACUGGACGGAGUGGUCAUUGAGUCGACAAGAGCUGAAUUAGGAGGUGAGUUCCACUCCAUGCUUCAUUAGUAGGUAUCAAUGUAGUUUGGAAGUAAGUAGUAAUAACAGAAAACCAUAAUGUAGAAGUAGAACAGGAAGAGAAAGCAAAAGAUGUGAUAGGCUGAAAUUUUACUAGUAGGAUUUGCUUAGUCGUUUUGAUUAUUUGCUUUCCAUAUUGGAUGGAUAUAAUAUUUUAAUUUCGAACAAAAAUUCAGUUAUAUUUACUUGUUCAGAACUUCGCUCCCAUUGAGUGCCGUGCACAGAGUGAAAGGACUAUUUUUUUUUUUUUCUAACAAAAUAAAUCUGAAAACAUUAAAUGAUUUAUAUUAAAAAAAAUUGAGAUUUUUUUGUCAAAAAUCCGGGUAGGAGGAGUGCAUGUGGGUUCUUUUUAUUUAUUUAUUUAUUUUUUACAUAAUUAUAAGUUAAAAAGAGUUCUUCUAUAUUUACCUCUUCCACAUAAUUUUGAUUUUAAGAUCAAUAAAUCAUUCAUCAUGGAAAAGAGAAGACCCAAUAAACUUUAGAGAGAAGAAGAAAUUACAGGUAAUUUGAGUAGUGAAAUGGACAACCAAAAGGCAGUAACGUGUAAAAAUGAAGAAGAUAUAAAAAACAUAUAUGCGAAUUGAGGAAGAAGGAAAAUGUCACUAUAGCAUGUUAGGAAAAAUAGUUGAACAGGAAACAACGUCGUUUUUACUCACGGAAAAAAAAAGGCGGCAAUGAGAUAAAAGAGAACAAUUCACUAAUUUUAAAAUCAAUAAAUCAUUCAUCAUGGAAAAAAGAAGACCCAAUAAACUUUAGAGAGAAGAAGAAAUUAAGGUAAUUUGUGUAGUGAAAUGGACAACCAAAAGGCAGUAAUGUGUAAAAAUUGAGAAGAUAUAAAAAAGAUAUAUGUGAAUUGAGGAAGAGGAAAAAUGUCACUGCAGCAUGUUAGGAAAAAUAGCUGAACGGGAAACAACGUCGUUUUUGCUCACGAAAAAAAAAGGGCUACAGUGAAAUAAAAGAGAACAAUUCACUGUUGAUUUCUACAGUAACUUCACAUUCUCCUUUUUAUAUAGUAGGGAUAGGGAUAAAUAAUAACUAAACAAUUAUAUAUUAUUAGUUUUCAUUUUCGAAAUAAUUUCUUUAAAAAAUUUAUCGACUCAAAUUAUUACUUCAUAAUAUAGAUACUUCUAUUAUUUAGUUUAAUCAAUUUAUUUUAUAAAAUUCAAAUUUGGACAAUUUAUAAAUUGCUCUUAACUCUUUAAAGAGUUCAAAAGAAAGAGUUCGAAAAAUCUUUCAGGGUUAAAAUAGUUCUAGUUCUAAAAAUCUUUGUUUCAAAAUUUUGCAUAACCUUCGUCUAAGCUUGAAGCUUGUAUUUAUCAUUCAAUUAUGCUUUACGUAUAAAUUUCAUCUUGUCUCGCUUAAGUUCAUAAAAAACUUGAAACUUGAUCAUACAUAUAUGAUUGAAAAAUGUAAUUAUAUCUUAUUAUAGUCGGUUGUAUUUAAUGUAGGAAAAUCUUAUUGUAGAUAGGGUAAAAGUUAGGUAAUUAUAAUAAGAUUUUUAUUUGUAAUAGGUUUUAUCUUUUUAUUUUAAUAUUUUGUUGAGAAUAUGAUUUCGAAUUACAUUUAGAUUAGGAUUUAUGUUAGUUUCCUUAUAUUGGGUUCCUACUAGUAGUAGUAUGGAAUAAUUUUGCCUAUAAAUAUAGAGGUAUUGUAUACUUUUCAACAACGAUCAAUUAUUAUUCAAUGCAUACAUGACAUAAUUAUUCAAAUAUCGUUUUUAUUUAUUACAUAAUUGUUAUUACAAGAAUUUCAUAAUGCUUCCGCACCAGUAUUGUAUUACAUUUUCAUUUGUAUAUGACUUUUACAUUUUUGCGCGUUUAUAUAUAAAUUAAAAAUCUUUAAUAUUAUUUAAUUAAAUAUUAAUAAACAAUCUUACUAUUGUGACGUCAACGACCACCCUGUCUCACUCAAUUUCCUGAAUUUGCCAAUGUCCAUGAGGAAUUUAACAGACUCAAUUUUGUAUUUUUUUAAGAGUUAGCAUCGAUUGGUUAUGGCGUAGACACCUAGAUGGUAUAUCUGUGAUUAUGCUGUUCAUUGAAGCAUGGUCAGGAUUCAGAUCCAAUGGUGAUAGCCUUCUGUGUGACUUCAAUUUCAUUUUCUCAGAAAUUAAUAUGAUCCCAUUUCAGAAAUUUAUUCUCUCUGUGUUUGUGUAUUAUGUCACGUUUGACUUUUAACUUUUCUUGGUCUAAGUAUUGUCUUUUAACAAUAAUUAUUUGUUGGCAGCAAACUUAUGUUUUUAAUAGAAAGCACAUUUUUGCUUUUAAGCACACCCAUACAUUGUGAUAAAUAUGAAAAUCUAAUUAUUGUGAUACUUACUUAUAUAAUUGCAUGUUAACAAUUUACUUAAUUACAUGUUAACAUUUACUUUUAAGUAAAUUUUUAAGAUUCGCCAAUCAUGAUGAGUACAUACCUCCACACAAGCACAUGCCUGUUUGUCCCAUGUUGGAUAUUGAUUAUUGGGCAGGUGGUUGCAUAGAAUUCAUAAUAAAUAGAUAACUAUAGAUAGCGAUGCUGUUACAGAUCCUGAUAAAAUUCUAAAGUUUAAUUUUUGAAAUCAUUCUCUCUAAAAAUUACUACAAUACCUAAAAUUUCAUGAACUCAAAAUUAAGCAAUAACUCGGUAAUGUUACAGUUUUCCCUUCAUUUCAUUUAGGGAGGUCUGGAGCUAAUAUAUUAUCAGCUUCCCUGAUGCCCCUCUCUUCUAAUUCUACGUGAAGAUGAUGAUGGGGCAAGUAAAUACAUCGUUCUAUCCAUGGGCGGACCCUAACUAUAAGUAUACGAAAGAACCCUUUUUUCUAAUUCCUAUGAUGCAAUUGGAGCUUAUCGACAGAAGCAAAUCAAUUUAGAUAGUCCUUUGUGACUCCGGUGGCGACUAGAUCAACGCGUUAUUGCUUCAAGAGAAAGUCUCACGAAGUUCACUAUGAAUCUUUAGGUACUUAUUAUGAGAUUUGUGGACAAUAUCUAAUAGUAAAAAGUAUAAAAAAAGAAAAUUCUUUUUAUAUACAUCCGAACCACUGUUGGUCACAUUUCUCUUUAUCGAGAAAUCGAAGAAGCCGUACAGGGGUUUCUCAGGCCGUUCAUAUGGUACCGAACUAAGUUAAUUCGUAACUUUUCGGCAUAAACCAUAUACCUUCAUGUCACUUCCUUGAACUCGUUUAAGGAAAUCCAAAGCUCUAAUCAGGGGGUCUAGGGGGGUCAAGUGACUCCCCAACUUUUGAUUUUAUUUUUUCCCCCAGUGUAUGGAUAAGUCUUGUUUGGGUAUCAAUUGAAAUCUAAAUUUUAAUCUAAAUCAAAGUUACCGAUUAAUUUUAAUAACAUAUUUCAUGGAAUCCUUAACUUUUUUACUUUUAUUAAAAUAUACUAAAAUUUUGAUUUUAAAACUCCACCAAACAGGGGUAAAAUCAAAAUAAAUUUGAAAUUUUUUCUCUUUUCUCUUACUCUAUCUUAUGCUCUCUCCCACACUUUUUAUCAAAACUUUAAUCCUUCUAAUUUUUAAAAUUCGUUCAUAAUUUUUCUACAAAUUAUCACAUCUACUAUAAAUUUUCACUUUCCAAUUAAUUAGAACCUAAAUUGGCAUUUUCUCCUAUCUUAUUUGUGUACCUAGAAUGUAUCGGAACUAAUUAUAUCCAAUUUAACGAAUUAUAUUUAUUUGAUUGAAUAUUGGUAAUAUAUUUUUCCUUUUGAUCACUUGCAUUGAUUGUUUGUAUUAAAUACACUAUAAAUUUUUUAAAUAUAAAUAUUCAUUUUUUUGUGAUGAACAAAAUAUUAAUGAAAAAAUAUUUUUUAAAUGUAAAUCUGCAUUUUCUCGUGUUGAGUAUAAAUCAUUCAAAAUCGAGAACAAAGUAUUCGAUUUAUACAAAAUUUGAUUGUGCCCCCUUAACUAAAUAUUUAUGCGUCUGCUCGUGGUUCCAUCAAAAGUUAUUCAUGUAGACAGGGGCAAAUCCAGGAGUUUCAGUCAGCAAGGAAGGCCGUUGACCAUUUACCGUCGGUCGCAACAAAAUAUUAAGAGUCUAUUUAAACCCAUUUUUUGCAAAAAUAAAAAAAAUAUAUGCAUUUUGGAAUAGGGAUUUGAUGGAGAAUGCUUGGCUAAAAAUAAAGAAAAGUUUGAAUUUGCGUGUAAUAUUAUUUUAUUGAAGAAUGUGCGGAUGAAAGAAAAGAAAAACAUGUAUUUUGAAAAAAAAAAAAAGGAAUCGAACAAGGCCUAAAGUUUAAAUAAAACAAUUAUUUUGCUCAAAUUCAACAUAUAAUUCUAUUAUAAGAAUAAAUAGGACUAAUCAAAUAACAUUGUUGCCAAGUUUUGUAUAAUUCAAAGGAAUGAUGAUAUUCGCAUCUUUACAAUUUGUUUUUGCAUUAAAACAAUUAAAAUCUAACAAAUAUUAGUUUGUUAAAUUUAGUGACACAGCUCAAGAAAAGCAGUAAUGGUUAAGUUUACAAAAACCCUUGCAAAUGGUCACAUGAAUCCCCUUUGUCCCCUUCCCUAUUGAAUUUUGAUAAAAAUUGUAGAAUAAAAAUAAAACACAACAAAUUCAUUGGUAAGUGAUUCGAACCCGAGACUUCAAAUAUGCACGUGCAAACUCUAACUAGUUGAGCUACAAGAGAAGUUUGAAAAUGAAAUGAGUUACAAGUAAUAGAACGUAUAAAUUAAAUCUAUUGUCAACAAAAAAAAAUUCUCCAGCGGUUUCGGCGAAUCCAGCUCGCCACCACCUAGAUCCGCUACUAACAAUGAUUUACAAGUUCUCAAAGGUUUAGACAAAAUAUGGAAACACUUGGAAGUAGGGGCAACCCUUUAUCAGAAAAGCUGAAGAAACUUGUUGUGAACACAACAAUGACUGCCAAUACAAAUAUCUACUCUCUGGUUCUGCCAGUCCUCGAUAUUUUGGAGGCCUUAUGCCAACUUCAAAUAUGGGGUCCUAUUGAAGAAAAAUCAUCAUAUUCUUACUUGAGCUUUCUUAUAGAGAGUUUUAAUAUAAUCAUGAAGAAUCUAACAAAGACAAUUAAGCCCCAAAAUUUGAAAAAGAAAUAAUAAAUUGUAAAAUUUCAACAUGCAAUACAAAUUAUAGGUGAAGUUUACCAUACAGGAUUAUAAUGCGAUGGCUAAUUGGUCUAUUGGUUUCCUUGAUCACACACUUUUUAUGCAUGUGUUAAAAUCUUAAAUUAUCUAUAUGCACACUUUUUAAUUAUUUUCAUAGAAUUAUCAUAUUUAGGCCAUGUUUGAGCCAUAUUUUUUGGGAGGAAAUAAAUUUUGGAAUAAUGAUUUUUUAGAGAAUGUGUAAUUGAAAAUAAGUCUUGAAAAAAGUGGAGCUCAAACAUAGGCAUCAUAAUUAAAAUCUCCUUUAAAUUUUUAAUCGCAAACAAAAGUUAAGUAUAAAUAAAUCAAUAGUUAGAUAAAUAGAUACUUGAGUUCAACUCCUAUAUAGUUUAUUGAGUGAAUUGCCCGAAUAGUCACUGAAUUUUACAAAAUGUUUCCGAGAGGUCACUGAACUUUAAAAAUCGCCUCACUCAUUACUGAACUUUUCGAUUCGUAAUAUCAUUGGUUAUGCCAAAUGGAUGAUUUGUUACACAGUUAGCAUUCUUGAACAUACAUUUUUUUUCAAAAAAAAAAAACUAAAAAGCAAAACAACGAAAAACAAAAACCAUAAUACCUCUAAACCACCUUAGAGCCACCACUUAUAGACAACCAAAACUGUACCCUCCGACCACCUUGCCACCGGAUCAACAUACCAUAUUGAAACCCUCACUUCCUUCUUCGCAACCUAUCCAAGUUUUGGCCAUAACACCAACUGAUUUGGACGAAAAUUCAAGCCAAAAUAGGCUGCACACGCAACAAAAGGUCGCCGGAAUCUUCACUUCUGGCGACACCCAUGCCUACAAAACCUCCAGAUCAAUCAAGCUUCUCAAUACAAAUAAUCCAAAUCCACAGCCAAUUUCGUCAACAGCGAACUCGAAUUAUUUACACUAGACUUCCGGCAUCGGAGGGAUGAUUCACGAUUGCGAACCACUUCCACUACCACCUCCUCAUCAAGGCGCACCUAAUGCACCCAUGAUUCAUCUCCAAUUUGACCCCCAUAUGGAAGAAAUAGUUUUGACAGUUCGCAUGCAGGGAGAAAAUCGACGACCCCCCUUUCAAUUGAUGCUUCUCUACAGCUUCAACCCACAAAUUGGACCAACCAACAUGAAAGUCAUGAGAAAUGAUUCUGGGUAAGUAUUCAAUAGCUUUACUUCAUCAAUCAAAAGAAACAAUUUUUGAUUUAGCUUCAAGAGCAGUCCAUCGGUGUUCAUCUCCAAUUUCAUGUUCAAUUUCUUUUUAAAUUUUUUUUCUUUUAUCCUUAUUAAAAAUGCCAACUGUGUAACAAUUCAUCAUUUGGCGUUCACCAUCUAAGUGGCGCACCACAUCAUCAGACACAUCAACAUUCCAUCCAAAUUUUAAACGGCCGUUAGCUCAACGAUGAAUGGUAUUACAAAUUGAAAAGUUCGGUGAAGAGUGAGGUGAUUUUUAAAGUUCAGUAACCUACCGGAAACCUUUUGUAAAGUUCGGUGACUAUUUGGGCAAUUCACUCAAGUUUAUUAGAUCAAAUAAAGAAAAAAACCACCACCAACCGAGGAUAAUAGCUCCCUAUAAGUACUUGUACAAUAGACUUCAUUCCUGCAAAAGAAAUAGCAAAAGUAAUGAGCAGAUAUACAUGAUAAUAAUACAAAACCACCGAGAAAUUAUGCACUAAAAUUGAAUAUGCGUCAAAAAUCUGUGGAAGGGAACGCAGUCAUUCAUAUUUGUGAAGCAGCAGAUAAUUAAAAGAUAAGUUAGUAAUAAUGUUAAUACAGCCUCGACUGACAACUUUUUAAAUCAACGUAUACCUCAAAUAAAUUUAUGUCGUCUAACUUAUGUUGCGUACAGGCUAUAAUGCAUGCACCAGCUUCUGAUUAAGAGUCCUCAGUUUCGUAAAAAUCAACCUUAGAUUCUGCUGGAAAAUUGGAAAUUUGGAAUAAUAAAAUUCAAUAAAGAGAGUUUAUGUUUCUUCUUUGUCCAAUUCAAUAAAAUUGACUGGAAAAUAUUCCUUUCUAUGUCCAUUGUUCAAUUUUGCGGCUAACCCUUAAGCCUAAGAGCUAUAGAUUAUGAAAGAAGACUAAAUUCGAUAUAGAGUUGUAAAUUUAAAUUGAGUGUCCGUCUAGACUUUCUUUAAUUUAUUCGGUUUCUCUUUACAAAAUUUCAACGAAGAAGAAAUCUAGACCAACAUGGGUCGUGCCUUGAAUCACAAUUUUUUGGGCCAACUGAAAUGCGGCCUGUGGGUUUUUCUACUACACGUCUAGUUUGGUGAGAUCAAACGGGUGUAAAUGUCAUGGCUACUAAAAUUUUUUAGAGAAUUUAAAAUUAGAACACUUAAAGAAUUUCUUAAAAAUAAAUGGGCAAUUUCCCUCCUAGCUACGCCUAGGGUCAAUAGGAUGGCCCAUGGGCUGGUGUCAUGCUCAGCCCAUUUAGUCCACCAGAAAAAGUUGAAAGGCUUGAAAUAGCUAUUGUGAAAAUUUUGCCGCAUAAUAGUUUUUCAAUAAAUAUUUAGAAACUCCCUUUCAAUUUGUUUAAACCAUAAAUACUGUAUUUUCAUAGUAAAAUCGAAAUACGAAAACUUAAUCGAAUAAUAAAGCCAAUUCAUAUUCUGUACCUAAAUUUACUCCAUCAAACGCGUCCUUAACUUACUCUACAACCUUAACAUGACAAUUUAAUAUCCAAAUCCGUAAAAUGGAGCCCAUUCAUUUUCCCCACAAAUCUCCUCCCAGAUCUUCUCUCACUAGAAUCAUCCAUCGAAAUAUCCACAAAACAUAAAAAUCAAAUUGAUCUUCUACAGAUCUACCGCGCCACAUUAUCCAUAUCAUUAUCACACAAAUUCACCAUUUGAUUCUCAUUUUGCAUUCAUUAGGGCAUUAUCCCAUGUAUAAAAUCCUAGUUAAAGGCGCAGUACCACCAUCCGCUUUAAAAAUUUUCUACUUAUCCACUAUAAUACACAAUGCCACUAUAAUACACAAUGGUUUAUAAGUUUUCAAAGGUUCAAAGAGAAUAUGUCAACACCCGAAAGCGGGGGCAACCUUUUUUCAGAAUAGAUGGUUGCUGAUACAAAUAUCUACUCUCUGGUUAUGUAUGGUUACAACAAAAUGUGGAAGAGACUCCAAUCAAUGGCGACCCCGAAACGCCAUUUGUCCAUGGGUUCUAUCAAGACCCAGCAAGUAUUUUUGGUACAUGACAAGUUUUGAAAAGAAACGACGAUGCGAAUGAUUUUUUUUCCCUUUUUCUCUUUAUCAAACUCGUAAUAAAAACUUAUCUUGACCAAUUGAAUUUGGAUACUUGAUUUGAUUUUUUGAUUGCUCUAUUCAGUUCAUUUUGCACUAUGGUUUACUCUGUUGGUAGAUGGUUAAGCGCUGGAUUUAUACCGGGGAUUAUGUAGUUGUGUAUGUUAAAGGUAGCCUAAUAUGAUAGUUAAUGAUACGGGUUGCUUGUUUAGGAGAAUAUAAUCUUCUGCAAUCAUUUCCACGUAUAGAUAAAUUUAUGCUCUUAUUCUUCGCUUAUGCAUUAAUAAUUUACAAUUCACUGAUUUUGUAAAAAUAUGUGAAAUUGUGGGAUGGUUACUGUUGACAUCACGAAUUGGACAUUCCACGUGGCCAACUGAAAGUCACUCCACGUGUUCCUCCCUGUGCACAACAGCAAAUGGUAAGACGCAGAUGGCUAAAAUAGCGGGGGUGUUGGCAGCCGCAUACACUCCGACGAUGAAGUUAGUGGAUAGUGUCGAAACGAUACCGAAAUUGUACAAUAAAGUAGGGAGGAGAAUAUAUUUUACUUAAGUAUGGAGUGCCAAAUAUGAGAAAGAUUAAUUACCUUUGUCUCUUUCCAAACUUUUGGUAUUUCUAGAGAAGGGGCACCGUUGGAUGUGGGACAUGUGUAUGCAUCUGACGGUAUGAGGCGUUUAUUCGUAGACAUCAAUUGGCCGCAUCUAGGGGACGGAGAAUUAAUCUUCUGAGUUAUGAGUUGAAAUAAAGCUGAGAUGCCACAUCAAUUAAUAUAUGAAGAUAAAAGAUGAUAUUGACAUAAAUAUAUAUCUUUGAAAUUGACCGCGGAGAGGCCUCUGUUGCAAAUUGCCUCAACACUCCUCACACUUCAGUAAGGAAGGACGCCUCAGUAAUUAUUUUGGAGAUGUUUGUGUUUCGCAACAUGCCAGUCUUGAGGUUUGGGCGAGGCUGGUAUCACUUCGGAUCAUCUAAGCUGGACACCUGGUACAUCAUUGAGGAAUAUCCAUGACGUGCCAUGGUGGAUUAGUGAGGAGAUAGUGAGGAGGCGUAAUAGUGGUCCCCCCAAGCUCAGGGAUGAAUAUUUAUAUUAUUCAUGGAUUUUUUGGCCGGUUGUGUAUGCUUUCCGUUUUGAGUGUAGGUUUUUGCCGUUUCUAUUGAAGCGCUGACCUACAGGGGACAACACGGGAAAAUGGGUAGAAGCUUUGUAGGCAGAUGUGCAUUUUUUAAUCGAGGCGAUGGGGGUAGGGGGUCCUUUUGGUAAGUAGUUUGUUGCUUUUGUAAAGAGCAAUGAAUAUUCGAUCGAUGCGUAAGAGCGUUGUAAAGCUAGGUGCUGAGGCGCAUCUGCGAUCAGAGCGUUGACCCACAAUGGACAACGAUUGGGAGAUGGCUCGAAGCUUUGUAAAGCUUUUACAAUGCUGCGAUCGAGGCGUUGACCCUAAGGGGACUCCAAGUCGAAAGGGUUGAAGAUUGUAAAGCUGAUGGAAGAGCUCAUCUGCGAUUGAUGCACUAACCCACAGAGGACGACGUUAGGAGAUGGCUUGAAGCUUUGUAAAGCUUUUGCAACGUUGCGACCGAGGCAAUGACACUACGAGGGCUCUGCAUCAGAAGGGUUGAAGCUUGUAAAGCUGAUGGAAGAGCUCGUAUACGAUCUUUGCGUUGACCCAUAGGGGAUGACGCUGGGAAGAUGGCUUGAAGCUUUGUAAAGCUUUUGCAACACCGCGACUAAGGCGAUGACCACAGGAGACCUCGUGUCUGGAGGUUUGAAGUUAUGUAAAACUGAUGAAGGAGCUCAUAUGCAAUCGAUGUGCUGGCCCAUAGGGAAUAACGCUUUGGAGAUGGCUUGAAGCUUUGAAAGCUUUUGCAACGCUGUGACCGAGGCGAUGACCCUAGAAGACUCUACGUCGGGAGGGUUGAGCCUGUAAAGCUGAUGGAAAAACUCAUUUGCGAUCGAUGUGCUGUCCCACAGGGGACAACACUUGGGAGAGGGCUUGAAGCUUUGUAAAGCUUUUGCAACGCUCCGAUCGAGGCGAUGACCCACAAGAGACUCCGCAUCGGAAGGGUUGAAGUUUCAUAAAGCUGAUGAAGGAGCUCAUCUAUGACAGAUGUGUUGGCCCACUGGGGACAACACUUUAGAGAUGGCUUGAAGCUUUGUAAAGCUUUUGUAACCCUGCAACUGAGGCAAUGACGCUGAGAAGACUCCGCAUUCGGAGGGUUGAAGCCUACAAAGCUAUAGAAAAGCUCAUCUGCGAUCGAUGCGCUAACCUACAGGGGACAACACUCAGGAGAUAGCUUGAAGCUUUGCAAAGCUUUUGCAAUGCUCCGACCAAGGCGAUGACCUACAGGGAACUCCGCGUCGGAAGGGUUGAAACUUUGUAAAGCUGAUGAAGGAGCUCAUCUGCGAUUGAUGCGUUGACCUACAGGGGACGAUGCUUGAAGCUUUGUAAAGCUUAGUUUCAAUCUGAGGCGUUCAGUUUGUAAUCUUAAAUGAUGUAAUGAUCGUCGCGUAUUUCCAAGGAGGAUAGUUGGAUGUGAUGCUUAUUCCCAGAAAAGACUGUUGCGGUUAAUUAUGGAAAAUGGUUGUUUAAGCUCGAGAUGACGUGUUUGAUGCUUUCGUGAAAGUCACAGCUAGAUCUUAGGCGUUGAUCAAAUCUGGCAUUUUGUUUUUACGAUCUAGAUUUGUAAUGUGAUCAACGGCCCAGAUUGAUAGCAUUUGAAUUCAACGGUGUACAUCAUCCUAAGCCUCUUAUAAAAGGCUGAUUUCUUGUCAUUCAAAAGUUUUCGCUUUGGCAAAAUUUGAAACUUCAUUUCUCCCAAUCUUUUUUUAAUGUUUGAUGAUCUUUUUGCGUUCUUCAGAGUUUUUCGACCACGAUUAGCGAGCCUUGUAACAUUUUUGGUCAUAAGACAUCAUUUUCAGUGAGUUUUUGUAAGUAUUCACAGUUUUUCACCUUUUCUUUGAGAGAAAUGGCUUUUGAGGGUAAUGGAUCUCCGGGAGGGAUUUGGAAAUUGUUAGGAUGGACGAGCCGAUGCUAGCUACUUCGCUAGAGCUGUCCAAAGCGAUAGAAGGGGGGAGAGAAUAUUUGGAAACGACCAGAUAGCCCCGUGGAUACUUCUAUGCGUUGGGAGGCAUCUAUUUAUCCCUCAAAAUUGAAAUCAUAAAACCAGGUUAGGCUUAGGGCAGAAUAUAGGAUACCAAAUAGUGUGGGUCUAAUCAUACCAGAUCCAGAUAAGCGAGCCUGCUAUCCUAGGCCGGGGUGCGUGGCGAUAAGUGAGGCCAUUCUCAGGGUGGGGCUUAGGUUACCUAUCCACCCAUUCUUUCACUACGUCCAUAGAUCUUAUGGCUUGGCCCCCAUCCAACUCAACUCGAACUUGUGGAAUCAGAUGGUGAGAUAAUGGAUGUUGUGGAAGGAGGCUUCGUACUAGAUAGAGAUGCCUUUUUUAGUUUUUCAGAUUCUUUACAUUCCCAAAAUGGUUGUGGGGUGUGAUAAAACUAGGGGUGGUACAAUCUGACCUCUUGGGGGCUCAUAUUCCAUUCAUGCUCUAUUUGUCGAACUCUAUCAAGGAAUGGAAGAUUUCGUAAUACUAGGCUUCCGAGAGAUGAGAUACGAUGGAGGAUGACCACCUAGCACCUCUAAUAGUUCCCACCAAAUAUUCCGCAUUUAAUGAGUACUAAUACUUCGGCUUAUUGUAUAUUUCUUCGGCUGGCGUACUUAAAGCUCAUAUUCUAGUGUAGGUGCUCUUCCUUGGUGCGAAUUGUCCACAGAGGAUUUCGAUAGUAUCUGCAUCAUCUAUCAGCUUCUAGUUAAGAACUGGUCUUACCAGGAGUUGAUAAGGAAAAAUAUACACUUCGUCAAUCAAGGCUUGAUGUCUUCAUAAGGUAGACUAUCUGAACUUGUCAUGUUUAUUCCGAGUCCUUUAUACUCAAGCUAAUAUUCGAAGUUUCUUGCAUACGAUUUUAAUAAGAAGAAGGCCUCUGAAGCCUAACUUCGCCACCAUCAAGCGCAUGAUGGCUGAGCGAGGGUCUUGAAGACCUCCUCCUCAGCCAAUAAAAUGCAAAUGGAGGACUUAGUGGCAACCAGCAAGAAGCUGCCUCAUACCUCGGAGGAGGGGAGCCUCUACUCAAGAAAGGAAAAAAAGCAACCGGGCCGUUCUCAAAGGCCCCAACAGUGGCGAGGCCAACCACUAGGCAAACGACGAUCCCCAUUUUGGUUGUGAUACGAAAAAGGUCUGUACAUUUAUCAUAGAUGACUCCUACUAAAGUGGCCCCAACCCCACCUCCAGUUGCCUCAACUGUUGAUCGGCCUGUCGAAGAAGGGAGGAAAAAAAGGGCCCGUCUUGACAAGGAGCAAGAUUUUUUGGGUACCAACUCCGAUGAGCCUGUGAAUGAGGUACUAGAGGCCUUGCCCUCGGAGACUGCAAUAGUAGCACUGACCCGUCACAAGUACUGGACCGAGGCUUGGAAAGAUAACACUUCCUCUUGUACUAUUGAGGAUUUUGUAGCUGCCAACAACACUUGUGUUGCCCGAGCUCUGAGUACCAGCAUCUAGCUGGAGGGCCUCGUCAAAGACUUGAGGAUGAAGAACAUCGAUCUAGCCCAAAGGUUGGAGAAGGCAGUAUUGUAUGAGGAUGAGGUACGAGUUUCUAGAAAUAACGCUACGGAGGCAGGGAAGAAUAGAGUUGAGCGAAAAGUAGGGUAGUGAAGGCUAAGACUGAGUUAAAGCAGCUGAAAAAACAGUUGUAUGAAUAGAAUGCCAAGUUGUUCUGACGAGGUGAAUUGACCAUGCCAAUAAACAUCACCGCCUCAUCGUGAAGGCCCUUGAAGCCUCAAACAAGGAAAGGGCUAAGCUGAGGUAGCGGGUGGAGGCCCAAGUCGAAGAGAUCAAAUCCCUCAAAACAGAAGAGAAAACUGUUGUGGAGUCAGCCAUGCAGCAUCUUAUUGACCACUUCGAAAAGCACGAGCUGUAAGACACUUUUACCAACUAUUGGGCUUCCUGGAACACCCAAGCUAUGUUGUAGUGUCUGAGGGAAGUGCACCCGAGUAUGGACAUUUCAGCGUUUGAGUUCGAUAGGCCUAUCGGAGGUCGCCCUGACAUCGCUGCUGUCGAGGGGGCUACAGUGGCUCCUGAAGAAAUAGAGACGGAAGAGGGGGCCAUAGUGCUAAUAGAGUGGGAUUCUCUUUGUCUUUUGCAAUGGCCUUGACCCUUAAUUGUAAUUAUUUGGGUAUUAGUGGAAUGUAAUAUUUUUUGACUUCUUCUAUUCAUGUUGAGCCGUGUAAUUACAUUAUUGUGAUUGGAUAAGUGCCUAAGUUAAAAUCAAGCGUUACUUAACAAUAAUAACCAGUGGAAGCACAUAAUGAUUAAUCCAUAGAACACUGAUGAACUGAGGUUUCAUAAGAAAUUUGAACUUAACAUUAUCAUAAGCUAAUGCGAUUUCAGCACUUAAUCUGAUAGGAAUAAGUUAUAGUAGAUCAUAUAAGAACAUGACCAAUUUAGAGCAUACAUUUAUUGAUAGUAUUUCCUCAAGUGUUCGACAUUCCACUAAUGUGGCAUCGUUUUCCCAGCCAUAUCUUCAAUCCAAUAAGUUCGGGGUUGGGAUUCUUUGACAAUGCGAUAUGGCCCUUCCCAGCUCGGCCUAAGCACUCCGAAACCUAUUGGUUUUGAUACUGGGAAGACCCUUCUACGUACCAGGUCACCCAAAUGUAGAGUUCGAUUUCUGACCUUCGAGUUGUAGUAGCUGUCAUCUUUCUCUGAUAUGUGGCUAGUUUGACUUGUGAAGAAUCAUUUUUUUCUUUCGGGAGAUGAAGCUCACAUACUUACGCUUCAUCGUUGCUAAUCUCACUGAAGUGUAUGCGAUGAUGUGAAGGGAUCCCCACCUUGACUAGGCUCAUGGCUUCAACUUCGUAAAUCAUAUAGACGGGUGUCUCUUCUGUUGCAGUUCGGCUAGUUGUACGGAUGGAUCAUAAGACAUGGGGAAGCUCAUCGACCCAUGCUCCUUUUAAGGCGUCAAGCUUCCUUUUCAGGGUGUGCUUGAUCGUCUUUUUUAUUACCUCAAUCUGCCCAUUUGCUUGGUGGUGAUAGGGUGGUGAGAAAUCCUCCCUUAUACCCAGUUUACAGCAUAGAUCCUCGCAUCUUUCUAUUGACGAACUGUAUUCCAUUGUCGGACACCAGGGAGUGGAGAAUGCCAAACCUACAAAUGAUGUGCUUCCAAAUGAACUUCGUAGUAUUCGCUUCGGUGAUUUUUGCUAGAGGUUCGGCUUUGACCCACUUAGUAAAGUAAUCUAUAGCAACAAUGGCAAAGUUGCGCUUCCUCUUCCUUUCAGGAGGAGACUAAUGAAAUCUAUCCUCCACUUGGCGAACGGCCAGGGGCUGGUGACUAUGGAGAGGCUCUGUAAAGCUGUCUUUGAAUAUUGAAAAAUCGCUGGCACUUAUCACAUCUUUGAACAAACUGGUAGGAAUCAUUUUUUGAGGUCAGCCAGAAGUAACCUUGUUGAAGCACUUUUUGUGCCAAGGCUGUUCCCCCGGAGUGUUUUCCACAUGCUCCAUCGUGAAUUUUCCUCAGUAUGUACAUAGUCUCUUCUCCCCCAACGCAUCGGAAGAGAGACGAUGCGAAGCCCCUUUUAUACAACAUGUUUUCCUGGACGAUGAAGUGAAUAGCCCUUCUUCUCAACUUCUUGGCCUCAUUCUUCGAGGCUGGCACUAUUUGAUAUUUGAGAUAAGCUAUCACGGGUUGCAUCUAAGGUAGGGUACCCUCAAUCCACAUCACCUUUUCGCCUCCGGCAAUGGAGGGCUUCAAUAGGCGCUCAAUUGGAACAAUCUUUAGUAGCUUGGAGUCUUUGCUGCUGGCCAGUUUGGAUAGGGCAUCUGCAUGAAUGUUUUCGAGGCGUGGGACCUGCACUAGUUUGAAUUUCUUGAAGUGGGGGACAAUGCUCAAAACUAGUUUCAAAUAGGCGACCAUGCCACUGUCGUUGGCUGCGAAUAACUGCUGGCUAGGAGUCUUUUGACUUGCAUUUCUUUGGCCUGUCUAAGGUCUGCUAAGAGGGACUCAUAUUCGGAAGCAUUGUUUGAAGCUUAGAAGUCGAACUUGAUUGCACAAUUUAGCUUAUGGCCUUGUGGGCUUUCUGGAACGACUCCUGUCCCGAAGGCGGUCUCUGCUGGCGAGCCGUCCACAAAGAGGUUCCAAGUAGGGGGCUCUACUGGUUCUAUGGUUGCCUCAAUUUUUGGGGCUUUAGCAAUCUCUGCGACAAAGUCUGUGAGGGCUUGUCCUUUGAUGGAGCUUCAAGGUUUGAAGAGGAGGUCGAGCUCAUCGAGUUCAAUUACCUAUUUCAGUAAACAACUAAAAGUGUCUGUCUUCUGUAGCACUUGUUUCAACGGAAAAUUGGUUAGAACUUCAAUGGAGUGGGCCUGAAAGUAUGGCCUUACUUUCCUUAAUGCAUUUACGAGGGAGAGUGCAAGCUUUUUCAUGUCUGGGAAGCAAGCCUCUGCUGGCAGUAAGGCUUUGCUGAUGUAGUACAUUGGCAGUUGGCGUGUCUUUUCUUACCUGAUGAGGACUGCACUGACUGCUUUUUCUGAAACCGCCAAAUAUAGCAGAAGUGGCUCGCGUGGUUUGGGCUUGGACAGUAAGAGUGCCUCUCCCAAGUGCUUCUUCAGCUCUUGGAAGGCUGUCUCAUAUUCUUCCUUUUGUUGGAACUUUUUUCCCUGCUUUAGAAUCUUGAAGAAGGGUAGACUUUUAUCGAUGGUCUUAGAGAUGAAGCGACGAGGGCAGCAAUCCGUCUGUUGAGGCUUUGCACCUAUUUUGGUUUCUGAUGUGACCUCAUCUCUAACAGAGCAUUUAUCUUUUUAGGGUUUGCUUCAAUCCCUCUUCGAUUAACAAUGUAGCCCAAAAAUAUAGUUAUUGAACAAAAUUAAAGUUAUCUAUUAACACUAGAUCACAAAUAUUUCCAAUAAUUUGUAGUUUGAUGAUGUUAAGAACAUGGAUAAUAAAAGAAGAGGAAAUAUUGGAAGAUGGCCAGUUGCCCUGGCCAUCUUUCCACAAUGGCCUUUGACCGAAAAAAUCUCAUUAAAAAAAAACUAAAAAUGUAAACAAUAUCCAAAUGGUCGAAAACGCCCCCAAACGGUCUGGAUCCAGACGGCAGGCCAUUUGGAUUGGCCUGUGUGCUAGCCAUUUUUUUUAAAAAAAAAUUAAAUUUAAUUGUUUAUAAAUAUUCAUGAAUUAUAUAAAUUGUUUAUUUAAGUAAAAUAAUUAAUUAUUUUUUAUUUCAUUUUCUUUAAAAGAUAAAUAAUUUGAAUAACGAAAUAAACCAUUUAAAAAAAUAUAAUAAAAAUUGAAUAUUCAAAUAAAUAAGAAAUUAAUAUAAAUAAUUCAAUGAAGUAAAUAAAUAUGAAAUAAACAAUUAUAAUAACUAAUUAAAUAGAGUUAUUAAACAUCAAACAAACAAUAUACAUAACCAAUUAAAAUAUUUAGUGAAAUAUUUAAAUAAAAUUAAAUUAAAAAUUAAAUAAAUAAUUUAAUAAUCAAUAUUUAAUUUAGUUGUUUAUUUAAAUAUUUAAGUAAUUACUUUAAUUGCUUAUGUAUAUUAUUUGUUAGAUAUAUAAUUAUUUACUUUAUACUUUAUUUGUUUAUUUAAAUAUUUCAUGAAUUAUGUUAAUUAUUUAUGUAUAUUGUUUAUUCAAGUAAAUAAUAAAUAACUAAUUGAAAUAAGUUCAAUAAACAAGUAAAUUAAAUAUUAAUUAAGAAAUAAAAAUAGUUAAUUAACAAAAAUAACAAAUAAAAUAAAUAAUAAAAAAUAGUUUAAAUAAGUAAUUAAAUAUUAAAUAAACAAUUCAAACAAACAAUUGAAAUAAAUAAUUAGCAUUCAAAUAUUAAAUAAAUAAUUUAAAUGAACAAUAAAUAAAAAUAAUAAAAAAUAAAUAAUUUAAAUAAGUAAUUAAAUAUUAAAUAAAAAAUUUAAACAAAUGAUUGGAAUAAAUAAUUAAUAUUUAAGUAUUAAAUAAAAAAUUUAAAUGAAACAUAAAUAUAAAUAAUAAAAAUAAUAAUUUAAUAUUAAAUAAACAUUUGAAAUAAAUAAUUAACAUUUAAAAUAAACAGUUAAACAUUCAAUUAACAAUUAAAAUAAAUAUUAAAUAAACAACUAAACAAUUAAAAUAAUUAAUUUAAAUACACAUUUAAAUAUUGAAUAAAUAAUUUAAAUGACAAUUUAAAUAAAUAAAUAACAAUUAAAUAUUCAAUAAACAAUUUAAAUAAGUAAAUAAAUAAUUUAAUUUUUAAAUAUUAUGCUUUAUCCAUUGUCUCUUACACAAGUUUCUAACAUUUAAAAUUUUACAGGAUGAAUUACCAUUUAGAUACCACCAUGAGACAGAUUUUCAACAAAGUUACGUCGAACUAUAACUUUGCCAACUUUAUAUUAGUCCUAGAUUUGUUGGAUGAGGAGCACGCAGACCUGUUAUACCGAUCAUUCUUACGACGAUAACUCUAGCACAGUUAGGAGACGCAUUUAGUGAAUGCGACGAUAUGUCUACAAGUUGAAGUUGGGAAUGGUAUUUAUACUGAAGAGCAUACUGAGAUGUCAUCACAAGAUGACGUCGAUCGACAUCUUUCAUUUGGAGGUUGUUGAUGAUAUUGACACAUUCAACAACUAUUCAUGGAGACAGAACUGACAGUUAUCAGCUCUUGUCAACGAUUCUGAAGUACAUAUUAUUCAUUUGUGAUUUAUGUUGCAAGUCAUUUCGAAAUCUCAAUGCAUGGUCAUUAAUUCGGUGAAAUGUUAAUAUGUCAGCUUGAAUUUGUCACUUAGCUAACACCGUUGAUCGAGGAGGAGGGUCAGAGUCAUAUCCGAUGAGAUAUAGCCUGCAGGCGAUGGGGGUCCCAAACAGUGACAGAGAGGGUGACAAAGAUGGUGACAUGGAGAGUGGCGAUGGAGGGGUAGGGAUGUACACAGAUAUUUCAUUAGAAUCGUUAUGGAUGUUAGUGGGGAUAAGAGAGGUGCCGAUGGAGAGGAUGAAAUAAUUGUAUUUAUGAAAUAAUUAUAUAUUUUCUUAUUUAUGAAAUAAUUGUACAUAUUGUAAAAUUUAUUUAAAUAAGGUAAUGAAAUAUUAAAUACAUAAUAUACACAACCAAUUAAGAUAAUUUAUAAGUGAAAUAUUUAAAUAAGAAGUUAAAUUAAAUAUUAACUUUUUUAUUUAAUUAAGUGAUUAAAUAAAUAAUUAAACAAAGUAAUUAAAUAUUAAAUAAAUAAUAUACAUAAUUAUGCCAGAGAUGACCCCCAACUUGAUAGAUAAUAUCGCGAGUUUGGAUGAAGUGACAAUUAUGCCGAAGAAGGUAAAGUAACUAACACCCUAUAAGAAACAUGUUAUUGACAUGCCAAAGCAGAUGGUUAGCAAGAUGACUAGAUCGUCGUCACAAAUACAUUGUUUCUCUGUACACAAUCGAGGCAAGAAAGAGAACAUCUGUCGACAGUACAUUGCCCAACCUCUUUCGUGAAAUCGACUCGGGGCGAUUGUGGAGUCUUCGCAUUGAAGUACAUUGAAUCUUUUUAAAUAUAAGCGUUCUUUUAUAUACAUUGUCAUCCGUAGUUAUAAUAAUUUAAAAUGUAAGCAUUUUUUUAAAACGUUUGUAAUACUUUAGUAUUUAUGUCAUUGUACAAUAAAUAACUAAUUACUCUUAAUUACAUAUAUGACACACUUCAAAUAAAGAAAAUUUAGGAAAUCAAUAACAUACUAUAAAUAGAGAGUAUAUACGAUUUAAGUAGAUAUUACAUAUCCGUCGGGUCAAAUUUCAUGGAAUCAAUAACACACUAUAAAUAAAGAAAUUUAAGGAAAUCAGUAACAUACUAUAAAUAGAAAGUACAUACGAUUUAAAUAGAUAUUACACAUCCGUUGGACAGAGAUUAACAUGCUAUAAUCGGGAACUUCCCACUCAACUUCAUUUGAUAAAAAAAAUAUAGUUUCAACAUUCUUGAAUAAUGUUCGAUAUCUUGAAAAUAUAACCGUGCCCAAUGUUCAACUCUCAUCUAUGUUAGAUAUUCUCAUGCAUCGUGUGAUUUAUGUCCUAAUUAAUUAUUAAAUAAAAAAUAUACAUAACCAAUUAAAAUAAUUAAUUAAUGAAAUAUUUAAAGAAUAAAUUAAAUUAAAUAUUAAUUUUCUAUUCGAAUAAGUGAUUAAAAUAAUAAUUAAAUAAGGUAAUGAAAUAUUAAAUACAUAAUAUACACAAUCAAUUAAGAUAAUUUAUAAAUGAAAUAUCUAAAUAAGAAAUUAAUUAAAUAUUAAUUUUUUAUUUAAUUAAGUGAUUAAAUAAAUAAUUAAACAAAGUAAUUAAAUAUUAAAAAAAGAAUAUACAUAAUUAACUAAUGAAAUAUUUAAAUAAGAAAUUAAAAUAAAUAUUAAUUCUUUUAUUUAAAUAAGUGAUUAAAUAAAUAAUUAAAUAACGUAAUUAAAUUUUAAAUGCAUAAUAUACAUAACCAAUUAAGAUAAUUAAUUAAUGAAAUAUCUAAAUAAGAAACUAAAUGAAAUAUUAAUUUUUUAUUUAAUUAAGUGAUUAAAUAAAAAGUUAAAAAAAGUAAUUACAUAAUAAAUAAAUAAUAUACAUAACUAAUUAAGACAAUUAAUUAAAGAAAUUAAAAUAAAUAUUAAUUUUUUAUUUAAAUAAGUGAUUAAAUAAAUAAUUAAAUAAAGUAAUUAAAUAUAAAGUGAAAAGUCUUUGAUUUUUUAAUUUGUAACUUAAGGGUAUUUUCAUCUUUUUAAACAAAAUUAUAUCUUUGUAAUUGUAUGAACUAUUUAAGGAUAUUUUUGUCUUUAAAUCAGCAAAAGAUCAUUUUGAUGAUUGACAAAUUUCUUUCAUCAAAGUGAAAAAUGUAAUUUUGACUUGGCCCUUCUUAAAAGUACCCUAGAAAAGAAUAUGGCCUUAAAAAUGACCCAAAUGCAGUUUCCACUUAUGAUGCAAUUCACAUUUCAAUUAGCAAUUCAUCAAAUUCUUUUCGUAUGGGUCUUAUCACUUGUAGAGCACUGCACAUUGUAAUUAUAAAUGAACAUGAAAUGAGCUUUCUGCACAAGAGAUUCAGGUUAUCCCUUUCUCUGUGUUGUUGCAAUUCUUACAGAAGAAAAUGACUAAUUACAGAAAACAUCUAAUAGACCAAAAUAAUUUCUACAACGUUUUAGAAAAAAUUAAUUAAUUUGAAAAUAAUUAGGGACAGAAAUCUACUCAGGGAUUCGAAACAGAGAAGAAAAAACGAUUUAAUUGAGCCAAAUCAAAAGAAAAUAAAAAAACAGGUCACAAGUAUCUAAUAUUCUUGAAAUGUCAAAACAAUUUAUUUAUUUAUUUAUUUCGGUAUAAUGGCCAAGUACGAUCACUGCUUGAAAUGUCAUCAAAUUUGUUGUUUAUAACAACGGAAUGAGAUGUAGUGACUAAUGUUAUGUAAGUAUCAAUAUUUGAUAAUUUAAAUUUAAAAAUUAUUUGCGAGUAACUAGGUAAGUUGGGGCCCUUUCUAAUUGAGUUGAUAUCAAUUUUUUUUUAAUUUUUAAUUUAUUUAUUAUUAUUAUUAUUAUUAUUAUUUUUUUUUUUUGCAAGACGUUGGAGCCAUUUCUAAUUGAAAGUUAGUGCACCAGAAAAAUACAUAUCAAUAAUUGAGUUGGGAUCAAAUUAUUGCUUGUGAGACAUUGGGGCCCUUUUUAAUUGAAAAUUAUUGCACGUGUAAAUGACUUUGACUGAAAAGAUGAAAAAGUAAAACGAUUACAUCUGAUUGGUGGCAGAUAGAAUUGACAAAUCCCACAAAAAUCCGCUAUAUUCGUUCUUGGGGAAAUUUAAUGAAUAUUGGUCGGAAAAAAAAAAAAAAAAUCUACUGUUUAGAAUUUCAACGAAAAUGUUAGAAAUAAUAGGAUAAAAGUUUAAGUUGUCCUUUUUAAAAAAACUGACCACAUUUUUGAACGGCUCAAACAUCAUUCACGAUUGAGUUAGGGAUACUUCUGGGUAGUUAAGAUUUUAUGUAUUGUGGUGGAUUAUGCAUUCAAUUCAUGUCUUUUUUCUCGCGAGUGUACUCUAUUAGGUGGAGAAAAUACAAAAUUUAAAAUAAUUGAGUUGGAAUCAAAUUGUCCUUAGUGAGACAUUGGGACCCUUUGUAAUUGGAAGUUAGUGCACGAGUAAAUAACUCUGACAAAAAAAAUUGAAAAAGCAUAAAGAUUACACGUGAUUGCUGAUGGUUGAAUUGAAAAGUGGCACAAAAUAAUAGCAUAUAUAUAUAUAUAUAUAUAUAUAUAUAUAUAUAUAUAUUUUACAAGGUGUCCAAUUCUUGACUAAUCCUUGGAUCUGUAAUCCGACCCCUCUUCACAUAGUCCAGUUAAAUAAUAGCAUAUUCUUUCAUGGGGAAUGUUGAUGUAUUGACGAAAAAUGUUUGAAACAUUAUACGAAAAGUUUAAGGAAUAUUUUUUUUUUUUUUUUGUAGAAACGUACAUAUUAUUGGGCAGUCUUGAUAUCAUCCACAAUGAAGAUAUGAACACUAUUGCGCGACUGAGAUUUCAUGUAUAUUGGUGUCGUGUGCAUAUAGUUCAAGGACUGUACACUUUAGAAUGAAGAAAAUGCAACCAAAUUCAUUGCAACAGAGUACUUCGAUCCAUGCUCUUUUGGGGACAGAUCUAGAGUAAUGGCUUCGGUUUCAUUUUAACAUGAUGAUCCACACUUGGAAGCUUUCGAAGUCUAACGAGCUAUGUGUUCCAUUUUGUGUCCUUCAAAAGAACAAUUUAACUUUCUUUGAACUUACCAAAAAUGUAAAAAAUAAAAAAUAAAAAAAUUCUAAGGGAUGAAUUUUUAUUCCAACAAAAUACUUAUUUUCCUUUACACACCUAUUGCCCACGGUAAAACAGUGAGAGAAAUCUAUGAGGGAAAAAUUCCAUUUAAUGGAGUCAAAUCAGAAGAAAAUAAGAAAACGUGAAAUAUAAUUGUGUCGAAAUUGAAGCUUAGCAUAAACAUAUUUUGAUGAAUUAAACACUGCUAUUUACAUUUAUGAUUUACCACUGUAUUGACAUUAUUAUAUUCAUAUUUGGUGCAAUCUCUUUUGAUUGCUGAAUGUUCAACGCAGGUGUGGACUGCUGGGAAAUAAUUAUACUCAUACGCCUAAGCAUAAUUUUUUUUUCUUAUUUUUAUUAUGAUUUUUAUUAUUUUUAAGUUCAUUAAAUAAAUAAAACAAUGCAUACCAGUCUUACAACUAGAUAAUUGAAAAUUAAAAGCACGUGCCACUUUUUGAGGUAAAUGGGCCUAAGAAAUCAUAUAUACUAAUUUAGUGAUUAAGCCAACAUUAGCCAUUAGGUUCAAAGAAAGACUCCAAAAAGAUUGAGAAAAUAAAAAAUAAAAGGUGCAUUCUAUUACUUGGAUGGAAGGAAAUCGAUGACAUGAUAGUCAGUAAACUUAUUUCAGUAAAAUUCCACUUGUUCCAUGUUAGUAAUUAACAACCACAUGUGACGACCAUCAUUUGAUGGCGAUCAUGUCAUUGAUUACCUUAAUUAAAAAUCAAACUAUAAUUUAGUUACUAAAUUAAUUUUAGAAUAAAGUAUAGUUACCUGGUUAAAUAAAAUUUAAAGGUUAUUAUUGAACAAAAUUAAAGUUAUCUAUUGACACUAGAUCACAAAGAUUUCCAUUAAUUUGUAGUCUGGUGAUGUUGAAGAUGUGGACAAGAAAAGAUGGCCUUACAAAUAACCCAAACGCAGCUUCCUCUUAUGAUGCAAUUCACAUUUCAAUUAGCAAUUCAUCAAAUUCUUUUCAUCUGGGUCUUAUCGCCCGCACAGCACUGGACAUUGUAAUUAUAAAUGAACAUGAAAUGAGCUUUCUGCACAAGGGCUUCAGUUUAUCCCUUUCUCUGCGUUGUUGCAAUUCUUACAGAAUAAAAUGGCAAAUUGUAGAAAAUAUUUGGUAGACCAAAAUAAUUUCUACAACGUUUUAGAAAAUUUUAAUUAAUUUGAAAAUAAUUAGGGAGAAAAAUCUACUCAGGAUCCUAAAUAGAGGAGAAGAAAUCGAUUUAAUUGAGCCAAAUCAAAAGAAAAUAAAAACACAAGUCACUAGUAUUGUUGACACAUAAAAAUUCAGCCCAAAUCGAACAGCCCAAGAAGUGAAGCCCAAUUGGAGGAUCCCCAAAUCAGAUAGCCCAAAGAACGAAGCCCAAUCGAACAAAUCAAGAUGAAGGCCCAAAUAAGGAGGCCCAAGAACGCGGUAACGCCAUCACCCAAGCUUGCAAGUCGCCCAGAAUCUGAGCGAAUGAAGUGGCAUAUAGUCGCCCAGAGCUGUUACUCUAUUCUCGCCCAAACCUUCAAGUCGCCCAAGGUCUUAACAAACAUAAAGCGUCGUGGUUAUCAAGAAGUGCAGUUAUCAAAGCGAUUAUUAAAGCAGCCCUAUCACGUUCCACGAUUCAAGGAACUCAAUCGAAAGCGGUUGAACGAUGAAGAGUAAUGGCAGCAGUUAAAAAAUGCAGUUUUCAUGACAAGUUGGCCAUUAUGAAGAAAGUGGUCAGUUAUAGGACGAUCAAGCAGUUUUUAGGGCGGUUGAUCACAAAUAGAUCGUCCAUGAAGUAUAAAAGGGAGAAAGGACAUAGAAGCAAAGGACCGAAUCCAAAACUCUCGAACAGAGAACAUGUAAUUUUCAUUUCCUUAGUUUUUACACUUAAACACUUUUCUUUCAGUAACUCGUGUGCUUGCGCCCCUUGGAGGCACAUUGUUUUUCAUUUCCAAUUGUAAAGUCAUCGCCAAUAAAAGAACACCCCUUUUUGGGACUUUGUCUCAAGAGGUUUGUCCCUUACACAAUCGUCUGAUCCUUUUUAAUUGUUAGCGACUAACCCGCGCGAAACAAUUUGGCACGCCCAGUGGGACAGUGGUGUUAGGUGUUGAAAGUACAAAAGGGGAAACAAUAUGCCUCAGAGAUCCGAUAAGGAAGCAGCAAGUCAGGGAGGAAUCCAGUCUGUGAUCGAGCGAUAUGAGGAGCAGCAUGCCUCUCUACGAACAGAUGGACAGAAUCAGAGCAGUAACAGUCGUUAUAAACCAAUGACGGAGUUGAGUCCUCGAACCAUGCGUGCAUUACUUGGAGAACUCACGCAAGACGUCGUUGAACAGGUAAAUCUUCGAAGUAUUCAUAAUAUGGAAAGAUUUACGCAAAAUGGGAAUGUACACUAUGACAACAUGGCCAAACAACUAAAGACGUUGAACGAAACAAUGAAUAAGUUAGUAGGCCAAAUAUGUCAACCGGUUAUACCUCUUACAAACCACUUUCAAAUUAGGACAAUUGUGGGACAUAAUCCCUCGGUCCUAAAUCCGAAUCAAGGGAUAGAACCGCUUUCUGGUCCCUCCACUUCAAACCAAGGGGGUACUACAGUGCCAAAUCAAAAUAAUGGUAGUAGUAUGCCUAACUUGGGGGGUAAUCCAAACGUGAGAGAUAAUGUCCUAAACAAUGGACAGAAUAUUCCACGUGUUAAUGAGGGAACAGAUGUUCAGGCUAAUGGUAAUGGCCCUAAUCAUGGUAAUUUUGUUGCCAAUCAAGGACCAAACAUCAGGUCUCAUGCAAAUCAACCGGUUAACCAACCUAUAGGAAUUCCAUAUGACCCCAAUGUCAUGUUGAGGAACCAGAUUAUGGAAAUCGUACAGGAUCAGAUAGCUUUUGGGGUGCAUCCCGUCAUUAGGCCGACAUACACAAAGCCAUAUCCUGAUUGGGUAGACCAAGCAUAUCCAUGGCCUAGAGGGUACAAAGUGCCAGAAUUCUCACUGUUUACCGGUUUAGGAAAGGUGUCUACUCUAGAACACAUAGGGCGAUUCACAUUGCAAAGUGGUGAUGUAACCGAUUACCAUAAAAUGAAGCUUUUCCCUAGUUCGUUAACAGGAGUAGCUUUCUCCUGGUUCAUCAACUUGCCAGCAAACUCUGUUCAAACAUGGCAACAAUUGGAACAGUUGUUUCACGCUCAGUUUUAUAAAACUGAGUCUGAAGUCACUUUGGCUGAUUUGGCGAAUCUACGUCAAAUGCCAAAUGAAUGGGCAGAAAGUUUUCUCCAAAGGUUCAAGACAGUAAGAAGCAAGUGUUUUGUACCUCUGUCCAAAAAGAAUUUGUCAAGAUCGCUCAGGGCUGCUUGAGCUUUGAUUUAAAGAAGAAAUUCCAGGACAAGGAAUUUCCUGACCUUUUCCUGUUGAGUGCGAAUGUGAUUAGGUAUGAGCGACUGAUAAGAGAGGAAGAACAAAUGAAAAAUUCUAGUAAAGGGACUUAUUACAAAGACCCAAAUUUUGACGUUCAUACCAUCGACGACGAGUCAUACGAUCAGGCCGAAAUGUGUUUGGCCGAAUUGGUCAAAGGGGAUACAUAUACUUGUCCCAUAAUGGCCAAGCCUAGACCAUCGGGCAAAGAUGAGCCCACAAAAGAUGGAAACAUAAAAGCUAGAACGUUCUCGUUCGACGUGACCAAAGCUGACCUUAUAUUCGAUAAAUUAUAUAGGGAUAAGCAGAUAAAGUUGAGCGAUAAGCACAAAUUGCCAAGCCCUUAACAAAUUAAGGGUAAAAAAUAUUAUAAGUGGCAUAAUGUAUGGUCACAUUUGACUAACAAUUGCUUGGUUUUCCGUCAUGUACUGCAGGAUACCAUUGAAUCGGGACGAAUUACGUUCGAUGAUAAGAAAAAGAUGGCAGUAGACGAAAAUCCUUUCCCACAGCCACUUGGAGUAAACAUGGUGACAUCUAGAUUUAAAAACAAGUUGCCAAAAUUCAAGUUGGUCGUAGAUGAUGGAGAAGAAGAUCCUAGACCACAUCCCAGCGUCUUUGAACGAAUCAAAGGGAAAGAACCAAAAAAGGACGAAGACGUCCUAUGUGCAAGGUGUAAAAGAGAAGUGAAUGGAAACGCGGAGAAACCAGGGACAUGGCAGCAUCCUCAUCGCCCUACCUUCUUCCCAAACAUUCAGCCUGGUAGAGGGCGAGGUACAUCAUUCUAUAGAGGACCGCCUUUUGAGAGGCAGUUCAGGCCACCAGAUAAUGGAAGAACAUUCAGCCGCAACCUCGCCGGCCAAAUAUAUGGCAUUCAUUCCAGUACAAUGCAGGAAGGGCAGUACCCUUCGAUGAGAUGACUAGGACCCAACGAAGGCGUUUCCAACAAAACUAUGGACGGAUGAUGAGGCAGCAACAGGGAAUGCCACAUCUUAAAGCGCCUAAACUACUCAAGGUAGCAAAUCAAAAUGUCCUCAAAAAUAGUGAAGAGACCGGUACAAAUGAAUCAAUGAAGGAACUGCCAGAAACUUCUUCUGGGAGAUCAAGGUUUGAGCGAGACAAAAGGGAUGAAGAAGAUCCAGAUCAGCCCCUUGCGAUCCAAUUCGGUACGUUGCCUCCUGUAGUGGCCAAUAAUUACCUACUGGCCAAUGAAUUCAAGAAUAAAGAAAAAGAAGAAGAGAGGGAGGACAACGAAGAAGGAGCCUGCGUGCUGGUAUGUGAAGAAGGCCAGACUUCUAGAGAGGCCUACAACGAUGAAGAGGACGACGGGAUGACAGACAUUGAAGAAGAAAUCGACUUAGAAGCAGAAAGAAAAAAGAGAGGAGUAUCGCGCAAUACUCUGUUUAAGCGACUACAUCAAGAGGGAGUUCGCGAAGUAGACUUGUUGGGGGAACCAUCUGGGCGUCCUUUCGAUUUCUGCGUAUUAUACGGGACACCCAAAAGGAAGAAGAGAGUGCCUCGCUCUGAAAAGUAUGGGUCACCUCCAAGAAUAAUGCCCCCUCCAACAGGUUGGGUAACUGAUGAGGAAGCAUUAGAAAGAAGUAGGAAGGAAGUUCAGGAGACAGAGGAUCAGCGUGAUAUACUGCACGUCGAUUUGUCAUAGGGGGAUAAUUCAACAGAAAACAAGCAGGAAGUAGAAAUAGAGGCUGCCGAAAAGGUUAUUUUUAAACGGCCAGCCAUGAAAUUGACAAAACACUUGAGGCCAUUAUACGUUAAAGCUCUAGUUAACGGCGUCCCAGUGGCAAAAGUGCUUGUCGACAAUGGAGCAGCUAUAAACACUAUUCCAUCUAGGAUGAUGAGGAAGUUCGCAAAGACAGAGGGUGACAUGAUUCCUACAGAAGUCAUCCUCACUAGCUUCAAUGGAGGGGCAACUUCAACUAAGGGAGUUAUGCCAUUGGACAUAACUAUAGGGACGACUACUAGGACCACUGUCUUCUUUAUAAUAGAUGGUCCUACUAGUUACAACGUGUUACUAGGAAGAGAUUGGAUACACGGAAGUCACUGUAUACCCUCAUCCCUCCAUCAAUGCCUGAUCUUUUGGAAUGAUAAAGGCGAGGCUGAGGUGGUACAGGGCGAUCAUAGGCCUUUUGUUGCAGAAGCAAACUCAGUGGAAAAAUUCAUGUACGAAGGAAACUAUGGACCUGUCAGAGUAGUACAAGACGGGGAAGAAACUCAGGUUGUCGUACAAAGCGAGGAACCAUUCUCAGUGGACGCACUCACUGAGAUGUUCAAACAGAUGAGGCCAAAUAUAGUGGCCUUGGAAGAGCCAGUAAUUGGCAAAAGAAUAAUUAAGGAGUCUUGAAUGGACUUUAAGUUACAAAAGCAAAUGGCCGACAUUCAGGCCUUCAAAGCCAGACUGAUGGCUUUCAAUAAGGAAUGCAAUGACAAGGCGAAAGAAGAGACAACCCUAAAAGCGCUGAAGGAUAAGUUGGCAGUAUUCGAGUUAAAGCAAAGCAUUGGCCGAGAAGUCAAUAAGGUGGACUGUUUAGAAGAGAAAGUACUUACAAGGGAACUGGUAAUGCGGAUUGCCAAACCUGGAUACGCUCAAGCACAAGACCCUCUGAUCAAAGUAAAUAUUGGCAAUGAAGGAGAAGAUCGUCCAACGUUCAUCAGCCAAAUGCUCGACCAAGAGGUUAGUAACAAAUUAAUCGCUUUGUUAAAAGAGUACAAAGAUUGUUUUGCUUGGGAAUAUGAACAAAUGCCUGGUUUAGAUAGAGACUUGGUGGAACAUAGGUUACCAACUAAGCCUAACUUUAUACCUCAUAGGCAGCCUCCUAGACGUUUUGCUCCCAAUGUACUCCAUGAAAUCAAGAAAGAGAUAGAGCGAUUAUUAAAAGCAGGUUUCAUUAGAACAGUCAGAUAUGUCGAAUGGUUGUCCAAUGUCGUGCCAGUACUAAAAAAGAAUGGUAAACUAAGGGUGUGUAUAGACUUUAGAAAUUUAAACAUAGCCACGCCCAAAGAUGAGUAUCCAAUGCCCACGGUGGAUUCUUUAGUAGAUUCAACUGCCGGACAUGACAUGUAUUUUUUCAUGGAUGGGUAUUUAGGAUACAAUCAAAUUUAUAUAGCUGAAGAAGACAUACACAAAACUGCCUUUAAAUGCCCUGGGUCUCUAGGAUGUUUUGAAUGGGUGGUUAUGCCUUUCAGCCUAAAAAAUGCAGGGGCAACUUAUCAAAGGGCAAUGAAUUUAAUCUUUCAUGAUAUGAUAGGCAAGUUUGUUGAGGUGUAUGUAGACGACAUAGUAGUCAAGUCCAUUAAAAAAGAGGACCAUUUCGAACAGUUAAGAUGUUCGUUUGAACGAAUGAAGCAAUAUAAGCUAAAGUUGAAUCCCUUGAAGUGUGCAUUUGGUGUUAAUGCAGGGAACUUUCUUGGUUUCUUAGUACACAAGAGAGGGAUUGAACUUGAUAAAAAUAAAGCGAAGGCCAUUUUAGAGGCCAAACCACCUAGCAACAAAAAAGAAUUGCAAAGGUUUCUAGGUCAAGUAAACUUUUUAAGACGCUUUAUUUCUAACUGUGCAGGGCGAACUAAAGUCUUUUCGCUGCUAUUAAAGCUGAAAAAUCAGGAUGAAUUCGUCUGAAAAGAAGAACAUCAAAAGGCUUUUGAAAGCCUGAAGACAUAUCUAUCAAGUCCACCAGUGUUGGUGUUACCAAUCCAAGGACGGCCAAUGAAAGUGUAUGUAUCGGCUGAAAAAAUCAAUAGCUGGAAUGGUCGCACAGGAAGACCAAUUUGGUGAAGAAAGGGCAAUUUACUACUUAAGUAGACGGUUAACGAAAUGUGAAUGUAAUUACUCUGCUAUUGAAAAAUUUUGUCUUGCAUUGUAUUUCACAUGUACAAAAUUAAGGGGUUAUUUACGGCCCGUAAUCGUUUAUUUAGUUUCUAAAGUAAAUUUAGUCAAGUAUAUGUUCUCGCGCCUUAUUUUACACCAAAGGAUAGGCCUUUGGACACUUGCUUUAUCAGAAUUCGAAAUACAAUAUAUACCUCAAAAGGUAGUCAAAAAUCAGGCUUUGGCUAACUUUCUAGCUGAUCAUCCAUGCCUUGACAUGCCUGAAGAAAUCGAACUAGAAAUCAAUUCGUUCGAGUCAAAACCUUGGGUGUUGUAUUUCGAUGGAUCAAAAACUUCUAAAGGUGCAGGAGUAGGAGUAGCGUUGAUUAAUCCUUUAGGGAUUUGCUACAAGUUGGCAUUUACUUUAGACAGAAUGUACACCAACAAUCAAGCCGAAUAUGAAGCCUUAAUUGUAGGCCUAGAACUAAUGAUAGAUAUGGGAAUAAGAAAUGUGAUCGUUAGGGGUGAUUCUCAAUUGGUGAUCCAUCAAUUGAUCGGCGAUUUUAAAUGCCAAAGUAAUUUCAUUAUAAGUCAAUACGAGAUCGCCCAAGAAUUAUUAGAAGAAUUCGAUCAAGUAGAACUCCAAUGCGUUAAUAGGAUAUUUAACGACGUGGCAAAUGAGUUAGCCCAAAUGGCCUCAGGGUACUCAAAGGUCUUGAAUUGGAAGUCUACUUGUGAGUAUCGAACCAUAUUGCCCGUGACUCAAAGAAGGGCGAGAAAAAUUGAACUUUACUGCAUACAAGAUGGAGAUGCAGUGGAUUGGAGAACAGAGAUUAAAGGGUUCCUUAAAGAACCUAAUGAAGGGAUUAGUAGGAAAAUGAAGCUAUGUUUGCUGAAUUACACACUAAUAGAUGAAGAGUUGUUGAAGAAACGCUCUGAUGGUGUAUUACUAAAGUGUGUAAGUUUGCAAGAAGCCAAGACGAUCAUGGCUGAAGUGCACGAAGGGAUAUGUGGAGCUCAUCAAGCUGGCCAAAGGAUGAGAUUGUUAAUUAUUAGGAGUGGAUAUUUUUGGCCAGAGAUGGGAGAACUAUGCGUUCAGUAUGCAAAGAGUUGUUUAGCAUGCCAAAAGCAUGGUCCAAUACAAAGGGCGCCAGCACGAGAAAUGGCACCUAUUAUUAAACCUUGGUCGUUCAAGGGUUGGGCGAUAGAUUUGAUAGGGAAGAUUUAUCCCCCAUCGUCCAAGCAACAUAUUUUUGUUAUAGUUGCAACCGACUAUUUCACCAAAUGGGUAGAAGUGGUACCUUUGAAAGAGAUUACCCAGAAAAAUGUUAUAGAGUUCAUCCGUGAUCACAUUAUUUAUAGGUUUGGAAUUCCACAAACGUUAAUGGUAGAUCACGGAACAUCUUUGAAUGGGGAUCAAGUGAACAAAUUUUUGAGCGAGUUUGGGGUUAAAUUAGUAAACUCCACACCAUACUACGCUCAAUCCAACGGACAAGCGGAAUCUUCUAAUAAGAUUCUAAAAAAUAUCAUCAGAAAGAUGAUAGAUGAAAACGUCAGAAAUUGGCACGAAUGUCUGAACAAGACCUUAUGGGCUUAUAGAACAUCACCUCGGUCAAGUACCAAAAUUACUCCUUUCCAACUUGUUUAUGGACAGGAGGCCGUUUUGCCUAUGGAAAUCAACGUGCAAUUGAUUAGAGUGUGCUUGCAACAUAAGUUGAAUGAUGAUGAGUAUGCCGAAUCGCUAGUUCAAAAUUUAUUGAGUUUAGACGAAUUAAAGUUGGACGUCUUAGAUAGAUUGCAAGUUCAAAAGCAAAGAAUGGCUAAGUUUUAUAAUAAAAAAGUCAUAACCAAGUCGUUCAGCCUGGGUGAACUAGUUUGGAAGACGAUACUCCCUUUAGAUAGCAAGGAUCCAAAGUACGGGAAGUGGUCACCCAAUUGGGAAAGACCAUACAAAGUAAACAGUGUGUUGUCCAAUGGAGCGUACCACUUGGAAGAUUUAGACGACACCAAGUACGUGAGAUUCAUUAACGGCAAAUAUUUGAAAAAAUAUGUUCCUUCUUUAUGGGAAUGUGAACAGAUAAAAACAUAAUCAAACAUUUUGAACGAUUAAAAGAUAACAAGGUCAGAGCGAAAUACGUUCAAAUGAAGUCCUUUAUUAUCAAACGUUCAUUACAAGAAUACAAAAAAUACAAAUAAUGGAUGUUCUACAAAAUACAACUAAAGUAAGACAAUCUCCCGGUUGAUCGCUGAGUAAGCUUCACACUGCCUUCCUAAAUGCAUCGCUGCAAUGGUGGGAUCGCCGAGUAAGAGGGUGUACUGGCCUCACCACCUUCCUAAAUGCAUCGCUGUAAUGGCGAGCAAAGAGGCUGAGAAACACUCUCAGCAGGCAAGCUGAGAAGCACUCUCAGCAAGCAGAGUGGCCUACAAGCAACCCAAAAAUUGCCUUCCAUCAUCGACUCCUUGUGAAGAACAAAGAGACGAUGGGAAGAAUUUUGAAGGUAGAAACUUCGCUGCUGGCCAGAAAAUAUUUCCUAUAUCUCCCAUACCAAAGGUGACAUCAAGGCAAAUAGUAAAUGGGCGGACUAAACAGUCCAUUUUGGAUCGGAUUGAGUGUCAGAAUGCCAAGCAAUGGCAACAGAUUAGUUUCAAAGAAGGAAAUGAAGAUGAAGACGAAAGAUGGAAAACGCGAAGCAUUUAUAGGGGGGUGGAGACAAAGAGACAGAAUAUGAACAGCCACAUUUUUGUCUAAUAAACGGAAUUAAAUAGCCCAAAGUCUUGGGAAAAGUGGUGGAAAUAUCAAAAGAAAAUGGACAAGAUUUUUAGUACAAAGCAGUUAAAAAAUUGACGACUAAAAAACAAACGUCAAAUAAAUGCACAAGAAGUUAAUGUUCAUUAAUGAUGAACAAAGUUACAAGAGAAAAAAUCAAAUUACAAAAGAAAAAAGACAUCAUAUGUCUUAAUUACAAUCCACCCCAUACUGAACGAAUUCGUUCCCUAAGUUUUUCCCAAUCCUCGUUCUGUCGAGAGGAAGUGAUGUUCAAUUCAGCCGCGACCUCAUCAUCAACUUCCAACUUCUUGUACUGCUCGACCAAGGACCUAGUUCGUUCAAUUCCCUGGGAGGCGUUGCGCUUUUUAGCAGCCAUUCUCACCCUGCAAUCAUCCAUUUUGGCUUGAAGUUCCUUCAUCUGAGCAGCCAAAUUAACCAUCAAAGAGUCUUCAACCAUGACUUCGGAAGAGAUUUCUUUCAACUCGUCCUCAGCCUUAUUAAUCUCCAUGCGCAAAGACUCUUUCUCAGCUACGGUUCGAAGAUAUUGAGUACGUUUGGCCUUUAGUUCAGCAUUCUUGGCCAGCAAAGAAAGGACCUCGGAGUGGAUAACCUUCAACGUCGCUUUAAAAUCGGCAGAAAGAUUGAGCGACGGAAGCGUCAAUGCUUGCUCCAACUUCGCACUCAAGUGCUCAAGUUUAUUCUUGUGUCUGGCGGCACUAGCCCUUCCAAUAUCCAUAUCUAUGAAGGAUACGUACUCAAGUAUCGACUCCUUGAGGAACUUCAAAUCUUCCUUUGAAGAAACAGCAGGAUGAUCAGAUGGAGCAAGGCGAGACGUCUGGACUUGCCCCCAGGAAGCGAAUAAGUUUUGGAUAGAACGCACAAUUUUGUCAGCAUCCUGUAAAGAAAAUUGCCAAUAUUAAAGAUCCUCACUACAACGAACAAGAUGGAAAUAGGAGUGAAGCAAAGACCACCUCAUCAACAAUCGUAGAAGAUGGCAUGCCCUCAGCCAAGCUUGCCACCAACGACUCCUCCAUUCGUGAGGACUUCCCCUUAUCUGAGUGAGAAGAUGUUGUCACAGCGGGUAGACUCACAGGAGUAUCUGCAAAACUCAAGAGCAACAAAUCAGGAACCAACAGCACAAGCAAAGGUAAGACAUCAAAAGACUGAAUUACCUUCUGCUUCAAUGUUUGGGGGGUUGACGCCCUGGUAAGAAGGUAGCUCAUCCAUGGGUUGUGAUGAGGACUCUGGGACUGAAGAUGUCUCUUUAAGCGUAGCCCCCUCAUCAACCGGUUUGGAUGAAGUAGCCUUAGCAGAGGAUGAUGGAACAGGAGCUGUCGAUGCCAAAGCCUUUGAAGGAGAGGCUGAGCUUUUCUGAGAAGUCCAAAAGAUCAUUAGCACACAGAAAAGUUUCAAAUGUGGAAAAGUAUAAUUGUACGUAAACCAAUUUAAUUACCUUCCUCCUGACGAUAAGAGGGGCAUCAUCAUCAUCAUCAACAUCAUCCUCCAGAAUGGGAGAUGCUGAGGCUGGCCGUUUGCAGUUUGGAGCACUCUUGGCUGUAGUAGGCUUGACAGGGAGAGAAGAAGAUGGACGAGCAGACUGUUUAGUGCGACGAGUAGGAGAGGGACUCCGAACGGACAAAGGAGUGACCAAAACAGGAGGAGGAGAAGAAAUGAUCGGUUGGUCUAAUGAAUGAAAGGCACUAUUGGCAUCAGUCGCAAAUAAUCAGCGCUUCACCGACGGCCAGAGUUGUUCAAAAAGAGGGUGAAUGGCGUGGCUAGAAUUGAAAGGGGCUAAUGAAAAAUGGCUGGUUAAAAGAAGAUUAAGAGCAUCUAUAGCCUCUGCCUCUGCCUUCGCCUUAGUAAUGGUAAAAAAACAGUCAACUAAGUUCCUUGAAUAGUAAGGAGGAACAGGCCAAGUUUGGCCAAAACCAAGCUGACGAGCAAAAAAUUGGGGAGCAUAAAUCUCUACCACCGCUUUGGCAUUGGUCCCAGUUAGAAUAUCAUGAAAUAGCUCCCUCCCGGUUAAAAACUGGAUCCAAAUGAGCAGGGAGGUGCUCGCACUAUUUAUAGUGGAAGGGGGAUGUACAUAGUUUGGAGUCAAAAAAGGAGGAAAAGGAAAAAAGGAAGGGAUUGAAUCCAAAGAAUAAAAGAAUGAAAAAAUGUCCUUUCUGGACAUAUUUACAGGAGCUAAGGGCUCCAUGGCUAGCCCAUAACAGCUAGCAGAGGAGCGAGAGAUGGAUAGAGCACCAAGCGAUGGAAAAUAGGAUUUCAACCACAGUUGAGUGAACCAAAGAGGUCCACUGCCAGUGGGAGAUGCACCAUUCUUCAAUUGAGCUUGAAGAGAGGCCAUGCCUCUAUAAAGGGCAGCCAAAAACAAAGAACAUAAAUUCAAAGGCCUGCCACGCGCCAAUUCGUGCGCUAUAGGUAAAUAACUCAGGGAGGGCUUUAUGCUUGGCACACACAAAACAUAUUUACAAAGCCAAACUAGAAGGAAGGCCACUCGCUCAGCAUGGGAAGGUUCAGCGCUCGGAUGAUUGUGAAGGGUUUGCAGGCUUGAAUAAGAAUCGGUGUAGUUUUUACCAAACUUUGGGGCGCUACCAGAAACCAAGAUACCAGGAAAAAUGGUAUCGCCCAAAGGUGGUAGAUUCACCAGGGCCCCAACAUCCCUUAAGGUAAUAGACAUGGGGCCAAGAGGGAAAAUAAAUGUGUUAUACUCAGGAGACCAAAAACUCAAAGCAAUCGAAAAGAGUGAUGAAUCAAAAGUAGGGGGGCGAAUAGAGAUUUCUAACAAAUCAGAAAUCCUAGUGCUAUCAAAAAGUGCCUUAGUAGGACCAUGACCUACAAGGCGAGCAUGCCACCUAUGGAAUGCUACAUCAGAUUUAGGCCAAGUGCGAAUACCUCUUUCGCGAAGUGGCCCCAGCGGUAGAGAGUUCAUAAAUGGUGGGCCUUGAGUGCAAGGAAACAGCUGACCCACCGCCACCUGUUCAACUGCCUCUGCAUUGUUGAAGAAAGGACCCAAGUAGAACUCAUUACGUUCAACGUCGGCGGGCGCGAGGAAACUCGGAGUUAUGUAUGGACGACUCAGGAGUUUCUGAAAGUCAUUGAAACUAAAGGAGUCGUCAGCUUGAGAUUGUGAAGUAGCCAUUUGAGAUGGAACGAAGUUUUUCAGGGUUACGUAGCAGGGAAGCAAAGGAUGAACAAAUCUUGAGAGAGACGCGAAAAAUUUGAGGCGUGAUUUAGUGGUGCAGUGAAAUGACGUGUUUGGGGGUUAUAAGGGUUUGCAAAACGACGCACCUUUUCAAGUUAUAAAAGAAAAUAAUGAUUGAAAUUUUUGGGAAUUUCGAAUGUUGCUGGAAACACAAAGUGAAUAUGGCAAAAUUUAAUAAUUAUUAUUAAUUCUGCCAUAUUGGAGGGUAAUUGUUGACACAUAAAAAUUCAGCCCAAAUCGAACAGCCCAAGAAGUGAAGCCCAAUUGGAGGAUCCCCAAAUCAGAUAGCCCAAAGAACGAAGCCCAAUCGAACAAAUCAAGAUGAAGGCCUAAAUAAGAAGGCCCAAGAACAUGGUAACGCCAUCGCCCAAGCUUGCAAGUCGCCCAGAAUCUGAGCGAAUGGAGUGUCAUACAGUCGCCCAAAGCUGUUACUCUAUUCUCGCCCAAACCUUCAAGUCGUCCAAGGUCUUAACAAACAUAAAGCGUCGUGGUUAUCAAGAAGUGCAUUUAUCAAAGCGGUUAUUAAAGCAGCCCUAUCACGUUCCACGAUUUAAGGAACUCAAUCGAAAGCGGUUGAACGAUGAAGAGUAAUGGCAGCAGUUAAAAAAGGCAGUUUUCAUGACAAGUUGGCCAUUACGAAGAAAGUGGGCAGUUAUAGGACGAUCAAACAGUUUUUAGGGCGGUUGAUCACAAAUAGAUCGUCCAUGAAAUAUAAAAGGGAGAAAGGACAUAGAAGCAAAGAACCGAAUCCAAAACUUUUGAACAGAGAACAUGUAAUUUUCAUUUCCUUACUUUUUAGACUUAAACACUUUUCUUUCAGUAACUCGUGUGCUUGCGCCCCUUGGAGGCACGUUGUUUUUCAUUUCCAAUUGUAAAGUCAUCGCCAAUAAAAGAACACCCCUUUUUGGGACUUUGUCUCAAGAGGUUUGUCCCUUACACAAUCGUCUGAUCCUUUUUAAUUGUUAGCGACUAACCCGCGCGAAACAAGUAUCUAAAGCAUGUUCGGUAGUGAUUAUGAGAAUUAAUUUUUUGACCGUUAGAGAGAAAAGUAGGCCUCAUCUGUAAGUGAAGAAGUAAAAAAUGACGACAAGAAUAGUGAAACAACGGUUAAAAAUUAAUUUUUUUGGGUGAAAAAUUGCUACCAAACGAGGCCUAAUAUUGUUGAAAUGUCACAACAAUUUUUUUUUUUAAUUUCUUUCAGUAUAAUGGCCACGUACGAUCGUUGUUUGAAAUGUCAUCAAAUUUGUUGUUUAUAACAAUGGAUGAGAUGUCGUGACUAAUGCUGUGUAAAUAUCAAUAUUCGAUAAUUUAAAUUUAAAAAUCAUUUGCAAGUAACCAGGUAAGUCGGGGCCCUUUCUAAUUGAGUUGGUAAAGAAUACGCAUUGGAGCCAUUUCUAAUUGAAAGUUAGUGCACGAGAAAAAUAGGUAUCAAUAUUUGAGUUGGAAUCAAAUUAUUACUUGUGAGACAUUGGGGCCCUUUCUAUUAAAAGUUAUUGCACGCGUAAAUAACUUUGGCUAAAAGAGUCAAAAAGUAUAACAAUCACAUGUGAUUGCUGGUGGAUUGAAUUGACAAGUCCUACAAAAAUCAGCUAUAUUCUUCCCCAGGGAAAUUUCAUGAAUAUUGAUGAAAAAAAUUGUCUACUAUUUAGAAUUCAACAAAAAUAUUAGGAAAAAAAUGCUCAAACUUUAAGCUGUCCUUUUUACAAAAAUGACCACAUUUUUUAACGGGUCAGACAUCAUUCAUGAUGGAGUUAGGGACACUAUUGGGUGAUUAAGAUUUGACGUGUUGAGGUGGCUUAUGCAUUCAAUUCAUGUCUUUUUUACUUCAAUGGAAUAAGGGAUUUCAAAACUAUAAAAGUAUAUAUCAUCUAUAAGAAAUAUUAGAAUAUCAUUUAAGUUGUAUUUUAAACAAUUUGAUUAAAUUUUGAUGGUAAUGAUUCUUGAUCUUGUUGAUCAAAUAUUCUUGGGCGUUCUUUUAAUUUUAAUAGAUAUGUCACAAAUGUUUUCAAUUUAUUUUGGUAUAGCAGUGUACGAUCACUGCUUGCAACAUCGAAUUUGUUUGUUGAUACAAACCGAAUGAGAUGUAGUGACUAAUGGUGUGUAAAUAUCAAUAUCAAUAAUUUAAAAUUAUGUUGUGUGAGUGUAAUUUGAAUUAAAUGUUUCAUUAUCCACCGAACUUAGUACCAUGUCAUGGACUGGCCACUGAACUUCCAAAGUUGUCCCACUAGCCACCGAACUUCACUCCAUCCAACUCCAUCAAUCACCCAUUUAAAAUCGUUAACAGACACGCCUACGUGGAUGACAGUAAGUUGAGUUGGCAGUUAAAUACUUCCAAAUACGAACUUAAUUGCCAAGUCAGGUCCAAAUCACCAUUGCCAAACACGCCUUUCAUAAUAUAAUUACACACUUUGAUUUAAUAGAACAACAUGCGUCUCUUACCAUUUCUUUGAACAAACCAGAGAUUUAUGAAAGGACGUCCCCAAAUCUACUUCAAGGGACAUUCGAAACCCUAAGCCCCAAAUCAAGAAUAUCAAUUACCCAACCAUUGUUGAUCACUCGACGAGCCAAGCCAAAGAGUGGAGAAACAACACCCAUUUCAUUUCAUUACAUUUACGUCGGAGCAGUUGAUGUGCAGAUGGAAGGUAAUUCCAAACCUUUUUUUUUUUUUUUUUAAAAUUUAGGUAUGAAGAGGUCAUUGUCUAAAGAUUUUGUAGUUGAUUCUAUGUGUAUUUUGUUGUUUCCCAUUACGCAUAAUCUGUCUUCGUAUCGUGUGGGGUUCUGAUUGUUAUAUACGGGUUAAUUUUUGUUCCAAAAUUUGUCAUAUUGAAAUCCAUCUGUGAGAUUGACUUUUCCCACACUUAUAUUGGCUGGAAAAAUUGCAAGAUGUUCAUUUUAAGACAGCACAAUGAAGCCACAUGUUGUCAUUUCGAGUAAUGCUAUUUAUCAUUAUGAUGAUAAAUCAGCUGGCAAUAUAGAUGGAGUAAUGGGAUUGGGUGGUUUAAUUUACAUGAGAGAAAGAUUUAAACCACCCAAUCCCAUUACUUCAAAUAUAUCGCCACAUCACCACUGAUUUAUCAUCAUGAUGAUAAACAACAUUAUUCAUUUCAAAUUGAUUAUCUAAAAGGCUUAAGAAAAGGAAAAUGGAGAAAAACUUAACAAAUGAAAAAGGGUUAAGUCAAUCGGUCAAGACCCCUCUUCCCCAUAACCUCCAUGUUCCCCUUCCAGCCAUCCUAAAAAAAAGUCAAUUGAACCAUCAGCUCCAAUACUAGAGAAUAAUGGCACUGUAAAUGCUGCAGAUAUUCUAGCUGAGUGGCUGUUGAAGAUUUCAUUUCAGAUCCAAACAUAAAUUAAAAUGUGGAUGAAAUUGAUGGUGGGUUGUGGUUGUAACUUGACAUUGUGAGAUGAUGUGUCUUAGAUGGUGUCUUGGGUUCUGACUUUUGAGGAAUGCUUUUGGAGGUGGGUGGUAUUGGUGUCGCAAGUAAAUGGGUAAAAUGAGUUUGACAGCCCAGGCCUUUAGCGGCUUGGUCCUUAUUUGCAUGAAUUGGUUGGCCCCUCUAGAACCUGAGCAAUGCUAGGCUUCCUUUUAAAUUUAUUUUUAUUUUUAAAGUUUGAGAGUUAAAUGUAUUGUUGCUUACUGUGGGCAUGUGGCUUAAUUGUAUGACAUAUUUUGAGGAAGAUCCCGACUUCGUAGAAUCCGACCAUGACUUUGAGUCCGAACAAGAUGACAACGAAUAUGAUAGACAUGUAGCUAAUGGAUUGAAAUAGGAUUGGACUACCAUCAAGAUGAAGUUCAGGACCAACGAGAAGAGGGUGGUGAUAACGAGUUGGAUGAAUUGGAACUACCGUAGUCAAAGGAACUGCUCUCCCAACGUUCAUUGCAUUUAAGGAGCAGAUUUUUCAGGGGAUCUAUAUAUGCUUCAAUGACUAUAAGAUAGGAUUCAAGGAUGGUUGUCGGAAGGUUGUAGGUGUUGAUUGUAAUUGUGUGUACAAAGCUUGUAAUCGUGAAGUGUUAAAGUAUGCCCCUAUAUGUAUCUAUUAACAAGUUUGAACAAUUGAGAAAUUUAUGUUUUUGGUUUUGGAAAGUUUCAUCUUGUUUUAUUGUUUCACACCCUCUUCUGAAUUUGAUGUGUCCUUGUAUUGGAAUGUUUGCGAUUAAAGUUGGUUUGAGAAUAUUCCCAAGUUUCUGGUGCAGUUUCCAGGUCUACCUUUGCAGAUCCAUAAUUUCCUUCAGAUUUGCUGUUUCUAGUUUCUUCAAACUGCACUACAAAGUGAAUAAAAGGCAUUGAACAGAAGCUGAAAUUGCAUUACAAAGUGAACUAAAUCUGUUCUACUACAUAGCACUGAACUGAAGCUGCAAAGUGGACUAUGUUGCAUUACAAAUGAACUAUAGCAGUGAAAGCGAGCUGCCGAUUGCCAAAUUCUAGUAUCCAUUCCACAUCCAUCCACAUACAUACAAAAGUAAUUACCGGAUACAUACAAAAGCAAAAUUCCAAGGACCAAAUGUUUGAUUUUAUUUGGACAAAAAGAAGACGAUAAGAAUCUAUGCCCACAUAAUUUCCAACAUUACCAAAAAACCAAAAACACCUAACUGAUAUCACAUAAUUUAUCGUGGCUGUGCAUCUUUCAAUUCGGCAGAUUUCGCUCGUUGUUGUGGUCAUGCCCUUGUCGAUCUCAAAUUGUCGGUGCACCACUUGGCUCACCCUCAAAUUGCACAUUUUCUUCGUGGUAAGUAACUUCGCUCCACUUGAAACGCUGCAACCUAUGUUUUCGUUCACAUAUCCCUUGCCGCCAUGUGUGAGCCACAAGUUAGAAAACACAUCUACAACACAAAAGGAUCACACAUUUUAAUUUAACCACAACCCAAAUGCAAAUUAGCAAAUCCAAACAGUAUAAUAUGAAAGUAAACAUCCCCCUUUCGAGGGGUUACGCAAACUAAGGCAUUAAAACUGCAUGCGGGAACUCUAAUUAGUUGAAUGUCACACAAUUCCAGGUAGUUCUGCAGUGAGGCUGCACCCGUCCCAAAACAUUUGUAAAAUCUUUAUUUUCAGUGAGGCUGAUCCUAAUGCCCAUAAGAUACUAUGAGAUCAGAAUAACUAUGUUCUUGGCUGCGUAUGAAAAUUUUUAUUUUCAGUCAAAAAAUAAAAAAUAAAAACAAAAACAAAAGAUCAGAAACAUAUGAAUGAUGAACAACAAAAUAAUCAUAAAAGCAUAAAAUCACAGAAGUGAAAUGGGUACGGCUUCAGCAAAAAAAUAAAAUAAAAUAAAAUAAAAUCUAUGUGAUUUUCAGCACGUUUCUAAACUUAUCGCACCCAAAAAAACACAAAAAGAGUUGGGAAAUUACCUUCGCGUCGUCCGUCCAUUAGCUCGUACUGUAGUGAAAUGGAUACGGCUUCUUCACGUUCGGUUGGGCUCUUUCAACAAUCAACAAAGGCAGGAAGAACCUUGGCUGAGUAAAAUUCUUUCGAGCUCAGUAGAUUUAGUGGCUUCGAUUUCGAUUGUUGGCUUUGUUUCGAUUUGGGGGAUUUAGGGCUUCGAUCUCGUAUUGGGUGGGGGAAGAUUGCAGGAGAGGGGAUGAAAUGAUUUGGGGUUCAGUGAAAGUGAAAGGCGUGAAUGAAUAUGGCAAAGACGUGUUUGUAUCGGCUGAUGUGGAGCUGAUGAAAAAACACUUAACACUUGGACUGAUUUAACCGGCCAGCUAGACUUUCCAUCUACCACGUUGGUACGUCACUUAACAGAUUUCAGCCGAUGAGUAAUGGGCAGUAACAUAUUGAAGUUCAGUGGCCAGUGGGACAAGUUUGGAAGUUCAGUGGCCAAUUCGUGACAUGGUACUAAAUUCAGUGGCUAAUGAAACAUCUCGUGUAAUUAGGCUCGUAGAAGCUUAAAGCUUGUCCUAUCACCUAGACCCUGGCGAUGAUUUACAUUUUUAGAGCACCGCACCAUAUUUAAAUUGAAAUGUUGUUCCUCAUCUUUUGCAUUUUUAUGGUUAUGUCCCCAUAUAUUUCCAUUGAAUUUUACUCCUCAACUUUUUAUUAAUUAGCACACUUUGUUUAUGUUGAUUGCCAAAAUAUUCGUUAGAAAGGAAUAAAUAUAAUAGUUCGACAAAAUAUUUCUCUCAUGCUAAUAGAAUAUUUAGACAAGUUCUAUCAUGAAAGAAGAUAUAUGCAAGAACGAAAAAAAUUCGAGAACACAAGUACGAAAAUGAGCAAAUUUGAAACCUUUCAUUACAAUUAAAAUAUAGUGCAGUUAACUAUAAAUGGGCGUAUAUAUAAUUAUGAUCCAUUAAGAAAUUUAAAAGUAGUGGACACAAUUAUUUAAAUAACUCUUUAACCAUACUUUUAUAUUAUCACCCAUUAAGAAAUCCAAAAGUAGGGGAUACAAUUAUUUUCAUUACCCUUUAAUCAUACCUUUUCCCCCUAUUUUUUAAUCAAAUGGAAAACCUCUUUUUGCAAUGUCAUCAAAUUCGAUAGUUUAUGCUAAUGGAAAUGGAUGUAAUUACUAACGGUUCAAGUAUCAAAAUUCAUUAAAGUUGGGUAAUUAAUUUAGUAAUAAAAAAGAACAUGAUUUUAGACUAACUUCUCCACAGGCAUGGGCAUUUCAUAGACAUUUUUCUUGCUUCGGAAUUGGAAUUGGAAUUGGAAUUAUGUGGCGUGUGAUUUAGUCAGUAGAGAGAGAAAUGUAGAAUUCAAUUAUCAAUGAAUAAGUAGGUAUGAAAUUGCCCUUAGUUAGAAAGUUGACAUCUUCAAUUGCUCACUAAACUUUAAAAUAUUGGAUUUUGAUCACUAAACAUUUCAAAAUAUUGGAGUUACUCACUGAAAUCUCACAACAUUAAUGGCAUCGGCAAUUUGAAAAAAUGUUAUCUUUUCAGUAUUCUAUGAAACUCGAAAUAUAAACUAGUACGAAAAUGAGCAAAAUUUCAAAACCUUCUUUGCAAUUAAAAUAUGGUGCAAUUAACGAUAAAUGUGGGAUGUAUAUAAUUACUCAUUUAGAAAUAGUGAACACAAUUAUUUUCCUCUCUUUAAUCGUACCCCCCCCCCCCUUUUUUUGGUCAAAUGGGACGCUAACGUUAAAAUUGUUAAAAUCUGAGCUUGCAAUGUCAUCAAAUUCGUUAUUUUGUUCUGAUGAAAGUGGAUGUAUUCACUAAUGGUUUACGUAUCAUGAGUCAUAAUGUUGGGUAACUAAUUUAGUAUUAAAAAAUCAUGAUUUUAGACUAACUUCUCAACUACAAGCUGGAAAGUAGCUGGAACCGUAAGCAUAUCAAUUAUCAUCCAUUUUUCUUGCUUUGGAAUUGGAAUUUGAAUUAUGUGAUAGAGAGAAAAAUGUAGAAUUCAAUCAAUUAUCAAUAAGCUUUUGUUUGAUGGGAUUAAAAAUAGAUUUUUAAUAGAAUUUGAUAAAAUUUAUGAAAUGCAUGGUUGAAAAAUUGAUGACGCAUGAAAUAUAUGGUUAAUAUUGAUUGUUAACUUUGAGAUUAAAAUUAGAAUUUUAAUCAAUAUCAAAUAUUAUCCUUAGCUAGACAAUUGGGCCCUUCUCUAAUUGAAGGUUGCAACAAAGACUUUGACUGAAAGAUUGAUCAAUAAUUCAGUGUACCCUUCUGAAGCAGAGAAAAAAAAAAUUACACCACAAACUCCAAUUUGAAAUCUCUCUCUCCCCCAAGCCCCGCCCACCCCCUAAAAUCAAUCGAUCCCACACACCAAAUUUCUGACGCAAGAAAAACUGGAAAAAAAUGGCUACUGACGCUGGAAAAAUCAUACUGGAGAAGUUGUUUCCGAUAGCCGUUGAAGAAUUCAAACUUGUGCAGGGUUUUGAGAAAGACUUGGCAAUCCUAAGAAAUUAUAUCAAAAAGAUCUACGAAGUUUUGGAAGAUGCCGAAAAGCGCGAAAUCACUGAGAGGGCGGUUGAAAGCUGGCUCAAGGACCUCAAAGAUGCCGCCGAUGAUGCCAAAAUUGUUUUGGACGAGAUCAAAUAUGAAGAUUUGCGUCGUACAAUAGAGACAGAGGACGAGAUUGGGUGCUUGUACUUCCCUUGCAUUAUGACAUUUCUACGAAAGAUGGCUCACAAAAUCACUUUUCAUUGGAAGAUGUCUCACAAGAUCAAGGGCAUAAAUGAAAAUUUCAAAAGGAUAAACAACGAAGCUGAUAGCCUUGGCCUCAACAGAGAUUUCACUAAUUAUCCUCGUUCGAAGCCUCUGGUCAAGGAAAUUACCAAGCCUCUGGUCACGGAAACUACCAGCUUCACCGUUGAUCCAAUUGUCAUUGGAAGAGUUAUAGAUAUUAGAAAAAUUCUGGGGACAGUCCUCAACUCAGGCGAUAAUGUCCUUUCUGUCCUUCCCAUAGUCGGAAUGGGAGGUCUUGGCAAGACGACUUUAGCACGCCAGAUCUACAAUGACCCUUGUAUAGAAACUGAUUUCCAAAAAAUGAUUUGGGUUUGUGUAUCAAAAAAUUUUGAUCAGACGACGCUUUUCAAAAGGAUCCUGGAAUUAUUAUUGGGCAAAGAUUUUGGUGGAGGUAGCAAGCAAGCUGUUGUUAAAAAGAUUGCAGAGGAAUUAAAAUACAAAAGAUACUUGCUAGUUCUCGAUGAUUUACGGAAUGAAGAAACAGAAGAUUGGGAUGAAUUCAAAAAUACACUUGAGGGAGCUAGCUCUAGAAAAGGAAAUUUCAUCAUCGUCACCACACGUGAGGAAAAGGUGGCAUCUAUUGUGAACACUUGCAAUUGCCCAUGUAGAUUGAGGUCAUUAACAGAUGAUGAAUGCUGGCUCAUAAUCAGAUCAAUGGUAUUUCAAGAUAAAGAAGUAACGAAAGAAUUUGCGAUCACCGGAUUGAAGAUUGCCGGCAAAUGUAGAGGUUUACCUCUAGCAGCAAAUGUGAUUGGAAGAGUUUUACGAGGAAAGAAAAUAGGAGAGUGGGACUCAAUCCUACGGAUUGGGCUUUCAAAUCUUGAAGCGGGUGAAAAGGGCAUCUUGCAAGUCCUAAAGGUGGGAAAAUACUUAUCAAUGUGCACCACCUCGGCGGGUGGGCCAUCACACACCCACAAAGUGUGUGGGUCAUCCAUCGAGGUGGCACCUUGAGGUUGGGAUGGUGCGACCGUCCCACCCAAGCCUAAAGGUGAGCGCCUAGUGUCUUUGUCAAUGAAAGGAUUUGGUCAUAAAUAGAGAAGAUUUAGUCCAGCUCUGAAUGGUGGAAGGAUUUCUUCCGAAUAAUCAAGAAAGUGAGAUGGAGGUUGUAUGGAUUGAAAAUUUUUAUAUUUAAAUGAUAAAUUUUCUCAAAAUUUUUAUAAAAAAGAUAUUUGCGUCGUUGCAAAUAUUUCCCAAUUUAUGUACGAAAUCAAUAAGUAAAAGGGAAGAAAUGAUACAAACGAUGUAAUUGUGGAGGUUCGAUCCCAACCAAUAAUCUACAUCCUCCGUUAUCAUGCUCUUCGGCACGAGCAAUGCCUUUUCACUAUAUUGAUUGACUUAUAGUACAAUCCAACUCUUUACAACACUUUCGAUAACUUACAAACAAGGACCAUCGAUCCUUAUACAAUAUUGAGCUUUACAAGACCUCAAUAUGACCUAAAAAUUUAAAAAGUAAUGAUUUAACAAUUUGAAACUUUUCUCUUAAUAAGUAUUAUCACAAAUUAAGUACAAGAGAGAAAUAGGUUAACACUUAAAUAAAUAGCAAUGAAUGAGGCUCAAGUGUUAGAUGAGAAAACUUUGAUGAAAAAGAUGAUUUUCAAAAUUUGAUUCAAUCAAUCAAAAGUUUUCAAGAAAAUGUUUGAAGAAUAAGAUGUAAGCUCAAAGAAUUUUGCUCAAAUAUUUCACUUUAAUGCUCUUUAAGAAUGUUAUGAUGAAUGCAAGAAAUAUGGGGUAUUUAUAGAGUUCAAAACGUCAAAAAAUUUGUAAGUGCGGGUGACUCAUGCGGUCGACCGCCUUUUAUUCGGAUGACCAAUAUAUCCGUUUUUUCAAUAAAAAUUAGAGAUCAGAACGGUCAAAUUUUGAACUAUUGGAAAAUUUCGGUUGACCUCCUCUUCUCGCCGGUCAAUUGCCUCUUCCGAUCGGUCAACGAGCAAUUUCGAUAAAUUUAUGUUUUGACCUCGUUUGAUCUGAUUUGAAGAUUUUGAAAGGUAUGGAUAUUUGGAAAAUAUUUUCAACUAACUUUCAUGAUAAAAGAUAUUUUUCAAGUCAAAUAUCAUUUUAAAAGUCAUUUUUAUAUUUGAUCAAAUCAUUGCAUUAGAAUGACUUUUAAUGCAAAAUAAUAAUAAUAAUAAUAAUAAUAAUAAUAAUAAUAAUAAUAAUAAUAAAUAAAUAAAUAAAUAAAUAAAUAAAUAAAAUUCAAUUUUGAUGCCUAGAGAGAUUUUUGAGGAGCUUAAGCGUUCAUUGCCAAAUAUUAAAGUGUUAGUAUCUUUACAUUUUAUCUAAGAAAUCAAGUCUUUGAUCUUGCUUCGAAGUUUGGCUCUUAAAUUUUUGAAUGUGUGAUUUCGAACUUGACCUCCAUCAUGAGUACGAUUUGUGAUCAUAGCUUUUGUAGCGACCCGAAAAAAAAAAUAUUUUGUGUCAUUUUAAAAUAAAUUUUUUUUGUACUACUCGAAAGUAAUUUGAGUUAUAUUAUUACGUCCUGCGACCAUUCCUAAGAGUUUAAAUUAAAGUUUUGGUCACGAUAGUAAUGUUGCGUGCACUUGUUUUAAAAUUUUGUAAAGUGUUGAAAUCUCUUUUAAACGACAAAAUUUUAAUAUCAUUUGGUUAUACUAUUUUUUUUGACGACACACAUUAUGUUAAAUUGCUACCAUUUGGAUUUAGAGGUCAUGCACGUUCAACUCACAAACCCCACUUACUACCAUUUUGAUUUCCAUUUUGUUUGGUGCACGUUCACCCACAUUUACACACAUGAACUGCCUAUUUACAUCAAUUCUGUAAACUGCCAUGCCGAAUGUGUUCUACUCUAUGAGUAGAUUAAUAUGGUAUAUUUAUUUUCUCAAAACCAAUUUAGGGUGAAUGAGAAAUUAAGGUCAAAAGAUGCCCACUUGAUGUUGAAAUAAAAUAGGUGGAAAAUUGGAAAAUACCAAUCCCACAUAGGAAAACUAGAAGAAUAUAAACCACCUUAUAUAGCUCAAGUUUGGGACUUGGGUUUGGGCCUCAAGGGGUACCAAUAGUUUUUAAGGGGGAGAGAACCUACAUGCUAGUAGGUUAAGCCAAAGCCUACACGUAGAAUUUCAUAUCAAAGCAAUAUCAAGCAGUAACAGUAGCAUGCUUGUCGAUUGCAGCCUGCAAUUUUCCUUCCUUGCACCGACGACCCUACCACUUCUUUCCCAUCCUUGAGGAACAAGAAUGUUGGCAUGGCCUUCACGUUAAAUUCUUCAGCAGCAUCCCUUAGUUCAUCCACAUCCACCUUCAAGAAUAUAACAUGUGGAGUCUUCUUUGCAAUUUCAGCAAAAAUUGGGGCAAUAACUCGGCAGGCCCAGACCACAAAGCAGUGAAAUCGACCACCGCCAAUUCCGUGGUUUCGAUGCCCUUUCUGAAGUUCUCCUUCCACUGAUCAAUGGAGUGGCAGCUGAUAACCUGUCCUUCUUCUACCAUUUUUUUCCCUCACAAAAACCCAAAUUUUAAAUUGUGUGAAAAAUUGGAAAAUACCAAUCCCACAUAGGAAAACUAGAAGAAUAUAAACCACCUUAUAUAACUCAAGUUUGGGACUUGGGUUUGGGCCCCAAGGGGUACCAAUAGUCUUUGAGGGGGAGAGAACCUACAUGCUAGUAGGUUAAACCAAAGCCCAUACGCGCGCGUCGCCGUCGCCGUUGCCGUCCGUCCGACUGGCCGACACGGUCAUGGGUCGUGGGUCUUAGGCUUGGGCUUGGGCCAAGCUGAUAUAUAUUUUUUGGUAAAAUAACAUUUAAUUAUAUUAUUUUAUUAUUAUAAUAAUAAUAUAUUUUAUGUUAUUAAUUUUUUUUCUUCCCCAAAUUUUGACUGUCCAAAAUAGCGGUUGACUGUCCAAACUGUUUGUGUCUUUUGGACACAACUUUUCGGCAGUUAUGACUGUUGGGACACAACCUUUCAACAUCUAUAAAUAAGCCCCAUACCCCGAUUUUUAUUCAUUCCAAAAAUCAGAAUUGAUUUUCUACUCUCCCGAAAUUAUCCCUUUCUCCCUGUAUAAUUUCUGUUCUUAUAAUUCAGUCCUCGAAAAUUACUUUUCGUGCAUUUCACUCAUCCAGUGUGUGGAGAGAUCUAAACUUUACGGGUUCGUCGGGUCUUGUAAUUUUGAGUACUACUAUUACAAGACGAGGUCGUUGUAUCUUGGGAAACGAGUGCUGCAAUACCGUUAGUACCAGUGCGGGGCAUUAUCGUUUUAAGGAGAAAUAGUCGAACUCUUGCCUCGACCAUUCAAAACCAUUCAAACAUCGUUACUCUGCCCAAAUAUAAAUUACGGUAACACUAUUAUUUGCCAAUAUCUUAUUCAACAAUCUUAAAACGAUAAUGGCAAGUAGUAGUACGUCUGUUGUACCCCCUAGUACGUCUGUCGUACCCCCUAACAAUGCUCACGGGGAGAAAUCGAAAAAAUUCACGGGAGUGGAUUUUAAGAUAUGGCAACAGAAAAUGUUGUUCUAUCUCACGACUCUGAAUCUGGUCAAAAUCUUGAAAGAGGAUGCUCCAACUGUUGAGGAGAAGGAAACAGAUUCUCAAAAAUGAGCAGCAUUCGAUGCUUAGAGUCAUAGUGACUUCUUGUGUAGAAAUUACAUCCUCAAUUGCCUUGACAACACACUAUACAACGUAUAUUGUUUCGUCAAAACGGCUAAAUUAUUAUGGGAGUCAUUGGAAAAGAAGUACAAAACAGAAGAUGCCGGAUUGAAGAAAUUCGUUGUAGGCAAAUUCCUGGACUUCAAAAUGGUAGAUUCUAAAACAGUAAUGACUCAAGUCCAAGAGAUACAACUUAUCUUGCACGAUAUACAUGCAGAAGGCAUGAAGCUCUGUGAACCAUUUCAGGUAGCUGCAAUUAUUGAAAAAUUACCACCAAUGUAGAAAGAUUUCAAGAACUACCUGAAACAUAAACACAAGGAAAUGAGACUUGAAGAUUUGAUUGUUAGAUCAAGAAUUGAGGAAGACAAUCGAAAUGCUAAAAAGAAGUCUGGAAAGCAGCAAAUGGAGGCUAAAGUCAACUUGGUGGAGCCAAAUACUAGCAAGAAAAGGAAGCACCCAAAUAAUAGCAAGCAAAAGAGCAAGGCCAAGAAAUUUAAAGGAGAUUGCUAUAACUGCGGUAAGCCUGGUCAUAUUGCAAAGGACUGCCGGCAGAAAAAGCAAAACAAAAACGACCAAGUGCACUUGACUGAAAAAGACAGACUAUCUAACGGAGUGUUUGAACUAAUGCUCUCGACUGUUGUAUUUGAAGCAAACAUGGUGGAUAAUCCGAGAGAAUGGUUCAUUGAUACUGGCGCUACUCGUCACGUUUGUGCGGAUAAGGAGAUGUUUUCAUCUUACACUCCUAUCAAUGGACGACAACUCUUCAUGGGCAAUUCAGCAACAUCAAAAGUUAUUGGUCUAGGUAAAGUAGUGCUAAAGAUGACAUCAGGGAAAGAAGUAACACUCAUCAAUGUGCUGCAUGUUCCUGAUAUUCGAAAAAACUUGGUAUCCGGAGCUCUUUUAAGCAAGAAUGGGUUUAGGCUGGUAUUUGAAUCUGACAAUUUUGUACUCACCAAAAAUGCUAUGUUUGUAGGCAAAGGGUACUUAGCCAAUGGGCUAUUCAAAUUGAAUGUAAUGCCUGUACUCCGUGAUUUUGAUAUUAAUAAAAAUAAAUCUUCUACUUACUUGAUUGAGUCUUCUAACUUAUGGCAUGAUAGGUUAGAGCAUGUAAAUGUUAAUACAUUAUGAAGAUUAGUAAGUUUAGAUUUAUUGCUUUCAAUGUCCUUUGAUCAAAAUCAUCGAUGCGAAACAUGUGUAGAGGCUAAAUUAGCAAAAACACAGUUUCAUUCAGUUGAAAGGAACUCGAAUCCUCUAGAACUAAUUCACAGUGAUAUUUGUGAUUUGAAGUUUGUGCAAACUAGAGGAGGUAAAAAGUAUUUUAUUACUUUUAUAGAUGAUUGCACAAGGUAUUGUUAUAUCUUUUUGUUAAGGAGUAAAGACGAGGCUUUAGAAGUAUUUAAACAGUACAAGAAUGAGGUUGAGAAUCAACUAAGCAAACGAAUAAAAAUUGUUCGUAGUGAUAGAGGUGGGGAAUAUGGAGCACCGUUUGAUGAAUUUUGUUCAGAUUCUGGGAUUAUUCAUCAAACUACAGCUCCUUAUUCACCUCAAUCAAACGGUACCGCGGAACGCAAAAAUCGCAAUCUAAAAGAGAUGAUGAACGCUAUAUUGGUUAGUUCUGGUUUACCACAGAAUUUGUGGGGGGGGGGGAAGCAAUUCUCUCAGCUAACCACAUUCUAAAUAAAGUACCACACAAAGGUAGGAACGAAACUCCUUAUGAGAUAUGGAAAGGUCAUAAACCUUCGUACAAAUACUUAAAAGUGUAGGGGUGUUUGAUUAAGGUACAAAUACCAAAGCCUAAACAAAUUAAAAUAGGGCCUAAAACUAUUGAUUGCAUAUUCAUUGGAUAUGCUAAUAACAGUAGUGCUUAUCGGUUCCUCGUACAUAAGUCUGACAUUCCGGAUAUACAUGAAAAUACUAUCAUUGAAUCUAGGAAUGUUGUAUUUUUUGAGGACAAGUUUCCUUGUAAAAAUAGGAAAGAAAUAAGCCCGCAAAAAUGAACUUAUGAUUCUGCAAUUAGUAAUCGUCAAAGUGAUGAAGAACCAAGACGCAGCAAAAGAACCAAAACAUCUACAUCUUUUGGUCCAGAUUUUUUAACUUAUAUGUUAGAAAAUGAGCCCAGGACAUUCAAUGAAGCAAUGUCUAGUCCAGAAACUCCAUUCUGGGAAGAGGCUAUCAAUAGUGAAAUUGAUUCUAUUAUGCAGAAUCAUACCUGGUAAUUGGUAGAUCUCCCACCUGGUAAUAAACCAUUAGGUUGUAAAUGGAUUUUCAAAAGAAAAUUAAAGACUGAUGGAUCAGUUGAUAAAUACAAGGCCAGAUUGGUAGCUAAAGGAUUCAAACAAAGGGAAAGCCUUGAUUUUUUUGAUACAUACUCACCUGUGACAAGGAUAACAUCAAUUAGAGUAUUAAUUGCAAUUGCAGCAUUGCAUAAUUUGGAAAUCCAUCAGAUAGACGUCAAAACAGCUUUCUUAAAUGGAGAGCUAGAAGAAGAAAUUUACAUGGAACAACCCGAAGGGUUCAUCUCUCCUAGACAGGAGAAAAAGGGGUGUAGACUCGUCAAGUCAUUAUAUGGACUAAAACAAGCGCCAAAACAAUGGCAUGCAAAAUUUGACAAAACUAUGUUGUCAAAUGAUUUUAAGAUUAACGAAUGUGAUAAAUGUGUUAUAUUAAAACCACACCUAAUGCAUAUGUAAUUGUAUGUCUAUACAUUGAUGACAUGCUAAUUGUGGAUAGUAGUUAUGAUAUGAUAACAAAUACCAAGAAAAUGUUGACAAAACAUUUUGACAUGAAAGAUAUGGGUAUUGCAGAUGUAAUAUUAGAAAUUAAAAUUCUUAAAACAUCUGAGGGACUUGUAAUGUCUCAAUCUCACUCUACUGAGACUGUACUUAAAAGGUUUAAUAUGUAUAAUGAAAGUCCAGUUAAAACACCAGUAGAUUUAAGUCUACAUUUGGCCAAACAUAAAGGCGAACCCGUAUCUCAAUUAGAAUACUCUCGGAUAAUAGGCAGUCUAAUGUAUAUUACGAACUGCACUUGUCCCGAUAUUGCAUAUGUAGUAAACAAACUUAGUAGAUAUACAAGUAACCCAAAUAAUGACCAUUGGAAAGCACUGGUAAGGGUUCUAAGAUAUCUACAAUACACCUCAAAUGUUGGAUUACAUUAUACGAGAUAUCCAGCUGUAUUAGAAGGAUAUAGUGAUGCUAAUUGGAUAUCAGAUACAAAAUACUCAAAAUCCACUAGUGGGUAUAUUUUUACCAUUAGUGGUGCGGCUGUAUCUUGAAAAUCCUCUAAACAAACAUGUAUAGCUUGAUCCACAAUAGAAUCUGAAUUCAUAGCUUUAGAUAAAACUGGAGAGGAAGCAGAAUGGCUUCGAAAUUUUUUAGAAGAUAUUCCAUGUUGGCCUAAGCCUGUGCCUGCAAUUAGUAUACAUUGUGAUAGUCAGUCGGCUAUCGGUAGAGCACAAAGUAGUAUGUAUAAUGGUAAGUCUCGACAUAUACGUCGAAGACAUAAUACAGUUAAGCAGUUAAUCUCAAAUGGUAUUAUUUCCAUAGAUUAUGUAAAGUCUAGAGAAAAUAUGGCGGAUCCGCUUACCAAAGGCUUACCAAGAGAUCAAGUAUACUGCCUAUUAAGGAGAAUGAGCUUAAAGCUUACUGCAUAAGAAUCUUUGUAAUGGUAACCCAACCUUACUGACUGGAGAUCCCAAAAUCUUGGUUCAAUGGGACAACUAAGUUAUGAAGAUUCAAUAAGCACUUCGGAGUUAACUCCUACCCAUUCCUCUGAUAAGGAAGUGCAAUCUGCAAAAAGUUUUAGGUUAAGUUAUACUUUUAAUGAUUCCUAUAUCUUGGACUACCUAAGUGGAGUACGACAGGUACUCUUAAUAGGAGAUCACCUAUACAAGUGUGAAGUGUGGCCGCUUCUAUGAGAAUGUUUCAAAGGUUAGAAUUCUCUAAAGCACUUAUGAAAUCCAAGAGUUGUUCAGGGCCAAAAUGAACACAACAGUGAGAACUCGAAAAUGUUAGGAAGGUUAUUGUGUUGAUACUAUUGUCUUGAUUUACAAAAAUGGCUGACAGUUUAAGACACCGCGUUCACUGAUUAGUCAAGUAAAUCCGAUAGUAUUCUACUACAGAAGGUUCAAACCCAUAAGGUACCUAUCCAGAUGCGAUAACAUUCCGCCUGAUCUCUCUAUAGGGUCUGCAUAGUCUACUGCAUUAAUUUCUAUUCAUGUGGGGGAUUGUUGGAAAAAUUGGUUUUAAUUAGUUGGUUUGACCAACUUUUGACCAAUUAAUUUAGUGGGUCCCGUUAAUCGGAAAUAAGAUUUCUUUGGCUGAAUGUGUUCUACUCCAUGAGUAGAUUAAUGUGGUAUAUUUAUUUUCUCAAAACCAAUUUAGGGUGAAUGAGAAAUUAAGGCCAAAAGAUGCCCACUUGAUGUUGAAAUAAAAUAGGUGAGAAAUUGGAAAAUACCAAUCCCACAUAGGAAAACUAGAAGAAUAUAAACCACCUUAUAUAGCUUAAAUUUGGGACUUGGGUUUGGGCCCCAAGGGAUACCAAUAGUCUUUGAGGGGGAGAGAACCUACAUGCUAGUAGGUUAAGCUAAAGUCCACACGCACGCGCUGCCGAAGGUUAAGCUAAAGCCCACACGCACGCGCUGCCGCCGCCGUCCGUCCGACCGGCCGGCUCGGCACGGCACGAUCACUGUCGCGAGUCGUGGGUCUUGGGUUUGGGCCAAGCUGAUAUAUAUUUUUUGGUAAAAUAACAUUUAAUUAUAUUAUUUUAUUAUUAUAAUAAUAUAUUUUAUGUUAUUAAUUUUUUUCUUCCCCGAAUUUUCUAUGUGUGACACGUGGUACGGUGCUUCUAGAAUUUAGCGGGUUGUGGCGGUUGACUGUCCAAGUGGCGUUUGACUGUCCAAAGUGGUGGUUGACUGUCCAAGUGGCGUUUGACUGUCCAAAGUGGCGGUUGAAAACCAUUUGUGUCAUUUGGACACAACUUUUCGGCAGUUGUGUCUGUUGGGACACAACCUUUCAACAUCUAUAAAUAGGCCCCCAUACCUCGAUUUUUAUUCAUUCCAAAAAUCAGAAUUGAUUUUCUACUCUCUCGAAAUUAUCCCUUUCUCCCUGCAAAAUUUCUGUUCUUAUAAUUCAAUCCUCGAAAAUUACUUUUCGUGCAUUUCACUCAUCCAGUGUGUGGAGAGAUCUAAAUUUUACGGGUUCGUCGGGUCUUGUAAUUUGGAGUACUACUAUUACAAGACGAAGUUGUUGUAUCUUGGGAAACGAGUGCUGCAAUACCGUUAGUAACAGUGUGGGGCAUUAUCAUUUUAAGGAGAAAGAGUCGAACUCUUGCCUCGACCAUUCAAAACCAUCCAAACGUCGUUACUCUACCCAAAUAUAAAUUACAGUAACACUAUUAUUUGCCAAUAGCUUAUUCAACAUAAGCACUCCACGGAUACCUCAUUGAUCUGAUAAAAAAGAAUGUAUGAAAGAAAAAUUCCAGAAUCUAAUAUUACACGCUACAUGUAUAUGCUGCUUAAGGGUCUCUCCUAAGUUCAUGAGAUCGGGUCAACAAAGUCAUUCAACCCUUUGAUCCUGUAGAAAAGGAAGAUUUUAGUGAAAAUAAAUGAGUGGAUGAAUUUAGAAUGAUAUAUUUUUAUAUAUGCCUAUUUAGGUAAAUUUACAUAAAAUUAAAAAUGUAAUAUUAUUAUCAUUUUAAAGGUGGAUAUAUAUAUAAAAAUCGUGGAUGUAAAUAGCGCCACCCUAUUUUUUUUUGGCAUUAGGAUAAACCAUUUUUUUUCCCAAAAGAAGUCCAAUGCUGUUGAAAUUCCUCGUGCACACAUUUUUACUCACUCCAUCUUCAUAAUUUUAGUGUUCCAUUCCCAUUUUCCCUUGAUAACAUAGCAACAAGAAUAUAUACAUAUAGAUCAUACUGCGAGGAAGUAAAUCUCAAGUAAAAGGACAUGUUGCUCAUAACUUCACAUUUUUUUCAAAAGAGGUAGACUCAAACCCCAUUUUAUUUCAAUUCAUGUUAUAUUUCAGCAUGUAUAAAUGUGGUUAUAUGUUAUAGAUGACUCCUUAUGGGGUAUAGAAAUAAGUUGGUGGUGAAAUGGUACACCAAAAAUGUAAACUUGGUGGCGUAGUAGUGCACCAAAUGUUGGUAUGUCACCUGAUCAUCGGUAUGCUUGCUUAUUAAAAGUUUGAAUGACAUUAAUAUAUGCUUAAAGUAUAAUAUGUUUGGAUUUAACGUGUGUAUGAGUCUAUUGAGUGUUUCUAUGAAAUAUUAAUCCCACUAACAAUUUCAGAUUAAAGCGAUCAAUGACAGUGUGGAGGAGAGCGGUGUUGCUUUGAUGUGAACUCCAAAGGACAUCAUUUGAGUUAUGUUUUGUUCAAAUAAUAUUUAAAUUUGGAAUAUUUUAAGUUAGUAUUUCUUGAAAGCUUGAUGAUUGAAUUGUUGAUGAAAUUUUUUCAUGGUUGAUAGAAUAUUUUUAUGGUGGUUUAUUUAGUUCAUUUGAGUUGCAACAAUAAGGUUUAAAUAUUUUAGUUUCUGCCCCCAAGUUUAAAAAAUUCACCCAGACCAAGACACUUGGAAUUUUGAGGUGAUUCCAGUUGGAGAAGAUAACCAUAUAAGUUAUCUACCUCUCAGAUUUAGAAUCAUGAAUUUUGGUUGUGUAAAAGUCAAGUUAUGGACGUUUCUCGAUGGCUGCAAAAAUGUACCCGACAACAAAUAGAUCCGAUUUGAAAACAAAUUUAACUCACCUAUCGAUUGAAUUUGUAUACGAAAUUUAAAUAUGUAAUUCUUCUAUGUGUAAGAUGUCUACACUUUAAAUUUUGUAAAUUUUGGAUUUUAUUUAUUUGUCGAACGAAAUUUAUUUCAAAUGUACAAGCUAAAAAUCUAAACUUUUCGAAAGAAAAAUUCUUUAGCUUUGUAACGGGUCCUUUGAAGCCUUAAUGUUUUUGGUCCAAGUUAAUUUCUGCAUUUUAUGAACAAUCUAGGUAGAAUUUUACAAGUUUAAGAUCUUAGUAAUGUCACGAGUCCAUAGAGCUCGGGGCGUUAAAAAGACUAAAGGCAAUAAAUUUGUAAUAUUUUGUUGCAAAAAUUCUUCUUCCAAGAGCCGUAAAAGCACAGUUAUGGCAAUAUCAUAAGCUACAAGAUACACGAUCUUGUCCAUGAUCUUGCAUGUUUAGUUUCGAAAUCAGAAAGUUUCAUGAAUAUGGAGGGUAGCAAUGCUACUAACAUUCUUCAAGUUAGAUACCUUGCAAUAGAAUCAAUUGGAGAGGAAACAUUCAAGGACAUAAAAGAGGUGGCAGUUAUCUCCGCACAUUGUUCUUAAGCAGCAGCGUACCAGAUGAAAUAUUGCCGUACUUUAAGCAUUUGCAUGUUCCAAAGCUAUGUUGUGCAGAUCUUAAAGAAUUGCCAACAUCAAUUGGCACGUUGAAACAUUUGAGAUAUCUUGACGUGUCCUACAAUCACGAUCUCACUACUCUGUCAGAAUCUGUUUGCAAGCUCUACAAUUUGCGAACCUGGACGAUUCUACACAGCUACAUAUUUCCAUCACUUCAAAGGCUUCCGAGAGAUCUGCAAUUCUUGAUUCAUUUAAAGCAUCUCCGUUUUAAUGAUGUUAGCGGAGAAUUCGAGAUGCCACCUAAAAUUGAAAGUUUAUCCUGCCUUCAAACAUUACCAUUAUUUUGUAUGAGCAACAAGGAAGGUUGUCGAAUCGAUGAGCUAGGAAGGUUGAAGAAUUUAAAGGGUAAACUACAAAUAUGGAAUCUAGAAUUGGUGUGUUGCAAAACAGAAGCUGAGCAUGCAAAUAUGGCUAGAAAGCUAAACAUUUAUAAGUUAUACUUCCAUUGGAAAGUCAACGGAUUCCACAGAAAGUAACAUCAAUGACAAGAGUAUACUUGAAGGGUUGCAACCUCAUGAAAGCUAAAAACCCUAAUAAUUGAAGGAUUCUGAGGUAAUAACUUUCCAUUUUGGACUAGCAAUAUGGGAAUAUGUAAAGACAUUGGUGGCCGUCUGGUGAUAUUUAAUAGAUUGAUCAAGAUCAAGUUUAAUUCUUGUGACAAAUGCGAAGAAAUCACAAUGCUCAGCCACCUACCACUCUUCAAGUAUCUAAAGCUCUAUGAUCUGAGAAACGUAAGAUCGAUAAGACCAUCAUUCUAUGGAAAGAGUGAUUGCAGCUCAACUAGAAAACGAUGGCUAGGAGACAAGAGUAUCUUUCCCAUCGCUUAAGUAUCUUACAAUAUGGGAUAUGCCAAACCUUACAGAGCGGGAAGAAGCACAAAUGAGGAGAAUGUAGGUAUUUCUUUGCCUUGAAUAUUUGGAAAUUCAUUUUUGUGAUAAGUUGGCUCGUGUUCUCCACUUUCGGGGCAGUGGAGCAUCUCUUAAAGAGAUGAAAAUUUCGUAUUGUGAUGAAUUGAGGGAAUUACCCUAUGACCUAGGUCGCUUCCAAUUUCUUGAGACAUUGGAAAUAUAUGAUUGUAGAAAUCUGCAAUUAAUUUCAUAUUAAAAUGGACAAAAAAGGCCCAAUUUCCCUUCAGAAUUUGGAAAUUCGUAAUUGCUAUGAGUUGAGCAACCUGCCAAAUGAAAUGCUAGAGUAUAGUAAGUCUCCACAGCAUCUAUCUGUGUGCGGAUGCCUGAAUCUCACUUCGCUUCCCAAAUUGAGGGGGAUGGGAUCUCUACGGCAUUUAGUUGCUAUAAUCUCACAUCACUACCUAAAAUGAGUGGAACGGAAUCCCUACAGGAGCUAAUUGUGAUUGGAUGGGAUAAUCUCACUUCGUUUCUUGAAUUGAGUGGGAUCAGAUGCCUUAACAGCUUAAUAGAACUGGAGAUUGGAAAAUUCUCCAAUUCAGUACACUUCAAUUCAUUUCAAAAUUUUCUCGAAGGUAUUGAACGCAUAAAAUCCCUUGAGAAAUUAAACUUACAAGGUCAAGAGGAUUGGUUUUGUUGCGACCCGUCCCGAAUCACUCUAAUAGAUCCGACACGUGUUGUGCACUAAUGGUAAAUACCAAUUAAGUGCCGAACCCACCAAUAAGGCAAUCUUGACCUACUUUGACUAUGACGAAUUUUAAAAAGAAAUUUGAUAGAACUUCUUUUGAAAUAUGGACUAAAAGCACCUGAAUAAAAAUCAACUUUCUCAAACAUGUUUAUACAAUUUAAAAUAGGGCACACUAGUCUCUCAAAAUAAUAAAAUGCUGGCAAAUCAAUAUUUACUAUACUUUACAAACAAAAGUCCCCGAAAGCAUUAAUGAUACCAAAUAUACAGUGAGCACAUGAUAUGGACACAUGAUUUACUAAUUAACUUUUCCAACAAAACAUACAUAUAUCUCAAAAGAAAUAUAAACUAUGGAGACCGACAAAAUAGGUCAUACAACUAACAAAAAUGUGUGGCUCAACUCGGUAGAUCUACAUGCUCCAAUAUUGCUCAACUCUGCUGCUAUCUGAUAAGAAAAAGUGUAACAAAAUAUGAGCUUGUAGCUCAGUGAAUGGAUAAUUUGCGCAUAAGUAUAUUUUUCCGUCUAUGCAUAUUUUCUAAAAAUUCUUAUCAAUUAAAACUUUGAGAAAUACUGAAAUCUGAUAACACUUUUUAAAACUAAAACAUUCUUGCAUCGUAAAAUUCAUUAUUCUUUGUUCUAGAUAGUAACUAUUAGGUAUAAUGAAUAUAAAUAAUCUGAUAUAAGUAGACAUAAGUGAAAAUUUUCUUUCACAAUACUAUAAGCUAAAAUCAUUACUCUGUAAACUAAAUAAACUAAAUUCUAUAAUGUAAAUUCUGAUAAACUAUAUAAUACUGAAAAAUCGCAAUAAAAAGGUACUCGAAAUAACCUUACUCAUGUAUGAGUUAGUACUCAUAUACAAAGCAAAGCUAUUCAAUUCUGAAAUUUUGGUCAUACACAGAGCUGCCUAAAAGCUAUAAUCUGGUCAUGCACCGUGGAAACACAUUCAUAAUAGUACAGAGCAGGUAAAAUAAUCAUAACUGAUCAUGCACUUUGUAAACACAUUCACACCAGUGCAAAGUGGGUAAAAUAACCAUAUGAGGUCAUAAACUGUGGAAACACAUUCAUAUAAGUGCAAACUAUGGUAAAAUCAUCUAGUACUUUCUGGUGGUUUUAAAAAAAUAACUUUAGAUGUGCUGAAAUAUGUAGUAUUCAUAUAACAUGCUAAUAAAAUGAUUUAACCGAACUGAAUUUAACUUUAAAGGAGCUUAUUAAAAAAUUCACUUUAUUCUGAAAAUCAUGCCGUCAAACCAACUUAUAUGAUUUACUAUAAGAAUUCUAAUGAACAAUUAUUUCAUAUGAGCUUGAGUAUAAUUUAAAACAAUGCUUAAUUUUGAAAAGUAGAUAUCCACUCACAUAAUACAAGUUACAGCCUAGGAUGGUCGGUAGACUUUUCCAAUCUCCUCGUCACCACCUGAAAUACGAUAUAAGAUAACCAACCUUUUAUAUCUAUUAAUGAAAUACUUAACUAAAUUUCUCAAGACUUGAAUAAAUUUCCCAAUUUUUUCUUUAAUCAAUUGAAGCUAAUUCCACUUUUUAGUCCUUUUACUAAUAAUUAAUUCAUCAAAAUAACCUUCACCUCAAGCGUAAGAAUAAUUAUCCCAUCUUCCAUCUAGUGAAACUUGAAAUCACACUUGCCUUAAUUUAUUUUACAUCUUGUUCCAUAAAUUAUUCUUUCAAGAAAAUAAUUCACUUAACAUAAUCAUUUUCACUAAUAAUCCUUAAUCAAGCAUCCAAUUUAAAAUCUAGGGUUUGCCAAAAAUGGUAUUCCUUACCUUAAUAUAAGUUGAAAUUAAAGAAUCAAGAAACUUGAGCUCCAAUUUGUACUUUUAUCCUCCUAAAUCUGAAAUUUAUACCACAAGUUAAAACCCUAGAAAUUUAACGUCAUAAUACCAUAAAUAAUUUAUUUCUUAAUCUCUCAAAGAAAUGAAGUAAUUGAAACCAAGCAUGAAGAAAUCAGCAUUCACUUACUUCAUUCUUUCUUUUUCUUUUUCUUUUUCUUUCUUCUUUUCUUCUUUCCUUUUUUUCUUUCUAUUUUCUCGGAUUUUAUCUUCUUUGGGCGAUCCCAGCUUCCUCUAUGUGUUUGUAUCAAAUGACAAAUGAAAACAAUGGAUAUAGAUGUGCCACUUUUAGUCCACUGCCCAACAAUUGCAAAGGAAGCCCUCCAACUAAUUCAUAUAAAAUCACAUUAAAUCCUUAACUUCCCAAAAUAUAUAAGUAGAUCCCCAAAAUUAGAUUUUAUCCAUCUUAAACCCUUAAGAAUUCUCAAUUAGUAAAAUAAAACUAAAUAGAAUAAUUUGUUUCAUUUUAGUCCUUAUUUGACUUUGACUUUGACUUUGAUCAAUUGAAUUUUGGACUUUGACUAAAUACUUUUCUUGACUUUGACUAUGAACGAGUGGGCUAUAACAGGUUCUCUCUACCAUAUCAGCUUCAACAUCUCACUUCUCUAAAAUAAUUGACAAUACAUCAUUUUGGAAUGGAAGAAUUGCAUGUUUGGUUUGGGAAUCAUCUCUUGAAGUACUAAAACCAUGGUCUUGUGAAAAGCUUAGGCAUCUGCCAUCUAAAGAAGCUAUGCAACGACUCACUAAAUACAAACACAAACUAAUUUAUUUAAUUUCUUGUGAAAUUUUACAGGUGCAACAUGGGUAUCAGUUUGUCAAGUAUUAAAGAUAAAUGACAUGACAUGCAUUUGACAUUUAGUUGAAAAUUGAGCCACAUGAAAUUUCGACCAAACAAGGAAACUCUCGAAGUUGGUAACUGUUUAUGAAAACAAUUAGUAAAACAAUUCUAAUUUUAUGUCUUAGUAUUUAAUUUUUGAAAAGUUUCCUUAGGUGCCCAUUAUAGAUAUUCCAAUGUUAGAAACACGGAAAGUAGUAUAUCAAGAAUGAUUCACGGCAUUACCCAAAUAGCAACAUAGAUUUAUCAAUAAAAUCCUAUUACUUGAUAAUACAACUUUUCCAUUAGACGAUUGAAGCGAAGUAAAGAAACGAUGGUUUAGAAAGUUAAAUAACGAUGAUGUAUUAUUUAAUAUCUUUUAUAGUGCUAAUUGAUUUAUGUAAUAUGAGCAGUCUCAAGACAUUACCUUGCUUUACUCGGCCAUAUGUACAAAUGGGCAAAUGGUAAAACGACCUAAUAAUUAAGAAUCACUAUGUACAUAGUAGAAAAACGGACACCCACUAAUGUACAAUUAAAUAAAGUCUUUCAAUUAAAAAUGGGGGAGAAGUCAUUGCAGAAAAUAUAUGCUCUCAACCAAAAAAAUGGAGCUGCAUAUUUUAGAAAAGCACACCUGCGUGAAGUUAAUAACUUUGGAUGGCAAGCAACUCAGAACUUACUACCUACAAUCAGUUUCUAAUAAUUCCUAAAACUUCUGGUCGAAAUAUUUAAUCACCAUUCGGUCAGUCAGUAUCAUUAAGCAAACCAAUAAAUAAAAUUUGUAAAAAUAUGACACAUUUUUUCAACUAUCUCCCCUUUGACUUUGCUUAAUUUCAAAAACUAAUUUUAGAUUUUUAAUAUCGCGUGUACGAUGAAUGUGAUCAACCAAGUCACAUGGAAUACUCCCCUGUAAUCAGUUAUCAUCAUAUACAUCAUACUUCCCCUAACUCAAAAACCCUAAAACAUUAUGAAAGAAGAAAAAACAUGAGUGAUAAAACCUCAAACACGGCUAUAUGAAAUCAGUUAAUUCAACUAACAAACAAAAACAUAAGAAUAUAAAAAUGGUGAAUUCAAUUAACAGCCGUUUAUGUUUUCCAUCAUUUGUUCACCACUUCACCAUCAGUUCACAACAUCAUGAAAAAUCUAACCUACUCCAACUUUUUUGAGAUUAAAAGAGCACCACAUAACGCGGAGGAGAAAUCCAAUCAACCAAAUAGUGUUGCAUGUAUCAUCCAUUCAUAACACAAUUAUCCAUAAAAUGUGUCAAUGAAAUGGUUAGGAGCAAAUAGUCAUAUCAGAGUAGGAGUCAAAGAGUUAUGACCUGUGGCAUGGGGCCAUUGGAUUGAAAGCCCGAGAAUAACUAAUCAAGAGGGAGGUGAAUUGGUUAUUUGAAACUUUUUCGAAAAUAAUUGCAAAUCUAAACAAAUAACAAAUAAACAAUUGCUCAAGUAAGAUAGCACAAAUAAAAAAGUAAUAAGUAAAAGGGAAGAAAAUGCGUAAAUGGUGUAAUUAUGGAGGUUCGAUCCAAUCUACGUCCCUCGUUACCAAAGCUCUCCGUCACGAGCAAGGCCUUUUUCACAAUUGUUGAUUGACUUAUGGAGCAAUCCAACCUUACAAAGCUUCCUGUGACUUACAACCAAGGAGCACCGAUCAUUUUACAACGUUGAAAUUUCCAUGACUUCAAAUCGACGCACAAUCAAAUGAGAAAAGAACAAAUUACAAGUAAAAGCUUCUCUCGUAAUAACUGAUAUGAUCACAAUUAAAUAUCAAGAGAGAAGUAGGCUAACACUUCAAUAAGUAUAGCUCUAAUAUUAGUUGUUGAAAAACUUUAAUGAGAUAAAUGAUUUUCACAAAAUUGAUCACUCAAACAGCUUUUCAAGAAAUGAAUUUUUUUAUCUUCUAAAGAUUGAAAAACAAAGUAGUUGAGAUCAAUAAAAGCCUCUCUUAAAUGCUUAAAGAAGGUUGUUGCAAAUGAGGAAGAGAUGUGGUAUUUAUAGCACUCAAACGAUCAAAAAAUCUGUCCAUCCUGACACAUGAUUUGGACGUCUGGUUUGUAAAGACUUGGGGUUCCAUCUUAAAAGGUCAACCUUGUUAAGAGGAGUAGCCCAAUUUUUUAUAAAUCGAUCUAUGUUUUCAUCUUUAUUCGAUGUGGGAUUUCAUUCCUUAACAUGCCCCCGCAAUAUGGUGGCUCAUUUGAGCAGACCAAUCUUGAAAUCCGUAUGCUCAUUUAUUGAGUCUUAAUCGGAUCGAGUCGCUCGUUAGAGCUUAAUGGACUCUGAUACUAUGUAAAGAUUUAGGUUCCAUCUUAAUAAGGUUAACCUUGUUAAGAGGAGUAGCCCAAUUCUUUAUAAAUCGGUCUAUAUUUUCAUUUUUAAUCGAUGUAGAAUUUCAUCCAUUAACAUGGUUGGGGUCCGAACAGUUAAAAAAACUAGCCUUUGAUUCAGAGGCAGAACGGUCAAGAAAGUGAUCGUUGGGCAUCUAGAUGUCCGGAUGGUGAUCCAAACGUCCAGAUGGACAGAAAUGCCCUCGGACAUUUUCCUUCGUGAUGAAAUUGAUUAAUGCAGGUUCUUGAAGGACUUUCACAUUUAUUUUGUAAAGAUAAGUAUUUUAUAAAUAUUUGAUCUUGAAGUCAAAAUACUUAUCUUUUGAAAAUAAUUUUUAUGCAAGUAUUCUUUUGUGAAAUGAAAUUGCUAUAGUGCAUAAAAAUUCUUUUUAGCUAUUGUCGAUGCUAAUAAUUGAAGUGUUUUACCUUUACAUAUAAAUUCAAACGCAUCUACAUCUAUUGUCUUGAAUUUGAUUAUCAAUCUUUUCUCCAAUGUGAUUUUUGACAUGAAGGCUCGAUUUUCGUCUCUAUGUUCCUCAAUCGCCAAAUUUUUUUUCCAUGUUGAUCGUUAAGCGUCAAAAUCACUUUUCCAUGUGCAUGUCUCUUGAUCUCAAUUUUAUCAUCUUCAUUUUGUUGAUUUUGCAAUAAUCACUAUCAACACUCAAAUUCAACUUGUUAGAAAUAAGCGCAAUUUGUUUGUGAUAAUCAAAUCGAGAAGUCAACCAUUUAAGUCAACAAUUUCUCCCUUUUUGAUUUUGACAAAUAAGAUGAUUUGCAAUACAAACAUCAAACAAAUUGAAGAGGCACAAAUUAAUACGCAUAAAUUUUGCAUAUUCCCCUUAUCGUUUUCACUUAUAUUUCCCCUAUCAACAUGCAUAAAAAUUUAUAAGUUCCCCCUUACAAUGUCCCCCCCUAUUUUGCAUAAUUAUCUACCUAUCUUCUUCCUUUUGGCAUAAACAAAAAGAAGUAGUAGGACAAAUUAAACUUGCAAAGAAGUCAACCAUAAGAAAUUUAAUUCAUAAUGUACCAUGCAUUGAAAUAACUCGAAAGUACAAUAAUGGAAAGUUAUAGUACGACAAUAAAAGAAACAUCUAGCAAAUGAAAAUAUUUCAAAUUGAAAGUAAACUAAGGCGCCAGAGGCGGUUGUGACGGUGGGAAGUAAGCAUAGAAGUUGGCAAAAAAUUCAUUCUACUGUGCCUACAUCUCAGCCUGUCGAUCUUCUAUAGCGUUCUACUGUGCCUAAAUCUGAAGGAGUAGGCUACCUAGGCUGUCGAUGGUUGAGGUGAGAGAAUCAAUGCGCCCGUGAAAGAGAUUAAACUGUGUCUCAGUAAAUGUAAAAUGGCAUCCUGAUGGAUGAGGUGCGCUGGAUUCGAUAAUGUCAGAAGCGAGAGCUAGGGCUUUAGGCUUGUCUUCGUGCUCAUCUUCGACUUUCUCUUCGAAAGCUAAAGUGGAAAGAUUGGAGGUAGGGUAGAAUCCAUUCGUGUACGCCAACCAUAGCCCAUUUUCUUUUAGUAUUUUCAUCCAUUUUAGGGUUUGGAUGUUGAUAGUAUCAGCGGAGCGUAACUUAACAAGGGUUUCACUGUUGAGUGAAAUGUGAUGAAUGCACAAGUUUCUUAAGCCCCAAUGCAAUGGUGGGAAAUAAAUUUUGCACCCUACUAAAUGUGAAUUUAAAAUGAAGAGAUCGGAGUGAUUAAAUUUGUCUCAGUGGCCCUUACGGGGAAAAAUAACAUGGGAAAUAAUGUUUUGCAAAACUUUGUAUGGAAGAGUAAACCCCUAUUUGGCCCCCCAGUCUCUUUCAUUUUUUUUCUCUUAUUUUUAACCACAAAAUCUUCCAUAAAAAAAUAUUACACGUAAAUAAAAAACUUUUCGUUCUUUUUCAACCACACAUUCUUCAUAAAAAUACUAUUCCAAUCAUUAAAAUUUGAAAAGACAAAUGGGGGCCCAAUGGGGACUAAAUUGAUUAGCACUCAAUUUUGUAAUAUUCUCGAAAUCCUUCUCGAUGACUCGACGACAUGCCUCGGAAGGAUCGUAGCCUUCCACGGUAGGUGGAGAUUAAUGUAGAAAAAUUUUCAAGUCACAGGGCUAGUUUGAGAAUAUCACAAAUUAGUACUUUUGUAACCGUAAUGCGUACAUUUUUUAUCAAACAUGUAAUCUCGUCGGAAUGAGGUGCAACAUGCAUUUUUUGAUAAAAUUCUUUCAUGAGGCAUGGGUAUGCGUGCUCUACCAUGGUAGCCACUGAUAAGCAUCCCAUUCUUUUAAAACGUUCUUUGAUAUUAAAAGCGGGAGCUUCUAUAGUAAAAUCCGCAAAAUCAACCUAAUUACAAAUAAGAAUGGGUAAUUUUUCAAAAGGAUUCACCUGUACCUCUAGCUCCAAGUCCAUAUCUUCAUCAGAUGAUGAUGGAGGAGGUCGUCUCGUUGUUCAUUUUACCCAGUUGCCUCAUUGCAUUCCCGACAUUGUGAAGGAGUGAUGGAAUAUCCAAAAAGCCCCAAAAUUUGAAUUCUAGGGUUUGAGAUUAUCACCCCAAAAGUUAAAUUUUGGAAGGAGAUUUCGAAUAUAUAGGUAAGUAGUGUGUGGUGGUAUGAUUUUCUACAAUCUAAUAUGAAGAAUUUCUGCGAAAAACACCAAGUUUGAUGUAGGUUGGUGUAAAAUUUGGUAUUUUGAAGUUGAAAUUUUCGAGCUUGUGAGAGAUUGAUUUUCUAAAUCUCUUGGGUUUUUGAAUUAAAAACAAAAUUGAGAAGAUUGAAUCAACGUCCAGAUCAACAAAACAUUCAAUGCUUUGAAAGUUUCUAUCAAUCUGGACACUCUUGUUCGGACUGUCCGGAUAGAUAAAAGUGUGUCCGGAUUUUUUUUAUGUGUGACAUGGUUAUUUUCAAAAUGAAAUUAUCAUUUAUAAAAGGCUAUGCAUGCAAAAACUUACGUGAUAGGAAAAUUUAAACUCAUUCUACUUCAUUUUCAUCAAUAAUUUCUAAACCUCUUUGAAUAUGUGAAAAUCAGUCGUGCGCUAGAUGUUUGGUGAAAAUAUUCGCUAAUUGGUUCUUUGAUUUUUAUGAAUUCUAACACGAUAUCUCCCUUUUGUGCAUAAUCUCUAAGAAAGUGGUAUCGAAUUUUAAUGUGUUUAGUUCGAAAGUACAAAACGGGAUUUUUAGACAAGUUGAUGGUACCGGUGUUAUCACACUUGAUAAGCACGUGAUCGUAAGACAGGUGAUAAUCACUAAGGGAUUGUUUCAUCCAAAGUGCUUGUGCACAAUAAUUUGCGAUCAAAAUAUAUUACGCCUCAGCAGUAGAAAGUGCAACGAAAUUUUGUUUCUUACUAGACCAUGACAAAAAUGCAAAGCCUGGAAAGUGACAAUUUUCGCUAGUGCUUUUACGAUCAAUGCCCAAUCGGCAUCCGAGUAACUAAUCAAGUCAAUGUGACUGCCCUUAUGAUAACAAAGUCCUAAUGUUCUAGUUCCACUAAGAUAUCAAAAAAUUCCUUUCACGGCACGUAAAUGUGAUUCCUUAGGAUUAGAUUGAAAUCUAGCAUAUAAACACAUUGAACAUAAUAUCAAGUCUACUAGCACUUAAACAAAGGAAUAGGAUCAUACCUCGAUAUUUUGUGACAUCAAUGGGAGUGCCUUGCUCAUCAUUAUCUAGCUUUAAGGAUGUACUCAUCGGGGUGUUCAUUGGCUUUAGGUCGUCCAUAUCAAAGCUUUUGAGAAUAUGUACUUGUUUUGAUUUAUGAAAAUUUCGUCAUUUGUUUAUUUAAUAUGAAGACCAAGGAAGAAUUUUAGUUUUCCCAUCAUGCUCAUUUCAAAUUCUUUACUCAUGCAUUUUGAAAAUUCUUCACAAAGAUGGAUAUUUGUAGCACCAAAAAUAAUAUCAUCAACAUAAAUUUGAACAACAAGCAUAUCUCCCUUAUGAGUUGACAAAAAGUGUAGUAUCCAUUUUUUCAAUUGAGAAACCAUUUGAUAGUAGGAAUUUGCUCAAACAUUCGUACCAAGCUCUUGGAACUUGCUUCAAACCAUAUAGAGCUUUUCUAAGUUUAAAAAAUGAUCUGGAUACUUAUGAUCUUUAAAACCUGGAGGUUGCUCAACAAAACUUCUUCUUAAAUAAAUCCAUUUAAGAAAGCACUUUUUACAUCCAUUUGAUAAAGUGUAAAACCUUUAUAGCCUGCAAAUGCAAGAAGCAUAUGGAUGGAUUCUAAUCUAGCUACCGAUACAAAUGUUUCUUCAAAACGAUACUUUCUUCUUGAUUGUAACCUUGGGCCACUAAUCUAACCUUGUUACGAACAAAAAUCCCAUUUUCAUGCUUUUUAUUUCUAAAAACCCAUUUUCUACCGAUUACGAUUUAAUCAUUUGCUCUAGCAACUAAAUCCCAAACAUAAUUUCUUUCGAAUUGAUUUAAUUCUUCUUGCAUUGUUAGAAUCCAAAAUUCAUCAUAUUCGGCUUUUUAAAAAUUUUUAAGCUCAAUUUGUGAAUUGAAUGCACAACUACCAAGAUGAUUUCUAAAAGAGGUUCUAGUAGUGAUACCUUUGGAUGGAUCGCCUAUUAUAAGUUCUUUGGGAUGCGAUGGAACAAAACUCCAUUCUUUUGGUAGUGGAGGAUUACUUUGAGCUUCAGUUGAUUUCUCUUCACUUUCUUGAACAUUAGGCUCCUCCUUUUGUUCUUCUCUGGGAGUUUCCUUGUGUUGCUCUUGAAUAUUCAUUUGUUCGAAUGGGGUUUCUAAACCUACAUCAUCACCAAUACCUUUCUCGCGAUCAAGUGAGUUAGUUUCAUCAAAUGUUAUAUACAUGGAUUCUUCAAUGACUAGAGUUCGUAUGUUAAAUACUUUAUGAGCUUUGCUAGUCGAUGAAUAUACUAGGAAAAUUUCAACAUUGAAUUUUGAAUCAAAUUUUUCCAAAUUAUCUUUUGUGUUUAAAAUGAAACAUUUACAACCGAAAACUUUAAAAUAACUAAUAUUGAGAAUUCUAUUUUUCCAAAUCUCGUAAGGAGUUUUAGUUUUCUUUUGACUUAAACUCUAUUAACAAUGUAGCAAGUGGUGUUAACGGCUUUGGCCCAAAAAUAUUUUGGCAAGUUAUUUUCAUUUAACAUGGUCCUAGCCAUUUCUUGCAAUGUACGAUUCUUCCUCUCUGCUACAUGUACCAUUAUGUUGAGCAGUUCUAGGAGACGAAAAAUUAUGUUCAUAUCCAUUUUCAUUACAAAAAUCAUUAUAGCCGACAUUAUCAAAUUCUCCACCAGUAUUUUUUUUUAAAACUCCAGAUUUUAUAGAUCAGCCCUCACAUAUGGUGGAGGAAUACCAUGAAAAUGAACUCCACAUUACAAAUAGACUUUAAAGACAAACUUUUAUUAACGUUGUGCAUAUGGAAAAUGAUUUCUAUUUGAUAUAAAUAACUUGGUAACGGCCCCAGGAAGAUCUGCCAUAUCAGAAAUGUUGCCGUGCUUCCAUUUCCACCUAUUUUAGAUAAUGCGUCUGCAACUUGGUUUGCUUCCUGGAAAACAUGUCUGAACACCACUUCUCUUCCAAUCAUGAGAUCAUUUAUCUCCUCCCAUGCUUUCCAAAAUUUCCAUCAUGUACAUUAUUUAUUGAGGAACCAGUUCACAACGACUUGAGAAUCACUUUCGAUUAUAAUCUUUAGGAAAUUUCGUUCUACACCUAUGUGGAUGCCUUAAAAAGAUUGUUAGCCAUUGCUCAAGAUUGUGAGAUCUUAAAAAGAAUGAGCACCUCGCUCUAAUACCAAUUGGAAGCCCAAGAAUAACAAACUAAGAGGGGCUGAAUUGGUUAUUUGAAACUUUUUCGAAAAUAAUUGCAAGCUUAAACAAAUAGCAAAUAAAUAAUUGUUCAAGUAAGAUGGCACAAAUAAGAAAGUAAUAAGUAAAAGGGAAGAAAAUGUGCAAACAAUAUUAUUAUGGACGUUCGAUCUAAUCAACAAUCUACGUUCCCCAUUACGAAACUCUCUGUCACAAGUAAGGCCUUUUUCAUUAUGGUUGAUUGACUUAUGGCGCAAUCCAACCCUUACAAAGCUUCCGGUGGCUUACAACCAAGGAGCACUGAUCCUUUUACAAGGUUGAAAUUUUCGGGACUUCAACACAACCCACAAUCAAAUGAGAAAAGAAGAAAUUACAAGUAAAAGCUUCUAUCUUAAUAAAUGAUAUGAUCACAAUUAAGUACCAAGAAAGAAAUAGGCUAACACUUCAAUAAGUAUAGCUCAAAUGUUAGUUGUUGAAAAUUUGCAAUGAGAUAAAAGAUUUUCUCAAAAUUUAUCACUAAAAAGGACAAGCUUUUCAAGAAAUUAAUAUUUUGAUCAUCUAAAGAUUGAAAAACAAAGUAGUUGAGAUCCAUAAAAGCCUCUCUUAAAUGCUCAAAGAAGGUUUUUGCAAAUGAGGAAGAGAAGUGGUAUUUAUAGCACUCAAACGGUCAAAAAAUAUGUCUAUCUGGACACAUGAUCUGGACAUCCGGUUGGGGUCCGGAUAGUUAAAAAAUUGACCGUUUGAGACAGAGGUCAGAACAGUAAAAAAAUGACCAUUGGGCACCUAGAUGUCCGGAUGGGUAGAAAUGCCUCCGGAUAUUUUCCUUCAUGAUGAAAUUGAUCAAUGUAGGUUCUUGAAGGACUUUCUCACUUAUUUUGCAAAGAUAAGUAUUUUGUAAAUAUUUGAUCUUGAAGUCAAGAUAUUUAUCUUUUGAAAAUAAUUUUUAUGCAAGUAUAAAAUAUUCUUUGUGACGUGAAAUUGUUCUCAUGCAUAAAAAUUAUUUUGAGCUAUAGUCAAUGCUAAGAAUUGAAGUGUUUACCUUUACAUAUAAAUUCAAACGCGUCUAUAUCUAAUGUCUUGAAUUUGAUGAUCAAUCUUUUCUCCAAUGUAUUUUUGACGCGAAGGCUCAAUUUUUGUCUCUACGUUCGUCAAUCUCUAAUUUUUGUUUCCAUGUUGAUCGUCAAGAGCCCAAAUCAUUUGUCCAUGUGCAUGUCUCUUGAUCUCAAUUUUCGCGUCUUCAUUUUGUUGAUUUUGCAAUAAUCACUAACAACAUUUGAAUUCAAUUUGUUAGAAAUAAACGCAAUUUCUUUGUGAUAAUCAAAAUGAGAAGUCAACCAUUUAGAUCAGCAUGGAUGUUUUCCUUCGAGGUUUACCAUGUUACAACUUGUGUCCAUACUUUUAAUCCAUAAAUUAAAUUUAGCGCUCAAUUAAAAUUGCAGGAACAUAUUAUCAACCUGCACAUCAAUUAAAAUCAUUAGAAACUGAUAGUAAGAAGUUCUAACUAUCGAUUGUUUAGAUUUGUAUUAGUUAGAUUACAAUUUAUUUUUAAUUUAUUGGGGUUUUAGAAUUUACACAAACAAUUUGUAAUAAUGAGUGAAAAUAAUAACUAAAACAAACUAUUAAAAACAACUUUGAAAGUACAUAUAUUAUUUGUAAAAUUAAAAAAUACAAAAAUAAAAAAGAGGGUCCAACAACUAUUAGAAAAUCCCUUUUAAAGUGUGCUUAUCAUCCAGAAAAGUUCAAAGUUCAAUGAUAACUAGAAAAUAAUGUUGAUAGUAGAAUGACCACUGAGAUUUCUAUCCUUAGGUUGAUCGAGAAAAUUGAAAACAGACAAAAUUUCUUAUUUAUAUAGAAAAAAUAUAUAUUUUUAUUUAAUGUCUACCAUCGAUUCCGAUAUAAGACUUUCAAUCAUUUAUCUUAUAGAACCAAUACGCGCUCGAGAUUUUAAAAUAAAAAUAAAUAAGAAGAAAAAUUAAUUAUUAACCAAUCUAUUGAUAUAUCUCCAUGCAUGUAUAUAUUUGCAUGCACUACACCAAAAACUGCCUUUAACAAUGGUCGAAAAACAUUUCCAUUAACAUUUUGCAGUGUUCCAGCGUAUGUUGCAGUCUUUGACGUUGCUGUAAAGUGGAAGGUUUUCGUAAUGUUCAAUGCGUGUUGUCUUAAGGUUUUUUGCAAAGUUCUUUGAAUGUUGUGUUAAAGUUUUUUCAACAUUUGAUGAGUGUUGUCUUUCUGUUUUUCACAACGGUCAUUGAAUGUUCUGUUAAGGUUCUUUACAAUGUUCAUUGACUGUUGUGUUUCUUUUUUUUGCAAUGUUCUUUGAAUGUUGUGUACAGGUUUUUUGCAACGUUCGAUGACUUUUGUCUUUCCUUUUUUCACAACGGUCGUUGAAUGUUGUGUUAAAGUUUUUUGCAACGUUAGUUGGCUGUUGUCAUUCUCUCUCUCUCUCUCUCUCUCUUUUUUUUUUUUUUUUUAAAUUUUUUUAAAUUUUUGUUUAAAUUUUUUUUAAAUUUUUUUUUUUUUUUUUUUUUAACGUUCUUUAAAUGUUGUGUUAAGAUUUUUUGCAAUAUUCUUUGAUUGUUAUCUCUCUCUUUUUCACAACGUUCUUUGACUGUUGUGCUAAGUUUUUUGCAAUGUUUUUUUUAUUAUUGUCUUUUUCUUUUUCACAACGUUCUUUGAACAUUUUCUUGACUUUUUAGUUCAAUUAUGGCAACAUUUUUGGCCCGUUGUCAUUUCUUUUCUUCUUUUCUUUUGGCAAUGUUGCCAUUGCCAUAGUCCUUCCCUGAUUAUUUUCCCUUUUUUUCUAUUUCUAUAUACCAACAAAAUUAAAAACAAACAUCACCUAUUUACGAACAAGUAUUUUAAGACUGUGAAAUUAAAGUUAUAACUUCGUUAGGAAACAUUUAAUCCGUACACAAUAAACAUAGUAAUUCACUAAAAUGCUUCUAUUCUACCUUGAAGUAACCAAAACCUUUCAUUUUGGAUUGGGUUGAUUACUUUGUCAAGGUUAGAUGACCAAAAAAUAGCUCUCAUUGGCUUCAAGUUGGCUAUGGGGUAUCUACUGAAAUGGACUUCAAACAGACAGCCAUUGAUAAAAUACCAAUGAUAGCUUUCUUGUUAAACCAGUGGGGCCUAAACAUUAAAAUUAGACUUAAAACUUCCUAUCAAUUAUAGUUUGAUCAGGUACAUGUAACCAUGGAAACACAAGUAUAGCAAGUAAGCAAACUCCCAAAAUGUUGAAAUGGCAUUAUUGGAAUUUCACAACACUAUAAUAUCUCAUUAGCGUAGACUAAUUGUUAGAUUAAACCUAGAUACAGCUUUCCUUAUUUGGCUAUAAAAGCAAACAACGAGGCAGGCUGUUGUUCAAAUUAAGAAAAUUCUCAAAAACCAAUCUAUGGAUGUCUAUAAUGGAAGAAAAUAACAUGGAGGGGAGGAAAAUAGUAGUGGCAGUUGAUGAAAGUGAAGAGAGCAUGUAUGCCUUAUCUUGGUGACUUGGUGUCUCGGCAACCUCUUGUCCCAAAACCAUAAACCAACAAGUAGCUUAAUUCUCCUCUACAUCAAACCUCCCCUGGAUUUCACAGGGCAAUACUAUAAUCAAUUCACAAUGCAAUUCACAGGGCAAUAUACUAUUUCCUAAUUCUAGUGACAGAGUAAGCAACUCAUAGUCACAGAGGGCGCCUCUACCGCAAUAGGCUUCGAGCAAUGUGUAGGCAGUGCCGCAGUAGGCUUCGAGCAAUUGAAGAGCAAAGUGCUAAUUUCAUAUUUUAAAAAGAAAAAAACCAAAAAUUAUUGCAAGUUACACAAAUAAAAAUAACAAAAAAUAAGGGAAAAAAAAAGCUUGGGUUGUGAGAAAUUCAGACAUUGGAGCUUUACCUUAUCUUUUGCUGCAGCGGUGCCACCGGCUGUUGAAGAAUAACCACCUCGAACUGCUGAACAAACAGGGACGACCGCUGGCGGAGUCAUGGACACGGAGAGUCGGAGAGCUGAGAGCAGGCAGGGCCGUAGGAGGCAGCAACAAAAUAUGAAUGGCGGAUAAGUAGAGGAUCGGAGAAGUAGGCGGAGACUAAGCGGAGCCGAGUGCCGGGAUGGGUGGGAGUAGCGGGCGGGCGGAGGUGGAGCGGAGGGAGUAGAAGAAGAAGUGGGUGUGCCGUGUGGGUUGGAUUAAAUUGAAAUGAAAAUGGAUUUUGAUUUGAAUGGGUAAUGGGUAUGGGUUGUAAGUUGUAACUAGAAGUGGGUGUUAAUGUGUUGAUUGGGCUAAUGGCUAUUGGUCAUACGGUGAAACUAAACAAAGGUUAAUAGCAACGUUCAAGAGCGCGUUGCUAAAAUAUCUAAUGGCAACUCACAUUGUCUAUUGCUAAAAUUAAAUAAUGGCAACACGUACCGCACGUUGCUAAAACAUUAAGAACAACGUACAUUGCACGUUGCAAAAAGAAAUUUCACGACAACGGAUUUCGAACAUUAUAAAACGGUGUAUUAGUAACAUUCUUUAUAAAAAUAUUGUCAAAACUCAAUUUAGUCAAUCAAUAGCAAUAUACACUUGUUGAAUGUUACGAUAGACCACUUUUAGGGACAUAUAAUUGGUGAAUGUAGCCUUUUGUAUAUUGCAAAAUUCCUUUUUUCUUGUAGUGGUAUCUUUCUUUAUCUUUAAAAUAUAGAUGUUUAAUGAAUGAAUAUUGAUAUAAUUAUUUAUUAAGCCACCUAACAUCAUGAAUUUAUAUCCAAAUCUCAUCUUAACCAGGAAACAUUGGUAUUCGGCUUCUUCACAUAAAGAAAAAUAUCAUGCUGACAGCUCGGUGUACAUUAUACUCAUAUGGGAGGGUCCAUGCAUUUUUUUUAUCGGGCGCAUCAGGCUCGGCUGUACAAAUGCAUUAAUCCUAAAGAAAAAGCGAAAAACUGCGAGGUCAACUAAUCACACCAGUCCGCCAACACAUCUUAGGUAUUAAUGGCUUGGAUAGUGAGGUUCAUGGGCUGGCCCACACGGGGUCUAAGAGACCCCAUAAAAUUUUAUUUUUUAACUUUUUAAAAAAAAAUCUGUAUUCAUUUUUGCCCAUGUAAAUAGCAAGAUACAAAUUUUCUCAAAUUUAUAUAUUAUGUGAAAAAUCAUGUAGUUACCUUUUACGACCUACUUCGAUGCGCUCAUUACGGAAUAGCAAACGAAGUCGAAAUAUAACAUUCUUAAUAUCAUUUUGAAGUAGUCAUAGCCUAGUUUUUUCCAGGGCUAAAAGCAAAAAUCACCAAACCAAAAAAUUGAACCGAAACCCCAUUUCAGAAACCAUCGGUUUGGUGCCACGUAGACCUGAUCAACAAAAUGAUUUUGAACCAAACCAAACCAGUCAAAAUGGUUUGGUUUAGGUUUGAGAAUUUUAAUUGCGGUUUAAAAUCAAACCAGACCACAGAAAAAAUAUAAAAAAAUAAAAAAAUAAAAAAAUGAAAUUUUUUGAAAAUCCAUCCAAAUAUGUAAAAUUCAAUAUUUUUGUCAUUUGUGGGUUUUUUUUUUUAUCAAUUUCUAAUUUUCUAUUACAGAUAUGUUAUUAUUAUCCAAUAAUCAUAAUUUAUAUCUAAUAAUCUCAAGACUAACAUAAUCUAUCCAAAGCCCUUUUUCUCUUUAGAAUUUAGAUCAACUCCAACCGACACCCAACACAGUCUUGAGUUGAGCCAACGGCACCACACACUAAUUUUUUUAGAUUUUUCAUACAUCUUCAAAUUUGAAUUGAAGUCCAUUAUACCAAAUUGGAGACAAAAAAAAUCCUACACCUUUGGUAAUAAUAUUUGCCACGAAUAAAGUUUCAGAUCAAUAAUUUUGUUGAGCAAACUAAGAUAAGAGUUUGAAAUUAAAUGUAUUUCGUAACAUCAUGCAAGCGUAAACUUGUGUAAUUGUUAUGUUUAGAUUUUAUAAACAAUUAUUUUAUUAUUGUAGUUGGUUAUUCUCUUUGUCUAGUCAGCAUCCUUUUUUCAGAUAUGAUGAUCACGAGAUCUUAUUGGACGUAAUUAUAUUUUUUAGGUCUUAUAUCUAAUUUAGUAGACUUGUAUUGUAACGUUAUUGUAUCGUCAUUAGCCUAAAAAAUGUGAACAAAAAUGAAAAAAAAUAUAUACUUUAGUUUAUUGUGAUUUCAAUUUGAUUUAAUUGGUAUUUAAAUUUAUAGUAGAUAUAUUUAGUCCCUGUUUGAGCCAUAUUUUCUAUAUCAUCAUAAUGAGAAAAUUGAUAGUUGAAGAUGAGGCUGGGUCCCACACAUGAAAUAGCAGGUCAACAAAGGCGUUUGGACUUAUGGGAUAACAGUCCAAAAUUUCAUUUUUUUGUCCAAAAAAUUUGGUUCAAACAGGGGCUUAGUUUAUUUUAUAUUUAUUGCUAGUAAGAUAUAAAUAUAUAUUGAAUUCAAAGAAUUAAUGACAUAAAAGUAGAUAGGCAAAAAAAAAAAUGACGAAACAGGCUAUUUAAAAUCGGACCAAACCGUUAGGUUUAGGUUUGAAUUUUUUUCAAACCAUUCAAAAUGGUUUGGUUUAGGUUUGAGCUUUUCUCAAACCGAUUUAAACGAUUUGGUUUGAAAAUCUAUCAAAAAUUGAUAAAAUUGGACCGCUUACACCCCUAAGUUUUUGGUUUGUUAAUGGCGCACGAAAUGGCCAACCGCGGCAAAAGUUAUAGCACGUCAAAGUACAUCAUUCCAAACUACUAUUUUGAGAAUUUCGAUAAUAUGCUAACUUUAUAAAUUCGUCGGUGAUUAUAAGCUAGCCAAAUUCACAAAUCACCUAUGUAUUUAGAAGAUCAUUUCGAGAAUUACAUCGUAGUCAUAUUGAAUGGUGCAGGUCAAAAUCAAAAAUGGUCAAAAGUGCGUCAAGUGUAAGUCUCAAAAAGAGGCAUUUAACUCGUCUUUUCCUUAACAAUUUUCAAUUAUUUCAUUUACAUUUAUUAUUUUCGCACGAUAAAUUUCUCAAUGUAGUUUACAUCAUUUUAGUAAGAAAUUUUACUUGGAGCAUGAUGUAAAAAAAUUGAGGAUUGUUAUACAUUAAAUGUAAUUUGAAUUACUUUUGAAUUAUAUUUGCAUUAAAUUUGAAUUUCAUUUACCUCCUAAAUUAAGUUUGAAUUCUCUUUCAAUUCAUUUACUUACCUUCAGUUUGAUUUACUUGUUGUCAAUUCAGCAUUUCUCAACGAGUUGGUAAACAAAAAUAUGCAAAUAAUAAAAUUUAUUUGACAAUAUUGAUAAUGAUAUAAUUAUAAAACGGUUUCAAAGUAUCAAGAUGCAUAGGCUAUAGUUACAGUAGUGUAUAUUGACUUAUUUUCAUUAAUAAUUUUUUGCUUUAAAAAAAUUGCAUUUUAAUUUUUUAUCCUCCAAUACAAAAAAUUUGCUUCGCCUCAGUGAGGUUGAAUGGAAUAAUAUGGAGUGGAAAGAACCAAAAAGAUAAAUAAAUAGGAUAAGACUUGAUAUUUUAAAAGUUUUUAGUAUGUUGUAACAUGCAUUAAUAAUGUUACACAUUUCACAUUAGUAGUAUAGUAUAUUGUAACUUUCGAAUUUCAUGUUAUGAUAUUUUAUUUUGUUGUUUUAGAUAUAAUAACGUUCUACUUUGUCUUAAGAGCGAGGAUGACAACUAAGCAGAUUGUUGUCAGGGUAGCCAUUACCUUAUUGGUCUAUUAGGUAUCUUCGAGAGGUAGGGACUAGUUGGGAGCAAGGAUAUAUAUAUAUAUAUAUUAUUUUCAAGAACCAUCCCACUUUUUUUAUGUUGAAAAAAAAUUUUGGAGGUCGGUAUCUUGAAUUUUACCUAUUCUUCCCCUUGAAAAAAUCAGGGGUUCUCUUAUUUUAAAAAAAAAUUUUGGAGGGUCGGUACCUUGAACUUUACCUGCUCUUCCCCUGCCUCUUGGACAAACUCUAGGGUUUCUCUUAUGUUAGUUUUUUUUUUUUUUUUUUUCACUCAAAUAUUUUUAUUCCAAGUUUGAGAAGUUCUUGGAUUUUUGGUUUGAUAUAUGCCUUUGCUGCGAUUUUUUUUGUUGAAUGCUUCCCCUCAAGUACUUGGAGUUUAUUCUACGUCAUCUUCGAACAUUUAAUUGGAUCAAACUCAAUAUUUUACACCAUAGUGAGUUUGAGGGGAGAGUGUUAAAAUAUGGAAAGAUAGGAAAAUGUUGUUUAGAAUAAUUUUCAAUAUAUUUUUCCAAUUAUGUAGGAUUACUUUGCCUUAGUAGUUGAUUGUGUAAUUAUUAAGCAAUCUUUCUUUUUAGGUUUAUUUCCUUUUAGAAUUAUUUGUAGCCCUAUAAAUAGAGUUCUCUACUUUGUAAUAUUCUCUCUAGAAUAUUACAAUAUAGAAGACCCUAUUUAUAGAGUUAUGAAUUAUUCUAAAAGGAAAUAAACCUAAAAGGAAAGAUUGUGUAAUUCCUUAAAUUUAAAAGGAAAGAUUAUUUAAUAAUUACAUAAUCAACUACUAAGGAAAAUAAUCUUAAAUAAUUAGAAAAAUAUAAUGGAGAUUAUUCUAAACAAUAUUUUCAUAUCUUUAACACCCUCCCCUCAAACUCAAUAUGGGGUAGUGACAAUCAUAUUGCGUUUGAAAACUAAAUUGACCAAAUAAAAAAUUUGGAAUAAAAACAUUUUAGGUGAAAAAAAUAAAAAAUAAAAAGGAAGAAAAAUUGGGAUUUGAAUUUUCUUCUUCUCCUCCCUAAAGUUUUAGGUUUAGCAAAAUAUUUGACGUUGCUAAAUCAAUAGAAAAAUAUACCAUGUUAAGAAAAUUGUAAAUUGUAUUAUUAUGAAUUCUUGUAAAAAUUACAAAGUAGAGAACCCUAUAUAUAGGGUUACAAAUAAUUCUAAAAUGAAAGAUUGUGUAAUAAUUACAAAAUCAACUAUUAAAGAAAAUAAUCCUACGUUACUGAAAAAAUAAAAUAGAUAUUAUUCUUAAUAAUAUUUCCGUAUUCUUCAUUAGGGAGAGGAAUUACCAGCUUCAUUUGGGAAGGGAUGGGAAGGGAGGGACGGUUCGGGGACUGCCAUCCCUAUAAUAAGAACAUAUGUUUCAAUUUUUCCGUAAAUAAAAAGCAUGUUAUUAACAUUUUACUUGUGUUUGUAAUCGAAUUACAACUCUAACUAAAUUUGUAUGAUGUCUUCAAACAUGUUUCAUUUAGUCGAUGUUCUAUUUUUAUCUAUAUUAAAAGUGUUAUUGUUUUUAAAAUAUAGAGCACGGUAUAACAACACUCCAUUCAUGUUAGAGUGUGUUGGAUUGCGAGUAUGGAAUUUGCAUGUAAAGAAAAAAAAUUAUAGGCACAACCACAAGGAUGAUUUUGACAUUUCAACUUAAAAUUUUAGUGAAAAGACUAUGAUGUCCCUACAUUUUUUAAAUUUCACACAACCACAAGGAUAAUUUUGACAUUUCAACUAAUAUGUAAAUGACGGUUGCAGUUUUGUCCCUGAUUUUGCCAGUUUUCUUGCAGAUGUGGGGCCCAUUCACUUUGUGUCAAUGGUCAAAUUUCUGCUUAUGAUUUGGAAAUAAUCCGUGCCAGACAGCCCCUAAAUAUGUUGAUUGAUUAGUUUUUAACCUGGAAAAUGUUAUAUACUUGUCCAUUCUUUAUUAAUGAGUGGACGAGAGAGGGGGAAUAAAUGAGAGAGAAAAAGAGUAAAUAACCUAGAAAAUGAAAAUCACUCUUCACUAAAAAAUUGUUUUCCUUAUUUUUGAGAAAAAUACGAUCACAUGAAUAGAGAUGGGAAAUGUUUUCAUGGAAAAAAAUAUCAAUUAAACACAUCAAAAGUAGGAAUUUGGGUGAAAAAUGAUAUUUUUCAGAAAAAUUUCAUGGAAAAUAAAGUCAAUCAAACUGCUAGGUCUAAAAUUGCAAUUGGUGAUUUUGUGGACAAAAGGACUAAAUUGUAAAUUUGUAAAAGUCAGGGACUCAACUGUGCAAUGCUAUAAAAGUCAGGGAGUAGGGUACAAUUUAGUAAAGUUAGAUGGUAGGGACUAGGGUUUGAGUAUUAGGUCAAAAUCAAGGUCACGGCAUCGAAAGUUCGCUAGUUGUCCGCCCUGCCACCGCUCGAGCGAGAAGAAGCAGAAUACACGUCGCUCGCUCUUCGCCUAGACUUCGCUCGAGCGAAGUACUGUCACUCACUUUCCGCUCGAGCGACAGUGGUAUAUGGGAAAUCGUAUUUUUGGUUUCUCGAAAGUUUUACACGGCCUAGGACACUUAAUUGCCUCCAACUAUAAAUACAAAGGCCAGUGGACGUGAAAUAGAAAUUGCUAGAUUGUGCCCACAUAGAUAUCAUUCUUCCAAUAUUCUUUGAAGUGAUCCAAGGCAAAAUUGAACGAGGAAUUCAUCCAUAAACACCUUGUGAUCCGGGCAAUCCAUUAUUGGGGAAAAACAUCAACCUUGUGAAGACAAAACACCUGGAUUUCUUCAUAUGUUGAGGAAGGGACUCUCUCAUUGGAGGAUUGAGAGAGGUGGACGACAAGCGCAGGAACUAGACAAGAAUAGGAGGUUCUUGGAAUUCCACUUGGUGAUACAAUUAGCUAGAGAUCAGGAGGCUAUAUUGGGUAACAGAUUGGGCUGCAGGAGGUAGAUCGUGAAACUAGUAAGAGACUAGCAGUAUCUAUGGUAGUAGAUCGUGAGAUUGGAACAGUGGAUCUGGCUUGGUACGGAGUUUGAAGAACUUGUACUUGCUGAAUUGGUAUAGUGGAAACUAUUAGCUUGGUCCCGGAGUUUUACCCACGUUGGGGUUUCUCUGUUAUCACAUCGUGAGUUGUUUUGUGUUAAUUGAUUGAUUUACUUUACUCAUUACAAAUCGACAGUUCAACUUAGGAUAAACUGGAUUGUAUGUUUAAUCAUCUAGAUAACAAUUAAUCUGUGACUUGUUACAAUUAAUUGUGUUAAUUCCGCACGUAAGGUCAAACGAUAAAUUGGAACGUAAACUUGAUAGCGACAAAAUUUUAAUUGGACAUAGUAUAGUGUUCUCGCGAACUUUCAAGUGUAGUAGUGCGUUCCUAGAGCGAUUUUUUCAAGUGGUAUCAGAGCCUAAGUAUGAAUCAUGACCUUACAUUAGUCUAGAUGAGUAUGUCGUUGAAUGUGCCACCCCACUUUGAUGGAAAUAAUUAUGCGUAUCGGAAAGUGAGAAUGAGGGUGUUUUUGAAAUCCUUGGAUGAGCGUGUUUGGCAGCUUGUGGUAAAUGGUUGGUCAGCCCCUAGUACCACAAUAGAUGGUGUAGUCACUCCCACCCUUGUCGAGAACUAGUCUAGAGCUCAAUUGGAUAGCUGUAAUUUAAAUCGCAAGGCCCUACAUGCCCUAUUAAUGGUAGUUUUCCCCAAAGAGUUUAGGAGAGUUUCCAUGUGUAAGGUAGCAAAAGAAGUUUGGGAUAUUUUAGAAACCACACAUGAGGGAACACAGACAGUUAAAAACUCUAAACUGUGGAUGUUGGCCACUAGGUUUGAAGAGAUAAGAAUGAGAGACAAUGUGAUGUUUGAUAUCUUUUAUGCUAGCUUAAAUGACAUAGUCAAUUCAUCCUUCAACCUAGGUGAGAAAGUCCCCGAGCCUAAGAUAGUGAGAAAGAUUCUUAGAUCCUUACCUGAGCGUUUUAGGCCUAAAGUUACGGCAAUUGAGGAGAGUAAGGACAUAGACACUAUCAAGGUAGAUGAGUUAGUUGGAUCCCUCCAGACCUAUUAAUUGACCUUAGACAAUCUAGCUAAGGAAAAAUCCAUAGCCUUAAAAAUCGCUAGGAAUAUCCAAAUGGAAUCUUCUGAUUCUGAUUCACCCAAUGAUGAGGAGAUGGCCUACCUAAGUAAAAAAUUUUGAAAAAUGGUUGGAAUAAGAAGAAGCCUCAAGAGAGACAAAGAGGUGGCCCGAGUGAAUCUAGGAAGAAAUCCCAAUCCGUGAGAUGCCAUAACUGUCGCGAUUUUGGUCAUGUGAAGAAUGAGUGCCCUAGUGCUAAAAGAUUUGAAGAGAAGGCUAUGAAAACUACUCUCACUGAUGACGAGUCUAGCUCGAACAAUCAGAGUGAGAAAUCCACCCGUGAAGAGAGUGGAAAAUAUGUGGCCUUCGUUGCUAGGGGUAAAAGUGGAUCCGAUCAGUGGAGUGAAAGGAUAGAGGACCUAGAUAGUAGUGAAGAAUCUAGUGAUGAGAGUAGAAGUGAGGAAGAUCUAGAAACAGCUUAUGAUAGGAUGUAUGAGGAGAGCCUCAAUAUCUUAGCAACUAACCAGGCUUUGAGCAAGAAAGUGAAAGAGCUUGACUAGAGAAGGAACAGUUAGAGGCCCGGGUUAGUGAUCUCACUAGUAAAAAUGAGAUGUCCUCUAGGAAAUUAAGUGAGCUGACCAUUGUGAAUGAAACCUUAGCUAUUCAGGUUAAGCACCUUGAGAAUGAGCUAGAGUUGUCUAGGUCUCAGUUACUUGCCUUUUCUAGCAGUUCUAAAAAGCUAGAUAAUAUUCUAGGAAUAGGCAAGCUGGCUAGUGAUAAGAGAGGUCUAGGUUUUGAUCUGAAUGCUGCUAGUACAUCAAAGACCACCUUUGUUCGUGCUACUGACCAACCAAACAUUGUGACUAAACCUAUACCAAAUGUUGUGGGAUCUUCAGGACGUAGGUCUACCAGACAUCGUAGGACCCGUCGACCUGGGAAUAGAAAUCAGCGUAAGCAUAUCACAGGUCCUACGUUGUGAAGCGAGGCAAGAAAGUUGCUGCCAAGGAGGAGCAACUGAAGAGCAAGCAAGCUCGCUAGCGUGAUUUUGAAUCUCACUUUAAUAAACUUCACCAAGCUCGUGGAUUGUAAAGUGGCUCAAGCCCAGCCCAGUCCUCGGAGCUAUCCAUGGCAACCCAAACUAUAUUGUCAGUUGAACCCUCCAAAUUUGAUUCCGACUCUAAGCGCAAAUUUUUUUUUGAAAUGAUCAAAAUUUUUUAUCCAAUUAAAAUCAAAAGAGGAAAAGAGGACAAGAAGAAAUGGAAAUUUAGUGGUUAUAACCCCAAGAAGAAGAUAAGGAAGAGUUAGUGAAAGUCAACAUGAGGAUGAAAAGUAUAAGUUUGGGGUAUGUGGAAAUCUUAUUAUUAUUUUUUUUGAAUUAGGAAUAUAAUUGUAAAUUUAAUGUGGUGUAUUUAUUAAACACAUAUUUUAAUUGUGGUGUGAUUAUACUGUGGUGUGGUAAAUAUAUUUUGUAGUGGUAAUAUAAUAACCCAGGGCCAGAAACCACAAAAAUCCAUCCUAGAUUUUAGCAGAUCCAUGGAGAUUUCUCUUCCAUGGACUUUUAUGAACCAACGAGAAGAAACUCUCACUUGGUUUCCUUGCGAACCUUUGUUUGUAGGGAAAAUGUUCACUUCCAUGGUUUGUGUAGAACAAAGUGAUGUUUUUCCCACAUUUAAUUAUUUCGCAACUAAGAGGCUGAGAGAGAAAUUUUUUAUAACUAUAUAGGUCUCUUGUCCAAACCGUUAUAUCAUAUAUAUGGUCCACUUUGGAAUGACAUUUGUUCACUUACUUUCCCAUGACUUUAAGUCUUGUAUACUAAGAUUCGGACCUAAGACAUCUUUUAUUGAGAGACUUAAGUUGAAUCUUGGUAGGAUUCGAGUCCCGUGCUCAAGUAAUUAACUUACGUAUUAUCCACUUUAAGAAAGUUUAGACCAUCUUACCUCUCACGGAUUUCUAUCGCGUCCCUAUUAUUCAAACUCAAAAUAUCUGGUUUAUAAGAGAUGUAAGCUAAAUCAUGGUACAGAUUGGACAACUCCUUGAUGUGGCAGCAUGGUGGUUGAGUUGUGGUGGGAUGGGUUUAGUAUAGAAUUUUAUUUGUUUAUUUUUUUGCUAUUUUUCAUUUUCAUUUACUUUUAUACUUCAAUUAAGAAUAAUGAAUGAAAAUUUUCUCUUUCUAAUAUUUGAAUGUAUGGGUCAAUUAGGUUAACUAAGGGAAAAAUGGUUCUAACUAGAUAGAUUAUAGCUUGCUUUUCAAAAUUUGGGAACCUCUUCGUUUAGAACAAUUGGUUGGGGAUAGAAAUGUAAAUGACCCUAAACAUUGGAGAUGUAUCGAGUAGUUUACCUAAAAAUAGAGUAUAUAGAAUGCUAUCGAUCAAAAAUGCAUUUCAUAGUAUAUACUAUACUCGAGUGUAACGCCUAUUAAGAAGUGUUGUUCAAAUUAAUAAAGGAAGAGUUGGAAUGAAAAAAGGAAUGGUAGCCUUAAGUAUGGUCCAUGCGACUGCAUAGGCCAUAUGGCCAUGCAGUUGCAUGGUCAUAUACUGAGAGUUUGAGGUUCGGCUACAAAUACACCAUGCGAUCGCAUGGAGUUGUACCAUGCGGUUGCAUGGUAAAUUAUUUUCAAUUGUUAUGUGGCCAUUUUUGACCGUUGUGAAGUCAAAUUUGGUAGCCUUUCUUAUGUCUUUUGGCACCAUUUCAAGCAUAUGGUCGAGGUCUAUAUAUAUGAGAUCAAUAUUCAAGCCAUUGAGCAUCGAAAACAGUUGAGAUUCAUUCCUUAUUCCACAAACAAAGAUCAAACCGUGGUUUUUAUUCAUAUUCAAUUUCUCUUAUUGUGUUCUUCAAGUUUUGGAGGAUUUCACUUUGUGCUUUGGUGAAAAAUCCUUUACAAUUCUUGUUAUAAUUCUUCAAAUUGUUUGCCAUAAUACCUUUAAGCAUCUCAUUCAAUUAGGAGAUGGAGCAAAUAUUGUUUGAGGAUAAUGAUAUCGUGUUCGGGCCUUCGAUUUUAUUCUUACAAGUUUCUGGUUUUGAUUCAUAUAUUGCUGUUUUUUUUUUUUUUUGGUUUCUUCCCUAUCACUCUAUUGUUUCCAACAAUCUCAAAUGAUAUUCCUAGAAACAUUGAUGGCGACAAUCAAACUAACGAAUCAAGACAUGGUGCAGUUGGAUCGAUUCGACGGGACUAACUUCACAUGAUGGCAAGACAAAUUAAAGUUUCUCCGAAUGGUGUUGAAAAUCUUCUAUAUUCUUGAUCCAGAUUUGGCACCAUUACUAAAACCACGAAUGGAGAGCCAGAAGCAAUUAACGUCGAAAGACAAAAUCGUUAAGAGGAUGAAUUAAUUUGCCGCAGUCAUAUACUCAACGCGCUAUCGAACCCCUUGUAUGAUUUAUGGACCUUUCUUUGGUGAAAGAAAUUUGGAAUGCUUUGGAGAGUAAGUAUAAAGAGAAAGAGGAAGGUACCAAGAAAUUUUUGAUAUCUAAAUAUUUCGACUUUAAAUUUCUUGAAAAUGUUCUCCUACUUCCCAAAGUGCAUGAACUUCAAAUUAUUGUCAACAAACUAAAGACAGUAAAGAUUGAAAUCCCGAAGAUUUUUCAAGUAGGGGCUAUAAUUGCUAAACUCCUGGGGACUUAGAAAGGAUAUCGGAAGAAAAUCAUGCAUAGUUCUGAAGAUUAUUCUUUGGAACAAUUACAAAGGCAUAUUCGGAUUAAGAGUCUAGAAUGCAUGAUAAGAGUGAAAACUCUCAUGAAGGAACCUCCAAAGCAAACACAGUGGAGAAAACUGAACCGUCUGCCGAAUCCAACAAGAGAAAGCCUUCAAGGAACUUCAAUAUGUCCAAGAAGAUGACCCAAAGGUGAAUGUUUCGUAUGUGGAAAGCCUGGAAACUACGUAAAGGAGUGUAGGCACCGAAUGAAACAACUCUAAGGGUAAAGUGAAUUCUAUCCAAGAGGAUAAAAUUGUGACCACUGUAAACGAAAUAAGUGCAAUCAAGGGAAAGGUUCCCGAGUGGUGGUAUUAUACUUGUGCUACUGUACAUUUAUCAUAUGAUAAAUCCUUAUUCAAAAUAUAUCAUGAGGUGGAUGGAGAGCAAGAGAUACAAAUGGGUAACGAGGUUUGGUCCAAGGUGAUUGGAAAGGAAAAUGUUGAUAUGAUCUCCACUUCUAUGAAAACAAUUGAUAAGUGUGUUUUUGCACACUUAUUUAGGUCACAAACAUGACUUAAUUACGAAUAAAAUGAUUGAAUUGUGACUUAAUUUCGUUGCAUUUGUGAAUUGUAGGUAACACCGAUGAACAUGGUGAAAUACAUGAGAAAAGACGCAAAAAAGGACUAAAAUGACACAAAGUGAAAGUUCAAGGACCAAGGUGCAAUUACCCAAAAGUUUACCUGAUGAACAAAUCAAGGAAUCGGCUGAACCAAAUGCCAAUUGAUAAUGCCUUGGGAUGAUGGAAUGGAAAGAGUGAAGAAAAGAGCCUAGAAGUGAAAGAUUCAAGUAAAGGGACUAAAUUGAAGUUUUUGGAAGUUAAAGUCUACCAUGCGGUCGCAUGGUAGAACUCUCAUGCGGCCGCACGAAGGGAUGCAGGGAAUUCAAUUGGAAAUAUGGAAUAACCAUGCGGCCACACGGAUUAAAACCAUGCGGUCGCAUGGCUAUUUGUCUGAUACGAAAUUUUCUUUCCUUAUACGAUUAAAACUCUUUUGGUAACCUAAUAUUGACGGGAUAUAAAUAUCAAAAACAUUUCAGAGACGACCAGAAUGCAAUUGGAGGCCGAAAAACACUUCUUGGAGAGGAUUUGAGCGCAAGAACAAAGAUUGGCACGAAGAACUUCAAGAUUUCUUCAAGAUUUCAUAACUCGGUGAUGUCUUUUAUUCAAAACAUGAUGUAUUUUGUUAUUUUAAUCAUGCUAGGCUAGAUUCUUAUUAUGCUAGGAGAUCGAUGAACCAUGUUAUUUGAAUUUUAAUAUCCUCGUUUUGCAAUUUGAUGUUAAGACACAAUUUUUAUUGUUUUGAAUGAUUUAUAUGCAAUUAAUGUUUCCGCAAUUAAGGGCUCGUAAUUGUGUGAAUUUAAGUGAUUUAUUCUUGCAUUCGAGAGAAUUGGAAUAGAUUUGACAUAAGAUAAAUCAUCGUAGGGUCCGAUAGUGGAUAGAAUUAUACCGCUAUGCCCUACGUGAAUCUUUAAGUGUUCAUAAAACUACAUGCAUUUUUUACAUAUGCUCUUGUCAUAGAAAUAUAGACCGGUGGUAUGUAGAAAUAAGUUUGAUAUAUCUCGAGAGAGAGUAUUGGAUAGACUUAGGAACAUUGAUUCGUCACAAUUGAAGUGUGUUGUCAUAUUGUGAAACUAGGGUUUAACGUGAUAAUUGCAUGGGAAAUCGUGAUCCUAGCGUAUUUAAUUUUAAAUAAUUAUAACAAUGUGCGUUCUCAACUUUUAGUUUUAUUCUAGAGUGUUAAAAUAUUAUUUUGAGUUUUAAUUUCAAUUUACUCAUUUAAUUUGCAUAAUUAGGGUUUCUUUUUGAAAUUAGAGUUUUUAAUUAGGUCCAUAUCCACUUUAACAAUCCAGUUUCGGUUAAGGCUACGUUAGAUAAAAUUUGAACUAAUCAAUCUCUGUGGGACGAUAUUCAAACUCAUUGAAUCCACUUUAUUACUUGUUAACGAACCGUACACUUGCGGUAGUUUUAAAUCGAAAGAAAUAAUUUCGCGAACAACCAUUACUUUGACAAAUAUAUUACACGUUCCAAAUAUAAAUCCGGUAAACUUGUAUUAUCCCUUAACGGAAAAUUUGUUGAAAAUAGAUAUUCUUGUGAAGGAAUCGUCAAAUUAUGUACCAUUAACAAAAAAAUUAAUAAAAUUGAUUUUGCUUAUUCUGUUGAUUCAUUUUUAUUGUGGCAUGCUAGAUUAUGUCAUAUUGGUAGAAGUACUAUGAAACAUAUGAAAAAAUGUGAGUUGAUUUCUUGUGAUGAAAAUAAUGAAUAUAAAUGCAAGACAUGUUUAGAAUAUAAGAUGAUUAAAAAAACCUUAUCAAAGUGUGAAAAAGGACAAUGGCUUGUUGACUAGCGGUAGAAAUAGGUAUUUCAUUGCCUUCACUGAUGAUUGCACCAUGUACACGUAUGUUUACUUGAUGAAACGUAAAAAUGAUGCCUUUGAUAUGUUUAAGGUAUAUAAAAGUGAAGCUGAAAAUUAUCUAAGAAAGAAAAUUAAAACCUUAAGAAGUGAUAGAGGCAAUGAGUAUUUUAUAGUGAAUUCAACUUGUUUUGUGAACAAUAUGGCAUAAUUUACCAAUAUUCUGCACUUAGGAGACUCGAAAAAAAUGGUUCAGUUGAAAGGAAAAAUAGGACCUUAGUUGAAAUGAUUAAUGCUAUACUUAUCUAUCCUAUGUUAUUAUUUAACUCGUGGGGUAAAGCAUUAUUAAGUGCAUGUAGGAUACUUGAUAGGAUUUCUUCAAAACAUAUAAAGGUUUCUCCUUACGAAUUGUAGAAAGGAAGGAAACCAAAUAUUAGAUACUUCAAAGUAUGGGGAUGUCUUGUUUAUUGUAAGAACACAAAUCCUAAUAGGAUCAAAUUGGGCUAAGAGGCAUUAAAUGUGCCUUUUUUUAAGAUAUUCUAGCAAUAGCAAAUCUUAUAGGUUGUUAAAUUUGGAGACCAAUGUGAUUAUCAAAUCCAAUGAUGUGGAGUUCUUUGAAGAUUCGUUAUCUUCGAACAAUGAAUUGAGAGAAAAUCUUAAAGAUAUCCCCAGCUCAAGUGAAAUACAAGAAGAGACAUCUUUGAAAGAUGUUAAUGAUCUAGUGAGCCACAAAGAAGUAAAAGAACUUGGGUUGAGAAGUCUUUGGGACCAGAUGAAAUUGAUUAUCAACUUAUCUCCUUUUAUUUAGCAGAGGGAAAUGAGUUGAAUGUUGUAAGAACAAUUCCUUUUGUAUUACAAAUGGAAACUGAUCCUAUGACUUACAAUGAAGCUAUGGCUUCUCAUGAUAGUAUUUUCUGGAAAGAUUCAAUUAAAGAUGAAAUUGAUUCGAUAAUGUAUAACAAUACGUGGGAACUUAUUGAUUUAUCACCCGGAUCCAAAUUAUUGGAUGUAAAUGGGUAUUUAGGAGAAAAUAUAACGUUGACAACUCCUAAAUACUUUAAGGCUAGAUUAGUAGCCAAAGAAUAUCGACAAAAGGAAGGAAUCAAUUAUUUUGAAACCUAUGCACCAAUAGCUAGAAUAACAUUGAUUAUGAUAUUAUUCACAUUAGUUUCAAUACAUGACUUGCAUGUUCAUCAAAUGGAUGUCAAGACGAAAUUUAAAUAGGGAUCUAGAUGAGGAGAUCUAUAUGUAAUAAUUCAAAGGGUUUACCCUACCUAGAAAUGAACAUAAGGUAUGUAAGUUGGUGAAAUCGCAAUAUGGUUUAAAGCAGGCACAUAAGAAAUGGCACGAGAAAUUCGAUUUAGCAAUCAUAUCAUUUGGUUUUUAAGCAUAAUAGUGUAGAUAAAUGCAUAUAUUCUAAGUUAUGUGAUAAUUAUUUGACAUUUAUUUACUUUUAUAUUGAUGAUAUGUUGAUUAUGAGUAAUCACAUGGACGAAAUAGUAGAAAUGAAGAGGUUUCUAUCUUCCACAUUUAAGAUGAAAAAUCUUGGAUAGGUAGAUACCAUUUUAGGUAUCAAAGUCACAAAAACUAGUAGGGGUUACUAUCUAAGUCAAUCACAUUAUAUCGAGAAUAUGAUGAACAAGUUCAAACAUUUGAACGUAAAAGAAUGUAGUACCCCAAUUGAUCCAAGUUCUAAGUUAAUGAAGAAUGAUGAAAGGGCAAUUGCUCAAUUGGAAUGUGCAAGUGCUAUACAGAGUCUUAUGUAUGUAGUACAAUGCACAAGACCGAACAUAGCCUAUGUGAUAAGUAAACUUAGUAGACUUACUAGCAAUUCGAGCAAUGAUCAUUGGAAGGCCAUUGAGAGAGUUCUUAGAUAUUUAAAGAAAACCAAGAACUUAGGCCUACAAUAUAAUAAAUUCCAGGUUGUAUUGGAAAGAUUUACUGAUGCUAGUUAGAUAUCUAGCACGGGAGAAAGUAAGUCCAUUUCGAGUUGGGUGCUCACCUAGGAGGAGGUGCUAUUUCUUGAAAAUAAAAAAAACAAACAUGUAUAACACGACAUGGAAUCCGAAUUUGGCACUAUCGAAAAUCGAGAAAGAGGCCAAGUGGCUUAAGGAUCUCUUUUAUGAGAUACCUUUGGGAUCGAAGAACAUCUCUUUAAUACAUAUCAUGUGCAAUAGUCAAGCCACAUUAGCAAAGGCAUACAACGAGUUAUACAAUGAAAAGUCUAGACAUAUGAAUUUUAGACAUGCCACAUAAGAAAAUUAAUCUAGGAUGGAAUAAUUUCCCUAAAUUAUGUAUGGUCAAUUGAGAAUUUAGCGGAUCUUUUAACUAAACAACUAAAUAGAGAUUUAGUAGCGUCUACUUCAAAUAGGACGGGGUUGAAAUUUCGAAACUGAAAAGGCCCACCAAUGAUGGCAGCCGUACCUGAUAUUACUUAAAAGGUAAUCCACAGGCUCAAAGAGUAACAUCAAGUCAUUCGAUAUGUGGAUAGCUGCAGCAUUAUUUAAAUCUGCUAUAAACCUAUCCUAAUUAAAUAAUGCUGGUUGUUAUUGAAGUGGAGGUUGAGCUUAAAGCUCUUAAUGAAGCUCAGUACUAAAACAUAAGUACCUCCAAAAGUAAUAAAGGUACUAGAAGAACUUCACCUAAACUAACUUUUAGGUGGUGCCGCCUCAAUAGAGAGUUGGAGUCUCUCUUUUAAAAGUUUGUGAGAAGGAUGAGCACAAGGCCAUAAUUACGCUAAGCGAGCUAUGAGAAACUUGAGAACACGUGAUACUCGUGUGUGUGUGUGUGUGUUCUUACCAGUAUAGUCACAUAGAAUAACUCGUUUAAAACUUCAUGCUACCUUUGAUUCUGACUUUACCUUGUUUGAAUUACACUAUGGUUAGAUUCAAAUUGGAAAAUAUCUAAUCCUUAUGCAUGAGUAUCAUAUACUUUGAAUAUGAGACUUUAUUGAAAUUGAACAAGUGGGGGAUUGUUAAGAAAUGUUGUUCAAAUCAACAAAGGAAAAGUUGGAAUGGAAAAAGGGAAUGGUAGCCAUGAGUAUUGUCCAUGCAACCGUAUAGGCCAUAUGGCCGUGUGGUCGCAUAGCCAUAUGCCGAGAGUUUGAGGCUCGGCUACAAAUAUACCACACAACCGCAUGAAGUUGUACCAUGCGGUCGCAUGGUAUAUUAUUUUUGAUCGUUAUGUGGCCAUUUUUAGCCAUUAUGAAUUCAAAUUAUAAUGGAGAUAUAUAUAUAUAUAUAUAUAUAUAUAUAUAUAUAUAUAUAUAUAUAUAUGAGAUCAAUAUACAAGCUAUUGAGUAUCAAAAACACUUGAGAUUCAUUCCUCAUUCCACAAUCAAAGAUCAAACACUAGUUUUAAUUCAUAUUCAAUUUAUCUUAUUGUGUUCUUUAAGUUUUGGAGGAUUUCACUUUGUGCUUUAGUGAAAAAUCCUUUACAAGGCUUGUUAUAAUCCUUCAAACCAUUUUUCGGAAUACCUUUAAGCAUCUCAUUCAAUUAGGAGAGGAGAAAAAUAUUGUUUGAGGCCAACGAUAUUGUGUUCGGGCCUUCGAUUUUAUCUUUACAAAUUUCUUGGUUUGAUUCAUAACCUACUGUAUUUUUUUUUUCUUUUUUUGGUUUCUUCCCCAUCACUCCAUUGUUCUAACAACGCCAGCAAAAGUAUAGAGUGGAGAAGAUUGCGAAAAUGGCUCCUGGUGUUUCAUUCAGCAACUACUUUCUUCUUAUCCAUUCUUCUUCCCUAUUUCAAAUCAUCAUCCACCCAUUUCUUUCCUAUAUUAACCCAAAAAAUUUCCAACAACAUUCAUAGAUGCUACUUCACUCUCCUUAUCCUUCUGCCAACAAGGUUUGUGUUCUCUAAUUCCUUCUAAUUCUAAUCAUUACUUAUUCUAGCUCAAAAUCAGUGCUCGUCCUGUGAUUUUAGGGGCCUGAGACAAACUUCAUAAAUUAGGUCUCCAAAAUUGUAUUAUACGUGCAAAAUUUAUAAGCGUAUCAUGUAACCAUUUGUUAACUUCUUAACUUAAAAUGUAACAGUAAAACCAAAAAAAAAAAAAAAUGUGUUAUAAAUUUUUUAUUAUAAUCAACUAACAGAGCAGACAAUGUUCCAAAAGAUCAACUAAAUACUAUUCGCCUUGCAGUUUUAUAGGGUCCUCCAAAUUUUUACAUUGAACAUUAUCUUCUUCCUUUUCAUCUAUUUCAUUUACACUGACAAGUUGAAUCACUUCUUCACUCUCAGCAAAUUCAUUCACAUUAUUUCUUUUAAAAUACUUGUCAAUAUUUCCUGCUUGACUUUGAAUUAAUGCCAUCUCAUUUUAUUUCCUUUUUCUUUUUUGAGCUCCAGACUCAUAUUUAGGAGGCAUGGUAUACGAAUGUUUUCAAGUGAUUAAGCUAAAAUUGAUAAUAAUAAAAUAUUUCAAUCAUCUCACAAUUAAAAUAUUCAACAUAAUCACUAUGUGCGCCUGUGCAAUUGGUCCUAUGAUUAAACGCUAAUAAAAGUCAAUAUAACCCAACAAUGUUACAAUACCUCAAUGUAAUCACAUAAACCGAAAAAGCCAAAAUGAUAUAAGCAAACAUUUCUUAAUAAAAAAGCAAGUGCAAGUCAUUGCUUACAUGAGAAGUAUGACUUGAGCAAAAAUUAUGAAAUGAAACAAUUCGAUACUUUGAGAGUUCCACCAUCGCAACUCACAAUCCUAAAAUUAAAAUUUAACAACAACCAUAACAACCGAUUAGAAUAAUUUUCUAAAAAUUAACGGAAGUCAUUGUUCGAAAAUUAAAAUCCAAGUUCGCACUUUAGAUAGCAUUCAUGUAAAGGUAAUUGAGACGCUUCUACUUGAAUUCGACAAGAAAUUUCAAAGGCGAACUCAUACCAAAAUGUCGGGCCAAUCGAACAGAAUAAUGAAAGAAAUAAAAAAUAAAUAUGACCUUCAUUAUUUAGAGGGAAAAAAACUAAAAAGCCUAAAUGAGAAGGGAUCAUAGUUUUUCAUAUGAUAAAUUUAACAACAUUAAAGAACAAGAUUAUUAAAAUCUUAAGUUUCUGGAAGAAAAAAUUAGUUGCAAAGUGAACAACAUUAAACAGCAAAUGAACUUGAUGAUUUCUCCAAUAGUUGAAAAGUGUAGUAUGGCUAUGGAAACGUCAACAAACAGAUAUAUCAUUCCCGGUUCCUGUAUAAUUUUGCAGAGGAAUUAUCUUUGAAAUUAGUUUGACACAUAUGAAAUCGGGAAUUCUGACUUCUGAGGCAAGAGAACAAGAAACACAUAUAAAUUCAAAGUCUAAUGACUGAUUAUUUAUUCCUCCACAAAAUUUUGAGAAACAAAGGCCAAUUAUCUAUUCCAAGGUUUUAUUUAUUACUGAUGUUCAUGUAAUCACCAUCAUACUAAGAAUUAAUUCAGAAACAACAACUAAGAAUCAAUUAAAUCACUCAAAAGGAAAACCCCAUAAUUCUUAUGCACAGAAUGUCAAAAACCACAAACCCGACAACACAAAUCCGAUUAACGUAGGUAGGGAAGGUUGGACGGCGCUCGGAGAAGUAAGAAGAUCGCCUUAUGUCCUUGUAAUGCCGUUUGGCAGUUUGGGUUGUUCAAUAAUUUGGAUUUUGAUUUGCAAGAGACCAGGGGCCGAACGACAAUGGAUACCAAUGCCAAGAAAUUUGUUAUUCCCUUUUUUAGGGGAAAAAAAGAAUUCAAAGGCCCCUUAAAUUAUUGGGCCUCAUGUGCCUCAUAAUAGGAUCAGGCCUGCUCAAAAUCUCCCAGCCAAGAUUGUUUCUUGGCACUUAUGUACCUUGCUCUAUUUGUGCCAAUUCUAAAUCGAGCUAAGUACAGGAAGCAUUGGUCUUUAUCUGUGAAGGGAUUUUUGUGUUAAAUGAUAUAUGUGAAAUAACUAUUGAUUGUAUUCUAUUUUUUUGUUGUUGAUUUGAUAUCAUGGCUAUUUCAGGAUUUUGGUUUUCACUUGAGAGGAAGCCCUACAAAGACCUUAAUGCACAUAUGUGAGCUGUUUGAUAGUUAAUUGGCUCGAUUACUGCUGCUGAGGGGCUACGCUUUGUUAUUAUCUGCACUGCCAUCUAGAUAUUUGAUCUAGUUAAUUAUGUCUAUUACAUUGAUAUUGGGUGUUUGUUUUUAUUUUUAGCUAUUGAAUUUAAGGCCCAAUUUCUAUUUUUCUUCCACCCCCACUCCCCCAAUGGAGGAUUGGUGUUCAUUUUGCUUGUUCCAAAUUCUGGCUUCUUCUUGGUCUGUAAAAGGUGGUGGCACGUUACAAUGAAAUUAUCACAAAGCCUCUACUAGAGGGAGCUUUGGAAACUUUCAAGAAACACUCAGUUAAAGAAGAAGAUUGUGUUGGGUUGUGUGCUCGUAUAGUAUAGUUUUACUGAUGUAAAAAUAACAAGAUUUUUUAUCUUUAAUAAAAUUUUGUUUACUUUAUUUAUUGCAUUUAUUUAUUAUUAAGUAUGCAAAAUUAAAGUGCCUAUGAUCAGUUGUGAAACGAGUUGGGUACUUGAGUUGAGAAGUACAGUGUGACACAACUUAUAUUUUGAUCAUAAAUAAUUGUUCACAACCAAUGUAUAAGGGUUGGAACCUUGUAUUGGAAGAUUGUAGUGUUGACCGAUUCACUAUUCAGGUUUGUGAUUUGCCCUUAUCACAGAAAUAGUUAAAGGUGACACUAGUACACUUGGAGUGUAUUGAACGGACCGCGUGUUGAAUUUAAUUCCAUAGCAUGACCGUGCGGAGAAUUAAAUUUCACUUGACGGUUGUGUAUUUCAUCUAAAUCCCUUACAGAAUUAUGUAUAUCUUUCGUGAUUUUUAAUGGUUCUUUGAUUCAUCAAUGGGUGAGAUCAAUUUGAUUGAUCAAAUAUCUCGAUGAGAUGGAAACUUGAGAAUGAGCGGAGUAGAGAACAUGAAUUCUUGUCGAGAACCGUCACCUUGAAAAUGGGUAGAGUGACUACUUAAGUACUUUCUAUUGAACGGUUAAAAUCUGAUCUUAGUAUUUAGCAACGGCUAAACUUCGACAUCCGUGAUUUGUUCACAGGACCGUUGAAAAAAAUGAAACUUAAGUUAGUGAGAAUAACUAGAGGAGCAAAAAGGUCAUUUUUACUUGUUCCUAAUUAUCAUAUCUCAGACGGGGAUAAAAUACAUAUACGGCAGGUCAAAGGAAAGUAUUAUAGAUUUAUUGGGUAGUCUAGGGUCGGCUAGACAGGAUUUAAUUAUUGGAGCUUGAAAAAUAUAUGCCUAAGUCCCUGUGGUAGGUUCAUAAAGUAAUGGAGCUUAAUUACGGUAAUUAUAAUAGUUUUGAGCUUAAUUGUAAUUACAAUAAAGUUUUGUACUUGAUUGUAAUUUCUAAGAAAAUUAUAAACUUAAUUGUAAUAGUAAUUAAAGUUCUAGGACUACACAUGCAAUUAAAUGUAAACUAAUUAGAAUUGGACUUAAAUUAGAACUCCUACUUGAGUUUUAAUUAGAACUCUUGUUUGAAUGUGGAAUUAUAAUUGUACUAGAAUUGUAUCAUCUUUUUCUCUAUAAAUAGAGACUAGAUGGACAAAAAAAUACUACAACAUUCAUAAUUCCAUAAGAUUCAGAUUUAGAGAGAGAAAAAGAGAGGGAAAAUAAUUUAUUUUCUUGUUAUCCAAAAUUCAAGAAUUAGUUUCUGGAUUAAUUGAAAGAAGGUGCCCACACACCGGUGUUGUCUUUGCGUUGAAGAAUACCAUAGAAGGCUUGAAGAUCUGAAACACCAAGAUUCUUGCAAUUAAAGGAGAUGGAAGUUCGCGGAUCAAAGUUAAUUCAAGGUUGAUCAUUGAACUUAAGCAAAUUAUUCGAAUCCUUUAAUUUUGAUAUAACAUACACGUGAACAUCUAGACGAUCUUGCUUAUUGAAUUAAAGAAAAUUUUAAUUCUGGAUAAUUACGCUUCCGCAUUCCAACGACUGGUAUCAGAGCAAUCUAGAUCAUUCACGUCCUUGUUAUUUAUGAAUCUUGAUUGCAUGUUCUAGUUGAGCAAUGUCUAGGAAUAAUUUAUUAUAUGUUGAUUGAAUGAUUGGAUUAUUUUAAAUUGUGAACUAAUUAUUUGUGGCCAGUUCUUGAUUGUAAUUCGUUAUUUCGAGUCUGUAACAAUAUAGGUGGAUUACGACUCCAUCAUCUUGAUAUAAUUUUCUGUUCAAUUAGAUUCAAAAUUUGUGAGCCUACGGGAUAUAGGAAUUUAUGUAAUUCUUGUAAUUUUUGAAUCUUGCGAAUUGAUUGAAGACAAAGACGAAGAUUGAAGACGCAGGAUGAAAAAUUCAAAAAAAAAAAAAAGGAUGGUAGUUUCAAUUGCACAAAGUGAUCGUCCAUGGUCCGUUCGUAAAAAGGCUGGAAUAUUACAUGUUGGACAACAAACCAAUAUAGUUAAUUGCCUUGGUUCUAGAAAUGUGGGCCACCAUCAACAAAUAAAUAUUCUGAACGGCACAAUUGGGUUAUUAAUUCUCCAAAGGGUAACAUUGAUGACAAACAAGCUUUGCAAAAAAAAAAAAGAAUUAAAUAAUGGAAUAAAUUGCUGUUGAUGGGGAACUGCCAUGAUAGAUGCAUCGAAUUGCGGCAGAAGGAUUAGAAGCAGCAUCUAUAUUUACGCAAUGGGUCAAUUGGAAUUUUGUUUUGGACAGUGUCUUAUUGUUGUUAGAAUUGCUACACUGGAUCCUUGAAUAUUUUGGACUGAAGAUUUAGAUUAGAUAUUGGGCUUGGAUCCAAUUAGGUUUUAAUUUAUUUCUUGAGUCGUGUUUGGGCCACAAAUAAUUACUAAUUUAUCGCUUUAUGAAUGCUUUAAAUUAUUGUUUGAAAUACUGUCAUUCUAGAUAUCAUGACAUAUAUAUUUAUUUGUGACAUCGUUCGUGAUACUAUGAAUAGGAUGUAUAGCAUUAAACACGGAUUUUUCUUUGAUUAAUUUAAUUUAAAUUAAAUUUUUCUGAAUAGAAAAAUUGUAAUAAUUAAACUGUAUAUUAAUUUAAUUAAUAUGAAUAGUUGGUAAUUAUUUCAAUUAAUAUCCAUUAUUCUAAAAGAUUGAGUGGGAGAGGGUGUUUAUUUAAAUAAAAACCCACGGUCUCAUUUGGUCAAUCCAUAAGCAAAGUAACACGCUUGCCUCGUGCCGGUAAUGCAAUGGAUUCCCUAUAGGAGGGUCUCGUGGUUCAAGUUGUUUGAUUGGAUUUCUUUAUGAUAAAGUUGUCUAAAUAGAAUAUAAUUUGUGAUCAUCCUAUAGAUGGGGAAAUUAUUUUCAAGUGUUUAGAGAUUCAGACAAAGGUUUGUACACUCAAAUCAAAAUUAUCUACGAACCUCCUAUAGAGGCUCUCGUUUAUAAUUUUGGUGACCAAAUAAAAUGAUGCUAGGCUUAAUAUAGACAUUUGUCGUCAGAUAUAUUUUGUUUAGUGGGAGGGUCUCAGCUUGAUCAGUGGACACAUUGACCUUUCCUAUAGAGAGGCAUGUUGGAUCACAGGGAUCAAGUCAUCGUUGCAUUAUUGUAGUUAGAUGGAUCUACACAUGCAUUCAUGCAUCAUAUGCUAAAUUAUCAUUCACUGCUCAAUUUUUAAUAUGUAAUAAAUUAUUAUUUUUCAGCAAGAUGUCUCUCAGCGCUUUUUUCGUUAUUCUAAAAAAAACCAACUUGUCGGGGAUAAUUAUGUGGAUUGGAAACGUAAUUUGAUGUUUGUGCUUAUUGCCGAAAAACUUGACUCUAUGCUCGAAGAAGAAUGUCUCGAGGUACGUACCGAGACUACGGGCAAGUCCAAGAGGGCUGCAUAUGAUAAGUGGAUCGCUCCUGACAGGAUGGCUCGCUAUUACAUUUUGGCAUCCAUAUCAAACGUGUUACAGCAAAAGCUUGAAAGUGAGGAGAUCUCUUAUGAUAUACUAGAAAACCUGAAUGUAGGUUGUCAACGAGCCGAGCCGAGCCAAAACUCGAGGCUCAAGCUCGGCUCAAGUAAAAUGGGAAGAACUUUUUACGGCCAGAGCCGAGCAGAGCAAAAGCUCGGUCAAAAAAAUUGGGCUCGACCCAAGCUUUCGGCUCGGGCCUUAGCACUUGGCUCGAUUUUUUUUUAUUUUUUUUAACAAAUCUAACAUUUUUUAAAAGAAUUUAAAAAUUGUGCAACUUAUACGAACUAUAUAUUAAAUAAAAGUUACAACUUACAACUCUUUUUUUUUUCAGUUUGAAAAAUCCAUCUAUAACUAUUAUAAUAAAAGAUAAUGAAUAUUAGAACAAAGAAAUUGAAGUUGAAACUACAAUAUUUCAAGUUGAAAACAAUUAAAGCAAAUUGAUAGAAAAUUCAAAAUUUUGUCCCUAUUUUUUAGCAAAAGAAAAAAAAUUUUAACUUAACCAAAUUUAAAUUUCGCAUUUAUUCAAAAAUUUGGACGCUAACUACUUGUAUAUUCGUUGCCCUAACAGGCAGUUUAUAUAGCUGCCUGUUUCAAGGCAGCUACACAUUUUUUUAAUAAAUAAUUUUUUUAUUUUAUGGCCUUAGUUAGUCUAUACGUAAUUUUUUUAUAUUUUCACGGGCUGGCCCAAGCUCGAGCUGAUGCCCCAAAAUGGGGCUCGGCCUGAGCCUUUGCUUGAUUUCUUCAAGCCACGAGUUGGGCCGGCUCGGGCUUUUCUCGAGUCGAGCCACCCGAGCCGAUGAGCCUUUUUGACAUCCCUACCUGAAGGGCAUGUUUGGACAUCAAAGUAGGAGGGCUCGCUUUGAGGCCAUUCGUACCUUACAGAACAUCAGCAUGAAACCCGGAAUGCCUCUAAAGGAUCAUAUGUUGACUAUGAUUUUAUACUUCAACGUGGCGGAGAAUCUGGGUACAACUAUUGAUCAAGAAACUCAAGUUGAUAUGGGGUUGAAUUCUUUAUCUGAUAUGAUUUCACAGUUUACUGUGGACUAUCACUUGCACAAAAUGAAUAUGCCAUUAGCUGAGUUGAUGAAUGAGCUGCAAAAUGUGGAAAGUGGUCUCAAGGGUAAGGCUGGCCAUGCUCAUGUGGCAAUUGCUAGCUCCUCUAGCUCCAAGCUAAAAGGAGAAAUUGGAAAGAAGAGGAAGAGAUCUAACAAGAAGCUAAGAAGCAACAAAAAGCCCAAAUCAGAUGGAACACCGAAAGGCAAGUGUUUCCACUGUAGUUGCAAAGGACACUGGAAGAAAGACUGCCAUGAUGCACUAGCUAAAAAGCUGGGCGUUGUGAGUUUUUUAUUGCUGAGUCAUGUUUGGUGGUUGAUUCUACAAAUUCUUGGGUUGUAGACUCUGGAGCCACUAAUCAUAUAUGCAUGUCUAUGCAGGUGCUUCAAGAGAGCAGAAGAAUCAGUGAGGGCCAGUUUAAAAUUACUUUCGGCACAGGAGCUAUAGUUUCAGCAAGAGCAAUAGGAGUAGUUUACUUUUAUUUCAAUAGUGGUAGGGUUUAAUUCUUAAAGACUGUUAUUAUGUCCCAUAGAUGAAGCAGAAUUUGAUUUCUAUUUCUUGUUUAAUAGGACAAGGUUAUUCUGUAAACUCUGUGCAUGAUGCGCUUUAUAUUCUAAAUAAUAAAGCCCCUAUUUGUCCUGGAUAUUUGGUGAAUGGUCUUUAUAUUUUAAAUUGUGCCACAAAUGAAAUAAAUGUUACUUCUGCAAACCAUGAAUGAACAUCUAACCGUACCAGUGAUACUCAUUUAUGGCAUCUUAGACUUGGACAUAUUAACGUUAACAGGAUACAAAGAUUGGCUAAAGAUGGUCCACUUAACACAUUUAAGGUUAAACCAUUGCAAGUUUGUGAUUCUUGUUUGGAGGGUAAAAUGACCAAGAGAUCUUUUCUAGCAAAAGGACAUAGAGCCAAAGCAGUAUUAGAACUAGUUCAUUCUGAUGUAUGUGGACCCAUGAAUACACCCGCGAGUGGGGGUUAUGAGUAUUUUAUCACUUUUAUCAAUGAUUACUCUAGAUUUGGAUACAUCUACCUAAUGACUCGAAAGUCAGAUGCUUUUGAAAAAUUCAAAGAGUAUCAGGCUAAGGUCGAGAAAUAUUUGGGUAAUAGUAUUAAGACACUUCAAUCAGAUCGAGGUGGCGAAUAUCUCUCGGGAGAAUUCAGGGACUACUUGACAGAAAAUGGUAUUGUUUCUCAACUGAGUACGUCGGGUACACCCUAACAGAAUGGCGUUUUAGAAAGGAGAAACAUGACAUUGUUAGAUAUGGUUAGGUCAAUGAUGAGUUUCGCAACUCUACCUACCUCAUUUUAGGGAUAUGUACUGAAAACAACAGCAUAUGAUCUUAACUUAGUUUCUUCUAAAUCGGUUCCCAAGACUCCCCUAGAAUUAUGGAAUGGACGCAAGUCUAGCUUUCAUUAUAUUCGAAUUUGGGGAUGUCCGGCUCAUGUGCUGAAAGGGAAGUCAGAGAAGUUGGAGUCUAGAUCAGAGAUAUGUCUAUUUGUGGGAUACCCUAAAGGUACCAAGGGAUAUUAUUUUUAUAGUCCUCUAGAUAGGAAAUCUUUGUUAGCACAAAUGCUACUUUCCUAGAGGAUAAGUAUAUUAAUGAACGUUAGUCCAAAAGUAAGGUUGUGUUGGAAGAAAUGAGUGGGAGCAGUUCCACCACAUCGAUUCCUGAAACACAAUCUCAUGACAGACAACCCUUGGUGUUAGAUAUACCUAAACAAUGUGUUUUGAGUGGGAGAGAUGAGUCAUCCAAUCCCAUGGAUCAAGUAAAUGUUCAAGGUAUUGAGGAGAUAAUGGAACCACCUAAUGGUGAUACCAACAUUGAUACAAAUGUUACAAUUCCAAAUGAUGCCACAGUUCAGGAUCUACCGUCCCUUAGAUAAAGUCAGAGGGUUAUCAGACCACCUUCUAGGUACUUGUUGGUUGGAGAGUCCAAUCAGGCGAUCUCCACAACACAAGUUGAUGACGUGACAUCAUCUAAGAAGGCCAUGAAUGAUGUGGAUGCAGAUUUAUGGCAACAAGCUAUGAAUACUGAAAUGGAAUCUAUGCAUUCUAAUUAGGUUUGGAAACUUGUAGAUGCACCAGAAGGGAUAAAACCCAUUGGGUGCAAGUGGGUCUAUAAGAGAAAGAGAGGAGGAGAUAGGAAAGUGGAAACUUUCAAAGCAAGGCUAGUGGCUAAGGGUUUUACCCAACGAGAAGGCAUCGAUUACGAGGAGACCUUUUCGCCUAUGGCUAUGCUUAAGUCUAUCUGGAUUCUUUUAUCCAUUGUAGCUCAUUCUGAUUAUGAGGUGUGGUAGAUGGAUGUCAAGAAGGCAUUUUUGAAUGGCUAUCUUGAGGAAUGUAUCUAUAUGAUGCAACCAGACAGAUUCAUAGAACCUGGUCAUGAAGACAAAGUCUGCAAGCUUCAGUGGUCCAUUUAUGGGUUGAAGCAAGCAUCAAGAUCUUGAAACAAGAGAUUUGGCGAAGUGAUUAAGACAAAUGGUUUUGAUCGGAACUUUGACAAACCCUGUGUCUAUAAAAAGAUACAGGAGAAAAUUGUAAUUUUUCUCGUGCUAUAUGUGGAUGAUAUUAUGUUCAUUGGAAAUGAUGUUGGAGCAUUAUCGUCUAUGAAAGUGUGGCUAGCCCAACAGUUUUAUAUGAAGGACUUAGGAAAAGCUAGCUAUAUUAUAGGUGUUUAGAUCUUAAGAGAUCGAAAGAACAAGCAGAUAGCUCUAUCCCAACUUCAUACAUUGAAUAAAUACUUGUCAGAUUUGCCAUGCAAGAUUCCAAGAAAGGUAAUUUACCUUUCAAACAUGGAAUACAACUCUCUAAGGAUCAGUCCCUUAAGACUCCUAAAGAGGUAGAACGCAUGAGUAGGAUACCUUAUGCAUCGACAGUUGGUAUUCUCGUGUAUGCUAUGAUGUGCACUAGACCUAACAUUUGUUAUGCUGUUGGUAUGGUGAGUCGAUAUCAAUCUAACCCUGGACCGGAACACUGGGUGGCUGUAAAACGUAUCUUGUAGUACCUUCGAAGGACCAGGAAUCACAUGCUAGUUUACUCAUCACCAGAUCUUGUUGCAGUGGGUUAUACAGAUUUAGACUUCCAGGCUGAUAAGGAUUCCCGCAAGUCUAUAUCAAGAUCACUGUUUACACUUGGUGGUGGGGCCAUUAUUUGGAGAAGUAUCAAACAAUCAUGUAUUACUAAUUCCACCAUAGAGGCUGAAUAUGUGGCAGCUUGUGAAUCCGCUAAGGAAGCGGUGUGACUCAAAAAGUUCCUAACGGAUAUCGAGGUGGUCCCUGCAUCUGCACAACCCCUGAUGCUGUACUGUGAUAACAAUGGGGCAAUGGCAAAUGCUAAAGAACCAAUGAGUCAUCAAAGGGGUAAACAUAUUGAAUGGAAAUAUCAUCUCUUGAGAGAGAUAGUUAAUAGAGGAGAUGUGAUUGUCAAUAAAAUUGCUAUUGGGGAUAACCUCGCAGAUCCAUUUACAAAGAGUCUAUCGGCUAAGGUUUUUAAUGGACAUGUACGAGGCAUGGGGUUACAGGACAUGACACAUAUACUCUCGGGCAAGUGGGAGAUUUGUUGGGUUGUGUGCCCAUAUAGUAUAGUUUUGCUAAUGUAAAAAUAACAAUAUUUUUUUAUAUUGAAUAAAAUUAUGUUCACUUUAUUUAUUGAAUUUAUUUAUUAUUGAGCAUGAGAAAUUAAAGUGUCUAUGAUCACUUGUGAAAUGAGUUGAGUACUUGCGCUGAGAAGUACAGUGUGACACAACUUAUAUUUUGAUCAUAAAUAAUUUUUUCACAACCAAUGUAUAAGGGUUGGCACCUUGUACUGGAAGGUUGUAGUGUUGACCGAUUUACUAUUCAGGUUUAUGAUUUGUCCUUAUCACAGAAAUUGUUAAAGGUGAUACUAGUACACUUGGAGUGUAUUGAACGGAUCGCGUGUUGAAUUUAAUUCUAUAGCAUGACUAUGUGGAGAAUUAAAUUCCACUUGACGGGUGUGUAUUUCAUCUAAAUCUCUUGAUAGAAAUAUGUAUAUCUUUUUGUGAUUUUUAUUGGAUAUUUGAUUCAUCAAUGGUUGAGAUUCAUCAAUAGUUGAGAUCAAUUUGAUUGGUUAAAUAGCUCGAUGAGUUGGGAACUUGAGAAUGAGCGGAGUAGAGAUCAUGAAUUCGUGUCGGAAACCAUCACCUUGAAAAUGGGUAGAGUGACUACUUAAAUACUUUCUGUUGAAUUGUUAAAAUCUGAACUCAGCGUUUAGCAACAGCUAAACUUCGACAUCUGUGAUUUGUUCACAGGACCGUUGAAGAAAAUGACUUAAGUUAAUGAGAAUAAUUAGAGGGGAAAAAUGGUCAUUUAUGCUCAUACCUAAUUAUUGAAUCUCAGAUGGGGAUAAAAUACAUAUACGACAGGUCAGAGGAAGGUAUUACAGAUUUAUUGGCUUCUGUGAUCUUAUAUAUUCCGAGAGUUUAGUCUUUUGCCUUUAGUGGAAAAAACAAAGACUAAUAAUUAGAUUGGGUGGUCUAGGAUGGGCUAGACAUGAUCUAAUUAUUGGAGCUUGAAAAAUAUAUGUCCGAUCAGGUCCCUGUGGUAGCUCCAUAAAGUAUUGGAACUUAAUUACGGUAAUUAUAAUAAUUUGGGCCUAAUAUUCAUUAGAAUAAAGUUUUGUACUUGGUUGUAAUUACUAUGAAAGUUAUAAACUUAAUUGUAAUUGUAAUUAAAGUUCUAGGACUACACAUGCAAUUAAAUAUAAACUAAUUAGAAUUGGACUUAAAUUAGAACUCCUACUUGAGUUUUAAUUAGAACUCUUGUUUGAAUGUUGAAUUAUAAUUGUACUAGAAUUGUAUCAUCUUUCUCUAUAAAUAGAGGCUAGAUGGACAGAAAAAUAUUAAAACAUUCAUAAUUCCUUAAGAUUCAAAUUUAAAGAGAGAAAAUAGUUUAUUUUCUUGUUGUCCAAAAUUCAAGAAUUAAUUUUUGGAUUAAUUGAAAGAAGGUGCCCACACAUCGGUGUAGUCUUUGCAUUGGAGAAUACCAUAGAAGGCUUGAAAGUUUGAAGCACCAAGAUUGAUAUGAUCCAGGAGUCGAGCCCGACGAAGGCAAGUGCGAGACGAGAUCCGUUGAUAGUCGAUGGCGGACCAAUAACGCGAUCAAGGGCAAAGCAAAUGAAACAAGCGAUGGGAUUGCUCGUUCAAGAAACCAUUGAUGGAACCAUGUUCGAGACUCAAAAUAGAGCAACUUUCAUGUUCGGGUCGAAGGCCGAAUCAACUUGGAUCAAUUUGUUAUCAAGCGACGAAACCAGAGGCUGGAAAUAAGCCUGUGCAACCGCACAGCAAAAACACCAUGCGGCCGCAUGGUGGCAUACCGAAAUUUAAAUUGGGAUUUUUGUUGAACCAUGCGACCGCAUGGAAAUAUACCAUGCGGCCGCACAGGCAAAAAAUUUGGCGAAUUUUCCAAUUUUGGUAAUUUUUCAUAAUUUGUUAGAUUUUGAUUCUUUUCCAUAUUUUGGAGAUUAUGCUCGACUUUUGCACGAUUUUUACCUAGUUUUUAGGUUUAGUAUAAGGAGGAGUUUCCAUUUAAUUGUUGAAAACCUUUUUGACAUUAUUGAUAUUGAAUUAAAGUGAGGCGUAUUGUCUUCUCUUCAUCUUUUUUCAUUGAACAACUUCGAACUUAUCAAGUGUUAACUUGUGGCGUUCAAAUAACUGGAUUUAAUUCUUGGAUUGCAUGAUCAAGGGGUCUUUCAAGCGUCGUUCUUGUUGGAUUUUUUGGUUCGACUUUCUUUUGGGUUAAUCCUAAACUUUGGAUUAAUUUGGCUUUCUUGUGUUCAUCAAUCUCGUUGUGGGUUUCGUAGUCAACGUUGCUACGAUGUUCGCAUCAAAGAUUCUUUCAAUUAAAGGAGAUGAAAGUUCGCAGAUCAGAGUUAAUUCGAGGUUGAUCAUUGAACUUAGGUAAAAUAUUCGAAUCCUUUAAUUUUGAUAUAAUAUACACGUGAACAUUUAGACGAUCUUGCUCAUUGAAUUAAAGAAAAUUUAAAUUUCUGGAUAAUUCCGCUUCCGCAUUACAACAGAUUGAUGUGAGUAACCAACUGCUAACAAUUUUUGCUUCUUCAUUUGUUUCCAUCUCAGAACGCUAAUGCAAUUUUAUUAUUGUGUUUGGCUGUAGUCUCAGAUCUUUUGCAUGCUAUUACUUGUCAUUGGUAGAGUUUAUGAACAUAAAUUAAGCGAGCUAUAUGGAUGAUUAGAAUGCUGAGAUAACCUGUUUAUAUGUCUUUAUCUAUGACGGAAAUGUUAUCUUUGUCACUAUACGCAUGUUCCUGUUUCUUGAAGACUGAAGUUAUUUGACAUCGCUCAGUUGGCCCCUAUCUUGCCAAUUACCAGCUUCUAUUUAGCUCGGUCUUGCAGCAUUAAUUUUACGUAGUUGAUAACUUUUCCGUACCAUGAUAAAUGCGGGUUUAUUGCACUCAUUCAGACUAUUAAACUUAGAUACUUGCGCGUUUUAUUAGCGAUUUAUUACUUAUUUUUCUUAUUUUUAUUUUGUAGGUAAAAACCAGAGAUUAAACGAUGAAUUGAAGGAAUUUAUGUGACAAACGAGCUAAAGAUGAUGGCAAACAAAGAAAGACGACCAAAGACGCCACCGAAAGAAGAUUUUAAAAAAAUUAAAAACAGUAAAUGGGGCAGUGAACUGGGCGUCUGCCCAGUUUUGGGUAGAAGGCGCCAGCCGGGUCACUUUAAUUAUUCCCUUAAAUUUUAGGGACCAAAAGCUGCAAUUCCCUUAGGUUUUACUUCAAAGCCCACUGAAUUGCCAGAGGCUAGGGGCUUUUCUUUUUCUGCAAUUUUUGGGAAGCGGCUGGAGCAUUUUGUUUUAUUUUCUUUCCUUUUUUUAUUUUUUCUUUUUCUUCCAUCUUUUAGCUUGGUUUCCUUGGAUAUUUUGGAGAAAAUUUGGGGGAUGAUUAUGGUGAAGUAGCUUGGAGAAGAAGAUGAUUUGAUAUUGAAGAAACCCUCAACUAUUUUUCAAUUAUCAAUAAGCUUUUCUUUCCCUAUUUUCCAUUAUUGUGUUGUAAGAAUUUGAUGCUUAUUUGUGAAUAUUUCAUGGGUAACUAAAUAUAUAUGUGAUUGGGGAUUAUUUCAAACCCUACUUAUGAUUUUUAAUUAAUUUGUGCUUUAUAGUUCUCUUGAUUGAUGUGUUUAAUUCAUCGUGUUAAAUAUUUAUUUUGUUCUUCUUGGUUGUUUAGUUGUACAACUAAAUGAUUAAGUUGUUUCGAUAAAUGCUAUUUUGAGAUUAGCAGUACAUAAUAGCUAUUGAUUCUAAAACCUAGUAGUAAUUACAUUUCGAUGGAUUAUGAAGAAUUUUCAAUUGAAUGUAUGUGGAUUAACACUUAAAUUAGUAAACUGAGCUUGCGAGUUUACCCUUAAUUCAAUUAAUCUCUUUUGUCGUAAUGUGUUUGUUAAAUUAAAUCUAGAGAGCUUGUUCUAGGUUGUUUAAUGAAUAGGGUCGAGUAAAGAGCUUGUUUUAUUCGACUAACAUGUAAGGAGAGAUUGAGAUAAUUGAGCUUGUAAUUAUUUUCGAAUUGUUGUUAAUCUUGAAAUCGAAAAUCUAUUGUGGUAAUUGACAUGAAAGUCAUUCUCGUGGUGACGAAAUAUCCCCCAAUCACAUUUUCUAGUAUUCAAUAGACAACCACUUUGUUUAUUUCAAGUUUCAAAUAUUCUCUAUUUCGAAUUUAUCGCUUUACUUAGUUAAACGAACCAAACCCCCCCACCCAUUUAAUCAAUUUUGUAUAUAAUCGCUAGUUUUACUUUUUAGUGUGCAAUUGACAAAAUUGAACCAAUCCUCUAUGGGAAAUGACCCUUAUUUACCAUUUUACUAUUUAAGAAGACACUUUUAAGUUAAGUAAGGAAAAGUAAUUGGAACGUGAUUUGCAACGUAUCAAUUUUGGCGUCGUGUCGCCAGGGAUCGUUCUAUCAAUUUGUUAAUUGCAAUAUUUUUUCUUUUUGUUGUUUUUCUAUAUAUUUUGGUUAUUUUCUUUAUCAUUUAGGUUGUGAAUGAGCAAAAAGCCUAUAACACACUGCAACCUAAGAUCAAGAAAGAGGCCGACACAUCGGAAAGUGAAGAAACCAUUUUUCCAACUAGACAUCUAAGGCGACUAAGCAUUGAAUCCUCAAGUGAGUCCGAACACAUAGAAUCUGAAAUGGCGGAUAAAUUUUGUUCAAUAACCUCUAUGCAUUCAAUAUCCUCAAGUGGAGGUGGGAUUUGAACUAAAGUUCGGAAUGAUUCAUCUACUCCCCACAUUUCAUGGAUUCGCUGGAGAGGAUCCAAAUAAGCAUUUGAAGAAGUUUCAUUAGUUCGCUCAAGCAUGAAACCUGUGGGUAUAUCGGAAGAGCAAGUGAAAUUACGGCCAUUCCCUUUCUCUCUUACAGACAUUGCUAAGGAAUGGCUCUAUUAUUUGCCAGCCGGUCUUUUUACCACGUGGAAUGAAAUGCAAAAACUCUUUGUAGAGAUGUGUUUCCUAGCUUCAAAGGCUACAAACAUCAGGAAAAAAAUAUGUAGCAUUCGACAAUCUCAAAGGGAAAAUCUCUAUGAGUAUUGGGUGAGAUUCAAAAGGCCAUGUGCUAGUUGCCUAAACCACCAAAUUAGCGAGCAAUUACUUCGACAAUACUUCUAUGAAGAAUUACUCCAAAUGGAGAGAAGUAUGAAUGAUGCGGCGAGUGUAGGAGCUUUAAUGGAUAAAAUACCAGCAAUUGCUAGGGAUUUGAUAGCCAACAUGGCCGCUAACUCACAAUAAUUUGGUAGUAGAGAAGCGACACCGGUUAAACAAGCAAGUGAGGUAAGAACAACCUCUCAAAUUGAAUGACAACUAGCCGGUCUUACAUCUAUUGUACAACAAAUGGUACUUGAGGCAAUGCAACAAGCAAAAGUGUGCGGGAUUUGUUCUAUUGUGGGACACCCUACUAAGGCAUGCCCGACACUACAAGAAAAAGCCUCAGAGAAAGCAAAUGCCAUUGGGGUAUGUCCAAUACAAUAGAGAUAGAGAUAUGAUCCAUAUGCUAACACAUAUAAUCCUGGAUUUAGAGAUCAUCCUAAUCUCAGUUAUGGAGGAAAUCAUUUCAUAUCUCCACAAUCACAAUUCAAUCAUCCCCCGAGGUUCAAUCAACAAAGGCAACCACAACACUCUCAACCUCUUCAACAAACUCCGUCUCAAAGUUCAAAGAUGUCUCUUGAGGAUAUGGUUAUGUCCUUGGCUUCUAGUAUAAUACAAUUUCAACAAAAGACAAAGAACUCAAUUAAGAAUUUGGAGACACAAGUGAGUCAAUUGACCAACACAGUGGGUAAAUUGAAGGCUCAAGGAUCCGAAAAACUUCUUUCUCAAGCAAUCAACCCAAGAGAAAAUGCUAGUACUAUGACACUAAGAAAUGGAAACAUUUUGGAAGAGGCACCAAGGAAAACGAAAGAUGAAGUUGAGGAGUCAACACAAGAGAAAAACUUAGCAUGUGAAAAAGACGAAGCAAAGACUCCAACUGUGGGAUCUAAGGUAGAGUCUAAAAGUUCUAUUCCUACUUAUGUUCCCUCCCAUCCAUUUCCUUGCAGGUUUGCAAAGUCUAAAAGGGAUGAACAUGAAAAGGAAAUAUUUGAGACUUUUCGCGAGGUUCAAGUGAACAUACCACUUUUGGAUACCAUUUAUCAAGUGCCCCGUUAUGUGAAGUUCCUCAAGGAAUUGUGUACUAAAAAGCAUAUACUGAAAGGUAAUGAAGUGGUAAGCAUAGGGAAAAAUGUCUCGGCGGUUUUGCAAAAGAAACUUCCACCAAAAUGUAAGGAUCCAAGAAGUUUUACCAUCCCUUGCAUUAUUAGUAACACUAGGUUUGAAAAAGCAAUGCUAGAUUUUGGAGCAUCUAUUAAUUUCAUGCCAUAUUCUAUUUAUGCUUCUUUAAAUUUGGGAUCACUUAAGAAAAUCGGUGUUAUUAUUUAAUUUGCUGAUAGAUCUAAUGCAUUUCCAAAGGGUACGAUGGAGGAUGUUUUGAUCCCAUAGAUUUUUGUGUUAUUGACAUGAUGGUAUGUUGACAAUGGAGUUUGAUGGUGAGAUUAUUCACUUCAACAUCUUUGAAGCAAUGAGGUAUCCUAGUGAUGUUUACGCUUAUUUUUCAAUUGAUAUAAUGGAUUCAUUAGUACAAAAAUAUUUUGAAUUAUCAAAUGAAGAUGCAUUGGAUACCACUCUGAUUAAAAGCAUUGAUGCUAACAAUCUCAUCGGGUUGAGCAAGAAUUUAAUAGUGUGCAAGGAUGUUGUUGAAACCGUGGCAUCACUUGAGUCACUACCAAGUAUUCCACCAAGAUAUGAUCUCUCCUAUAUUACUUUUCCAAUAUCUAAAGAGAAACUUUUGCCUUUAGUGAUAUAGGCCCCGACAUUAGAACUCAAACCUCUCUCCAAGCAUUUGAAGUAUGUAUAUUUGGGAGAGGGAAAAACACUACCUAUGAUCAUUGCAAAGAAUCUCACAACACUUCAAGAGGCUUAUCCGUGUGCUCAAGGAACACAAAAUAGCUAUUUUUUGGACAAUAGCCGAUAUUAAGGGGAUAAGCACUUCCAUAUUCAUGCACCAGAUAUUAGUUGAAGAUGGAGCAAAGCAAUCAAGAGAAGCACAACGUUGCUUGAAUCCUCCCAUGAUGGAGGUGGUCAAGAAAGAAAUUUUAAAAUUGCUAGACGUUGGUGUCAUCUUUCCCAUCUUUGAUAGCAAGUGGGUAAGCUCGGUCCAAGUUGUUCCCAAAAAGUCUGGAAUCACAGUGGUGACGAAUAAAGAAAAUGAGCUUGUACCAACUCGGGUCCAAACGGGUUGGAGGGUUUGUAUUGAUUAUAGAAAACUUAAUUGUGCAACCCGAAAAGAUCACUUUCCUUUAACCUUUAUUGAUCAAAUGUUGGAAAGGUUAGCAGGUCAUUCUCAUUAUUGUUUUCUUGAUGGUUAUUUAGGUUAUAACCAAAUUGUGAUUGCUCCGGAGGACCAAGAGAAAAAAAAUUCACUUGCUCAUUUGGCACCUUUGCUUACCGACGCAUAGCUUUGCUUAUCAGCACAUGCCCUUCGGCCUUUGCAAUGCUUCCGCAACCUUUCAAAUAUGCAUGAUAAGUAUAUUCUACGAUUAUAUUGAAAGCAUCAAUGAGGUCUUUGUGGAUGAUUUUAGUGUUUAUGGUAAUACCUUUGAUAGUUGCCUGGAAAAUCUCACACUUGUGCUUAAGAGAUGUGUGGAUGCUAACCUAGUACUUAAUUAGGAAAAAUGCCAUUUUAUGGUUGGUCAAAGCAUAGUGUUAGGCCAUGUCAUUUCUUCCAAGGGGAUAGAAGUUGAUAAAUCUAAAAUUGAUCUAAUUCGUUCUUUACUUUCUCCAACAAGUGUGAGAGAGGUUCAUUCUUUUCUUGGACAUGCAGGAUUUUAUCGAAGGUUUAUCAAGGAUUUUUCCAAAUGUGCAAGACCACUAUGCAGGCUGUUGCAAAAGGAGAUGCCAUUUCAUUUUGAUGAAGAUUGUACAAAAGGCAUUCAAAAGAUUGAACUUUUGACAUCGGUACGCAUCAUUCAACCACCAGAUUGGAACAGGCCAUUUGAGUUGAUGUGUAAUGCAAGUGAGUUUGCAUUGGGAACCGUUUUAGGGCAAAGAGUUGGAAAGACACCUCAUGUUAUAUAUUAUGCAUCAAGAACUUUGAAUGAUGCCCAACUGAAUUACUCUACCACUAAGAAAGAGCUUUUAGCAGUUAUUUUUACCUUAGAGAAAUUUCGUUCAUAUCUUAUUGGCACUAAAGUAACGGUCUUUUCUGAUCACGCAGCUCUUAGGUACUUGCUUGCCAAGAAAGAGGCAAAACCAAGGCUCAUUAGAUGGAUACUCCUCUUACAAGAGUUCAACCUUGAGAUUAAAGACAAAAAAGGGAGUGAAAAUUCUGUGGCCGUUCACCUCAGUCGCCUUAUCCAUGAGAGAAACUCUCCCAUUGCAAUAAAGCUAUCCCGAUGAACAAUUACUUCUCGUCAUGGAUACAUGUCCUUAGUUUACGGAUAUAGUGAACUAUUUAGUCGCUAGGAAAAUUCCAAGUCACUUGACCACCGCUCAAAGGCGAAAACUCAAGACAAUGGGCGAGUAUUUUUUGUGGGAUGAGCAGUAGUUGUGGAAACAUUGUCCGGGUCAAUUGACAAGAAGGUGUGUGCAUAAAAAUAAAUUUCAUUCAAUACUUACCUUUUGUCACUCCUAUGUAUGUGGUGGACAUUUUGGAGCAAAGAGGACGGCUCUCAAUGUGCUUGAAAGUGGAUUCUAUUAACCCAACUUAUUCAAAGAUGCAUUUCUCUUUUGUAAAUCUUGUGAUCGAUGUCAAAGAGUAGGUACGUUGGGAUCCCGAAAUCAAAUGCCACAAACACCCAUACUUUUUGUUGAAAUUUUUUAUGUUUGGGGCAUUGAUUUCAUGGGACCUUUCCUUUCAUCUUAUGGUAACCUUUACAUCAUUCUUGCCGUUGAUUAUGCGUCAAAAUGGGUGGAACCAAGAGCCACUCGAACUAAUGAUUCUAAAGUGGUUGUAGAUUUUGUUGAAUCCAACAUUUUUGCAAGGUUUAGAACACCAAGAGCUAUUAUUAGUGAUGGGGGACUUCAUUUUUGCAACCGCUCCUUUUGGGCCUUAUUGAAAAGAUACAACAUCACCCAUAAAGUGGCUACACCUUACCAUCCCCAAACUAGUGCGCAAGUCGAAGUGUCCAACCGAGAGGUCAAAUCCAUCCUCGAAAAAACUGUGAAUCCCAAAAGAAAGGAUUGGAAUCUUCGCCUCAAUCAUGCACUUUGGGCUGAUAGGACGGCAUACAAAACACCGAUUGGCAUGUCGCCUUAUCAGUUAGUUUAUGGUAAGCCUUGUCAUCUCCUGGUUGAACUAUAACACAAGGUAUUUUGGGCAGCCAAGCAAGGAAACAUGGACCUAGGUGCAAUGGGUAAGCUUCAACUCAAUGAACUUGAGGAAAUUCGAAAUGACGCCUAUGAAAAUUCAAGAAUUUAAAAGGAAAAAAACUAAGGCGUACCAUGAUAAAAUGAUGUUAAGAAAAACUUUUGUUGUUGGACAAAAAGUUCUUCUUUUCUACUGGCGCCUCAAGUUAUUUCCAGGUAAAUUACGUUCUUGAUGGAUUGACUCUUUUGUUGUUACUAAUGUCUUUCCUCAUGGUGCAGUAGAAAUCAAAAGCCUACAGACUGAGAAAGAGUUUAAGGUAAAUGGGCAUUGAUUAAAGACAUAUUUUGAACCCUUCGUACCACAAAACAUGGAGGAAAUGCGAUUGGAGGAUCCAAUCGAAGAAGCAUGAGAGAUGACACUUAUUUUUGUUUUUGUGAAUUUUUGUCGCCAAUGGUCCCCAACCAUCUUCACAGCCAUCACCGUCAACACCACUAGGGGAGUAUUUGAACCUCUAGCGCUUUUUUUUUUUUUGUUUUUUGUUUUUACAUUAAGGACAAUGUGCAAUUUAAGUUUGGGGGUGAGGUGGUAUGUGCUAAAUUUUUUGUCGUAAUAUUUUGCUCUGGCUAAAAUUUCGAGGUUAAACACUUUACUUUCGUGCUUGUUUGUGUUGUUUGAUAGUUUUGCCAAUUGCAUUUUGAGUUGUUACAUUGCAUUGAUUUAUAAAUUAUGGACAUUAAUGCUAAGUGUUGUUUAUUUUCAUCCACGUAUUCCAUGAUUGACUCUUUAUGGAGCACUUGGGUCAUGAGAUUCAUUACACGCACUUGUAGGUUGUUAAACGAAUUUAAAUGACCAUGGUGUUAGAAAUUCUUCAAUCACUCUACCAAUGAAAGGAUAAGUUUAGGGGUGGUUGAACCGGUGAAAGAAGUUGUUUAUAAUUGUAUUAAUUUUCGACUCAGUGAUUGAUUUUGUGGAGUGUUCUUAGAUUUCAAAUGAAAGUUAGAUGUUGUUUUCUAUCUAUUGAUAUUUCAUAAAAAAAAUAAUAAUAAAUAAAUAAAUAAUAACUGUAGGAAAAAGUUGCCUACCCUAAGGAGUGUGAGUCAACAUUGAGUAAUCUGGCCUUAUGUAUCACUAAUGUGUAGGAAACGAUCUACAAAUGAAGAAUGCUACCCUUAGGGAUCAGAGCAAGAACUACCUACAUUGGAAAAAUGAAGAAAAAGAAAANNNNNNNNNNNNNNNNNNNNNNNNNNNNNNNNNNNNNNNNNNNNNNNNNNNNNNNNNNNNNNNNNNNNNNNNNNNNNNNNNNNNNNNNNNNNNNNNNNNNNNNNNNNNNNNNNNNNNNNNNNNNNNNNNNNNNNNNNNAAAAACUAAAAAAAAAAAAAAAAAAAAAUCUUUAGGAAAAAGUUGCCUACCCUAAGGAGUGUGAGUCAGUAUUGAGUAAUCUAGCCUUAUGCAUCACCAAUAUAUAGGAGACGAUCUACGAAUGAAGAAGGCUAUCCUUAGGAACCAGAGCGAGAACUACCUACAUUGGAAAAAUGAAGAAAAAGAAAAUGGGAUGUUAUAAGCAUCUAGGGGAGAUUUUGCUGAAAAUUUGAUGGAUUGUGAGUAAUUUGCCUAAUAUAAGUUUGUGGUUUCAGCACUUAAAAUUUUUUUGGCUAAUUAAUACAUGACUAGAUGAUCUAUUUUAUCGGUUCAACGCAACCAAAUUUAAGAGGGAAAGAUUGAGUGAUUUGAGAACAACCUUAAGUUUUUGACACCAUGGCUAGAGUGAAAAUAUCAAGUUUGAGGGAGUGUGCAUUCCACGAGUGAGAAACAAAAAUUUGACCAUUGAGGGUCUGCAAAACCACCAACUUGUGUAUUACGAUGAAUUGGAAUGACCACACACAUACACUCGAGUCAAGCAUGGCGUAAGUUAAAAAGUGUCUGUUGUAGCAUAUUUGUAAACAAUUCAUAAGUUAUUUGCAUAAUGUAAGACUCGAAGCAAAGUGGCAAAAUAUCGAACAUUUGGAGUGUUUGUUAUUAUAGUAUUAUCGUUUUGUUUUAAUUUGUGUGUUUGUGUGCCUGUUUGUAAUGCUUUUUUUGUGGACUAACAAAGAUUUAAGUUUGGGGGUGUGAUAAAUGUCGGUUUAUUACGCUUAUUUGGACCAUUAAACUUAGAUACUUGCGAGUUUUAUUAGCAAUUUAUUACUUAAUUUUCUUAUUUUUAUUUUGUAGGUGAAAACCCGAGAUGAAACGAUGAAUUGAAGGAAUUUAUGCGAGAACCAAGCUAAAGAUGAAGGCAAACAAAGAAGACGACCAAAGACGCCGCCGAAAGAAGAUUUAAAAAAAAUUAAGAACAAUAAAUAGGGCAGUAAACUGGGCGCUGCAGAGCCCAAUUAUUCUGCCCAGUUUUGGGCUGAAUGGCGCCAGUAGGGUCACUUUAAUUAUUCCCUUAAAUUUUAGGGACCAAAAGCUGCAAUUAUCCUUAGGUUUUACUUAAAAAUCCACUGAAUUGCCAGAGGCUAGGGGCUUUUCUUUUUCUGCAAUUUUUGGGCAGCGGCUAGAUCUUCUUCACUGCCGUUUAUUUUGUUUUAUUUUCUUUCCCUUUUUUAUUUUCUUUUUCUUCCAUCUUUUAGCUUGGUUUCCUUGUAUAUUUUGGAGAAAAUUUGGCGCAUGAUUAUGAUGAAAUAGCUUGGAGAAGAAGAUGAUUUGAUAUUGAAGAAACCCUCAACUAUUUCUCCAUUAUGAAUAAGCUUUUCUUUCCCUAUUUUCCAUUAUUGUGUUGUAGGAAUUUGACGGUUAUUUGUGAAUAUUUCAUGGGUAACUAAAUAUAUAUGUGAUUGGGGAUUAUUUCAAACUCGAGUUAUGAUUUUCAAUUAAUUUGUGCUUUAUAGUUCUCUUGAUUGACGUAUUUAAUUCCUCGAGUUAAAUGUUUAUUUUGUUCUUCUUGAUUGUUUAGGUGUACAACUAAAUGAUUAAGUUGUUACGAUAAAUGCUAUUUUGAGAUUAGUAGUACGUAAUAGCUAUUGAUUUUAAAACAUAAUAGCAAUCACAUUUCGAUAGAUUAUGAAGAAUUUUCAAUUGAAUGUAUGUGGAUUAACACUUAAGUUAGUAAACUGAGCUUGCGAGUUUACUCUUAAUUCAAUUCAUCUCUUUUGUCGUAAUGCGUUUGUUAAAUUAAAUCUAGAGAGCUUGUUCUAGGUUGUUUAAUGCAUAGGGUCGAGUAAAGAGCUUGUUUUAUUCGACUAACAUGUAAUAAGAGGUUGAGAUAAUUUAGCUUGUAAUUAUUCUCGAAUUGUUAUUAAUCUUGAGAAUGAAAAUCUAUUGUGGUAAUUGACAUGAAAAUCAUUCUUGUGGUGAUGAAAUAUCCCCCAAUCACAUUUUCUCGUAUUCAAUCGAAACCACUUUGUUUAUUUCAAGUUUCAAAUAUUCUCUAUUUCGAAUUUAUCACUUUACUUAAUUAAAUGAACCAACCCCCCCCCCCCCCCAUUUAAUCAAUUUCGUAUAUAAUCGCUAAUUUUACUUUUUAGUACGCAAUUGACAAAAUUGAACCAAUCCUCUGCGAGAAAUGACCCUUACUUACCAUUUUACUAUUUAAGACGACACUUUUAAGUUAAAGUAAGGAAAAGUAAUUGGAACAUGAUUUGCAACGUAUCAUACCACUAAGAAGGCCCAUCUGUGUCUCUUGUUCCUCAAAAUACCAGAUUAGUAAGAUUGACGGAGAGAUUUUCAGAAACUAUAAUUGAUAAGUGUAAAAAAUUUUCAGGUGACUCAAGAGUGCUGCGAGCUCAUUGGUAACAUAAACUACACAUACAUUGAACACCACCUGCGGGUUGUGUUUCUAAUACUUAUGGGGUAGAGAAAUUUAUGUUGAUAAUAAGGAUUAUGUUAGUGCAAAGGAUGUUUAUCAUUUUUAUCACAUGAGUGAGAAAUAGUUUGCAGUGACCUUUUCAUUUGCCUUGAUAUUCUGGAUGCUUUUCCUAUUGCCACUGAUGUAUAAGGGGUUAACUUUUUAAUGUUGGCCGGUCUGUCAAAAAACUUAUAUUCUUCAACAGAUACAUAUAUACCAUUAUUCUAAUCUCUUUGCAUUAGGUUAUGUGGGUUCCCGAUAGUUUUGAAAUUGGCAUGGUAGCUGAGAAGCUUGGAAAGUCACGAAAAUAUCAAGCAGUUUUGUGUAUUGGAGCUUUGGUAUGCUUUUCUUUCACAAGUUCCAAAUGUGCUGAUGUUUUAUAUUCUUUUAUUUUGCACGUCUCCCGCAAUUUGCAUUCAUAGUUAUUGUUUGCAUGUUCUGCCAUAGCUUAAGGUCAUCAUUUUUUUGCUUCAAUUACCCACUUAUCACAUUUGUUUGUUAGGAAUCUACUUAACAUGUACUGUAGAAAAUUAAAACAGAUUUCGAUUCCCACUAGGAGUCUCUUUGUGUUUAGAUAGAAAUUGUAAAAAAGAUCGUACAUUUUUCUAGAUCUGCAAACUCCUGUACUUUUCUAGCAUUCCAACAAUCUUGAUCUGUCAACCACAGUUGUCCAAUUGUCCAGCCUCCAUCGGUGAUCCACACAGAGAACAAGAUUGUAGGAUUAGGAUUUUCAUCUUGUUCUAGCAAGAAUAAUGAAGAAUAAUAAAUUCAUUACAAAAUUGUAAACUUAUUUAUAUAAGUCCAAACGGGAUUGGCCUAAUCCGGUCCAAUAUUUAAUCAAUCCAUUAAUUAAAUCUGGUCCGUGAAUUAAUUAAUCCAAUUAAUUAAUUCGGGCCUAUAAAUAACCAUCCCAAUUAAUUAAUUUAUCUAACGAUUGUUAAAUUAAUUAAUCGACAAAUUACAAUCUUCCAAUUCUCUUUUGUAUACGACCCAUCAGGUUUCCGAUCACGAUAUCUAACGACAUGAAAUAUUAUUUUGAUCUAAUCAAAAUUGAUAAAUCAAAACAGCAUUUUAAUUUAUGACAAAUUCACACUCGUCGUCCCAGAUUGACAUCUAGCAAUGUGUCAGGGCAAUACAUGUGACGGAAAAUGUCACGUGAUAUGACAAAAUCAAACUCGUUCGUUUACCGUGAAACUAUAAUCCCUUUGUCAAUAUGAUCCGAUCAAUUACAAAAUAUAGAAACGUGUCAAUCCCGAUUAUCGAUCAUAUCCUUCACUUCACUAUUAAGUCAGUGUAAGUCGAAAACUCCUUUUCGACUUAUGAGUACACCUUGACCAAUGAUUUCGUUAUCGAUUUAAUUGAGUAAAACGCAGAUCAUAAUUUCUUACUAUCUAAGAGUGACGAAUCCUCUAUUGAUCAUUAAUAACCUUCAUAUGAUUCUUGACAUACCCGAAUGAUGCCGUAUUAACGACCCUUGGCAAAGCAACAUCCAACACCGCCAACUGACCUCAUGCAAGGUAUCAUGACGACCUCAAGUCAAAGGACCAAUUCCACUAUCGAAUGUUAGAGAUUAACCACUGACACUCAGAUAGUUAUCCAUGUGAAAUCUCUCGGUGGGUGUCCAAUUUUUUGUUUUAUAAUAAAAUAUCCACAUGUUCAUUCAAGUGUCACCACACUUUAACUUGUGAGAUCAGCUGCUUAUUUUACAAGUAAGAAAUGCCACACGUGAUAGUCUAUCCGUAAUAACGAUAUCCGUAUGUCGUUAUUACUUACAAUCACAGACGAUUUAAGAUUCAAUCAUAUAUAAUUUGUAUCUCACAAUCACAACUCCUUGUGAUUAACAAAUUACGGAGAUUUGAAUCUACGGACUCUAUUACUGUAUAUUAAUUAAAUAAUAGAUCUGCCAUUAAAUUGCAUUAAAUAUAUAUUAAAAGUAUUUAUGUCUAAGGUUGAUUGAACAUAGGGCAUAACACUUACAUUGUUGAGGCCAUUGAGUUCCAUAAAUCUUUUGCUGCUUGUUAUUGUCUUUAUUGUGCUUAUCAUUAUUCUCAAUUACUAAAUGAUCUUUUUCUUCUUAAACCUUUCUGACCAGUAGAUUUGAAGUGAUACUUCCCACUUUGAUGAUGUGGCCAAUUCAGCUGCAUCUGGAGUACUCUCAGCAGGCCUAAAUUCAAGUGGGUUGAUUUGACAUUAGAAGUAUAUCUAUUUUCCAAUAUCUACUGCCGCGUAAAUCUAUCCAUGCUUUAACAUACUAAAACGUACAAUCUACUAUGUCUUUUGGCAAUAGGGCAUGUUUAUAAUGUUACUAUCAGUUAACUUAUUAGUGCAACUGUUGAAUUUGUACGGUGUCAUUGGUGGUGAACACAAGCAACUAAACAAUGAGAAAUUAAACAAGAAGAGAAAGAGGGAUAAAUAGGAGAAGAAAGAGGGAAGAAUGAGAGAAGAGACAGAAUUGCUGGAAGACUUUGUAAUUUUAUUCAACGAUCAAAGUUGGUUAUUACAAAGUAAGAUCCUCCUUAUAUAUAGUCUAAACUAAAAUAAAUAAGAAAAAAUAGGUUUCCACAUAAGGAAACAAACUAAAUUCUUUUAACUAACAAUGACUGAUAUUAAGGAAAAUAAAGUAAACCCUGAUUAUUUUAAUUUGUUCUACGUCUGGAAUAUACUUUUAAUAUUGUACUAUUUCUCCCCAGCUGACAAGAACUCAACUUUGAUGAGUAAUAGUGAAGAUAGGCAUCCAAUAACCUUGUAUCUUGUUGGCAAAACUCAUCUUCAUUAAUUCAAGUAGAAUCACUUGGCUGACGAUCUUUCCAAUGUAGCAUAAAUUUAUGAAAUUCACCAUUUUUCGUAUCAACAACUUGAUCUUUGAGCACUUCAUCAUUGAUAUCAGAAGGGGGAUACGUGGUGACAAGAAGAGUCCAAAGGGGUGGGCAAGAAUCAUAGGCUUGAAUGUGCCUCUAUAUAAGGAUAUACAUACACUAUAUUGAAAAUCAGACUAAUAUUUUAAUGCGCUGACAAAUCAAGCAAAUAUGAAUUAGUUCCCUACCUUAUAAUAAUGGAUAGAGACCAAGAGAUUCAGCACAUAUUUUUUUAGUAGCAUGUUUGGGAAAACGUUCUAGGACUUUUCAAAUCAUUACUUAAUCAUCAACAUUAAAUUCUUUAUGCCUAUGGCAUGAAUCGACUGCAAGUAUAUAGUGGUAAUUACUUAAAGCAUUUUUUGUUUAAUUUUAUAUGUAAUUGAUUAACAUGGUCAACAAAAGCUUGAGCAGAACUAGUUGGAUUAAAAUCAGUUAGUAAAGGAACAAGAUCAAGUAGGUUUGGAAGGUGAUUGCCACAACCACAAGCCGUAACAUGUGUGUAAACAGUGAUUUGGUCAGAGGAAAACGUCUGGUGAACUAAAGCAACUAAACCAUGAGCAAUUAAAGAAGAGGAUGAGGGAGAAAUCGGAGAAGAGGUAAGAAUAAGAGAAAAUAUCAAGAGAGGAAAGAGAAUUUGAUGUGAUUCGAGGUAGGCACCAAACUAUUGAGAACUUGUUGAUUGUCGACUAGGAGCUGGGACUAAGAUUUGAACCUAAUUCGAGCCAAUGAGACCAUGCAAUUGUUUGUUCGAGUUUUGAGUACGCCAUGUUGGAGUUAAUGAGCCAAAGAUCAAGUUCCAUGUUGGGGUCAAAGGCCAGAAACAAUUAGAUCAACUCAAUACACGUGGACAGAAUCAGAGGCCGAGGCUUAAAUAUGCGACCGCACAAGCUAAACCAGAAAAUCAGCUAGGCCAUUUUUUUGACUUGUGCGAUCACACAAGUUAUAACCAUGCGGUCACAUGGUUAAGUAACAAACCAAAAUUUUUUUUUUUUUUUUUUUUCGCGAGUAGUUUAUUUUAGUUGGAACUCUUAAUUUUGACAACUUUCUAUAGCCUAGGAGCCUUAAUUCCCUUUUUUACACUAUUUUCUAGGGUUUUAUAGUUCUAAUAUAAAUAGCCAUUAUUUCUUUUGUUGUAAAAGAAAUGAAUAACUAAAUAAAGACAUUGAAUAUUGAAUUUAAUUUCAGAGGCUAUUUGCACUACACCAAAAACUGCCUUUUGCAAUGUUCGAAAAACGUUGCCAUAGACCUUUUGCAGCAUUUUUGUGUAUGUUGCAAAUCUCGAUGUUGUCGUAGAGUAGUAGGAUACGACAACGAUCUUUGAACGUUGUAAAUAACCUUUUGGCAGUGUUCUUUGAAUGUUGUGAAUAACCUUUUUGCAGCGUUCAAGAAACAUUGCUAAUAAUUCUUUUGCAACAUUUUUUGUCUAUAACCUAUACUAAUAUCCUUAGUUUUUGCAACUUAUUUUGACCAGUGCCGCAAGUCUCUCUCUCUCUCUUUAAGAUAAUAUUGUUUGACCGUUGCAUAGAUAACGUACACAAGUUCAUCCAGAAAUCAGUCUAUUCAUCAAAUAAUAAGAACAAAAUUUAUUGAUAAACUAGCAAAGUCAUGAUAGGAUCUUACAUGCAAAGUCAUGGGCAUCUUACAUGUAAAUUUAUUAAUAAACUUGCAAAGUCCUGGGCAUCUUACAUGUUUGAAAAAUAGCAACUUUUAGAUCACUGUAGCAAAAAUGCAACCAACAAACAAAAAAGAGCACAUAAAAAAGGGAUAAAUACCAUAAGGAAGAAGUUACACCAUAUAUUAUUCAAGCCUCAAGAGGUUACAUUUCAUAGGACAUACCUAUUUUCCACAUCAUUUCCUCCAACUGGAAGGGCAAAGGGCUGCAAAACUUGUGGGAGGGCAAUAUCUUUGUGUGGAAUAAAUCCAACAGCAUAGCUUGGAGAGCAAAUGAAACAAAUUGACUUCUUUACGAGGAAUGGAAGUCCUUCAGUGGCCCUCACACCAACAUCAUGACAAGUAACAAAAAAGUGAUAUGUACCCACAGUUCUAUUCCAGUAAGGAUACUUGGACAUCAAGUUCUCCACAUAGUUCGGUACAAUUACAGUCAUGUUCUCAUAUUACAUUCCUUGCACGUUAUGAUAACAGAAUCAUUUAGCAGAAUGGAGCGGCUCAAACUAUGGUGUAAAUAUAACAACAAUAUUACGGGGCUAAGACCAUUUACACCAUUAGUAUCAGAAAAAUCCAAUAAAUUUAAUCAGCAAACUGUUAAAAGAUGCAAGACCCAAGUUAAUGCUCAUUGGUUUAUGAAUCGUAGCAAGUAAUAAAGUGGACCUAAGAGUCCAAGUUGUCGAUCCCACGAGGACUAGACUUGAGCAAUUCAUUCAAUUUUCUUUAACCUCUAUUUGAUGAAAAUAUAAAAAAAACGAUGAUCGAUUGUGAUUUUUUGAUCUAACUACUUAAAAUGUGAAUGGAUGCAAUAAAAAGUGAUUUGGAAUUCAAACAAUAAUUGGAUGUUAGGGAGGAACAACUUCACCUAUUGGUCACCUUUAUUUCUAAUAUCGAGAUUCAUAAAAUCUAAAGUAACGUUCGGUCAAAUUCUUCUAUUGUAUUCAAUUUACCCCUCUUGAGUUCUCAUUGAGCCUAUUUAACUGUUUCAAUUCCAUAUUUCUAUGUGAAUCAAACUUAGUUAAACGCACUAAUAGUUCUAAGAAUUCAUUUAUGACUGCAGUAAUUAAUAUAGGUAUCUCUACACGUUAUAUUAAUUUAUCGGAUUUUAAUAUAUGGUUUAAACAAGAAUUCGCAUCUCUACGCAAUUACUGUUCAUGAAAUCGUUGAAUAAUUGACCAGAAAAUUCAAAGCAUUGAGAACAUGAAUAAAAUCCACACGUAUAAUCAUAACAAUAAGAAUCUGAAAUUAAAAAAAUAAAGGAUUCCAAAUAGGUUACAUUGUUUGUCCUAAAAUUAGAUUUAGCUACUCUUAGUUUCCAAAGUAAAAGUCUCAUUUUAAUUGUGAUAUUCAAUGUGCAUUCAAAAGGUCGAGAGCGCGCACGAUUUCAAAUCCAAGAGCAAGGCGGCGGAGGAAGUUCGGCUGGGUUACGUUACGGCCUCCGACAAGCAAAAGCAGGAGGUUUCGGAUCUGUCGAAGACCGAGUAAUGAAAGAAAAAAUAAAACGUUAUUAUGGAAGACAUCAUCGGGCUUUAAAUAAGAUGUAGAAGAAAAAUUAGAAUUCUUGCACCAAGAUCUCCUUCCUCUUCCAAUCAAUACGUUAAGCCUUCAAUUACAUGAUGUUUUCAUCAUUUGAAUUCUUCUUUUGAUUAUCCAAUUAUGUUCUCUUGCCUCUCAAUGUGUGAAUCCCCUCUCCAACUGUCUUUCUCUCAGGUUGUAUUUUUGUCUUUUUCAAGUAUUGGAAGAGUUUUGAUUGAGUUGGGCUUUUAAAAAGAUGAAUUUCACUUGAAACCCCUAUUUUACGGUAGUGAGGCACCUAGGUGCUACAAUUGGGCACCUGAGCGCUGAAUUUCGUGAAAAAAAAUCAGAAACAUGGCACCUGGGUACUAUGGGAUAGUGCUUGGGCGCUACCGUCAGCUUCGAUUGCACUGCACAAUAUACAGUCUUUUUAUCAUAACUUUUACUUCUGAUAUUCGAUUGAGAUGAUUCAAAAUGCGUUCGAAAAGCAUUACUUAAAGGGCUAAAACUUUGUUUCAGAUACCAUUUUCAAAUUCGAUCAUUUUCUAUGUCAAAAAUGGGUCUCAAUAUGAGUCUGAAAAUGGUGCAUAAAUUUUUUCGGUUAGAACUUGAUGUAUGAUCAUACUUUGAUUAUAUUUCAUCCCUUCGAUGUUGCUUUUUCCAAUUGACUUCGAGCACUCUUGAAUCUUCAUCGUGAUGUCUGAAACAAUUUUCGAGUAUUUGCACUUUAGUCCUCGAGCUUUGUAUUUCUUGCAACUUAGCCAUUUGCUCUAAUUUUGUCAACUUUUCCUUAUUUCCUUCAAUAUCUUGUACCAUUAUCGAAUUUUACCUAUUCAACAUCAAAUAAAACAAUUUAGACUAUAAUUCAUCCGAUGAGCAACUAAAUAUCAUCGUUUUAAAGCCUUGAAUAAGUGUAUAAAAUAUACUUAUUAAAUACCUCCAAACAUAAACAUUUGUUUGUCCUCACACAACACUAUCAUCUAAAUAACUACGAACACAUAAGCAUGCAAAAGAUAAUGGUUGGACAAUCAGACUUUUUACCUCAAGAUUCGAGAUUUUGAUGUUUAUUCCACAAACAUACUUCAAAGUUGCAAUACCAAACCAAUAUCUACUCUUCCAGUGCAAAAUCGAUGUAUAUGUGUGUAGAACUAAGAAAUCAACCAUGAUUGCACAAGUUAUUUCAAUUCUCGACCCUCUGUUGUCAAAUAUAUCCUUACAUUUCUCUUGUGAUUCACACACUCCCAAACUUACAAUUUUUCACUCAUUCCUAGUGUACAACCUAAGGUUGAAUAUUUCAUUACUAUCCUCACCCUCUUGAGUUUAGAGGACGUUACUAGUUAUAAGUCAACACUUCAAUGAACAAGGAUUCUCCAAUUAUUUGAUUGCUUUGACUGCCACGACUCAAUUGGCUAAUUAUCCUUUAUAGAAAGUCAAAUUUCCUCAAAUAAGUGUUGGGGCUUAACCAAUGUAUUUAGUGCUUUUGCUCUUUUCAUACACGUGCUUUUUUUUUCGUAAGUUUUUUUUUUUAAUUUAUGCAUUCUCUCCUUCAAGCUUUCUAGAUGACCAUUGUAACAGGAUUUGGGUAGACGACUCCAAAAUCAGAUGAUUUUAGGACACCAGGUUUUAAACAUAUUUACAGGCUUAUUGACCAGAGUAAAAAAGGCUUUGAAGAGAACCAAUUUUUGUUUUAAGUGCAACUUCAUCUUUGAUUGCCUUCUAAAUGACCCCUAUAGCGAGCUUUAGGUUGAUGACUCUCAAAUCAGACGACUUUGGGGCACCAUGUUUUAAGAUACCCUUGCAGGCUUAAUUACUCGAAUCAUGAAGACAUCAAAGAGAAGUUUUUAGAUUUCAAAUGUAUAAGCCUUGAUUAGUGCAAUGCCUCGUCCACACAUUUAUUCAAAUAAACCAACCUCCAACUUAAAACUUUCGCUCGUUUUAUCAUAUUAGUCUAAGACAAUUCACACAUAAGUUUUCAUGCAUGGAAUUCAAAUUCACAUCCGCAUCUUCCUACAGCUGUAAAGUCACCCCCAAACUGUGAUAAAUUAGUUCUAAGGAUAAAUAAUUUACUAUAGUUUAGGUAAAACAUCUAUGUCCAAAUAAAUCAACCUAUCUAACAAAUGAAUCAACACGCUUCAUCGUAGUGUCAGACUCAAUUCUACAAGGUUAAGCUUCAAUCAAUCUGGCAUGCAUCCUAUCCACAGUUCAUAAAUUAACACCAAAUCUCAUAGUAAAACGUAAUUGUAAGCCGAAAUGUCCAACUGACACAAAAAAAUUUAGGUAGGCAAUUAGGUAAUUAAUAAUAAUACAUCCCCUAAACUUAAACUAAACAUUGUCCUUAAUGUAAAAUUUAAAAGAAAAGGUGAUAUGAAUCAAGGCGCGUCAACAACCAAGACAACUCAAGCGUCAAGUCACGGGAAGGAUCCGUUGAUCGUCGAAGGUGGACCGAUGACGCGAUCGAGGAUGAAGCAAGUGAAAGAAGUGAUGGGAUUGCUCGUCAACCAAGUCAAUGAAGACAAAAUGUUCGGGGCGCAAAAUGGAGCAAGUUUCAUGUUGGAGUCGAGAGCCGAAAGGACUUGGAUCAACGUGAUAAAGACGGAAGAAAAUGAAGCCGAAGAUUGUUCCAUGCGAUUGCAUGGUUAAACAACCUAUGCGGUCGCAUAGAUGGCCUCAGGGAUAAUAUUGGGGGCAGGGACUUGUUCUAUGCGGCCACAUAGAUUAACACUAUGCGGCCGCAUAGAACAAAAAAAUGAAAAAAAUUCAUUUUUUUUAUUUUUUUUCUGAAUUUCCUAGUUUCGAUAGAAUUCUUAUGAAAUCAAAUUAUUACCAUAAUUUGAUGGGGUUUGGACGUUUUUUACUCAUUACUAUAAAUAGGAAAAUAUUUUUCAUUGUAAGGACUUUUGCUUGAAUAAUAUUAUAGAGAGAGAAUUUGUUCUUUCAAUUUCUUGUUCUUCUUGAACAAUCUUGAGAAAUUAGGACUAGCAUUGUUAAGACACCCUAGGCCUUAUAAGUUGCAAUGGUUGAAUGAAAGUGGGGAAGUUAGGGUGAAUAGAAGAGUUUUAAUUAAUUUCUCAAUUGGGAGUUAUAGUGACAAAGUAGUAUGUGAUGUGGUGCCUAUGCAUGUGGGUCAUAUCUUAUUAGGAAGACCAUGGCAAUAUGAUAGAAGGGUCACACAUGAUGGAUAUAGGAAUCGUUAUAGCUUUGUCAAGGAUGGGAAAACUAUUACUCUUGCGCCAUUAACACCAGCACAAGUGUAUGGAGAUCAAAUCAAGCUGAAAAGUGAGGAAGACGAGAGAAUAAGAGAGUCCAAAAAAAGGAGAGGCAAUAGUGAAACCAAAAAUAAGAGAGAAAAUAGUGAGGUGGCUGAGAGUGGAGAAAAGAGAGAGAAGCCACAUGAGCGGAGAGAAAAUGAGUCAGUUGAGAGGAGAGAAAAUGAGUCAGCUGAGCGGAGAGAAAAGCCCAAGGUCAACUUCUAUGCAAAAGAGAGUAAGUUGAAAAAGGCUAUUAGCGAAAAUAGGCAAAUGAUAUUGUUAGUGUACAAGGAGUCCUUCCUCAAUUUUGAGGAUUCUAACACAUCCGUCCCUAGUUUGGUUAAGUCUUUAUUGCAGGAGUUCGAUGAUGUGUUUCCUGAGGAGAUGCCAAGUGGAUUGCCACCAAUCAGAGGCAUCGAGCACCAGAUUGACUUUGUACCCGGAGCUGUCAUAUCGAAUCGACCGGCUUACUGAAGCAAUCCCGAGGAGAUGAAGGAGCUUCAAAGCAAGUGGAGGAGUUGAUGAGCAAAGGUUAUGUCAGGGAGAGCAUGAGUCCAUGUGCUAUACUUGUUUUGCUGGUGCCUAAGAAGGACGGGACUUGGAGAAUGUACGAGGAUUGCCGAGCUAUCAAUAAUAUCACGGUAAAGUAUCGUCACCUAAUACCUAAGCUAGAUGAUAUGCUUGAUGAGUUGCAUGGUGCUUGCAUUUUUAGUAUGAUUGAUCUUAAGAGUGGGUAUCAUAAAAUUCGCAUGCGGGAGGGUGAUGAAUGGAAAACGGCGUUUAAGACUAAGUAUGGAUUGUAUGAAUGGUUAGUUAUGCCGUUUGGACUCACUAAUGCACCGAGUACUUUUAUGCGUUUAAUGAACCAUGUUUUGCGUACUUUUAUUGGGAAAUUUAUUGUAGUUUAUUUUAAUGACAUCUUAAUCUAUAGCAAAAACCUAGAUGAGCAUUUAGAACAUUUAAAUUGUGUGCUUGUUGUGUUCUAAAAGGAACAACUGUAUGCUAAUUUCAAAAAGUGCACAUUUUGCAUGGAUAGAGUUGUUUUCCUAGGAUUUGUGGUUAGUGCUAACGGGGUGGAAGUCGAUGAAGAAAAGAUAAAAGCUAUAAAAGAAUGGCCAACACCUAAGACUAUAACUGAAGUUAGGAGUUUUCAUGGAUUGGCUAGUUUUUAUAGGUGAUUUGUAAGAGAUUUUAGCACCAUCACCACACCGUUGAUUGAAAUAGUAAAGAAGUGUGUAGGUUUCCAUUGGGGAGAAUCUCAAAAAAUUGCAUUUAACACAAUUAAGGAUAAGCUAUGUAAAGUACCUGUUUUGGCAUUACCAAAUUUUGAUAAAACAUUCGAGGUUGAGUGUGAUGCAUCAGGAAUAGGUAUAGGAGCAGUGUUAAUGCAGGAAAAGAGACCUAUUGCUUACUUUAGCGAAAAAUUGAAUGGGGCAGCAUUGAAUUAUCCGACAUAUGACAAGGAGCUGUAUUCACUUGUUCGAGCAUUGGAGACUUGGCAGCACUACUUAUGACCAAAGGAGUUCGUGAUACACACCAAUCAUGAAUCUUUAAAGCAUUUGCGAGGUCAAGGUAAGUUGAACAAAAGACAUGCGAGAUGGGUGGAGUUUAUCGAGACAUUUCCCUACGUCAUCAAGUACAAACAAGGUAACGAAAAUAUAGUUGCUGAUGCGUUGUCUCGAAAGUACGUGCCUUUAAAUUCAUUAAGUACUAAUUUACUUGGUUUCGAGCAUAUUAAGGGCAUGUAUGAAUCUGAUUGUGAUUUUUCUACUAUUUAUACUUCAUGUGACAAAGGUGCAUUUGAUAAAUUCUAUAGGCAUGAAGGAUAUUUGUUUAUGGAAGAUAAGUUGUGCAUUCCUAAUUGUUCUUUGCGUGAAUUAUUGGUAAGGGAAGCACAUGGAGGGUGGUUUAAUGGGACACUUCGGGGUUCAAAAGAAUUUAGACAUGUUAGGGGAACAUUUUUAUUGGCCUAAAAUGUGACAUGACGUAGAACAAAUAUGUGGAAAGUGCAUAACUUGUAAAAAGGCUAAGUCUGAGGUUCAACCCCAUAGUUUGUAUACUUCUUUGUCUGUACCUAGUGAACCUUGGGUAGACAAAUCUAUGGACUUUGUAUCAGGUUUGCCUAGGACAAAAAGGGGUCGGGAUUCAAUAUUUGUAGUGGUCGAUAGGUUUAGUAAGAUGGCAUACUUCAUACCAUGUCAUAAAACUAAUGAUGCUACUAAUAUUGCAGACUUAUUCUUUAGGGAAAUAGUACCUUUACAUGGAGUACCUAAAAGUAUAGUAUCUGAUAGGGACGUGAAGUUUUUGAGUCACUUUUGGCGUGUUCUGUGGAGUAAGUUAGGAACUAAGUUAUUAUUUUCUACAACUUGUCACCCACAAACAGAUGGACAAACUGAGGUAGUUAAUCGAACUAUGACUCAACUACUUAGGACAGUGAUCAAUAAAAAUCUGAAAUCAUGGGAAGAGUGUUUACCAUUUAUAGAGUUUGCAUAUAAUCGAGCUACACAUUCUACUACUUCGUUUUCUCCUUUUGAAAUUGUUUAUGGUUUUAAUCCACUAACACCUAUGGAUUUAAUGCCUUUGCCUAUGCAUGAACGAGGUAGCUUGGAUGGGAAACGAAAAGCCGAAAUGGUGAAAACACUCCAUGAAAAGGUCAAGAUGCAGAUCGAAGAGAAAGGAAAGCUGAUUGCAUCAAAAGCAAAUAAAGGAAAAAGACGCGUUACAUUUGAGCCUGGAGAUUGGGUCUGGGUGCAUUUCAGAAAAGAGCGUUUUCCAGAACAGAGGAAGUCAAAAUUGCAACCACGAGACGAUGGACCUUUUCAAAUCAUCGAGAGGAUCAAUGACAAUGCAUACAAAGUGGAUUUACCAGGUGAGUACAAUAUUUCGGCUACUUUUAAUGUAUCUGAUCUCUCUCUGUUUGAUGGAGGUUCAGAUUCAAGGAUGAAUCCUUUUGAAGAGGGAGGAGAUGAUAUGAUCCAGGAGUCGAACCCGACGAAGGCAAGUGCGAGACGAGACCCGUUGAUAGUCGAUGGCGGGCCAAUGACGCUAUCAAAGGCAAAGGAAGUGAAACAAGCGAUGGGAUUGCUCGUUCAAGAAUCCAUUGAUGGAACCAUGUUCGGGACUCAAAAUGGAGCAACUUUCAUGUUCGGGUCGAAGGCCGAAUCAACUUGGAUCAAUUUGUUAUCAAGCGACGAAAGCGAAGGCUGAAGACAACACCAUGCGGCCGCACAGGGAAAGCCACAUGUGGCCACACACAUGCAUACCGAAAACCAAAAGACUAAUUCCUGUUGAACCAUGCGACCGCAUGGAUUUACACCAUGCGGCCGCACCAACCAAAAAAAUUGGCGAAUUUUCUAAUUUUGGCCGAAUUUCCUAGUUUCGAUAGAAUUCUUAUGAAAUCAAAUUAUUACCAUAAUUUGAUGGUUUUGGACGCUUUUUAUUCAUUAGUAUAAAUAGGAGAUUACUUUUCAUUGUAACAACUUUUGAACUUUUGACUUUUGAAUUAAUAUUAUAGAGAGAGAAAUUUCUUCUUUCAAUUUAUUGUUCUUCUUGAACAAUCUUAGAACUUAUCAAGAUUCAACUUCUUGUGGCGUUCUAUCAAUAGGAUUGUGGGUUCUUUUAAUUGUAAUCAAGGGGUUUUAGGUUCUUCGCUAAUCUAGGGUUUCUUGGUUCAAUUCUUGGGGUUCGAGAUCCAAAACCGGGUUAGUAUUGGCGUUCUUGGGUUCCGCGUCAAUCUCGUUGUGGGUUUCAUAGUUUCCAUUGCUACGGGGUUCGCAUCAGUUGGUAUCAGAGAUUUGGCUCCAAUUUAAUCAGGUUAUAUCUUUUUUUUUUCAAUUCCUUGUGUUCUUGUGUCCAGAAGGUUUUCUUGAUCUUUUGAUCCAAAAGUUUCAUCAAAAAUCUUCAAAUUCCGUUUCUGGGCUCAAUUUUCGCCCAAAUCAGUUUUCGUUUUCUUUGUUGGUUUUGUUAUUGAUUUCCGGAUCUGAAAAAAAUUACUGUUCAUCCGUACAGUAAAAAAAACUUAAAUAUUAUUGAUCCGUCAAAUACCAACUUUUAUUAUUCAUUAUCGUUUCUAAAUUACUUGGACACAUUAAAUCAUUCCAUUCCUUCAAUUCAAGUCAAGCUUUAAAAGUUUUCUUUGAGUCCUUUGUUAUAAUUAUUGAGUCACAUCUGGUUUGGGGAAUUCUACAGGAUUUGAUUGAUUGAUUGAUUGAUUGAGUUCAUUGAUUGUUCCUAAAAGCAAUUGUUGAAAGAACUAAAUGGUAAAAGGCAGAGAGGUGAGCUUAAUAGAGGGUAAAAGCCUUGUGUGUGUUCCGAGUGACUUUUGGUGAGGCAGUAAAAUAAAACUUUAGUGUUAGGAUGUCAGAAAGGGCAGAAUCAAACUCAAGCCGAUAGGGCAAUAAUAGCAAUGCAUUGGAGGAUUUAGUGCAAAGGUUUAAGAGGGCGUUUGGAGAUGUGAGAGAUAGGUUGGAGAUGUAGGAGGCUUGGAUGAAUAGAUUAGAUACAUCAGUGGCUAAUCUUAGUCGGGGGCAUCGAGUGAAUGUAUCCAAUGCCAGAUGACCGGAUAGACGGGAGCCUAGGAGGGAAAGCGAGAGGAGUAUGGAUAUGGGAGUGACAUGGGUGAAGAUGAAUUUCACGGUGUUGAGAUGGGAAGGAUGAGGAAUAGAGACGAUAGGUUCGACAGACGGGGUCGGAAUGAUCGCGAGGAGGAGUUGGAUGGAAACUUGGGAAAUAUAAAAAUGACAGUUCUUUCAUUCAAAGGAAGGAGUGAUCCCGAGGCAUACCUGGAGUGGGAAAGGAAGGUUGAAAUGAUCUUCAAGUGUUAUAACUAUUUGGAGGAGAAAAAGGUGAAGUUAACAGUUUUGGAGUUCAGUGACUAUGCAAUUUCAUGGUGGGAUCAGGUGAUUACUUCACAACGUAGGAGUGGGGGAAGACCAAUCAGCACUUGGGAGGAAUUGAAGUCAUUGAAGAGAAAGAGGUUUGUUCCUAGCCACUAUUACCGAGAGAUCCAUCAAAAACUGCAAGGUCUAUAUCAAGGGUCGAAAAGUGUAGAGGACUAUCAUAAGGAGAUGGAAAUACUCAUGAUUAGAGCCAAUGUGGUGGAGGAUCGGGAGGCUACCAUGGCACGAUUCUUGAAUGGGUUGAAUAGGGAAAUUGCCAAUGUAGUGGAGUUGCAACAUUAUGUGGAGUUGGAAGACAUGUUGCAUGUGGCUAUGAAAGUAGAGAUACAGCUGAAGAGGAAAGGGGCAGCUAGGCAGCCGUUAGGAACUUCGAGCGUUAAUCCAUCUUGGAAGCCAAGGUGGAACAACAACAACAAAGGUGAUAAAGCCGUACCUAAAGGUAGGAAUGAGUGGCAGAAGGGGAAAGAAGAAAGUGCUAGCAAAAUAGCACCUAAAACAGAUUCACAACCAUCAAGGAAUCGAGACGUCAAGUGUUUCAGAUGCUUGGGGUCAGGGCACAUUGCUUCUCAAUGCCUAAAUAAACGAGUAAUGGGUUUGUUGGAUAAUGGAGAGGUGGUGAGUGAAAGUGAAGGAGAGUUUGAGGACAUGCCUGCAUUGGAGGACGUUGAAGAAGAAGAAAAAUUGGAGUUUGCUGUUGGGGAAUCGUUGGUGUCAAGGAGAGCUCUUAACACUCAAGUCAAAGUGGAUGAUUCGGAGCAGCAGCAAGAAAAUAUAUUCCACACACGUUGUUACGUCAACAAUAAGGUAUGUAGUAUGAUUAUUGAUGGUGGGAGUUGGACGAAUGUAGCUAGCACAACUUUAGUUGAGAAAUUAGGACUAACAUUGUUAAGACACCCUAGGCCUUAUAAGUUGCAAUGGUUGAAUGAAAGUGGGGAAGUUAGGGUGAAUAGAAGAGUUUUAAUUGAUUUCUCAAUUGGGAGUUAUAGUGAUAAAGUAGUAUGUGAUAUGGUGCCUAUGCAUGUGGGUCAUAUCUUGUUAGGAAGACCAUGGCAAUAUGAUAGAAGGGUCACACAUGAUGGAUAUAGGAAUCGUUAUAACUUUGUCAAGGAUGGGAAGACUAUUACUCUUGCGCCAUUAACACCGGCACAAGUGUAUGGAGAUCAAAUCAAGCUGAAAAGUGAGGAAGACGAGAGAAUAAGAGAGUCAGGAAAAAGGAGAGGCAAUAGUGAAAUCAUCAAUAAGAGAGAAAAUAGUGAGGCGGCUGAGAGUGGAGAAAAGAGAGAGAAUCCACAUGAGCGGAGAGAAAAAGAGUCAGUUGAGAGGAGAGAAAAGGCAAAUGAUAUUGUUAGUGUACAAGGAGUCCCUUCUCAAUUUCGAGGAUUCCAACACAUCCCUCCCUAGUUUGGUUAAGUCUUUAUUGCAGGAGUUCGACGAUGUGUUUCCUGAGGAGAUGCCAAGUGGAUUGUCACCAAUCAAAGGCAUCGAGCACCAGAUUGACUUUAUACCCGGAGCUGUCAUACCAAAUCGACCAGCUUACCGAAGCAAUCCCGAGGAGACGAAGGAGCUUCAAAAGCAAGUGGAGGAGUUGAUGAGCAAAGGUUUUGUCAGGGAGAGCAUGAGUCCAUGUGCUGUACCUGUUUUGUUGGUGCCUAAAAUGUGCGUGGAUUGCCGAACUAUCAACAAUAUCACGGUAAAGUAUCGUCACCCAAUACCUAGGUUAGAUGAUAUGCUUGAUGAGUUGCAUGGUGCUUGCAUUUUUAGUAAAAUUGAUCUUAAGAGUGGGUAUCAUCAAAUUCGCAUGCGGGAGGGUGAUAAAUGGAAAACGGCGUUUAAGACUAAGUAUGGAUUGUAUGAAUGGUAAGUUAUGACGUUUGGACUCACUAAUGCACCGAGCACUUUUAUGCAUUUAAUGAACCAUGUUUUGCGUGUUUUUAUUGGGAAAUUUGUUGUAGUUUAUUUUGAUGACAUCUUAAUCUAUAGCAAAAACCUAGAUGAGCAUUUAGAACAUUUAAAUUGUGUGCUUGUUGUGUUGUGAAAGGGACAACUAUAUGCUAAUUUCAAAAAGUGCACAUUUUGCAUGGACAGAGUUGUUUUCCUAGGAUUUGUGGUUAGUGCUAAUGGGGUGGAAGUCGAUGAAGAAAAGAUAAAAGCUAUAAAAGAAUGGCCAACACCUAAGACUAUAACUGAAGUUAGGAGUUUUCAUGGAUUCGCUAGUUUUUAUAGGCGAUUUGUAAGAGAUUUUAGCACCAUCACCACACCGUUGACUGAAAUAGUAAAGAAGAGUGUAGGUUUUCAUUGGGGAGAAUCUCAAGAAAUUGUAUUUAACACAAUUAAGGAUAAGCUAUGUAAAGCACCUGUUUUGGCAUUACCAAAUUUUGAUAAAACAUUCGAGGUUGAGUGUGAUGCAUCAGGAAUAGGUAUAGGAGCAGUGUUAAUGCAGGAAAGGGGACCUAUUGCUUACUUUAGCGAAAAGUUGAGUGGGGCAGCAAUGAAUUAUCCAACAUAUGACAAGGAGCUGUAUUCGCUUGUUCGAGCAUUAGAGACUUGGCAGCACUACUUAUGACCAAAGGAGUUCGUGAUACACACCAAUCAUGAAUCUUUAAAGCAUUUGCGAGGUCAAGGUAAAUUGAACAAAAGACAUACGAGAUGGGUGGAGUUUAUCGAGACAUUUCCCUACGUCAUCAAGUACAAACAAGGUAACGAAAAUAUAGUUGCUGAUGCGUUGUCUCGAAAGUACGUGCCUUUAAAUUCAUUAAGUACUAAUUUACUUGGUUUCGAGCAUAUUAAGGGCAUGUAUGAAUCUGAUUGUGAUUUUUCUACUAUUUAUACUUCAUGUGACAAAGGUGCAUUUGAUAAAUUCUAUAGGCAUGAAGGAUAUUUGUUUAGGGAAAAUAAGUUGUGCAUUCCUAAUUGUUCUUUGCGUGAAUUAUUGGUAAGGGAAGCACAAGGGAGUGGUUUAAUGGGACACUUCGGGGUUCAAAAGACUUUAGACAUAUUAGGGGAACAUUUUUAUUGGCCUAAAAUGCGACAUGACGUAGAACAAAUAUGUAAAAAGUGCAUAACUUGUAAAAAGACUAAGUCUAAGGUUCAACCCCAUGGUUUGUAUACUCAUUUGCCUAUACCUAGUGAACCUUGGGUAGACAUAUCUAUGGACUUUGUGUUAGGUUUGCCUAGGACAAAAAAGGGUCGGGAUUCAAUAUUUGUAGUGGUCGAUAGGUUUAAUAAGAUGGCGCACUUCAUACCAUGUCAUGAAACUGACGAUGCUACUAAUAUUGCGGACUUAUUCUUUAGGGAAAUAGUACGUUUACAUGGAGUACCUAAAAGUAUAGUGUCUGAUAGGGACGUGAAGUUUUUGAGUCAUUUUUGGCGUGUUCUGUGGAGUAAGUUAGGAACUAAGUUAUUGUUUUCUACAACUUGUCACCCACAAACAGAUGGACAAACUGAGGUAGUUAAUCGAACUAUGACUCAACUACUUAGGACAGUGAUCAAUAAAAAUCUGAAAUCAUGGGAAGAGUGUUUACCGUUUAUAGAGUUUGCAUAUAAUCGAGCUACACAUUCUACUACUUCGUUUUCUCCUUUUGAAAUUGUUUAUGGUUUUAAUCCACUAACACCUAUGGAUUUAAUGCCUUUGCCUAUGCAUGAACGAGGUAGCUUGGAUGGGAAACGAAAAGCCGAAAUGGUGAAAACACUCCAUGAAAAGGUCAGGAUGCAGAUCGAAGAGAAAGGAAAGCUGAUUGCAUCAAAAGCAAAUAAAGGAAAAAGACGCGUUACAUUUGAGCCUGGAGAUUGGGUCUGGGUGCAUUUCAGAAAAGAGCGUUUUCCAAAACAGAGGAAGUCAAAAUUGCAACCACGAGGCGAUGGACCUUUUCAAAUCAUCGAGAGGAUCAAUGACAAUGCAUACAAAGUGGAUUUACCAGGUGAGUACACUAUUUUGGCUACUUUUAAUGUAUCUGAUCUCUCUCUGUUUGAUGGAGGUUCAGAUUCGAGGACGAAUCCUUUUGAAGAGGGAGGAGAUGAUAUGAUCCAGGAGUCGAACCCGACGAAGGCAAGUGCGAGACAAGACCCGUUGAUUGUCGACGGCGGGCCAAUGACGCGAUCAAGGGCAAAGCAAGUGAAACAAGCGAUGGGAUUGCUCGUUCAAGAAACCAUGGAUGGAACCAUGUUCGGGACUCAAAAUUGAGCAACUUUCAUGUUCGGGUCGAAGGCCCAAUCAACUUGGAUCAAUUUGUUAUCAAGCGACGAAAGCGAAGGCUGAAGACAACACCAUGCGGCCGCACAGGAAAAACCACAUGCGGCCGCACACGUGCAUACCGAAAACCAAAAGACUAAUUCCCGUUGAACCAUGCGACCACAUGGAUUUACACCAUGCGGCUGCACCAGCCAAAAAAAUUGACGAAUUUUCUAAUUUUGGCCGAAUUUCCUAGUUUCGAUAGAAUUCUUAUGAAAUCAAAUUAUUACCAUAAUUUGAUGGUUUUGGACGUUUUUUAUUCAUUAGUAUAAAUAGGAGAUUACUUUUCAUUGUAACAACUUUUGAACUUUUGACUUUUGAAUUAAUAUUAUAUAGAGAGAAAUUUCUUCUUUCAAUUUAUUAUUCUUCUUGAACAAUCUUGGAACUUAUCAAGAUUCAACUUCUUGUGGCGUUCUAUCAAUCGGAUUGUGGGUUCUUUUAAAUGUAAUCAAGGGGUUUUAGGUUCUUCGCUAAUCUAGGGUUUCUUGGUUCAAUUCUUGGGGUUCGAGAUCCAAAAUCGGGUUAGUAUUGGCGUUCUUGGGUUCCGCAUCAAUCUCGUUGUGGGUUUCGUAGUUUCCAUUGCUACGGGGUUCGCAUCACUUUGUGGUGAUGCGUGCACUCAACACACAAGUCAAGGUGAAAGAAGAUGAACAACAAUGGGAGAACAUUUUUCAUACUUGAUGCCAUGUGCAGAACAAGGUAUGUAGCUUAAUAAUCGAUGGAGGUUACUAUUCCAAUAUAGUUAGUACUACACUUGUAGAGAAGCUAGGAUAACUACUAAAAAACACCUAAACUUUAUAAAUUGCAAUGGUUGGAUGAUUGUGGAGAGGUUAAGGUAAAUGAGAGAGUACUAGUGGACCUUUCAAUCGGGCAGUAUAAGGAUGAAGUAUUGUGUGAUGUUGUGCCUAUGCAUGCGGGUCAUAUAUUGUUGGGUAGACUGUGGUAGUAUGAUAGGAAGGUGAAGCAUGAUUGGUUUAGAAAUAGAUACAGUUUUGACAAGGAUGGAAAAUCAAUCACACUUGUACCUUUAACAUCGCAGAAGGUAUACGAUGACCAAAUGAAGUUGAAAAGUGAGGAAGAGAGGAAAGUCAAUGAGAGACAAAAGGAGAGCUCGAGAGAAAAUGGUGAGGUGACUAAGUGAUAGACAAACAGAGUAGAGACACAAGAGGGAAAAGAAAGAGAGUCUUUUAAGCUGAGAGAAAAAUGACAGGUGAGUUUCUAUGAAAAGAAGAGUCAGCUUGAGAGUGAGUCGGUGAGGACUAACAAAUACCUCCCCAGUUCGAAUAUCUCUUCGAUGCAGGAAUGUGAAAACUUAUUGCAUGAACACUUUUUUUAAAGGAGUAUCACUGUUUGAAUAUCCAAUGGAUGCAGUACAACUAGAAUAUUUGUGGAGCAUUGAAGAAGAAUUAUAUAACCAUGGCCUUGCGGGGUUUCAAAAUCCAAAACAGAGGUUGGAUAUGGUUUGACACAUGACAAACCGGAAAUGGAGUUGUGCUCAUUCCAAGGCAGUGACUGGAAGAGGGGUAACAUAUUCAGAUACGGUAAUUGGACUUGGAAGAAUCAACCAAAAGGGCGUGAUCGUUUGCAAAGGAGUUCAAAGCUUUACCCAAGAGGAGACGGUCCGUCCCAUGGCAUCAUAAAGCUUGAGGUCCAUGGAAACAAUCAUGAUCUUGAAGUUCUGUAUUCGAGGACAAAUCAUUUCAAAGAGGGAGGGAAUGAUGUGAUCCGAGGUAGGUGCCAAACUAUUAAGAACUUGUUGAUUGUUGACAAGGGGCAGGGACCAAGAUUCGAACCUAAUUCAAGCCAACAAGAGUAUGCAAUUGUUUGUUCGAGCUUUAGAGUAUGCAAUGUUGGAGUUAAUAAGCCAAAUAUCAAAUUUCAUGUUGGGGUCGUAGGCCAGAAUCAAUUAGAUCAACUCAAUACACGUGGACGAAAUCGGAGGCCGAGGGUUAAACUGUACGAUCGCACAUGCUAAACCACCAUACAGUCGCAUGUUGGUCAACAGAAAAUCAGCUGGGCCAUUUUUUUGACUUGUGCGACCGCACAAGUUACAACCAUGUGGUUGCAUGGUUAAGUAAGGGACCAAAAAUUUUCCUUUUUUUGGGAGUAGUUUAUUUUAGUUAGAACUCUUAAUUUUGGCAACUUUUUAUAGCCUAGGAGUCUUAAUUCUAUUUUUUACAAUAUUUUCUAGGGUUUUAUAGUUCUAGUAUAAAUAGCCAUUAUUUCUUUCAUUGUAAAAAACAAACAAGACUUUGAAUAUUGAAUUUAAUUCGAGAGGCUAUUUUGCUUCCAAUUCUUUUGUUCUUACUGAAUAAUUCGAACUUAUCAAGAAAUUAAUUUUCUUGUGGCGUUCACAAAUUCAAUUGAUAUUCAUAAAUCGUGUAAUCAAGAGGUUGGUAAUUUCUUCAAUUAUUGGUUGCUUGAUUCAUCUUUUGGGGUCCAAUCCAAAACCUUGCCUAUUGGCUUUCUUGGAAUUUGGUGUUAAUCUAGUUGUGGGUUCCGUAGUUUUCGUUGCUUCGCAGAUUCACAUUAGAAUUGGAGGAAGACUGCAAUUUUAUUCAAUGAUCGAAGGUUAUUUAUUACGAAGCAAGAUCCUCUUUAUAGCAUUGCAUCAGUUAUGUUAAUCGUAAAAUUGUAUUCCAAGUUCUAUAGAAUAUCUAAUUCAGAUUGUUGUUGUUGGAGAAUCUGUUAUCUUAGCAUUUUCAACUUUUUUCAGCAAAAUUUGGGAUUUGGGGGUCACUGAAAAGGUAAGGUUUGAUGGAGAUGUGCAAGUCACUAUUACUUGGUCACUCUGGAAGGAGCCGAAUGCUAACAUUCUUCCAAAUAAGUAUUAACCAUCACUGCUUGCCAGAUUGAGUAAUUUCUUGUCAUCCAUGUUGGUCAAGGAGCUAAUACUUUUGCUGGAUUCACUUAAUUGGAUAUGCAACAUGGACGAAAUGAUGCUUAUUAUUAUUUUUUUUAUUUUUUUUUUCAAAAUUUUUUUGUUGAUUCUUGACUCUCUACUGUGAUCCCUUAUUAUCUUUUCAUUGGAAAAAAGCUGAGAUGAUUCACUAUUCGUCACCUUUUUUUUUCGAAUAUUAACUUUUCCCUAGAUAUGAUGUUUGGUUCCCUCAAUUACUUCAUUAUUUGAUCUCUCUAUGAACAUUGAAUCAUUUCUGCAAAAUUGACAAGCAAGUUCGUCUCCAUAGAUUUGGUACCAUCCCGAAAUUGAAAUCACCUAGGAGCAGAAGUGCUCUUAUCCAUGUAUGUGGGUCCAGGAAAGUAUAAAGACCAAAAAUAUUUGAGGCAAAAAUCAAGUAUAAACGCAGAUAUGUAGAAAACAGUAACGGAACACAAGAUUUUUCGGCCAAAGUCCCGAGGUUCAGUGAUUUAUCAAAUCGCCUAGUCCCCGUUGAGCAUCCAUAAAGGAAUAGGCUCAAAUCCAUUAAAAUCACCGGCCAAAUACCACAAACUUCGAUUACAACCGAAACACACAGUUCCAACCACAGCAACUAUCAAAACCCUCAACACCGAGUUGAACUCACACAAGAGUUCAUAAGGAUUCAAUCCCUUUACAGAAAAUCUACACAAAGAUCUAAGAGAGAUUCACCCAAAUUACGAAGAGAAUAACAUGAAAAAUAUAGAAGCUGCGCGAGAGAGGGCAACACUCAAACCCUAGACUCUCCUUUUAUAAGAGAGAUGCCCCAUUUUGAUCCAACGGCCUUUAUUUAGCCAAGUGUUGAAAUCUAGUAUAAGUUGUUAUUUAAAAAACUGAAAACGCGUUUUCUCAAAACCAAUUUUUGAGCUUCGAGAUUCUUCUUCAUUCUGGGUCAUUGGACCGAGUAUGGGCUGAGUCCUUAAAUUUGGGCUGGGCUUCCACAUAAAACAGCAACCCAUUUCUACAAUGUAAUUAAGGAACUGAUAAAUGUGGGCAUAGAUAGCUACACCCAUCCUCCUAAGGGAAGUGGAAACAGUAGUUGUGUGGAUAGAUAGUUUGGGGCAAGCAGUUGUGGAAGCAACUUCCCUAUGAUAUUAUCUUCUAUUAAAUCGAAAUUACACUUGCCUACAACGACAAGCACCGUAAAGUCGUACACACACACACACACUACUCGAAAUCAGUCAAGCUUUCUUAGCCCCUGUUGGGCUCCAUUUUAACUUCAAUACAUUUUUCUCUUCCUUUUUUUUUUAACUACACAUUCUUCAGUAAAAUAAUAUUACAUGUAAACCCAAAAUUUUUUCCUUCUUUUUUAACCAUAAAUUCUUCAAAAAAUUACUAUUCCAAAAUACAUUUUUUCCAAAACCUAGGUAAAAUGGAGCCCAAAGUUCCGUCUUUGUGAUACUCUUUUGAUUGCAAUCACAUUGACUGAAAUUUAAUGGCUGAUGAUCCUCUAUUGACAAUAGUUCACAUGAGUUCCUUGCAUAUUUGGUGUUUUGACAUGUGAUGGUAUGGAGCAGGUAAAAGUGUGGAACAAUUUUUUCUGUUCUGUGAGCAGAAAGACUAGUGCUUAUUCAAGCUGCAAUGUUUUGUAUUACAAAAUGGACCUUUUCUACUCUGUCGAUUCUAAGAUUUAUGCAUCUGUAAAAAUGCUAUUAUAUUUUCUUUUGGUAAAGUCGUAUAUCUAAAAACGUGUUAUUGAAAAUUCAGGCUUUGAAUAGAGCUAGUGGAAAGGCGGGAAAUAAAGACGCUGAAGCAGCUUUGACAGCUGUAAGUCGAUAACUUCAUGUAAUGAUAUUUUUCUUGCUGCCUUGCUUUUCCUUUUGGGGGUUAGUGUUACGGUUUUGCAAAUCCCACAAUUUCUGCAAAAAUGAGUCUGUUACUAUUGCCUCUGAAAGCUGUAUUUUGACUUCAUUUAAGAUGGGAUCAAUUUCAAGUUAAAAUCCAUCUACGAGGAUUUAACUUGGAAGAAGUCUAAUUUUAAUAUUAAUGAUUUAGGCCGUCUGCUUAGUUGUUUUGUUGUUUUCCUUGGACACGUUUUUCAUGGAAACGCUCCAUUAAAUUCUAAUCCUGAUCAGCAUGACAACUUCUACCUACUUUUCUCUUAAUGAAUAAUGCUAUGUAACUCCAAUGGGGAUGGAUCCCUAGUCUAGGUUGCAUUAGAUGAUAGGUUAAAUGAUUGGUGAAAUUAAGUGACUUAUUUAAUUUCACCAAUCAUUUAAUAACACAUUAAAGCCACCUAAACUGGGGAUGCACCCCAGCGAAGCUAAAUAGCAUUACUUUCUCUUAAUCUAUUUCUUCCCCUCUAUGGGUUUGUUUUGCAACAUCACUUAUAUAGACAGUAUGUUUUGCACACAAAACGAGAUCACUCAAGAAGCUUGGAUUCUUUGUAAAGCUUUAUAUAAUGCCUGGUAGUCAUGAUGGAGUAACCUGUCAGUAUUUGCUUAAUUCUUUGUACCUUCGUGGAUAUGGUUUUUGUCCUUGUGUGAAAUCUUGGAAAUAUGUGUUUCAAUUACCUGUUAUUAUUUAUUAAUCUUUUAUUUUAGUCUCGUCUUUGAUUUCAUGAAAAGAUUAUUUCGUUCUUCCUUUUUCCAUUUUGGAGGCUAGACUAGCAUCUAGCUUGUAGACAUAUGUACACCUCAACAGAGAACCUCUUCUCCCUCUCUUUUCAUGUGCAAAAUGACACGCACCUGCACGAUGAUGCACCUUUCGGAACUUGUUUUUCCACUUCAUUUGUUGCAGCCCUUUUUCUUUUUUUUUUUAACGCCACAGAUCAUUUGUAUAACUGUUUACCUCCAUAUAUCUGGAGGACUAACCAUCCUGUCACGAAUAAAAGGUGUUCGGUGGAAGACAUAAUUUUAAUAAAUAAAAUUGUCCAUUCUUUAUCAGAUGAAGCUUUUAGAAAAGAUGAUUCAAAGUCGUAUCAAAGCAGGUAGAGCUCCCGAGUUCAUGUUUUACGGCUACCCACCUACGAAAAUGUUAGGGAAUAUUUUCACAAGGGGAAGGAGAAAAAACAAAGAACCAAGAAUGAAGAAAGGAUAAACACGAAAAUCUUUGUCCUCAAACGAUGUUUGUCCCCUCUAGGAUUGAAUUAGACGCUUAAAGGAACUCUUGGCAAAUGGUUUGAAGGAUUAAUCAAGCAUUGUAAUAGAUAAACAUUUAAACACUUAGUGUUUUCUACCAAAACUUCAAGAACACAAAAGGGUUUUGAAUAUAAGAGGUUUUGAUCUUCACACGUCAUUGGUGGACCUUUUAGUUUAGGAGUUUUAAUCUCAUCCUACUUGAAAUAGACACUACUAAAUCUCUAUUUAGUGGUUUGGUUAAAGAUCCGCUAAGUUCUCGGUUGACUUUACAUAAUUCAGGGAAAUAAUUCCAUCUUUGUCUAAUUUCCUUAUGAAGUCAUGUCUACAGCUUAUACAUCUAGACUUUCCAUUAUAUGUGACUUGGUAUCUUAUUAAAUGUAGCUAGCCAACGAUCGAUUCAUUUAAUAGAUACAACUUAUCAUCACCAAGAAAUCCUCUUAUGAAGCUACAUGCUUCUCACUAAAUUUAUCUAAAGCUUUAUAAAUUUCCAAACACUGUUCGAUGAUUUCUAUCAAAUCAUUACACUAUUCAAUCACUUUUACUAGUGGAUUUCAUACAGGGUAUUCAAUUCUCAUAAUUGAAUCAUUACAAUGAUCUUCAAUUUUAUGAAUAUUUUUCAAAUAUUCCAAUUGUUUUUGCAGACACCAAAAUAGGCUUUUAUCCCAUUUCAUCUACUUUAGACUUAGUGUAUAUUAUCCUUAUAAUUGUAUGAGGAUUUCUACAUUUUCUCCUUCAUAGAUAUCUUUCUAUAAUUAAAAGUUAUAAGUAAUUUUUAAACUAAAUUACCCUCACAAUUCCUCAAUUAGGAAUCCAUAUGCAAUUUAGUAAUAUUGCAUCCAUAAGUUUUGAACUUUUCAUAGAAGUUCAAAAGCAUUAAUGUUAACCCCCACAUUUUAGGUUAUACUUGAACUUGAAGUUCAUCAACUCUUGCAGUUCAAUACACUUAUCACUUGGAUAAUAUUCGUGAAAAUCUACGUACUUUCUGAUAGUUGUCCUUAAGUCACAAUGUACUUCAAUCCAACUAUUUUUAAUUUUGAUCACACACAAUUUGAUCAAGGUCAUCUCAUAGACCAACAAUGCUUUUCAAGUAUAAGCCUACUCAAUUGGUUCCACGAUUGAAGUCAAAUUCAAUCAAUGAAGAAGACUAUGCAUCUUGAUUCACAAGAAUUGCAACUUCUUCAAGCAUGUGUAGCCCAUCACUUUUGUGACAUGUCAUUAGAUAGUGUCAUGUCAAAUUAUAAAGUACAUGUUCACCUUAUUCACAUUUGAUCAAAAUUACAUUUUGUCAUAUUCAUAUGCAAAUAUAAUUUUGCAUAAUUCAUCUUACUUAAUUGAGGCUAUCAUUAUGAACUAAAGUUAAUGAAAUCAAUCAACAAAUUUACAAUGUCGUUUUCAUAUUUCAAUAAAAAGUAUAGUCAUGAAAGUUCAUAUUCGAUCAACAAAUAGUUGGCAUUCCUCCAACACUACUAUCCCAUGCAUAUGGAUCAUUGCCAAUUGCCAUGAUAAAGCAAGAAUAAUAAAAUUAUUUCAUUUCCGCAUGUAGUAACAUUCAUCAAAAUUGAAUAAGCCAAACUUUGGAAAUUCACAUCCUUUCAUCUUUCUCAUUAUGUUUAUACUUCUUUUAAGUAUUCUAUUUAUCACAAUUUGUAAAUCAUCAAUCACAAAGAUCGAAAGAUAUGUUCUACCAUUUUAUCCUGGUUUUAGUUAACCAAUUUUCGGUUUCAACUUAAACCAAAAAGGAAAUAAUACAUUGCUUAACAACUUUCGGCAUAUGAUCAUGUACAUAUGUAGUUUUGAAUUGAGAAAACACAAAUCAGAAUAUGCGAAUUAGGACAAAAGGUCAUGCAUAAAUUCACCUUUUCACAUUAAAAGCAAUGUAGCCAUUCAUAUAUUCUUAUCCAUCAUUUGAUCAUUAAACUAUAAUGCACAACAUUAAUAUCCAGUCGUUUCCCAUUAACACAUAUCAAAAUCAGAUUUAAACAAAUGUUCAAUCUGUUUUAUGCAUAUAAAGUCAGAUUUCAUAUGUAGUCAAAACCCACGAAGAUCGAACAUAAUUUCGACUUACCAAAAUAGAAAUUGAGAAGGCGAAAUGAUAAUUACCGAAGUUGAAUACUUGACGACGAAUUUAAUCCUUCAUUCUUCAACAUUUCUUUUCAAAUCAAUCUAGAUUUCUUUGUAGAAGAAGUGUAGAUUCCGUAACGAUACCAAUUCCGGAUCAAAUGUGUAAAAGCUCUUCAACGCUAUUCCAAACGAACAAAACUUGAUUGUCACCAUAGCGGUUCCUUUCUCUAUUGCAAAAAAAUCAUUUGAAAUUGUUUGGGAAUAUUUUCACAAGGGGAAGGAGAAGAAACAAAGAACCAACAAUGAAGAAAAGAUAAAGAAAUCACCCGAAUCGCAAUGAAGGCUCAAACACGAAAAUCGUUGUCCUCAAACGAUAUCUGCCCCCUCUAGGAUUGAAUCAGAUGCUUAAAGGGACUCUUGGCAAAUGGUUUGAAUGAUUAAUCAAGCCUGUAAUAGAGAAAAUUUAAGCACUUAAUGUUUUCUACCAAAACUUCAAGAACACAAAAGGAUUUUAAAUAUAAGAGGUUUUGAUCUUCACAAUGAAAUGAAUUUAAUCUUCAAUAUGUUUUUCAUAUGUUUGUAUUACUUAUUCAUCACCUAUUUAUAGGCUUCAAUUAAUACAUCACGAAAUCGUGCCAAACCAUGAUGAAAAGUGGCAACUUUUUCAUUCAAAAUGGUCAUCGAGUUUCAAAUUGAAAAACCAGUCAAUGGCUAUUUUUUAACACUAUGCAUACACAUAGUAUAAAUCUUGCGUACCCAUAAUGGAAGCAAAUUUGAUUCUGAUUUGAUCAAAACACAUUUCAUGUAUGCACAAAAUUAAGUCUAUGCAUAUGCAUAGGCAAAAAUCAAAGUUUCUAUUUUUCAAUUUCUUUUGAUUCCAUUGAUUUCACAAUUGAGCCCAAUAAUCAGCCCAUUAUCAGUCCAUUGAUUUUGAACAAAUAUUCAACAAUAUGUGCUUGCACCUGGCCUUUGAUAUGGGUGUUUUCAAGAGACAAAGUUAAAUAAAUAAAUUUGUUCCAUUUUAGAUGAGGCUGCUCAAGAAUAGAUCGCUGCUUUGGUGACGCUGAAAUUUUAUGCUUUUAUAUUGUUAAUUUGUUUACUUAAACGUGGGAUCCUAAUAUUGAUUUUGCAGAUUGAGAUGGCAAUCUUGUUUGAGCAUCCUCUGAAGUUUUGAACACCGAUCGAGCUCCUUUUUCCACCUACAUCCUAUUAGCAGGUUGUGCUGUAAUUUUCUAUGAGAAACCACAAGUCUCUUGUUUAUUACAACCCGAAUUACCAUACUUUUUAUGAGAUGCGCAAGUGUGAUAUCAUCCUAGUUAUCUAUUCGAUAUAUUGAAAAAUGAUUUAAUAAACAUUUUUUUUGUUACACUAUUCAUUACGUUGAAAAAAAUGAUGGAAAUGAUAUGAUGUUCUCUAUUUUUAUAUCUUUGCCUAUGCCUGUCUAUAUAGAUCAUUUAGCCCCUCUCUCUAGGAGAUUGGAAUGCAAAUAGAGAAUAGCCCUGGGAAGUCGAUGUUACAAUAAUGACAUAUCGAUAAAUAUCACAAUCUAUUUACUAGGAUUGUAAUAGAUUAUCACGCAUGCAUUUCAUGAUGGAAAUAAUUUCCAAAAAAUUGCGGAGGAGCAGGAUUCGGUGGAGGGUUAAGUUAUUUUUUAACUAUUCUUUAUUAUUGGUUGAGUUUUAUAUUUUCGUGUUGCAUUCAUCAAUUUCCACUGGUAAAUUAAAUUUUAAAGCAAUUUUAUUAAUAAAAAUGAUAUUUUUUUCUAAUAUAAAAAUUCCUAAUUUAAUUAGAAGAUCAAAGGAAAAAUGUAAAAAAAAAAUUAGUCAAGUACCUUCAAAUUUGGAGUCUUAAAUGUAAGAAUUUGAAACUUCGACUCACUUACCAAAAUGUGCAAGUAUUAUUCCCUAGGUUCAAUUAAACAUUGCUUGUCCCUUGAUGCUGUGUUUGCCCGUGUGCAUUUGGGUAUUAGGCAUGUGUUGAAUUUAAAAUGACUCUCGACAAUGGAUAUCUCAACUCUUGCAUUGAUAAGAACGCAUCAAAAUACAAUACUUGGUGUGAAUUGUAGAAUCCAAUGAAUCAUCAAAAUUUUGAACUCAUGUUAAUUACACCCAAAGCCAUUAUGCUAAGGGCAUGUUUGUCAAGACAUCAUGCAUUGUGUCGCCUUACCUCCAGAUGGAAAUUGUCUCGUCACUACCAACCCAAACAAGAUUUACUAUUGUAUGGUUACAAGGAUUAUGCUACUUGUACAUAAAAAUGGUACAUGAGAGAUUAGAUAAAAUUAUGUGGAUGGAGAAAAUUGAUUGAAAAAGUUGAUUGUAUUUUAAACUUUCAAAUGAUAGAGUAACAAAUAGCAUAAUGUAAAACUUGAUAUACAUGCAGCAAUGUACUUGCCACAAUUGAUUUUAAUUUUUUUUUGAAAUCAUAAAUACAUUGAAAUUGAGUAAAUAUCACGUAGGUGACAUCUUGACCUCCUAGCCACUUGGUUGCAUAUAAGUUUGUUUCGCAAUUAAAAAAUAUUCUAUAAAAUGAAUCUUGAUCCCUACUCGAGUUUAGCUCGAAUAGACUAUAAGAAACAUUUAUUUAUGCAAUGUUUAUCUCAAUCACUAUAUCAAACAUGUCAUCUCUCUCUUUUUCUUUUUCUUUUUUAUUUUUAUUUUUAAUUUUAUUUUUAUUUUUUUAUGCAUUUCAAAUGAAAUUAUUGACUUGUUUCUUUCCUCUUGUUCGAGAGUUAUUUGCAUCAUUGACCGAAAAUUCGAGGUGAUUAAUAUUACCGAAUAAAUCGUAUUUGGAGUAAUGCAAAGUGGCAGGCUUGAAUGCUUUGCUCACUUAACAUUAUUUACAACAAUUCAAACUUUACCACUGUUCUUGUUCAUAUCUCAACCACUAGAAUCAUGUACAAUGACUAUAUUGAUAAAAAGAAACUUUUUUACUGAUACUAAUUACGAUAAAUGAGCUAUAAAAAUGCCCAAAAUGUGUGAACUACUCAAGUGACAUAGAAGCACCAUUCUGUUGAUCCCAAAGGUGAUGCAAGAUUGAGAUUUAAUGACAAUAAUGAAAUAUUCAAGAUCGCACCACGAAAAAUAAGAUUAAAGUCAAGUAGAAAAAGAGAAACUAAGCAAAGUAACGAUGAAUUCCAUUAAACUUGACAAUAUGGAGAGAAUAAUACAGGAUAACAAUAAUGUUUCAUCUAAGAUUGAUAAAGGAUUCUCUAAUUUAUAGGCCACAUUCAUAAACCUAAUGGAGUCCUAAAAGGUAAGAAAAUAUUUUAGAAUUAGAUUAAACCGCGUAGAAGGAAAAAAAUCUUGGAUUUAAUUUGAUUUCUUUCCAAAUUCAAGCCAAACGUGAUCUUCCAAGAUUUCAACCCAAUUUUGAGGCAUUAAACCUAACAAUCUCCACCUUGACUCAAAAUUUCAAUGUAACGAACGAAACUCCAAAAUUUCAAAUCUGUCUCCUUCAAAAUGAACUGACCAAUAUUCUCAACACAGUAACUAAAAUCUCUAUCACCAAACCAGCAUCCUCUUCACAGCAUCUACAAGCGACACCUGAACCCAAAUCCUGGAUUCCCAAAAUUCCACCAAGGAAUUACUAUUGACCAAACAGGGUCGAAGCACACCGUAUAGCAGAAACCAUACCAUGUGUUGGAUCAGAAAGCCCCUUGCUAGAACUGUCACUUUCAACUUCCCCUAAAGCAUUACAAACAUUAUUAACACUACCGUACCUACGCUCCAUGAGUCCAACCCUAGCAACUGAACAUAAUAUAUCCACUGAAAUUGGUGGCAAAGCGGAAUCACCAACACUCUCCCUAGCAGUGUUCUUAACCAACUCAGAGUUCGUCAUAAGAGGUAUUGUACCAAACUUAACUUCUACCAUGGUGCUGAAUUUAUCCAAAUGUCUCUUAACUAGUUUUGCGUUUCCUUACAAGAUGUACAACUGAAACUUAUUCCGUCCCUCCAUUAUCACCCUGAUACCCCUUCGAACCUUCAAGACUCCACCUCCACCAGAGAAUUUAUACCCUUUUGCAUCUAGGGUACUCAGCUAUAUGAGAUUCUUUGUCAAGUCUGGAACAUGGCAAACCUGAUCAAGUGUCCACACUAUUCCAUCUUGUAGCCUCAAUUUCACUCGAUUGAUUCCUGCAACCCAACAAGAUUGGUUGUUUUCCCACCUUGCUUUACCAUCUCAUAUGUCUGAAACAAAAUCCUAUUAGGACGCAUAUGAUACGAACAUGUAGAUUCCAAAAUCCACUCCCCAGGUUUGGAUUUCCCAUCAGAUACAGCCAACAUUACAUCUCCAUCAUCCGAAAAAUUCUCAACAAUGUUAGUCUCGUUACCUGAUUGCCCCGCAUGAUUUGCAUGUAAAUUACCUUUACCCUGCAACUUGUCGUAAUAUUGCUUAAUGUGUCCUUUCUUCUUGCAGUAAUAGCAAUACACAUUGCUGUAUCUCACCUUCGAUCUAUCCCUCCAUUGAUCACCAUGAGUAACUAGAGCAUCCCCACCUAUAGAUGUAAGAUCUCCAACCAACAGCUCCAUCUUUUCCUUUGAGAACAAGGCAUCAUAUACCUCCUCAAUGGCCAGCUUGUCACAUCUAUACAAUAUAGUAUCACAAAACGGCGAAAAAGAACUGGGUAGCGAAUACAUCAGGAUCAAGGCCAGAUCAUUUUCAUUAUAUUUUAUCUCCAACGUCUCCAAAUCUCCAAUAAUCUCCUUGAACACAACAAGAUAGUCCUGCAGUGACCCUCCUUCCGCCAUACGAUGGGAAUACAGUUUCUACUUUAGAGUCAGUUUGCUCGUCAGACUCUUUGUCAUGCACACCUGCUUUAAUAACCUUUCGAUCCCUCCGUUGUUUCUCCUCCAUAAACAAAUUUACUAGCAUCCUCUCAAAGCCCAACAAAGCAUCGUUAAGAUCCAUCUGCAUCAACACAACCCUCACCUUUACUUACCAAAGUGAAAAUCUUAUAUUGCGAUCCAGCAACGGAAUUUCAUACUUCAACGAAUUCAUCCUUAAAAAAAUCUCAACCAAAUUACGAAGAACUUGCAACCUGUGCUCUGAUACCACUUUUUGAUCCCAAAGGCGAUGCACGAUUGAGAUUUAAUGACAAUAUUGAAAUAUUCAAGAUCGCACCACGAAAAACAAGAUUAAAAAUAAAAUAGAAAAAGAAAAACUAAGCAGCGGAACGAUGAAUUUUAUUAAACCCGACAAUAUGGAGAGAGUAAUAUAGGACAAUAAUAAUGCUUCAUCUAAAAUUGAGUCUCUAAUUUAUAGGCUACAUCCAUAAACCUAAUGUAGUCCUAAAAUGUAAGAAAAUAUACUAGAAUUAGGUUAAACCGCGUAAAAGGAAAAACUUUGGAUGUAAUUUGAUUUUUUUCCAAAUUCAAGCCAAACGUGAUCUUCCAAGAUUUCAACCCAAUUUUGAGACAUUAAACCUAACACAUUCGGUACAUAAAUGAAGUCGAACAAAUUUCUAGCAAUAUCAAGCCUACCAGUUUAAAUUUCUCAUAGUUUAAUUAACACAGCCAAUCCAUAUCAAGCCUAACUUUCUCAUAGACGUUUAUUAAAAUAGCUAUACACGAUUCAUGACCCAUUUUAUCAAAAUCCUGAGAAUUAGCCUACCCAGUUAGAGCUAAAACCAAUGAUACUCUUUAAGCACUGAUCAUGAAACACUUCUAGUGCUUCACUAAUCAAAUCAAACUUCAAGUAGCAAUGCACCAAGAACUAGUGAUGAACAAAUCUAACAAUAACCCAAGUUUAAACAUUGAAAUGAGAAUUUCAUUUUUUAAAUUUACACCGUUUCCAAGAACUAUUCACUAUUUAAGUUACUCUAUAAAGAGUUUAGCUCGAGAAAUGAUAAUUUUAUGAUAAAUGAAUGAAGACGCAGUUGGAUUCAGGUUUGAUGCAUUUAUAGAAAUAUUUACGCUCCUCAUCCACACUCCCAUUGUAAAAUUCACAAAUUACCAUACUUCGAGUUUCAAAUAUCUAAAAAUAUUUGCAUGUUAAUCAUUCAAGAAAAGAAGUAUGUCCAUGAAAAUGCAACACUCGCAAGAGACUAAAAGAGGAAAAAUUAUUGACGUCCAAUUAAUUCUCACCACAAUUCUAGAUAUUUCCUUCAAACUCUGCUUGAAGCCUCUUUUGUUGCAAAGAGCAAAAAUUAAAUGAGAGAAACACUCUGUUACAAACAAAUAUUAGACAAACAAAUAUUAGACGAAACCAAACAUAUUAAGGUAAAGAAAAUUUAUCAAACUUGAUAUAAUUCUUAGAAUAGAAAGACAAGAGUAUUGAAAUCUUGACGUCAAUCACAUCUCCUCGUUUUAUUCUCUCUACCUCUCACUCUUUCCUCCUACCAAACUGUUUUAAUCUUAAAUCUGUAAUAGUUAUAUAGAACAGUCCGUAUCUUAAUUACUUCAAGUAUGUAUCUCAAAGAUGCUUUAUUAGAGAUGUCAAAUUGGACAGGGCCUCAGUGAUGCCUGGACGCCAUGCAUCACAGCCUUUUAACGACCUUGACUGGAUUGUCUAGUCCUUUUUUACAAAAGGUUUUAGUGAAAAAAAAUUUUAAAAAUAAACAUUGAGAAACAAAAGCCACCCACCGGUCGGGGCUUCACAAGUAGGCCGACCUGCCUGCCUGUCUAGACACCACUAGCCUUGACCAAAUUACUUCUAAUCGCGGCAUCUGCAGAAAAUGAAUUUCAAGUUAUUUCUUUACUAAUUACACAACCAUGUCAACUUGAUAAUACAACAGUUAAAUAUAUCAUUCCACGGCUUUUUUCUUAGCAAGAGUUCUCAUCUCGAUUUCUCAUACCUCAAAAAAGAAAUGCUACGAAUUUAUUUCUAGAUUUGGUUUAAAUCUUCAAAUUCAAUACUUCGGAUUGGCUUCACAUCUGAAAAUCAAAACCAAGUCAAUUCCUGAAAUUGUACAAGAUGAGAUGGAAGUAACCAUCCAACUAUUGCUGUCUUUGAGGAUUACGGUCCAUGGUAUAAAAAUUAUACCACAUAAGAAGGAAAUGUCAAAUUCUCAAGCCCAUAGUCCAUAUUUCAUGAGCUGUUUGGGCAAAACAUUGGUAGAACAAUAGAAGUCACAUAAGGCAUUAUGAUUUCCCAAACUUAAACAUUCAAUUUGUGGUAGGAAAUGUUUACCUCUCAAAAGAAAAGUUAAUUACAAUUGCCUGAAGAUAAUCCAAUUUUACAACAUCAACAGAUAUGUUUCUAUUUUCUAGAAGUUCUCGAAAACAACCUAAACUUGUGAUGGUUUUAUGACCCAAAGAGGAAGAGAAAGAUAGAUUUUUCGAAGUGGAAAAUAAAUUCUACUUUGCACUAAAAACCGGCUGCAUUACGUAUAUUUUUCAAAAGACUUCUACCAUACUUCUGGUCACCAACUUUCUGCCAACUACCACCUUACAUGAUGAUAGAUCACACCAUGCUGUGAAAAACAUUACAAGCAAUUAAAAUAACUAUAACAUGAUCUGAUCUUAAUAUAUACAAUGCUACAAAAAAAAAAAGUGACAACAAAAGUGGCAAACAACUAUCAACACUCCUCCUUCACACUUUUGUUGGAAACACCAAGGCAUUUCCUUAGUGUUUCAAACCUUUCUUUGGACAAACUUUUCGUGAGAAUGUCUACAAAUUGAACCUCAGAAUUGCAAUGCACAAGUUUCACUUCAAGGUUCUCCUGAGCUUCUCUAAUUGCAUGAUACCUUAUUUUGAUAUGUUUUGUCCUUCCAUGAAAUACCGGGUUUUUAACCAUAGCAACAGCAAAUUGAUUAUCAAAAUGAAUCACAGUUGCAUUAGUUUUCUUAUGGUUUAGAUCCUCAAGACUUUCCUUAACCAGAUUGCCUAGUUUGUAGCCUCAGAUGCAGCCACAUACUCUGCUUCAGCUGUUGAUUAAGCCACAAUUUUCUAUUUCAUCGAGUGCCAAUAGAUUGGACUUGAUACUAGAUAGAAUACAUACCCUGAUGUGCUCUUCAUAUAUCACAUGAUCUGGCCCAAUCACUAUCAGUGUAGCCUAUUAGAACAUAAUUUUCAGACCUCCUAAACCAGAUUCCAAGCUCUGUAUUUCCUUUGUUAUACCUUAGAACUCUCUUUGCAGGCUGAAAAUGAAGAUCGAUUGACUCCUGUCUAAAUCUAGAAAAUAUUUUGGCAUCAAAUGUGAGGUCUGGCCUUGACAUGACCCGUCCUGAAUCACCCUAGUGGACCCAAAACGUGACGUGCGCCGAUAAUAGAUGCUGACUAGAUGCCAAAUCUAUCACCAAGGCUGACUAUGAGUUAUUUCAAAAAUGCAAUAAAAUCAAAUGCUUAUAUAAAAUAUAAUGCGAUGGGCCCAAAGUAUUUACUUCAUGCUUCAUCAAUAUGAGUUAUAAUAUUCAACAUGUCGUGUGGCUCUUAUUCCGAAAUCAUUAGGCUCUUCCAACUAAGAAGGAUCAAUUUCCACCGCCUCCCUAUAUUUGUUUUUUAAUUCUUUUAAUUUUUUUUUUGUAUGACAUGUUUGACUUUUCCUCCUUUUUUUAUUUACGAAAUUAAUGUAUUACAAAACUCACCCCCUUAAAAGAAUUUCAUCCUCGAAAUUCAAUUAAUUAAGUACGAAAAAGCUCGAUAUUGAGAACACAUUUGCUCUUCACCUUCCUAUGUCGCUUCUUCUAUAACAUGAUUCAUCCAUAAGAUUUUAACCAAAGAAAUAGUCUUACUUCGCAAGACCUAUUUCUUUCUGUCCAAUAUUUGAAUAGGUUCUUCCUCAUCUGUAAGAUUUUCAUUUUUAUUCAACUCCACUAUUAAUCUUAUAGCUUAAGUAAAAUAUGACGUCUAUUUACUAACAACCCUCGAACAUAUGGAAUACAUGUAGAACCGAUACCUUAAAUAUCAUCCUAAUGGUCAAUAUAUGAUAUUUUAGCUUUUCAUUUUAUCACAUAACGAUAAUAUAUACACGGCUUCAAGUUCGGCUUUUUUCGAAUACAAAUUUACCUUAACCUCAUGUGAUCAGUAAGUAUUAAUCUUCCCACCAUGUGAUGACACCACAAUUCCUAAAUAUCAAUCCAAAUAUAACUAACCAUAUAUCAUGAUUUAAUUAUAUCUCUUUAUCAAUCUAUAACAUAAUCCAUAUUUUAUCAUUCCACUUAGAGAACAUUUUCUAAACCAUAACAUAAAUCAUUAUCGUGAAUCAAUCACUUAUCAUCUUUAGAUAUAAGAGCAAGUAUUUUCUCUGUAUUUCCUGAUAGUAAAACUUUUGACAUUUCUAUACCCACAUAAAUUUUGUUCUUUCUUUCUGUAAAGAGACAAUAAUAACAUUUAAUCUAUGAAAAUCUAUACUCUUAUUCCAUAAAUAGAUCGUUGACCUAUUACUAAUGCAUAAGCCUUUUUUUAUGUCACAUAAAGACCUGUAUUGAAGAUAAUGUAACCUAGAGAUAUCAGUCCACAAUGUAUAAAAUUUACACCUGAUGAUCAUCUUAGACUUUAAACUAUCUAACAUAUCAUCCAUUUAUUCCAUAGCAAAUACAUCUCGAUAAAAGUGGAAUACUUUAUUCAUGACAUCCAAAAAUAAAAUUGAGAAUAAUCUAAAAAUUACGUUACCAAAAUUUCAAUAACUUCACCUUAACUUCAAAAGUUAACUCAACGCUUCCAAAUUGUAUGGAAUAUAACACAAUAAUCCAACAAAUGCCUUAACAAAAUUAAUUAACUUAAUAACCAUAUCAAUCAUCACAUUAUUUUGCUAUAGGACAACUAUUACGUUCAUUUACAUACUCACUAUAUUAUGUUGUAAUCAUAUAACUUCAUCACAUACUUAUGGCCAUACCAUAUGCCUUCUAACUUUUAAUUGUAUCAAUUUUCCUUAAGAUCACAAAAUAAUAACUUUCAUAUUUAUCAUGUGAACCUUUCACACAUCAAUAUACCAUCAAGAUUUCGUAUGUUAAUUUUCUAAUCUAAAUAAAUUCCAACUCUACCAUUCUCUACUCCUUUUUGUUUUUCACAUUAACAUACCUGAAUACACAUAUCCAUUGAAUUCUAGUUCUUGAAAAAUAAAUUAUUCCAAAAUAAGUAAUCAUGAUGAAGUUCAUCCCAAUUAUUCUCACAUUCCUUAUAAUCAAACAACUCAUAAAUAGUCGAAAUAAUUGGAAUUACCAUUAAUUUUCUCAAUGCCUAAAAUACUCGAUAACAAAUUGUUAUCUAUCAAUCCACAAAUCACAAUUUUGUCUUCCACAAUUUCUUAUCAUAUAGCAUGAAUAUACACUUUAUGAUUUCUAUUAUCAUCCCAUAUAAGUGGCCACAAAUCACCACAAUAUUUUGAUAACACUGAUGACCAUUUGGCUCCAAAAUAAUUAAAAUUCCAUGCUAGUUGUAAAAUCUAUAACUUCGAAUGCCCCGCAAAAUCAUCAAAAUCAGUUCAAAUCUUAAUAGGUUACAUAUACACAUAGUUCCAACCCAAUAACUAAUAACAUUUCCAACCAUCGGAUCAUUGCAACUAUCAUACUUACAUACUAGUCUUUUCUGGAUCUGUUAAAAAUAUCUUUCUAUCAGUUUCGGUUCCAUACAUUUGAGUUAGAGAGCCUGUGAUUUCGGCUACCACGACAUGUGAUUAUAUCAACUGAACAUGCAUGAACCAUAAAAAUUUUCAAAACAAUGCUCUGAUACUACUUUGACACGACCCAUCCCAAAUCACCCUAAUGCACCCGAAACGUGAUGUGCGUCGAUGAUAGAUGCUGACUAGAUGUCAAAUCUAUCACCAAGGCUGACUAUGAGUUAUUUCGAAAAUGCAAUAAAAUCAAAUGCUUAUAUAAAAUAUAAUGCGAUGGAUCCAAAAUAUUUACUUCGUGCUUCAUCAAUAUAAGUUAUAAUAUUCAACAUGUCGUGUGACUCUUAUUCCGAAAUCAUUAGGCUCUUCCAGCUAAGAAGGAUCAAUUUCCACCUGUAGGAAAAAUCGUGGGAAAAUAUAUGAGUUGAUAACUCAGUGAGUGGAGCAGUUCGAAAAUAAUUAUACUUUUUCAAUUUUACAUUUCUAUCGAAAAUGGAGUUCAUAUUAUUUAAUAAUUCACAAGAUAACAUCAUGUAAUUAUAACCAAAAGUGAAAUAUUCACAUAAGGUCGUAAAAUGUCAUCUUAAAAGCAUAAUAUGAACAUCAGCUGAUAACCAUGCUAUAAUCUCAUCACAUCAAAUGUGCUGAAAAAUCCACCAAAAAUAUACCCUCUGAUUGAAGUAUAUAAUCCGCUCCUCGGGCUAAGAACUUUCGCUAGGGGCUUUUGGCCCCUCCGUGAAUGAAAGUCGGUCUCAAAGACCUCUCAUAAUCAAUUCUAGAACAUGGCCAAGGCCCCAUUAGUGAACUAUAUGUACACGAUCGAGACCCCUUCAACCCCGGUUCAAGACCCCUCAGUGUAGUAUAGAGCACGGUCAAGGUCCCUCAGUGAAUUAGAAGAAAUAUAUAAUUACAGGUACUUUUCUGGUCAAUCUCAAAAUCAUAUCUCAAAUCCAAAUUCACAAUGUACCGUAUACAAUUUUUAAAAUCCACAUGUAUCUUAAUAAAAGAUAUUUCCAUAAUAACCAUAUGAUUCAAACACAUAAUUGCAUAUAGUUGCACAUACUUUAACAAUAUACUUAAUUUAUAAAUACUUUAAAAAUAUUUAUAUUUUUCCACCCACAGUACUAUGUUCGCAAAAUCAAUGCGGUUGGUAAGCUAUUCUGAUGUUAGUAUCGUCGCUUGAAAUACGAUAUAAUUUUUAAAUAAACAAUUAAUUAUUUUAGAUAAUUUCAAUAAUUAAAUAGGCAAUACCCAAAUUUAAUGAUUUCACGCUUAAGCAAUUUCUACGCUCUCUUUAAUCACUAAAACUAGUUUUUCUUUCACUUUACUCAAUUUCAUAGUUUAUUAUACUUAACCCAUUCAAUAAGAUUGAAUUUAGUCUAACAAUAUAACAACUAUAAAAUCAAACAUAACUUGACAAAAAGUAACUCUUUACUUACCUUUUAAAAUUGAGGAAUUCAAGCCUAAUAAUGUAGACCAUUUAAUUACUAACACGUUGGCAAAAAAUUUCUAUUUUUUUUCUUCUUCUUCUUCCCUUUUUUUUCUCCUUUCUCUUUUCUCUUUCUUUCUCCCUGUUCAUUUUUUUUACUGUGUAUUUGUAUGUGUUUUAAUGUGGAAUUGGAACUUUGGUGGAUUAAUAUAAUCAAUCCACCGCCUCCCUAUAUUUGUUAAUUAAUUCUUUUUUUUUGUGACAUGUUUGACUUUUCCUCUUUUUUUUUAUUUACGAAAUUGAUGUAUUACAGGUCUUGUGAUGGUUAAGUACAAAAGACUUCCCGCCAAGCUUCUAUACACAUUUUCAUCAUAUCUGUUGCUUCCAUCUUCUUUCAUCAGUUUCAAAUUUUGAACAAGUGGAGUGCUAACUAGUUUACAAUUUUCCAUGCUGAACUUCUUCAAAAUUUCUUCAGCAUACCUCCCUUGAUUGACAAAAAUUCCAUCCUUUGUUUGAUUUAUUUCCAUUCCAGGAAAAUACUUCAUUCUUCCAAAAUCAGUCAUCUCAAAUGCCUCAUUCUUUUCAUUUUUCAAACUAUCAAUUGAGUUCUGAUUGCUGCCCAUUACUAAUAGAUCAUCAACAUAUAGUGAAAUGACAAUAGCAACUUCCUCCAUUUGCUUUAUAUAGAGUGUUUGUUCAUUAACACUUUUGAUAAAAUCGUAGCAGCUUAGAUGUUCAUCUAUUCAGCUGUACCAGGCUCUUGGAGCCUGCCUCAAACCAUACAAGGCCUUCCUCAAUAAAUACACUUUAUUUUCUUCUCCAGCAACAAGAAAACCAUCUGGUUGUUCAGCAUAAAUCUCUUCAUUUAGCCAACCAUUUAAGAAGGCAGAUUUGAUGUCUAAAUGAUGAAUGUUCUAGCCUAUUUGUACAUCAAUUGCCAAUAGAAGUAUGAUUAUUUCAUACCUUGCAACAGGAACAAAUGUAUCGGUAUAAUCAACACCAUAUUGCUAUGCAUAACCCUUCAAAACCUGCAUUCCUUUAAGUUUGUUGAUUGAAUCGUCAGAGUUUAGUUUGGUCUUAAACACCCACUUAACUCCUAUUACAUUAUUGUGCUUUGGUCUGUCAACCAACAACCAAGUUCCAUUCUUCUCAAUCAUCCCUAUCUCAUCCUUCAUUGCAGCCAUCUAGCCAAGUGAAUUCAUUGCUUUAUUGAAGUUUGAAGGUUCUAGUUCAGCUGCAUUGCACUUGGCAUAUAUAUCAGCAAGAGAUCUGGUUCUCAACACCUCAUUUUUUGAAUCUGAGUCAUCAUUUGGUUCAGGUUCAUUUGGUUCAACUUCAUUGUUAAAUGACAUCUUCAUUUCCUUGAUCCACCAACCUUGGAGUUUGAGGUUUAUCCAAGAAGUUUUCUUCCUAGUUCCAUGAAGAGUUUUCAUCAACCUUGAUAUCCCUGCUGGACAUCACCUUUCUGGUGUGUGGAUCAUAGACUCUAUAACCUUUAACAUUAUCACAAUAACCAACUAAGACUCCAAGUUUUGCCUUAGGACUUAGAUUAUCCCUCUUAACAUUAGGUAUAUGGGUGCAGCCAAUGCUCCCAAAUACCUUCAAAUGUGUGAUAUUUGAUUUAACUCCAUUCUAAGCUUCAAAGGAAGUUAAUUUCUUUAAAGCCUUUGUUGGCAAUCUAUUGAGCAAGUACACAGCUGUAUUCACAGCUCCUGUCCAGAAUUCAUGUAGGAAUUUUAUUUUCAAUCAUCAGGCAUCUUGCCAUUUCUAUCACGGUUUUAUUUUUCCUUUCACACAAUCCAUUUUGUUGAGGAAAAUAUAGAAUGGUUAAUUGAUGUUUGAUUUCCACAUCAUUGCAGAAUUUGUCAAACUAGUCACACUUGUACUCAGUUCCAUUAUCAAUUCUUAUGGCUUUUAUCCUGCAAUCACUUUCAUUUUCCACCUGUUUCUUUAACCUCUGAAAUACACCAACAACCUCAAAUUUAAUUUUUGGAAGAAACCCCCAACACAUCCUUGUUAAAUCAUCAAUGAAAAGUACAAAAUAGUGGUUGCUAUUUGAAGUUUUUGUUCUCAUUGGACCACACACAUCUAAGUGGACCAAUUGCAAUUUAAUUGAUGCUCUCUUCGAUUGAUUUUUAGGGAAAGGCAUUCUAGUUUGCUUUUCAAGUUGGCAUACCUUACAAAAAUAGCUUUCAUAACAAAUGUUAGGUAAGUUUUCAACCAAUUCCAGUUGGUGUAAUUGCUUGAGUGAGGUAUAAUUAACUGUCCAAAAGUUUUGUGCCAAAGUGAAGACAUAACUUCAGUACUGGUGAAUGCAUGAGAUGUCAUAUUCUUCCAUUCUAAUGGAAAACUUCUUUGCCUCAUCUCAGCUGACGUUAACUCCUUUCCAGUAGGAUUAAAUAUGGUGCAAUCACUAUCUCUAAAUAUCAAUGCGUAGUGCUUCUCAAUUAAUUGUCCUACACUUAGUAAGUUUUGAUCAAUAUCUGAUACAUAAAGAAUGGCAGAGAUACGCUUAAUACCUAUAGGAGUUUGUACAGCAAUCACUCCAAUGCCCUCCAUUUUCACAUAGUCUUGAUUGUCUACUUUUACCUUUGAUUUGUAUGAAUCGUUUAAUCCAACAAAGAUACUGGAAUCAAAAUACAUAUGGUGUGUACAACCACUGUCUAAUAACCAUGUUUUAGCAAUGCUGCAGGCCUUAAAAUUGAUGACAGUGAAGAGAUGCUCCUCCUGAUGUUGCAAUUGAUCCUCUGCCACUUGUGCCUAUUGCUGGUUCUAUUUUUCAUUCUAAUUUUUGCACACUUUUUACACAUGUCCAAAUUGCUUGCAAUUCCUACAUUGGAUACCUAGUCUAUACCAAUACCAUUUAGGUGAAUGACAGGUCUUUUUACAAUGAGGACAGGAUGGAUAUGUGGUGUUUUUAUUAGCAGCCUUGGUGCCUUCAUACUUCUUUGUUUUAGGUCCAGUCUUCUUCACAUCAAAGCUUGUUUGAGCUUUGUAUUUUCCUUUAACAAAUAAGGCUCCUUCUACUUGAUUUUCUUGCCUCAACAAUCUCUUUUAUUCAGUAGCAUGAAGGGAAUUCACAAGUUCAGAUAGAGAUAUGGUAGAUAGGUCCCUUGUAUCCUCAAGUGAUGAUAUCUUUGCCUCAAAUAUUUCUGGCAAGCAUAUCAGGACCUUUUCCACAAUCCUCUUGUCAGGGUAAUCAUCCCCCAACAACCUUAUUUUGUUCACAACUUUCAUCAGCCGGUCAAAAAAUUCUUUAACUGAUUCUGCCUCCUUUGUCUUCAAGCCCUCAUACUCCCUUCUCAAAUUCAAGACCUGCAUUUGUCUUAUCCUGGUAUUUUUCCUGAAUUCCUCUUGCAAUUUGUCCCAGGCUUCCUUGGAAGUUUCACUGUGAUUAUCCUAGUAAAAUUACAUCAGAAAUGGCUGACUGAAUGUAGGAAAGAGCCUUGAAUUUCUUUGCAACUUCUUCACUGUGCUGCUUGAGUUGAGCUAUGGUGGGAUUUGCUCUGGGUGGAAGAGGUUCAGUUCAGUUUCUGUGAUUUCCCAUAGAUCAUAGGCUUUCAGGUAAGCCUUCAUUUUAGCAACCUAGAAGUCAUAGUUUUCUCCUGUGAAAACUUAAGGUAAUGGAGCUGAAAAACCAAUUGAAGCCAUCCUCUUUUGCCUUUGAAAACACACGGCUGAUAUGGUUAAGGUUGUGGUGGAAGUUACCUUACUUGUUUUCUCUCUUUCUAUCUUUCUACUUUGCUUCUCCUCUAAGAUCACUAAAGCUCUGAUAUCACUGAUGGUUUUAUGACCAAAAAGGAAAAGAAAGAUAGAUUUUCUGAAGAGGAAAGUAAAUUCUACUUUGCACUAAAAACUGGCUGCAUUACAUAUAUUUUUCAAAAGACUUCUACCAUACUUCUGGUCACCAACUUUCUGCCAACUACUACCUUACCCGAUGACAGAUUACACCAUGCUGUGAAACACAUUACAAGCAAUUAAAAUAACUGUAACAUGGACUGAUCUCAAUAUAUACAAUGCUACAAAAAAAAAUGUGACAACGAAAGUGGCAAACAACUAUCAACAACUUGAUACGUCCUUCACAUUAGUAUGGCUGGAUAAAGAGUACAAGACUACAGCAUUUCAUCUUUGAUACGGCCUUGGGUAGAAAACUUCAGAAUCAAACUUAGAUAUUCUAAAUAAUUUGUAUCUUGGGUUAAAAUCUCUAUAACUGAAGAUACCAUGAGUUCAUCUAGGGAGAUAUUUCUCUCUUCCAUUUUGUGAAGAAAUUCAACCACUUUUGUGCGUCAUUAUAAUUGCAAAACUUCCUAGAAUUGCUUGGCAAGCAAGCAAAAAUAGUAAUUAAAAAUUUAAAAAUUAGAAUUUUCUAGAAUACAUUGACAAACAAGUAAAAUAAAUAAUAAAAUAAUUAAAAAAUAGCAUUUUCUAAAAUAGUUUCCACCACCAUUUUAUGUGUAUAAAUAUGGGCUACCACCUUUAAUAUAUUGUAACAAAAAUUGGAAAGAGCAUCUAGACUCUUGCAUGUAAAACAAAAGCCCACUUUGUAAUAAAAUUACUUUCUUCCUCCUCAAUUAUAUUGUUUAAUUAAAUUACUCCAUAUCAUUGCUAUCCCUAAAAUCCAUCCCAUCUAAAAUCUACUUUAUCACUUUUAUUUAAACCCUACUCAAAAUAAAAUUCAUCAGUGGUAUUAGAGCUUUAUUCGAUUGAUAGUGAGCGUAAGUAUAUACUCCGGCAGACGCUUUCCAUUCAUCUAUUCCUAUUCCAACAUUUAAUUGAAACAACUAUGAUUUUUGGUCUAUCAAAAUGAAGACCUAGUUUUGUGCGCAAAACUUAUGGGAUGUCGUCAAUGAUGUUUAUACUAACCUAGAUGACAUUUCUACUCUAACUACUGCACAAAAGAAGGAACUUAAAGAUAAUCAAAAAAGAUUCUCUAGCAUUACUCGCUCUAUAAAUAAGCUUGACAAACACUUAUUUUCUAAGAAUCAUGGGAGUUAAAACAACAAAAGAAGCUUGGGAUAAGUUGAAGGAGGAGUUCUAUGAUGACGACAACGCACGUACUUGGCAUCUUCAAACUUUAAGAAGAAAUUUUGAAAAUUUAAAAUGAAAGAUUCUGAAAUUGCAAAAGAUUAUUAUCCAAGAAUAGAUAAAAUAGUAAAUCAACUAAGAUCUUAUGGAGAUGAUGUUCCUAAAAAGAAAGUUGUUGGAAAUAUUUUAAUUAUCUGUACAGAAAAAGAUGACCCAAUUAUUGCAGUUAUUGAGGAAUCUAAAGAUAUAGAUAAAUUAACAACUACAAACUAGAAGCACAUGAAAAAAAGAUUAGAAAUGCAUUAUGAAAUUGACACAUAAAACGCUUUUCAAUCUAAAGAUAAUAUGCAAUUUUAGAAAUCCAAAGAAAGUUGGAGAAAAUUUAAAGAAAAUUCUAAAAUAAAGAAAUUCAAGGAAAGGAAAUUGAAAAAAGUGGCAAGUAUCCUUCAUGUUGCAUUUGUAAAAUAAAAAGUCAUUUGGAGAAGGAUUAUUGGUUUAAAGAAAAAUCACAGUGCCAUAGUUAUAAAAAAAUUUGAUCACAAAGAAAAAUUUUGUCGCUUUAAACAAAAUCAUCAAGUUAAUUUCUUUGAAGAAAAUAUAUAGAAAGAAGCCUAUUUUAUGCCUCCAGCAAGGAAGUGUCUGAAGAAAAAUUGGAUACGUGGUACCUAGACGGUGGCUGUAAUAAUUACAUGACAAAAGAUGAAAGUAUUUUCUGCAUUCUUGAUAAAACCAAUGCCAAAAUCAAAAUUGGUAAUGAAAAUUUCAUAGAGGCAACAGGCAAAGACACUAUUGCCGUUGAUACAAAAAAGGGCAAAAGAUACAUUAAUGAAGUUAAAACUAUAUUAUAAGAGAUAAAAGGUAAGUUAGAUGAAACGCCGGAGAAAUGAAUCUUCCUAGGUUAUAAUACUCAAUCAAAAGGCUAUCAAGUCUAUAACCUAAGAACAAAGAAACUAAUUAUAAGUCGGGAUGUUAAGUUUGAUGAAGAUGCCACCUAAAAUUAGCAUAUUGGUCAAGUUGAAAUAAAAGCUAUCAGCAUCCGAUCACAACCACAAAAAUAGGAGGGUGACGUUGAGGAGAACAAUCAACUAGAGUCUCCACAACAGGCAACAAUAGAAAAACCAGUUGACUCACUAGAAUCGUUACCAAGAAAAACACGAAGAUUAUCAGAAAUAUACCAAAGCUGCAACUUGGUGAUCGUAGAACCUGAAAGUUAUGAAGCAGCUUCAAAACAACCAAAAUGGAGGAAAGCUAUGGAUGAAGAAAUAAAAAUGAUCAAGGAAAAUAACACUUGAGAGCUUGUAGAUCUUCUUCAAGAUAUAGAAGUCAUAGGAGCUAAGUGGGUAUACAAGAUGAAGCUUAAUGUUGAUAUUUCAAUCCAAAAAUAUAAAGCAAGACUAAUCGUCAAAGGAUACUCACAGUAGUUUGGCAUCGACUACAAUGAAACAUUUGUUCCAGUUGCUCGAUUUGUUCUAUAAGGGCGCUGAGUAGAAGUUAGAAAGGUGAAAUCUUAACUUAAUAAGGAGUUUGAAAUGAAGGAUUUGGGUGCAACAAAAGAAAAUUCUUGGAAUGGAAAUUUUAAGGGAUGGAAAGGCUCGAAGAUUGUAUUUGAGUUAGAAGGGGUACAUUGUAAAGGUGCUUCAAAGGUUCAAUAUGCUGGAUGCUAAGGCUGUCGGUACUCCAUUGGGUGCUCACUUUUAAUUAUCAUCUGGGUUGUGUCCUCAAUCAGAUGAAAACGUUGAUUAUAUGUCUUGGCUUCCUUAUUCUAGUAUAGUUGGUUUACUAAUGUAUACUAUGGUUUGUACAAGACCAGAGAUAUAUGGCAAAUUCUGACAAUGAAUAUUGAAAAGCAGUGCAAUGGAUAUUCAUAUUAUUGAAAGGCUCAACUAAUGCUUGUUUGCAUUUUGGGAGAAAUAAAAAUCGAGUCAUUGGGUAUGUGGAUUCAGAUUACACAGGGGAUUUUGAAAAAAUGAGAUCACUUACAGGUAUGUGUUUUCCCUUGGAGGCUGUGCUAUCAGCUGGAAAGCUACUUUGCAAAAAUUAGCAGUUUUGUCUACAUCAGAGGCAGAAUACAUGGGCAUUACAAAGGAAUGUAAGGUGGCUAUGUGGUUAAGAGGAUUAAUUGGUGAAAUCAGUGAAGACUUGCAAAUUUCUGCAAUAUACUAUGAUAGUCAGAGUGCUAUAUUUCUGACUAAGGACCAGAUGUUCCACGAGAGAACUAAGCACAUUGAUGUGAGAUACCUUUUUUUAUGUGAAGUGAUUGCUUGUGGUGAUAUUGUAGUGAGCAAGGUUGAUACCAAGUAUAAUCCAACAGAUGCCUGCUGUCAUAGGCACUCCAAAUUAUAACCUAGACUUCUUAAAUUUAAUGUAGUAGUGGAAGUAAGAGUCGAUCCCAAGAAGAGUGAUUAAUUUACUUUUUAUACGAAAUUAACUAAAAUGAGGGUUUUUAGUUUUGAAACAAGAAAUUAUUAAGAAAACCAAUUAAUAUCAAUGCAAAUUAUCGAAUUAAAUGAAAUCAAUGGAACGAAUCUUGGUCUAAGUCAACAUCCACCAUUCGAAAUUCAUAACAAGUCAUUGAUCCACAAAUAAUCAUCAUUUCAUAAUUGUAGCAUUUAUUGUGAAAAAUAAAUGUCCCAUUCGAAACAAUUUUUCCAUUACUCCUUAGUUUUAAUUAAUUAGAAACAAGUGAUCCAAUUAAUCCUCAUUAUCAAACAAUCCUAGAAAAUGCGAGAAUUUAAUUUAAUAAUGACUUUGCGAAUUAGAGAAAUCAAUGAACUAGAUAUAUAACACAAGCCAAGCAUUUGCAUUUAACCUAGAUAAAUCUUCUACCUAAGAUUUAAUAAUUUCCAACCAGCAAAUUAUCAAUCCUAGUUACCUCACAAGUUAAACCAAUCAACAAUUAUAGUUUUGAAAUUCAACUUAGCUAUAGAUUGUAGAGAUUAAUAAACUAGCGUACACUCUAGAAAUUAAACACAACAAUCAUAAAAAUAAGUGCAGCAGAAGAUUUAAUACUAAAUAUAUGAAUUAAUCAAUAAAAAUCAGGUGAAUCUCACAGUUAUAAUUGUUCCAAAGCUUCUGACUCCUUCGAUCAAGCAAAAGAAAUGAGUUGCAUAUUAUAGAUCUUGAGCACAAAGAGAGAAAAAUAGGGUUGGGGGCGUUCUCCUAUGUUCUAGGGUACGUGUUUGAACGGAAAAAGGAAACAAAAAAAAUCACAUCUUGGAUUCUACCAUGCGACCGUAUGGUAUAUUUCCAUGCUACUGCAUGGUUAUGUCAAAAAACCAUCUUGAAGUCGCUGAAAUAGGCUGUGUGACCGCAUGGAAAAUGAACCAUGCAAUCGCAUUUGCAGUUUUUCUACUGGACAGCUUUCAGUAUUUUGGUCAUAACUUUCUCUUUCAAUAUCUGAUUGAGGUAAUUCAAGAUGUGUUGGAAAGAUAACUCAAAGGGACACAACUUUUCUUCAGAUGUCAUCUUUCAAUUCAAUUGCAUACCAUGUCAAAAAUGGUCCCAAGAUAAUGCUAAGAACCGGUGUAUAGUUUUUUUCGAUCGAAAAUUGAUGUGCUAUUAUACUUUGAUUGUAUUUCAUCCAUUUGACUUAUUUCUGUAUCCACUUGACCUCUAAUACUCUUGAUUCUUUAUUUCAUUGCUCAUCUCAUCUAUGAAUUAUUAGCAACUUGGUCCCUGAACUUUCAUCUUAUAUUUUCUUGGCUUCUUUUUCUUCAUUUCCUUCUCCAAUGCUUUAAGUCUUCCAUCAAUUGACCUUCAAAUCUUUCACUCCUUCAUUUCACCUUCCGAUUCAAUUUUUGGAUAUUUGCAUUGUAGUCCUUCAACUUUUAAUUUCUUUCACUUUAGUCCUUUUUCACUCUUUUCUUCUAAUUUAUGCCAUCAUCAUCUAAUUGCGACCUAGAUCAAAAUAUAAGGACACUCAGUACAUUUAGGUAUCAAUUAAUCACAAAAUACCAACAUUAAUGGAUGAAAAACGUGACAUUUUAUGUUCUAUCACACCUGCUGAUUUGGUGACAAAACCACUUUCCAUUGCUAAGUUUGAGCAUUGCCUGAAUUUAGUUAGUGUUUGUCAUUGAUUUAAUCGAUUGGGGCUUGUUUGGAAGAGGUAGAGUGGUGUUUACUCGGGAGUUCUUUGUUUUGAAAUUUGGCUCAAGGUAGAGAUUUGUUGUAGUAUGAUCCAAAUUCUAGUUGGUAUUGGAGUUAUAGUUGAAGUAGUCUUAGAAAUAUCAAAAUUAUAGACCGGGAAGAAUCAUGCUGCAAUUUCACCAACUUAGCAUUAGCUGACCGCUGAGUAAAAGACAGUAGAAAGUUUUCGCCCGCCAUUCGCUCGAGCGAUGAAGCUGUCGCUUGCUCCUUGCUCAACGUUGUUUGAGCGGUAGUACAUUUCUGGAAUUCGUGUUUUAAUGCGUUUUGGAUUUCUACUCAUCUACAACUUAUUUUCUAGGUUUCAUAUAUGUAUAUGUUCUGAUUUGUAAUGUCUUAUUAUCAUUCAUACAACAUCUUGAAAGGGUAGAUCUUAGUUGAGAGCAUUGAGAUCUUGUUGUAAACACGGUUGCUAUUGAUUAUAGUGGAUUCUCCUCAUUUGCCUGUGAUUUUUUUCCAUCUUGGGUUUCCCCAUAAAUCUUGGUAUUCUUUAUUUUAUGCUUAUUUAUUUCAUUAUAUUCAUAAUCUUCUGGUCAAUUCAUAACACUUAUAAAUUUGGCAUUUUGCUGUAUCUGAAACACAAAUUAUGGAAAUUUUUCUUCUCUAGUUUGUUACCUAAGGGAAUAAGUUUUUUUUUUUUUUUGGUUGCUUGAAUACCUAAACUAGCUCUGUAAUUAACUUUUCUUCCAUGUCAAUUUCCAAUAAUAUAAGAACCUAUUGUUAUACUCUCCAUUAAUGCUCAUUUAUCUCUGAAACUGAAAGUGAGAAAGGUUAUCAUCUUAUUUAGCAUCCUUGUCCGUUGCCAACUUCAUGAUUACUUCGCGCUCGCACUAUCAUAGUAGUUAGUUGAUCUACUUUGUUGACAUAUCUAUUGGUGUCCGGGUUGGUCAAUCUCCAUCAGUUGCCUCAACUAGAAUACAUACUGACCUGAUUCCUAGAGCUUGUCUAAUUCACUAUUAACGUGCAAUCUAAAACUGCCAUGUAUUCACUGCUGCUACCUGUGGAGGAAACUGAUUGUCGCCUCCAUCAUUCUUCUCAGCCUUUCUCUUUAUCACCACCAAUACACCAUAAUUUGGUAGUCCUAAAAUGUCCAAUAGCUGCAUCAACAAGCUACUAAGCUGUCGUAGUUACACCUUCUCAUUCUAUGAUAUCACUCUGUCUAUGGUUUUAUCACAUAAAUUUAGUUGACUUCUUGGCAUCAUCUUGACAAGGAUUGAUAUUGUGCUAUAAUACCAAAAUAAUGCAGCUGAAAAUACGUAUGAGAAUAAACACGAUAUUUACUACUGCUGUUGAUUCAUAAAGAAUUCUGAAAGUGGAUCAAAUGUUGAAGAAACCCUCAAGUUCUUAUUAUUUCAUAAAACCUGGUGCUAACUGUUAGGUCUAAAAGUGUAAUUGGCAAUUAUGUAGAAAAAAUGGGCGCAAUUAUGUAUUUGUAAAAGUCAGGGACUCAAUUGAACAUUAUUGUAAAAAUCAGAGACUUAAGGUGCAACAAUUUUGUAUGGUUGGAUAGGAUGGACUAGGGUUUGAGCUAGCUGUGGAAAUUAAGAACACGGCACUGGAAUUUCACAAGUUUCUCGCCCUGCUAUUGCUCGAGCAUAAAAAUCAGAAGCCCUGUCACUAGCUUUUUGCCCCUAUAUCGCUCGAGUGAAACAUACGUUGCUCGCUUUUUGCUUGAGUGACAGUGUAACUUGAAAAACCUUAACUUGCAUUUUUCGAGAUUUUUAUACGGCCUAAGACACCUUUUGCCCCCAAGUAUAAAUAGAACAAGUAUGGGAUGUGAAAGAUGAGAUUGCCACAAUGUGCCUUCAUUGCUAAACACAUUCUUACAUUCAUUAAAGAGAUCCAAGGCAAAAUUCAUUAAGGAAUUCAUCCAUGUCAUCUUGUGAUCCAGGCAAUCUACCUUUGGGAAAACAUCAAGGUUUGUGAAGACAAAACACUUGUUUCCUUAAUCGUGUAAGGAAUGGACUCUCUGAUGCGAACCGGUGAGCAACGAACACUCACAAACCCACAACGAGAUUGACAUAAUGGAUCCCAAAAAAGCCAAUGAAUUGAUGGUUUUGGACUAACGCGUAAACAAAGACUCAAACAACCAAUAAUAUAUGAAAUUAUUGACCUUUUGAAUACACGAUUUACAAAUCUCACUCGAAUAAUUGCGACACUCUCUCAUUGGGAGAUUGAGAGAGGUAGAUUGAAGCGUAGUUACAAUCACAAGAACAUGCAGUUCUCGAUGUUCCACAUGAAAAGUCGUUCAGCAUAGACCAGAAGGCUAUAGGAGACAGCAGAUUGGAUUGCAGGAGGUAGACUUGGAGUCUUACAGGAGGUUAGAGAAUUCUACGGCAGUAAGAGGCUGCAGAAGAUAGAUAAGGAGUUCUAGAGUUAGAGGUGUCUACGGCAGUAGAUCAUAAGGCUGUGAUAGUGAUCUUAACGGGUAUAAGGACAGGCUUAUCAUUGUAUGCUCUGAACAAUCGAGAGUGGAGGUAAUUGGCUUGGUCCCAAAAUUUUUUGCCACGUUAGAUUUCUCCAUCAUCAAAUUGUUGUUAUUUAUUGCUUUUCAUAUUAUACAAAUUGUGGCAUUCAAACUUAGGGAAUUGGACUUGAAUGAUUAAUCACCUAGAUAACUAUUAAAAGUGACUUGUUGCUUUGAUUAGUGUAAUUUCGCUGCAAGUAAGGUCGAAUUGGUUAAAUUGUACUCUAGAACGUAAACUUGGUAAUCAUAAGAUCUGAAUUGGUAGUGUAACUUGUUAGCAUGACCUUUAAAGUGGUAUUAGAGCCUGAGUGCUUGUCCUGACCUUAUAUAGUCUAGAUGAGUACUUCAUUGAAUGUACCGCCUCAUUUUGAUGGGAAUAAUUAUGCAUAUUGGAAAGUGAGAAUAAGGGCAUUUUUUAAAUCAAUGGAUGAGAGGAUUUGGUUGAGUGUUACGAAUGGUUGGUCUACCCCCAUGUCCACUGUAGAUGGUAUUGUCAUUCCCACUCCCAUAGAGAAUUAGACUAAGGCUAAAUUGGAUAGAUGCAAUUGGAAUAAUAAAGCUUUACAUACCCUGUUUAUGGCUAUUUCUCCUGAACAAAUUAGGAAUGUGUCCAUGUGUGAGGUAGCAAAGAGGUUUGGGACAUUCUAGAAACCACAUAUGAGGGAACACAGGUGGUUAAGAACUCUAAACUGCAGAUGCUGACCACUAGGUUUGAAGAGAUAAGAAUGAGAGAUGAUGAGAUGUUUGAUGUAUUCUAUAUGAGUUUAAAUGGCAUAGUAAAUUCGUCCUUUAACCUAGGAGAGAAAAUCCCAGAGUCUAAGAUAGUGAGAAAGAUUCUUAAAUCCUUACUCAAGCGUUUCAGGCCUAAAAUCACCGCAAUUGAAGAAAGUAACGACAUAGACACUAUCAAGGUAAAAGAGUUAGUUGGAUCCAUUUAGAUCUAUAAGUUGACCUUAGACAACCCAACCGAGGAAAAGUCCAUUGCCUUGAAAUCUGUGAGGAAUAACAGGGAAAAAUCAUCUGGCUCAAAUUCACCUAAUGAUGAAGAAAUGGCCUAGCUAGCUAAGAAGCUUCGAAAGAUGUUUAGGAAGAAGAAGAAACUGUAAGAGAAACCGAGAGUGGCCCGAGUAAAUCUAGGAUAAAAUUUAACUUGGUGAGAUGCCAUAAUUGUCAACGUACAGGUCAUGUGAAGGAGGAGUGCCCUAGUGCUAAGAGAGUCAAAGAGAAGGCCAUGAAUUCUAUUCUCACUGAUGACGAGCCUAGCUCGGACAAUCAAUGUGAGAAAUCCAUAUGUGAGGAAGGUGGAAGAUAUGUUGCCUUCAUCGCUAGGAUUAAGAGUAGAUUCAAAUAAGGGCGUGAAAGAGAUGAGGACAUAGAUAGUGGUGAGGAUUCUGGAGAUGAGUCUAUGAGUCAUGAAGAUAUUGAAGAGGCUUAUGAGAAAAUGUAUUAAAAAACCCAAAAAUUCUCAAAAAAAAUAAGGCCCUAAGUACGAACGUUCAUGAGCUUCAACUAGAAAAGGCUAAGUUAGAGGUGUACGUUAAGAAAUCUUCCACAAUCCUGGGUGAGCUUAAGUCGAUGAAUAAAGCCUUAGAAUCUCAGGUUAAGAAUUCACCGAUGAGCUUGAGAGGUCCUCUAGGAAAGUCAAUGAGUUGACCACCAUGAAUGAGACUUUACAAAGCUAGGUAGUGAACCUUGUGAGUGAAUUAGAGCAUUCUAAGUCUUAACUUCUUGCCUUCACUAGUGGUUUGUCCAAGCUAGAUAAUCUUCAAGGAAUAGGCAAGCCGGCUGAAAAUAAGGGAGGUCUAGGAUACAAAGGUAAAGCCCAGGAUGUUGCUAGCAUGUCUUAGACCAUGUUUGUCCCUGCUUCUGACUAGCCUAAACAUGUGCCUAACCUGGACCUAAGAUUAAGGGAUAUGUAGGAUAGAAGUCUACCAGACAGCGUAGAACCCAUCAACGUAGGAAUAGACAUCAGCAUCCACAUAACACAGGUCCUAGGUUUAUCUCGACAUGCUUUCAUUGUGGAGAGUUUGGUCACAUCUGCCCUAAAUAUCAUCAGUACCUGAAAAAUAGGAAAAACUUAAACUUGAAAAAGAACAAAAAUUAGGUGUCUGCUGGUUAGAUUGGAUUCCUUACUGAUCAAGUAAAUCGUUUGACUAAGUUGAUGACAGAACUAUUUGGGAAUUGUUCUCCCACUAGACAGGUUUGAGUGAAGAAGAGUGAUCAGCCAAAUUAGGUAGUAGAUCACGGUGCUCUUAAGGGAAAGAGCACUCAUAUACCUAUUUGAUUAGAUAAUUAUUAUACAUGCCUAGCUCUUAGAUGACAUAUGAUUGUUUGCAUGCAUCUUCAUUUUUUUUUUUUUUUUUUUUUUUUGUUUAAUGCAUGUGCAUUUUUCUUCUGUUUGUUUUGGCGCAUUCAUAUUUAGUUUUGUUUUUGUGUGCUUGGUUUUAUUUUCUUUUGUGUGUGGAACCCAAAAAAAUUGAAAAAGAAAAAAAAGUUUGUUAUGGAAAUGUCUACAGCAUGACAUAUGAUUCUUGAACUUGCACGUUGUGAUCAUGUAUGAGCUAAAAUUGAUAAAUUGUAAAAUAAUUUUCAUUGCUUGGGUAGGUCUUUUUGGAUUACUUAGUAUAAGUGUCUUCAUGUACCAUUUGCAUUGCACACACUAUGAAUUUGUUAGUGAGACUCUAACAUGUGUGUGAGAUUUGGGAUGUGGAGCAUGUUGAUAGGGUGACUUUGAAAAUGAAUUGAUCAUUAUUUAAUAGACUUAAACCUGAAAAUAAUCCCCCAUUAAAAUAAGCUCAUAUCUUAAUGUUCUUCUUGAAGGCCUAUUUGACUCGAGCAAUUAAGCCUGUGGGGCCUCCUAAAACCUAGUGCCUAUGGUCAACUGACUUGGAUUAAUUGGUAUAAAGCUCACUAUAGAGGUCAUUUCAGUCGUCUAAUGGAGAAGAACCUGCAUUUAAGAUGAAAAAUAAGUUAGCUUGAAAAAUAUGAAAAAUGUGAAAAAUAUGUUGAGCUAGAAAAAUGUGAAAAUUGAAAAAUAUAAAUGCUCAAAGUAAGGGAGAGAAAAUUAAAAAUAAUAAGUAUAGGUCCUAAUGCACACUAUAUGGUUUGACUUUCAUAAGUAGGAAAAUAUUCUUAUUGGUAGUGAUUGGUAUGUCCCAUCUCACAAAAUUAAGGUUUGGAGUCUUGCUUGCAUUGUAAUAGUGACACUUUAUACAUAUGAGUCAUUUGUACUUUUUACUUCAUUCAGGCUUGAACUGAGUAUGUGGGGAGGCCUAUGACUUGUUAAUUGUACUUUUGGAUGCUAUUAGCUGCAUUUUUGAGUUAUUAUGUGUUAUUGCUCAAAUUGUUCUUAAUAUGAUUCCCUUCAGCAUUUGUGACAAAAAGGGGGAGAGAAAAGUGUAACUGAGGAGGAGAAAAAUAUGUAAAAGAGCAUACACAUCGGAGAGUGACUGCAUUUGCAUGUGCACAUGAUUUCACUGAUUGACAUUACUUGCAUUUUGCAUUAAUAUGUCUAGGGGUCGUUGGGAAGAGAUAUAGAUACAUUGAUUUACUAUAUUAUAUUCAUGAGAGUUUGCAGUAAGGAGGAGCGUGUAUUACAUUCUACAUCACAUCCAUCUGUUUAAGUUUUGAUAUUUAGUGAUGUUGGUGUUUUGAUUGGCAUCAAUAUCAUGUCUCAAACUGGCAUGUUGAUUUAAGAUUAAGUGCUUUAAUUUUAUAUUUCCUAUAUCACGUGUUUCUACACUGGGUGUAUAGAAGGCUGCAGGAGGUAGAUUAGGAGUUCUAGUGCUAGAGGUGUCGACAAUAGUAGAUCAUAAGACUGUGGUAGCAGUCUUAACGGGUACAAGAACAUGCUUAUUAUUGUAUGCUCUGAACAGUCAAUAGUGGAGCUAACUAGCUUAGUCUCAGAGUUGUUUCCACUUUGGGUUUGUCUGUCAUCAAAUUGUUGUUAUUUAUUGAUUUCCUUAUUAUACAAAUUGCGGCAUUCAAACUUAGGGAACUGGAGUUAAAUGAUUAAUCACCUAAACAACUAAUUAAAAGUGACUUGUUGCUUUGAUUAAUGUAAUUUCGCAAGUAAGGUCGAAUUGCUUAAAUUGUACUUUAGUGGUAAUCAUAAAAUUUGAAUUGGUAGUGUAACUUGUUAGCAUGAUCUUUCAAGUGGUAUCAGAGCGUUCUAGGUUUUUCACUUACAAUGAUGAAUUUCAUCCAUGCAAUUGGCCAAUCCAUUGAUCCAAGGUAAGAAAAUGAAUAAAAAGAGAAUAAAACACUACAAAGAAUUCAUAAAGAAUUCUGAAAGUGGAUCUAAUAUCGAAGAAACCCUCAAUUCUUAUUAUUUUAUAAAACACGGUGCUUACGAUGAUGGAUUUUAUACAUGCUAUUGAGCCAUCCAUGUUGUACUAUAUAAGGUAAACAAAAUUUUCAAAAAGGAAUAAACCAAAAAAGGAAAUAGUAGGCAAUAAAGAGGAUAAAUGAAGGAUUCCGUGUGCAUAUAAUCAACCACUAAAUUGGUGAAAAUAUUGAGGGAAUCAGCUAGCAUUUGUGCAUUUCAUCAGUAUGUGAUGAUAAGGUAUGUGGCAAACGACUAAGUUCAAUACAUUAAAAUAUUUUAACCACUUUCACUACUUGAUUCGUUUGGCAUCUUUCCAAUGCUUGCAGAAUCAUUUUUGUAGCUAUAAUUUUAAUGAAAUGUAAUUUAUUUUUAAGGGAAUCUAUAAUUAAUUUGACGAUAUGUAUUGUAGACUGUUUAUUUGCACAAGUCAUCAUUUUCACGUUCUCAUCUCUAAAUUAAAGUUUCUAUCUUUCAUUAUACAGCUAUAACUAUUGAAAGUUCUAGAGUAAUUUGUAAUCUUCAUCUAGUCCAAAUCCAAAUUAGAAACUUUAACAACAAAAGAAGAUUCAAAGAGUUCAAAUCCAAAUUGAACACUUUAACCAACAAAAGCCUCAUUCAUUGAAUGGUCAAAGGAUAAGAUUUUCAAUUCAAGUUAUAUGCUCAACUUAUGCAAGUUGGAAAUUAACAUAGACAACAAUAUGAUGUUCACUAACAAUUGGAAUCUGGGAAUUACAUCAGGCAGCAGCCAUUUGACACUUCUUAUAUUCAAAUACAGAUGUAAUUGAAGACAUAACUGCUGCAAAUGAUGAAGAAAAAUAGCUAAUAUCUAGUGUAAUUGUACAGGAUUAGUAAGACUAGUUUACUCAAUGUUCUCUAUAAAUAGGAAGGCAUCUAUCUAGUUUUAUGUAUGUAGAAAGAAGUGAGAAAAAUCUCUUAAAAAAUAGAGAGAGUGUGUGUGUUGUAGCAACUCCUUUGUAAUCUCCCAAAUUUCAUUAGUAAAAUCUCAUAUUUCUCACAAUUAUCUUCUUCUACAGCCAACAAAUUUUGGUAUUAGAGCCAGGUUGAAUAGAUGACCAAAUCCUACCAAAAGUUGAGACAAAAUCAGCCUAAAAACAUACCACAGCACUAGCAAAUUUUUUUAACAAAAACAGGGCAAUUAUGACAACAAAUUCAGCAGUCUCCUUGUUCACUUAUUCACCAAGUCAAGUACCAAUCUUUGAAGGUGAGCACUAUGAAUAUUGGAGUAGUCAAAUGCAAACUUUCUUCACCUCUUUAGAUUUAUGGAAAGUCAUUGAAGAUGAUGAGGUGGUAGAAGAUUCGACUGAAGGAGUUGAAGAAGAUUCAAAGUUACAAAAGGAAUACAAAAAGAAAGAUGUAAUGGCGUUGCGAUAUAUUCAACAAGGAGUUAGAAAAUCAAAUUUUCCUCGCAUAUUUGGUGUUAAAAAAGCCAAAGAUGCAUGGAAAAUUUUAAAUCAAGAAUUUCAAGGUUCCAAGAAAACUAUCGCCUUGAAACUUCAAUCUUUAUGGAAAGAUUUUGACAAUCUCAAAAUGGAAGAUGGGAGUCAGUUCGUGAUUUCUCUUCACAAGUUUCGGAGAUUGUAAAUCAAAUCAAAAGUUGCCGAGAUACGAUUAAAGACAAAAUAGUUGUUGAAAAUUUCUUCGAUGUCUCCCUUCAAAAUUUGAUCAUGUAGCCGCUGCAAUUGAAGAAUCAAAUGAUUUGUCUAAAAUGACUAUGUCCUAGUUGACUGGAUCACUUCUUGCACAUGAGCAAAGAAUCAAUCAUUCGGCUAGUCAAUUAACCGAGCAAGCCUUCCAAUCAAAGCAAGCAUUAAAAAUAAGUUUAAACAAUCAUGGAGGUUCAAACAACAAAAAGGAAAAGUUUAGCAAGUGGAGUCAAAAUGAAAAGCAAAGCAACUGGAAAGCCAAGGCACUACAAUAAUCUGGUAAGGCUCAAUCUUGCAUUAUUUGCAAAAAGAACAAUCAUGAAUCAAAAGAUUGUUAUUUUAAAUGUAAAAGAUGCAGAGUUCCUAAUCAUUCUCAAAAGGAUUGUUGGUUUCAAAAUAAGGAGAAAAAUGAAGAUGCGGCAAAUUUUUUGAAAGAAAGUGAAGAUGAAAUUCUAUUUUAUGCUUAUCAAAAUGGUGACUUUGAAUCCAAGAAUAAAUGGUAUUUGGAUAACAGUGCUAGCAAUCACAUGAUAUGAAAUAAAGAUAUCUUUGUAGAGAUCAAUCCAAAUGUCACUUCUCAAAUUAUUCUCGGAGAUGGAACACAAAGAAGAGCAAAAGGAAAAGGCAUCAUUGCGGUCCAAACUAAGGGAGGUAUCAGACAACUCAUUAAUAAUAUUCUUUAUGUGCCAAAUCUUUCAUAUAAUCUCUUAAAUAUUGGACAACUCUUACAAAAGAAUUUUUUGAUGCGCUUAGAUAAUGAAAGAUGCAAGAUCUUUGAUAAAAAAAAAUGUCAUAGUGGCAAAUGUUGAAAUGAAAAACAAAACUUUUUAUCUCAUGUUACCACUAGACAACAAUUGUGCACUCAAAGUUCAAAAUGCAGAUUUGUCACAUCUAUGGCAUUUACAAUAUGACCAUUUAAAUGGCAGAGGACUUCAACUGCUUAAAGAGAAAAAUAUGGUGAUCGGGCUUCGUAAAAUUCAAAGGAUAGACAAAGUUUGUGAAGGCUAUAUCUAUGGAAAAAUGCAUACGGUUCCAUUUCCUAAAACUUCAUGGCGAGCAAAAUGCCAUUGGAGCUUAUUCAUUCAGAUAUUUGUGGACCAAUGCAAACUCCUACUCUUGGAAAUAAGAGAUAUUUCAUUCUCUUUGUUGAUGAUUACACAAGGAUGAUGUGAAUUUUCUUUCUCAAUCAAAAAUAUGAGGCAUUCUCUACAUUUCUAAAGUUCAAAGCACUUGCAGAAAGACAAAGUGGAUUUCUAAUAAAGACGUUGAGGACGGAUCGUGGAGAAGAAUUUCUCUAUAAUCCCUUCAUUGAAUAUUGCAAAGUUAAUGGCAUUCAAAGGCAACUGACAGUUAGCAGAUCUCCACAACAAAAUGAAGUAGCUGAUAAAAGAAUCGUACCAUUGUUGAAAUGACAAGAAGCAUGCUAAAAGGCAAAGGAAUUCCAAGUAUUUAUUGGGCAAAAGCUGUAAACACAGCAGUUUAUAUUCUCAAUCGAUCUUCUAUAAAAGUUGUCAGAAAUAAAACUCCGUUCGAGGCAUGGUACAGUAAGAAGCCAAAGGUAGACAACUUUAAAAUUUUUGUUAGCAUUGCCUAUACCUUCAUUCCAUCACAAAACAUAGAAAAGUUCGAUGAGAAAGGACAAAAACAUCUAUUCAUUGGAUAAAGUGACGAGUCUAAAGGAUAUCGUUUACUAAAUUUAGAGACAAAUAAAAUAACAGUUUCUCGAGAAGUUGUGUUCCAUGAAAGCGCAACUUAUGAUUGGAAAGGAAAGCAAGUCAUGGAUUCUAGACCCUAUCAAUUUGAUGAUCCAUCGACGUCUCAAAUCUCCAAAACUGAACAACUUACAGCUCCAAAUAUUCCAACAAUUGAAGAAGAAUCAGAAACCCCUCCAAGAAAAACACGUUCACUAAGAGAAAUAUAUGAAUCGCAAAAACUCGGAUUAUUCUCUUGUGAACCUCAAUCAUAUGAAGAAGCUUCAAAAGAAAAAUGUUGGACAAAAGCAAUGAAUGAAGAAAUAUCUACCAUUGAGAAAAAAUAAAACUUGGGAGUUCGUUGAGCUACCAGAAGGAAAGAAGACUAUUGGUUUGAAAUGGAUCUAUAAAAUCAAAUACAAUGAAGAUGGGUCAAUUCAAAAAUAUAAAGCUCGGCUCAUGGCCAAAGGAUAUUCUCAACAACCAGGAGUCGACUUCACAAAGACAUUUGCUCCAGUUACAAGAAUGGAGACAAUACGUACAGUUCUGGCAUUAGCAGCUCAAUUGGAGUUAAAAGUCUUUCAAGUUGACGUAAAACCAGCAUUCUUAAAUGGCGAAAUUCAAGAAGAAGUGUAUGUUGAACAACCUGAAGGUUUCAAAAUCAAAGGCAAAGAAGACAAAGCUUAUCGUUUUCAAAAAGCAUUAUAUCGGUUAAAGCAAGCACCCCGAGUAUGGAAUACGAAAAAUCAAUGGCUAUUUCAUUCAAAAUGGCUUCAAUCGAAGUUCAAGUGGAUCAUCCCUCUAUGUGAAAAAUGUAGAAUUUUUUCUCAUCGUUUGCCUCUACGUGGAUGGUCUUAUCUACUUUGGUGCAAAUGAACACAUGAUGGGCGAAUUCAAGAAUAAAAUGAUGAAAGAUUUCGAAAUGUCUGACUUGGGACUCAUGAGUUAUUUUCUCGGGAUUCAAGUAAAACAAAGGCCAUGAAGAAUUUUUCUUUCUCAGGAAAAGUAUAUUGAUAAUCUUCUCAAAAAAUUCAAGAUAAGUGAGUGUAAGUUAGUCUCUACUCCAAUGGCCUUAAAUGAAAAAUUGCAAGUCUAUGAUGAUGCAGAAAAAGUUAAUGCCAUACUCUAUAGAAAAUUGAUUGGUUCAUUGAUUUAUCUUAAUACAAGGCUAGAUAUUACAUAUUUAGUCAGCUUAUUAUCCAGAUUUAUGAAUGAACGAAGUAAACUACAUUUUGCAGCAGCAAAAAGAAUUUUGAGAUUCCUUAAAGGAACUAAGAACCAUGGCAUGAAGUUUAAAAAGGAGAAAAAAGGAGAAUAAUUGCAAACUUGUUAGCUAUACAGAUAGUGAUUGGGCUAGAUCAGUUGAUGAUCGAAAGAGCACUUCUGGAUACAUCUUUCGCCUUGGAUCAAAUGUGAUUUCGUAGAGCUCAAAAAAAUAGAAAUCCAUUGCUUUAUCAUCAACUAAAGCAGAGUACAUUGCAGCUACAGAUUCAGCUUGCGAAGCUAGUUGGCUUAGAAGAAUUUUGAAAGAUUUAAAAUUUGAGCAGGAAGGACCAACAACAAUUUAUUGCAACAACAUAUCGACAAUUGCGAUGACAAAAAAUCCAGUCUUCCAUGCUAGGUCAAAGCAUAUUGAACUUUGACAUCACUUUAUAAGAGAUUUGGUAAAUCAAGAAGAAAUUUGCAUUGAGUUUAUAAAUACCAACGAUCAACCGGUUGAUAUGAUGACGAAGUCAAUGAUAAUUGAUAAGUUUGAGAAAUUCAAGAAGCAUUUGAAGAUUACAAAUUAAGAGGGGUUGUUGAAGUUCUAGAGUAAUUUGUAAUCUUCAUCUAGUCCAUAUCCAAAUUGAAAACUUCAACAACAAAAGAAGAUUCAAAGAAUUCAAAUCCAAAUUGAACACUUCAACCGACAAAAGCUUCAUUCAUUGAAUGGUCAAAGGAUAAGAUUUUCAAUUCAAGUUGUAUACUAAACUUAUGCAAGCUGAAAAUUAACAUAUACCGCAAUCUAAUGUUCACUAACAGCUGGAAUCUGGAAAUUACAUCAGGCAGCAGCCAUUUGACACUUCUCAUGUUCAAACACAGCUGUAAUUAAAAACAUAACAGCUGCAAAUGAUGAAUAAAAACAUCUAAUAGCUAAUUGUAAUUGUAGACAAUUAGUAAGACUAGUUUACUCAAUGUUCUCUGUAAAUAGGAAGGCAUCUAUCUAGUGUUAUGUAUGUAGAAAGAAGUGAGAAAAAUCUCUCAGAAAAUAGAGAGAAAAAGUGUGUUGUAGCAACUCAUUUGUAAUCCCCCAAAUUUCAUUAGUAAAAUCUCAUAUUUCUCACAAUUAUCUUCUUCUACACCCAACAAUAACGAAGGUGUCCACAGAAUAGUACCUCAAAAUAUACUUAUAAUAUGUUCAAUAAUAUCUUUAUUGGUGAUCUAUUGAACAUCUCAACCAAGGGAUUUCCUUGAAAAUAUUAUUCUCGCACUUAAUCUCCAGUCUCAGCUCCCACUCGUGCUUUGCACUUCACAUAUUUGCAUCAAAGAUUAAAUGUGUGUGACUUUUGGAAGCUAUAGAUAGUUAAUUUUGUAGAAGUUGAGGGCAGUGCCCUAAUGGAAGAGCAUUGGCAAGUUGAAGUAUUACUAAUAAUUUUGCAAGCUAUGCCUGUUAGCAUCCUCUGUAACUAUACAGAGGAACUCAAACCCUAGCCUUGAGUUGAUAUUAUCCAAAUGUGGUGUAGUGUUGCACUAUGGUCUAAUUUUGUUUCGUGCUUGAAUCCCACUAAAAUAUUAAGAUGUAUUAGAUAGGUUCUUUGAUUUAUAUAUAACUAGGUUGUUUGCUCAAGUUCACAAGUACCCCUCAUGUCUUUCAAUUUUUUAGGAGGGGCACUAAAGGUCUAGUAAGGAGAUUGAAUCCAAAUUUAGUAAUGAAACAUAAUUAUUUAAUUGAGUUGAAAUAGAAACAAGGGUCUCAAUCAUGAAAGAAAAUAUCCAUAUUUGUCGAAGAACAAAUAUCACUCCAAGAGGAGAGUCGUAAUUGAUAAUAAUUUGAACAAUGCCGGUCUGGUCACUUUAUAGUGCGACUGUGGGUUCAGUUAGUAGAAUCACAAGAGUUUGUGAAAAAUAAAAGUUUUUGCUGUCAUGCAAUGUCACACAUAUCUUUUAUAUAUAUAUAGAAUUAAGUGACUCAAACUACGCGCCGGCUCCCCUCCAAUAGGGGGCCACGUCAGCGCCCUGUCUCCAUCCUUGUCACUCCAGUAGGGUUGGUGUCUAUAUAUUCUUCAAUAUUUUAUCGCUUUCACAGGUUUCCUCUUCAACACCCCUGACCUUUCCCUUAAACUUAACAUUUUAAGGGCUUAUUUUUUCCUAUUUUACUAUUUUUUUUGAUUUUGUGAAAUUCCAUGAAUUAUUAAGUUUAAGAAUAAUUGAGGUUGAUCUUCAGAUCAGAAUUUGAUUUAAUAAUUGUUGGUUAAUGCAUUCAGGUAGAAUCGGAUUUCAAAAUUUUUUGGCACAAUUAAAGUAUUAUUUUUCAGAUUCAGUCCCUAUCCGUUUUAAAUUUUUGAGGAGCAGAAUUUCAUUUGCCUUUUAGGCAUCUGCCAUUUUGGAUCUUUCUUUUAAUGGAUACAGAUUCGAAAUUUCAACUACUUUUUAGCUACAGCCACAAUUUUUGACUUUAAUGGAUUGAGGACAUAACUUUUCUUUUAUAAUUGCAUAAUGGAUAUAGCAUCUUGAUUGUAUAAAGGAUUCAGCCGUAAUUUUUGACCAUUGUCUCAUAUGAUGGAUUCAAUGUUGAAUACUAAAUAGUAUAUGAUGUGUGCUUUUUUCUCUUUUUUUUUUUUUUUUUUUUUUGGCAAGCUAGAUUUCUAGUUUCGUUGAUUUGAUCUCAUUAUCGACUUUUAAUACAUGCAUCUAUAGUUUCUAUGCUCAUAAUGUCAUGGGAAUAAUAGAAGUAUCGACACUUAGUUCGAUUUUAAGCAUUUAGUUUAAAUAAUAGAACUAAUAGUUUAAGAAAUCAAGCAAAUGAUUGUUUGGGCACGGAAGCUCAAAUCCAACUUUGUUGAUUCCAACGGAUUAUAAUGAAUGAGAUUCGAUGACAAUAUUAUGAAGUAAACAAAAUCACACCACAAAAACAAAGUUUAAAUUGUAAAGAAGAACAAGAAGAAUUAAUCAUAGAGGAACGAUGUUUAUUACUCAACAAUAUGGAGAGAAUAAUACAGAACAAUAAUAAUGCUUAUAAUUGUUACUACGAUCUAAACUGACGGAUGAACCUUUAAUUUAUAGGCCAACCAUAGAAGAGUUCUAAAAGGCAAGAAAAUAUAUUACAAUUAGGAGAACUAAUUUCAAUAGGAUUUUGUUUCCUUUUGUUAGAUGCAAUUACAUUUCUCUUCCAAGUACAAGUCGAAUACGUAUCUUCAAAAGACUCCUAACCAAUUUUUAGGAUUCCACUUGAUCAAAUUCCAAAUCAACAAGAAUCUUAACACAUUUGAGUCACCAACUCAAAAAUGAUAUAUUAUCAAUCGUCCCUCGACAUCUUGCUUUCCGGUCCUUGUAGCCAUAGGAGCAUAUAUUUACAAUAUUGAUGAUAUGUCUUGGAGAGGCAUGGCAACUCAAUGAAUUAAUCUUCUGCCAGUUAUCAUAAAAUGUAUGUGCAUGGUAGUUCUAAUAAUAUUACCUUUAUUACAAUAAGUUGUUCAGAUAUUUAUUUGGAAUGGGAUUUCAAAUGUAUAUUUUUUUUUUUUAUCAUAUGAUUCAUUUUCUAACGUCUUAAGUUGCAACUAAUUUAUUUGAAUUGUUUUGUUGCCGGCUUGCUUUUGGUGUUAACAGCAAAGGGUAAUGUGGCCUUACGAUUUUGUAAAUGACAUUGUCAUUAUAUUUUCUUUUGGAAUGCUUUCUAUAUUAUUUUGAAUCUUAAAAUUAUUAUUUUUGCUGAUGUCCUCUAAAGAGGCAAAGGGCUAAUGCCAGGCCACGACAUCGGAAUGGCCGACCAAGAAGAAACAGAAAAAGGACGAGGCCUUAAAGAAAAAAACCCCCGCUGCUUCUGUCCAUUUUGUGCCGUAUCCUUCGUUGCUGAAUGCUACUCCUCUUGUUCAUGAGGUUUCUCAACAGGACAAGGCAAUGCGUUUGGCUGACCAUGAGAUCUUUUUCUUUCAAGGGCAAAUUGCAGCAAUGAAAUGGGUGAAACCCCAGGCUUAUUUGGACUUCAUUGGGAAGGAAUUGCUGGAGGACGAUGCUGUUGCCCAACUUCUUCUCAACAUCUGUUCUUUAACCCAAGCUGAAGCUGCCAAUAAGAGCUGGCAGGAAAAAACAUAAUUGCUAUCUUUCUUCCAUGGAUGCUCAGUAUGCUAGCUUGAUGGCUGCAAUCUAAAAUGCUCAUGCUACAAUAUGUUCCAUAAAAGCUGAAAGAGAAACCAAGCAGGAAACGUUUGCAUGUGAAAAUGCCAGAGAAGUUGUGGAGUGUUGAAGAUACAAAUGCAUUGUGGGCACAUGAUAGUCUCAGUAAUAUAGUGGAGUGCACAUGGGUAUUGUAAGCUGGUAGUGUGCAAUUGUGGGAGCAUAGCUAGUUGCUGUAACUGUAUUUUAUUCCUACGUGUAUAGUGUAGGUUGAGUUAGUUUUUUUCUUUUUCUUGCUCAACACUCCAAGUGAGUGUAUAUAUACUAUAUUCUCUUCACUGUAAAUUGCAUCAAAAACUUUUCAUAAGUCUUUCUAUUUUCUAACUUGGUAUCAGAGCUUCAAUGGCUAACACUAGAUCCAGCGACAAUGUACAAUCAGCUCAGCCAGCUUCUAGCACAUUGAUACCUCCAAUGUUGGGAAGAAAGCAGAUGUCAACGUUUGGGAUAAGCCUUACUGAUGUGAUAUGGAUUAGGCCCGAAAUGAACGAGAAUUUGUUGGUUUUGAAUCAAGGCGUCGGGACGAGAAUUGGAGUUGAUUCAGGCCACAUAAUUAUUAAUUUGAGCAUUGGAGUUCAAUAUGAUGGGGUUGACAUGUCAAGUGACAUUAAAUGAAGGGGGUCGAAGACUGGAACCAAUUGGAACAAGUGUCACGAGCGGCUAAAGUUUGGGCCAAAACCGAGAAGCUAUGCGGUCGCAGGUGCGACAUGGGUUGCGACCACAAGGACACCUACAGGGAAACUAAGGGUAGCGUUCGGGAGAACCAUGCGACCGUACAUGGAAAUACCAUGCGGUCGCACAGUUGAUUGGCGAGGCAGAAAUUUCCUUUACGCGCAAGAGAGUUUUAUUUUAGUUAAAUUUCUUGUUUUUGGAAAUUUUAUUAUUCUAGGACUCUAUAGCACGUUUUUUAUAUUAUUUCCUAGGAUUUUAUUCCUUUUAAAAUUAGCUUUAUAUUUCUAGUAGAAAUAGGAUUAUUUCUCAUUGUAAUUUAGAACUUUGAUUAUGAAUUGAAUGAGAAUUCUCUCUUUCGAAGCUUUUGCUUCAAACCUUUGUUCUUCGGGACUUUGAACUUAUCAAGGGAUUCGUUUGGGAUUUCUUGUGGCGUUCGCAACCUUGGGCGAGGUUCUUAAAUUGUGUAAUUAGGAGGUCUUCGAUUUAAUAAAUCAUUGGUUGUCUAAUUCAUCGUUUAGGAACUAAAUCCGUAAAUUUCGAAUCAAAUUGGCGUUCUUGGGAUUGGUGUUACUCUCGUGUGGGUUCGAUAGUGUUCGUUGCUAUCCGGGUUCACAUCACUUACCCAAAUACCACCAAUGAAGCUUGAUAGGACCAACUUCCUGCUAUGGAAGAAUAUGGUUAUGCCCAUCAUUAAGGUUUAUAACCUUGAAGGAUUCAUCCUAGGAACAAGAAAAUGGCCACCAAAAUUCAUGGGAACACAAACCACAGAUACCACUGAUGUAACUGUUGAAUUGACACCAAAUGUUGAGUAUGGAAGGUGGAUGUCUACUAAUCGACUACUGAUGGGUUGGCUUUAUUCAUCAAUGACACCUGAGAUUGCCAUGAGAGUAAUGGUGUCUUCAAGCUCCUGCGAUCUAAGGAAUGCAGUCCAGGAAAGUUUUGGAAUUAUGAACAAGUCAAGAGUAACAUUCCUUAUUGGAGAACUUCAGAGAACAAGGAAAGGAUCAAUGAGUAUUGAUGAAUAUCUCAACACAAUCAAGCAGUUAGCAGAUAAUCUCGAGAUUGCUGAAAAAAGUGUUCCUCACAAUGAUCUUGUAACCCAAGUAUUAGCUGGCUUGGAUGAGGAUUACACUCCUAUUGUGGUCCAGAUCAACAGUAGAGUUCAUCUCCUGGCAUGAGUUGUAAUCUACACUUAUGACAUAUAAAAGCAGGAUUGAACAUCUUAAUGCUGUGAAAAACAGCAUGGCCUCAGUAAACUUAAGUCGCAGUAAACUUUUUUCACAAGCCAAACAUGAACAGAUGAGGUAGGUCUAACUUUGGUGGAAGAAAUAGUAACUACAGAGGAGGAAGAAGCAGAGGAAUAGGAGGCAAGCAACCUAGUAGAAAAGGGUCAUGUCAAAUAUGUGAAGUGGGAAAUCACUCAGUCGAGAGGUGCUUCAAUCAGGUACAUGGGUACAAAACUUGACCAAAAGUAUCAAAACAAUCUCUAGACCAGCUACCUUUGUAGCUUCCCCAAGUAUUGUUACAGACCUAGCCUGGUAUGCAGAUUUAGGAGCAAACAAUCACGUCGCUACUAAGAAAGGAAGUCUGACUGAAGCACGUGAGUAUGGUGGUAAGGAAAAUCUUAUUGUUGGAAAUGGAAAUAAACUUCAUAUCUCACAUAUUGGCACCAAGCACUGAAUGACAAGUCAAUGAUACUCAGUAACACAUUACUGGUGCCAUCAAUUAAGAAAAUUGAGGAAGUGGGGGAACAAUCUGGAGACAAUUUAAGGGGAUUCAGUUGGUCAAUUGAGGAAGAAAAAAGAAGAAAAUUCAGCCGCCAAAGAUAAAACCUUGAGGAAGUCGGCCAAACACAUAAUCUGGUAUAAGAGCAAGUGGGUGGCUGGGAGUGGGACCUAUUUUUGAAGGAGAUGGCCCACCCAUAAAUUUCAAGAAAUAAAUCGAGAGGCGUGGAAAUAUUAAGGGAAGAAUCGAUUAACACUUCAAUUUUUCUUUCCUUCUUUAUUAUGUUUUCCAUCAUAAUUUGUAUGAAUUUCACGUUUUAUAUUAUGAGCUAAAUAAAUUUUCUAGGGUUUGAGAUAGCCGAACUCGAUAUUAUGGUUUGAUGAAUUUAUUAAUUAUUUUGUUUGAUUUUCUCACGUAAAUUUAAUUGUAUAAUGAUUUUAAUGCUUUCAAUUGUCUGAUAAACAAUUGGAUAAUUUGAUGCUAGUCAAUUCUGGCACUCGAGAGGGAGCAUUUAGGCGUGAUUGUAAGAUUGAUACAACAUAGAUUUUAUAGGUUUCGAGAGAAAGUAUAAAAUCUGUGAAGUUUACUCCACAAAAGGAUCAGAACUUUUAUAAAUUCUUGAUUUUCAAUUUCGAACAGAGAUGUUGGAAUUGGGAUCUAAGAUUAAUUUCUAGCCGGUGCUCGAGAGAGAGGAUGAAAAACGUAUUAGGAUUCUUGCCUUUAAAUAUGGAAAAAUUAAUCGGAAUAAUUGAAAAUCUUUGAAUCGUAAUCAAGAGUUAGGUGAAAUCAAUCCCUAGGCUUUCUCAUUUGAUAAUUUGUAUUCUCCAAAUUUGUCGAUCCAAUCACGUUAGAUUAGUUUAAUUCAUUCACUCAUAAAGCAUUCAAACAUUCAACCAUUCAUUUGUCUGAAUAAAGUAGAAAUUACAUAAUUAUAGUACUUAGUGAAAAUUAAAUUACAAUCCUAUGGGUUCGACAUCCUAGCUUCAAAAUUAUAUUACAAAACUUGACACCGUACACUUGCAGUUAAAUCACAUUGUAUAAAUCGGUGGCACUAAGCAUGUGGAUAAAACAAUAGAAUAGAAUCUUAAUAGUUUAAGAAAUAUUCAAUAAAUGAGACAUUAUUAAUUGUCCCUUGACAUCUUUCUUUUUAGUCCUUGUAGCCGUAAGAGCAUAUAUUCACAGACACAGUAUUUGACAUGGUGACGUGUCUUGGAGAGGCACCGCAUCUCAAUGAAUUAAUCUUGUGCUUGUUAUCAUAACAUUUAUGUGCAUGGAGUUCUAUUAAAAUGAUCCUUUUUGAUAUUUCUUCGAAGAGCUAUGCUACAAUGACAAAGAAAGAUGACAAAAUUAGGUUACAAAAUCAAAUCUACACCAAUCAUUUCAAAAAUAGAUUUUUAAAUCAUUUGAAAUCAAAGGUUCAGAUUUUGCCAACACACUUUGACACUCCACUUUUGUACACCAACUUUGUAGGAGUAGAAUUAUUCUAAAUUUAUUUGAAUCAUUUUGUUUCCUACAUGCUUCAGGUCUUAAUGGCAAAGGGUAGAUCUUGCUAUUUGUACAUAGAGGUUUACACUUUGGUUGACACGGUCCCACCACUUCUCUCACAUGGGGAGGUCAGCCCCACACAUUUGGGAGUGGGACCCAACCUCUCCCAUGUGAGAGGUCGGAUGGGGCUGUGUCAACCAAAGUGUAAGACAUCAUGUACAAGUAGAUUAAUCAUUUUUCUGAUUUCCUUUACAGAGGCAAAGGGCCAAUUCCGGGCCACGGACUUGGAAUCGCUGACCAAGAAGAAGCAGAGAAAGGACAAGGCCCUGAAUCUCUAAUAUUUUUUUGUCUUCGGUUUCAAAAUUUUCUUUAUUUCUCUGUUUCUUAUCAAGGACAAGGCCCUGAAGGAAAAAACUCGUGCUGCUUCUGUCCAUUCUGUGCCCAAUCCUCCCGUGCUGAACACUACCCCUCUUGUUCCUGAGAUUCCUCAUCAGGACAAGAGGAAGUGUUGGCCGAACAUGAGAUCUCUUUCUUUCAGAAGCAAACUGAAGCAAUGAAAGGGGAGAAACCCCAGGCUUACUUAGACUUCAUUGAGAAGGCACCGCUGAGGACAAUGUUGUUAAACCAGCUCCCUUCCUACCUCUGCCCAAUAGCCCAAGUUGCCAAUAAGAGCUGGCAGGCAAAACAUAACCACUAUCUUUCUUCCAUGGAUGCUCAGGAUGCUAGCCUGAUGGCUGCAAUCUACAAUGCUCGUGCUACAAUAUGUUCCAUAAAAGUAGGGAUGGCAGUUUUCCCCACCCUGCCCCGCCGAGUCCCUGCCCCGAUGGGUUGAUGGGGCGGGGCGGGGAGUGUUGCCCCGUCUCGGGUCACGAGGCGGGGCGGGGCGGGGCGGUCUUGCCCCGAAUCCGCCCCGUCAAGUUUUAAAAAAAAAAUCCUAAUUACAAGUUUUGCAACCCUAACCUAACGUAACAUUCUUCUCAUUUCUCCAUCCAGAGUAGCUCUCCGCCAGUCCGACUUGCAAUAUUCUUUUGUUUUUCAGGAUCCAUCUUAUGUGAUCUCUACUUCUGUUGAUGAAAGAAGUCAUGAAAUCUGAAAAAUGACAAAUUUUGAAUCAAAAAAUGAAUUUUAGUACAAUGACAAUGUAAUUUUAAUUGCAAUUGUUCUUUUUUUUUUGACAGUGUUUGUUUCGACUUUCGAAUGUUUAUUUUAGACAUUAACUUUAUUAAAAAAAAAUUAUACGAGACAAGAAACGAGGCGAGGUGCGGGGCGGGGCCCCCGCCCCACUGCCAUCCCUACAUAAAAGCUGCAAGAGAAACCAAGCAGGAAAGGUUUGCAAGUGAAAAUGCCAAUAAAAGCUGCAAGAGAAACCAAGCAGGAAAAGUUUGCAAGUGAAAAUGCCAGAAAUGUUGCACAGCGCGCUUUUGAAGAGGAAAGGGCUAGCCAUAGCCGCUCCGUGAUAAACCUUACGUCAACUCUUGAACAAGCGAAGAAAUAUUGGGAAGCGCUGGGAGAGAAGCGUGCGAGGAUUAAGGAUCUGGGGCUGAAGCUUGCAUCUACGGAGGCUAGGCUAAGGGGCCUAAGCUUGGAGGUGUUGGUGGCAAGCGUUAUAACUUCACUUUUCUGUUUUAGAUGCGACAGCAUCUAAAAUACUGAGAAAUUAACGCUUCCAGCACCACGUCCAAAGCUUAGGAUCCUUGGGUAUAGCACCCUUGGGCACAUUGCUCUUAGAGGCCUUCUGUGACUUGGACAUCAACUCUGCUUUCUUCAACCACAUAGGAGACUGAGCGAAUAAAUCUGAUACCCUUCCCUGGUUAUAUCUUGGCACCACUAAAUCGGCAAAGCUCUGUCCUGACAACCCAUAAUUAACAGGUGAGACAAACAAAAGAAAAUUAACUCCAAAAUUGAACGUAAAAUCGAUAUGGAGUAGAAGCAAAACUUAUACAAAGCAAGACAGCGCGCGCGCGCACACACACACACAUAACAAAGCAAUAGACGUUUGCGUCCUAUAUUUAUCUAUUUGACAGCAUCUUCUAAUUUUCAAACUAAAACAAAAGAAUUCUAGAUUGAAACUAUAAUAUCCCGAAAUUUUAUAGAAUAUAAUUUAAUUUUAUUUAUGCUAUAUUUUUAAUGUUUUGAAAGUUUAGGGACUAAAGUGUAUAUAAAGUAAACUUUAAUAAUAUUUAGAUUAAAAUAUAAAUAUUGACGGGACGAUGAUAAGAAUACGGAUAUUGGGCUCAUUGGAUAGAUAAUAAUUAAAGACGCAUUUUAGACUCGAGAAAAAAUUAAUUUGGGUUAGUCGAGCCCAAGUUAUCGAAGUCGGAAGAUAUAACAUUAAAAUAUUAUUUUUAUUACUUUUGUUUGGAAGAAUUUACUUGGAGAGAGAGAUGAAAGUUGUUGAGAUAUUUUAUUGUUUUAUUAUUAAUAAUAAUAUUUUAUUAAGUGUGUUUUGCAUUGGGAGGUCUCACGUGAAGUACUAGGAUUCUAAGUAGGUGGUAGGUAAGUGAUAAUUGAUUUGUUUAUUAAAUGAAAUAAAGUAGAGAGAGAGAGAAUUAUGGGAAGCCACGUUCCUAAUGGUUAAAACAAAUUCCCUUGUAUAUAUAUGGUGCACUGCCACGUGUAAGAUAUAAAUUAUUUUUUUAAAUUGUGGGCAGUUGGCAAGAUUUGGGUCAAGUUUCUAUUUCAACUAUUUUGAUCCAUAUCUCUUUCCCCACUCCCACACGUUUCCUCAUUUUUUUUUAUAUAGAUAUUUUUAUUAUAUCAUAUGAAAACAAUAGCUUUCAUUCACUUCACUGUAAUAUUAUUGCACGAUAAGGCAGAAAGAAAAGAAAAGAUAGUUGCAACGUGAUUUUGGGUUUUCUUAUUCCAAGAAAUUGUUGGAGCGUGAACCUUGUUUUGACUUCCAAAAUUUAAGCAAUUUAACAAAGUAGGAUAUGAGGUGCAGUAUUUUUUUAAUUUCCCGUUUAAUUAUUUUGGCUACAUGUGGACGAAUUUCAUAUUUAUGAAAGUUAAAGUUAUGAUAUUAAUGCUAUGAUAUGAAUGAUAUGGCCAUUCCGGUACAAUGAAAUGAAAUGAUAUGAUAUGAUGUGAGCUCUUACCGGAUUUAAAGUUAUGCGACGGUAUGGUAUUCUGACACCUGUGUUAAAAUUAUUUUUCGGGAUCGCACCAUUAAUGUGAUAUCCCACUGAGUAUUCCCAUGUACUCACCCUUUUUCUACACCUCACAGGUUAGAUCGGGUCCUGUUGGAGCGUGGUGGUUCGAUGCGUGGUUGUGCCUCAUUUGCUGGACGAGAAUUUAUAAUUUUAACAAGUAAUUUUAGUUCAUUGCCAUAGACAUCCUAUUUUAAAGAUUAAGUUAUCAUUUAUGUUUAUUUGCUACAUGGAUGUUUUUUUUUUAAAUUCAUUUUAAAUAGAGCUCGAACUAUAUGUUACUACUUUUAUCGAUUUUAAUGGUUAAAAUAAAAUUGAUUAACUGUCAAGUUCACAUCAAAGACUUUUGCAUUUUUCUAAGGCAUCUACAGCCUUUUCAAGAUUUAUAACAUGCAUGGCCAAAACAAUGAUUCUGUACUUCACACCAAAUUUUCAAUUGUCUUCCUACCACAGUUAACUUUAUGCAGUGGAGUUGUAUUAUUCAUUUGUACUUUGAAUUGGAUUUUAUAAUAAAAAUAUUCAUAACCCGUAUUCACUAAUCAUGCUAGUAUAAAAGAUGUUAAAUACGGUCAAAUGUCAUCUCAUUUUAAGAUGAUAAUUUAAAAUUUAUUAAUCAUGUGGUUUCCAAUAAAUUUGAUCCUUUUAUAAUAAAGUUGGUAGCGACUAAAAUAAUUUUAAAAAAAUAAAAAUAAUAAUAAAAGAAAAUAAAAAUUUGGGUCGUUACAGUUUGGUAUCAGAGCAUAGGUUUAAUUUCCUGUAGAUCCACAUGGAUUCUCGUAAUUUGUUUUUAAAAAAAAAAUAUUUGGGACGUGAAAAGUGACGGGUCACUGUUCACGCACUGUUCAUGUGAACAGUGCAUUAAAUGGCAAAAAAAAAAAAAAAAAUAGGUAAGAAACGUGUAUUAUAAUGCCACCACCUUUUUCAUCAUAUGGUAUCUUUAAGUUUUCAAAAUUUCAAGAUUGCCCUUAUAAUUUUGUGAAUGCAUGCAAAUAUGUAUUAUUUUUUCCUUAAAAAAAAAAAAUGUGUGAUGUCAUAUAAAUUUUGAAUUUUCUUUUUUGUUACAUGUUAUAAAAGGCUUAUUUGCUUACUUGUUUUCCUAGAUAAUAUUUGUUUAAGGUUAAUAUUUUUUUUAUUUAUUUAAGAAUUUAACGAUAAUAUUAAAUUAAAAGUUAUGAAAUAUGUGAAUGAUCUUUGGCACUCAACGACCACCAAUCGACCACCCUUGAACGACUCUAAGGUAUGUAAAAAGGGUAAGAAGAUAAAUGUACUUAAAGCUUUUUGCGAGAUUUAAAUGCUUUAAAUUUCCUAUCUUUAAAUGUUAAGACAUGCACGUUUAUUUUUCCCACUAAAUUAUGAUAUAUAUUGUCAUAGAUAAUUAUAACUUAUUAGACUUAGUACUAAGUGUGAUUGGUGACUUCAUAUUAAAUUUUAGGAAAUGGCACCACCUACUCAUGCGAAUUUGAUGCGCAAUUUACUACGAGCGGUACAAGAGUUGAGCAGGCAAAGUCAAGCACCUCCACCACAAAAUGCACCGCCACAGCAGAAUGCACCGCAUUUUGCCGCCGGAGCUGUCUCAGUGGUUGAGCAGUUUCGUAGGUACAAGCCUUCCACUUUCGACGGUAAUUCUGAACCACUAGUUGUCGAAGAGUGGAUAAGAGGCCUGGAGCACAUAUUUCGACACAUUGCUUGUAUGGAUGCACAGAAAGUAUUAUGUGCAGAAUUUAUGUUGAUUGGAGCAGCUGGUCACUGGUGGGAAUCUAUUUCACGUACAAGGACGGAAGAGCAGCAACGUAAUCUGAAUUGGGAGCAGUUUAAAGAUGAAGUGAUGGCAAAAUAUUUCCCACAGGCUUUGAGAGACUUCAAGGAAUCAGAAUUUUUGCAGCUCAGACAAGGGAGUAUGUCACUUACUGAUUAUGAAAGACAGUUUGAGCAGCUCUCAAGGUAUGCCACACACUUGGUGGAUGCAGAAGUUAAGAAGAUUAGGAGGUUCGAGAAUGGACUGCGCCCUGAGAUCGGCAUGAUCAUUAUGUCCCAUCGUUUCACCUCAUAUCGUGAAAUGUUGGAGAGGACUCAUGCUAUUUCAUAUCAGAGGACCUCAUUUGAACAGUAUGCCCAGCAGAGCAAAGAGUCAUCGGGAAAAAGAAAGUGGAAUGAUCCAAACAAGGACAGACGUAAUUGGCAGAGUAAAAGGCCAAACACAGGAGUUCGUAUUGGUGGAGCGAGUGGGAAUAUUACACCGUGUCCUAAGUGUAAUAAACUCCACAGGGGUGAAUGCUUACUCGGGAAGAACAUGUGUUUUCGAUGUGGUAAGCCAGGGCACAUUGCUCUCAACUGUACAGAGCCACCAAAAAGGAAGGAUGAUGAUCAGGACAAGAACAAGAAAGGAAAGGCCCGAGUUUUCGCACUAAAUCAGCAUGAGGCGGAGCAGGAUCCGAAUGUGAUAGCAGGUACUAAAUUAUUUAAUAUUUUAACACACUUGCUUAUGUUCUUUUUACUGAAUCGGCAUGAGGCGGAGCAGGAUCCGAAUGUGAUAGCAGGUACUAAAUUAUUUAUAAUUUUAAAACACUUGUUUAUGUUCCUUUUUUUUUACCUAGGACUACACAUUUUUCCAAAUCCGUCCCUUGGUUGUUAGUCUAACACUAUAAAUUAUGCAAACAGGUAUUCUGUUAUUAUCUGAUGUACCCGCUUACAUACUUUUUGAUUCUGGGGCUACCAAUUCUUUUAUCUCUACAUCCUUCGUCGCUAGGUCAAACCUUGCAUGUGUGAAAACGAAUUAUGAAUUAGAGGUUAGCAUCCCUUCAGGAAGAACUCUUUGUACAAAUCUGAUGACUAAGGCUAUGAAGUUAGAGAUUGAUGGGAAAAUAUUACAAGCAGACUUAUACCUUUUGGAGAUGAAAGAUUUCGAUGUUAUUUUGGGCAUGGAUUGGUUGGGACUUAAUCAUGCGACCAUUCGAUGUCAUGAGAAAGAAGUAUUGUUUCACAAACCGGGAGAGGAAGAGUUUCGUUUCUUAGGAGCAAAGUUCAAGUCUUUACCGCGCCUAACAUCAGCUAUACAAGCAGAAAAGAUGUUAAGGAAGGAGCCAUGCCAGGGAUUCUUAGUUAACAUCAAUAGUUCUCAACAUACAGAAAUGACUGUUAACGAUAUUAACAUCGUCCGAGACUUUGCAGAUGUAUUCCCAGAAGAUUUGCCAGGCAUUCCACCAGAUAGACAAGUGGAAUUUACAAUUGAUUUAGUUCCUGGAGCGGCAACAGUUUCUAAGGCCCCGUACCGAAUGGCACCGAAAGAACUACAAGAAUUGAAGUUGCAAUUAGAGGAGUUACUGGAGAAAGGUUUCAUACGACCAAGUGCAUCUCCUUGGGGAGCACCUGUACUUUUUGUCAAGAAGAAGGAUGGGAGUAUGAGGAUGUGUAUUGACUAUCGGGAAUUGAACCAUCUGACCAUCAAAAAUAGGCACCCACUGCCAAGAAUAGAAGAUUUGUUUGACCAGUUAAGGGGUGCUGUAGUAUUUUCAAAGAUCGAUUUGAGGUCAGGGUAUCACCAGCUAAAAAUCAGGGCAAGCGAUAUACCGAAAACUGCUUUCAGGACUCGUUAUGGGCAUUAUGAAUUUACUGUCAUGCCUUUUGGUUUGACCAAUGCUCCAGCUGUAUUUAUGGAUCUCAUGAAUAGAGUAUUCCAUCAGCAUUUAGAUCAGUUCGUCAUAGUGUUUAUUGAUGACAUACUUGUGUACUCAAAAGACAAGAAGCAACAUGAGGAACAACUUCGAAUUGUACUUGAAACUUUGAGGAAUGAGAAAUUAUAUGCCAAAUUCAAGAAGUGUGAAUUUUGGCUUGACCGUGUAGGUUUUCUUGGUCACGUGGUUACCGCCCAAGGAAUCGAAGUAGACCCCGCUAAAGUGGAAGCAGUAACAAAUUGGCCAAGGCCGAGUGGUGUGGGUGAAGUCCGCAGUUUCUUGGGAUUGGCUGGUUAUUAUAGAAGAUUCAUUGAAGGCUUCUCAAAAAUAGCAGGGCCAAUGACUCAGUUGACAAGAAAGGGUGUAAAGUUUCAGUGGACAGAAAAAUGUGAAAAAUGUUUUCAAGAACUCAAGCAGAGGCUAGUCUCAGCUUCUGUAUUGACGAUAGCUGAAGGUUCAGAGGGAUUUGUGAUUUACAGCGAUGCCUCUAAGCAGGGUUUAGGCUGUGUACUGAUGCAGCAUGGAAAAGUGGUUGCUUAUGCCUCGAGACAGUUGAAGCAGUAUGAGCAAAACUAUCCAACGCAUGACUUGGAGCUUGCAGCAGUUGUUCACGCCUUAAAGAUAUGGCGUCAUUAUCUUUACGGUGGGAAGUGUGAAAUUUAUACGGACCACAAGAGUCUCAAAUACUUUUUCACACAGAAGGAACUAAAUAUGAGACAGAGGAGAUGGUUGGAGUUAGUGAAGGAUUAUGAAUGCACAAUUCAUUACCAUCUGGGUAAGGCUAAUGUAGUUGCAGAUGCCCUAAGCAGAAAGACAGGAACACAGUUAGCAGUUUUACCCACAGUACAGGAACACUUGAUAAAGGAGUUUGAUAAAUUGAGAUUGGAAGUUAUCACGCCGCCAACUCAGAUUUCAGGGAGAAUAAGAUUAGAUAUAUAAGUGAUUAGAUCUAGUGCAAGUCGAAGUUUGUAAGUGUUAUAGCCUAGAUCCAAUUAACCUUGGAUAGAGACACUUUUAAUAUAAAAUUGACACAAUUUUAUGGCAGGUCUAUUAUUUAUUUAAUAUUGAAUAUUAAAUUAAAUAAUAUAGUCCGUAUAUUCAAGUCUCAAUAAUUUGUUAAUCACAAGGAAUUGUGAUUGUGAUAUAUAAAUUACAUAUGAUUGAAUCUUAAAUCAUCUGUGGUCAUAAAUAAUAAUGAGAUACGGACAUUGUUAUUAUAGAUACACCAUCACAUGUGGGGUUUCUUACUUGUGAAGUAAGUAGUUGAUCUCACAAGCUAAAGUGUGGUGAAACUUAAAUAAAAACGUGGUUAUUUUGUUAUAGAAUAAAACAUUGAAGACCUGCUGGGAGAUUCCACAUUGAUAACUAUCUGAGUAUCAAUAUUUGAUCUCUAACGUUCGAUAGUGGAAUUGGUCCUUCGACUUGAGAUCAUCAUAAUACCUUAUAUGAGGACAGUCAUACUUUGGCAGUGUUAGAUGUUGCUCUGCCAAAGGUCACUAAUACGGUAUCGUUCAGGUAUGUCAAGAAUCAUAUGAAGCUUGUGAAUGAUCAAUCGAGGAUUCGUCACUCUUAAAUAGUAAGAGAUUAUGAUUUGCAUUUCAUCCAGUUGGGUCGAUAACAAAAUCCUUGGCCAAGGUUUACCCAUAAAUCGAAAAUGAGUUUUCGAUUUGUAUUUACUUAAUAGUUGAGUGAAAGAUAUGAUUGAUAAUCGAGAUUAACACAUUUUCAUAUCUUGUAAUUAAUUGGAUCAUACUGAUGAAUGUAUUAUAGUUUCAUGAUAAACGAAUAAGUUUGGUUAUGUCAACCACAUGACAGUUUUCGUCACAUGUAUUGUCCUAAUACAUUGCUAGAUGUCAAUUUGGGAAAGUGUGUGUGAAUUUGUGAUAAAUUAAAAAUGGUGUUUUAAUUUAUCGAUUUUGAUUUGAUCAAAAUAAUAAUUCACGUCGUUAGGUAUCGUGAUUGGGAACCUGAUGGGUUAUACACAAAAGGAGAACUAAAAGAUUGUAUUUUACCAAUUAAUUAAUUUAACAAGCGUUGGAUAAAUUUAUUAAUUGGGUUACUUAUUUAUUGACCCGAAUUAAUUGGAUUAAUUAGUUCAUGGACUUGAUUUAAUUAAGUAGGUUAAUUAAAUCUUGAACCAAUUUAGGAGACGGGCCAAGUCUGUUUGGGUUUGUAUAAAUAAGUGGCUAGUGUUUUGGAUCUGUAGAGGUUUUAUUAUUCUAGCUAGCAGAAGAAAACCCUAGUUCUCACAAUUUGUUUCUCUAUGUGGAUUUCCAUUAGAAGUUAUACAAUUGGACAGAUGUGGGAGGCAAAUCAAGAUUGUUGGAACAAAAGGAAAAGCAAAAGUUUGUAGAAUUCUUCAAACGUAUAAUCUCUAUCACAAUUUCUAUUUAAACACAAAGAGAUCCUUGGUAAGAAUUGAAAUCUGUAUUAAUUUUCGCCGUGCAUGUUUAAGUAAAUUCCCAACAUUAUGUUCCAGCAAGCAUGUGUUGACAAUAAUUUUUUCGGAACUAAUUCUGGCAAACAUCUAGGCCACAAUAAUCUUUUCUCCAAUUGCAGUCAACACAGAAUUUUGGUUCACAAUUGGAACAUGAUCUUACUCUCACCAAUUUUAUCAGGCUUGGAAUUUUUCCUAGCACUUGAACUAUACGUCUACUCUUACAAACAUAAAACUAAUUUACGUAAAAAACAUAUCUUCAUAAACAUAAUUGCAAGAUUCUACUGUACUAUAUCAUUUCCAAUAAGUCAGCAUAGAUUAUUUAUUUAUUUUGGUAAAUAGCUUGUUUUCAUUUCUACUACCCUAUUGGUCAUCAUCAAUUUCAUACACGAUUCUUAUUGUUGCUUCACAAACUAAUUAAGUCAUCCAGCAAUUCAAUUAAAUUAGGGUUGAGAUGCUCUUAAUUAUGAUAACUUUGCAUCAAAUAGGACUUCCCUAACAAAAUUUGUAACUUAGGGGUAGGCAGAACCCAUUCGUUCGAUUUUCCUCAUUAUCAAAUCAAACCAAACCAAACUUAUUUUACACAAGGAACCACUUGGUGGUUCCAUAAAACAGGAAUUAUACUUUUGAUUUCGUCUUUUAAUUGUAAGAAAUUCAUUACUUUCAUAAUCAUCAGAUCUUUCAUUUGGAUGAUCAAGAAAUUCAAGAUCUAUAGCUGAAUCAAACAUGGUUAUUGUAAUAAUCAAAUCAUGUGGCUUAGUCUUCCAAAUCAACACGUAGUCUCCUUUUCUCUCUGUGAUGGGAUGUAGAAGAGAACGAACAAAAUAAAAUCUCUCUAUGUGUGAUUCGGGGACCAUAAUUGUACUUAUAUACUAAUCUCUUUUGACCUAAUUCGGCCCAUCAUAAAAUUAGGAACUUGGGCCUAGUCUAUACACAUAUAGAACCCACACUUUAAUUGGACGCAUUACAGUCCAAAAUCGAAGCCUUAUUAAAUAACUUUAAAUGGCAUCAACCAAAUUCGAUAGCCUUUAAUUUAAUACACAACAUUUCACACAUAUGCCGAAUUAAUUAAUUCACGGAUCGGAUUUAGUUAAAUUGAUUAAUUAAAUAUUGGACCAAGUCAGACCAAACCCGUUUGGGCUUAUAUAAAUAACUUAUUAGAGUUUACAAUUGUAGGGAAUUCAUUACUCUUGCUAGUACAAGAAGAAAAUCAUAAUCAUGCAAUCUUGUUCUCUGCAUGGAUUAUCAUUGGAGGCUGGAUAAUUGGAAAACUGUGGUUGGCAGAUCAAGAUCGUUGGAACGCAAGAAAAGCAAAUGAGUUUGCAGAUCUAGAAAAAUGUACGAUUUUUUUCACAAUUUCUAUCUAAACACAAAGAGAUUCCUGAUAGGAAUCGAAAUUUGUUUUAAUUUUUCUGCGCAUGUUAGGUAGAUUCCCAACAUAAGACAUUAUCAAGUUUAAGGCAAACGAAAACAUAUAAAUCUUACAUCACUUACAAUAGUGUCGAAACACCCCUACCUUAAUGCUUGGAGUCUGAAAUAUCCUUUCGUGUCCAAAGAAUAAAAUACAGCGUCCUUCUUGGCCUUUUCUUUAGAAAUUUCAGAUUCAAAGUACUUCAUGUUAAUGAAAGAAAAAAAAAAAGGCGAAAUAACUUUAUGUAGGAGUAUAAUAGUUUGGGCGAUAAAACAUGGCUAAAGGAGGUGAAAUUCGGUUUUCACAAUACCAUAAUAUGGCUUGUAAAACAUAAAGGGACGGGUUUCUUUCUUUCUUCCUAGGGAGUGGCCGUGUAGUUUCUUUUCAAGAAAUGGUAGCAAUUUCUUUUAUCAAGAAAUGGCAGCAGUUAUUGUUUUUAAAUUUUAAAUCAAAGUGACUGUUGGCAUGGAACUUGUAAAUUGAUUUUCAAAUGGAAGUUCACAGAAAAGGUAUUGGUUUGUGGAUAAUUAAACACUAAUGGCAGUUUUAAUUUAAAUUCUAAGUGAAGUGGCGAUGAUAGUAGUAUUAAAAAAUUGGAGGUUACACUUGAGGAAAUGGGGGUGGUUGUUGUAUUUAAAAAUUGGAGGUUAUACAAGUGAGUGGAGAGGUAAAAAUUUUAAAAUGUUAACUUUCAAAUGGAUAUUGAGAAGAACGUACAGCAACUUCCAAAUCUCAAUAGCAAUUGAUGAUUAUGGUGGUCACAAUUAACUUUCAUCCGACAAAAUGGGCAGUUGACAAAAAUGGAAUUUAAAAUGGUAAGUUGAAUAUUAUGUGUAGAAAUGUGGAUGACGUAGUGGAGAAAACUGAAAAUAAAAGAAAUCGAGAUAGUAGGAUUGAAUUUGGGGUUAUUUGGUAUAGUAUAAAAAGUGUAUCUAAUUUUAAAAUUUAAGAACUUUAUAGAAGUAGCAAAAUAAUAUAAAGUGUCGUCAAAAAACAAUGUAACAAAUAAAAAUUUGUCGUUUAAAAGCGAUUUUAACACCUUGUAAAAUUUAAAAAAAUCAAUUACGCGAAACUUUACUUUCGUGACCAAAGUUUAAUUCCGCAUAGCUCUUUUGACGAUCUUGGGCAGUUUUAAUUCUUGAUCUAAUUUUAUAUAUAGCCUCCACAGUCUUCUCGACCAAUUCUGGACCCAAAAAUUCUUCUUUCACCAACUUCAUCCCAAUAUAAUGGAGAACGACAACGUCUACCAUAUAAAGUUUCAUAUGGUGCCAUGUCAAUAGUGGGCUGAAAGCUAUUAUUGUAUGCAACUUCAACCAACGACAAAUGAUCUUCCCAUUUACCACCCAAAUCUAGGACACAAGCUCUCAACAUAUCUUCAAGAACUUGGAUAGUUCGUUCAAUUGUCCAUUAGCCUGAGGAUGGUAGGUAGUACUAGAUGUUAACAUGGUACCCAUAACUUUCUGAAGACUCAUCCAAAACUUUGAAGUAUACCUCGAGUCUCGAUCUGAUACAAUAUAAGUUGGAACACCAUGAGGCUGCAUAAUCUCUCUGACAUAAAUUUGUGCGAGCUAUUCUAAGCUAUAGGUUGUCCAAACUGGAAAGAAAUGAGCAGAAUUCAUAAGUCUAUCCACAGUCACCCAAAUCGCAUCAUGACCUCUCUCUGAUCUAGGAAAACCAAUGAUAAAAUCCAUUGCAAUCUUUACCCACUUCCAUUCAAGUAUGUCUAUGGGGUUCAACGGCCUCGAUGGCCUCUGAUGUUUAGCAUCACCUGACCUUACAUUUGCACACAAACAAGGCUAUCUUUCCCUUCAUAUUUUUCCACCAAAAUGUAUCACACAAAUCUCGAUACAUUUUAGUUCCACCUGGGUGUGCAGCAUAAGGAGUUGAGUGAGCCUCAGUCAUAAUUUCAUUCUUCAACACUUCAUCCUUCAGCACGCACAUUUGACCUUUAAAUAUCAAGGCUUUGUCUUUGGCUAUUUCAAAUCCUUUCCUCUUCUUAAUUCCCACAUCAACCUUGAUCUUUUCCAAAAAGGGAUCAUCUUUCUGAGCAGCUACUAUUCUAUCCCUGAGUGUCAGUUUCACAGUAAAAUUUGCUAACAUCGCUGAUGUCCUUACUGGUGACGUUAAUACUUCAAUUCUCACGUUCUCAAAAUCUCUUAUUAAAUGAUCAUGUCUUGUACACAGUGCUGACAACUGUCCCGUGUUCUUUCUACUCAGCAUUAUCAGCGACUACAUUAGCCUUACUCGGAUGGUACAAGAUAAUGCAGUCGUAGUCCUUCACUAAUUCUAACCACCAUCACUGUCUCAUAUUCAACUCCUUCUAGGUAAAGAAGUAUUUAAGACUCUUAUGAUCGAUGUAGAUCUCACAUUUGCUUCCAUAUAGGUAAUGGCGCCAAAUCUUCAAAGCUUGCACUACUGCUGCUAGUUUGAGAUCAUGUGUGGGAUAAUUCUGCUCAUAUUGCUUUAAUUGCCUCGAAGCAUAAGCUACCACUUUCUCGUGUUACAUCAAAACACAUCCCAAACCAAGUUCGGAUGCAUCACUGUAAAUUACAAGACUUUUCGAACCAUCACGAGUAGUCAAAACCCAUGCAGAUUCGAGCAUGUCCCUUAACUCUUGAAAACUCAUUCCUCCGUCCAUACGAACUUAGUAAUCUUUCAAGUCAAUUGUGUCAUAGGACCUACAAUCUUAGAAAAUCCUUCUAUAAAUCGGCAACAAUAGCUGGCUAACCCUAGAAAGCUCCACACUUCUCCAACAUUUGUAGGUUUCGGCUAGUUGGUUAUGGCCUCAACUUUAGAUUGAUCCAUAGCAAUUCCUUGUGCUGAAAUAGUAUGUCUUAGAAAUCCCACUUAAUCGGGCCAAAAUUUACAUUUCUUGAAUUUGGCAUAUAACUUAUCCUCACUCAGGGUUUCCAACACUAUCCUCAAAUGUUCUUCAUGUUACUAAGAAUCUUUUAAGUAUAUCAGUAUGUCGUCAAUAAAUACAAUGACAAACAUAUCCAAAUACUGAUGGAAUACUCUAUUCAUCAAAUUCAUAAACACCACAAGGGCGUUCGUCAAGCCAAAGGGCAUCAUCAUAAACUCAUAAUGCUCAUCCCGAGUCCUAAAUGCCAUCUUUCAUAUAUCAACUGACUUAAUCUUCAGUUGAUGGCAUCCCGACCUUAAAUCAAUUUUCGAGAACACAGAUGCACCCUUCAAUAGAUCAAAUAGGUCCUCAAUCCUAAGAAGAGGAUACUUAUUCUUGAUCGUCAAUUUAUUUAGUUCGCGAUAGUCGAACACAUCCUCAUAGUACUAUCUUUCUUCUUUAUAAAGAGUACCGAAACUCCCCAUAGAGAUAUAAUCGGUCUAUUGAACCCUUUGUCUAGAAGUUCUUCAAGCUGCAUCUUCAGCUCUGGUAAUUCCUUUGGUACCAUUUGAUAUGGAGCUUUGGACACAGGAGUAGCUCCAGGUAUCAAAUCUAUCGUGAAAUCCACUUGUCUAUCAUGUGGAAUACCCAAUAGAUCAUCUGAAAACACAUCGACAUAUUCUCGUAUUAUUGGCGCAUCAUCUAAUACUUUCUCUCGAGUGGAGGUGCUUGUAUGACUAAUAAGAUAUCCUUGAAAAUCAGGCUUCCUCAACAUGCUCUCUACCUUUAAAGCUGAGGUGACGCGAGGAAGUGCCUUAACCUUCGAUCAAUAAAAUUUGAACUCCUGUUCUCCUGGUCUUCAAAAAUUACCUCUUUCUCAAAACAUACUAUAAUGGCUCGAUAAUUACCUAAUCAAUCCAUAACUAAAAUAAUAUCGAAAUAUUUCAUCUCCAUAACAUACAAAUUCAUCUCUAAUAACAUACAAGUCGGCCUCUAAAAUCAGUCCAUCAAGAUUUAUCAUGCCCCCUUAACUCCCUAAUUGUCCUAACUUGCCCAUAUUCCUAUUUACCAUAAUAGUUGCAAUCUCAUUUAGAGAAGUCAAUGAUACUUGUGCAACAUAGGAAAAAGAUUUACAGCUCAACUUCUCUUAUUAUUACCUCAAAUAAUCCUUCAAGAGGAAUACAAAGUAAUAAAAUGGCAUCUGACGAUAAUCAAUAUGAAAGUAAAAGGAACCCUACUAGACAUCAACAAUAAUUAAACCUAAUAAAAUCAACUAAAACUCCACUCUUCUAUUCAUCACUACCAUCAUUGUCGCUAGUCAAGAAUUCAUGAAUCCUAGAUUUCUUAGAGGAUACGCCCCAUCGUCUGAAAUAGGUGGAUGUGCAUCUUCAUGAAUUUAUAUCUUAAUAGGUACACUAUCGUACUCGAGGAUCGCAAGUCAGGCAUCUCCCACUACUUAAUCAACUUCAUGCAAAAGGCCUCAUGGUCAAUCUCUGGAGAUAAGGUAGGCACAACAAUUCCCCAUAAAUAAUCAUAAAUCAAUUUAACAGUCUCUAACCACUCUUGUGGCAAAGUAUCAAUAAGAAAGUGGGUGGGUCGACGACCAGUGACCAUAUGGCCUAGUUGUCUCACCUCUCUCUACCUUUCUAACAUCUCCCCAAUGUGCUGGUCUAUAUUGUGCACUGGAUUCGAUACUCUUCAUAUUGUCUCACGAUCUCAUAUCAACGAGACACCAAUGAAUGCGUCUUCCUAUAAGUUUUCUUAGUUCGUACCAUCUAAAUCAUACCAAUUAUUCAAAGUCCAAUCAGUGUGGUAUCUAAUAAGUUUAGGUUAAUUUUCGAGGACUUAAUUAAACAUUUAAUGUGGUCACAUUUCUCAAAAUACUUGAUGCAAUAAUGAUUAUCCACAAAAGGUAUUCAACUCAAGCAUAUAUUGAUAUUCAUACAUACAUUUCAAAUGUUGUAUCUAAAAUAAACUUUCUCAUAAUCAUCACAUAGAUACAAGCAUACUCAUAAAACUUUCUUUACUUCAAAAUCGGCGAGUCGCGACUAUGGCGAGCACAGUGUUCAGGAUCCUCAUUAAAAAAAAUUUGAUUGACUUUAUAUGUGACACAAUACACUAACGAUAGAGUGUUUAAUGCAAGUCUGCAGGAAACAAAACCAUGAUCUAAUACCAAGUUGUAACGCCCCGAAUUUUCGAAACCCGAAGCGUUAAAAGUAAAUCAUUUUUUUUUUGUUUCGACCCCUUUGAUGUAUCCAAAAUAAUUUGUAAAUUAAAAGUUUUUGGAUUUUUGAAACAUAUGGAAAAUAAUGAGAGAAUUUUGUCCAUGUACACUUAGACAAUUAUGGUAAAAUUUGAUUUUUGGGAAAAUAGUUGGGAAAAAUAUAGUAAAUACGGGUUGCACAAUAGUAGAAAGAAAAAUAUGUUUGGUCUAAUAAACGAUGACUAAAAAUUAUGAAAUUUUAACAGAGGUCUAAGAAUUCAUAUAUGUAUCACACAUAAAAAUUUGGGGGUCUCGAAGAUAACGUUUGAAGCACGAAAAUAUUGCUCGAUUAUGCUGGAUAGAAAACUCGGAUUCGACACGAUGCAGUUUACUAAAACGGGCAUAACUUUACAAUAUUUUUGAAAAAUUCCAAAGUCCACCAUUAGAGGACUUAUAGACCUUUCAAACCCAACUAAUUUCACUUUAAAACAUGCACUAUAUCCCAAGUUAUACUAUUUUCAAAUGCAAAGGCAGAAUCUGAAAUUUUAUCCCAGCAUAAAAUAAAACUUCAUACAAAUCAAUCCAACACUUUUAAAUUCUGGUUAACAUGCAUUCUCAAAAAAGGGGGAUGAAGUAAACAUUAAAAAAAGCACUUCUAAAAGUGUCAUCUAAGUUUCCAUAAAAUAUCUACAAAAUGGAAAUUUUUACGAGAAAGUGAAAGCAUUUCAGAUCAUCGAACACUUGCCACUAUGCCAACCACUGCCAUGCCUCGAUCUUAACCUGUAAAAUUUUUAGAAGGGGUGAGUGCUAUAAAUAAUACUCAGUAGGUUACACUUAAGUAAAUGGUAAAAACAUAUAUUUUCAGAAAUGCAAACUUUAAUUGAUUGUGUCACCGUCAAUUUCAAGGGAAUUGGUGAUCAAUCAAGUCGUUUACUUGUAGGUUUUGAUAACCCCAUUUCAUUUGUCAUAAUCAUCUCUUUAUAUAAACCACCAAAUGGUGAUUCCAUUUUUUUGAGCAGUCCAUUUCUUGUGUAAACCACCAAACGGUGAUUCUAUCAUGAGUAACACAAUAUCAAGUUUAACACAAACGAAAACAUAUAAAUCUUACAUCAUUUACAAAAGUGUCGAAACACCCCUACCUUAAUGCUUGGAGUCUGAAAUAUCCUUUCGUGUCCAAAGAAUAAAAUCCAGCGUACUUCUUGUCCUUUUCUUUAAAAAUUUCAGAUUCAAAGUACUUCAUGUUAAUGAAAGAAAAAAUAAAAGGCAAAAUAACUUUAUGUAGGAGUAUAAUAGUUUGGGCGAUAAAACAUGGCUAAAGGAGGUGAAAUUCGGUUUUCACAAUACCAUAAUAUGGCUUGUAAAACAUAAAGGGACGGGUUUCUUUCUUUCUUCCUAGGGAGUGGCCGUGUAGUUUCUUUUCAAGAAUGGUAGCAAUUUCUUUUAUCAAGAAAUGGAAGCGGUUAUUGUUUUUAAAUUUUAAAUGAAAGUGACGGUUGGCAUGGAACUUGUAAAUUGAUUUUCAAAUGGAAGUUCACAGAAAAGGUAUUGGUUUGUGGAUAAUUAAACACUAAUGGCAGUUUUAAUUUAAAUUCUAAGUGAAGUGGCAGUGGUAGUAGUAUUAAAAAAAAUGGAGGUUACACUUGAGGAAAUGGGGGUAGAUGUUGUAUUUAAAAAUUGGAGGUUAUACAAGUGAGCGGGGAGGUAAAAAUUUUAAAAUGUUAACUUUCAAAUGGAUGUUGAGAAGAACGUACAGCAGCUUCCAAAUCUCAGUAGCAAUUGAUGAUUAUGGUGGUUACAAUUAAUUUUCAUCCGAAAAAAUGGGCAGUUGACAAAAAUGGAAUUUAAAAUGGUAAGUUGAAUAUUAUGUGUAGAAAUGUGGAUGACGUAGUGGAGAAAACUGAAAAUAAAAGAAAUCGAGAUAGUAGGAUUGAAUUUGGGAUUAUUUGGUAUAGUAUAACAAGUGUAUCUAAUUUUAAAAUUUAAGAACUUAAUAGAGGUAGCAAUAUAAUAUAAAGUGUCGUCAAAAAAUAAUGUAACAAAUAAAAAUUUGUCGUUUAAAAGCGAUUUUAACAUGAUGUAAAAUUUAAGAAAAUCAAGUACACGAAACUUUACUUUCGUGACCAAAGUUUAAUUUGAACUAUUAGAAAGUGUCGUAGCGACAUAAUAAUAUAACCCAACUUAUUUUUGACUUCUACAAGAAAAAUUUUAUUUUAAAACCAAACAAAACAUUUUUUUUUCGGUCGCUACAACAUCAAUAUCUAGUCUUUGGACGAAAAUAUUGACUUGUAAGUUAUACUCUUAGUGUGGUAAUCAAGCAAAAACGAUAAAUACUUGUCAAUCAAUAAAUCUUUCUUUGGACCAAUUUAUUGAUUACACGUUAAACAAAAUAAUCACCAUAUGUUUAUCACCAAAAAUGUAUGUGAAAUUCGGCCAAAUAUUGAUCUUCCUUUGGGCCGAUCAAUAUUCGCAUGAAUAACACACACAAACACAUUUUAACAUUCUAAGUUAAUUAAUUUUCAUAAGAGAUGUUGCCUUUGGCGACAUGUUGCUUCAAUUAAUUGAUUUUCAAUUACUAUAUCUCUUAAAAGGGUCUUUAGUACCAAAAUUUGAGAAAGAAAAUCACCAAUUUUGUAUAUUAGAUGCCUUUUGAAACUUCAGGGACCUAAGGGUUAAUAAUUCAAAACAUAGUGGUUAAAUUUUGUAAAUUUCAAACCUUGAGGGGCCAAUUUAAAUUAAUUAUGAACUUUAAGGGCUUUAAUUAUAAAAUUCAGAACUUUAAUGGAUCGAAUUAAAUAAUUUUCAAACUUUAGGGACUGAAUUACUAAACCCAUAACCUUAAAGGUCCAACUUGGAUAGAUUUUAAACCUUAGGGGCUGAAACUUAAAAUUAUAUUUUAAAAUUUGCAAAACCCUAACCCUAAUAUUAAUUGCAAGCAAGGGCCUGAAAUCACCAAAAUUGCGACUCAAGCUCCCACCCCCAAAAUCCAUCCCUAACCUUCUCUUCAACGGUGCUGGCGGAUCUGCAAACAAAUCGAGCGGUGUUGUGAAAAUCAAGUCCAAAUGGCUUGAUCCAAUUACAAGGUAUAAAAAAUGAAACCAUGAUCCAUAAUAAAAUUGAAUUCAAUUGUUUCUGAAUCCAAUUUCAUAUCAACAUGCGGCGGUCGAAAUUAUACUUCGCUAAACAGAUUCGUUUGGCAGCCACAUUAAACAAUUCAUUCACAAUUGAAAUCCAAAAUAAGAACGAAUUCAUCAAAAGUCGGUGGUCGCAAUCAUGAAUCAUAUUCAAUUGUUUUAAUUUCUCUCACACGGCAGCUAUGAUUAAUUGUUUUCUUCCCAAAUAGUAAACAAAUGCAGAGAAAGCCACCAUUUGAUUCAAACGCAAUUUGUCUUUAAUAAUCUAACAUGAGUACUUGACACAUCCCACGGGUCCCACAUAAAAAUAUUUCCAAAUAGGAUAAUUCUUCUUGUACAUAAUGGGAGCCAUAUGGUAUAUGUACACCCGACGACCUCCUAUUAGAGGGUCUUACUACUUGUACUUGCUUCUUUAUCCUUUGGUUGACACGAUCCCAUCUCUUUUUCUCACAUGGGGUCGGGCCCAUACAUCAUGGCUCCCACGUGGGACUUGACCUCAUGUGAGAGGAGGGGUGGGAUCAAUUCAUCCAAAUGGUAAACUAGCAAGUACAAAUAGCAUAUUUCUUCUUGUAAUCAUAAGAAAAAGGAAUUUCCAUGGUUCCAUGACAAACUUCUCACACAAAAACAGGUUGCUUGAUCUCGAUCCAUAUAAACAUAUUUCUUGAAUCAAAAACUUGACACCAACAAUCCAAAAAUGUAAAAUUUUAGGGUUAAAAUUCAUAUCUCAAAAUUGAGAAAUUUAAACCAUAAAUUAUAAAAGAUUUUAAUCCAAAUCUAGGAAUACAACCAGGAAUAACAUGCUGAAGAGUUUUCAAAUUCACCAAAACUAGAUCCGAAAUUGUCAAAUCUGAAAACUUUCAAAAUAUUGUAAGAACCAAAUCACAAAACUUUGAUUCACAAUGAUUCAACAUGAAAAGGCUCUGAUACCACUUGUAAGAAAUUUGUUAGAGGAAAUUACAUGCAUCUAGGUGUUUUAAAUGCACAAUUCAAAAAUCUGAUGCAUGUUUAUUUAUGCAAAUGUCAGGUUUCCACCCCCAAUUAAAACCAUAUUCCCUUCCACCCAAUUAAAACCUAAAUAAUUUUUCUCUCAUCUUUCUUUAUAUCCUCUCCCCACACAUCGUCACCGUUGCCAAGCACCGUCGUCGGAGCACCUCCCCGAAGCCAACUUUAUUCUACUCCGAAUCCAUCUUCGUCUCUACCUCCUUAUCCUCUCUCGGUACUUCAUCCAUCUUUCAUUUCUUCUUCAAAUGGAGCUUCGCCUAAAGAUUUAGCCUACCAGCAAGUCCAAUGUGCGGUGCUCUCAGUUCAGCAGCACACGACCCUGCGGAGGCCGCUCACGGCUCCUCGCCACUGGUGGCACUCUGAGAUUGGCGUAGAUCGAUGCUGCUGUAGCCGGUGGUGAUUACCUCUACUCCAGCAGUACUUCUCCCAUGCCACCGCUUCCAACGAUACCUAAACUUCUACGCUGUGCGGUGGCAUCCACUCCCUAGACAUCCGAUUUCGAUAAUCCAAAAGGACUGUAAUUUUUGUUGGUGUUGAUGGUGGUGGUUUUUUAGUUGAAAAUCUUGGUUUGUUGGUGGUUUAAAAUGGUAGUGAUUAUGGUUGUUUUGCCAAUGGCGUCGGCGACGGUGAUGGUAGUAACGGUGCUCGUGUUGGCAAUGGUGAUUUGGGUGGUGGUGUUGAGGUUGGGAGGAAAUUGUAUUGUUGGGUGUGUUCGAUGGUUGUUUCUGGCUGUGAUUGUGCCCUAGUCAUUGUGAUGGUUUUCUGGCAGUGGUCAUGUUGGCGAUGGAGACGGUGGUUAUGCUGGUGUGUUUGGUGGUGGCAGUCAUGGUGGAUUCUAGCUACGGUGGAGGCGGUGUAGGACACAGUGGUCGUUUUUGUUGGUGGUUUGGUUGUGGUCAGCGUUUGUUGGUGGUUGUGUUGUUGUUGAUGAUGAUGGAGGCGGUGACGGGUGAGUAUUUGUGACCAAUUAUAUUUGGUGUUUGUGACCAAUUAUUUGGUCCUCUGUGAGUGAGUGUUAAUUUGUGACCUUGAAAUUCAUCAUUUUGUGACUAAAAAAGUAAUCUGUGACCAUCAAAUUUGAAAAUACGUGACCUGCGUUCUAUAAUUUUUUGGAUUUGUGACCAAUGACAUAAAAUGUGGCCCGUAAUUUUUUGAUCCGUGACCAAAUUUUUUGAUAUGUGACCUUGAAAUAAUUUGUGACCUAUCAAAAUUUUGAUUUGUGGCAUCGAAAAAAUAUGUGACCAAUUAAUUUGAUCAUAUGUGAUUGGUGAAUAAGUCUGUGAGCUAUAAUUAUGUAACUGUGACUUUAUUAUCAUUAUUUAAUAAAUAUUUUUAAUUAAUUAGUUAAAACUUGAAUUUGCAUUAAUCAAACUUGUAACUUGUAACUUGAAUUUUGAAUUAUGUAUACUUAAAACCUGGUUUAUGUACUCUUCCCAAUUUGUUACCUUCAUAAUCACCGGAUCUUUCAUGUUAGAUCAACAAUAAAUAUCAAGAUCUAUAGUGGAAUCGCACCUGAAUCAAACAUGAUUAUUGCAAUAAUCGAAUCAUGUGGCUAGUCUUCCAAAUCAACAUGUAGUCUCAUUUUCUUUCUGUGAUGGGAUGCAAAAGAGAACUAACAAAAUAAAAUCUCCCGUUGUGUGAUUCAGGGACCACAACCGUAUUUAUAUAUUGAUGCCAUUUUGGCCUAAUUCAGCCUAUAAUGGAAUUAGGAACUUGGGUCCGGUUUUUACACAUAUAGAACCCACACUUUGAUUGGAUGCAUUAAAGCCCAAAAUCGAAGUCUUAUUAUGUAAUACUCCGAAUUUUGUGCUCAUUUAAUUUUUAGGAUAGCAAUUUAACUUUUCAAAAUUUAUUAUGGCCAAAAUUAUUUAUGGUUGCCAAAUUUUGCAUUGAUUGAUUUAUUAAAAAGUUUUCCAAAUAAUUUGUUAAUUAGGGGUUUGGGAUAAAUGUCCAUUUUACACCUAAUUGCCAAGGUAAACAUUUUUUUUCUCCUCUUGGCCGUGAGUGGGGUGGCUAAGGUAAUGCAUGAAUUGUUUAAAUUUAAGCAUGAAGUGGCUAAGGCAUGCAUGAGGUGUUUUAACUUAAGCAUGUGGUGGCUAAAGGCAUAUAUAGGUGUUUAAUCGAAAUUAAGAUUUUCUUUCAUGCUGCCCACGUGUAGAAUUGGUUGAAGACUCACCUUAAUUAAUCAUUUUUUUCUUACCUAUAAAUAGUAAUGUUGCUGCCAUUUAUUUCCUUGCAAGAAAAAUCAGAAUAUCACUUGUUUUAAAGGGCAGUUGACGUGAGAAAGAAAGGAUAAAGUCUAGCAUUCUCAAUUCAUCUUUCAACCAAGAUUUCUUCAAAUUUUAUUGUAAGAUAUUUUCUAUGCUUAAGUGGUAGGAUUUCAUGGUAAUAUUUAUGUUUAAGUUAUGCAUGAAAACCAUAAUAUGAAAGACGUGGACAAGUCCACAAAGUUAGAUAUCUAUUUAUGCCUUAGGACAAGUCCGAAGGGCACCGGCAAGCCAGAAUGUGCAAGUAUGUGUUUGAAUGCUUUCUUUUGUGUAGUAUUAACAUGUUAAAUCCAAGCAUGGUAUUUUACUGAGUAUUCUUUAUACUCAUAGUAUUUCAUAUUAAAUUUUCAGAUUCAUAAUUGUGGAGUUGGUGGAAGUCAGUCGGCAAAAUCUAUGAUGGAUCAAGGACAAAAUUAUUUUACAUCGAAGUUUCUGUUUUGUAUGUUUUGUUUGACUGCUUUCCAUAUGUUUUGCUUUUGUUCUUAUAUAAAAACAUGUAUAAGACAUGAUGGAAUAUGGUACUGGAAGUAAAUUAUGUAAUUAUAUCUACCAAGUUAUAUUAAGAGACGUUUUUUUUUUUUUUUACUUUCCCUUGCAAGUGAUAAAAAGGCAGAAACAGGACAGUUUUUGGGUCAACUUCAAAAUGUUAUUUUUGACUCCAUAAAUGUCCAUUUGAGACUCUGAAAAUAUUGCUGAGUUCCUCAUUGAGUUUUCUUAAUAUGGGCACUAGAAUCACUCAAUUUGGAUAUCUAUAGCCUGAGAUAUGAAUUUUCAAACGUUGAAGGGUCAAUCUGAAAUUUCUAUGCAAUACCUCACUGUUUUCAGUAAAACGCCCAUAUCAUAUGAUCUUGGAUCUUUUUCAUAUUUUAACCUAGAAAACUACUUGAAAAUAUCUUUCUAAUGUCAUAAAUUUCAUAGAAAACGGAGUUGGGAUGAAUUUUAUAAAAAUAGUCUAACUUGCUGCCCCAACUAAUCGUGGCAGUGCCGAGUCCGUAUAUGUAAAGUAUAAUUUCAUGUCGACAUGCACUUCUACCGACCUUUAAAUUUUAUGAGAGAUAUUUUACCAAAUUGAAAAUAAGUUUCUAACAUGUAAUACUUCUAUUUAAGAGUAUUUACAUGUACCAAAGACAGAAGCUAUUAUGUUUAGUAUGUGACCCUCGAAGCUUAAGUUUGGGGCGUCACAUAUUCGAUAACUUUAAAUGGACUCAACCGAAUUCGAUAGCCUUUAAUUGAAGUGAAAAUUACACAGCACUAGGCAUUUAAAGAUCACAUUUCAAAAAUCAGAUAUGAAGUUUGUUUAAUCAUAAAUCAGGUCUCAAUUCAAUUAUUGAUAUUGUUAAAUUAAUUAAUUUAUCCAACCCCACCCUAUCUCGGUACACAACAUCCCAGAUUUCCAAUUCAAUCUAAACCUAUUUUCAUUCUCCUUCCCCUUUUCUCUAUCUUCACAAUGCUCUCUCUACAGUGCCUCUCCACCAUAUUUUCUUUCUUUCACUGGAGCGUUGCCUCUGUUAGAUAGCCCCUACUCUGACCAUUGGAGUAGCACCUUGUAUGUACAUCAUUUUCUCUUUUUCCAUCGGAGCGGCGCUUGUGUGAAAAUGGAGCAGUGAUGCUCAAAUCGGAGUUUGAGCCACGACGCUUGGCUCACUCGGCACUCUAUGUGCCACUAAUCUAAUCUAAAUCACGACGCAGUACGCAGCGAUAGGCUCGUCACCGCUGUAGCAGUUUUGUGUUCUUCUAUAGCGGUUUGUGGUGAUUUUUCUUGCGAUUUUUGAGUUAGAAUGCGGUGUGGUAAUGGUAGCGGCCGACGACGAUGGUAGUGGUGUACCAAUGUGGCUAAUCGACCUAUUGUACUUUUAUUGUUCGAUCCCUGUCAUUGUUGGUAGUUGGGUAGCCUAAUGACGAGGUAUUUUAGUUAGGUUUGUCGGUUUUUGGAGUGGUGGUGUUUUUCAUGGUAGUGGCGGUGUUGUUGGCGGUGGCUGUGAUGGUAUUGUUGCCGAGAUAGUAUUUGUGACCAAGAUUGUGAUGGACCGGGAUUGGGUGUCUGGUAUUUGUGACCAACUAUUUGGUUUGCUGUGAUUGACUAUUAGUUUGUGACCUUCAAAUUCGAUCAUUUUGUGACUAGAAAAUUCGAUCAUUUUGUGACUAGAUUACACAACGUGAUUUAUACCGCAAGUGUACGGUGUCAAAUUUUAUAAUAUAGUAUUAACAUAGAGUGUCGAACCCAUAGGGAUUGUAAUUUAAUUUUCACUAAUUACUAUAAUUGUGUAAUCUCUACUUUAGUCAGAUGAAUGUAUGAUUGAAUGGAUGAAUGUUUUAUGAAUGAAUGAUUUAAACUGAUUUAACGUGAUUAGAUGCGACAAAUUGGGAUAAUGCAAAUUAUCAAAUGAGAGGGCCUAGGGAUUGAUUUCACCUAACUCUUAAUUAUGUUUCAAUGAUUUUCAAUUUUUCCAAUUAAUUUUUCCAUAUUUAAAAGCAAGAAUCGUAAUAUAUUUCUAACCCCCUCUCUUAAGCACUGAUUAGAAACUAACCCUAGAUCCCAAUUACAACAUCUCUGCUCAAAAUUGAAAAUCUAGAAUGUAAUAAAAGUUUUGAUUUUUUUUUUUUUUUUUUUUUUUUUUUGUGGAGUAAGCUUCACAGAUUUAUAAUUUCUCUCGAAACCUAUAAAACCUAUAACAUCUAAAUUCCUCCUCUCUCGAGCAUUGAAAUUGACUAGAAUCAUCAGACAAUUGAAAGAAUUAAAAUCAUGACACGAUUAAAUAUAUGUGGGAAAUCAAACGAAAUAAUUAAUAAGUUCAUCAAACCAUAAUUUUGAUUUGGCUACAUCAAACCCUAGGUAAGUUGUUUAGCUCAUGAUAAAAUCUAUAAAAUUCAUACAAAUUAUAAUGAAAAACGUAAAGGAGAAAGAAAAGAAAUUAAACUCUUUUGGAGUGUAAUCGAUUCUUCCCUUGUUCCACGCCUUCCAAUUAAAUUCUGCCCUUUGACUCUUUCAAAUUUAUCCAGCCGUCCACUUUUUUCUCUUCUUCCAGAUUGUAAGUUGGUUGUCUGCUUGAAGUUCCCUCUGGUUCGUUCCUUCUACAAUUUUCGGUUGGCUGAAGCUUUUCCAGUUAAGCUCUGUAUUUGGGGUCUUGUGUUAGGCGGCUGAAAUCUAUGUAAUUCUCUCUAGAUUCUCCCCAAUUCUUGAAUUUGGGCGGCUGCCUUCUCUCUCCAAUUUGUCUAUCGAUUGUUCGCAAAUUUUGCCCACUCCAACCCCUCUUCAUUAGGUCUUGUAAGUGGUAUUUAUAAUUCCUUGGAGUUGCACUACAAUUUGGAAGUGGGCUGGGCUGUGAAAGAAUCCAGAAAUUGGUGAAGUUACUUCCCCGCAAAGUGGCGCCCAAACUGGGCACUAUAGUGCCACUACUUCUGUUUCUUCUACUUUAAUCUGGCACUAUGGCGCCUGUUACAGGGCGCUGCGGCGCCAUCUCUUCUACCGCCUUCAGUUCUUGUAUUUCGUCUUCCUUCUUCAUUUCUUUCGCUUAGCCUCAUUUAUUCCCUCUUUUCAACCCUUUAUCCAACCUGUAAAACAACAUGAAGAUCACAUGUUUACACAUCUAAAACACUCUCAAGAAUGGCAUAAUAAUGGGUUAAGUGAUCCACAAAAUCAGAGUGCAGAACAUUCAUCAAAUAGUCAAAUUUUUCCUUUGAAAUUCGAAAAAAGUCCAACUUUGGCCACCAAACUUUUAAAAACGUCUUACAAUGCUCAUUAUAAAUUUAGAUUUAAUCACACAUCUAUAAAAUAAAAUAUUGGAAAAAUUACAACACCGGUCCCUAAUCUUUUCAAUUUUUAUAAACUUUAUUUGAAUCUUCAUUUUGUGCCAACAAAGGUCCCUAACCUUUCAGAAAUAUGCAUUUGAAGUCCAAUAGAUGGAAUCCGUCCACUUUUUUCGUUAGUUAACCAAGAAAAUGAUUUUGACCACAUUACUCAUUAUUUCUAUAAGAGUAAAAUGAUAAUCUUACCUCUUUCCAUAUAAAAACAAUUUAAAUAAUUAAAUAAAAAACCAUCAUCUUCCACAACUACCCCACCCCAUCCAUAUACCCCACCCUAACCCAAACCAAAAUCACUGUACCCACGCACUUCGUGCCGUAUAACAUUUCGUACACCACUUGUCGAAGGAAAAAACAUGGUUGUUGCCUAAUAUGAUCAGUCAGAUCAGACAGUCCUCCGUCCCGACCAAAGAAUUGGAUUUCUAUACCGAGUCGAACUCGUAACUCAUUGAGUCUCCACCGAGUUCGACCGAAUUAACUGAGUCCUCCGGCCUGAGUCACAGCACUUGGAGAAAUGGGAAUUCCACAGCUCCAUUUUAGGCAUAGAUUUUGUGGAAGAAUAAUCUUCUACAGAUUUUGGAGAAGUUAUGUUGAUAAAUUAAAAUCUACUAACAUUAAAUAGCCGUUUUCUUGAAUCGACACAUUUCUGGCUUCAAAUCUCUGUAAACCAAUGCCCAAUCAAUGAAGAUAUUCCAAUGUCAUUAUGCCAACACCAAUUCUGCAACAUAAAAUCUAAAACAACCCCCCCCCCUCCCCAAAACCAAAAAAAAGUUGAAUCUUAAUAAUCCCCCAUUCUCUAUUUUUUCCAAGAUAACCACACCUUUUACCCCACGGCCCAAGACGAAUGUACAUUGAGGUUCUUCAGGUCUAAGGCAUUGUGGUGGUCGCCAUCGUGCAUAGCGAAGAUGACUGAUAACUAACCACAAGCUUAAGAAGAUGAUGCAUAAACUUCGACUGUGGGCAGAGUGAUUUUGGUUUGCGUAGGGGUGUGGAUGGAGAUGGAGAUGGAGAUGGAGAUGGAGAGAGGGAUGGGGUACCUAUGGAAGAUGGUGGUUUUUUAUUUUUUUUAUUUAAUUAUUUAAAUUGUUUUUAUAUGGAAAAGGGUAGGGUUACCAUUCUACCCUUAUAUAAACAAUUAAUAAUGUAGUCAAAAUUAUUUUCUUGGUCAACUAAAAGAAAAAAUGGAUGAAUUCCAUCCAUUGGACUUCAAGUGCAUAUUUUCGAAAGGUUAGGGACCUUCGUUGACACAAAAUGAAAGUUAAGAUAAAAUCUGCAAAAAUUGAAAAGGUUAGCGACUACUCCUGCAAUUUUCCCUAAAAUAUUUUACAUAUAAACUCAACAUUUUUCCUUACUUUUUAAUCACAUAUUCUCCAAAAAAAUCACUUUUUAAGAACUCGAUCAUCUCAAAUUUUAGUGGUCAAAAUUCAACUAUUUUAAAGUUCAGUAGCCAAAAUUCGACCACUUCAAAGUUUAGUGAGUACGAUCGAGUUUUUCCCCAAAACUUUGAACAACGUCUUCUAUGGCUCACAAUAAAUUUGGAUUUAAUUAAAAUUCAUUGUUAAAAUUUAGAUUUAAUUUAAUUUUACAACAAAAAAAUUCAUUGUAUGUGUGUCGUUAUAAAAUUCAAAUAUUAUGAUGAAAUAGCUUCAAAUUUUAAAAAAAUAAAUUAAAUUUAAAUUUAACUACUGUGUAAAUGAGUAAUCAUUUCUAGUGGUAUAGACAAUGCUUGCAAAAUUGUGCAAAUGAAGUGAUUGCUAAUUGCAAUGAAAUAUACAAUAUAUUUAUGGUAAAAAUUAAAUUAAAUUCGAAUUUUUUUAACAACAAAUUUUAGCCCUUGCUUGAUAGCCAUUAUUAAAAAAAAAAAAAAAGGAGUUUUGAAAAUAAUGAUUUUUUGGAGAAUGUAUGAUUUAAAAGUUAAAAAAAUAAAAUAAAAUUGAGUUUGAGUGUAAAAUAUUUUAUUGUAUAGAUGUGUAGUUAAAUCCAAAUUUAUAGUGAGUAAUAGAAUACGUUUUUUAAAGUUUAGUGAUCAAAGUUCGACCAUCUCAAAGUUCAGUGAGUAAUAGAAGACAUUUUUCAAAGUUUAGUGACGAAAGUUUGACAAUCUCAAAGUUUAACUGUGUGACGAGACGCCACGUGUGCAUUUCGUCAGCUACAUCUCCAAUUCUAUUAGGAGUUUGAGACGAAAGUUAUGCUAGUAAAUAACGUACAAUAUUUUCCAAAGUUUAGUGGUCAAAAUUCAACAUUUUAAACUUUUGUGAGUAAUUGAAGAUAUGGACCUAAGUUUUGUGAACAAAACUUGGCAUUUUAAAUUUCAGUGAACAAUCGAAGACAUUGACCUAAAUUCAAUGACCGUUGGAACAAUUAGCUUGAAACUUAGAAAAAAAUCCUCAAAUAUUAGACGUCUUUUGAAAAAGCAUAAAAGUAUAUUGAAAUUAAAAAAUAUUAUGUAAAGUUAGAUGUCUCUUUUCAAAGUUAAAAGUGACACAUGAUAUGUUUGUCACUAACAAAGUUGACACAAAUUUUAAAAAAAAAAGGAAAAAUCAAUUAAAAAAAGUAACGGAAGAAAGUGACAAGCACUAUUCAAUAAUGUCAAAAAAAAAAAAAAAAAAGUGAUACACUCAAAAAAGUGAUAAAAUACCAAUCAAAACUUAUGUUUGUCACUGAAAAGGUGACAAAAUUUUUAAAAAAUAACAAAAAAAAAAAAAAAAAAAAGUGAUACACUCAAAAAAGUGAUAAAAUACCAAUCAAAACUUAUGUUUGUCACUGAAAAGGUGACAAAAUUUUUAAAAAAUAACAAACAAUAAAAAAAAAAAAAGGUGACAUAAAUUUUGAAAAAUGUGACAGAAAAAAAUGACAAGAAGUAAAAAUACUAUAUAUAUAUAUAUAUAUAUAACCACUCCUCCAAUUUACAAACUUGUUUCAUAUUUAUUUUCGUACACAAAUUUUAAUUUUCCAAAAGAAAACAAACUACCAAAUCUCCACCCUCAAAUUUCUCGGGAGUGCAUUUUAACUUUUCUUUUCUUAGUCGCAUUCCUCCCCAAAAGAGAUAAUUCAAUCAAUUUUAUGGAGAAAUCCUCUUUGACUCAUUUAUUUUACUUUACAAUACAAAGGUGAACCUUCUUCUUUCUUUGGUAGUCUAUUUUUUGUUGUUAAUUUUCAAUUUAAUGAUUGAUUACUGAUUAGUUUUCAAUUAUUGAUGCAUUGAGGAAUGAAUCUUUCUUUUAUUUUUAAAUUUGAGUUUUAUGAUUGAUUUGUUUCUUGUUAAUUGAUGAAGGACGAGGUGGUGGAAUACUGAUAGAGAAGAUGACGCCAAGUCAAGGAGUAUUGUCGUUGAGGCAUGUCAUUGGAUAACUCAAUUCUCCAGGAAGAAAUUUUUCGCAAAGAACAGUGGAGAAGGACUAUAGUGACAUUUAUGGUCUCUUUAAUCAGUUAUGAGAUUCGGGGAUUUUGGUUUUGGGGGUAUGUUUUAUUUUAAGACUUAAUUAAUACAAGAUUUUAUGUGAUGUUUAGUUAAUUUAGUAUAUUAAUCUAAUUGGGUAACUUUUUAGAGCAUUUGGUCUAAUUUUCUCUUAUUUUAUCAAAAUCUAAAGUGGAAUCAAGAAUUCUUAGGCCUUAAAGCUCAUUAUAGCCUAUUUGAGCCUAUCUUUCCCAAAAUUCAUUUCAAUCAUGCAUUCUCCCAUCAAAUAAUUUUUCACAUAAAUUUAAAAUUUUUUUCAAUUUUUUUAACCAUGCAUUCUCCAAAAAAUUACGAUUUCAAAGUAUUUUUUUAGUUAAAAGAGGACGGUACCUCCUAGAUAUUAUUAAUAUGCCAUCACUUGUGGCAGAGGAAUACCAUGGUUAGAUGAGAAAAUAAUGAAAGCAAUAAACAAGGAAGUACUACUUUCCUUACAAUGAGAAUAAACGAUAAAGAACAAACUUAAAGUUGUAAGAGAGGAAGUACUACUUUCCUUAUAAUGAAGAUAAAUGAUAAAGAACAAACGUAAAGCUGUAAAAGAUGAAGCACUACUUUCCUUACAAUAAGAAUUACAAGUCAUUACAAAAAGAAGAAGAAUAAUAAUAAAUAAAUAAAAAAUCAUAUUCUAAUGUUGGGCAGUCCAUGUCUAUCGAUCUGUACCAGUGCCCUAAUGUGUUGUGGUAAGUCACCUGCUCUAUAUAUCUGGUAUCGUCGAUGAUCCCAACCCUCUACAGUAAGAGCAUUUGCAACUUGCUUUCCCUCUCUGUAGAUGUGGACAAGUGUAGCUCUGUCGAUGGAUACGAUGUCUGUGAUUUGUCUAAGAAUACCCUAAAUAGCCCAUGGUCCUCCUCCUUUAGUGAUGCAGUGAAUAGUCACUUUAGAAUCUGACUUAAUCCAAAUGUCAGAAAGACCGAGUCCUUUAGCUAAUAGAAUCCUAUCAAGAAUAGCCCUUAGCUCUGACUCUAAUAUCAUGCAUGUUCCAUAUGUAGUUGAAAAAGCCCUGAUAAAGGAUCCUGCGUGAUCUUUGAUGAUACCUCUCCAACUCGCAAUACCAUCCUUGACGCAUCCAUCAGUAUUAAUCUUGAUAGAUCCAACUGAUGGAGUACGCUACCAAACCAGAAUUGGAGGAGAUGGGAGAGGGGGAAUCAAAGAAAUACCAAAGAUGGGUACAAGAGUCGAAUCUCUUUUCCAAUGCAUAGCUUGAAAAAUUCCUCCAAUAUGUAGAAAAGAGAUCAUGCAAUAGACCCUCCAUAUGAUAUGUCCGACCACCAUACGGAUCCCCCUAUGCUUUGCAUCAUUCAUCUCGGUUCAAAGAAACUAAAAUACCAAUAGAGGAAUGAUAGUGAGAAUGUGUCCACAGCGAACAUACUGUCCAGAAUACCUCCAUCUCUAGAACCUCUGUCUAACUCCCUUUCUUGAACUCAUAGGUAUCUGAAAAAUAUUCCCAAAAUGUUGCCACCUGAUCAAAGAUGCUAUUGCUGUUGAAAAUAUGGCUAAUAGUCUCGAUCUCAGAACAACAUUAGCAGCGGGAAGCUAAUUGACAGCCAAUCCUCCUCUGGAUAACCACAUCUACUGGAAUGAGGUCAUGCAUAGUCUCCAACAGAAAAAUGCGACAGUGAUUGGCAAAAUGGUGCUCCACAGUAAUCGAUAUGAAUCCUGAUACUGGCAUCUUAAACGUACGAGCUGCCAAGCCGACUUGGUAGCAAAGCUACCAUCCAAUGUAUCCUGCCAAACAAUACGAUCUGGGGCAUCACACAUAAAUGUAUAGCCCCUAUCUUCUCUACCAUAAAAGGAGGGAGAACCUACAAUAAACGUCCAAUGUCCCACCUAGUAUCAUCAAAAAAUGCCUACACCCUCGUAGAUGUGUCCUGCCUGCGCGGUAAUAAUGAGGGCAAAGUGGUGUCACCCAUCCAACAAUCAUGCCAAAAGUUGUGAGUAGCAAAUCAACCGUUAGGAGCAACAUUGAGGUCCAACAAGCUAUUUGACGAUGGAUGAAUUCGACCUGGUCCUUUCUUUCUAGCAUGAAAAUGAGAGCAACAUUGAGUUCCAACAAGCUAUUUGAUGAUGGAUGAACUGGACUUGGUCCUUUUUUCUAGCAUGAAAAUGAACUUGUGAUAACAAUUCCUACCUAUUAAUACGUUUUAUAUUAAUAACACUCUUUUUUAAAAAAAAAACAAAAAAAAAAAAAAAAAAAUCUAACUUGCUCCAAGGUGCCAUACAAUGUGCGGCUCUAUCUGGGGACCAAAUAAUUUUAGCCUUUUCCAGGUAAGAGAAGCUGAGUGGGGGACUACAGUAAGUAAAUUAUGUGUUCCCAUACAAUACUUGCCUAGUGAAAAUUGGGUCCAAUAUGAUCUCUAAGAAUGGAACAACCACCAGAGCUUUAUGGGGAAGGUGUCUACCAUAUCCUGUCAUCCCCUAAAAUCUAGACCACCAUCAUCAGUAGAAAGGUAAAUCUCCUUCCAGUUCCACCAAUGUAACCAUCGCGCCUGUUUCUUGGAAAGGCAAAGAUGCUCUCAAGUUUUGAUAAGAGUGUAAAAUAUAAUAUUUUUCCCUCUUAAUUGUUGCAUUCAUGUGAUUAUAUUAUGCCAAAAUGCACUCAUUACCCCUAUGUUUGGGUUUAGGUUGCAUAUUGGUGAAAAAGAUGAAAUUUGGAAGAAACGAGUGGAAAAGGACCAAAGUGAAAGAGAAUGAAAGUUCAAGGACCAAGUUGCAAAUAAUACAUAGAUGAGACGGGCGAUGGAAUGAUGAUUCAAGGAUGCUAGGUGUCAAUUGGGUGCAAUCAGAAGUCAAAGGAAGUGAAAUAUGAUUAGAACAUCUUCACAAAUAAAUUCCCAAUCGAAAAAGUUACGCACCGAUUUUCAGCUUCAUAUCGGGACCAAUUUUUGACAUUGAAAACGAUCGAAUUGGAAGAUGACAUCUGAAUCGAAUUUGGAAUCAUUUUAGUUAGCUUUCCAAUACAUUUUGAAUCACCUCAAUCAAACAUUGGGAAAGAAAGUUAUGGCCAAAAUACUGAAAGCUAUCCGGCAAAGGGAAUUGCAAUAACCAUGCGGCCGCAUGGUUAUAAAGUCAUGUGGUCUCACAAGCACCUCCAGGGAAUUCUGGAGGCCAAAUUUUUUCUACUAUGCAGCUGUAAAACUUAUAACCAUACGACCGCAUGGUUAUUUUCCAAAGGUGAAGUCCAAAAUUCCUAUUUUGACGCGACACUUAUGGAAACUUGUCUGGCACACGUUUUAAAACCCUAAUCUCAUCUCAAAAUGUCACCAUUUAACUUCUAUCACUUUUCUUUGGUUUUUGGCUCAAAAAAUCCAUGGAGAACUAAACCUAUUGGUAAAGCCACGAAGGACCUCGGUUAGAUUUGGGAAUUUUCAUGUCUUUUCGUGCAUAAAUGUGCUCUUUCAUUGUAAAACAAUUCUAGAUUUAGAUUUCUUAUUCUUAUGGACAUGUUUUGAGAUUGGUUUAAUUUGUAUUAAAUUUUCAUGGAUUCAAUCACCUUUUUUCAUCGAAUAAUUGAAGUACUUAUUGAAUUUCAAUCUUAAAUGUCCUAUUGGUGUGAUUCUUUACCCUAUUGGUGUGAUUCUUUACCAUUAUGUGCUUGAUGUAUAUAAUUGCUUUUGGAUCUAAUUUCAAUAGAUUAUUGUGGAAUGAUAUUGUGAAAGAAAUCUAGGUUUGGGAAUCAUUGUGGAAUUGAAUAGGUUUGAAUGUUAAAUCUUUCAAUUAAAGUGUUAGAAUAAAAACCUUUAAUUGAGUAAAUUCAUGCAUAAUUGACAUUGAUUAACCCAAUCUAAUCGAGGGAAUUUCGGUGCUUCAUUACUUCAUAUAUUGAUUCAAACUUCAUUAAUUUAAAUAUUGAGACUUAAAAAUUACUCCAAUUGAAAACUUACUUCGCAAAUCACGAAAACCCUAGUUUGUUUGAUCCUUUAAAUAAUUUUCCAUCUCUUUGUGGAUAUGACACCCCAAACCUGUACUACAAUUACCGCGUUAUUCUUUGGGCAUAAUCAAAUUUUAGCGUCGUUGCCAGGGAGGCAGUGCAAAUAAUUAAAGGAUUUUCUAGCAAGAGGGUGACUUCGUUCCUUUUUUUUCUUUUUAGUUUGCCGUUUAUUUCUAGUUUAUUUUUUUAUUUCUCAUUUAGUUUCUUUUUUGUGCGUUUUAUGAACAGACUUCGAGAAGAGCGAGGGCGAUUUAUUGCGAGGCCUUAACCAGUGUUUGAAUCACUUUGUAACCCUCUUUUUGAUUAUGCAUCCAACACUACACCAUAUAACAACAUGUCCGUUAGUGAGCACGACGAUGCGCCCUAUAGGACUUCACAAGGCUACCUUCAUCCCACGCGCACAUCUACAUCGUCAUGCAUCAUGUUUUCGCCAAUAUGCUGCACAUGGAUCUCAAACCAAGAAUGAUUGAACUUCUUCCCACUUUUCAUGAUCUUGAAAACGAGAGUCCAUACGUGCAUAUUCUAGAAUUUGAGGAGGUGGUUGCAACCUUCCAUAAUCAACAUGGUACAAUGGACAUAGUCAGGCUUAAAUUUUUCCCAUUUCCACUUAAAGAACGAGCAAAAAGUUGGUUGUAUUCAUUGAGACCAUGUUUUUAUUGGGACUUGGGCUGAAAUGACCCAAGCUUUCUUUGGCAAUUAUUAUCCCUAUCAUAAACCGCUGCCCUUAAGAAGAAAAUCUCUUCAUUUGUCCAAAAGGAUAGUGAAAUUUUAUACCAAGCCUGUGAAAGAUAUGAAGAGUUCCAAGCCCUUUGUCCCCACCAUGGUUAUGAGAGUUGGCGUGUGGUGAGUUAAUUCUAUGAAGGAUUAACACCUAGGGAGCGUCAAUUUGUUGAGAUAAUGUGUAACGGUGACUUUUUUACAAAAAGAUCCAGACGAGGCCAUAGAAUACCUAGAUGAUUUAACUUAAAGGCUCACACAUAGACUGGACCUAAUGCCUCCAAUAAUAACAAUAGGUCAUGACCAAUAGGAAAUCCAACUAGCACAGGCAUUUACCACCUUAGAGAGGAGGACAACCUUAGAGCUAAGGUAGAAUCUCUUGCUAGAGAAAUUGAAGCUCUACGUGCUAAGGAUUUAAAAAUAACCCGACUUGUUUCCCGUGUUGAGUUUUUAGAGCCUUGUUUUGCGUGUGGAUGGAGUGAUCACCUAGCACAAGAUUGUACCACUUAUGCUGAGAUGAGGGGACUUUAUGAGGGACACUGUAAUGCUUUAGGCAUAUAUCAAAAACCCUAUAUUCCCUAUUCUGAAUCCUAUAAUCCAGGGUGGCGGAAUCACCAUAGUCACAGUUGGAAAUCUGAAAACCAACCUAUCCAAUCUAAUAGAGCCUACACUAUUCCUCCAUAUCAAAUCACAUCCUCUAGGAACUCUUUGGAAGAUACCUUACAUUAAUUCAUAGAGGCACAAAGUAAAACAAAUCAGAAAUUUGAGACUAUGAUUACCUAGAUUGUUGAGGAAAACAAGGAAAUCAAAACUCAUAUGUCCAAACUAACUAACGCCUUAGCUAUAGGGGAACGUGGGAAGUUUCCAACUUAACCUCAAGCAAACCCUAAGGGACAACACAUGGCACAAACCUCAGGCUUAAGAGAAAACAACCUUAAGGAAGUUAAUGUUAUAACCACUCAGUCUGGUAAGGUCAUAGAACCAAUUCUCAAACCUAAGGAAAUUGAAAUGGUACCUAGCAAUUCAGAAGAAAAUACCUCUAAUGAGGAGGUAGUGAAAAAUCCACCUUGAGUACCCUUUCCUCAAGCUCUUAAAUCCACCUCGAAAUCCGUUGGUCAACAUUGUGAAAUUCUAGAGCACCUUAACCAAGUAAAGAUCAAUUUACCUCUCUUACAUGUGAUCUCCUAGGUUCCCACGUAUGCUAAAGUCUUAAAAGACUUAUGCACCGUGAAGAGGAAACACCAUGUUAAGAAAACUGCUUUCUUGAGUGAACAUGUGAGCGCUGUAAUUGAGCAAAAGAUCUCUCCAAAGUAUAAGGACCCUGGUUGUCCUACUGUUUCUUGUGUCAUAGGGAACCAUGAGAUUUCAUAAGUUCUUCUUGACCUAGGGGCUAGUGUUAACAUCAUACCUUACUCUAUUUACUUGUCAUUAGGCCUAGGAGAAAUAAAACCUACAUCCGUAAGUUUACAACUGACUUAUCGAUCUACCAUACGACCAAGGGGAUAGUCGAGAAUAUGCUAGUACAAAUUGAUAAAUUUUGCUACCCCAUUGAUUUCUUGGUUUUGGAUUUAAAAGAAGAUGUGAAUGUUAACUCCAAGAUUCCCAUUAUUCUUGGUAGGCCUUUUCUUGUCACAGCUAAUGCUCUUAUCAAUUGCAGGAACGGUCUAAUGAAACUAUCAUUUGGGAACAUGACAUUCAACGCCAACAUUUUUCACAUCACAAAAUAGCCUGAGGAAGAUGAUGAGUGUCAUCAAACAUACAUGAUUGAUGCACUUGUCGAGGAGGAAGCACAUGCGCUUAUUGACCCCGAUCGUUUAAAUUCUUUCCUUUUAAAUUUUGAAAUUCCACUCGAGUAUGAUGAGGGGGAAUGUGCUAAUAUUUAUGCUGCCUUUAACGAUUUUCAGGAUUAUGGGACACCAUCAGUGACUGCUUCCAAUGAGUUUGAUGCAAUACACCAAAAGCUGACAAUGCCCUGGCUAGAUGCAGGCUAAAGAAAGCAAUAUUGGGUCGAGCCAAUAAUAAUAAACAAAGGCGCUAUUUGGGAGGCAACUCAAGGGGAGUUCUUUUUCCCUUUCUUUCUUUUCUUAUUUUUACAUUGUUUUUAGGUUUAGUUUCAUCACAUGCAUUAUUCACUGCAUUUUAGUUUAUUUUCAUUUUCUGCAUCACCCUUAAAUAUGAGUACUUUCAAGCUUAUUACACUUCAGCUUAUGUUGAUUCACUUCGGUAUUCAGGUGACAUCUUUCAUUUUUUUCUUUAGGCGGAUAUAUUUUUGCAUUGAGGACAAUGCAAUAUUUAGUUGGGGGGAGAGUUAACUUGAAUUUUGUUGUGAAUUGCAUACUUUCACGGGAAUUUGGUCUAAUUUUUUUUUAGGUCCCUACUUCGCUACUAUGCCACUAGGAAUUAAUAUUGUUCAUGAAAGUUUGGAUAUUGAGACAUUUGUUGAUUUAACACGUGUAGUUAGAGAAGUCUCUUGUUGAAAUUUUCUUAUGUGAGAGUUGGUGAGGAUUGAGAGCUAUCACAUAUUAAAAAUGGCAAUAAGCGCUCAUUAGUUUUGUGAACUGGACACUUCUUUUGAGAAUAACAUUACAUGGUUUGUGGUAUGAUGGUUGAUUAUAUUUGGGAAAUGAUAACAGUCAAUUUAGAAUUGAAAUUAAGCCUUCAGACUAGUUUUUUUCUUUUCAUAAUUAUAAUCCCUAGUAGCCACUUUGAGCUAAUACACAUAUAUAACCAUUUCUUUUCAUGCACUUAUGUUAUCCAUACCUCUUCACAUUGGAAUAAAGUCUAUGAAUAUUCAUUUUUUCUACCUUUAUGGUUCCAAGUGUAUAGUAGGUAUUAAAUGUCCAUUUGAGAAGCAAAGUAAUGAGGAAAGUGAUAAGAGAUGAUAAGUGCUCAGGUGCAACAGGAAAACACAAAAGAAAUGAAAAUUGGAAAAAAAAAAAAAAAAAACAAACAAACAAACAAAAGAAAAGAAAUGAAAAAAAGGUGGAUUGUUGUUGGGAAUUGAAAGGUUGAGGAAUUCGUUGAUACAAAGAUUGAUAUGUUGAAAUACUUAUUAAGAUGCCUAGUUAGAUACCUGAAAGUCCUUAAAUUCAUUUUGCCCUACUUUUUAUAUAACCCAACUUAACCCUUUUCACACCUUUUGCAUUGACUGUUUUGAUCUCAAGUCGGUUUGUGGUAAGAGUUGAAUUCUCAUUUGAAAGUAUGCCUAUCACAAGAUCAAAGUUUGUUUGUUGCUUAUUCCUAAAUAUUUAAGCCUCCAAGUUGUGAGUGUAUACCCUUUCUCAACUUCAUAGGGAGAAAAUCAUACUAAACACUUUGAUACCCAUGAGUUAUGGGGCUGAUCCUUUAGCUUGAGACAUACUUGAUGCUAUAUGCUUGAGACAUACUUGAUGCUAUAUGUGUUAGGGUUGGCAGUAAGAUGGUUAUUGGCUUAACACCCACUCACCCAUUUAGCAAGUGUUUUUGAUAUCUUGAUGAUAAUAACAUUGCUAAUUUCUUGUAGUGUUGAGUUUGAAAAGAUAAUGAACUGCAGUUGAAUUGGAACUCAACAACUUCACUUGUAAUAUGGAUCAAUCACUCAUUUAUUUUGUUCUGCAUUAAAUUGCUAGGGACUAGCAAUAAAAAAGUUGGGGGUAUGAUAAGAGUGUAAAAUAUGAUAUUUUCCCCCUCUUAAUUGUUGCAUUCAUGUGAUUUCGAGACAUAAACCCUUUAGGUUGUUUCAUGUAUAUCUCCUCUUUUAACUCACCAUUUAGAAAUGUUGUUUACACAUCCAUUUCAUGAAUCUCAAGGUUAUGUAUUGUAGCAAUUGCAAUUAGCAACCUUAUCGAAAUGAUUCUAGUUACUGGUGAGUAGGUAUCAAAGAAAUAAUGUCCUUCUUUCUGCCUAUACCAUUUAGCAACCAAUCUAGCAUUAUAUUUGUCAAUGGAUCCAUUCGAUUUCAAUUUGUUUUUGAAUAUCCAUUUGCAUUCUAAAGACUUAUUCCCCGAGAGGCAAAACUAGCAGCUAUCGCUAUUAGUUUAGAACGAGAUUUAUCGCCAAACAGAAAUUAUGAAUUUUAAAUAAAUACACGACAUUUUUUUACACAUUAAAUUCCCAGUACAUAGUUUAAAUCCAAAGCAAGUAAACAUUCACAUAAGCCAAAUAAAUUACAUCACAUGGUAUAACUUCAACCAUUACAAUAAUAUUAAAUAGUACCUCAUCAAGGGGUCCAGAAAGUAAUCAAGCGAGAUGUAUCAACAAUAUAAUCAAAAUAUUUUUCUUAAAGUUGAAAAGUCCCUUUUUUUUUUUACAUUACUGAAUAUCAGACUGUUAUACUCCGUGUGUGUGUGUCAUUUGUUGUGCUCGUGAAGAAAAGAAUUGAUAUUUAACAUAUUCAAUUGCUGAUAAUUUAUAGACGAAAAAAUGCAUUAUUCCAUCAAAUCAGCCAAUUAUUUCAUUAAAUCAGUCUACAAUUUUUGACUUCAACACUCUAAGGUGAGCCCAGUAACGGUCAACAAAAUUCUACAAAUUCCUCAAAAUGUGCAACGAAUAGGGACAAUAAAAGCAAUUUUUUUCCCAAAUGUUACAAAUACAUUGACACAUACAAUUUAGCAAUAAUUUAAAAUCCCUUUUUUUUUUUUGUUAUCCGUUAAUUCUAAGUACCAAAUACGUGCAAAAAUCACAGAAGAUAGAAAAAAAUUAUUAUUUUUUGUAACAAAUACAACGUGAUGUUAGACUAAACAAUUUUGCAUUUAUUUCACGUAACGGUUUAUAAAAAAUUUUGAAUAACUAAUUAGGUAACUAUAUUGCUACAUUCAUUAUACAAUAGAGUAUAAUCCCACAUGUCAGAAUAAAAUUUUACGCUGCCAUGAAUAUUCUUAAACUCAAUAAUGAUAAAUUAAACUAAAUUUAUGGUAGUGGCCCCACUAUUCAUGUGAACAGUGUUGUACAUUGUUCACGUGAACAGUGUCACUGUACCAAACAAAAUCAAACUAACAGUGACACUAUUCGGGUGAAUAGUGCAGGUGUCACUGUUCGAGAUUUUUUUUUAAAGUCUACAUAAACAUAGACCCGUUCUGAUACCAUUAUGUAACGACCCAAAAUUUACAAUAAAAUAAGUAAGAGAGUCGUUACCAAAAACUUCAUUUUAUUUAAUAUGAGCUAUUCCAAAUAAAAAUAGAUUUUAUCUCAUAUCAUAGUCUACAAACAAGAUAUCGACUCAUUAAUAAAUGCAUCUAAAUUAAAUACUAAAAAUAAAAUUUGAUUCACGUUACACCGAAUUUAAUGUGUUUAUUCCAAAUAAAAUAAUCUCGGCACCAUGACCGCACCUCAUCGCCUACCAACUAACGACCAGUUCAAUCUUGUAAGAGUGGGGAAAAUGGUGAGUAUAUGAAAAUACUCGGUAGGAUACGAUUAUUGGUGCAAUCCCGAUUAAAAGUGUUAGAUCAUGCGUGAAAAUAUCAUACCGUCAUAUCAUAUAUCUAAAAUCGGUAAGAGCUCAUAUCAUAUCAUAUCUUUGGUACCGGAUGGCCAUUUCAUAUCAUAUCAUAUCAUAACUUUCAUGAGCAUAAUAUUUAUCAACAUGAAGAAAUAAUUUAAAUGGGAAGAACCACUUCCACCGCAUAAUCCUACCUCGAUAGAUAAAACAGUUUUGCUUGGAAGCAAAAAACAAGAGGUUCGCAUUCCCAAAAAUCAUUAUUCUCUGUUUGUGGUGUUGCAGCCACUGUAUGCAAAUAUAUAAAUUUUUCUAGGAUAAAUAAUAAAAACCCUUGUAUGGUAUUUAUAGUUGAGAGGGAAUAUUAAAAGCCUAAAAAUGUGUCAACUGGCUUGCCCAUUUUCCGUAAAAAUUCUUAGUCAAUUGUCACUCCUUAAGAAACGUGUGGCACGUCCAUAUCACUCCUCCCAAAACCAAGGUAAUUAUCCCUUUUCAAUCUCUAAAAUCAAGGUAAAUAAAUAUUAAAAUAAACCAAUCCUUCUUAUCAUUUCUACAAGUGUCCACAAGUCAAAAACAUGAUAAUCUCAUACAUGUGGCAGCAUCACCUUUUUCAUUCUAAUCAUCAUUUUUUUAUUUGUAAAAAUGUAAUGUACAAAAUAAAUACAUUUUUAUUCUAAAAUUUGCGGGGCGCUACAAAAGCGGUGCUUCCAGGGUAGACAUUGCUUCUUCAAAAAUUAUUGGGUCAUUUUCUACCAUGUAGGUUAGAAAAUUCAGACCAAAUGAUGUGGAUAUUCUAGCCCGCUUAUUAAGCCUUGGUUCUUCCUUAUUUGAAGAUCCAUUUGCAAUUUCAUAAUUUCGUUUAUUUGAACUUACCGUUUCCUUAUCUUUGCAAGGGAACACGUUUUCAAAGAAUACUGCAUUCUUUGAUUCAAUUGUGGUGCCCUCGUGAACAUCUUGAACUUCAGAUCUGCGUACAAGGAAGCGAUAUGCACUACUAUUAUUGGCGUAUUCAAUAAAUAUGCAAUCAAUCAUCUUAGGACCAAUUUUAAUUCGCUUAGGUUUAGGAACUUCAACUUUGCCAAACACUCUCACACUUUUAAGUGUUGGUAAGAAGGAUGAUGACAUUUUCAUAACUCAAAUAAAGUCUUUUCCAUUUUCUUAAACGGUAUCUGAUUGAGAAGACUUUUUGCCCUUAAAAUAGCUUCCCUCCACAAGUUCUGAAGUAAAUCCAAACUUAUCAAUAUUGCAUUCAUCAACUCUUUAGGAGUUCGAUUUUUGCGUUUUGCAACACCAUUCAAUUGAGGAAAGUAUGGUGCCGUUGUUUGAUUAAUAAUUCCAUGUUCAGAAUAGAAUUCUUCAAAUGGUGCCCCAUAUUCCCAUCCUUGAUCACUACAAAUAUUCUAAAUUCGUUUGUCAAGUUGGGUUUCAACUUCAGCCUUAUAUAGUUUAAAUGCAUCCAAGGUUUCGUCUUUACUUUUCAAAAGAAAGACAUAACAGUACUUUUUACAAUCAUCAAUAAAAGCUAGAAAGUAUUUCUUACCACCUCUAGUUUGAACGAAUUUCAAAUCACAUAUAUCGUUAUGGAUUAAUUCUAGAGGUACCAUGUUUCUUUGAACCGAAUGGAAUGGUGCCUUAGCCAAUUUUGCUUCAACACACACUUCACAUUUGUGAUUAGGAUCAAUUUCAAGUGUCGGAAUUAAAUUUUGACUUAAUAAGUUUGCGCAAUGAAUUGUAAUUCGUAUGUUCUAAUCAAUUAUGUCACAAACAAAACUCAAGCAAGUAAAUAGAAUUUGUAACUUGAUUCAUAAUGCCUUGUUUCGGUACAACAGCUAGAACGUUCAUUUUGAACAUUCCAUCACACGUGUAUCUUUUUCCUAUAUACAUCUUAUUCUUAGACAACACAAAUUUAUUGGAUACAAAUACAAGUUUAAAAACCAUUUUUACCAAGGAGAGACCCGGACACAAGAUUCUUGCGGAUAUUCGGCACAUGUAGGACAUUAUUGAGGACGAGUUCUUUUUCGGAUGUCAUAUUCAAAGUGACUUUACCUUAUCCUUCAAUUUUGGAACUUGCAGAGUUCCCCAUGAACAGUUGCUCACGUUACAGUUCUUAAUAGUUGGAGAACAUCGACUUAACAGCACAUACAUGACGGGUUGCACGGGUAUCGACCCACCAUUCCCUCAAAUUUCCAACCACGUUGCAUUCAGACACAACCACAGAUACACUCAUCUCUUGCAUUCCUUCAGAAAUGUUGUCUUUUACCACCAUGUUGGCUUGUGCAUUCUUCCUUGGCUUUCCACAAUCCCUUGAACGAUAUCUGGCCUUUCCACAUUAUAACAUUUUCCUUUGAACUUUUUCACAUUCUUGGAGUUGUAUCUAUGCUGUGCAUCAUAGGAGAACUCGUUUCUUGUUUAAAGGCCUUUGUUCUGUUUCUGCAAAGUUUGCUCCAAGUUAAUCAACGCGUUUCCUUUCAUUUUUCUUAUUGUCUUCCUCAAUUCUCAAGCAGACUUUGAAAUCUCUCUACAAAGGAGGGGGUUUCUCGAUGAUGGCAGUCACUUGAAAUGAUUCGCUUAGUUCCAUCUUUUCAGCAUGUAUAUCGUGCAAGAAAACUUGUGUUUCUUGCACUUGGCUUAUCAGAGUUUUAGUAUCUACCAUUUUAUAGUCCAAAAACUUGCAACAAUGAACUAUUUGGUUUCAAAGUCCUCGAUUUUGUAUUUCUUUUCCAAUAAGUCCUAUAGUUCCUUGGCCGAGUCCUUUGAACUAUACACUGUAUUGUCCAACCCACUCAAAAUGUAGUUUUUGCAUAGAAAAUUCAAGUGCUUCCAUGCAUCCAACGCAAUAAUCGACUCACGAUUAUUUUCUCCCUCUUGUACGAUUAGCGCUGUUUCCUUUAGAAAUUUGGCUAGAUUUAAGGUAGCGAGAUAAAACAACAUCUUUUAUUGCCAUCUCUUAAAAUCCACGCCAUUGAAAAUUUUCAAUUUUUCACCAUACGGGAUAGUGAUGUUUUGCAGUGGUACAGCCAUUGGUGGAACCACCUGUGGAACCACGUUGUUCGUAACAUUUUGACUUGAAGUAACCACUAUAGUACUCAUUUUUGUUACACAAAUAGAAGAUUAUCAAAAUGCAAAGUAGGGGAAGGAAUAGUGCACUAAGACUAUUCCAAACAAAAGAACAAAGUUCAAUUUAAGAAUACCAAACAAUCACCGACAAAUAUUGUCUUAAGAUUGUUGGAACCGGGUUUAUUUGUGAGUGGUCAGAUGGUCGUUUACGUAUAUAAUAAAAAAAACACAAUCUAAUCCCCAAGACGGUGAUUAAACCACAUAUGUAUAAGAAAUGAAAAUUUUAGUAGAAAACCACAAUACCAAGGUAACAAAAUAAAAGAAGAAGGAAAAGGAAAAGGAAAAGAGAUCAAAUCAGAUGCAAGUGAUGGUACUUUCUCUUUAAGACAAUAUUACCCCGCUACGGUGCUCAUGGUUGACGGCACUUGUCUUUCAAGAUACAACAAAUUUGUAAUUUUGUGGUAGUAGCAUUCAAACCAUAAGAAUCAACGAACCCACGGAAUUUCCUCUUUACAAAGGAAUUUUAUACAAGAAGAAGAGAGAUUUUAUAAGGGAAGAAAAGUGCUCAAUGCAAAAUAUGAGAUGAUAUACCCUUAAGGACGUCCAAGGGGUCCUAUUUAUAGACGAAGAAGGGGUGUGGAUGAAGUCGUCCGAGCCAAAUUGUGCAAUCUUUGGAAUAGAAGCAAUACUUCAUUUUCACUAGCUUUUCGCUCGAGCAACACUGCAAAAAUUUGAACAGAGACUUUUUCGCUCAAUUUUUGCCCAGACAUCGCUCGAGCAAUAACACCGUAGCUCAAGCGACGGUGUUAUUUGGCCCACCAUAUUUUUAUUCAUUUUUUUCGUUUACUUCCUCCAACUUUUGAACUGCAAUUUUUCAUUCAUCCGAAGUAGUUUCUAGUGUCCAUAUAUACUACUAUCAUCUACUCGAUGAGUAGAACAAGUUGGCCUAUUGCCUUUCGUAAUUUGACCAUAGGAUCAAGUCCGAAUAUUCGGUCGAAUUUAACACGUUAGUCACACUUUCCAAUUUUAUAUUUAACCAAUUUCCGUCAAUUUAGAAACCAAUUUCCAACAAAAACAUAGUGAUUUAAUGGAUUCAAAAUGGAAAUAAUGGGCUUAAUAAUAAAAGAAAAUAUCCAUAAUUGUCAAAAGAACAAAUAUCACACCAAGAGGAGAACCAGGACUGACAAUAGAUUGAACAAUAUCGGUCCGGUGACUUCAUAGUGCGACUGUGGUCCAAAUGGUAGAAUCUCUCACGCACUCACGAAAAAAGAUAAUUUCUGCGUCCAUGCGAUGUCACACAGCUCAUAGUUUCUCUUUUUAAUAUUUUGUCACUUUCUCAGGUUUCUUCGGACACCCUUGACCUUUCCCUCGAAGUUUAUGUUUUGAAAGCUUAUUUUUUCCUACUUUGUUUAUUUAUUUUAUGUUUUUUCGCAAGUUAGAUUUUUAAUUUUAUACUGGACUUUUAAGAUGGUUUAUUAUGACAAUAUUUGUAUUGCAUAUUUGUAUUAUCUUUCGAAGUAUUUUAUUGAUUUCUUUUGAGGCUUACAUCUUAAAAUGCCAAUUAAGCUUUUUCAACAUUGUAUCAUCAAGUUUAUGUUGUACAUGAUUCAAUAGUAUAAAGAUUUGGUAUUGUAUCGAAGACACAAAUUGUUAGAGAUUGUAGUAUGUCUACCAGAGAUUGAUCAUCUUGUGACUAGAUGAGGUUUUGGGUUUUAAAUCCCAACGAGUUCAGUGAUCUGAGAUACAUAUAUUUUUGGCGUCAUCAAUUUCAUUGGAAUAAUAGAAGUUUUGUUGAAACUAGGUUGAUUAUAAGCAUAUGGUUAAAACAAUAGAAUAGAAUCUUAAUAGUUUAAGAAAUAUUCAAUAAAUGACACGUUAUUAAUUGUCCCUCGACAUCUUUCUUUUUAGUCCUUGUAGCCGUAAGAGCAUAUUCACAGACAGUAUUGACAUCGUGACAUGUCUUGGAGAGGCACCGCAUCUCAAUGAAUUAAUCUUAUGCUUGUUAUCAUAACAUUUAUGUGCAUGGAGUUCUAUUAAAAUAAUCCUUUUUGAUAUUUCUUCGAAAUGUUAUUUCGAAUGUAAAUGUUUUGUUGAUCAUGAGGUUCAUUUUCCAACGCCGCAAGUGGUAAUAAAUUUAUUUGAAUCGUUUUGUUUCCUGCAUGCUUCAGGUCUUAAUGGCAAAGGGUAACGUAGUGGCCUUAUAAUUUAUAUUGUUUAUUGUUAUUAUAUUUUCUUCUAGAAUUCCACUGUAACAUUUUAAACCUUAAAAUUGUUAUUUUUCUGAUUUCCUCUGCAGAGGCAAAGGGCCAAUUCCGGGCCACGGACUUGGAAUCGCUGACCAAGAAGAAGCAGAGAGAGGACGAGGCCCUGAAUCUCUAAUAUUUUUUUUUCUUCGGUUUCAAAAUUUUCUCUCUGUUUCUUAUCAAGGACGAGGCCCUGAAGGAAAAAACUCGUGCUGCUUCUGUCCAUUCUGUGCCCAAUCCGUGCCCAAUCCUCCCGUGCUGAAAACUACCCCUCUUGUUCCUGAGAUUCCUCAUCAGGACAAGAGGAAGUGUUGGCCGAACAUGAGAUCUCUUUCUUUCAGAAGCAAACUGAAGCAAUGAAAGGGGUAGAAACCCCAGGCUUACUUAGACUUCAUUGAGGAGGCACACUUGGAGGACAAUGUUGUUAAACCAGCUCCCUUCCUACCGCUGCCCAAUAGCCCAAGUUGCCAAUAAGAGCUGGCAGGCAAAACAUAACCACUAUCUUUCUUCCAUGGAUGCUCAGGAUGCUAGCUUGAUGGCUGCAAUCUACAAUGCUCGUGCUACAAUAUGUUCCAUAAAAGCUGCAAGAGAAACCAAGCAGGAAAGGUUUGCAAGUGAAAAUGCCAAUAAAAGCUGCAAGAGAAACCAAGCAGGAAAAGUUUCCAAGUGAAAAUGCCAGAAAUGUUGCAGAGCGCGCUUUUGAAGAGGAAAGGGCUAGCCAUAGCCGCUCCGUGAUAAACCUUACGUCAACUCUUGAACAAGCGAAGAAAUAUUGGGAAGCGCUGGGAGAGAAGAAUGCGAGGAUUAAGAAUCUGGGGGUGAAGCUUGCAUCUACGGAGGCUAGGCUAAGGGGCCUAAGCUCGGAGGUGGUGGCGGCAAGCGUUAUAACUUCACUUUUCUGUUUUAGAUGCGACAGCAUCUAAAAUACUGAGAAAUUAACGCUUCCAGCACCACCUCCAGAGCUUAGGACCCUUGGGUAUAGCACCCUUGGGCACAUUGCUCUUAGAGGCCUUCUGUGACUUGGACAUCAACUCUGCCUUCUUCUCCUUCUUCAACCACCUAGGAGACUGAGCGAAUAAAUCUGAUACCCUUCCCUGGUUAUAUCUUGGCACCACUAAAUCGGCAAAGCUCUGUCCUGACAACCCAUAAUUAACAGGUGAGACAAACAAAAGAAAAUUAACUCCGAAAUUGAACGUAAAAUCUAUAUGGAGUAGAAGCAAAACUUAUUCAAAGCAAGACAGCAUACACACACACACACACACACACACACAUAACAAAGCAAUAGACAUUUGCGUCCUAUAUUUAUCUAUUUGACAGCAUCUUCUAAUUUUCAAAGUAAAACAAAAGAAUUCUAGAUUGAAACACCAUAUGCUACUGUCUAGCCACAGUAAAAUAUUAAAUCCCCCAUUAAAUCUAAAAUCAUACUAAAUUAACAGCCCAUCUUUUUAAAAUUGUUGUUGCUACCUUUUUAAAUACCAAUAUGUCCUCCAUCUAAUAAAUAUUUUACACUCAACCUGUACGCGAAUUUCACCCCCACCCUCCACCACCAUUUCUACCCUAAAGUAGAAAAAAGUUCAAAAUAGUCAAACAGAUCCUUAUGUGCAACAGAUGACAUAUUACAUAUACACUAAAAAUCUGAAUUGAGCAUUGGAUUACGCAUCUCAUUACAGAGAGGGAUGGCAGAACUCACUUGAGAACCAUUGUUACAGUUGCCGAGCUCGCAUCGCUUGGUUUACUCCCUGAAAUGCAGGAACCCUAAGUGCACAUUAUAUGGCCCCUGUUUGCCCCCAUUAUUUCAAAUAUUAAUAGGUGGAAUAGUAUUUUUCUGAAAAACAAGUGAUUGAAAAAGAUAAAAAAAAAUUCGAUUUACGUGUAAUAUUAUUUUAUGAAAUAUUGUGUGGUUAAAAGAAAAAAAUAAGAUUUAAUUUAAUAGGAGCCAAACGAGGGCAUAGGACUCCAUUCUUGUCAAAAAUACAUUUUUGAAUAGUAUAUUGACGAAAAAAUAUGUGAUUAAAAUAAAAAAAAGUUUUAACUUUGCAUUGGAGUUGCUUUUAAUAUUCCCAAGUUCCCAACUUCUUAUUUUCCACGUCGGAUACUCACUAGAAUAUCAUAAAAUUUACUAUCUAUAAAUAGGUGGGCCAAAAGUUGGGUAAAAAGCUAUAUGGGUCUUUUAACUUUAGGAUUUAGAAGUUGACUAAUAUAAAAAUUUUAUCUUUCUAAUUUUUUCAAUUUUUGAUCGGGUUAUCAGAUAUCUGAUAACAUAGCAAAUCGAAUAUGUAUAUAACAAUCAAGUAUCCGUUGGAUCGGAUCGUAUAAGAUAAUUAUUCUUAAAAGUAUCGGAUCAAAUUUGGAUAGAUCCGGUCAAUUUACAGCCCUAAUCACAAAUAGGCAAAUAGCCUUGAUAAUGGAGAAUAUAAGUGGAAAAACUAAUGUCAUGUUUGGUAUAUUGUUUGGAUAUGAGGUAUUAUGAUUGGACGAAAUUAAAGAAAAAGAGAAACAUAUUCUAACGACAUAUUUAGUAGAGUAAUGAUAUUCGUAGCCAACGACUGCAUUAGUCAUUCUACAUGACAAUUUGUUACUUAAGACUUUAAUUUCUUAUAAUUCUAUUGCCUCAAUUAACAAGUAAAUGUCUCAAAUAAUAAGCUGUUACAUAGAAUAAUUAUUGCAGUCACUAACUAUGAAUAACAUUAUUAUGUUUAGUUCUAUAAAUUAAAUAUUGAUAUGCGUAUCGAGACGUUUAUAUAAAGUAAAAUUGGUUUGCAUUAAACUCUUUUGGUGGGCUCAGCAGUCCAAUAAUUUAUGUUGGAUUUGGAAAGAGGUAUAGCCAUUGCUAAUACUAUUCAAUCUGUUCCACCAACACCUUUGUCCGUUCAGACACCAAUUUAAGCAAAUGUGAUAUGACAAGAAAUAUUUAGCAUGCCACGCUAUUUGAUUGGACAACACUACAAAAAAAAAAAAGCACUUGAAAAAUAAUAAUAGAAAUAAUAAUAAUUAUCUGUUUUAAGUUUAGAAAAUUAAAUAAAUAAAAAAAGAGGGUGGCCCUAAAUCAAUUUUCCUUCACCAACGCCAGCUGCCUCAAUUCCUGGAAAGGAAAACUUUGCAUAGGAAAAGGAGAAAAAUCAUCGAAUAAAACUGGACGUCCAGGGCCCUGGACGUCCAGCACGUCUCAAAAUCAUCAAUCAUCACAAGACAGAGAAAAAAGGUGCUUUUCCAUUUUCAUGCAAGAGCUUACAUCAAUAUAAAUAGGUGGUGGUUAUUGAAAAGUUGAAAAAGAAAGGAUAUUUUUGUUGAUUAAAAAAAAAAAAAGGUUGAAUGUGGAGUACUUCUAGUUUGACAUGAGGUAAAAUUUCAAUAUUGCCCUUGUUAAGCUCCAAUCAUUGUGUCAAUUUUGUAUUCGAGUAUGGAAGUUAACAAAGUAAUGACCAUUUUUGCCAUUUUGAAAGCUUAAGAAAAAAGAUGAUACCAACACAUCUCGUCCAUAUAUUGUCGAUAACCAUAGGAGAGAAUUAAUUAUUAUUAUUCCUACUGUUCAAAUAUUUAAUAAAAAAUCAAGGCACAACAAAUUUCUCGUCCUUGCAAUUGAUUCUCUCAUAUCCCUUUAUAUAGUUUAGUAAUUUCUCGAGAAUGAAGAUGCUUAACAAAGGCUAUUAUGGUCUCUCGAAAGUCUAAUGAAAGACAUCCUCUUCUUUCUUAAGAGGCCGAAUAGAUUCUAGGAUAAGUGACCAAUAAAAAUCCAACAAAUAAUUGUUUGUAACCUACCUGUUGGGGCACAUCCCGCGAUUUACCUCCCUCACAAAACUCUAGGGGCGGGACAGUGAAGACCCUCAAUGUUGGAGUUCAACCUUUAAUAAUUGUUUGUAACCAAUCAAAAGAUCUUCACAAAAUCAAAAGAAUCGAGAAAGAAAGUGACUAUUCAUAUACAAUUAACUUUUCCAUGAUAAAUCAAUGUCCCAUGUAGGAGUAGGACCAAAUCGUCCUUAAAGACAGCAAAACCUUGCUCCUACCACGUGCUUCUUGUCCACCUCCUAUGUAUAUAUUGAUUGCCCAUUCAGAAUCCUCAGACACCAUUGUAAGGCCUUAAAAAUGUUAAAAGAAGUUCUCUUGUUUUUGUUAAGGGGCCCCAAUGAUAUGCAUGCAAUGGAGUGAUACGCCCUUAUGAGCAGGGAAGAGGAGAGUGUCCUCUCAUUUGUUGGCAACACAUACAUGUAGGGUUAUUAAUGGAUUGGAUUUUGAUUUGAAUUCGAUCUGAAUUCGAUGAAAUUAAUAGAAGAUGGAUUUAGGGUCUCAAUCAGAUAGUCCGUUGACUAAAUGAAGCAAAUAUGGAUGUAAGUAAAUCCGAUCCGAUUUAUUAUAAUAAUAUAAUAUAUUUUGUAUAUUAAAGCAUAAUUUAUUACAAUUUUUUUUUUAAAAUUGAUCUUAUAUACUUUAUGAAUUUUAAUGAAGGACGUCAAAAUUAUUAAAUUCCAAUAACAUUAAUAUAUAUUAUUGUAAAUUGUGUAUUCAGAAAAAAAAUAAAGAAAUUAAUGUUGAAACAUGAUAAUGGGCUUGACACUUUCGUCCCAAUCCAUAUGCCAAUCUGACAAAUGAUAAAGAUUAAUAAUGGGCGUGACACUAUAUCAUCUCUUUCGGCCACGUUUAACGUUUUGGUUCUUGAACAUUCUUCUUUCUUUCUAAUUAAUUCAAAAAACCUUUCCUAUUCUCCACCGUAGCUGAAUCAGAUUCAAUCAGAUGGAAACCCAUGGUAUUCUCCAUCUUUAAUUCAUUUUUACGUCUCGACUCUUCAUCUCUACACAGCAGGGAUGAUAUUCUUCCAAAAAUUACGGUUCCUUCUUUUUUUAUUUUUCUUUGUAUGUCAUCUCCAACACUAAGAUUUCAUCAGCAUUUCAAUUUCUUGAAAUGAUAUUUGUUUUGUACAACCUUUAUUCUUAAACAUCUUUUUUUGUAGGCGUGGUGGACUUGUGGUAAUAUGAUAUGGAGAUAGAGCUCAAACUUCAAAAGCUGCUCUUGAGAAUUUUUUCAUUCGUUUUUGUUGCUCACUUGAACGUUUGUUGGAUAUGUAGUCAUUGCAAUAUUUCAUAUCUUGGUUCUUUUUGGUAUCAUCAUGUGGAUUUUUAUUGAAAUUGACAAUAGGUUAAUAUGGUUAUUUUCUUUUAUUGCAAUAAAAAAAUGUGUAAAAUAUUUCGGAUCGGAUAUCCGAUAAUUUAGUAAAUUGGAUAUGAAUUUAACAAUCUAAUAUCCGUUGGAUUAUUGGAUCAAAUCGGAUAGAAUAAUUAUUCUUAUCGAAUCGGAUCGAAUAUGGGCAGAUCCGAUCCAUUGACAGUCCUACCCACAUGCCUCUUAAUGUAUUAUGUGAUUGUCGACAUUAGGCCAUGAACUUGUUUUUCAAGCAAAAGUGAUUUGAAUCCAAGAAAUUUAUCAGAUGGAUGACAUCAUAUUAAGUUUCAACCAAAUAGUGCUAAAUUAUGAUUUCUAAUAUAAAAAGCGAAAAUAAUCAAGGGGAAAGCCAAAUGUGUAAAUAAUCAAGGGGAGACCCAAAUGUUUCAACCAGAUGUUGGUAUAUAAGGCAUAUAACUGAGGACUAUGACACGCAGACUGACGAAAUAGCACAACUAGCACUUAGGUUACCUAGUGGAAGCUCCUCAACAUUCAAGUCGCUCGAAUAUUUUGAGAUAUACCUCAACAGUGAGUAGUCCUAAAUGAAUGUUUACCAAAACAAAAACAAGUUUUUACAAUGUUGUAACACCAUGUAUAGGUGCAAACACCUGCCAAGUGCUGAAAGGUCAAGGAAGUUAGAGACCUAAUGACCUUGAUGUAGGUGAUUGAAGGACGUGAAGGAUGACCGUAACUACAACGGUCUAAGGUAGCACAAUUUCUAGUCAGUUAUGUUUCGAGCAUGAAGCAAUCACUUGGAUGUAAUUAUAGGCACAUCAGUUACCCUCCUUAUUUGGUGCAGAAUGUUAUGCCCAUUUGGACGAAAUUUCACUUAGUAGGGUGAAAGGGAAAUUCAUCCUCAACAAAAAUGAUAAUGUUUACAUCUUGCCAUUUAAACUGUUCCUUCAAGAGGGUUCAAACGCCAAGUUAUGAAAUUUCAAUCUCAAAUCAUUUUUUCAUAGCUUAGCCACUGAAAGUAAUAGAGCAUCGUCUUGCCUGAUCAACGUAGUAUAAAUAUGCAUAUGGACUCCGUUUAUUUCGAAAACUGUUAAAUGAGCCACAGCAGAAUAAAUAAAACCAGGAGAGUUGAUAUGAUUUUGGAUGGGCAGCCGAGUUUUCAAGGGUAGUUUAAUUAUGGUAGACUUCUAUUAUAUUUGGUAUUUUUAUUAUUUUCAAUUUUUUCUAGGAUUUUAGAGUUUUAUUCCAUUUUAAUUACUCUCUAGGGUUUUAGUAUAAAUAGGCUUUUGUUUCUUUCAUUGUAUUUCAAGACUUUUACAAUGAAUUAAUCGAGAUUUCUCUUUCGAAGCUUUUGAUUCAAAAUAUGAACUUAUCAAGAUUUAAUAUCUUGUGGCGUUCAAACAAAAUAUCGGGUUGAUUUCUCUAGAUUGCGUAAUCAAAAGGUCCUUCGCGUCGCCGUUACCAUUGGGUUGUUUGAUUCAUUAAUUCUUUGGGUCAAAUCUACAAAUCCGGAGAAGAUUUCAAGAUUGUGUGAUUAAGAUGUCGUUCGUUUCAUAUACGUGCGGCUGCUUAGUUCACUUUUGCGGGUUGAUUCCUAAACCUUGGUCGUAUUUGGGCAUUAUUGGGAUCCGGUGUCAAUUCCUGUGGGUUCGAUUGUAACCUUGCUAACUGGGUUUGCAUCAUUCGGUAUUAGAGCUAAGGCACCAAGAUCAAGGUUAUAUCCCUUUUAAUUCUUGUUGAGUCAGUUGUUCUUUUCUUAUUGUUCUUCGAGUCAGUCCAUAGUUUCAAGUCUUUAAUUCAAAAAGUUACCAAAAAAAAUUCGAAAGUUGGCUUUGAAUUCCAUUUGCUUCCAAAUCAACUUUCGUUCGUAAAGAAAGGAAUGAAUUCCCACAAUUGAUACUAUUGCAGAUCCACCGACGAAGAGUUGUCACAGUAUAAACAUGAUCGGCAUGUAGAUUCUUAUGAUAUUAGAUACAUAAGUGAUUAGAUCUAGUGCAAGUGGAAGUUUGUAAGUGUUAUAGCUUAGAUCCAAUUAACCUUGGAUAAAGACACUUUUAAUAUAAAAUUGACACAAUUUUAUGGCAAGUCUAUUAUUUAUUUAAUAUUGAAUAUUAAAUUAAAUAAUAUAGUUCGUAUAUUCAAAUCUCAAUAAUUUGUUAAUCACAAGGAGUUGUGAUUAUAAUAUACAAAUUACAUAUGAUUGAAUUUUAAAUCAUCAGUGGUCGUAAAUAAUAAUGAGAUACAGACAUUAUUAUUAUAGAUACACCAUCACAUGUGGCAUUUCUUACUUGUGAAGUAAGUUGUUGAUCUCACAAGCUAAAAAGUGGUGAAACUUAAAUAAACACGUGGAUAUUUUGUUAUAGAACAAAACAUUAGAGACCCGUUGGGAUAUUCCACAUUGAUAACUAUCUGAAUAUCAGUAUUUAAUCUCUAACGUUCGAUAGUGGAAUUGGUCCUUCGACUUGAGGUUAUCAUAGUACCUUAUAUGAGGACAGUCAUACUUUGACAAUGUUAGAUGUUGCUAUGCCAAAGGUCACUAAUACGGUAACGUUCAGGUAUGUUAAGAAUCAUAUGAAACUUGUGAAUGACCGAUCGAGGAUUCGUCACUCUUAAAUAGUAAGAGAUUAUGAUUUGCAUUUCAUCCAAUUGGGUCGAUAACAAAAUCAUUGGCCAAGGUUUACUCAUAAAUCGAAAAUGAGUUUUCGACUUGUAUUGACUUAAUAGUUGAGUGAAAGAUAUGAUUGAUAAUCGAGAUUGACACAUUUUCAUAUCUUGUAAUUAAUCGGAUCAUAUUGACAAAUGGAUUAUAGUUUCAUGAUAAACGAAUAAGUUUGGUUAUGUCAACCACAUGAUAGUUUUCGUCACAUGUAUUGUCCUAAUACAUUGCUAGAUGUCACUUUGGGAAAGUGUGUGUGAAUUUGUGAUAAAUUAAAAAUGGUGUUUUAAUUUAUCGAUUUUGAUUUGAUCAAAAUAAUAAUUCACGUCGUUAGGCGUCGUGAUUGGGAACCUGAUGGGUUAUACACAAAAGGAGAACUGAAAGAUUGUAUUUUACCAAUUAAUUAAUUUAACAAGCGUUGGAUAAAUUUAUUAAUUGGGUUACUUAUUUAUUGGUCCGAAUUAAUUGGAUUAAUUAGUUCAUGGACCUGAUUUAAUUAAGUGGGUUAAUUAAAUCUUGAACCAAUUUAGGAGACGGGCUAAGCCUGUUUGGGCUUGUAUAAAUAAGUGGAUAGGGUUUUGGAUCUGUAGAGAUUUUAUUAUUCUUGCUAACACAAGAAAACCCUAGUUCUCACAAUCUGUUUCUCUAUGUGGAUUUCCAUUAGAGGUUGUACAAUUGGACAGCAGUGGGAGGCAAAUCAAGAUUGUUGGAACAAAAGGAAAAGCAAAAGUUUGUAGAAUUCUUCAAACUUAUAAUUUCUAUCACAAUUUCUAUCUAAAUACAAAGAGAUCCUUGAUAAAAAUUGAAAUCUAUAUUAAUUUCUGCCGUGCAUAUUUAAGUAAAUUCCCAACAUUAUGUUCUGGCAAGCAUGUGUUGACAAUAAUUUUUUCGCAACUAAUUUUGGCAAACAUCUGGACCACAGCAAUUGCAGUCAACGCAGAAUUUUGGUUCACAAUUGGAACAUGAUCUUACUCUCACCAAUUUUAUCAGGCUUGGAAUUUUUCCUAGCACUUGAACUAUACAUCUACUCUUACAAACUUAAAACUAAUUUACGUAAAAAACAUAUCUUCAUAAACAUAAUUGCAAGAGAUCACUGUAGAUUCUACUGUACUAAAUCAUUUCCAAUAAGUCGGCAUAGAUUAUUUAUUUAUUUUGGUAAAUAGCUUGUUUUCAUUUCUACUGCCCUAUUGGUCAUCAUCAAUUUCAUACACGAUUCUUAUUGUUGCUUCACAAACUCAUUAAGUCGUCCAGCAAUUCAAUUAAAUUAGGGUUGAGAUGCUCUUAAUUAUGAUAACUUUGCAUCAAAUAGGACUUCCCUAACAAAAUUUGUAACUUAGGGGUAGGCAGAACCCAUUCGUUCGAUUUUCCUCAUUAUCAAAUCAAACCAAACCAAACUUAUUUUACACAAGGAACCACUUGGUGGUUCCAUAAAACAGGAAUUAUACUUUUGAUUUUGUCUUUUAAUUCUAAGAAAUUCGUUACCUUCAUAAUCAUCAGAUCUUUCAUUUGGUUGAUCAAGAAAUUCAAGAUCUAUAGAUGAAUCAAAUAUGGUUAUUGCAAUAAUCAAAUCAUGUGGCUUAGUCUUCCAAAUCAGCACGUAAUCUCCUUUUCUCUCUGUGAUGGGAUGUAGAAGAGAACGAACAAAAUAAAAUCUCUCUAUGUGUGAUUCGGGGACCAUAAUUGUACUUAUAUACUAAUCUCUUUUGACCUAAUUCGGCCCAUCAUAAAAUUAGGAACUUGGGCCUAGUCUAUACACAUAUAGAACCCACACUUUAAUUGGACGCAUUACAGUCCAAAAUCGAAGCCUUAUUAAAUAACUUUAAAUGGCCUAAACCAAAUUCGAUAGCCUUUAAUUUAAUACGCCCUUUUCUUUAGAAAUUUCAGAUUCAAAGUACUUCAUGUUAAUGAAAGAAAAAAAAAGGCGAAGUAACUUUAUGUAGGAGUAUAAUAGUUUGGGCGAUAAAACAUGGCUAAAGGAGGUGAAAUUCGGUUUUCACAAUACCAUAAUAUGGUUUGUAAAACAUAAAGGGACGGUUUCUUUAUUUCUCCUAGGGAGUGGCCGUGUAGUUUCAUUUCAAGAAAUGGUAGCAAUUUCUUUUAUCAAGAAAUGGUAGCAGUUAUUGUUUUUAAAUUUUAAAUGAAAGUGACGGUUGGCAUGGAACUUGUAAAUUGAUUUUCAAAUGGAAGUUCACAAAAAAGGUAUUGGUUUGUGGAUAAUUACACACUAAUGGCAGUUUUAAUUUAAAUUCUAAGUGAAGUGGCGGUGGUAGUAGUAUUAAAAAAAAUGGAGGUUACACUUGAGGAAAUGGGAGUGGUUGUUGUAUUUCAAAAUUGGAGGUUAUACAAGUGAGUGGGGAGGUAAAAAUUUUAAAAUGUUUACUUUCAAAUGGAUGUUGAGAAGAACGUACAGCAGCUUCCAAAUCUCAAUAGCAAUUGAUGAUUAUGGUGGUUACAAUUAACUUUCAUCCGACAAAAUGGGCAGUUGACGAAAAUGGAAUUUAAAAUGGUAAGUUGAAUAUUAUGUGUAGAAAUGUGGAAGCUCCUCAACAUUCAAGUCGCUCGAAUAUUUUGAGAUAUACCUCAACAGUGAGUAGUCCUAAAUGAAUGUUUACCAAAACAAAAACACAAGUUUUUGCAAUGUUGUAACACCAUGUAUAGGGGCAAACACCUGCCAAGUGCUGAAAGGUCAAGGAAAUUAGUGACCUAAUGACCUUGAAGCAGGUGAUUGAAGGACGUGAAGGAUGACCGUAACUACAACGGUCUAAGGUAGCACAAUUUCUAGUCAGUUAUGUUUCGAGCAUGAAGCAAUCACUUGGAUGCAAUUAUAGACACAUCAGUUACCCUCCUUAUUUGGUGCAGAAUGUUACGCCUAUUUGGACGAAAUUUCACUUAGUAGGGUGAAAGGGAAAUUCAUCCUCAACAAAAAUGAUAAUGUUUACUUCUUGCCAUUUAAACUGUUCCUUCAAGAGGGUUCAAACGCCAAGUUAUGAAAUUUCAAUCUCAAAUCAUUUUUUCAUAGCUUAGCCACUGAAAGUAAUAGAGCAUCGUCUUGCCUGAUCAACGUAGUAUAAAUAUGCAUAUGGACUCCGUUUAUUUCGAAAACUGUUAAAUGAGCCACAGCAGAAUAAAUAAAACCAGGAGAGUGGUUCUGAUGAACAAGUACCAAAGAUCUCUAACAACUGCCAUUCCAACAAAUGAGAAGUAAAAGCCCAAUAUAAAGGUAUACAGCUCAACAAAUUUUGUAUCAAGACAAGCAACCUAAUCACUUUAUCUCUAUGAAAGCAAUCCUCUACAAUGUAACCCAAAUCUCUUAUCAAAUAUUUUUAAGAAUCUGUUUGACCACCGCCAGCCAUGCAGGCUGACCGAGCUUGCUGUUUUACAGCUUCUUGGUUGAGCGAGGCCUCUGGAAAAUUAACUAAAAAUUGUGAUGCCGGUUCAAUUUUCAAUCCUUCACAACUGAAUAAUAUUCUCAGCAAACAAUUGAAUAGCUUAAACAAAUGCAUCAUUAACAAAAUUCUGAAGAAUUUCAUCUAGAUUAAUAGGUCUAAACUACAUUUUCAUAUCUAGCAUAAUACAGAUGCAUAUUUUCCAUUGAAAGAAUCAUAAUGAUGCAUGUUUAAGUAAAUUGGACAAUUUGAUAGCUGUAGGCAGGAGUUGAUCCAAUGUGGGGGUAGUGAGGUCAGCUGCCCCCACACUAAAUAUGGAAAAUCAAAUUUUACCCCGUAGGUUUUUCAAAUUUUCCAAAAAAGUCCUUGUAUUAUUUAAUUUUUGACCCCACAAUUAUUAUUAUUAUUUUUUUUUUAUUUUUUUUUUGUAAUUUGCUCCCACAUGACUUCUCGGCUGGCUCCGUCUCUGUAUCAAGGUUGCUGAAAUAAAAGGAAAAGCAAAGUGGGAGGUGGCAGCAAGGCAAAGCUGCUGGGUGUUUCCACGGAUGGUGAACGUCGUCGCUACGGGGCAGUGCAUGCUGCUGUAAAAUAGUAGCGUGAGGCACUGCUUGUGUGCGAUCGGAAGCCGCGGCUUUAUGACGGCGACGAUGCCUUGACUUGCGAUGUCAGAAAUGGCACCGAUUGAUGCCGAUGCCUCUCAAAAGGUGAAAUAGUUUUAGGGAAGUUCUUCUGGGGUUUCUUCAGAGUCGGGUGAGAGAAUAUUUGGGGACGGGGGCUCUUGAUGUAAUUUCAUAGAUCCGGGCCCCUAUGUGCAAUUUUUAUUCAAGGUCCAUGUGGAAAUUUUAAAUAGAUGGUUGCCUUGCAAUUUGUGAAAUUGAGGGGCCAGUUAAUAAUUUUUAAGUGGGUCAAAUCGCAAUUUUCAAAAUGAAUUUUGAAUUUUAAGUAUUAAAAUGGUUUUAAAUUUAUUGCCAAAUGGGUUUUGACCUAUAUUAUCAAUUUUGACCCAAAUUAAAAUUUUAUUUAAAAAUUGACGACUUUUUAUAUUUUCGUUAAAAUAUAAUUUUUUUUAAAAUUGAAUUUGAUCCUAAAUUGAUUUUUUUUUUAAUUUGGGAGUUUUAUCCUGAAUUAAAAUAUUAAUUCAAUUUUAAUUAGAGUUGAACUCUAAUUUUGUAUUUGAUUUUAAUCAAUUAUUCACCAUGAUAUAUUCUUGAAGUUAGAAUUGGAUUCUAAUUUGUCAUUUAAUUAAAUUUUGAUUUUAAUUAAAUUGCCUUACCCUAAUUUUUUUUUUAAAAAUUAGAGUUGGAUUCUAAUAUGGUGUAUAAUUAAAAUUUGAUUUUAAUUAAAUAAUUUUUCCCUAAAAUCUUGGAAUUAGAGUUGGACUCUAAUUUUGAUAUUUAAUUAAAAUUUGAUUUUAAUUAAAUUCAACUGCCUUAAGUUUUGAAAUUAGAGUUGGACUCUAAUUUGUAAAAUAUUUUGCACAUAAGGUCCUUAAAAAAUGUAUGGCCACGUGUUUCGAUCCUUAAGUUUGAAUUAGAAUCAUUUUGGUACCUGAAGUGACCAUUUGUGAAAGUUUUAAAAACUUCAAUGACCAUUAGUGAAACCGCCCGAAACUUAAGUGACCGUUUAUGAAAAUUUUAAAUUUCAGUGAUCGUUUUGUAAUUUUUUGUUAAGUUCAGUGACCGUUUGUGAAAUUAACCCAUUAAAUAAUCCCCCACCCUAUAACUGUGGAAUUGACUCUAAUUCGAUAUUUAAAUAAAAUUUGAUUUUAAUUAAAUAUACUCGCUAAUUAAAGUAAUUGAUUAAUAUGAUUAAUUAAUUAUUUAAUUGUUCCGAUUCAUUUGUCUAAAUAGUUUAGACGACCUUAAUUACUAGAAACUUGAAACACGUUCGCAUAUAAUAUUAGAUAUUAUAUAGGAAUACAUUUAUGUGAUAAAUGUAUUAUUAGUGAAUGAUUAUGGAUUUGACUAUGUAAAUGUGUUGAAUGGUUAAUUUUAUUCUUGUCAUUUUAUGGGCAUGCGAGCUUUUAAUUAUUUUGGACCUGCAAGUCCGUUAUUAUUGUUAUUAUUAUGGGUCUGCGAGCUUUUGAUUAUUUUGGACUUGGGAGUCCAAUUACAUUUAGGCCUGCGUGCCAACUAGUUUUCGUUAUGAUUCAAAAAGACUAGAUAGUAAAAGUCCAUAAUCGUCCACACCAUUAUAAAAUAUAUAUGUUUAUUUACAUGAUAGAUAUAUAAUAAAAUAUAUAUGAUUGUUACAAUGAGACAUUUGAAUGUAAAACCCCUCAAUAAAAUAUUAAGUCACAUUUAUAUUCGCCUUCCAUCAUUAUAAUGAAAAAUCCGAGUCCUCAAUCGAUCACAAGGCCGGUCUAUUAUGAAUAUGUUUGACACUAUGAAUUAUUAGAUAUUUUUGAAUGAUGGGUUCGACUUAACGAAGAUUUAUCUUUUGUAGAGUACACUCAAGGAGAUAAAUUGUAAAGACAUGUUAAGCUAAUACAUAAGAUGUGUGAAGACAAUGAGUUGUCAGCUUAAUAAUUUGGGAGUUGCAUGGAGAUACAAUUGAUAAUAGUAUCUACCCAAAUUUAUAUUAAGAUUUAUUGAGUACACUCAAGGUGUCAAGGACCGCAGCUUUACUUAGCCCCUUGACACUAUCGCAGCCGCAGUUUGCCCAACUUCGGCCGCACAUUGUAAAUAUUACUUCAAGUUUGAGUUGUAAUUUUCGUUUCAUUGUAAUAGUUAUUUUAAUUGUAAAAUAGCUCUGAUAUUGGUAAAAGAUUAGUAUGAUUCCUCGGCUUUUAAACGUCUACUCCCGUCACUUGGGUUUUUGUUCAGAAUGCUAUUAUAGGGGGUAUUAGUCAUUCAAAAAUCUUUCAAGCUCACUGGUGUCCGCCCCCUGCACCAGCAUUUGUAAUUUUCUGUUUUCAUCAAUUGUAAUGUUCAGUUUUCAGCAAUCAAUGUUCAAUUUACUUUCAAUGUAUUCAAAUUCUCAAUUGUAAGCUUUCUACAAAAUUGCAAUCAAAUUUUCUUUCGUCCCGACGCGACCGAGAAAAGGCGGAAGGUAGUCUAGCGGAGCAGACUACUGCCGCACGGUGUCCCUUUCUGUGCCAAGAAGAAAGGCACCCCGUGAAAGUUGGUAUCAGAGCUGCGGCUCAAGACCCUCGAUAAGAAAGCUAUGGAUCCAAUUACAUCACACACCACUGAAGUGGUAGAGCCUCACAAGAAGGGUACUACGAAACAGCGCGUGGAUGCGCUUGAUGAGACAGCUACUAGGUUGUGCUAUGCUGUGGAAGGUCUCGAGGAAAAAGUCGAGAUGGCCGAAUCUGAGAUUCGUGGAUUACACAUCCAAUUGGAUGAAAGCCAAAGAGCUUGCGCAGUAAUGACGGAAGCUGCUGCAAUCAUUCCUGAUCUGCAGGAUGAAAUGGAAGCGUUGAGAGCUCAAUUGCGAGUACUCCAACGUGCGGUGGGCAAUGGGCAAGCUCCCGCACACGAGUAUGCUCCUAGACUCAGAAUUCCUGAACCGUGUANNNNNNNNNNNNNNNNNNNNNNNNNNNNNNNNNNNNNNNNNNNNNNNNNNNNNNNNNNNNNNNNNNNNNNNNNNNNNNNNNNNNNNNNNNNNNNNNNNNNNNNNNNNNNNNNNNNNNNNNNNNNNNNNNNNNNNNNNNNNNNNNNNNNNNNNNNNNNNNNNNNNNNNNNNNNNNNNNNNNNNNNNNNNNNNNNNNNNNNNNNNNNNNNNNNNNNNNNNNNNNNNNNNNNNNNNNNNNNNNNNNNNNNNNNNNNNNNNNNNNNNNNNNNNNNNNNNNNNNNNNNNNNNNNNNNNNNNNNNNNNNNNNNNNNNNNNNNNNNNNNNNNNNNNNNNNNNNNNNNNNNNNNNNNNNNNNNNNNNNNNNNNNNNNNNNNNNNNNNNNNNNNNNNNNNNNNNNNNNNNNNNNNNNNNNNNNNNNNNNNNNNNNNNNNNNNNNNNNNNNNNNNNNNNNNNNNNNNNNNNNNNNNNNNNNNNNNNNNNNNNNNNNNNNNNNNNNNNNNNNNNNNNNNNNNNNNNNNNNNNNNNNNNNNNNNNNNNNNNNNNNNNNNNNNNNNNNNNNNNNNNNNNNNNNNNNNNNNNNNNNNNNNNNNNNNNNNNNNNNNNNNNNNNNNNNNNNNNNNNNNNNNNNNNNNNNNNNNNNNNNNNNNNNNNNNNNNNNNNNNNNNNNNNNNNNNNNNNNNNNNNNNNNNNNNNNNNNNNNNNNNNNNNNNNNNNNNNNNNNNNNNNNNNNNNNNNNNNNNNNNNNNNNNNNNNNNNNNNNNNNNNNNNNNNNNNNNNNNNNNNNNNNNNNNNNNNNNNNNNNNNNNNNNNNNNNNNNNNNNNNNNNNNNNNNNNNNNNNNNNNNNNNNNNNNNNNNNNNNNNNNNNNNNNNNNNNNNNNNNNNNNNNNNNNNNNNNNNNNNNNNNNNNNNNNNNNNNNNNNNNNNNNNNNNNNNNNNNNNNNNNNNNNNNNNNNNNNNNNNNNNNNNNNNNNNNNNNNNNNNNNNNNNNNNNNNNNNNNNNNNNNNNNNNNNNNNNNNNNNNNNNNNNNNNNNNNNNNNNNNNNNNNNNNNNNNNNNNNNNNNNNNNNNNNNNNNNNNNNNNNNNNNNNNNNNNNNNNNNNNNNNNNNNNNNNNNNNNNNNNNNNNNNNNNNNNNNNNNNNNNNNNNNNNNNNNNNNNNNNNNNNNNNNNNNNNNNNNNNNNNNNNNNNNNNNNNNNNNNNNNNNNNNNNNNNNNNNNNNNNNNNNNNNNNNNNNNNNNNNNNNNNNNNNNNNNNNNNNNNNNNNNNNNNNNNNNNNNNNNNNNNNNNNNNNNNNNNNNNNNNNNNNNNNNNNNNNNNNNNNNNNNNNNNNNNNNNNNNNNNNNNNNNNNNNNNNNNNNNNNNNNNNNNNNNNNNNNNNNNNNNNNNNNNNNNNNNNNNNNNNNNNNNNNNNNNNNNNNNNNNNNNNNNNNNNNNNNNNNNNNNNNNNNNNNNNNNNNNNNNNNNNNNNNNNNNNNNNNNNNNNNNNNNNNNNNNNNNNNNNNNNNNNNNNNNNNNNNNNNNNNNNNNNNNNNNNNNNNNNNNNNNNNNNNNNNNNNNNNNNNNNNNNNNNNNNNNNNNNNNNNNNNNNNNNNNNNNNNNNNNNNNNNNNNNNNNNNNNNNNNNNNNNNNNNNNNNNNNNNNNNNNNNNNNNNNNNNNNNNNNNNNNNNNNNNNNNNNNNNNNNNNNNNNNNNNNNNNNNNNNNNNNNNNNNNNNNNNNNNNNNNNNNNNNNNNNNNNNNNNNNNNNNNNNNNNNNNNNNNNNNNNNNNNNNNNNNNNNNNNNNNNNNNNNNNNNNNNNNNNNNNNNNNNNNNNNNNNNNNNNNNNNNNNNNNNNNNNNNNNNNNNNNNNNNNNNNNNNNNNNNNNNNNNNNNNNNNNNNNNNNNNNNNNNNNNNNNNNNNNNNNNNNNNNNNNNNNNNNNNNNNNNNNNNNNNNNNNNNNNNNNNNNNNNNNNNNNNNNNNNNNNNNNNNNNNNNNNNNNNNNNNNNNNNNNNNNNNNNNNNNNNNNNNNNNNNNNNNNNNNNNNNNNNNNNNNNNNNNNNNNNNNNNNNNNNNNNNNNNNNNNNNNNNNNNNNNNNNNNNNNNNNNNNNNNNNNNNNNNNNNNNNNNNNNNNNNNNNNNNNNNNNNNNNNNNNNNNNNNNNNNNNNNNNNNNNNNNNNNNNNNNNNNNNNNNNNNNNNNNNNNNNNNNNNNNNNNNNNNNNNNNNNNNNNNNNNNNNNNNNNNNNNNNNNNNNNNNNNNNNNNNNNNNNNNNNNNNNNNNNNNNNNNNNNNNNNNNNNNNNNNNNNNNNNNNNNNNNNNNNNNNNNNNNNNNNNNNNNNNNNNNNNNNNNNNNNNNNNNNNNNNNNNNNNNNNNNNNNNNNNNNNNNNNNNNNNNNNNNNNNNNNNNNNNNNNNNNNNNNNNNNNNNNNNNNNNNNNNNNNNNNNNNNNNNNNNNNNNNNNNNNNNNNNNNNNNNNNNNNNNNNNNNNNNNNNNNNNNNNNNNNNNNNNNNNNNNNNNNNNNNNNNNNNNNNNNNNNNNNNNNNNNNNNNNNNNNNNNNNNNNNNNNNNNNNNNNNNNNNNNNNNNNNNNNNNNNNNNNNNNNNNNNNNNNNNNNNNNNNNNNNNNNNNNNNNNNNNNNNNNNNNNNNNNNNNNNNNNNNNNNNNNNNNNNNNNNNNNNNNNNNNNNNNNNNNNNNNNNNNNNNNNNNNNNNNNNNNNNNNNNNNNNNNNNNNNNNNNNNNNNNNNNNNNNNNNGUGCACUACUACAACGUGCAUACUACUGGCCUCAAAUGCGGGAUGACAUUGCAACAUAUGUAAAAACUUGUCUUAUUUGUCAGCAAGAUAAGGCAGAUCAUCAGAAAAAGGCGGGCUUGCUGGAGCCCCUUUCCGUUCCAUCCCGGCCAUUUGAAAGUGUAUCGAUGGACUACAUUAUUGGGUUGCCAAAAGUUGAGGAUUUUGGCACUAUCAUUGUCGUGGUGGACCGUCUAUCAAAAUAUGCAACUUUCAUUGCAGCGCCUAAGUAUGUAUCUGCGGAAGAGACAGCUCAACUCUUCUUCAAACAUAUUGUCAAAUACUGGGGGCUGCCUAAGGACAUCGUCAGUGAUCGAGAUCCUCGUUUCACUGGCAUAUUUUGGACUGAGUUGUUCAAACUUCUUGGUUCAACUUUGAGCAUGAGUUCCAGUUUUCACCCACAAUCUGACGGACAGACGGAAGCGCUUCAAUUCUAUGCUAGAAGAAUAUCUUCGGCACUUUAUCUCUACUUCGCAGAAAAACUGGGUAAAACUUUUGGAUGCGGCCCAAAUUUGCUUCAAUGCCCAAAAGAGCUCUUCCACCAAUAAGAGUCCUUUUGAGAUUGUUACUGGCCAGCAACCGCUACUCCCUCAUACAGUGGAUAUUGAACGAAGUACCAAGUCCCCUCAAGCAAAGAGUUUUUUCUCAAGAGUGGAAACGAAAUAUUGAAAUUGCUCGGAGUUAUCUUUUCUCAAAAACGGUAUAAAAAGGCUGCAGAUCUAAAGCGUCGUUUUAUUGAAUUCAAUGUUGGAGAUCUGGUAAUGGUUAAGCUUUUCGACAGAAUUGUUUACAAGCCAACAAGAGGGAAGGACUCAAGGUUGUCACCAAAAUACAUUGGACCAUUACCCAUUGUGAAGAGGAUUGGAAGAGUUGCAUACAGAGUUGAACUCCCUUCAUGGUGUAAAAUCCACAAGGUCCUUCAUGUUAGUGUGUUGAAGCCAUACUUUUCAGAUAAGGAGGACGCAUCUAGAAAUGAGCCAAAGCGACCUGUAUUUGAACUGAAGAAAGCUGGAAAGAAGGUUGCUGAAGCUAUUCUUGACCAUCGAAUCACUCGGGCUUCUAGAAAAGAUCAUCAGGAGUACUUGGUCAAAUGGAUGGGAUGCAGCAGCGAGGAGAAUACUUGGGAAAGAGAAAAAGAUCUCGGGGCCUUCAAAUCAUUAAUUGAAGAGUAUCAUGCAUUGAUGGCACCGAGGACGUCGCCAAAACAAAUGGGGGAGAAUGUCAAGGACCGCAGCUUUACUUAGCCCCUUGACACUAUCGCAGCCGCAGUUUGCCCAACUUCGGCCGCACAUUGUAAAUAUUACUUCAAGUUUGAGUUGUAAUUUUCGUUUCAUUGUAAUAGUUAUUUUAAUUGUAAAAUAGCUUUGAUAUUGGUAAAAGAUUAGUAUGAUUCCUCGGCUUUUAAACGUCUACUCCCGUCACUUGGGUUUUUGUUCAGAAUGCUAUUAUAGGGGGUAUUAGUCAUUCAAAAAUCUUUCAAGCUCACUGGUGUCCGCCCCCUGCACCAGCAUUUGUAAUUUUCUGCUUUCAUCAAUUGUAAUGUUCAGUUUUCAGCAAUCAAUGUUCAAUUUACUUUCAAUGUAUUCAAAUUCUCAAUUGUAAGCUUUCUACAAAAUUGCAAUCAAAUUUUCUUUCGUCCCGACGCGACCGAGAAAAGGCGGAAGGUAGUCUAGCGGAGCAGACUACUGCCGCACGGUGUCCCUUUCUGUGCCAAGAAGAAAGGCACCCCGUGAAACAAGGUCUUGAUAUAACAGAUGGAAUCCAAGCCCGUUGAGAAUCAAGUAUAGAUUCCAUAAAUUUAUGCGAGAGGGUCAUAAAUUUGAGUUAAAUAGUGGGAGUAUAAUUAAUUUAAUAAAAGUUCAUAUUAAAUUAUUUGAUGCAUUUUUAUAUAUUAUUCAUUUUCUUUUCAUCAUUUAUAUUGAAUAUUGAGUAACCAUAUAUAUUUAAGAGGCAUAUGGAUGCCAACAACCAAACCAAAAUUUAUUGAUUGGCACCGCAAUCUGAGAAUUAUUCUCAGGCAUGAGAAAAUUGGCUAUGUCCUUGAGUAGCCAUUUUCAGAAACAUCUACUGAUUGACUCGAUUAAGAAAGAGCUGGCUGCUAUAAUAAAUACAAUGAUGACACUAGUACUGAUUAUGCCCAAAGAAUAAUACGGUGAAUGUAGUACAGUUUUGGGGUGUCGAUUCCAAAGAGAGAUGGAAAAAUCACUCAAAGGAUAAAAAAAAAAAAAAAGGUUGAUUGUCCUCUUGAAAUAUGUAGGAGAAUUAUAGUCUGAAUGAAUUUUAAGAUCAAAGGAUUAAAUGAUAAAAUUGAAGCCAAUAUUUAGGAUAGUGAAGCGCCGGAAUUUCCUCAAUUGGAUUGGCUCAAUCAAUAUCAAUAAUUCAUGCUUUUUACUCAAUUAGAGGUUUUCUUCCCAACUCUUUAAUCAGAAGAUUUAACAAUAAAGUCCAAUUUAAUUCCAAUUGUAUUUCUAGAAUUUAGAUUUUCUAUAACACAUUCGUACAUUUUUAUUGGAACAAGAUCAAAGAUCGACCAUAUACAUCAAGCAUAAGGCAGUAAUCAAUCCACCAAUAAAAUAAUAUUAAGAUUAAAAUUUAACAAUUAUUUCAAUCAUUCGAUAGAAAGAGCAUGACUAGAUCUAUGAAGGAUUUGAUAAAAGUUAAAACAAUCUCAACAAUAAGUAAUUGAAAUUGAAACUCAACAAAUAGUUUAAUUUAACAAUGGAAAAAGCAUGACUAAAUUCAUGAAAAAUCCAGUAAAAGUUAAACCAAUUUCAAUACCAAUUCAUAAAGAGAACAUCCAAAUCUAGAAACUACUAAGCAAAGAAAGUUCGAAUUACAUGAAAUCUCAAAAUCCAAUGAGUUCUUUCGUGACUUCACCAAAGAUUUCAGUUCUUCAUAGAGUUUCUUGUGCCCAAAAUGAGAGAAAAGUGUAUGGAGGCCUUUUCUGGUAUUUUAGGGUGAUUUAGGGCUUAAAAAUCAUGAGAUAUUAAAUUACCAUAAGGGUGGGAUCAAUUUUGGAAACUAGAAGAUUCGGCCAAAAUUUGUUUUGUGCAACUACUUUCGGUAUUUUGGUAUUAACUUUCUCUCCCGAUGUCCAAUUAAGAUGAUUCAAAGUGUUUUGGAAAGCUAACACAAAGGGAUACAAUUUUACUGAAUAGCUCUUUCCAAACUUGAAAUUUUAAUAAGUCGAAAGUGGAUCCCAAUCUCCAGUUGAAAAUCUGGAAAAUCCUUAUGCGACUGGAUUUUGAUUUGUAAAAAUAUUAUUGUCAUAUUUAACUUCUUUUGACUUCUAAUUGUACCCAAUGUACUCUUAACUUUCUCAAAUCAUCAUUCCAUCGCAGUCUCAUCUUUGGAUUAUUUGUAGCUUGGUCCUGAACUUUCACUUUCUUCUAUUUUAGUCCUUUUUUGUUCUUUUCUUCUAAAUUCCGCCAUAUUCUUCCAUUUGCACCCUAAAUCAAAAUAUAAGGGUACUUAGUGCAUUUAGGCGUCAAUAUGUCAUGCAAAUAAAAGUAUAAAUGGAUGAGAACAUGACAAAUUUUGCUAUUAUCAAGUAUUGCAACGUAUGUAAUACUUGUAUCUACGUCACUUGAGUUACAGAAGCAACAUGAGAGUGUAGAUGCUAGCACAUAAUUUUUCAUUUCAAAAGAGUUGUGUGAUAAUAAUUAUGUGUGGAAGGAUAUGAGACUUCCAAGCAACUACACUGGCUCAAAAUGAUGGAGGAAUUUUCAGUGAGUGCUCAUAUAUCGAAGAUAAUUGACAUUGAGAAGUUGUAUCAAUUGAGUUCAAUCAUGAACUAUGAACUAAGUAUUGACUUGAUUCUGCAAACUUUGUCGGAAAGUUAUUCAUACUAAUUAUGAAUUAUGAUAUGAAUAAGCUCGAAUGCACACUCAUUGAGUUGCUUAACAUGCUUAAGGCUGUUAAGCCCAGUAUCAAAGUUAGUAAUGGGCAAGCCAUUGAUUCCUCUAAAGGUAUUAAAAAGAAGUCUAAAGAGGCUUUGAGAAAGAACUCAAUAUAGUUAAGACUAUCAAAGCGAAGGAUAAUACCAAAUCUAAUGACUCUUGUCUUCAUUAUAGAAUGAAAGGUCAUUGGAAGAAAUAUUGCAAGGCUUAUGUCUACUUCAUUAGCUUCUCAGGUAUUAGUUACUAGAUGUACAUCUCAUAUAUAUACAAAUAUGGAGAAACUAAAUGGAAGUAUACCACUGUAAAGGAAGAAGUUAACUUGUAUUGUCUGUAGGAGCAUACUUCUUACCAUUGUCUCUAAGUUUAGUAUUGAAUUUAGAGAAAUGUUACCUUGUACCCACCAUAACUGGAACAUUAAGUAAAUUUCAUGUUCAUACAUGAAUUAUUUUAAUGUUAAGGGUAAUUGUUGUUCUGGUUUAUCUUGAUAAAGAUGUUAAUGGUUAUGGUAAAUCACAAAAUGACGUUUAUAUUCUUAAUACUAAGCAUUCUAUAGAAAUUAUAAGGCAUAAAUGCGAUAAUCUAAUUAUUACCUAAAUCUGACAUUGCAGACUUAGUCAUAUCGAUGAAAUGCUAUUCCAAAGUUACAUAGAUAUGUAUACUUGGGGUCAAUUGAUUUUGAAUCAUUUGACGAAUGUGAAUCAUGCCUGUUAGGCACAAUGACCAAAUCUCCUUUCACUUGAAAAUGAGAAAUGUAUGCAUAAUUACUGGCCUAAUACAUAGUGAAGUAUAUGGACGAUUAUUAAUUAAUGACAUAUGAGAUUUCUCUUAUUUCAUUAAAAUUACUGAUGACUAUUUCAGAAAGAGCAAUGCUAUUUGUCCCCACUGGGGCUGAAUCCCCAAUCUAGAUGGCCAGUGGGGAUUGGUUAAAUGAAAGGUGGAAGUAAAUAAGUCAACUUCCACCUUUCAUUUAACAAAUCCAGUCUAGCCACCUAGACUAGGGAUGAAUAUUAUUUUUCUUUCAGAAAUAUUCAUGUAUACUUGACGAAAUUCCAUUGUGAAGCUAUUGAAAGGUUCAAGGGAUUCGAGCUAAAGUAGAGAAACAAUUAGGUAAAGAGAUUCUCACACUAAGAUCCAAUUGAGUGGGAAUAUUUUAAAGAUAAAAUUUUAGAUUAUCUAAAAGAGAAUGAGAUUCUCUUGCCAUGGACUCCUCUACAUACACUGCAACAUAAUGGUGUAUCUGAAAUGAGGAGUUGUAAAUAGAUAUAUUGCGAUUAAUAACAAGUCAUGCAAACCUCCCAAAAUCGUUUUACGGUCAUGCACUGAUUACAGUGCGCUGCACACUAAAUCAUGUCACAUCUAAGUUGGUUAACAAAACUUCAUAUGAGGUAUGGAAAGACAGUGGUCCAAAUUUAUCUCAUGUGAAAAUUUGGAGCUGUGACACUUAAGUGAAGCGUAUUGAAUCGGAUAAGCUUGAGACUGAAUCCAAUAAAUGCAUGUCUAUGGGAUAUCCAAAACAAAUAUUUGGAAAUCAAUUCUAUUAACCUAUUGAGAAGAAAGACUUUGUCUCACGAUAUAUCUUUUUCUUAAAGAAAAUGUUUACUCUAGGAGAGGACAGUGAGAGCAAAAUAGAAUUUGAAAGAGUUCAAGAGUCCACGGAUAUAGUUGAUCAAGUAGAUGAAUCUGAGUUUGAUCCCACAUCUGAUGAGGGACACACUUUUGAUCAGGAAGUAGAGACUCUUGAGGACAUGAAAGCUCCAUUUAAAUCUAAUAAGAUCAUUCGACCUUCAAGAAUGUGCAAAUCCACGAUUACUAAUCAAGCAUUAUUAAUCGAGGAUGAUGAACCUACUAACUACGCAGAAGCAAAGUCAAGUGUUGACUUAAAGAAAUAGCAAGAUGCCAUGUAAUUUGAGAUAAAAUCAAUGCCUGUAAACAAGGUUUGGACCUUGGUCGACCCUCCUGAUGGGAUAAGACCCACAGUUUGUAAAUGGGUUUACAAUAAAAUGGUCAACAUGGAUGAAAAUAUCCAAACAUACGAAGCAAUGCUACUUGAUUAAUUCUUAUAUGGAUUGAGGCAAGCCUCUUGGAGCUGAAAUUUUCAAUUUGAUUGAAAAAUCAAAAGGUUUGAUUUUAUCAAAUAUGAAGAUGAAUUAUGUGUUUACAAGAAAAUAGUGGGAGUAUUAUCACAUUUCUGAUAUUAUAUGUAUAAGACACAUUAUUAAUAGAAAAUGACAUCCCUACAUGUCAAUCAUUGAAAUUAUAGUUGUUAAAGAAUUUUUCAUGAAAGAUAUGGGAUAAGUAACUUGAUCUACAGAGAUAGAUUUAGAAGAUUGUUUAUCUCAUCCCAAUUUACAUAAAUAAAAUCUUGAAAAGAUUUUAUAUAGAGAAAUUGGUUUGCUAUUAAGAGAUGUAUUGGAAAUAUUCCAAACACAAAACAACAGUUGAUUUCAAUGCCGAAAACCUAAUACAUGAAUGUUUCAGAAGUAGCAAAAAGUUGUGGUAUGGAUCAGGAUGUUCAUUAAUGAACUUGAAGUAGUUCAUAACAUUGUUGAUCACAUGCCAUUGUAUUGUGUUAACAAUAAAGUCAUCGCUCAAGUGAAGGAACUAAGAUCUCAUCAAUAAUCCAAAUAUGUAUUAAGAUAGUAUUAUCACAUCAGAGAGAUAAUAUAAAGAAAUGACGUAAAGAAAGGAACGAAUUUUCACAAUUGAUAAUAUUACAGAUCCACCAAUGAAGAGUUGUCGCAAUAUAAACAUGAUCGUCAUGUAGAUGCUUAUGAUAUUAGAUACAUAAGUGAUUGGAUCUAGUGGAAGUGGGAGUUUGUAAGUGUUAUGGUCUAAGUUCAAUCAACAUUGGAUAUAGACGCUUUUAAUAUAAAAUUGAUACAAUUCUAUGCCAGAUCUAUUAUUUAUUUAAUAUUGAAUAUUAAAUUAAAUAAUGUAGUCCGUAGAUUCAAAUCUCAAUAAUUUGUUAAUCAAAAGAAGUUGUGAUUGUGAUAUACAAAUUACAUAUGAUUGAAUCUUUAAUCAUCCGUGGUCGUAAAUAAUAACGAGAUACGAUAUUACGGAUACACCAUCACAUGUGGCAUUUCUUACUUGUGAUGUAAGUAACUGAUCUCACAAGUUAAAGUGUGGUGACACUUAAAUAAACACGUGGAUACUUUGUUAUAGAACAAAACAUUGGAGAUCUGCUGGAAAAUUCCACAUUGAUAACUAUUUGAGUGUUAGUAGCUAAUCUCUAACGUUUGGUAGUGGAAUUGGUAUUUUGAUUUGAAGUUAUCAUAGUGCCUUAUAUGAGGAUAGUCAUACUUUGACGAUGUUGGAUGUUGUUUUGUCAAGGGUAGCUAAUACGGUAUCGUUCGGGUAAGCCAAGAAUCUUAUGAAGAUUGUGAAUGACCAAUAGAUGAUUCAUCACUCUUAGAUAGUAAGAGAUUAUAAUCUGUAUUUCAUCCAGUUGAGUCGAUAACGAAAUCUUUGGCCAAGGUGUACUCAUAAAUCAAAAAGGAGUUUUCGACUUGUAUUGACUUAAUAGUGGAGUGAAACAUAUAAUCGAUAAUUGAGAUUGACAAAUUUUCAUAUCUCAUCGACACGGAUGGGAAUAUCUAUACAUACAAAGGAGGCUACUUGAUCAAUUCUUAUAUGGAUUGCUGAAAUCUUCAAUUUAAUCAAAAAAUCAAAAGGUUUGAUUUUUAUCAAAUAUGAAGACGAAUUAUGUGUUUACAAGAAGAUAGAGGAAGCAUUGUCGUAUUCCUAAUAUUAUAUGUACAAGACAUAUUAUUAAUAGUAAAUGACAUCCCUACAUUUCAAUCGUUAAAAUUAUAGUUGUUAAAGAUUUUUUAUGGAAGAUAUGGGAGAAAUAACUUGAUCUAUAGAGAUAGAUCUAGAAGAUUGAUUAUCCCAUCCCAAUCUACAUAGAUUUUAUAUGGAGAAAUUGGUUUACUCUUAAACGAUGUGUUAGAAAUGUUCCAAACACGAAAUAAACGUUGAUUUAAUAGCGGAAACCUAAUACAUGAAUGCUUCAAAAACAGCAAAAAGUUGCGGUAUGGAUUAGGAUGUUCAUUAAUGAACAUGUCAUCGUAUUGUGUUAACAAUAGAGCUAUCGCGCAAGCGAAGAAACUAAGAUUUCAUCAAUAUUCCAAACAUGUAUUAAGGAAGUAUCAUCACAUCAGAGAGAUAAUACAAAGAAAUGACAUAAAGAAAGGAACGAAUUCCCACAAUUGAUAAUAUUGCAGAACUACCGACGAAGAGUUGUCGCAUUAUAAAUAUGAUUGUCAUGUAGAUGCUUAUGAUAUUAGAUACAUAAGUGAUUAGAUUUAGUGUAAGUGGGAGUUUGUAAGUGUUAUGGUCUAGAUCCAAUCAACCUUGGAUAUAGACACUUUUAAUAUAAAAUUGAUGUAAUUUUAUGACAGAUCUAUUAUUUAUUUAAUAUUGAAUAUUAAAUUAAAUAAUAUAGUCCGUAGAUUCAAAUCUCAAUAAUUUGUUAAUCACAAGGAGUUGUGAUUGUGAUAUAUAAAUUAUAUAUAAUUGAAUCUUAAAUCAUCUGUGAUCGUAAAUAAUAACAAGACACGGAUAUCGUUAUUACAGAUACACCAUCACAUGUAGCAUUUCUUACUUAUGAAGUAGGUAGCUGAUCUCAUAAGUUAAAGUGUAGUGACACUUAAAUAAACAUGUGAAUAUUUUGUUAUAGAACAAAAUAUUAGAGACUUGCUGGGAGAUUCCAUAUUGAUAACUAUCUAAGUAUUAGUGAUUAAUCUAUAACGUUCGGAAGUGAAAUUGGUUUUUUGACUUGAGGUCAUAAUAGUGCCUUAUAUGAGGACAGUCAUGCUUUGACAGUGUUAGAUGUUGCUCUAUCAAGGGCAGCUAAUACUAUAUCGUUAGAGUAUGUCAAGAAUCAUAUGAAGGUUAUAAAUGACCAAUAGAGGACUUGUCACUCUUAGAUAGAUGAGAUUAUGAUCUGCAUUUCAUCCAGUUAGGUCGAUAACGAAAUUUUUGGCCAAAGUGUACUCAUAAAUCGAAAAUGAGUUUUCGAUUUGCAUUGACUUAAUAAUAAAGUGAAAGAUAUGAUCGAUAAUCGAGAUUGACACAUUUUCAUAUCUCGGAAUUGAUCAAAUCAUAUUUAUAAAUGGAUUAUAGUUUCAUGAUAAACAAACAAGUUUGGUUAUGUCAUAUCACGUGACGUUUCUUGUCAUAUGUAUUGUCUGAAACAUUGCUAGAUGUUAAUUUGAGACGGCAAGUGUGAAUUGGUGAUAAAUUAAAAAGGGUGUUAUAAUUUAUCGAUUUUGAUUAGAUCAAAAUAAUAAUUCACGUCGUUAAGUAUCGUGAUUAGGAACUUAAUGGGUCACAUACAAAAGAAGAAUUGGAAUAUUUUGUUUGACCAAUUAAUUAAUUUAACAAGCGUUGGAUAAAUUAAUUAAUUGGGUUACUUAUUUAUUGGCCCGAAUUAAUUGAAUUAAUUAGUUCAUAGACUGGGUUUAAUUAAAUAGGUUAAUUAAAUCUUGGACCGGGGUAGGAGAUGGGCCAAGCUUGUUUGGGCUUAUAUAAAUAGGUGGCUAGGGUUUUGGAUCUGUAGAAAUUUUAUUAUUCUUACUAGCACAAUAAAAUCCACUCACAAUCUGUUUCUCUGUGUGAAUUUUCAUUGGAGACUGGACAAUUGGACAGUUGUAGGAGGUAGAUCAAGGUUGCUGCCUUGCUGGAACAAAAGGAAAAGCAAAAGUUUGUAGAAUUCUUCAAAUGUAUAAUUUUCUAUCACAAUUUCUAUCAAAACACAAAGAGAUCCUUGGUGAGAAUUGAAAUCUAUAUUAAUUUUCACGGUACAUGUUUAAGUAUAUUCCCAACAUUAUGUUCUAGCAAGCAUGUGUUGACAAUAAUUUAUUUGCAACUUAGUCUGGCAAACAUCUGGACCACAAUAAUUUUUUUCUCCAAUUGCAAUCAACAUAGAAUUUUGGUUCACAAUUGGAGCAUGAUCCUACUCUCACCGAUUUUAUCAGGCUUGGAUUUUUUCCUAGCACUUGAGCUAUACAUCUACUCUUACAAACUUAAAACUAAUUUAUGUAAAAAAACAUAUCUUCAUAAACAUUUGCCAGAGAUCACUGUAGAUUCCAUUGUACUAUAUCGUUUCCAAUAAGUCGACAUAGAUUAUUUUUAUGUAUUUUGGUAAAUAGCUCGUUUUCAUUUCUACUGCCAUAUAGGUCAUCAUCAAUUUCAUACACAACUCUUAUUGUUGCUUCGCAAAUUCAUUAAGUCAUCCAACAAUUCAAUUAGAUUAUGGUUGAGAUGCUCUUAAUUAUGAUAACUUCGCUUCAAAUAGGACUUCCCUAACAAUUUGUAACUUAGAGGUGGGCAAUACCCGUUCGUUCGAUUUUCUUCAUUAUCAUACCAAACCAAACCAAACCAAACUUGUUUUACAUAAGGAAUCGCUUGGUGGUUCCAUAAAACAGGAAUUAAACUUCCGAUUUCAUCUUUUAAUUGUAAGAAAUUUGUUACCUUCAUAAUCAUCGGAUCUUUCAUGUUGGAUCAUCAAGGAAUUCAAGAUCUAUAGUGAAAGUAUACCUGAAUCAAACAUGAUUAUUGCAAUAAUCGAAUCGUGUGAUUUAAUCUUUUAAAUCAACACGUAGUCUCCUUUUCUCUCUGUGAUGGGAUGCUGAAGAGAAUGAGCAAAAUAAAAUCUCUCUACGUGUGAUUCGAGGACCAUAAAAAUACUGAUGCCCUUUUGACCUAAUUUGACCCAUCAUGGAAUUCGGAACUUGGGCCAGGUCUCUACACAUAUAGAACCUACACUUUAAUUGGAUACAUUAAAGUCCAAAAUCGAAGCCUUAUUAGAUCACUUUAAAUGGACUCAAUCAAAUUCGAUAGCCUUUAAUUUAAUACACAACAUUUCAUACAUAUAAGCCCACACGAUCGUUUAAAAUUCCUUACAGUCUCCUACUUGGGCUAUAUGUGUCAUCUUUUAAUUGUGCAUUAAAUAUAACCUUAUGAGUAAUUAGAAUUUCGCUAUCAUUACUAAAUGCAUUUCCAAGCAAUCCGGUCCAUCAAUCAUAUCAACAUAGGAUCAAAGCAACUUUCGAUACUUUUAUUGUAAUUAAACCCAUCAAUGAUCACGUAUAUCGAUAUAACUGAAUGACGUGGAUCGAGCAUGAAUAUGUAGCAUGAAAAUUUCAUGGAAUGUGAUCUUAGCAUGCUUAUUUCCAACUGGUCCACCUUAAUUAUUUAGUAAGAUAAUUUUCAAAAAAAGUUCAAAGAGAAUAAACCAAAACUUUAUAACCAAAAAUAACUUUAACUAUAUUCAAAAUGAUAGUAUAUGUGUCUAGCACAAAAAUGCAAACUUCCACUGAAACUUAUCCUCAAGAGACAUUAUAACAAUAUGAGCAGUAUGUUCAUGAAAGACCUUGGGUAUCAAUUCCUUAGUGAGCGGACCGCAAUCAUGGAGUUUUUCCCGAUGUGCUUUAUUGACACCUGUCUACUCUGAACUCUUUCUUUAACAUCCAGGAACUGAUCUCUAUAUCUUUCGACUUCAUCAAGCUCAUGCUAUUAUUGGAAUAUAGCACUGCUGAUUUAUUGUCACAAAAUAUCUUAAGCGGUCUUUCUAUACUUUCCAUAAUGCGCAGCCCAAUGACCAAAUUUCAUAGUCAUAUUCCAUUGUUUGAUGCCUCAUAGCAGUGGAUCUCUUAUUAUCUUGGCAUCCCGCGAAAUCAAAAUUGGAAUAACUGAUGAUUUCCAACUGAUCCGAUCUCCUGUAUGUGAGCAUGCAGUCUUUUAUUCUUUGAAAAUACCAUAUAACCCAUUUGGCUGCUUUCCAAUGAUCCAUUUUCGAAUUACUUAAAUAUUUCUCUAGCAUUCCAACAAUGUACAUUAUAUCCGAACGCAUACAAACCUGAGCAUAUAUUAGACUUCCGAUAGCUGAAGAAUAGAUAAUCUUUUGCAUUUCUUUAAUUUCUAAGUCAUUUUUGGGGCAUUGACUUAAGUUGAAUUUGUUUCCUUUAACCACAGAGGUGUUAGCUGGUUUACAAUCUUGCAUGCCAUAUUUUUUAAGUAUCUUUUUGAUAUAGCUCUUUUAUGAUAACCCAAGAAUAUCCCGAGACCGAUCUCAAUGUAUCUGAAUUCCUAAUACAAAAGAGACAUUACCAAGAUCUUUCAUCUCAAAAUUCCUUACUAGAAAUUACUUGGUUUCAUGCAAUAGUCUUAUGCCGUUGUUGGCAAGUAAUAUGUCAUCGACAUAUAAAACCAGAAAAAUAAACUUGUUCCCAUCGAACUUCUGGUAUAUACAAUCAUUGGCCAUAUUCAUCUCAAAAUCAAAUGAGAUGAUCACUUGAUUAAACUUGUAAUACAAUUGACGAGACCCUUGCUUGAGUCUAUAGAUGGAUUUCUUUAAUUUGUAAAUUAUUUUCUUUGCAUUAUCCGAUAUAAGGUUUUCCAGUUGCGCCAUAUAAAUCAUUUCAUCAAUGUCACCAUUGAGAAAUGCUAUCUUAACAUCCAUCUGUAGUAACUCAAGAUCAAAAUAUGCUACCAAUGCCAUUAUAGUCCUAAAGAGUCUUUCGAAAAAUCGGAGAGAAAGUCUCUUUUAUAAUCGAUGCAUUCUUUCUGUGUAAAACUCUUUGCGAUAAUACGAGCUUUAUACCUCUCAACAUCACCCUUCGAAUCCCUCUUGGUCUUAAAUAUUCAUUCACAACCAAUGAGUUUCGGAACUUCAGGUAAUGGAAUAAGGUCACAUACAGCAUUGUCCUUUAUGGACUUUAUCUAUUCAUUCAUGGCAUCGAGCCACUUUUGAGAUUUAAAACCUUCUAUGGCUUGAUGGAAGUUGAUUAGAUCAUUUUCCACCACUCCAAUGUCAACUUCAUGUUCUUGGAGAAAUACGAUGUAAUCAUCCAGAACCACACCUCUUCUCUCUUUAGUGGAUCUUCUUAAUGGCAUUGGUUCUUAAGGUUGUAGAGUUUGUUCUUCUGGAAUGAUUUGUUAACCUUGAGAGAGAGAUACAAAAACAUUGUCUUGAUCCGGAGUUGCUUCUUGAACAAUAUCAGAGAGACUUGAUCAUUGUCAAUGGAAAUUAGAGGAAAUUUCAACGUAGUCCUUCUCAAAGACAAAGUUGUAACCUUUUCUCCCCCGCAAACUCGACAGUCGACAUCCUCAAAGAAUCGAGCAUUUCCUAUCUCAAAACUUACUUUAAUUGUGGGAUCAUAAAACUUGAAACCCUCAUAGACCUUUUAGAAUAUCCAAUAAAAUAGCAAUUGAUAGUCCUUCUGUCCAGUUUCUUUCCAUUGGCAUAUAAGGUCUUGCCUCAGUUGGGCAUCCCCAAAUGUGUAUGUACCUCAAACUAGGCUUCUUUCCCGUUCCAUUCAAAGUUUAUAAUGGAUUUUAUCUGUAAUACUCCGAAAUUUUAUGCUGAUUUAAAUUUCUUUAAGAUGGCGAUUUAACUUUCAAUACUAUUUUUGGCCAUAAGAAAAGGGGACACCACCUUUGUAGUGGUUAAUGUUAGAGAUAGCUAAUGACUACAAGCAUGAGGUGUUAAAUGUUGCGUAUACAUGAAGUGAUUAUUAGUUAGUCGAAACUUAAGUCAAGUUUGAAAUUGAAUGUGGUCGAUUAUUUUGUUAGGACUUCAAUUAACCAAAUGAUUAAAUUAAUUUACGAUCUACAAUUUUUGGAUAUGUAAGUUGGAUAUAAGUUUAGAUUUGGGAUACAUUUGCUAAUAAUGAAAGAUAGAGGGUUGGAUUAUAUUAGUUGGAAGAUUAGAGAUUUCCUUUGCAAAUAUAGGUCUUUAGGCUACUAAUUACUCAUAAUCAACCCCACUUGUUAUCCAUCACCACCAUACAUUUGGAUCAUAGAUUAAACAAGUGUACAAGUAUAAAAAAAAAAAAAAAAAAGAAGGUCAAAGUCGGCCACAACAAUUAAUAAAAAAUAAAAAUAUCUUUUUAUACUUAUCCUCUUAUACAAGUAUAAAUAUAACCCUAUCCAUGCCAUAGAGAAAGAGAUUUCUUUCAUUUCUACAAAACACUUAUACAUUUGAAAAGAGAGCCAAAAACCGAAAUUUAAGGAAGGAAGAAAAAGAAGUGAGCUUAACACUUUCAACUUACUUUUCAAACAAAGAUCAUCAAGUUUUACGGUAAGAUGCCUUCCAUGCUUAAGAGUUAUGAUUUUCAUGGUAAUAUUUAUGUUUAAACUAUGCAUGAAAAACCACAAUAUGAUUAUGGUGGACAAGUCCACAAAGUUAGAUAUCUAUUUAUGCCUUAGGACAAGUCCGAAGGGCACCGGCAAGCCGGAAUGUGCAAGUAUGGGUUUGAUUGCAUUCUUUGGUAUAGUAUUAUCAUGAUAAAAAUACAAGCAUGGUAUCUUACUGAGUAUUUCUUAUACUCAUAGUAUGUUAUGCUAAAUUUUCAGAUCCAUGAUCGUUGGAUUGAUGGAAGUUAGUUGACAAAACCGAUGAUGGAUUAAGGACAAGGAUGUUUUGGAUCUAAAGUUUCUUUUGUGUAUUUUUGUUCAAUGACUGUUUUCCACCUAUUUCCCUUAAAGUAUUAUGUAAAAUUUUGUACAUGACAUGAUGUAAUAUGGUAUUAAAAGUAAAUUUUGUGAUUAUAUCUUUCAUAUUACAAUAAGAGACGUUUUUAAAAGUUUAUUUUCCUUACGAAAGACAAAAGACAGAAACAGGGCAGUUUCUGGAGUCAAUUUCAAAAUGAUGUUUCUAACUCUAUAAACGUCCAUUUGAGAUUCUAAAAUAUUUCUGUUUUCCUCUUUGAGUUUUCUAAAUAUGGCCGAAGGAAUCACUCAAUUUGGAUAUCUACGACCGGAGUUAUCAAGGUUUUAACGUCAAGGGGUCAAUCUGGAUUUUCUGUGCAACACUUCACUGUUUUCAGUAAAACGUUUAUAUCAUAUAAUCUUGGAAACUUUUCAUAUUUUAACCUAGAAAAAUAAUUGAAAUUAUCUUUCUAAUGCCACAAAUUUCAUGUAAAACGGAUUUGGGGUGAAUUUUAUAAAAAUUGUCAAACUUGUUGCCCCAACUAAUCGUAAUAGUGUUGAGGCCGUAUAUGUAAUAUAUAAUUUCAUGUUGACAUGCACUUUUAUCGGCCAUCAAACUUUAUAAGAAUUGUUUUAUCAAAUUGAAAAAUAAGUUUCUAACAUGUAAUACUUCUAUUUAAGAGUAUUUACAUGUACCAAAGACUGAAGUUAUUAUGUAAAGUACGUGGCCCUCGAAGCUUAAGUCCGGGGCGCUACAUUAUCAGUGGCUUUAGUUGGAACUAUGUUGAGUAUAUACACUGCGGUCUUUAAUACUUCACCCUAGAGAGAUUUUGGUAAGGUAGAAUUCUCACUGGUUAAUUUUUACUUUACCUUACCCCUCGAGUACUUACAUGCAAUGAUUCAUUAAAAGAAGCAAUUGUAUCAAUUAAAUAAAGAUUAUCGGAACCUGACAAAGAACCAGAACCAACCAAUUUUGAAUCAUGAAACAAACUAAAUAUUCGAUUCCCAAAUGAACAACAAUAACCAGAUUUGUCCAAAGCAGAAAUGGAAAUAAAAUUCUGUCUAAAAGGCGGUACAAUAAAUGUUUCAUCAAGAUCCAAAUAAAAUCUAGUCUUUAACAAUAAUCUAAAUUUUUCUAUUGUCUCUAUUUUCAUCGUUUUGUCGUCACCAUCAUAGAUGUAUCUUUCAUCAUCACUUGGUUUUCAACAACUUAGGCAACCUUGCAUAGACACACUGAUGUGAGUUGUUGCACCAGAAUCUGUCUACCAUGUGUGUUUAGGUACUGAUGUUAAAUUAACCUCAGAACAAACCAAAUGAAGAAGAGUACCUUUCUUAGCACGCCAUGCCUGGUAGUUGGUACAAUUCUUCCUCUUAUGACACGCAACCCCACAGAAGAAACAACCACCAUCAGUUUGUUUCUUAUGCUGUUUCUUUUGUGGUGCUGUACCCGUAGCUUCCUUAUUAGUUUUCCAUUUUUGUUCCUUUUAUCAUUAGAGAUGGUGGCUAUUUGAGCACUUUUGUUUUGUCUUAGUUCAGUCUUUCCUCUUCUUUUACACAGUGAGAAAUGAGCUCAUUAAGGGAUCAUGAGUCCUUUUGUCAGUUAUAGCUCAUUUUGAAUUGAUUGAACUGUGCCGGAAGAGAUAUCAAAACCAAGUGCACUAACAAAUCUUUAGAUAAAUUCAACUUGAGUACCCUUAGUUUUGAAGUAAUGUGAGACAUUUCCAUAAUGUACUCUCGUAUGGUUCUUUUUUCGUUAUUCUUCAUUGAGGUAAGGUUUGUCAAAAGUGUACUAGGUUCAGCCUUUUCACUAUUGGCUAACAUCUUCUCAAGAUCCUUAAGGAAACCUUUAGCUGUGGUCACCUCAUCAAACACAGUGCCCCGAAAUGCUGUUGGAAUAGCACGAUUCAUGACCAUUAAGUUUAUGCGGUUCGAUCGUUCCCUUUUUGCAUCUCUCUCUUAUCAUCAGAGGUACUCUCAUCAAUAAGUUUAGCAAGUUGAUUGCCCCGUAAAGUAAGGUCCAAGCCCAUGACUUCGAGAAUGUUCAAUACAUUCUCUUGCCAUACUUUGAAGUUCAUGCCAUUAAAAAUUGGAACUGAAUUAAUGCUAGCAGAGAUAUUAGUAUCAGAACUUGAAGCUGAAUUAAGAACACAUAAAUAUCCUCAAUAUGCAAAUAAUAAUAUUCUCAAAUAAAGGUAGGACCCAUCACAAGAUACCUAGCACAACAUCAAUAUCUAGUCUUUGGACGAAAAUAUUGACUUGUAAGUAAUACUCUUGGUGCAGUGAUCAAACACUAACAAUAAAUACUUGUCAAUCAAUAAACCUUUCUUUAGACUGAUUUAUUGAUUAUACGUUAAACAAAAUAAUCACCACAUGUUCAUCACCACAGGUAUAUGUGAAAUUCGGCCAAAUAUUGACUUUUCUUUGGGCCGUCAAUAUUCGCAUGAAUAACACACACAAACAUCUUUUAACAUUCCAAGUUAAUUAAUUUCCACAAAAGAGGUUGCUUUGACAACAUGUUGCUUCAAUUAAUUGACUUUCAAAUAUUAUAUCUUUUAAAAGAGUCCUUAGUACCAAAAUUUGAGAAAGGAAAUCACCAAUUUUGUAUAUUAGAUGUCUUUUGAAACUUUGGGGACUAAGGGUUAAUAAUUCAAAACUUAGGGGUCAAAUUUUGAAAAUUUGAAACUUCGGGGCCAAUUUGAAUUAAUUAUGAACUUUAAGGGCUUUAAUUAUAAAUUUUAGAACUUUUAUGGCCCAAAUUAAAUAAUUUUCAAACUUUAGGGACUGAAUUAUUAAACCCAUAACCUUAAAGGUCCAACUUGGAUGGAUUUUAAACCUUAGGGGCAGAAACUUAAAAUUAUAUUUUAAAAUUUGCAACCCUAACCCUAAUAUUAAUGAAUUGCAAGCAAAUGCCUGAAAUCACCAAAAUUGUGACUCAAGCCCCCGCCCCCAAAAUCCAUCCCUAACCCACUCUCUAGCAGUGUUGACGGAUCUGCAAACAACCUAGCUGUGCCGUGAAAAUCAAGUCCACAUGGCUUGAUCGAAUUACAAGGUAUAAAAAAUGAGAAUCCAUAAUAAAAAUGAAUUCAAUUGUUUCUGAAUCCAAUUUCAUAUCAAAAUGUGGCUGUAGAAAUUACCAAUGUUUUGAAAACCGACUUGGCCAUCGACCCAAAAAAGAGAAAGGAUCAAGGGUCAAAGGGCUAUAUACCACAAAAAUGACAAAAUUAAGUUAAUUUUUCAUCUUAAUUAAUAUAUAUAGACAAAAGCACCAACUAAUGAUUAAAUUUGGGUACAAUUAAUUUUUGUUUGUCAUAUGGUGAAUUAUUUAGUAUUUUUAUAGUAUUUUAUUGUGUCAACAUAAUAAAAUUAAAUGAAAGAUCACGUAAAAUGGAUUGAAAAUGAAAAAUUAAUUUAAAGAGAUAAAUAAUUUACACCAAGAUAAUUAUGUCUUUUUUUUUCUUUUUUUUUUAAUAAAACUACUAAUUUCUAAUUUAUAUUCAACUUUUAAUCUUUUACAUGAAACAUCAUUUACAAGAAUGGACGUGGACCGGAGUGGGAUUUUUGUCCAUUUACUGUGCACUUCUCCAAAUCCCACAUCGGAAUCUCAGUGAAAAGGUUUGAUUUUAUACAUUAUAAAUAUAUGGGCACAGAUGAAGGUAAAUGUCUUGGGUCAGAUGUAUCUUUAAACGGUAUGCGCAAAAAGAUGAAUAAAUAAAAUAUUGGGAAAAAAUCAUAAUUACCGUACAUGUAUAUUGAAAUUCAGAUUUUACUACUAUAAUAGAAAAAAAAUAUAUAUAUAUACUACUACACUACAAAACAAAUCCACGUUUACUGGAUCCUGAACUUACCAAAUCUUCUCACGUAACUCACUGAUCUUAAGGCCUUACCUUAAGCAGUAACGUUUGCAUUUAAUUGAGAUUGCUCAAUACGUGGGAAUUCAAAUUUCAAAAACGGAGGUAUAGAUUAUACAAUACUUGCAAUGACUAUGACAUUGAUCAAUUGCAGAUCUGUGUCCAAGCCAUUUCGAUUCGGUAAUCCUCUAAUAGAAAUCAACACUUAAUUAGUAUAUAUAAUUUCAUGAAACUAUUUAAUCGAUCCAUUGUAUUCCUAUUUGUAAUCCAUAAGCAAGAGUUCAUAUUUUCAAUUACAAAAGGUGUUUCACGUUGUUGUAUUCGAUAUGAAUAUACAUCCAUUUACAAUAUUUUAUUUUUCUUAUCGAUUUUUUCCCUUUUCAUACAAGAAAAUAAAUUUAUGUGAAAUCAUGGUCAAUGACUCAAUGGGAUGUCAUAAUAAAAUAGAUUGCAUGCAUCUGAUUUCAAACUGAUCUUUAUAUUUUUGGAUAGACAUUAUCUGAUUGUACAUAUAGCAGAUUAUUCAUCUCUUAAUUUGCUCCCUUUUUAUCCUUUUUUUUUUGUUUCAAACAGGAAUGCGUUAACGUGUUCGCAACAUUCAAUUCCAUGACGUCCGGUAUUCUACUACCUAGUGGAUACAAGUAUGCCGAUAUACUUUUAUUAUAGAUGUGGUUAUGACUUAUGAUUUUGCUAUAUAUGAUGAAAUGUAUGCUAAGGUUGGAUUCCAUAAAUGGCCAAGGGCUCACAUGCAAACAAACAGGUUUACAGCGAUGACAUCUAACAUCAUGGAGUCGGUUAAAUGCAAGUCGUGAAACAUUGCACGAUUGACUACUUGUUCGGAACAUGGUUUUCAAAGAACAAGAGUAUCGUAGAAGGAACUUUCACCCUCCUAGCAUCGAAACCAGAAAAGCAGGCUCAGCUAAAAACCAAGCGGUCACUGAAGCUUAAGGUAAUUAUGAUGAAUUAAUAUUGUAAUUCGGAUAAUAUGUAUUGACUUCUAAGUUUUGGUAUAUAUUACAGCUGUUCUGUGAUGACUGAUGGAAAAUAGGUUACAUAUAAAAUGUGGUUAAUAAAAAUGUUGUUCAUUUAUAUUAGGUAUCUGAAUCGAAUGAAUUCCUCUACCAAGUGUCGGAUGAGAACAAACGGCACGUAGUUUAUUUGAAUAUGCUGACUUGCACUUGCUGUCAUUCCAUGUGGAUGGGAUUCAUUGUCAGCACGGUUUAGCUGUGAUUGGGGAAAUAGAUGGGCAACCAGAUAGGUAUUAUUUUGAUUACCACACUGGGGAGUCCUAUAUGGGUUCGUACGCUGCCUACAUCGUCCCACUAGAAGAUCGUGCACAAUGGAAGGUGGAUAAAUUCAGAUGUGGAGAUAAAAUUUUACUCCUAAUCGAAGAGACCACCAGGAAGGUCGAAGAAGACGAGGAGAAGGCCAAGGAUUGAGAUGUUACAAACAACGAGAUGUGGAACAUGUGGAAGUACGAGACACAAUAGGAGAACAUGCAGGCAACCUCAACCCAUGAAUAAUAUUAAAAAGUGGAAAAUGGAUUUGGAAGAAUAAUGGAGCCGCUUCUCACUUGCCAUUGAAUUGUCAAUCCCACAUUGACAAAUGAUUAGAACAAUUUAGGAUACAAAUUGGAAUAUGAUGUAAAAUUAUCAAUUUUCAUAAGUUUGAAUAAAAAGUGGGCAUUGAGAUUUCUUGAUUAAAUUAAUCAAUCUGCUUGCAUUAUUUUUGUUUGAUUAAAAAAUGAAAUGUAAUAAACGUGGGUAUGUUUGAAGUAUUAGUUGAAGGGUUGAUUUUGGGAUUAUGAUUCAUUCAGUUAAUCACAUACAACCACUUGUGUAUUGCACAAGUGAUUAAUUAGUGAAACGUUUCAAAUUGGAAGGCAUAAAGUGAAGGACAAUGAGCAUUCUAAUUUGAACACAAGCAACAAUCAAAUUUGAUCAGUUUAGAACACUAAAAUACCAAAUUAAAAAAAAAAUGAAUUUCUCUAAAAUUUGCUGAAUAAUACGCGAAUUAACAAAAACUUGGUCAAUCCCACAACAAUACGCACUCGGGAAAAUCACACUCUCUAAACAAUCAAUACAAUGAAUUUGGACAUUAUUGGGUUUCGUAAAUGAUAGAUAUCGCAUGAACAAAAAAACUAAUCCACUAUAUAACUGUACAAUGAUAAAAAUUAAUGUAUCAUCAUGACAGAUAUUCCUGCUUCGAUACUAUAACAUGUAGAGAAAGAAAAUAAAUCUAAAUAUGAAAUCGUAAAAUGCUAGAUUAUGGGACAAUCACACUCAUAUUAUUAUAUAACGAUAACUAGUUUGGACAAGAAUAUUACUGUAAGGAGUUGAUGUCCAUAGCAUCUAGACUAGAGGAAUGAAUGUGUGAUCCAUAACAAACUAAAAGAUAAACAAUUGAAUGUACAUAAUAGUACUUCACAAAAAAGUUACUUCGGUUCUGGAACUAUAAACUAGAUGACUACUCAAAAGAAAGCUAAUUUAUUAAAACGGCUGUCAAACAAUAAUCACACCGUUCAUCUUCUCGUCCCCCAUUCACAGACUGUGGAACCACGUCAAAGUCAGUCUCGUAUUCUUCUAUUUGGUUCUCGUACCCAUGCUUGAAGAGUUGAGCAGCCAGGUAUAACCUUGAUAAUAUCGGAUCAAAAAUUUUAGCCAUCCCAUCAAUCUUUCCCUAUAUGAUACAUUCUGCAUACUUAAUAACAUACAAUCCACAGUCAUGCCUAUAUAGUUUUUGAAAAAAUAUAUAAAAAAAUGUAAGCAAGUAGAGCCGGGCAUGUGAGAAAGAGUAAAUAUUGUGAAAUGUGUAUAUAUAACAUUUAAUGUGACGUAUAAUCAACAUCCUUACACGUAAGUUAACAUUGCAAUAUAAAUUAUAAUUAUUAUUUACUCACCCAUACUAAUCCUGCAGUAUGCUUGUAGCUAUCUUGACAAUGAGAGGGUUAACGCGUUAUGCUUCAUCAAUGAUCUUGGGCUGCUAGGUUUCAAUCUUAACCAUCAAGCAUGGCAUGACACAUGCAAAAGCCUCCACACCGGCUGUUGACACGCUAAAAGUGCAGCCCAAAUCGAGUAGCCCAAAGAAUGAAAUCCAACUGGGCAAUUCAGGAUAAAGGCCCAAAUAGGGUUAUUAACGAAUGCAGUGGAAGCCCACGAACACGGUAACACCAUCGCCCAAACUUGCAAGACGCCUAAGAUCUGAGCGAAUGAAGUGUCUUGCAGUCGCCCAGGGUUAUGACCCUGUUCUCGCCCAAACUUUCGAAUCGCCCAGAAUCUUAGCAAAUAUAAGAUGUUAUGUUUAUCCAAAAGUGCAGUUAUCGAAGCAGUUAUUAAGCAAUCUUAUCACGUUCCACGAUUCAAGAAGUUCAGUUGAAGACGGUUGAAUGACAAAGAGUAGUGACAGUAGUUAGAGACGGCAGUUCCACGAUAAGUUGGCCACCAUGAAGAAAGUGGGCAGUUAUAAAGCAAUUAAGCAGUUCCUAACGAAGAGAUCAUCAAGGGAAUAUAAAAGGAAGAAAAGACAUAGAGCAUAGGAGCCCGAAUAAAAAACUCUCAAACAGAGAAUAUGUAAUUUCAAUUUCUUAGUUUAGACUAAAACAUUUCUUUUCAGUACUCGUGUACUUACGCCCCUUGGAGGCAUUUUGUUUAAAGUUCCAAUUGUAAAGUCAUCGCCAAUAAAACAUCCCUUUUUGGGACUUUGUCUCAAGAGGUUUGUUUCUUACACAAUCGUCUGAUCCCUUUUUUAAUUGUAAGCGACUACCCGUGCGAAACAAUUUGGCACGCCCGGUGAGACAUUGGUGUUUGGUGUUGAAGAUACAAAAGGUAAAAUAAUAUGCCUCAGAAAUCAACCGAUCAACCAACCUGUAGGAAUUCCAUAUGACCCCAACGUCAUGUUGAGGAAUCAGAUUAUGGAAAUCGUACAGGACCAGAUGGCUUUUGGAGUACGUCCUGUCAUUAGGCCAACUUACACAAAGCCAUAUCCUGAUUGGGUAGACCAAGCAUAUUCAUGGCCUAGAGGGUACAAAGUGCCAGAAUUCUCAUUAUUUACCGGUUUAGGAAAGGUGUCUACUCUAGAACACAUAGGGCGAUUCACAUUGCAAAGUGGUGACGUAACUGAUUACCAUAAAAUGAGAUUGUUCCCUAGUUCGUUAACAUGAGUAGCCUUCUCCUGGUUCAUCAAUUUGCCAGCAAACUCUGUUCAAACAUGGUAACAAUUGGAGCAAUUGUUCCAUGCUCAGUUUUAUAAGACUGAGUCUGAAGUUACUUUGGCCGAUUUGGCGAAUCUACGUCAAAUGCCAUACGAAUGGGCCGAAGGUUUCCUUCAAAGGUUCAAGACAGCAAGAAGUAAAUGUUUUGUACCUUUGCCCGAAAAAGAGUUUGUCAAAAUUGUUCAAGGUUGUCUAAGCUUUGAUCUGAAGAAGAAGUUCCAAGAUAAGCAAUUUCCUGAUCUUUUCCAAUUGAGCGCGAACGCGAUUAGGUAUGAACGAUUAAUAAGAGAAGAAGAACAAAUGAAAAAUUCUAGCAAGGGGACUUAUUAUAGAGACCCAAAUUUUGAUGUUCAUACCAUUAAUGACGAGUACUACGAUCAAACCGAAAUGUGUUUGGCCGAAUUAGUUAAAGGAGACACAUAUACUUGUCCUAUAAUGGCUAAGCCUAGACCGUCGGGUAAGGAUGAGCCUAUAAAAAAUGAAAACAUAAAGACUAGAACGUUCUCGUUCGAUGUAACCAAAGCUGACCUUAUAUUUGAUAAAUUAUAUAAGGAUAAGCAGAUAAAGCUGAGUGAUAAGCACAAAUUGCCAAGCCCUGAACAAGUUAAGGGUAAAAAAUAUUGUCAGUGGCAUAAUUCAUGGCCACAUUUGACUAACAACUGUUUGGUUUUUCGCCAUGUUUAUAGGAUGCCAUUGAAUCAGGACGAAUUACGUUUGAGGAUAAGAGGAAGGUGGCAGUGGAUGAAAAUCCUUUUCGACAGCCACUUGGAGUGAACAUAGUGACGUCUGGUUUCAAAAACAAGUUGCCAAAAUUCAAGUUGGUUAUAGAUGAUGGAGAAGAAAAAGUUGGACCACAUCCCAGCGUCUUUGAACGUAUUAAAGGAAAGGAGCCCAAAAAGGACGAAGACGCCCUAUGUGCAAGAUGCAAAAAAGAAGUGAGUGCAGGUGCAGAGAAACCAGGGAUAUGGCAGCAUCACCAUCGUCCUAGUUUUUUCCCAAACGCUCAGCCUGGUAGAGGGCGGGGUGCAUCGUUCUAUAAGGGAUAGCCUUUUGAGAGGCAAUUCAGGCUAGUAAAUAAUGGGAGAACAUUCAGACCGCAACCUCGCCAACCAAAUGUAUGGCAUUCGUUCCAGAAUAAGGCUGGAAGGGCGAUACCUUUCAACAAGAUGACUAGAACCCAACAAAGGUAUUUCAACAGAACUAUGGGCGAAUGAUGAGGCAACAACAGGGAAUGCUAUGUCCAAAGGCACCUAGACUACUCGAGGUAGCCAAUCAAAAUGUUCUCAAAGACAGUGAAGAGACUGGUACGGGUGAACCUAUGGAAGAAUUGCCAGAGACUUCUUCUGGGAGGUUGAAGUUUGAGCAAGACAGAAGAGAAGGAGAAGAUCCAGAUUAGCCCCUAACUAUUCAGUUUGGUACGUUACGUCCUGUCGUGGCUAAUAACUAUUUAUUAGCCAAUGAGUUCAAGAAUAAAUGGAAGGAAGAAGAAGAAAAGGACGAUAACGAAGAGGAAGAAUGUAUGUUGGAAUAUGAAGAAGGCCAAACUUCUAGAGAGGCCUACAAUAGUGAAGAAGAUGAUGGUAUGACAGACAUCGAAGAGGAAAUCGAUCUGGAGGUAGAAAGAAUAAAAAGAGGAGUAUCGUACAACACUCUGUUGAAGCAACUACAUCGAGUGGGAGUUCGUGAAGUAGACUUAUUGGGAGAACCAUCUGGGUGUUCUUUCGAUUUUUACGUGCUGUACGAGACGCCCAAAAGGAAGAAGAGAGUGCCUCGCUCUGAAAAGUAUGGAUUACCUCCAAGAAUAAUACCUCCUCCCACAGGUUGGGUAACCAAAGAAGAAUUAGAAAACAGUAAAAGGGAAAUUCAGGAGGUAGAGGCUCAGUGCGAUAUGCUGCACGUUGACUUAUCACAAAAGGGUACUUCGACAGAGGACAAGCAGAAAGUGGAAAUAGAUGCUGCUGAAAAGGUUAUUUUUAAGCAGCCAGCCAUGAAGUUAACUAAACACUUGAGGCCAUUGUACGUUAAAGCUCUAGUUAACAGCAUACCUAUGGCAAAAGUGCUUGUCGAUAAUGGAGUAGCUAUAAACACCAUUCCAUCUAGGAUGAUGAGGAAAUUCGCAAAGACAGAAGGUGAUAUGAUCCCAACGGAAGUCAUCCUGACAAGUUUCAAUGGAGGAGCAACUUCAGCUAAAAGGGUUAUGCCAUUAGACAUAACUAUAGGAAUAACUACUAGGACCACAGUCUUCUUUGUAAUAGAUGGUCCCACUAGUUACAAUGUGUUAUUGGGAAGAGAUUGGAUACACGAAAGUCGCUGUAUACCUUCAUCGCUCCAUCAGUGCCUAGUUUUUUGGAAUGACAAGGGCGAAGCAGAGGUGGUGCAGGCCGAUCAUAGGCCUUUUGUCGCAGAAGCAAAUUUAGUGGAAAGGUUCAUGUAUGAAGGAAAUUAUGGACCUGUCAGAGUAAUCUAAGAUGGAGAAGAAACUCAGAUUAUCGCGCAGAGUGAAGAGUCGUUUUCGAUGGAUGCACUCACUGAAAUGUUCAGUCAGAUGAGGCCAAACAUAGUGGCCCUAGAGGAGCCAGUAAUUGGCAAAAGAAUAAUCAAAGAGUUUUAAAUAAGUUGUAAGAAAUAAAGACAAAUGCCCGAUAUUCAGGCCUUCAAAGCCAAAUUAAUGGCUUUCAAUAAAGAAUGCAAGGACAAGACGAAAGAAGCAGCAUCCUUGAAAGCAUUGAAAGACAAAUUGACAGUGUUCGAGUGAACAAAGUAUUGGCCGAGAAGUCAAUAAGGUGGAUUGUUUAGAAGAAGAAGUGCCUAUAAGGGAACUGGACGACGAAGUGAUAAGGAUCGCCAAGCCUGGAUACGCUCAAGCACAAGAUCCCCUGAUUAAAGUGAAUAUUGGCAAUGAAGGAUAAGAUCGCCCAACGUUCAUCAGCCAAAUGCUCAAUCAAGAGGUUAGUGAUAAAUUAAUCGCUUUAUUAAAGGAGUACAAAGAUUGUUUUGCUUGGGAAUAUGAACAUAUACCUGGUUUAGAUAGAGAUUUGGUGGAACAUAAAUUACCAACCAAGCCUAAUUUUAAACCUCAUAGGCAACCUUCUAGGCAUUUCACUCCUAAUGUACUCCCUGAAAUUAAGGAAGAGAUAGAAUGAUUAUUAAAAGCAGGCUUUAUUAGAACGGCCAGAUAUGUUGAAUGGUUGUCCAAUAUCGUGUCGGUAUUAAAAAAGAAUGGUAAACUAAGGGUGUGCAUAGACUUUAGGAAUCUAAACAUAGCCACACCUAAAGAUGAAUAUCCAAUGCCCAUGGUAGAUUCUUUAGUAGACUCGACUACCAGACAUGUAAUGUAUUCCUUCAUGGAUGGGUAUUCAGGAUACAAUCAAAUUUAUAUAGCUGAGGAAGAUAUAUACAAAGCUGCCUUUAGAUGCCCUGGGUCUCUAGGAUGUUUUGAAUGGGUAGUUAUGCCUUUUGGCCUGAAAAAUGCAGGAGCAACUUAUCAAAGGGCAAUGAAUUUGAUUUUUCAUGAUAUGAUAGGCAAGUUUGUUGAAGUGAAUGUAGAUGAUAUAGUGGUCAAAUCCCUUAAAGAAGAGGACCAUUUUGAACAAUUAAGAUGUUCAUUUGAGUGAAUGAAGCAAUAUAAACUAAAAUUGAAUCCCUUGAAAUGUGCAUUUGGUGUUAAUGCAGGGAAUUUUCUUGGUUUCUUAGUACACAAAAGGGGGAUUGAACUUGAUAAAAAUAAAGCGAAGGCCAUUUUAGAGGCCAAACCACCUAGCAACAAAAAAGAAUUGCAAAUGUUUCUAGGCCAAGUAAACUUUUUAAAACGCUUUAUUUCUAACUGUGCAGGGCGAACUAAAGCUUUUUCGUCGCUUUUAAAGUUGAAAAAUCAGGACGUCUGGAAAGAAGAGCAUCAAAAGGCUUUUGAGAGCCUAAAGACAUACUUAUCAAGUCCACCAGUGUUGGUGUCACCAAUCCAAGGACGACCAAUGAAAGUGUAUGUAUCGGCUAAAGAAGAAUCAAUAUCUGGAAUGGUCGCGCAGGAAGACCAAUUUGGUGAAGAAAGGGUGAUUUACUACUUGAGUAGACGGUUAACAAAAUGUGAAUGUAAUUAUUCUGCCAUUGAAAAAUUAUGUCUUGCAUUGUAUUUCACAUGUACAAAAUUGAGGGCUUAUUUACGGCCCGUAACUGUUUAUUUAGUUUCUAAAGUAAAUUUGGUUAAGUAUAUGUUCUCUCGUCCUAUUUUGCACCAAAUGGUAGGCCUUUGUACAUUAGCUAUAUUAGAAUUCGACAUACAAUACAUACCCCAAAAGGUAGUAAAAAAUUAGGCUUUGGCUAACUUUCUGGCGGAUCAUCCAUGCCUUGAUAUGCCUGAGGAAAUUGAGUUAGAGAUCAAUUCAUACGAAUUAAAACCUUGGGUUUUAUAUUUCAAUGGAUCGAAAACCUCUAAAUGUGCAGGAGUAGGAGUAGCAUUGAUAAAUCCUUUAGGGAUUUGUUACAAGUUUGCAUUCACUUUGGACAGGAUGUGCACCAACAAUCAGGCCGAAUACAAAGCCUUAAUCGUGGCCCUAGAAUUAAUGAUAGAUAUGGGGGUAAAGAAUGUGAUUAUUAGAGGCGAUUCUCAAUUGGUAAUUUACCAAUUGAUUGGUGAUUUUAAAUGCCAAAGUGAUUCCAUUAUAAGUCAGUAUGAAAUCGCCCAAGAGUUGUUGGAAGAAUUCGACCAAAUAGAGCUUCAAUGUGUUAAUAGGAUAUAUAAUAACGUAGCAAACGAAUUGGCCCAGAUGGCCUCAGAGUACUCUAAGGUUUUAAAUUGGAAGUCUACUUGUGAAUAUGGAACAAUAUUGCCUGUGAUCCAAAGAAGGGCGAGAACGAUUGAAAUUCAUUGCAUACAAGAUGGAGAUGCACUAGAUUGGAGGGCAGAGAUUAAAAGGUUCUUUAAAGAACCUAAUAAAGGAGAUAGUAGAAAAAUGAAGUUGCGUUUGCUAAACUAUACUCUGAUAGAUGAAGAGUUAUUUAAAAAAAGCUCUGAUGGUAUAUUGCUAAAAUGCAUAAGUUUGAAAGAAGCCAGGACGAUCAUGGUUGAAGUGCAUGAAGGAAUAUGUGGAGCUCAUCAAGCAGGCCAAACGAUGAGAUGGUUAAUUAUUAGGAAUGGAUAUUUUUGGCCCAAGAUGGAAGAAUCAUGCGUUCAGUAUGCAAAGAGUUGUCUAGCAUGCCAAAAGCAUGGCCCAAUACAAAGGGCGCCAGCACGAGGAAUAGCACCUAUUAUCAGACCUUGGCCGUUUAAGGGUUGGGCGAUGGACCUGAUAGGGAAGAUUUAUCCCCCAUCGUCCAAGCAACAUACCUUUAUUAUAGUUGCAACUGAUUAUUUUACUAAGUGGGUAGAAGCCAUACCUUUAAAGGAGAUCACUCAAAAGAAUGUCAUAGAAUUUAUCCGUGAUCAUAUUAUUUAUAGAUUUGAAAUUCCACAAACUUUGAUGGUAGAUCACGAAACAUCUUUAAAUGGGGAUCAAGUGAAUAAAUUCUUGACCGAGUUUGGAGUUAAAUUAAUAAACUCCACACCAUAUUACGCUCAAUCCAACGGACAAGCAGAAUCUUCUAAUAAGAUUCUAAAAAAUAUCAUAAGGAAAAUAAUAGAUGAAAAUGCCAGAAAUUGGCACGAAUGUCUAAACAAGGCCUUAUGGGCUUAUAGGACGUUGCUUCGAUCAAGUACCAAAAUUACUCCUUUCCAACUUACUUAUGGACAGGAGGCCGUUUUACCUAUGGAAAUUAACGUGCAAUCGAUCAGAGUGUAUUUGCAACAUAAGUUAAGUAGUGAUGAGCAUACCAAAUCACUAGUUCAAAACUUAUUGGAGUUGGACGAAUUAAAGUUGGACGUCCUAGAUAGAUUGCAAGUUCAAAAACGAAGAAUGGCUAAAUUUUAUAAUAAAAAAGUUAUAGCCAAGUCGUUUAGCCUGGGCGAAUUGGUUUGAAAAAUAAUACUUCCUUUGGAUAGCAAAAAUCCAAAGUAUGGCAAGUGGUCGCCCAAUUGGGAAAGACCAUAUAAAGUAAAUGAUGUGUUGCCUAAUGGAGCCUAUCAUUUGGAGGAUUUAGAUGGCACCAAGCACAUGAGGUUCAUUAAUGGCAAAUAUUUAAAAAAGUAUGUUCCUUCCUUAUGGGAAAGUGAACAAAUAAAAGCGUAAUCAAAUCGCGUUGAAUGAUCGUAGAUAAAAAAGGGCCAGAGCGAAAUACGUUCAAAUAAAUUCCUUUAUUGUCAAACGUUCAUUACAAAAUUGCAAAAUACAAAAUACUAAAUGCUCUAUAAGCUACAAUUAAGAGCGAACUAAUCUCCUGGUCGAUCGCUGAGUAAGAGGUGAACUGGCCUUGAUUGCCAUCCUGAUCGCACUAUUGCAGAAGCAAGUAGAGAGGCCGAGAAGCACUCUCAGCAAGCAGAAAGGAAGAAGAAGCACCCUCACAUCGCCUGAUGCGAACCUCGUAGCAAUAGAAACUAUGAAACCCACAACGAGAUUGAUGCGGAACCCAAGAGCGCCAAUACUAACCCGGUUUUGGAUCUUGAACCCCAAGAAUUGAACCAAGAAGCCCUAGAUUAGCGAAGAACCUAAAACCCCUUGAUUACAAUUGAAAGAACCCACAAUCCGAUUGAUAGAACGCCACAAGAAGUUGAAUCUUGAUAAGUUCCAAGAUUGUUCAAGAAGAACAAUUAAAUUGAAAGAAGAAAUUUCUCUCUAUAAUAUUAAUUCAAAGUCAAAAGUUCAAAGGUGUUUACAAUGAAAAAAUAUUCUCCUAUUUAUACUAUUCCUCGAAUAGGAGUCAAAAAGGAAAUAUAAUUCUAAUAAUCUAAUAAAAUUCCUAAAAUAUUCGUCCAAUAUGGUAGGAAUUUGAUUAAGAAUGAAAUUCUAGUAAAAUAAAGAAAAAUGCGGAAAAAAGGAAAAUCACCCCAGAAAUGAACCAUGCUGUCGCAUAGUUAUAACUCGUGCUGCCACAUGGUAAUAAAAUUUCGGCCAUUGAAUUCUCGGUAUCAUGUCAUGCGGUCGCAUAGUGCUGCCGCAUGGUUAUACUGCCCACUCUCUUCUUCGGCUGCUUGUAACGCAUUGAUCCAUUUUGUUUCGGCCUUCGACCCGAACACGAAACUUGUUCCAUUUUGAGUUCCGAAUAUGGUUCCAUCAAUAGUUUCUUGAACGAGCAAUCCCAUCGCUUGUUUCACUUGCUUUGCCCUUGAUCGCGUCAUUGGUCCGCCAUCAACUAUCAACGGGUCUCGUCUCGCACUUGCCUUCGUCGGGCUCGACUCCUGGAUCAUAUCAUCCCUUUCCUCUUCAAAAGGAUUCGUCCUCGAAUUUGAACCUAUAUCAAACAGAGAGAGAUCAGAUACAUUAAAAGUAGCUGAAACAUUAUACUCACAAGGUAAAUCCACUUUGUAUGCAUUGUCAUUGAUCCUCUCGAUGAUUUGAAAUGGUCCAUCGCCUCGUGGUUGCAAUUUUGACUUCCUCUGUUCUGGAAAACACUCUUUUCUGAAAUGCACCCAGACCCAAUCUCCAUGCUCAAAUGUAACGCGUCUUCUUCCUUUAUUUGCUUUUGAUGCAAUUAGAAUUCCUUUCUAUUCGAUCUGCAUCCUGACAUUUUCAUGGAGUGUUUUCACCAUCUCGACUUUUCGUUUCCCAUCCAAGCUACCUCGUUCAUGUACAGGCAAAGGCAUUAAAUCCAUAGGUGUUAGUGGAUUAAAACCAUAAACAAUUUCAAAAGGAGAAAACGAAGUAGUAGAAUGUGUAGCUCAUUAUAUGCAAACUCUAUAAACGGUAAACACUCUUCCCAUGAUUUUGGAUUUUUAUUGAUUACUGUCCUAAGUAGUUGAGUCAUAGUUCGAUUAACUACCUCAGUUUGUCCAUCUGUUUGUGGGUGACAAGUUGUAGAAAAUAAUAACUUAGUUCCUAACUUACUCCACCGAACAGGCCAAAAAUGACUCAAAAACUUCACGUCCCUAUCAGACACUAUACUUUUAGGUACUCCAUGUAAACGUACUAUUUUCCUAAAGAAUAAGUCUGCAAUAUUAGUAGCAUCGUCAAUUUUAUGACAUGGUAUGAAGUGCGCCAUCUUACUAAACCUAUCGACCACUACAAAUAUUGAAUCCCGACCCCUUUUUAUCCUAGGCAAACCUAACACAAAGUCCAUAGAUAUGUCUACCCAAGGUUCACUAGGUAUAGGCAAAGGAGUAUACAAACCAUGGGGUUGAACCUUAGACUUAGCCUUUUUACAAGUUAUGCACUUUUCACAUAUUUGUUCUACGUCAUGUCGCAUUUUAGGCCAAUAAAAAUGUUCCCCUAACAUGUCUAAAGUCUUUUGAACCCCGAAGUGUCCCAUUAAACCACCCCCAUGUGCUUCCAUUACCAAUAAUUCACGCAAAGAACAAUUAGGAAUGCACAACUUAUCUUCUCUAAACAAAUAUCCUUCUGCCUAUAGAAUUUAUCAAAUGCACCUUUGUCACAUGAAGCAUAAAUAUUAGAAAAAUCACAAUCAGAUUCAUACAUGCCCUUAUAUGCUCGAAACCAAGUAAUUUAGUACUUAAUGAAUUUAAAAGCACGUACCUUCGAGACAACGCAUCAGCAACUAUAUUCUCGUUACCUUGUUUGUACUUGAUGACGUAGAAAAAUGUCUCGAUAAACUCCACCCAUCUUGCAUGUCUUUUGUUCAACUUACCUUGACCUCGCAAAUGCUUUAAAGAUUCAUGAUCAGUGUGUAUCACGAAUUCCUUUGGCCAUAAGUAGUGCUGCCAAGUCUCCAAUGCUCGAACAAGUGAAUACAACUCCUUAUCAUAUGUCGGAUAAUUCAAUGCUGCCCCACUCAACUUUUCGCUAAAGUAAACAAUAGGUCUCCUUUCCUGUAUUAACACUGCUCCUAUACCUAUUCCUGAUGCAUCACACUCAACCUCGAAUGUUUUAUCAAAAUUUGGUAAUGCCAAAACAGGUUCUUUACAUAGCUUAUCCUUAAUUGUGUUAAAUGCAAUUUCUUGAGAUUCUUCCCAAUGAAAACCUAUACUCUUCUUUACUAUUUCAAUCAACGGUGUGGUGAUGGUGCUAAAAUCUUUUACAAAUCGCCUAUAAAAACUAGUCAAUCCAUGAAAACUCCUAACUUAAGUUAUAGUCUUAGGUGUUGGCCAUUCUUUAAUAGCCUUUAUCUUUUCUUCAUGGACUUCCACCCCGUUAGCACUAACCACAAAUCCUAGGAAAACAACUCUAUCCAUGCAAAAUGUGCACUUUUUGAAAUUAGCAUAUAGUUGUUCCUUUCGCAACACAACAAGCAUACAAUUUAAAUGUUCUAAAUGCUCAUCUAGGUUUUUGCUAUAGAUUAAGAUGUCAUCAAAAUAAACUACAACAAAUUUCCCAAUAAAAGCAUGCAAAACAUGGUUCAUUAAACGCAUAAAAGUGCUCGGUGCAUUAGUGAGUCCAAACGGCAUAACCAACCAUUCAUACAAUCCAUACUUAGUCUUAAAUGCCGUUUUCCAUUCAUCACCCUCCCGCAUGCGAAUUUGAUGAUACCCACUCUUAAGAUCAAUCUUACUAAAAAUGCAAGCACCAUGCAACUCAUCAAGCAUAUCAUCUAGCCUAGGUAUUGGGUGACGAUACUUUACCGUGAUAUUGUUGAUAGCUCGGCAAUCCACGCACAUUCUCCAAGUCCCGUCCUUCUUAGGCACCAGCAAAACAGGUACAGCACAUGGACUCAUGCUCUCCCUGACAUAACCUUUGCUCAUCAACUCCUCCACUUGCUUUUGAAGCUCCUUCGUCUCCUCGGGAUUGCUUCGGUAAGCUGGUCAAUUCAGUAUGACAGCUCCAGGUACAAAGUCAAUCUGGCACUCGAUGCCUUUGAUUGGUGGCAAUCCACUUGGCAUCUCCUCAGGAAACACAUCNNNNNNNNNNNNNNNNNNNNNNNNNNNNNNNNNNNNNNNNNNNNNNNNNNNNNNNNNNNNNNNNNNNNNNNNNNNNNNNNNCUUUUCUCCACUCUCAGUCACCUCACUAUUUUCUCUCUUAUUGAUGGUUUUACUAUUGCCUCUCCUUUUUCCUGACUCUCUUAUUCUCUCGUCUUCCUCACUUUUCAGCUUGAUUUGAUCUCCAUACACUUGUGUCGGUGUUAAUGGUGUAAGAGUAAUAGUCUUCCCAUCCUUGACAAAGCUAUAACGAUUCCUAUAACCAUCAUGUGUGACCCUUCUAUCAUAUUGACAUGGCCUUCCUAAUAAGAUAUGACCCACAUGCAUAGGCACCACAUCACAUACUACUUUGUCACUAUAACUCCCAAUUGAGAAAUUAAUUAAAACUCUUUUAUUCACCCUAACUUCCCCACUUUCAUUCAACCAUUGCAACUUAUAAGGCCUAGGGUGUCUUAACAAUGCUAGUCCUAAUUUCUCAACUAAAGUUGUACUAGCUACAUUCGUGCAACUCCCACCAUCAAUAAUCAUACUACAUAUCUUAUUGUUGACGUAACAACGUGUGUGGAAUAUAUUUUCUCGCUGCUGCUUUGAAUCAUCCAUUUUGACUUGAGUGUUAAGAGCUCUCCUUGACACCAACGAUUCCCCAACAGCAAACUCCAAUUUUUCUUCUUCUUCAACGUCCUCCAAUGCAGGCAUGUCCUCAAACUCUCCUUCACUUUCACUCACCACCUCUCCAUUAUCCAACAAAACCAUUACCCGUUUAUUUGGGCAUUGAAAAGCAAUGUGCCCUGACCCCAAGCAUCUGAAACACUUGAUGUCUCGAUUCCUUGAAGGUUGUGAAUCUGUUUUGGGUGCUAGUUUGCUAGCACUUUCUUAUUUCCCUUUCUGCCACUCAUUCCUACCUUUAGGUACUGCUUUAUCACCUUUAUUGUUGUUGUUCCACCCUGGCUUCCAAGAUGGAUUAACACUCGAAGUUCCUAACGGCUGCCUAGUUGCCCCUUUCCUCUUCCGCUAUCUCUCCACCUUCAUAACCACAUGCAACAUGUCUUCAAACUCCACAUAAUGUUGCAACUCCACUACAUUGGCAAUUUCCCUAUUCAACCCAUUCAAGAAUCGUGCCAUGGUAGCCUCCCGAUCCUCCACCACAUUGGCCCUAAUCAUGAGUAUUUCCAUCUCCUUAUGAUAGUCUUCUACACUUUUCGACCCUUGAUAUAGACCUUGCAGUUUUUGAUGGAUCUCUCGGUAAUACUGGCUAGGAACAAACCUCUUUCUCAUCAAUGACUUCAAUUCCUCCCAAGUGCUGAUUGGUCUUCCCCCACUCCUACGUUGUGAAGUAAUCACUUGAUCCCACCAUGAAAUUGCAUAUUCACUGAACUCCAAAACUGCUAACUUCACCUUUUUCUCCUCCGAAUAGUUCUAACACUCGAAGAUCAUUUCAACCUUCCUUUCCCACUCCAGGUAUGCCUCGGGAUCACUCCUUCCUUUGAAUGAAGGAACUGUCAUUUUUAUAUUUCCUAAGUUUCCAUCCAACUCCUUCCCGCGAUCAUUCCGACCCCGUCUGUCGAACCUAUCACCUCUAUUCCUCAUCCUUCCCAUCUCAACACCGUGAAAUUCAUCUUCGCCCAUGUCACUCCCAUAUCCAUACUCCUCUCGCCUUUCCCUCCUAGGCUCCCAUCUAUCCGGUCCUCUGGCAUUGGAUACAUCCACUCGAUGCCCUCGACUAAGAUUAGCCACCGAUGUAUCUAAUCUAUUCAUCCAAGUGUCCUGCUUCUCCAACCUAUCUCUCACAUCUCCAAACGCCCUCUCAAACCUCUGCACUAAUCCUCCAUUGCAUUGCUAUUAUUGCCUUGUCAGCUUGAGUUUGAUUCUGCCCUUUCUGACAUCCUAACACUAAAAUUUUAUUUUACUGCCUCACCAAAAGUCACACGGAAACACACACAAGGAUUUUACCCUCUAUUAAGCUCACCUCUCUGCCUUUUACCACUCAAUUCUUUCAACAAUUGCUUCUAGGAACAAUCAAUGAACUUAAUCAAUCAAUCAAUUCGUGUAGAAUUUCCCAAACCGGAUGUGACUCAAUAAUUGUAACAAAGGACUCAAAGAAAACUUUUAAAACUUGAUUUGAAUGAAGGAAUGGAAUGAUUCAAUGUGUCCAAGUAAUUUAGAAAUGAUAAUGAAUAAUAAAAGUUGGUAUUUGACGGAUCAAUAAUAUUCAACAAGUUUUUUUUACUGUACGGAUGAACAGUACCGUACGGAUGAGUAGUAUUUUUUUUUAGAUCCAGAAAUCAAUAACAAAACCAACAAAGAAAAUGAAAACUGAGUUGGGCGAAAAUUGAGCCCAAAAUCGGAAUUUGAAGAUUUUUGAUGAAAUUUUUUGGAUCAAAGAUCAAGACAAAUCUUCUGGACACAAGAACACAAGAAAUUGAAAAAAAAUUAGAAAACAAAGGAUAUAACCAGAUUAAAUUGGAACCAAAGCUCUGAUACCAACUGAUGCGAACCCCGUAGCAAUGGAAACUACGAAACCCACAACGAGAUUGAUGCAGAACCCAAGAAUGCCAAUACUAACCCGGUUUUGGAUCUUGAACCCCAAGAAUUGAACCAAGAAACCCUAGACUAGCGAAGAACCUAAAACCCCUUGAUUACAAUUGAAAGAACCCACAAUCCGAUUGAUAGAACGCCAUAAGAAGUUGAAUCUUGAUAAGUUCCAAGAUUGUUCAAGAAGAACAAUUAAAUUGAAAGAAGAAAUUUCUCUCUCUAUAAUAUUAAUUCAAAGUCAAAAGUUCAAAGGUGUUUACAAUGAAAAAAUAUUCUCCUAUUUAUACUAUUCCUCGAAUAGGAGUCAAAAAGGAAAUAUAAUUCUAAUAAUCUAAUAAAAUUCCUAAAAUAUUCAUCCAAUAUGGUAGGAAUUUGAUUAAGAAUGAAAUUCUAGUAAAAUAAGGAAAAACGCGAAAAAAAGGAAAAUCGCCCCAGAAAUGAACCAUGCUGUCGCAUGGUUAUAACUCGUGUUGCCACAUGGUAAUAAAUUUUCGGCCAUUGAAUUCUCGGUAUCAUGUCGUGCGGCCGCACAGUGCUGCCGCAUGGUUAUACUGCCCACUCUCUUCUUCGGCUGCUUGUAACGCAUUGAUCCAUUUUGUUUCGGCCUUCGACCUGAAUAUGAAACUUGUCCCAUUUUGAGUCCCGAACAUGGUUCCAUCAAUAGUUUCUUGAACGAGCAAUCUCAUCGUUUGUUUCACUUGCUUUACCCUUGAUCACGUCAUUGGUCCGCCAUCGACUAUCAACGGGUCUCGUCUUGCACUUGCCUUCGUCGGGCUCGACUCCUGGAUCAUAUCAUCGCCUUCCUAAAUGUAUCACUGCAAUAAUAGGCAAGGAGGCUGAGAAGCACUCUCAGCAAGCAAGGUGGCUUGCAGGCAUCCUCAAAAAUUGUUUUCCAUCAUCGAACUCCUUGUAAGGAACAUGGAGACGAUGGAAAGAACUUUGCUGGCCAAAGAAUAUUUCCUAUAUCUCCCAUACCAAAAGUGACAUAAAAAAAGAUGGCAAAAUGGGCAGAUCAAAUGAUUCAUUUCCAUGGAAGACGAAGGUUUUGGAUCGAUUGUCAAAAUGCCAGACAAUGGCAGCAAAUUGGUUUUGAAGAAGAGAAUGGAAAUGAAAAUGACAAGUGUGGAAUAUAAGUGCAUUUAUAGGGGCAUGAAGAUGAAGAGACAGAAUAUGAACAGCCACAUUCGUGCCUAGUAACUGGAAUCAAAUGGCCCGAAGUCUUGGAAAUAGAGACAGAAGUACCAAGAGAAAAUAUGCGUGAAUCUUAGCAUAAAGCAGUUAAAUGCUUGGGGGUUGACGAUUAAAGACAGCGUCAAUAAAUACACAAGAAGACAAAUUAAUCAUUCAUGAAUGAUAAUGGUUGCUGGUACGUUUAGAGUUACCAGUGGACAUCAGUACGAGGUUACAAGGGGAAAGUUAAUACGAAGUUACAAAAAGAAAAGUUAAGGCAUUAUAUGUCUUAAUUACAAUUCGCCCCAGAUCGAACGAAUUCUUUCCCUAAGUCUCCCCCAAUCCUCGCUCUGUCGAAAAGAGGCGAUAUCCAAUUCGGCUACAAAAUCAUCGUCAACUUUUAGCUUCUUGUACUGUUCGACCAAAGACUUGGUUCGCUCAAUUCCUUGGGAGGCAUUAGGCUUUUUAGCAGCCAUUCUCGCCUUGCAGUCGUCCAUCUUUGCUUGAAGCUCCUUCAUCUGUGCAGCCAAACUAGUCAUCAAAGGGUCUUCAAUCUUAACUUCGAAAGAGAUUUCUUUCAAUUCGUCCUCAGCUUUGUUGAUCUCUAGAAGCAAAGACUCUCUUUCAGAUACAACGCGAAGAUAUUGAGUACUCUUGACCUUCAGUUCAACAUUUUUGGCCAGCAAGGAGAGAAUUUCGGAAUGGACCUUUAAAGAAAGAUUGAGCGACGGAAGUGUCAGUGCUUGCGCCAACUUCGCCCUCAAAUGCUUAAGCUUAUCCUUAUGUUUGGUAGCACUAGCCUGACCAAUGUCCAUAUCCAUAAAGGAUACAUACUCAAAUAUCGACUGCUUAAGGAACUUCAUAUCUUCCUUUGAAGAAGCAGAAGGACGAUCGGUUGAAGCAGGGCGAGACGUCUUGACCUACCCCCAGGAAGUGAACAAGUCCUGAAUAGAACGCACAAUCUUAUCAGCAUCCUGCAAAGAAAAUUGCCAACAUUGAAGGUUUUCACUAUAAUGAACAAAGUGGAAGUAAAAGUGAAGCAAAGAUUACCUCAUCAGCAAUCUUGGGAGGUGGCAUAUCCCCAGCCAAAUCUACCACCUGUGUCUCCACCACUUGUGAGGACUUCCCCUUGUCUGGGUGAGAAGACUUUGCCACAAUGGGAAAACCCAUGGGAGCAUCUGCAGAACUCAAAAAGCAACAAAUCAAAACCCAAUAGCACAAGCAAAGGUAAAACAUCAAAAAAUGUAUUACCUUCUGGUUCGACAUUUUGGGGGUUGGCGCCCUGGGAAAAAGGUGGCUUAUCCAUUGGUUGUGAUGAGGAUUUCGGGACUGAAGGUUUCUCUUUAAGCGUAGUCCCUUCAUCAGCGGGUUUGGAUGAAGCAGUCUCAGUAGAGGAUGAUGGAGCAGGAGCUGCCAACACCAAAGCCUUCAAAGGAGAGGCUGAACUUUUCUGAGAAAUCCAAAUAAACCAUCAGCACAAAGAAAAGUUUCAAGUAUAGAAAGGUAUUCUUGUGAGUAAACUAAUUUAAUUACCUUUCUCCUGACGAUGAGAGGAGUAUCAUCAUCAUCAUCACCAUCAUCCUCCAAAAUGGGAGAUGCUGAGGCUGGCCGUUUGCGGCUUGGGGCACUCUUAGCUACAGUGGGCUUGGUAGGAAGAAAAGUAGAUGGACGAACAGACUAUUUAGCACGAACAAGGGGGGAAGGACUCCUAAUGGACAUAGGGGUGACCAAAAUAGGAGAAGUGGAAGAAAUGAUUGGCUGAUCUAGUGAAUGGAAAACACGAUUGACAUCAGUUGCAAACAAUCUGCGCUUCACUGAUGGCCAGAUUUGUUCAAAAAGGGGAUGGAUGGCAUGGCUAGAAUUGAAGGGGGCUAGUGAAAAGUUACUCGUCAAAAGAAUAUUGCGAGUAUCUAUAGAUUUUGCCUCUGCCUUAUUAAUGGUGUGGAAGCGAUCUAUCAAAUUUCUUGAAUAACAAAGGGGAACUGGCCAAGUUUGGCCAAAACCAAGUUGACGAGCAAAAAAUUAGGGAGCAUAUAUUUCAAUCCCAGCUUUGGCAUUGGUUCCAGUCAAAAUAUCAUGGAACAACUUCCUCCCAGUCAAAAACUAAACCCAAACGAGCAGAGAGGUGCUCAAUCUGUCCAAGGUGGAUGGGGGUUGCACAUAGUCUGGAGUUAAAAAUGGAGGAAAAGGAAAGAAAGAAUGAAUUGAAUUCAAAGUAUAAAAGAAUGAAAAGAUGUCCCUUCUGGACAUACUUACAGGGCUCAGUGGGUCAAUAGCUAGCCCAUAGCAGCUAGCAGAAUGAAGGGAAAAAGAUAGAGCACCAAGUGAUGGAAAAUAUGCUCUCAACCACAUUUGAGUGAACCAAAGAGGCUCACUGCCAGUGGAAGAUGCACUGUUUUUCAAUUGGAAUUGUAGAGAAGCCAUGCCUCUAUAGAGGGCAGCCAAAACGAAAGAACACAAAUUCAGAGGCCUACCACGCGCCAAUUCAUGUGCUAUGGGUAAAUAGCUUAUAGAAGGCUUCAUGCUUGGCACACACAGAAUAUAUUUACAAAGCCAAAUAUGAAGAAAGGCCACACGCUCAGCAUGGGAAGGCUCAACGCUCGAGUGAUUAUAACAGCUUUGUAGGCUUGAAUAGGAUUCGAUGAGUUUUUUUGUCAAAUUUUGGGGCGACACCAGAAAUCAAAAUACCAGGGAAAAUGGUAUUGUCCAAAGGUAGCAAAUUUACUAGGGCCCCAACAUCCCUUAAAGUAAUGGACAUGGGACCAAGAGGGAAAACAAAAGUAUUAUACUCAGAGGACCAAAAACUUAAAGCAAUAGGGAAAAGCACUGGAUCAAAAAUAGGGGGUUGAAAAGAGAUUUCUAACAAAUCAAAAAUCCUAGCACUAUAAAAAAUUGCCUUGGUAGGACCAUGGCCCAUAAGGUGAGCAUGCCAUCUACGGAAAAUAACAUCAGAUUUAGGCCAAGUACGAAUACCUCUUUCGCGAAGCGGCCUCAGCGGCAAAGAGUUCAGAAACGGAGGGCCUUGAGUACAAGGGAACAGCUGGCCCACCGCCACUUGUUCUACGGCCUCGACGUUGUUGAAUGAAGGACCUAGAUAGAACUCAUUGAGUUUGGCAUUGGCUGGUGUAAGGAAGUUCGGAGUUAUAUAUGGCCGAGUGAGGAUUUUCUGGAAGUCUUCGAAGCUGAAAGAGUCACUAGAUUGGGUUUGUGAAGCAGCCAUUGGGAACGAAAUAAAUUUUUGUUGAAGUUUGCUUGAAAAACGUAGCAGAUGAGCAAGAAGAUGAACAGUAAUAUUAUGAGAGAGAAGCGCGAAAUAAUGAGGCCUGAAAUGGCGUGUAUUUGGGGGUUAUAAGGGUUUGUAACGUCGCACCUUUUCAGGCUAUGGAAGGAAAUAAUAAUUGAAAUUCUUGGGAAUUUCAAAUGUUGCUGGGAAACACAAAGUGAAUAUGGCAAAAAUUAAUAAUUGGUAUUAAUUCUGCCAUAUUGGAGGGUAAUCGUUGACACGCUAAAAGUGCAGCCCAAAUCGAGUAGCCCAAAGAAUGAAGGCCAACUAGGCAAUUCAGGAUAAAGGCCCAAAUAGGGUUAUUAACGAAUGCAGUGGAAGCCCACGAACGCGGUAACACCAUCGCCCAAACUUGCAAGACGCCCAAGAUCUGAGCGAAUGAAGUGUCUUGCAGUCGCCCAGGGUUAUGACCUAUUCUCGCCCAAACUUUCGAAUUGCCUAGGAUCUUAGCAAAUAUAAGAUGUUAUGUUUAUCCAAAACUGCAGUUAUCGAAGCAAUUAUUAAGCAAUCUUAUCACGUUCCACGAUUCAAGAAGUUCAGUUGAAGACGGUUGAACGACAAAGAGUAGUGACAGUAGUUAGAGACGGCAGUUCCACGAUAAGUUGGCCACCAUGAAGAAAGUGGGCAGUUAUAAAGCAAUUAAGCAGUUUCUAACGAAGAGAUCAUCAAGGGAAUAUAAAAGGAAGAAAAGACAUAGAGCAUAGGAGCCCGAAUAAAAAACUCUCAAACAGAGAAUAUGUAAUUUCAAUUUCUUAGUUUAGACUAAAAUAUUUCUUUUCAGUACUCGUGUGCUUACGCCCCUUGGAGGCAUUUUGUUUAAAGUUCCAAUUGUAAAAUCAUCGCCAAUAAAACACCCCUUUCUGGGACUUUGUCUCAAGAGGUUUGUUCCUUACACAAUCGUCUGAUCCCUUUUUUAAGUGUUAGCGACUACCCGCACGAAACAAUUUGGCACGUCCGAUGGGACAUUGGUCUUUGGUGUUGAAGAUACAAAAGGUGAAACAAUAUGCCUCAGAAAUUCGAUAAGGAAACAGAAAGUCAGGGAGGAGUCCUGUCUGUGAUCGAGCGAUAUGAGGAGCAACAUAGCUCUCCACGAACAGAUGGACAGAAUCAGAGCAAUCACAGUCGUUAUGAACCAAUGACAGUGUUGAGUCCUCGAACCAUGCGUGCAUUACUUGGAGAACUCACACAAGAUGUCGUUGAACAGGUAAAUCUAUGAAAUAUUCAUAAUAUGGAAAGAUUUACCCAGAAUGGGAAUGCACAUUAUGACAACAUGGCCAAACAACUGAAUACUUUGAACGAAAUAAUGAAUAAGUUAGUAGGCCAAAUUUAUCAGCCAGUUGUGCCUCUUGCAAACCACUUUCAAACUAGGACAAUUGUGGGACAUAAUCCCCCAGUCCUAAGUUCAAAUCAAAGGGUAGAAUCACCUUUUGAUCUCUCUACUUCAAACCAGGGGGUGGUGUAAUACCAAAUCAGAAUAAUGGCAUUGGUACAUCUAACUUGGGAGGUAACCUAAAUGUAAGAGAUAAUGUCCUAAAUAAUGGGCAGAAUACCCCACGCGUUAAUGAUGAAAUAAAUUUUCAGGCUAAUGAUAACAAUGGCCCAAAUCAUGGUAACUUUGUUGCCAAUCAAAGACCAAACAUCAGGCCUCAAGCAAAUCAACCGGUCAACCAACCUGUAGGAAUUCCAUAUGACCCCAACGUCAUGUUAAGGAAUCAAAUUAUGGAAAUCGUACAGGACCAGAUGGCUUUUGGAGUUCAUCCUGUCAUUAGGCCGACUUACACAAAGCCAUAUCCUGAUUGGGUAGACCAAGCAUAUCCAUGGCCUAGAGGGUACAAAGUGCCAGAAUUCUCAUUGUUUACCGGUUUAGGAGAGGUGUCUACUCUAGAACACAUAGGGCAAUUCACACUGCAAAGUGGUGACAUAACUGAUUACCAUAAAAUGAGACUGUUCCCUAGUUCGUUCACAUGAGUAGCCUUCUCCUGGUUCGUCAAUUUGCCAGCAAACUCUGUUCAAACAUGGCAACAAUUGGAACAAUUGUUCCAUGCUCAGUUUUAUAAGACUGAGUCUAAAGUUACUUUGGCCGAUUUGGCGAAUCUACGUCAAAUACCAUACGAAUGGGCAGAAGGUUUCCUUCAAAGGUUCAAGACAACAAGAAGUAAAUGUUUUGUACCUUUGCCCGAAAAGGAGUUUGUCAAAAUUGCUCAAGGUUGUCUAAGCUUUGAUCUGAAGAAGAAGUUCCAAGACAAGCAAUUUCCUGAUCUUUUCCAAUUGAGCGCGAACGUGAUUAGGUAUGAACGAUUAAUAAGAGAAGAAGAACAAAUGAAAAAUUCUAGCAAGGAGACUUAUUAUAGAGACCCAAAUUUUGAUGUUCAUACCAUUAAUGACGAGUAUUACGAUCAAACCGAAAUGUGUUUGGCCGAAUUAGUUAAAGGAGACACUUAUACUUGUCCUAUAAUGGCUAAGCCUAGACCGUCGGGCAAGGAUGAGCCUAUAAAAAAUGAAAACAUAAAGGCUAGAAUGUUCUCGUUCGAUGUAACCAAAGCUGACCUUAUAUUUGAUAAAUUAUAUAACGAUAAGCAGAUAAGCUGAGUGAUAAGCACAAAUUGCCAAGCCCUAAACAAGUUAAGGGUAAAAAAUAUUGUAAGUGGCAUAAUUCAUGGCCACAUUUGACUAACAACUGUUUGGUUUUUUGCCAUGUGUUACAGGAUGCCAUUGACUCAGGACGAAUUACAUUUGAGGAUAAGAGGAAGGUGGCAGUGGAUGAAAAUCCUUUUCCACAGCCACUUGGAGUGAACAUAGUGACGUCUGGUUUCAAAAACAAGUUGCCAAAAUUCAAGUUGGUCAUAGAUGAUGGAGAAGAAGAAGUUGGACCACAUCCCAGCGUCUUUGAACGUAUCAAAGGAAAGGAGCCCAAAAAGGACGAAGACGUCCUAUGUGCAAGAUGCAAAAAAGAAGUGAGUGCAGGUGUAGAGAAACCAGGGAUAUGGCAGCAUCACCACCGCCCUAGUUUUUUCCCAAACGCUCAGCCUAGUAGAGGGCAGGGUGCAUCGUUCUAUAAGGGAUCGCCUUUUGAGAGGCAAUUCAGGCCAGUAAAUAAUGGGAGAACAUUCAGACCGCAACCUCGCCAACCAAAUGUAUGGCAUUCGUUCCAGUAUAAGGCUGGAAGGGCGAUACCUUUCAACGAGAUGACUAGAACCCAACAAAGUGCAGUUAUCGAAGCAGUUAUAAAGCACUCUUAUCACGUUCCACGAUUCAAGGAGUUCAGUUGAAGACGGUUGAACGACAAAGAGUAGUGGUAGUAGUUAGAGACGGCAGUUCCACCAUAAGUUGGCCACCAUGAAGAAAGUGGACAGUUAUAAAGCAAUUAAGCAGUUUCUAAGCGGUUGAUCACGAAGAAUGAGUCGGUCAUCAUACCUGAAUUUUGAAAUUGCCUUAUGUCAUCCAUCAGACUUGUACCCUGAUCGAACCAUGAAACCAAAGAAUGAGUCGGUCGUCAUACAUCUAUACAACUUCAAAAAUCUGAACGUUAACGUCUUCCACGUUUACGUACUACGUUCAGGUUUAGCGUCCAAAAUAAUUAGAAAAUAUACUGUAAAACUAUUGGAAUCUCAGCAACAUAAAUUGAAAAUAGCAUACACUUACUGAAUCCAUGAGGUGUACGUUCGGUUGGCAAAAACUCUUACCAUCGUGUUUUCGUGUCGACGACGCCUUUAAGGACCAAACUGUAGCAGUGGCUUUAUAACGUCCUUAGAAGCUGGGAACUUGUUUUUACUAAUUUGUGUCAGCACUGAUCAAAAGAAAUGAUAUAUAUAAAACUCAAAAAAAUCAACAUAAAAAGAAUAGAAUAAGUAAAAUUUACCUUAUGUGUAUUUCAUACUCAAAUCACUCUGCUGUACUAAAAAUUAAUUAAAAAUAAUAAACACAACGAAAUAAAACCACAGAUUAGUGACUCCGAAAAUUUUUGAAUAAAAUUUUGCUAUCUUUCUUACCUGAUAUGUAUGCAGUCUCACAAUUUUCUUCUUCUUAGCGCUCGAGUCACCCACAACAUUGUCAAUUUGCCUUUUACCGAUGUUAACUUUUCUAUGGUUUUAUAUAUUCAAAAACAAUCUCGAAAAUGUGUAAAUUAGAGAUUGUAGAAUGGAUUUUCUUUUAGGUCCAGAUCGAAAAUAUUUUGUGGUUAUCACGUUUAAAAUUGAUUGCAGAAAUAAUAAAAUCAACACCAGAAUUUUUCGCCCCAAAAAGGGGCCCGGAUGUUCAGCCUUUAGGCCUAAUCACCCGUUGAGCAUCUGCUACACAGAUAGAGCUCAAGAUCCACUAAGAAGAACCAAGAAAUGUUACAAAUGUACGAAAAAACUGAAAGUUUCUUCGAUAUAUCUCUCUAGCCUCUAUUCUAUAGAAAAUCACAAAGAUCAACUUCUACCAUGAAAGUAUUCUACUCUCGUUUACAUAACAUAUGGAAGAAUCACCACUAAGAUGAAGAUCGAAUUUACAGAGAGAAAUAUUCAUCAAACCCUAACUGCACUCAGAGAAAGGGAAAAGACAGAGAGAGAGAGAGAGAGUCACGAAGCUUCUGGCUAAUGAAAGGGCCAAAACCAAGUUAAAAUAUCUGGUCAACCAAAGGACGGGAUCCAAGGGUUGAGGAUCAGCCACGUUUACGGCUGAUACUCAACCCCUUUGAGGCGUUAAAUCGUGUUUCCAUUGGAUGCAACUUCUUUGCGACUCGGUCCGUAAUCAAUGGGCCAAAAAUUGUGAGGCAGCCCAAAGAAAAUUGGUUUAACAUUCUCCACCUUGCUGAACAAUUCUUUUGGUGCUUAAUAGUGGAUCUUGGACUUCUACAUGUGAUUACUUCGUUUGCUCUAAGUUCCUGUAAAAACAAAAAUUUCAGUUACAAUAUGUACUACAAAUUUGUGCUUGAAGAAUUUGAAUACCACUUCCUCAAGUGAUAUUAAGGAUCUUCAAGCAAGUUUUGAAUUUAUUUAAAGGUAAUACCUUUGUCCCCAAAUCUGAAGGAUUGUAUUCAGAAGGUAUUUUUAUCAGUUUACCUUUUUCUGCCAUAUUUCUUACAAAAUGAUACUUUAUAUCUAUAUGCUUGGUCCUGUCAUGAUAUACAAGAUUCCUGCUUAAGUGUAUGGCACUUUGAUUAUCUGUAUAAAUCCUUACAGAAUCAUUAAUGAAACUAAUUUCAUUUAAUAAGCCUCUUAGCCAAAUGCUUCUUUUACAGCAUACAUACAGCUAUAUAUUCUGCUUCAGUAGAGGACAAGGCAAUCAAUUUUUGUAAUUGUGACUUCCAACUAAUGCAACCAUCACACAAAGUGAAAAUGUAUGCAGAUGUGGAUCUUCUUUUAUCUAAGUCACCAGCAAAGUCAGAAUCGGUGUAACCCUUUAAUAUUACUCCUUCUUUGCACCUUUUAUAUACUAAAGUAAGAUCAGUUGAGCCCCCUAAAUACCUCACAUCCAUUUCAUGGCUAACCAGUGUGUCUUAACUAGAUUUGCCAUGAAUCUACUAAGUAUACUAAUUCCAUGUGCCAAAUCAGGCCUCGUGCAGACCAUAAGAUAUAUUAUUGAUCCCACAGCAUUAGCAUAAUUUUUUCCAUUCUUUUAAAUUCUUCAUUAGUUUUUGGUGAAAAUUCACUUGAAAGUUUGAAAUGAUCUGUAAUGGGUAAAGUAGUAGGUUUGGACUCAACCAUAGAAAAAUUUUCAAGAAUUUUCUUCACAUAAGAGUGUUGUUUUAGAAACAAGAUACCAUUCUGCCUAUCUCUUUCUAUUUCCAUUCCAAGUACCAUUUUAGCUUGCCCUAAGUCUUUCAUUUCAAAUUUAGACUUCAAUUUUGAUUUAAUAGUGUCAAUUUCAGAUUUAUCAUGACAGGCAAGUAACAUGUCAUCAACAUAAAGUAGCAGAUAAAUGGAUUUAGGCCCUCCAGAGCCUUUAUAAAAUAGGCAGGUAUCAUAUUUGCUUUUUACAAACGCUAAUGUCUGCACAUAGGAAUUGAAUUUAAUGUACCAUUGCCUAGGGGCUUGUUUCAGCCCAUAAAGUGAUUUCUUUAACAGGCACACCUUUUCAAUUUUGGAUCUUACUUCAAACCCCAUGGAUUGCUUCAUAUAUAUUAUCUCAUCAAGUUCACUAUUUAGAAAUGCUGUUUUGACAUCAAGUUGUUCCAAUUCCUAGUUAAAAUGGGCAUUUAGAGCAAGUAAAAUUCUGAUUGAAGUAUAUUUUGCCAUAGGUGAAAAUAUUUCAUUAUAAUCAAUUCCUUCUUUCUGAGUAAAGCCCUUAGCAACUAAUCUGGCCUUGUAUCUUUUAUCUUCAGAAUUUAUAUCCCCUUGUUUAAUUUUGAAAAUCUAUUUACAAUCUACUAUCUUAUGAUUUUCAGGUUUAUCAACAAGAAUCCAGGUUCUAUUCUUGAUAAGUGAUUCCAUUUAUUCAUUCAUUGCCUUUUUCCACAAAUCAGAAUCUGGAUGAGUAAUAGCUUCAUCAUAAGUAGUAGGUUCAGAGUUUAAAGAAUCAAGGGCAGAAAAUAGAGUAACGAAAUCAUCAUUAUUAAAUCUGGAGGAGGGAAUUAUUAUUCUCCUUUCUCUAUCUCUAGUUAACUGAUAGUUUUCUAGAGUAGGAUUAGUGAUUUCGUUUUCAUUUUCAUGUUCGUCUUGCUCAUUAUUAUUAUCAGAUUGAGUGGACUCCACCUCAAUUUGAUCAUCUUGAUUAUUAGCAUUUUCAAUUUGAGUUUGUAAGAUGGUUUCCCUUAUAGGUGCAUUUUCACUGACUUUUUCAUCAGGUGAUUCUUUACAAGGCAUGUCUUCCUCAUUAAAGAUGACAUUUCUACUGAUGAUCACCUUAAAACCAUUUUGGUUUUUAACCCACAGUCUGUACCCUUUUGUUUCCUCUCCAUAACCCAGAAAAACACAUUUUAAGGACCUUGGUUCAAGUUUGCCUUCACUUUGAUGUGAGUAGGCAGAGCAGCCAAAAACUUUAAGUUUAUUGUAAUCUGGUGUAUGCCCAGACCACAACUUUUUAGGAACUUGAAAAUCAAUAGCACUGGAUGGACUUCUAUUUAUUAGAAAGGUUGCAGUUUUUAGGGCUUCUCCCCAGAAAAACUUUGGAAGACCAGAAUUGUAUAACAUACAUCACUUUUUCCAAUAGAUAUCUAUUCAUUAUCUUAGCAACUCCAUUUUGCUGAGGAGUAUGUGUAACAGUUCUGUGUCUUAGAAUACCAAAUUCAUUGCAAAAUGUAUCAAAUUCAUGGUUGCAAAAUUCAAGUCCAUUAUCAGUUCUCAAUGCUUUAAUUUUCUUGUUGGUUUGAUUUUCAAUCAUGACUUUCUAUUUUUGAAGGUAUGAAAAGUAUCAGAUUUUUGUUUCAUCAAGAAAGUCCAGAUUUUUCUUGAGAAAUCAUCAACAAUUAGUAAAUAAUAUCUAAAUCCACUUAAAGUGUUUAUUGAUGCUGGACCCUAGAGGUCAGCAUGUAAAUAUUCCAGAAUUGAAGUGGAUAUAUAGGUUCCCGUUUUAAAAGGUAAUCUUUUCUGCUUUCCUAGUAUACAAUUUUCACAAAAUUCCAACCCUUCAAUUUUAUCAUUUCCAAAACAAGCAAGUCUUUUCAAAAUUGUUAGUCCCUUUUCAGAAAUGUGGCCAAGUCUAUUAUGCCAAAUUAAGGACUUAUUCAUUUCAGAGUUUAAGGCUGCACUGCAGUGACUGGCAAUUGGUUCUGCAGUAAUGGUAUAUAUACCAUUAGUUUUAGGGGAGGAUAAUACAGUUUUAUUUCCUUUUUGCAGUUCUAGGAGGCCUUUAUUUAUCAUAAUAGUGUAUUUAUCAUCAAGCUCUCCUAAGGAAAUAAGGUUUCUUCUAAGUUCAAGCACAUACUUGGUGUUCUGUAGUUCAAGUAUAUAGUUGUUCUCUAACUUCAACUUAACCUUCCCAUUUCCCUUUAUUUGACAACUCAUAUCAUUUCCCAUUUGAAUUUGCCCUCCACUAAAUUCAACAAAUUCAGAAAACCACUCUCUUUUGGGACACAUGUGAAAUGUACAUCCUGAAUCCAGAACCCAUUCUUUUGGGUCUCUAGAAUAGGUGUUAACAAGAACAACACCUUGAAUGUCAGGUUCAUUUCUACAGGCCACAGCUGCAGAACCAUCAAGAUUAUUUCUCUCUUUCAUAUCAGAAAUUUUCUUAAAGCAAUCUUUUAUUAGAUGUACAGUCUUAUCACAAUAAUAACACUUUCUGAUAUGAUUUUUUGUCUUCACAUGAUUCUUAUUCUUUUCUUUGGGUUUGGGAUUGGGAGAUUUCCAUUUCUUAUGGAAAUUAGAGCUUUGUUGAUAUUGUUUCUUGAUUUGAUUUACCCUUUCUUUUACAUAUAACCCUUCACCAUACUUAAGAUCUUUUGUUUCAGCCUUUAGUUCAAGUUCUCUAUUUCUUAAGGCUGUAGUAAUCUUAUCUAUGGUAAGUUCUUGACCCCUAUAUUCCAGGGCAUUUCUGAUGUCUUUAUAUUUCUCACUUAGUGAGUUUAAAAGAGUAACAACUUAUUGAUCAUUAGAAAUUUCCUCAUCACAGUUAUCUAAAUCCUAAAUCAAUUUAUUAAAUCCGUCAAGGUUUUCUUCUAGAUUAGAUGAGGGAUCAAACCUGAAGUUGUAAAAUUGCCUAAGAAGAUAACAUUUAUUUGGCAUGGUUUUGGUUAGACACAGAGUUUCCAAUUUAGUCCACAAUGCAGCAGCAGAGGUGGUUUCUCCUACUUUUCUAAUAACAUUAUGAGAUAAAUGUAAGAAUAUUGUACUCCAUGCAGUAUCAUCUAACUCUUGUCUCAUAUAGGCACUUAUUUCUACAGCCCAUUGACCAUCAAGGGCUACAGCACAUCUUUGUUGUAAAAGUAAUGCCCUCAUCUUCUGGCGCCAGAGACUGAAGUCUCCAGUGCUAGACCAAGUUUCAAGUUCAAAUUUAUGAGUAGUGGACAUUAUUACAGAUUCCUAGCACACAGCAGCUAUCUUACAACACUUAGAGUAUAAUAGUUCAGGCAAGUUAUGAUGCUUGUUUAAAAAACAGAACAGAUAAUAAUGCAGGAUAUUCUAGAGUUUAUACCUACUUAUUAUACAGUUCAAACAGUCAAUAUAUGAUAUUUUGAAAAAGGUUUAAGAGCUUAUAAUUCUUAAUUCCACUAUUCCCUCAGAUUUCCAGAUCCUCGCAGGAGAUCUUGGACAAAGGAAAGUAAUGGAGAAUUACUUACCUUAAUAACCAAUUUCCAAAAAAAAAAAAAGUAAAAGAAUAACUGUUUAUAGAGGGGGUUUCAAGAAAGAUACCAGAGCCUAAAAAUCAACAGUUUCAGAUUAAGGGAAGCACUAAGGGUAUGCAGGAUACGAAUCCAGCUCAGGAAUCCAGGUUGAAGAAAAACCAGCGAGUCACCAAGACUCAGUAAUGACUCAGCAAGAAAGCUAGAACUCAGCAGAACACUUAGUGAGUCAACACAACUCGUCAAAACUCAGCACGAGUCAUCAAAAAACAAGUUAGAACAAGAAUAACCAACAGUUCAUAAAAAAUAAAAAUAGAAAAACUUCAAGAUUCCAGUAGAGAAGGUAAAUCAAAACAACCGAGUUGAACUCCGAAUUAUAGAACUUCUAACAAAAAACAGUUUACUAUUUUCUGAAAAGAAUAAUUUCGAUUAUGUAAAACAACAAAUUUUUAAAAAAUUUUAAUUCGAAGUUUUGAGAUCUGCAAUAUACAAACAGAGAAAUAAAAAAAAAAUUGAGACGAAAGGUCAAAAAAAAAAAAAAUUUCCACACAAUAACUCGCUCUAAUACCACUGUUAGGUCCAAAUCGAAAAUAUUUUGUGGUUAUCACGUUUAAAAUUGAUUGCAGAAAUAAUAAAAUCAACACCAGAAUUUUUCGCCCCAAAAAGGGGCCCGGAUGUUCAACCUUUAGGCCUAAUCACCCGUUGAGCAUCUGUUGCACAGAUAGAACUCAAGAUCCACUAAGAAGAACCAAGAAAUGUUACAAAUGUACGAAGAAACUGAAAGUUUCUUCGAUAUAUCUCUCUAGCCUCUAUUCUAUAGAAAAUCACAAAGAUCAACUUCUACCAUGAAAGUAUUCUACUCUCGUUUACAUAACAUAUGGAAGAAUCACCAAUAAGAUGAAGAUCGAAUUUACAGAGAGAAAUAUUCAUCAAACCCUAACUGCACUCAGAGAAAGGGAAAAGACAGAGAGAGAGAGAGAGUCACAAAGCUUCUGGCGAAUGAAAGGGCCAAAACCAAGUUAAAAUAUCUGGUCAACCAAAGGAUGGGAUCCAAGGGUUGAGGAUCGGCCACGUUUACGGCUGAUACUCAACCCCUUUGAGGCGUUAAAUCGUGUUUCAAUUGGGUGCGACUUCUUUGCAACCCGGUCCGUAAUCAAUGGGCCAAAAAUUGUGAGGCAGCCCAAAGAAAAUUGGUUUAACAUUUUCGAACAUAAAUCGUUGAAAUACGAUCUUCUUGUGUUGAGCAUAUGGCUUAAUCACAGUUUCUUGAACAGGCUGAUAAGAGGGAAUAUAAACUGUCAUGUUCUUGUGUCGAUCCUUACUGGAUUUACCGGAUUCUAACUUCUGUGCUAGAAAAGGUAAAGAUGAGGGUUUGGGUAAAUUGGGGCGUGAAUUGGGGUAGGGAGUGAAUUAUGGUAGGGAAUUUAAUGAUAUAUUAUGUUAUGGAAUUGAUAAUAAUUUAUACUUUUCAGAUAUACUACAAAAAUUGCAGUAUAUUUGGUGAAAAACAAUGGAAAAUGUAAAAACAGGAUAUGUUUAUUAAAAGAUGUAUUGGGUGAAAUUACCUCUAAAAUAUUAUGUCAAAACAAAUCAAACCGGGAAAACCGGAUCUGGGCCUACGGUUAACCGGCUUUAAUGGGUUGGACUACAGGUUUUUUACCGAUUUGGAAAUUAAUGGGGUUUGGGCAUUAAUCGGACUGGAUUUUGAACCGGUUCCCAAUUGAACCGGCCGAUCCAGUCCGAUUUUCAAAACAUUGGAAAUUACACUUCGCUAAACAGAUUCGAUUGGCAGCCAGCCGCAUUAAACAAUUCAUUCACAAUUGAAAUCCAAAAGAGGAAAGAAUUCAUCAAACGGCGGUGGUCGCAAUCAGGAAUCAUAUUCAAUUGUUUUAAUUCCUCUCACAUGGCAGCCAUGAUUAAUUGUUUUCUUCCCAAACAAUAAAGAAAUGCAGAGAAAGCCAGCAAUUGAUUCAAACGCAAAUUGUCUUUAAUAAUCUAACAUGAGUGAUUUACACAUCACACGGGUCCCACAUAAAAAUCUUUCCAAAUAAUGUCACAAAUCUGAUUUUCUUGUAAUCAUAUGAAAAGGAAAUUUACGUGGUUCCAUGACAAACUUCUCGCACAAAAACAGGUUGCUUGAUCUCGAUCCAUAUAAACAUGUUUCUUGAAUCAAAAACUUGACACCAACAAUCCAAAAAUGUAAAAUUUUAGGGCUAAAAUUCAGAUCUCAAAAUUGAGAAAUUCAAACCAUAAAUUCUAAAAAUUUUAAUCCAGAUCUAGGAAGACAACCAAGAAUAACAUGGCGAAGAGUUUUCAAAUUCAACAAAACUAGAUCCGAAAUUGUCAAAUCUGAAAACUUUCAAAAUAUUGCGAGAACCAAAUCACAAAACUUUGAUUCUCAAUGAUUCAACAUGAAAAGACUCUGAUACUACUCGUAAAAAAUUCAUUACCUUCAUAAUCACUGGAUCUUUCAUGUUGGAUCAUCAAAAAAUCAAGAUCUAUAGCGGAAGCGUGCCUGAAUCAAAUAUGAUUAUUGUAAUAAUUGAAUCAUGUGGCUUAGUCUUUCAAAUCAACACGUAGUCUCAUUUUUUCUCUAUGAUUGGAUGCAAAAGAGAACUAACAAAAUAAAAUCUCUCUACGUGUGAUUCAGGGACCACAACCGUACUUAUAUACGGAUUCCCUUUUGAUCUAAUUUGACCCAUCAUGAAAUUAGGAACUUGGGUCCGAUCUGUACACACACAAAACCCACACUUUAAUUGGAUGCAUCAAAGUCCAAAAUCGAAACCUUAUUAGAUCAUUUUAAAUGGGUUCAACUGAAUUCGAUAGCCUUUAAUUUAAGUGGAAAUUACACUACACUAGGCAUUUAAAGAUCACAUUUCAAAAAUCAGAGAAGUUUGUUUAAUCAUAAAUCAGGUCUCAAUUCAAUUAUUGAUAUUAUUAAAUUAAUUAAUUUAUCCAACUCCACCCUACCCCGGCACACCACACCCCAUAUUCCCAAUUCAAUCCAAACCUAUUUUCAUUUUCCUUCCUCCUUUCUGUAUCUUAACCAUGCUCUCGCUACAAUAUCUCUCCACCAUAUUUUCUUUCAAAGAUGGUAGAACUCUCAAGGUCGAAUCUAAAUAGGUUGGGACUUGGGAUGGAGUGGAAACAUAGAGGAAGGCAAGCGAGGAGGUGAUUGCAACAGUACAUGACAAGCAUGAGACGGCUAAAGCACUUAUCGGGUCAGGCCCUCACACAAAACCAGCAGGGGAGGGGGUCGGAUUUAUGGGGUACUUUUUUAAUGCAGGACCCACUUCUCAUGUGAGACGCCCUGUAAGACCCCUGUGAGAAAGGACCUGGCAGACCAGCAAUUUCCAUAUCCCAGCGUUUGAGGUUAUUUUUGGGAAAACUUGGGAGUUAAUUGUUUCAAUGGUUACUGAAGUUAGGUCCAUGUCUUUCAUUGUUUAUUGAAAUUUAAAAUGUCGAGUUUUGGUUAUUGAUUUUAAGUCAUUGUCUUCGACUGCUCACUAAAGUUUAAAAUGUCGAGUUUUGGCCACUUAAUUUUGGAAAAUAUUGUAUGUUACUCACUAACAUAACUUCCGUCUCAAACCUCUAACGAAAUUGGUGACGUGGUUGACAGAAUGCAUACGUGUCAUCCCAUCACACCAUUAAACUUUGAGAGAAUUUUGGCCACUAAACUUUGAAAAAUGUCUUCUAUUACUCACUGAUCUUUGAGGUAGUGCCAUGCGUUUUCUGCAACGUGAUUUAUACCGCAAGUAUAUGGUGCCAAGUUUUAUAAUAUGGUAUUGAAAUAGAGUGUCAAACACAUAGGGAUUGUAAUUUAAUUUUCAUUAAGUACCAUAAUUGUGUAAUCUCUACUUUAUUUAGAUGAAUGUAUGAUUGAAUGGAUGAAUGUCUUAUGAAUGAAUGAUUUAAACUAAUCUAACAUGAUUGGAUGCGACAAAUUGGAAGAAUGCAAAUUAUCAAAUGAGAGGUGCUAGGGAUUGAUUUCACCUAACUCUCCAAUAUGAUUCAACGAUUUUCAAUUAUUCCGAUUAAUUUUCCCAUAUUUAAAAGCAAGAAUCCUAAUGUAUUUUUAACCACCUCUCUCGAGGACCGAUUAGAAAUUAACCCUAGAUCCCAAUUCCAACAUCUCUGUUCAAAAUUGAAAAUCAAGAAUUUAAUAAAAGUUUUGAUUCUUUUGUAAAGUAAGCUUAACAGAUUUAUACUUUCUCUCGAAACCUAUAAAACCUAUGUCAUGUCAAUCUUAUGAUCACGCCUAAAUUCCUCUUCUCUCGAGUGUCGAAAUUGACUAGCAUCAAAUCAUUUAAUUGUUAAUUAGCCAAUUGAAAGCAUCAAAAACCUUAACAGAAUUAAAUAUAUGCGGGAAAUCAAACGAAAUAUUUAAUUAGUUAAUCAAACCAUAAUUUCGAUUUGGCUACUUCAAACUCUAAGUAAGUUGUUUAGUUUAUGAUAAAGUCUAUGAAAUUCAUACAAAUUAUAAUGGAAAAUGUAAAGGGGAAAGAAAAGAAAUUAAACUCUUUUGGAGUGUAAUAGAUUCUUCCAUUGUUCUACUCCUCCAAUUAAAUUCUACCCUUUGACUCUUUCAAAGUUGUCCAGCCGUUCACUUUUUUCUCUUCUUCUAGAUUGUAUGUCGGUUGUCUGCUUGAAGUUCCCUCUGGUUCGUUCCUUCUACAAUUUUCGGUUAGCUAAAGCUCUUCCAGUCAAGCUCUGUAUUUGGGAUCUUGUGUUAGGCGGCUGAAAUCUAUGUAAUUCUCUCUAGAUUCUCCCCAAUUCUUGAAUUUGGGUGGUUGCCCUCUCUCUCCAAUUUGUCUAUCGGCUGCCCCCUAGUGUUGCCGACUCCAACCCCUCUUCAUUAGGUCUUGUAAGUGGUAUUUAUAAUUCUUUGGAGUUGCACUACAAUUUGGAAGUGGGCUGGGCUGUGAAAAAAUCCAGAAAUUGGUGAAGUUACUUCCUCGGAAGGUGACGCCUUACUACGGCUCGCUACUUCUUUUUCUUCUACUUUAAUAUGGCGUUGUAGCGAGGCACUGGGGCACCAUCUCUUUUGCCCCCUUCAGUUCUUGUAUUUUGUCUUCCUUCUUCAUUUUUUUCACUUAGCCUCAUCUAUCCCCUCUUUUCAACCCUUUAUCCAAACUGUAAAACAUGAAAAUCACAUGUUUACACAUCUAAAAUACUCUCAAGAGUGGCAUAAUAAUGGGUUAAGUGAUACACAAAAUCAUAAGUGUAGAACACUCAUCAAAUACCCUCAAACUUAAUAUUUUGCUAAUCCUCGAGCAAACACUAAACCAUAGAAAAUCGUUAACAAGAACACAAAUAACUUAAAAACAAGUUUAGCCAGGUAUCUUGCCUUCAUAGCUUAGAAUUAAAAAUAUAACAUCAAUUUCACUAAUCACUUCAAAGUUAUAAUGUACAAGCUAAAGUCUCACAUAUUCAAUGCAAAACGGGUAUGUGUGUGGAGAGAAUUAAAUGCAAUGCUGUAUAAUAAUAAAUUGAUCCAAUUCCUGAUCUUAAAAGUCAAAUAAUUCCUUACCUCUCUCGUAAGAUUCAUACGCCCCAGGCUUAUUUUCUUUUCUCUUCUCAACGGUGCAAUCUAAGGUGAAUUUUCAAUACUAGUUUCUUACAUCGCUCAAUUUUGAUUAGAUUUCACUGAUUACAGUUCAACAUGUCAACAAAUGAGGAUACUCGCUAUAUUUUUUGACUGGUUUAACCUCUAAGAAUCGAUCAAAUUACUAAUCCCUUAUCAAAGGUCUAAUCAUCUAAAAUAACUGUUAGGGGCUUAAUCAAGGCAUUUGAUAUCUAUUUUUUCUCCUUUUUUUUCUUUUUUCAGAUAUAAAUUUAUUCUUUAAUCACCAUUUGUGCGGACAUCCCUCCCUUAAGCUUUCUAAAUGACUUUUGUAGCAAACUUUAGACCAAUGAUGCUCUAAUUAGAUGACUUUAGAGCAUUAGGUUUUAAACCCUUACAGACUUAAUUACUUGAGUCAUAAAGGGUACGAAGAGAUGAUUUACAAUGAGAUUAUUAAAGUUGUCCUCAUUGGGAUAUUUUCUCUUUCUUUUUUUCUUUAUUUUAUUCUAGCGCAGUGAUUAGUGCAAUGCCCCUUAUUAAACACCUUGAUGCGAACUUCGUAGCAACAUUGACUACGAAACCCACAACUAAAUUGUUUCAAAACCCCAGAAAAGCCAAAAAAAAAAAAGUUUGGAGAUUGAACCUUAAAUCAAUGAAUCAAAAAACCCAGCAAAAAUGUUGCUUGAAGGACCCCUUUAUUACACAACCCAAGACCAACACUCGAUUUGUAGAAUGCUACAAGAAUAAUUCUUGAUAAGAACAAGGAAUUGAAAGCAAUAAGCCUUUCGUAUUAAAUCUGAAAAUAAUGUGUCGUAAAAUUACAUGGAAGAAAUAAACUUAUAUUUAUACUAAUCCUAGAAUAUAAGUUAUAAAAGGAAUAAAACUCUAAAAUCCUAGAAAAUAUGGAAAAGAUUCGUUCAACAUCUUAAGAAUUUAACUAACAAUAAAAUUCUAGCAAAUAUGGAAAAAAUGCGGAAAAAGGAAAUUUUCUUCCCGACUUGACUCUAUGCAGUCGCAUAGAAGAACCAAUUUGGUUACUUAAAUCCCUGCUUGCCCAAAUGCUACCGCAACUCCAAGUUAACUAUGCGGUUGCAUAGUUGACUUCGGUAGCUUCUUCUUCACUCACUUGUAUUGAUUUGAUUCAUUUUGAUUCGGCUCUCGACCCCAACAUGAAAGUUGCUUCAUUUUGUGUUCUAAACAUCGCCUCAUCAAUGGUUUCUCAAACGAUCAAUCCCAUCGCUUGUUUUACUUGCUUUGCCCUAAAUCACAUCAUCGAUCCGCCUUCGAUAAUCAACGGGUCUCAUCUCGAACUCGCCGUCUUCAAGCUCGAUUCUUGGAUCACAUCAUCCCCUCCCUCUUCAAAAGAAUUCGUCCUCGAAUCUGUACCUACAUCAAAGAGAGAGAGAUCAGACAGAUUAAAAGUUGCUGAAACAUUAUAUUCACCUGGUAGGUCCAACUUGUAUGCAUUGUCGUUGAUCUUCUCGGUGACUUGAAAUGGACAAUCUCCCCGCGGUUGCAACUUUGACUUCCUUUGCUUUGGAAAGCGUUCCUUUCUGAAAUGUACCCAAACCCAGUCUCCUAGUUCGAAUGUCACACGCUUCCUACCCUUGUUUGCCUAUGAUGUAACAACCUUGCUUUUGUUUUCAAUUUGCAGCUAUACCUUUUCAUGGAGUGUUUUCACCAACUCUCCUUUUCUUUUACCAUCUAAACUGCUUCGCUCAUUCACAGGUAACGGAACUAAAUCCAAUGAGGUUAGUGGAUUAAAACCAUAAACGACUUCAAAAGGUGAAAAUGAAGUAGUAGAAUGAACAACACGAUUAUAAGCAAACUCAACAAAAGGAAAACACUCUUCCUAAUUUUUCAAGUUCUUAUUGCUAACUGUGCGGAAUAGUUGAAUCAUGGUCCUAUUGACUGCCUCAGUUUGCCCAUCGAUUUGUGGGUGACAAAUUGUUGAAAAUAACAACUUUGUUCCUAACUUACCCCACAGCACUCUCCAAAAAUGACUCAAAAAUUUCACAUCCCUGUCAGAUACUAUACUCUUAGGAACCCCAUGCAAACCUCUUUAAAGAACAAGUCAGCUAUAUAUGUGGCAUCGUCGGUUUUGUUAAGUGUGCCAUUUUACUAAACCUAUCUAUCAUCACAAAAAUAGAAUUUUGUCCUUUCUUAGUCCUAGGUAAACUCAAAACAAAAUCCAUAGAAAUGUCAACCUUACGUUCACUAGGCGUAGGCAGUGGUGUGUAUAACCCUUGAGGUAAAAAUUUAGACUUAGCCCUUUUACAUGUUAAGCAUCGACUACAAAUUCUCCCAACAUCUACUUUCAUCUUAGGCCAAUAGAAAUGCUCCACCAACAUCUCCAAAAUUUUCUGUACCUCAAAAUGUCCCAUCAAUCUACCACUAUGUGCUUCUUUCACCAAUGAUUCUUGCAUUGAACAAUUAGGAACACAUAACCUAUUUUCCCAAAAUAAACAACCCUCAUGCCUAAAGAACUUAUCAACAACCCCUUUUUCACAAGAUUUAUAAAUAUUGAAAAAAUCUAGAUCAAUUUCAUACAUGCUCUUAAUAUGUUCAAAUCCUAGCAAUUUAGCACUUAAAGAAGCUAUCAAGGCAUACCUUCGGGAUAACGCAUCUGCCACUAUAUUUUCUUUACCUUGCUUGUACUUGAUGACGUAGGAAAAUGUCUCAAUAAACUCCCAUCCACCUAGCAUGCCUCUUGUUCAAUUUUUCUUGACCCCGCAAGUGCUCCAAUGAUUCAUGAUCAGUGUGAACAACGAACUCCUUCGACCACAAGUAGUGCUGCCAUGUUUCCAACACCCGAACAAGAGAGUACAACUCUUUGUCAUAUGUUGGGUAGUUCAGUGCAGCCCUACUUAGCUUUUCGCUGAAAUAGGUUAUCGGUCUCCUUUUCUGUAUUAAAACUGCUCCAAUACCUAUUCCUGAUGCAUCACAUUCAAUCUCGGAAGUUUUGUUAAAAUCAAGUAAUGCCAAAACAAGUGCCUUGCACAAUUUAUCCUUAAUGGUACUACAUGCAUGCUCCUAUUCAUUACCCCAAUAAAAACUCACACUCUUUUUAAUGACUUCAGUGAGAGGUACAGUGAUUGUGCUAAAAUCAUUUACAAACCGCCUAUAAAAACUAGGCAGACCAUGGAAAUUUCUAACUUCAGUUAUAGUUUUAGGUGUAGGCCAAUAUUUAAUAGCUUUUAUCUUUUCUUCAUCCACCUCUACCUCGUUAGCACUAACCACAAAACCUAGAUAGACAACUUUAUCCAUACAAAAUAUGCAUUUCUUGAAAUUAGCAUACAGUUGUUCUUUCAUUAACACCACUAGCACACAUCUCAAGUGUUCAACAUGCUAAUUAAGGUUUUUGAUAUAGAUUAAGAUGUCAUCAAUGUAAACCACAACAAAUUUUCCUAUAUAAGCACAUAAAAUAUGAUUCAUUAAAUGCAUAAAGUUCUCGGUACAUUAGUGAGUCCAAAUGGCAUAACCAACAAUUCAUACAAGCCAUACUUAGUUUUAAAUGCAGUUUUUCAUUCAUCACCUUCCCUCAUGCGAAUUUGAUGGUACCCAUUCUUAAGAUCGAUUUUACUAAAGAUACAUGUACCAUGCAAUUCAUCCAAUAUAUCAUCUAACCUAGGAAUUGGGUGAUGAUACUUUACUGUUAUGUUGUUGAUGGCUUUGUAAUCCACACACAUUCUCCGAGACCCAUCUUUCUUUAGCACGAGCAAUACUGGUACUGCACAUGGACUCAUACUUUCCCUUACAUAACCUUUGCUCGUCAACUCCUCUACCUGCCUCUGAAGUUCAUUUGUCUCCUCGGGAUUGCUUCGGUAAGCUGGUCAAUUUAGGAUGAUAGCUCGAGGUAUGAAGUCAAUAUGGUGUUCAAUGCCUCGAAUGGGUGGCAACCUACUAGGUAUGUCAUCCAGGAAUAUGUCUUCGAAUUCCCACAACAAAGACUUAACCAAACUAAGGAGGGAUGGGUUAGUUUUCUCAAAAAUUGAGGAGCAUUUCUUUAUACAGCAACAAAAUCAUUUCUUUCCUCUCAACUACCGCUCUCUUCAAAUUACUCUCUUUUGUAAAGAAAUUCACUGGUGACCUCUCAUUUCUCACGGAAGACUCUCUUUCUUUUCUCUAUUGUGGCUCCUCUCUCUUUUUCUCUUUAAUAGCCACCUCACCAUUUUUCUCUCUUACUUACACCCUCACUAUUUCUCUCCUCUUCUCUGGCUCUUUUACUCUUCUUUCUUCCACAUUCUUCAACUUAAUUUGAUCCUCAUAUACCUGUACCGGAGUUAAUGACACAAGUGUAAUGGUCUUUCCAUCAUUAACAAAACUGUAGUGAUUUUUGUACCUAUCAUGCUUAGCCUUUCUAUCAUACUACCAAGGUGUCCCUAACAAAAUAUGUCCCGCCUGCAUCGGUACUACAUCGCACACCACCUCAUCCCAGUAACUUCCAAUUGAGAGAUUAAUUAACACUCUUCGUGAUGCGAACCCCGUAGCAACGUUGACUACGAAACCCACAACGAGAUUGACGAACUCAGGAAAGCCAAAUUAAUCCAAGAGUUUAGGAUUAACCCAAAAGAAAGUCGAACCAAAAAACCCAACAAGAACAACGCUUGAAAGACCCAUUGAUCACGCAAUCCAAGAAUUAAAUCCGAUUGUUUGAACGCCAUAAGUUAACACUUGAUAAGUUCAAAAUUGUUCAAUGAAGAACGAUGAAGAGAAGACAAUACGUCUCACUUUUAAUUCAAUAUCAAUAAUGUCAAAGGUUUUUUAACAAUCGAAUGGAAACUCCUAUUUAUACUAAACCUAAAAACUAGGUAAAAAUUGUGCAAAAGUCGAGUAUAAUCUCCAAAAUAUGGAAAAGAAUCAAAAUCUAACAAAAUAUGGAAAAUUGCCAAAAUUGAAAAAUUCGCCAAAUUUUUGGCUUGUGCGGCUGCAUGGUGUAAAUCCAUGCAGUCGCAUGGUUCAACUGAAAUUGCACUUUUGGUUUUCGGUAUGCAUGCGUGCGGUCACAUGUAGUUUUGCCUAUGCGGCCGCAUGGUGUUGUCUUCAACCUCCGCUUUCGUCGCUUGAUAACAAAUUGAUCUAAGUUGAUUUUGCCUUCGACCCGAACAUAAAAGUUGCUCCAUUUUGAGUCCCGAACAUGGUUCCAUCAAUGGUUUCUUGAACGAGCAAUCCCAUCACUUGUUUCACUUGCUUUACCCUUGAUCGCGUCAUUGGUCCACCAUCGACUAUCAACGGGUCUCGUCUCGCACUUGCCUUCAUCGGGCUCGGCUCCUGGAUCAUAUCAUCCCCUCCCUCUUCAAAAGGAUUCGUCCUCGAAUCUGACCUGCAUCAAACAGAGAGAGAUCAGAUACAUUAAAAGUAGCCGAAACAUUGUACUUACCUGGAAGGUCCAACUUGUAAGCAUUGUCGUUUAUCUUUUCAAUCACUUGAAAUGGACCAUCACCUCUCGGUUGCAACUUGGACUUUCUUUGCUCCAGAAACCGCUCUUUCCUAAGGUGCACCCAAACCCAAUCUCCUGGCUCGAAUGUCACGCGCUUCCUACCUUUGUUCGCCUGCGACGCAACCAACUUACUUUUGUUUUCAAUUUGCACUUUUACCUUUUCAUGGAGUGACUUAACCAAUUCCGCCUUCUUUUUGCCAUCUAAACUACCACCUUCAUUCACAGGUAAAGGAAUCAAAUCCAAAGGAGUUAGUGGAUUAAAAUCAUAUACAAUUUCAAAUGGAGAAUAUGACGUAGUACAGUGAACAGCUCGAUUGUAUGCAAAUUCAACAAAUGGUAGACACUCCUCCUAACUCUUCAAAUUUUUAUUGAUUACUGUGCGUAACAAUUGUGUCAUAGUCCUACUUACUACCUCGGUUUGCCCAUCCAUUUGUGGGUGACAAGUUGUGGAAAAUAGUAACUUAGUGCCUAACUUACCCCACAAAACUCUCCAAAAGUGACUCAAAAAUUUGACAUCCAGAUCCGACACUAUGCUUCUAGGAACCCCAUGUAAACACACAAUCUCUUUAAAGAAUAAGUCAGCAAUUUUUGUGGCAUCGUCAGUUUUGUGACAUGGUAUAAAAUAUGCCAUUUUGCUGAACCUAUCUACAACCACAAAAAUAGAAUCCUGACCUCUCUUAGUCUUAGGUAAACCCAAAACAAAGUCCAUCGAGAUAUCAACCCAAGGCUCACUAGGUGUAGGUAAAGGUGUGUACAAACCUUGUGGUAAAACCUUAGAUUUAGCCUUUUUACAACCUAUGCAUCGACUACAAAUUCGCUCAACAUCACUUUUCAUCUUAGGCCAAUAAAAAUGCUCCUUCAAUACAUCUAAAGUCUUUUGAACCCCAAAGUGUCCCAUCAACCCACCACUAUGUGCCUCCCUUACUAACAACUCCUGAAUAGAACAAUUGGGAACACAUAACCUAUUUUCCCAAAAUAAAUACCCCUCAUGCCUAAAGAACCUAUCAACAGCCCCUUUUAUGCAUGAUAAAUAAAUAUCCGAAAAUUCAAUAUUUUUUUCAUACAAUUCCUUAAUAUGUUCAAACCCAAGUAACUUAGAAUCAAGAGUAGUUAGCAAUAUGUACCUUCGUGACAACGCAUCCGCCACCACAUUUUCCUUACCUCGUUUAUACCGAAUGACGUAUGGAAAGGUCUCAAUGAAUUCCAUCCACAAUGCAUGCCUCUUGUUCAAUUUAACUUGUCCCCGCAAGUGCUUUAGUGACUCAUGAUCGGUGUGUAGUACGAACUCCUUCGACCAUAGAUAAUGUUGCCAAGUCUCCAAAGCUCGAACAAGUGCAUAAAGUUCUUUGUCAUAUGUAGGAUAAUUUAAAGUAGCUCCACUUAAUUUCUCGCUAAAGUAUGCAAUAGGCCUCUAAUCCUGCAUUAAAACUGCUCCAAUCCCUAUUCCUGAUGCAUCACACUCAAUCUCGAAUGUUUUAUCAAAGUUAGGUAAUGCCAAAACAGGUGCUUCACACAAUCUACCUUUAAUAGUAUUAAAUGCAAGUUCUUGUUCAUCACCCCAAUGAAAACCUACACUCUCUUUAACUACUUCCGUGAGUGGUGCAGUGAUAGUACUAAAAUCCUUUACAAAUCGUCUAUAAAAACUAGCUAAACCAUGAAAACUCCUAACUUUCGUUAUGCUUUUAAGUGUCGGCCAAUCUCUAAUAGCUUUUAUCUUUUUAUCGUCUACUUCUACCCCACUAGCACUAACCACAAAACCAAGAAAUAUAACUCUAUCCAUGCAAAAUGUGCAUUUCUUAAGAUUAGCAUAGAGUUGUUCUUUCCUUAAAACAAUUAGCACACUCUUUAAAUGUUCCAAAUGCUCUCCUAGGUCUUUGCUAUAGAUUAAUAUGUCGUCAAAAUAAAUCACAACAAAUUUUCCUAUAAAAGCACGUAAAACAUGAUUCAUUAAACGCGUAAAAGUGCUAGGUGCAUUUGUAAGUCCAAACGGCAUAACCAACCAUUCAUAUAAACCAUAUUUAGUUUUAAAAGCCGUUUUCCAUUCAUCACCCUCCCACAUACGAAUUUGAUGAUACCCGCUUUUUAAAUCAAUUUUAGAAAAUAUGCAAGCACCAUGUAAUUCGUCAAGCAUGUCAUCUAACCUAGGUAUAGGGUGACGAUACUUUACCGUUAUGUUGUUGAUAGCCCUACAAUCCACGCACAUUCGCCAUGUUCCAUCCUUUUUUGGUACAAGCAAAAUCGGUACCGCACAAGGACUCAUGCUUUCCCUCACGUAUCCUUUGCUCAUCAACUCCUCCACUUGCCUUUGAAGCUCCUUAGUCUCCUCGGGGUUACUUCGAUAAGCCGGUCGAUUUGGGCUGACAGCUCCAGGUAUGAAGUCAAUUUGAUAUUCAAUGCCUCGAAUAGGCAGCAAUCCACUUGGUGCAUCCUCCGAAAAUACAUCAUCGAAUUCCUGCAACAAAGACUUAGCCAAACUAGGGAGGGGUGGGUUAGUUUCCUCAAAAUUGAGGAGUGAUUCCUUAUAAACGAACAAGAUCAUCUCUUUUCUCUCAACUACCGCCCUCCUCAAAUCACUCUCUUUUGCAAACAAAUUCCUUUGUGUUUUCUCUCUUCUCUCGGGGCACUCUCUUUCUUUUCUCUCUUGUGAUUGCUCUCUCUUUUUCUCUCUAAUGGCUAUCUCAACAUUUUCUCUCUUUUUCUCCAACUCACUAUUUGCUCUCAUUUUUUCUAACUCCUUUGCUCUCGUCUCUUCGUCACUUCUCAAUUUUAAUUGGUCUUUAUAGACUUGCGCCGGUGUUAAUAGCACAAGAGUAAUGGUCCUUCCAUCCUUAAUGAAACUAUAUCGAUUUUUGUACCCAUCAUGCAUAGCCUUCCUAUCGUAUUGCCAUGGUCACCCCAAUAAAAUAUGUCCCGCUUGCAUUGGCAUCACAUCACAUACUAACUCAUCCUUGUAACUCUCAAUUGACAAAUUAAUUGACACUCUUCGAUUCACCCUCACCUCGCCGCUCUCAUUCAACCAUUGCAAUUUAUAAGGUCUCGGGUGUUUCAACAAUGUUAAAUCCAACUUUUCUACAAGAGAUACGCUAGCUACAUUAGUGCAACUACCACCAUCAAUUAUAACACUACAUACCGUAUUGUUGACGUGGCAUCGAGUGUGGAAAAUGUUCUCCCGUUGCAACUCCAAGUCAUCCGCUUUGACGUGAGUAGUGAGAGCUCGCCUUGUGACUACUAGAUCCCCAACAGGCCCUUCAACUUUUUCUUCUUCACUAACACCCUCCAUUGUCGGCAUGUCAUCAAACUCGCCAUCACUAUCGCUCACAAUCUCUCCAUUAUCUCGCAACACCAUCGCCUGUUUGUUUGGGCAUUGAGAAGCAAUAUGCCCCGUUCCCAAACACCUAAAACAUUUGAUGUCCCGAUUGCGCGAUGGUUGUGCCUCCGAUUUUGAUAUUCGUUUGCUAGCAUUUUCAUCCUUGCCCUUUUGCCAAUCAUUUUUACCUCUAGGUACAGGCCCGUUUUUGUUGUUGUCAUCCCACUUCGAUUUCCAUGUUGGAUUAGGAGUCGAAGUACCUAACGGUUGCCUAGACGUCCCCUUCCUCUUCAAUUGCCUCUCGACCUUCAUUGCCACAUGUAACAUGUCCUCGAUUUCCACAUAGCGUUGCAACUCUACAACAUUUGCAAUAUCCUGAUUUAACCCAUUCAAGAACCGUGCCAUGGUAGCUUCCCGAUCUUCCUCCACAUUAGCCCGAAUCAUAAGAAUUUCCAUCUCCUUGUGAUAAUCCUCUACGCUUUUCGAUCCUUGGUACAAACUUUGCAAUUUUUGAUGGAUUUCCCUAUAAUAGUGACUCGGAACAAACCUCCUCCUCAUCAACAUCUUCAACUCAUCACAAGUGCUAAUUGGCCUUUCCCGACCCCUACGCCGUGAUGUCAGUACUUGAUCCCACCAAGAUAUCGCGUAAUCCACAAAUUCAAGCACCGCUAAUUUUACCUUUUUCUCCUCCGAAUAAUUAUAGCACUCGAAAAUCAUCUCAACCUUUCUUUUCCAAUCUAAAUAUGCUUCCGGAUCACUUCUCUCCUUAAAUUGCGGAAUAGUCAUUUUAAUACUCCCCAAAUUUCCAUCUACUUCAUCUCCCAAGUUAUUCCUACCCCAUCUUUCCAUCCUAUCGCCCCUAUUCCUCGCUCGACCCAUAUCAAUGUCAUUUUUAUCAAAAUCAUCCUCAUCACUACGAUACUCAUCUCGCCUUCCUCUCCUAGAUUCACGCCUACCCGGCCCCCUAGCAUUAGACAUCUCUACUUGUCCCUGGCUAAGAUUAGCAAUUGUAGUGCCCAUUUGUGCCAUCCAUUCCCCUUGCCUAUCUACCUUCUCCCUAACAUCACCAAGUACCCUUUCAAACCUCCUUAUCAUGUCCUUGAUGCAUUGUUGUCGUUACCAUUUCAGUUAGAAUUAGAACCUUCUCUUUCCGACAUCAUAUCACACAAUUUUUUUUUAUGCCUCACAAAGAUUUUCACUCCAAAAACACUCACUAUGGCUUUUUCCCUCUAUUAAACUCACCACUCGGCCUUUUACCACUCAAAGUCUCCCUCCAAGCACUUCAAAGAACCAAGUGAACUAAAUCAAUUAUUUUACCGGCAAUUCAAACAAAUCAAAUAUUAAUCAAAAACGACGAGACUCAAAGGACUUGAAUAAGUGGAAUAGAUGAAUGUUUUGACACGAAUAUGUGAAUAGACUCAAAAGAAGAAUGACAGACUCGAACCCAAUUGAAUAUCCCAAAACUCAAACAUAAUGUAGGAAUUGUUGUUGGUAGAAAAAAACACAAAAUCAAACAAUGAUAUCAAAAAAAUUUUUAUAUAUAUAUUUUUUUAUUUUUUGUGAACAAUACUUCGAGAGGAACAGUACCUCGAAUGUACAAUAAACUUUUUUUUUUUUACUCCUUGAUGAAAGAAGGUGAGUAAACUACCAACAACUCAACAAAACAAUGAAAAGAAAACAAGAAUGAAGAAAAACUAAGAAAGAAAAAUUAACGACCCAAACAAAUAAAGAAAAGAUAUAACCUUCAAUUAAUUUGGAGCCAAAGCUCUGAUACCAACUAAUGUGAACCCCGUAGCAACGUUGACUACUAAACCCACAACGAGAUUGACGAAUCCAAGGAAGCCAAAUUAAUCCAAGAGUUUAGGAUUAACCCAAAAGAAAGUCGAACCAAAAAACCCAACAAGAACGACGCUUGAAAGACCCCCUUGAUCACGCAAUUCGAGAAUUAAAUCCGGUUGUUUGAACGCCACAAGUUAACACUUGAUAAGUUCAAAACUGUUCAAUGAAGAACGAUGAAGAGAAGACAAUACGUCUCACUUUUAAUUCAAUAUCAAUAAUGUCAAAGGUUUUUUAACAAAUGAAUGGAAACUCCUAUUUAUACUAAACCUAAAAACUAGGUAAAAAUCGUGCAAAAGUCAAGUAUAAUCUCCAAAAUAUGGAAAAGAAUCAAAAUCUAACAAAAUAUGGAAAAUUGCCAAAAUUGAAAAAUUCGCCAAAUUUUUGGCCUGUGCGGCUGCAUGGUGUAAAUCCAUGCAGUCGCAUGGUUCAACUGAAAUUGCACUUUUGGUUUUCGGUAUGCAUGCAUGCGGUCACAUGUGGUUUUGCUUGUGCGGCCGCAUGGUGUUGUCUUCAACCUCCGCUUUCGUCGCUUGAUAACAAAUUGAUCCAAGUUGAUUCGGCCUUCGACCUGAACAUGAAAGUUGCUCCAUUUUGAGUCUCGAACAUGGUUCCAUCAAUGGUUUCUUGAACGAGCAAUCCCAUCCCUUGUUUCACUUUCUUUGCCCUUGAUCGCGUCAUUGGUCCGCCAUCGACUAUCAAUGGGUCUCGUCUCGCACUUGCCUUCAUCGGGCUCGACUCCUGGAUCAUAUCACUUCGAUUAACCCUAACUUUUCCACUUUCGUUUAACCAUUGCAAUUUAUAUGACCUAGGGUGUCUCAAUAGUGUUAAGUUUAAUUUUUCUACAAGUGCUACGCCAGCAACAUUUGUACAACUACCACUAUCAAUAAUGACACUACAUACCGUAUCAUUGACAUGGCAUCGAGUAUGAAAUAUGUUCUCCAUUUGCAACUUUGAAUCAUCCUCCUUGACAUGAGUAGUAGAGCUCUCCUUGCAACCAAAAGAUCACCAGCAGCGCCUUCAAUCUUCUCUUCUUCACUAAUCUCCUCCAACGCUGACAUAUCAUCAUAUUUACCUUUACUUUCACUCACCUUCUCUCCAUUGUCCAGCAACACCAUCGCCCUUUUGUUUGGACAAUGAUAAGCGAUAUGCCCCGACCUCAAGCAUCUAAAACACUUGAUGUCUCGACUCCUUGAUGGUUGUGACUCCGAUUUUGGUAUUAUUUUGCUAUCUCCUUCAUUCUUUCCCUUCUGCCAUUCAUUUCUACCUUUAGGUAUAGCCCCAUUUCCUUUUUUGUUGUCCCAUCUCAAUUUUCAAGAUGAAUUAGAACCCAAAGCACCCAUUUGUGGCCUAGAUGUCCCAUUUCUCUUCAAUUAUCUCUCCACCUUCAUGGCUACAUGCAACAUAUCUUCUAACUCCACAUAAUGUUGCAAUUCCACUACGUUAGCAAUUUCUUGAUUUAGCCCGUUCAAAAACCGCGCCAUGGUAGCUUCCUAAUCCUCAACCACAUUUGCCCUAAUCAUAAGAAUCUCCAUCUCCUUGUGGUAAUCCUCAACAUUCUUUGACCCUUGGUACAAACUUUGCAAUUUCUGAUGGACCUCCCUAUAGUAGUGAUUAGGAACAAACCGUUUUCUCAUCAACGCUUUCAACUCUUCCCAAGAGCUAAUCGAUCUACCCCACACCUACGUUGUGAAGUAACUACUUGAUCCCACCAAGUUAUUGCAUAGUCAAUAAAUUUUAAAAUCGCUAACUUCACCUUCUUUUCCUCCAAGUAAUUAUAGCACUCAAAAAUCAACUCAACCUUUCUCUCUCACUCCAAAUAUACUUCCGGAUCACUUCUUCCUUUAAACUGUGGAAUGGUCAUUUUUAUAUUUCCUAGGUUCCCAUCCAUCUCGUCUUCAUGAUUAUUCCUAUCCCUUCUUUCAAACCUAACACCUCUAUUCCUCAUUCGUCCCCAAUCGAUGUCAUUAACCCCAUAUUCAUCCAUAUCACUAUCAUACUCUUCACACCUCACCCUUCUAGGUUCUCGCCUACUCGGUCCCCUAGCAUUUGACACCUUCACUGGCUGUCCCCUGCUAAGAUUAGCCACAGAUGUAUCCAACCUAGUCAUCCAAUCUUCCUGCUUAAUCCUCCAAGCGUCCUAUUGAUCCAACCUAUCCCUCACAACUCUAAAUGUACUCUCAAACUUCUGUAUCAAAUCAUCUGUUGCACUAUUAUGAUUGCCGUGUCGACUUGAAUUAGAAUUCUCGCGUUCAAACAUCAUAAAACUAGUAAUUUAUCAGUCUCACCUGUUUUCACUCAAAAAUCACACAAUAUAGCUUUUACCCUCUAACAAGCUCAUCACUCUGCCUUUUACCACUCGGUGCAUUCUUCCAAGCACUUCAAAGAACACAAUGAACUCAAAGAUUGUUUAAACCCGUGGAAUUCCCAGCCGAAUGUGAACUAUAGGAUUGUGAUACAAAAAUAACUCAAAGAAAUUUAAAUGGACUGACGGGAAAGAAACUAAUGGAACUUGAUAAAAUUAAAAAAAACGACAAUUGUUGGUAGUAAAGUGCACAAUAAAAUAACAAUAAUGAUAAUAAUAUUUUUUUUUACUGUUACUGUAUAGUGAACAACAACGUGAAUGGUAAAAAAAAUUUCGACUUUUUUUUCCUUUUUCUGGACGUGAACAGUAAGCUGCCUUUGUUUUUUUUUUUUUUUUUUGCUAAAACAAUGAAUUAAACUACCAACGACUCAAAUGAAGAAGAAAGAUAAGAUAAACAAUGAAGAACGAGAUCUAAGACACAAAUUAACAAGAACACGAAGUACUAAGAAGAAAAAUUGACAAAAACGCGAAAAAAACUAGACUCAACGAAGAAAACAAAAAGAUACAACCUGUUAAUUGGAGCCUGUGCUCUGAUACCAACUGAUACGAAUCCUGUAGCAGCGUUAACUAUGAAACCCACAACUAGAUUAUUUCAAAACCCCAGAAAAGCCAAAUAAAAUGUUUGAAGAUUGAACCAUAAAUCAAUGAAUCAAAAAACCCAGCAAAAACAUUGCUUGAAGGACCCCUUGAUUACAAAACCCAAGACCGGCACUUAAUUUGUAGAACGCCACAAGAAUAAUUCUUGAUAAGUUCAAUGUGUUCAAUUAAGAACAAGGAAUUGAAAGCAAUAAGCCUUUCGUAUUAAAUCUCAAAAUAAUGUGUCGUAAAAUUACAUGGAAGAAAUAAACUUAUAUUUAUACUAAUCCUAGAAUAUAAGUUAUAAAAGGAAUAAAACUCUAAAAUUCUAGAAAAUAUGGAAAAGAUUCGUUCAAUAUAUUAAGAAUUUGACUAAGAAUAAAAUACUAGCAAAUAUGGAAAAAACGCGGAAAAAGGAAAUUUUCUUCCCGAAUUGACCCUAUGCGGCCACAUAGAGUAAUUCUAUGCGGUCACAUAGAAGAACUAAUUUGGCGACUUAAAUCCUUGCUUGCCCGAAUGCGAACGUAGCUCCAAGUUAACUAUGCGGUCGCAUAGUUGACUUCGGUAGCUUCUUCUUCACUCACUUGUAUUGAAUUGAUCCAUUUUGAUUCUACUUUCAACACCAAGAUGAAAGUUUCUUCAGUUUAUGCUCCGAACAUCGUCCCGUCAAUGGUUUCUCGAAUGAGAAAUCCCAUCAUUUGUUUUACUUGCUUUACCCUUGAUCGCAUCAUCGGUCCACCUUCGAUAAUCAACGGGUCUCGUCUCGAACUCACUGUCUUCAAGCUCAAUUCUUGGAUCACAUCAUACCUAUUCUCAAAAAUCAACCUCUAAUUUAAGGUUUUCACCUAAUUUUCAUCUUAUUAGUUCAAGACAGUCCACAAAAAAAUUAGCGCACACGGAAUCCACAUUAAUAUCUAUAUUUCCCUACAAUAGAUGAACCUUCUAAACGGUUUAGGGGUAUAGUAAUGUUUAACGGUUGUUUGGGUUUAGCAUCUAAGUUAUCUAGUCCAACCUAUAAACAUGAAUUAACCUACGCAAGUACAACACCACAAUCAAUUCACGUGCAUAAAAUAUUUUCUGUCUAGCAUGAAUAAGCAAAAAUUUAACUCAAACACAUAACUUAUUCAUAAUUCAUAAACCAACGCAUGUUCUCAAUUACACAAAUCAAUAUUGGCAAGACUAUCUAACUCACACAAGCAUGCAAAACACAAUGAUUUUUUUUAAACAAUGCACAGAAUUAAGAAAUUAAAAAAUGCACACAAAUCAAAGAAAAAUUUGUACACAAAUCACACAAAUUGAAAAAUUCAAGCAGUUAGAAAAAUAAAAAAAUAUAGGUAAUUAGGCAAUUUAUAAUAUACUCCUCUCAAACUUAAACUAAACAUUCUCCCCAAUGUGAAAUUAAAAUAAAAGGAGGAGGACUUUCCUGAAUUGUCUGAAUUGGCAAUGAUGGUCUGAUGCUCUGAUGUUGAAUUUAAUGGACCUCUUUUCUAACUUUUCUCCCCAAACUUGUGAUUUUUCAUGUUUUCUCCUUGUCACUGUUGGUAUAAUUGUUCCGCGAUGUCAUGUUCCUGAAAAAUCAAAUUUUAUAUAUUAAAUAUAUGGAACAAGUGUUACUUAGCUCAAACAUCUAAUAACCAACUUGACUACUUAUAAACCUAAAGGAAGACGGGAUAUGGCUGAUGAAUUCCUAAAUAAAAACUAUAAAAUAACUUAAACUAUCCUAUUAAUCAAAAACAAAAGAACAAAAUAAUAAAACAAUAAAACGCUUAGGUUACCUCCCAAGAAGUGCUUGUUUAGAGUCAUUAGCUUGACUUUGGCAAUUGCAUUAUGGAACUAUAAAGAAGGCUUUGGAUGCCCUGUCGAUUUUUCUUCUUUUGUCUUUGCUCCACUCUUCGUUGUUUUUCCAAACCUCGUCAUUGUCCUUUUCAAUGUGAUAUGAUCUUUUGUGCGGUCCAAUUCAAACUCAAUAGUAGACUUCAACCUUCUCAUCGGAUUUAAUCACAAAAUCAAUCUCUAUAUAAUCAAUGAAGUCAGACGAAUGUACGUUGUUUUCAUCUUCAUUGAUUUCUACAUCUUCGUUUGGUUCCUUUGUGAUCAAGUUGUCAUUCACUUCAGGCUCUUCUACGAUCAUUGAAAUUUCUUCGGAUUGAUUUAUUGAUCCACAUUCUAUAUCCACGGACGAUGAGAAGUCAUUCUUCAACCCCUUCGAGUGGAUUGUAUUUCCACCUUUUAAAUUCACUCCAGUAACUCCAAUCUCCAACCGAUAUUUUGCUCUCUUCCAAAUUGGCAAGUUUAUUGUAGUACUUUGCAAUUACCCUCCCAUUCAACAGAGGAGGACCAUUUCCCAUAAGUGUGAUGUCCUUAUCCCAAUCAAUAGGUACUUAAUCUUCCAAAGGCAUGUAGUCUUCAUCAGAUUUGUCAAUCGCUUCUUUUUGACAUCUUAAACAACGUAUGAACCUUUACUUUAUGGGGGUUGGUAGGUGUAUGCCAACAGUGCUUAGUGUAAUGCAUCCCACAGCAGAUUUCACAGAAGAUAUUUUCAACAAACAUGUAGUUUGUAUCCAUGUCAAGAUUACUUAUUUCAGUUGCUCUGCUCUCUUGCUGAUGUUGGAAUUAUGCAUAUACUAUUGAGUAGUUCCUGGAAAAUAUUUUAAAAAAAAAAUCAGGUGGGUAGGCAAAAUUAACAAAAUAAAAAAAAGAAAGAAAAAAUCUAAAUUAAAAUAGAAAUUACUUGAUAAUAAUAUGAGUAAAAAUCAUAUUAACAAUUCCCCGACAAUGGUGCCAAAUACUUGCCACGCGUUUUCUACAACAUGAUUGAUACCGCAAGUGUACGAUGUCAAGUUUUGUAAUAUAAUAUUGAAGUAGAGUGCCGAACCCAUAGUGAUUGUAAUUUAAUUUUCACUAAGUACUAUAAUUGUAUAAUCUCUACUUUAUUCAAAUGAAUGUAUGAUUGAAUGGAUGAAUGUUUUAUGAAUGAAUGAUUUAAACUAAUCUAACGUGAUUGGAUGCGACAAAUUGGGAGAAUGCAAAUUAUCAAAUGAGAGGGCCUAGGGUUUGAUUCCACCUAACUCUCAAUUAUGAUUCAAUGAUUUUCAAUUAUUUCGAUUAAUUUUUUUCAUAUUUAAAAGCAAGAAUCCUAAUGUAUUUUUAACCCCUCUCUCGAGCACCGAUUAGAAAUUAACCCUAGAUCCCAAUUCCAACAUCUUUGUUUGAAAUUGAAAAUCAAGAAUUUAAUAAAAGUUUCGAUUCUUUUGUGGAGUAAGCUUAACAGAUUUAUACUUUCUCUCGAAACCUAUAAAACCUAUGUCGUGUCAAUCUUAUGAUCAUGCCUAAAUUCCUCCUCUCUCUCUCUCGUGUCGAAAUUGACUAGCAUCAAAUCAUUCAAUUGUUGAUCAAACGAUUGAAAGCAUUAAAAUCAUGACACAAUUAAAUACAUGUGGAAAAUCAAACAAAAUAAUUAAUAAUUUCAUCAAACCAUAAUUUCAAUUCGGCUACAUCAAACCCUAGGUAAGUUGUUUAGCUCAUGAUUAAAUAUAUGAAAUUCAUACAAAUUAUAAUGAAAAAUGUAAAGGAGAAAGAAAAGAAAUUAAACUCUUUUGGAGUGUAAUCGAUUCUUCCCUUGUUCCACGCCUUCCAAUUAAAUUCUGCCCUUUGACUCUUUCAAAGUUAUCUACCCAUCCACUUUUUUCUCUUCUUCCAGAUUGUAUGUUGGCUAUCUGCUUGAAGUUCCCUCUGGUUCGUUCCUUCUACAAAUUUCGAUCGGUUGAAGCUCUUCCAGUCAAGCUGUGUAUUUGGGAUCUUGUUUUAGGCGGCUGAAAUCUAUGUAAUUCUCUCCAGAUUCUCCCCAAUUCGUGAAUUUGGGAAGCUACCCUCUUUCUCCAAUUUGUCUGCCAGCUCUCCCCUAGUUUUGUCCACUCCAAACCCUCUUCAUUAGGUCGUGUAAAAAAAUAAAUUAAAUUAGAAUUUUUUAACAACGAAUUUUAGCCCCUACUUGAUGGCCAUUAUUAAAAAAAAAUAAUAAUAAUAAUAAUAAUAAAUAAAAGAGUUCUAAAAAUAAUGAUUUUUUGGAGAAUGUGUGGUUUAAAAGUCAAAAAAAAAAUGAGCUUGCGUGUAAAAUAUUUUAUUGUAUAGAUGUGUGGUUAAAUCCAAAUUUAUAGUGAGUAAUAGAAGAUAUUUUUCAAAGUUUAGUGAUCAAAUUUUGACAUUUUUCAAAGUUCAGCGAGCAAUAGAAGAUAUGUUUCAAAGUUUGGUUGCCAAAAUUCGACCAUCUCAAAGUUUAACUGUGUGACGAGGCACCACGUGUGCAUCCCGUCGGCUAUGUCUCGAAUUUUUUAGGGGUUUGAGACGGAAGGUAUGCUAGUUAAUAACGUACAAUAUUUCUCAAAGUUUAGUGGUCAAAACUCAACAUUUAAAACUUUAGUGAGCAAUUGAAGACAUGUACCUAAGUUCUAUGACCAAAACUCGACAUUAUAAACUUUAGUGAGCAAUCGAAGACAUUAGCCUAAAUUCAGUGAACAUUGGAACAAUUAGCUUGAAACUUAGAAAAAAAUCCUCAAAUAUUAGAUGUCUUUUGAAAAAUCAUAAAAGUAUGUUGAAAUUAAAAAACAUUAUGUAAAGUUAAAUGUCUCUUUUCAAAGUUAAAACUGACACGCGAUAUGUUUUCACCAAAAAAGUUGACAGGAAUUUUUAAAAAAAAAGUAAAAAUCAAUUAAAAAAAAGUAACGGAAGAAAGUGACAAGCACUAUUCAAAAAUGACAAAAGUUAAAAAAGAAAAAAAAAAGAAAAAAUAGUGAUACACUCAAAAAAGUGAUAAAAUACCAAUCAAAAAUUAUGUUUGUCACUCAAAAAGUGAAAAAAUUAAAAAAAAAAACAGAUAAUAAAAAAAAGUGACAGAAAAAAGCGACACUUCAAAAAAGUGACAAACACUACAAAUACUAAAAAAAGUGACAAAACACUAAUCAAAACAUUAAAAUAUAUCAUUUUAUACAAAUUUAACCACUCCUUCAAUAUACAAACUUAUUUCAUAAUUAUUUUCCUACACAAAUUUUAAAUUUCCAAAAGAAAAGAAACUACCAAAUCGCCACCCUCUAAUUUCUCGGGCGUUCAUUUUAUCUUUUCUUUUCUUAGUCGCAUUUCUCCCCAAUAGAAAUAAUUCAAUCAAUUUUAUGGAGAAAUCCUCUUUGACUCAUUAAUUUUAUUUUACAAGACAAAGGUGAACCUUCUUCUUUCUUUGGUAGUCUAUUUUUUUUUUUUUUUUGUUAAUUUUGAAUUUAAUGAUUGAUUAGUGAUUAGUUUUCAAUUAUUGAUGCAUUGAGGAAUGAAUCUUUCUUUUAUUGUUAAAUUUGAGUUUUAUGAUUGAUUUAUUUCUUGUUAAUUGACUGAGGAUGAGGAGGUGGAAUACUAAUAGAGAAGAUGAUGCUGAGUCAAGAAGUAUUGUCGUCGAGGAAAAGCAUGUCAUUGGAUAGCUCAAUUCUAUAGGAAGAAAUUCAUCGCAAAGAACAGUGGGGAAGGAUUAUAGUGACAUUUAUGGUCUCUUUAAUCAGUUACGAGAUUCGGGGGUUUUGGUUUUGGGGGUAUGUUUUAUUUUAAGACUUAAUUAAUACGAGAUUUUAUGCGAUGUUUAAUUAAUUUAGGAUAUUAAUCCAAUUGGGUAACUUUUUAGAGCAUUUGGCCUAAUUUCCUCUUAUUUUAUCAAAAUUUAAAGUGGAAUCUAGAAUCCUUAGGCCCUAAAGCUCAUUAUAGCCUAUUUGAGCCUAUCUUUUCCAAAUUCAUUUCAAUCACACAUUCUCCCAUCAAAUAAUUUUUCACGUAAAUUUAAAUUUUUUUCAAUUUUUUAAAUCAUGCAUUCUCCGAAAAAUUACGAUGUCAAAGUAUUUUUUUUAGUUAAAGGAGGAUGGUACUUCCUAUAUAUUAUUAAUAUGCCCUCACUUGUGAUAGAGGAAUACCGUGGUUACAUGAGAAAAUAAUGAAAGCAAUAAACAAGGAAAUACUACUUCCCUUACAAAGAGAAUAAAUGACAAAGAACAAACAUAAAGCUAUAAGAGAGGAAGUACUACUUCCCUUACAAUGAAGAUAAAUGAUAAAGAACAAACGUAAAGCUAUAAAAAGAAAAAGUACUACUUUCCUUACAAUAAGAAUUAAUGCAAGUGAUUACAAAAAGAAGAAGAAUAAUAAUAAAUAAAUAAUCAUACUCUAAUGUUGGGCAGUCCAUAUCUUUCAAUCUGUACCAGUGCCCUAAUGUGUCAUGGUAAGUCAGCUGCUCUAUAUAUGUGGUAUCGGCGAUGAUACCAACCCUCUACAGCAAGAGCAUCUGCUACUUGGUUUUUCUUUUUGUAGAUGUGGGAAACUGUAGCUCUAUCGAUGGAUACGAUGUCUAUGAUUUGUCUAAGAAUACCCUGAAUAGCCCAUGGUCCUCCCCCUUUAGUGAUGCAGUGAAUAGCUAAAAGCCCAAGAACAACUAACCAAGAGGGGCAUGAAUUGGUUAAUUGAAACUUUUUCACAAAUUUAAGCAAAUAACUAUGAAUAAACAAGAUAACACAAAAGUAAUAAGAAGAAGGGAAAAGAGAGUGCAAACGAUGUAAUAAGGAGGUUCAUCCAAUCACGAUCUACGUCCACCGUUACCGAGCUCUCCGUCACGAGCAAGGUCUUUUUCACUAUGUUGAUUGACUUAUGGUGCAAUCCAACCUUCUACAAAGCUUUCGGUGACUUACAAACAAGGAGCACUGAUUUUUUACAGCGUUGAGCUUUCUAGGAUCUCAACACGACCCACACUAUUGAGCUUUACGGGACUUCAAUAUGACCUACACGGUGACUGACAACAAGGAGCUCCAAUCCUUAUACAUCAUUGAGCUUUUCGGGACCUCAACACGACCCACAACCAAAACCAAGAGAGUGAAAUAUUACAAGUGAAAAAUUUCUCUCUUAAUAAAUGAUAUCGACACAAUUAAGUAUCAAGAGAGAAGAACGCUCAACACUUCAAUAAAUUGCAAAGAGUAUAGCUCAAGUGUUGGUUGAAAAAAAUUGAUGAAUAUGAUAAUUAAAAGUUAAAUUCAAUGAAUCAAAGUUUUCAAUAUGAAGAAGUUGAAGAGUUUGUGUAAUGUAAGUAGAAAGAACUUCUUCAAAAAUAUAUCUCUCUUAUAAAUUUGAUAUUAUCAAGUUAAGAAUAAAGAGAGAUGAAAACCUUUGAUGAGUAAAAGUUGAUUCAAGAAAUUUGAUUUAACAAUCAAGGUUUUCAAUGUGAAGAAGUAGAAGAAUUUAUACAAUGUGAGUGCAAAUACCUUCUUCAAAUAUAUAUCUCACCUUGGAAAUUAAUACAAACAAGUUAAGCUCCAAGAGAUAUGAAAAACUUUGAUGAAAGGAUGAUUCAAGAAAUUUAAUUCAAAGUUUUGUUGUGAAGAAAUAAAUAAAAUGAAAAUAAAAGUUAAGCUUCAAAGAAGAUUUUUCACAAUAAUAACUCACAAGAAAGCUCUCUUCAUUGUUAUGUUGAGGAAUGGAAGAGAAAUGGAAUUUAUAGAACUCAAUGGACAAAAAUCUAUCCAUCCGGAUGUCCGGUUAUGAUCCGAACACCCAAAACUAGCCGUUGUGUAAUAGUAAAAAAAAAAAUUACCGUUCGCGGAUCCGGAUGUCUGGUUGACCGUUGACCGGACCUUUUUUUUUUCCAUAAAGAAUCAUGGUCUAAGUUCAAAGAUGACUUUUGAAAAAUCAAACUUAUUUUCUUUUGUUAAAAACAUUUUAUGCAAGUGGUAGUGAAAAUAAUUUUUGGUACACAAAAUGAUUUUGUGUCGUGAAAAUGUUUUCGUGCAUAAAAACUGUUUGAGCUAUAAUCGAUGCGAAAUAUUAAAGUGUUCUACCUUUACAUUUGAGUUCAAAAACGCAUCUAUAUCAAAUGUCUUCAAUAUCUUCUUCCAAUGUGAUUUUUGAUGCAAAUGCUCGAUUUCCAUCUCCACGUUCGUCUAUCUCCAAUUUGCUUCCAUGUUGAUCUCCAAGCAUCAAAAUCAUUUGUCCAUGUGCGUGAUUCUUGAUCCCGAUUCUAGCGCCUUCAUUUGUUGUUAAUUCCAUGAUAAUUACUAUCAACACUCAAAUUCAAUUUGUUAGAAUUAAACGCAAUUUGUUUGUGAUAAUCAAAACGAGAAGUCAACCAUUUGGUCAACAAUAGCCACUUUAGAAUCUGACUCAAUCCAAAUGUCUGAAAGACCGAGUCCUCUAGCUAGUAGAAUUCCAUCAAGAAUAGCCCUGAGCUCUGCCUCUAAUAUCAUGCACGUUCCAUAUGUAGUUGAAAAAGCCUUGAUACAGGAUCAUGCGUGAUCGUUGAUGAUACCUUUCCCAUUUGCAAUACCAUCCUUGACGCAUCCAUAAGUAUUGAUCUUGAUAUAUCCAAGUGAUGGAGUAGCCUACCAAACCAGAAUUGGAGGAGAUUGGGUAGGGGAAUCAAAGAAAUACCAAAGAUGGGUACAAGAGUCAAAUCUCUUUGUCAACGCAUAGCUUGAAACAUUCCUCCAAUAUGUAGAAAAGAGAUCAUGUGAUAGACCCUCCAUAUGAUACGUCUGGCCACCAUACAGAUCCUCCUAUGCUUUGCAUCAUUCCUCUCGGUCCAAAGAAACCAAAAUACCAGUAGAGGAAUAAUAGUACAAAUGUGUCCACAACGAACAUACUGUCCAGAAUACCUCUAUCUAACUCCCUCUUCUAAACUCAUAGGUAUCUGAAAAAUGUUCCCAAAAUGUUGUCGUACAUGAUCAGAAAUGUUACUGUCGGUGAAAAUAUGACUAAUAGACUCAAUCUCAGAACAACAUUGGCAGCGGGAAGCUGAUUGAUAGCCAAUCCUCCUCUGGAUAACCACAUCUACUAGAAUGAGGUCCUGCAUAGCCUCCAGCAGAAAAUAAGACAGUGGUUGGCAAAAUGGUGUUCAACAGUAGUCGAUAUGAAUUCUGAUUCUGGCAUCCUAAAUGUAUGAACUGCCAUGCCAACUUGGUAGUAAAGCUACCAUUCAAUGUAUCCCACCAAACAAUACAAUCUGGGGCAUCACACAUAAAGGUAUAGCCCCUAUCUCCUUUGCCAUAAAAGGAGGGAGAACCUGCAAUAAGCGUCCAAUGUCCCACUUAGGAUCAUCAAAAAAUGCCUGCACCCUCGCAGAUGUGUGCUGCUAGUGUGGUAAUAAUGAGUCCAAAGUGGUGUCUCCCUUCCAACAAUCAUGCCAAAAAAAUAUCUAACCUGCUCCAAGGUGCCAUACAAUGUGUGGCUCUAUCCGGGGCUCGAACAAUUUUAGCCUUUUCCAGGCAGGAGAAGCUGAGUGGGAGACUGCUGCAAGUAAAUGAUGUGUUCCCAUAUAAUAUUUGCCAAGUAAAAAUUAGGUCCAAAGUGAUCUCUGAGAACGAAACAACCACCAGAGCUUUUAUGGAGAAGGUGUCUACCAUAUCCUGUAAUCUUCUGAAACCUAGACCACCUUCAUUAGUAGUGAUGUGAACCCAGUUAGCUAGGUUGCUAUCAAACCCAUAGGAAUUGACAAGGACCCCAAGAACGCCCAAAUAAUGAUCAAGAUUUAGGAAUCAACCCACAAAAGUGAACUAAGCAACCGAACGUAUAUGAAAUGAACGACCUCUUAAUCACACAAUCUUGAAAUCUCCUCCGGAUUUGUGGAUUUGACCCAAAGAAUUAAUGAAUCAAACAACCCAAUGAUAACUACGAUGCGAACGACCAUUUGAUUACACAAUUCAAUGAUUCAUACCCGAUGUUUUGUUUGAACACCAUAAGAUAUCAAAUCUUGAUAAGUUCAGUAUUUUGAAGCAAAAGCUUCAAAAGAAAAUUUAUUUAAUAAUCCAUGAUAAAAGUUGUGUUACAAUGAAGAAAAUAAAACCUAAUUAUAUGGAAAACUAAAAACCUAAUUUUAUAAGGAAUAAAAGUCUAAGAAAUCUAGUUUUAAAAGGAAAUCUCAUGCUAACAUUGUAAAGAUAAGGAAAGAUUGGAAUUCUAAAACAAUAGGGACUCCUCGCAAAUUUUGGAAUUUUUUGGUCGUUUUUAGCCUAUGCGACCGCAAGGCAUUAAUGUAUGUGGUCGCAUGAUAUAUGGAGUUCGGCCCUCCAGAUCCCUGUAAUAUGUUGUGCGGUCGCAAGGACUUUUUAACCAAGCGGUCGUAUGGUUACGAUCUUGGUCUGAUUUCCAGUCGCAUGUAACACCUUGAUUUGUUUGGUUUCGACCUUGGAACCCUUCAUCAAAUAUGUCAUUUGGCUUCACAUCUUCAACCUCUUAGACUCCAAUGCUUCAAUCAGUAAUUGUACAGCUUGAAUUCGACCCCCAAUUGGUCUCCAACUAAGCUCAAACUUUGCCCUUGGCCUCUCGCCCACCGUCAACAAGCUCUCAUUCAACUCGAGCCUAUUCUAGAUCACAUUAAGUAGAAAGGCGAUCCUUCCAUCUCUGCCAAUGUAACCACAAUGCCUGUUCCUUGGAAUCCCAUAGGAAUCGCGCAAAGAUGCUCUCAAGUUUCUUCAAGCCAGCCUUAGGGUGCUGCAUAAUUUGAAGAAGAUGUAGUGGCAUAGAAAAAACAUUGAUCUCAGCAAGAUAAUAUGGCCACCAGGUGAUAAUAAUCGUGAAGCCCAACCUGAGAUCUUAUCCCUGGCCUUCUAGAUAAGAUUAUCAUAAAUGAAGCUCCUUCUAAUCCUCUUAGAUAAGUGGACUCCCAAAUAAAUGAAAGGUUGUUGCGGGUGUCGAAAUCUAGUCAAAAUCUCCAAUCGUCUGAUCUGACUAAUGGAUGCCCUUCUAGCUAGUAUAAGUCCACUCUUGUCCCUAUUCACCAACUGAACAAAAAUCCCUUCAUAAUGUUCCAGACAAUGAAAAAGCUUCCUAAUAGACUGUUUCUGGCCGUUGGAGAAUAUGAUCAUAUCAUUAGCAAGUGAAAGGUAUGAGAUAAGAGUACUACCUCCAUGCCGAUAACACAUACUGGGAUACUUCUGAAACCUCUAAGUGAGUAGGCGUGAGAAGUAGUCUGCAGCUAUGAUGAACAAUGAUGAUGAAAUGGGAUCACCCUGUCUGAGCCCUCGUAAGGAUGAAAAAAUCACAUGGGCGACCAUUUAGGAGUACAGAAAAAUGACACUCCGAGAUGCAUCGCCUAAUCCUGUCGAUCCAAAUUUGAUCAAAUUCGAAUGCCUCCAAUACAAAAUAAAUGAAGCCCCUAUCCAUAAGAUCAUAUGCUUUAGCCAUGUCUAGCUUCAGCACAGUGUUACUCCCUCAUACUCUAGCAUCCAAAGAAUAGAGUAGCUCCUGAGCUAAUAACACAUUAUUCGCAAUCAAGCGGCUAGGGAUAAAUCCACUUCAUGGAGGAGAGAUAAUGCGUGGUAAUAGUGAACUCAACCAAUUGUUCAAAAGCUUAGUUAUAAGCUUAUUGAACAUUGUGCAUAAACUGAUGGGUCUGAAGUCAGUCCAUCUACAAGCUUCAUAUAUCUAAGGGAGUAAAACGAUAGUUCUAGUGGUAAAACCCCGUGGAAGAUGGCCACCUUAAAAAAAGUCCAAACGGCCCUAUAUAUAUUGUCCUAAAUAAUAUCCCAGCAAUACUGGAAGAAUAGAGAUGAGAACCUAUCCAGACCUACAGCACUAUUAGCAUCUAUGCUAAAAAUCGCCUCCCAUACCUCAUGAAUUAAAGAUGGACGCUUUAGAGUCAAAUUAUCAUCCUCCGUCAAGAGCCUGGGAAUAAUAUCAGAAAGGAUGGGGUCCAAAAGCUAUGGAGAAUCAAAUAGAAGAUUCUGGUAGAACUUCGACAGCCCUGCACCAUCGUAUGAAAGUAUCGAGUAUUAUGAUCUCCCUCACAUACCCAACAUAAGCCUGCCUUUAGCUUCCAAAAGCCCUCCUCAAUAGAUAAAGUUUGAUUCAAAUCUGCCUAAGCAUGAUGUAGUAACUUGCGAUGCUCCGGUGUAGGGUCAUUGUCAUAUACUGCCUCUGCUUCAUCAACCAUAUCCUCAGCGUCCCUCACCCUUUGGAACACAUCUCCAAUCACAUGUCGAUUUCACCAACGCAGUCCCUAUUGUAGCCUUAAGAACUUCUCCAAAGAACAGUCAUCUCUAUAAGAUGUGUAGGGAGUGACCAGUUUUGAGAGACAAAGGCUAAAAAAUCAUAAUGCUUGGUCCAAACAUUGAGGAAUCUGAGAAGUUUAGGCCCCAAAUUAUCAUCAGAUACCUAUUGAAGUAGUAAAGGCGAAUGAUCAGAUGAAGUCCGAUUCAAGUUCCUUAUUGUAAGUUGUCGACAGAAUGCUGUAGCUGUAAAAUUAAUAAGUAUCCUAUCCAGUCUCUUUCUAACUUGACCCAUUGGUCCUAGUGUAUCGAUUCCCAAGAAAGCUAGCAUCCUCCAAGCCAUAGUCUAACAUCAUGUCAGAGAAAGCAGUAGUGCUUCCAUCAUUAAUAUUAUGACCAGUGCGUUCACCAUCAUGUGUGAUAACGUUGAAGUAUCUCCCAACUAGCUAAGGGUCGUCCAUAUCAAGAAAAAUGUGGGGAAGAGCCGUCCACAAAUCCCUCCUGAUAGUCGCCUAACAUGAAGCAUAGACGGGAGUCAGAUAGAUGGGACGUGCUAGUCUAGGAUCCUCAACUCUAACUUGAAGGAAUUGGGAGAUGAUCAACAAUAAUAGUAACAAUAGUGCCCACAUUCCAAACAAACCAUAUCUUGUUCGACUCAUUCUGAACAUCCAUGUCAAAGCUUAGGUAUCAUCAAAUAUGUGUAAAUCUAUGUUGUAGAACUGAAGGCUCCAGUGUAACCAAGCGAUAAACUUGAUGAAGCCAUAUAAGUCUUCUUAGGCGCCGGCGAGUCGCCACACUAGUUGUAGCUCUCGCAUUCCAUAUGAUGGCACUCAUAGGGACAUAGAAUAUGAGAGGUAUCAUGUGACUGGCUCCUAGUAACUCUCCUACUCAGAUGUGGAAUAUUAGUAGCCCGCUGUUGUUUCUUUCGUUUAACCCGAACCAAAUUUUCAUCCCCUGUUCAUCCAACCAUUCCAAUCAGAUCCUCGUUAGAGGACCUACAAAAUAUGCCUUACUGGUACACCUCAAUCUGUGGUGAUCACUCUAUAUCGGGCUGUUCAGACUCUAGAGAUGGAAUAGAUGCCUCAACGUUCUGCUGAUAAAGAGAAGUAUAGUGGUAAUAGGUGCCAGAGUAAGUGGAGAUGGACCUAAAAUCUGUGUAGCUCUGAUACCUUCAUACUUUGAGUCAUCUGGCAUCAGUGGUUUUUAGACCAUAAAAUCCACAAGGGAAUUGAAAUAUGAAGUAUAGGCGGCAUGUCGACUUGAGGUGAAUUCCCAUUAGCAUCAACUAUAGUAGGCAAAGAUGGCAAUGGAGAACUGGUCUGAGUAGAAACUAAACUCAGAACUGGCUGAACUGUGCAAUAUGUGGGACUCACUGAUGGAGCAACUGACUGAACCUGAACAUGUUUUCCAACAAGAGCUGGUGUGUCAACCGUAGCAAAUGGUGGUACUGGUCGUGAGAUAGACUGAAUCUAGAUGCCUAAAGUGCUAAUAGUAUGCUAUCCUCGUUGUUCCCUACGAAUUGGACCAAUUGCUUAGAGGGCUCAACAAGUGUUUCCUUACCCUUUCUCUUGUCAUUGUCCUGAUCAAUAGGCCUAGGAACACGGUCCUCAUCUGUGAUUGCAGUAGGUGGUGGUGCUAGGCAUGUUCCAAACGAACAGUGCUCGUUAAUAUGUCCAAAGUGUUUGCAUCGAAAGCAAUAUUCUGGUUUUUUAUCAUAGAGGACAAUCUGCUAAUAUCCACCACGCUUUUCCCUCUUAAUCCAAACCCUGUCAAGGAGCUUAUACUCUAAAUUAACCUCAAUACAUACCCAAGCCUCACUAGGUUGAUAAAAAUCUGAUGUUGCCUCAUCAAUACGCAGUGCCACUCCAAUUGCCUUAGCUAAGGUAAAUAAACUACUCUUGACCUGAAAAUGAAUGGGCAAUAAAAGAAAGGAAACCGAGACAGAAGCAAUAGGGGUCUCAUAUUGUGGACUGAAACUAGAUGUCCAUUUAAUAACUUGCAUAAAAAAUCCAUCAAUGUACCAAGUGGGUUUGAGGAAUAACCUUGAGUAGUUAUCCUCGUGCACUAAAUGAAUUAAAAUAUGUGAUGAAUCAAUAGGCCUAUCAUGAAAACCAAAUGUCUGAAAGCUAUCAUGUACCUUAACCAUUGAGGGCUUGCGCUGAGAGAAUUUAUCGACAAGUUUAAACUUGUAUGGCUCAGAUAAAAAUUCUUCCUCCUUCUCAGUAAAGGAAAUUGCAGCCUCCCCCAUAUGCAUGAAAGGUUCCUUGGAAGCAGGCCCGUGGUCCCUAAAAUCUUGUGGGGGCCUGAAAGACAAGUGUAAAAGAUUUUCUUUGACUCCUUUCUGCCUAAAAAGUAAUAGGUUUGCCAGAAAGGGCGGCAGCAUAUGAUUUCUUAUCCUAACUCUGUGAUGUCUGACCUACUAGUGGCAACCGAGCUUGAGCUGAACUUCCAGAAAGAAUAGUCGUGCCAAGUGGUCGCAUUAUCUGAGGCAAGGUACCUUGGGAUUUUGCAGCUGGACAUGGAUUAACAUGAUCAAUUUGGUGAGAAAAGACCUGGGAAUCAUGAGGAAUAGUUACUGGUUCAGUUUCUUGAUUUUCGUGCGAAGGCACGCUUUCCAAUGUAGUAAUUCUGUUAAAUUGGGAGGAAAAUUUCCAACCACAAGGAUUUUUGGGGCUAUUGAGAGCAAUGGGAAGGGUAAGACAAUCUGAUUUUGCCCAGGAAUUGUUGAAUUAGCUUGCCUCGUUUUGCGUGCCAUUAGACACUAAUCCCAAAGAGUAGUUUCGGACCGAAUUGGACUUAAUGUGCAUCAUCCUAGGGGUUUUCAUGGCUUCCCAAUUCAAUGGAGAUGGUCCCACACCCAGGAUUCGAGCUGAAUCGAUAGAAUUUAUCGGCACAGAUUGCACCUGAUCCAAGGAAAAGUGACUUUAAAAUUGAAAGAAUUGACGUUAUAGUUGGAGCAAUUAGGACAAGACCCAAUGUUGGUGUUGCUUGAAUUAAGUUUCCAAUGAUUGAAUUGGUGGAUUUGAGCGUACUAGAACCUUCAAUUAAUUGAGAAGAGCCAGUUUCGCUCGCGUUGGUUAUUGUCGAGUUCAAUUCCAAAAUUGGUCCGUCUAACUGAUGAAUUGAUGCUAUUGAAGAAUGACCCAUAGUUGUACCAAUAGUAAUUGAAGGAUUGAAGCCCAGUAGAAUCCUCAAUUGGAAAGGGAUUGGCCAAACCAGUACGUGUGUUACUUAUCUUUUUCAAUUUAUCUAUGUUAGCUCGAAAUUGGUGAUGACCCAUAGGCUGAUUUGAUGCAUCUGGAUGAGGCGUUGCUGGGGGAGGUGGCCCAAAAUUUUCUGAUGAAGGUGCAGUAUUCGUUGUUUGGAGAAAUGGUUGUAAAUUUUGAUUCUCAGUGUUGUUAGGUGUUAUAAGACCAUUUGUAGGUGCUAAAUGAAGAGAUUGUUCGAUCUGGGUGAUGGACAAGGCACGGGUGUCACCGAAAAUAGUAAUUCCAGCUUGUUUUGAUGAGAUUUUUCUACCAUAUCUGUCGGAUCUACGGCCUGUGUUUGAUUAGGUUAUGAGGAGGGCAGGGAGGGCUUCACGUAGGUAUGUUGGUCCGAUGGCCUAGGUGGCCAGAAGUUGUCGAAAAUUAACUCCAUAAAGUGGUGAUGGUAAGAUUGUUUAGGGUAAUUUUAGUAGAGUUUUGAGUAUUGUGAUUCUCAAAAUAUAUUUCUCCUAAAAAAGGGUCUCAAAUAGGGCUUAGCCUAUGUUUAAUUUUGUUUUGAGGUGUUUAUAAGCUCGUUGAUGCGAACCCACGUAAAGGGUCUCAAACAAGGCUUAGCCUAUGUUUAACUGUAUUUUUGGGUGUUUAUAAGCUCGUUGAUACGAACCCACGUAGCAGCGAUGGCUACGAAACUCACAACAAGAUUGUUAGAACCUAGAAAAGAUGAAUUGCAGGUUUAUGAGUUUGAACCAAGAAAUCCAACAAGAUCGUUGCUUGAAACACCCAUUGAUUACAUGUUCAGAUAUUCACGCCCAAGUUGUUUGAACGCCACAAGAAUUAUGAUUCUUGAUAAGUUCAAGAUGUUCAAUGAAGAACGGAAGAAGAAAGCACAAUUGCCUCUCAAAGGAUUCUCUCAAUUUAUUGAAUAAAUUUGUGCAAUGUCGUGUAUUACAAUGAAGAAAUAAAGCCUAUGUUUAUAUUAAGUAUCAAACCCUUAAAAUCUAGUAGAAUUCGUGCAAUAUAAGUCAAAGAUUACGAUAAUAUGAAAUAAGAAUAAAAUCUAGCCUAAUAUGGAAAAUCCCCAAAAAGAAAAUAUUCGCCUAAAUUUUUUCUCUGUGGUCGCAUAGAAGAAGCCUUUGACGCCCAAAAAUUCCUUGCCUGGUUGUAUGGGACCGCAUCAUUGGAUGAACUAUGCGGUCGCGUAGUUGCUGACUUUGGCUCCAACUUCAUCCGCUUCUAUCACAUUGAUCCACUUUGAUUCGGCACUCGACCCGAGCAUGAAAGUUGCCUCAUUUUACAUCCCGAACAUCGUCACAUCCACCCAUCCCUACAUGGACACCACCACCAUCUUCUUUCCCACUCCAACCACCACCCAUCUUCAACUAAUUCCAUACACACUUUUGAAAAUAUGGUUUAAUAAAUUUUAAAUUAAAAAUAAUACGAAAAGCAAAAGCACAAGAGUGAAUGGAAAUGGCUGCCUGGGAUUUUAGCAUGACGAUGCCCUAAGCUUAUUUAAUAUUUAACAUUUUUCAAUUUAUCAGUCUAGUACAAAAUUAAAAAAUUAUUCUCCCAGACUUCAUUCUUAAAAAAGUGUUGUUCAUUUUCUCCUCUUUUUCUUAUCCCUUUUUGGAUGUCCAUUUAAAUUCAAUCUUUAACCUGUAAUUUGAUUUUUUCUUGUUGUAAAUUCAAGAUGGGUUAUGCUUGAAAGUUUGCCAACUGAACAUAUCUAAAUCGACUAUUUUCAAUAGUCCUGCCAAAAUGAAUUCAUGUCAUCAAGGUAUGCUUCAUAAUUAACUCUGAAUGUCAUAUGUGGUGAAAUUAUACGUAAAUCUCAUUUUUUUUCUUCUCGUAGUUUGGUACAGUAUGUCACUAUUAGAGGUAGUGGGAUCGAACAGAUCAAGGGCAGAGCCAAGUACUUUGUCCAGUGCAGGCACAAAUUUAGGUGUCCGCUACAGUAAAUUUUUUGGGGGCCUAAAGUAGUAUAAUUAAUGGAGAUGCACAAACAAAAACUCAAAACACAUUGUACACAUUUAUAUGAGCAAAGAGGCAUGUUUUGUGCAUAUAUUUAUGAAACAAUAGCUGAACAGCUUGAACUACAAAAAUAUAAUCAACUAGGAUUUCCAACCACCUUCAACCUUUACCUGACCCCAGAACUUGCAUUGACACCAGAAAUCGAGCCUUUCAAUUGGGCAAACGUUGGAGCCAAUAUAGCAAUCCGAGAUCAAGCAGUGGCAUCGCAGCGUCGAGGCUCCCUCAGCUUAGAAUCAAAGAUAGGGUUUCAAUCGAUUUACCAGAUUUGGUCUACUGUCUGUGUUACCUUGGUCAGUGGGAACGGUUUUAACUGAUGUAGGCAUAUGGGCUAUGAUCAUGGGUUAAUGUUAAGAAAAGCCCAAUUUAACAAAAAGCCCACAAUUUUUUUUAAAAAAAAUGGCCCAACAACUCACCUUCCCCAUCAAUUCAUCCCUGCUCUUCAGUCUUCACUGCGAUGGCGGCUCUGGAAUUUUCUUCUCUUCUUGGUAUGGACAGAAAAGGCUUACAGGUUACAGUUUAGAAAAAAAUUAUUAGUUAGCUUAAGAAAAAACCCUUAUACCCUUCUUCCACUUCCAGGUUUCCACUCUGCGCUCAACUCUUUGACUUCAAGUGAUGCCUGGAUCUGUCGGAAUUCUCAGUGCUGGCACCGUCUUCAUCUACUGCCUAAAAUUUCAGUGCUUGAAAUCCCAGUGCGGGCACCUACCCUCACUGGUCUGUAGUUGGCUCCGCCCCUAGAACAAGUGGUGGUUGGAAGAGAGAAGAUGAGGCUUUUGUUUAGAAAAUUGUAUAGAGGACAUUUGUGCCAAUAAAAAAAAAUGUCAUUCAUGCAAAACUUUUCAAAAUUUUCCACAUUUAGAAAGGACACCUUCAUAAAGUAACCAAAAUAAAAAAUUAUGGGUUCAUUUUAAAUAUGGCAACUUUUGAUUUAUUAUUAUUAUUAUUUUGCAAAAAUAGUCAUUUUUUAAUUAAGAUUAUCAUUAUACCAUUUUCCAUAAGCAUUAAAGGUUUUUUCUGGAACUAGAUAGAACAGGACGAUUUCACUUCAGUUCUUUUACUAAAUGGGUCAAUUUUGGAAUCACACAACGAGAACCUAUCAGUUUUGAUCCAAUUCUAGGUACUGUCUUGAGAACUAAUAGUGAAUUCGAUUCUCCUGAAUUUCUCUUUUUGUUGAUAUAUUGUAUCAAGAUGCAUCAGAUCUUUGAAUACUAGACCCAAAAAUUAUCCUACACCGGAAUUUCACUUUCAUACACUUCUCUUUCAUUCUUUUGCAGCAAAGGAAUAAUAAGUGGUUUUAUAUUUUGUUUUUGUUUAUUUUUAAUUGACAAGUAGUUUUAUAAUUUAUUAUUAUGAUUUUUCUAAAGAACCAGAUCGAUCGAACUGGAAUUGAUUGGAUCGGUUCCAUAGUUGAAUAUGAAACCAAUAGUCCCAUUUCUAAAAUUUUCAUUGGUACUUUGUUCGAUUCGAUUCCUUUCAAAUUCGGACUAAAUUAGACCGUCCCAACUCUUAACAAGCAUCCCUAUUAUCGCAAUCCAGUAACCAUCAUCUUCUUCAACAUCCCUACACUUGCACCAAACAAAUAUCUUCUUCUUCAACAUCCCAAUACUUGCAGUAAACAGCCAUCAUCCAACACCAAAAUCCAACAAACCACCACCACCCAACACUAAUAUCUGGGGAUAAGGAAAACCGUUGCAACCUUCACCAACACUAGUCGCGCGUAGAUCUACUCGACCACCAUCGCAACCACCAUAACUAUAUUACCACUCCACCAUUGCAACCACCACCAAUCACAACAAUAACCACCUUUGCUCCAGCACCACUCGCGGUUGCUAGCAGUAACAUAUUCAAUUGUUAUAGAAGCGGUAAUUAUAAUCUCCUUCCCCGAGUGAUAUUUAUGAUUUUUUCUAUUAAAUUCUAACUACAUAAAUCAUCUCCAAUUCUCACUACAGUUUCUUAUGUGCUAUAUUAUUUUUUUAAAAAAAAUAGGUGGAAAAGUAAUGGAGUACUUCAUGACUCCACGAUGUAACAUUUUCUAUUUUAAAUUUUGCAUUAUGUUUUACCUUAUGUUUUUUACUUAAAGUCUGUUCAAGUUUCGUUCUUUGUCCAAAAUUCAUUUUAAAAUAGUAUUUUUAUAGAGAAUGUGUGGUCAAAAAUAAGGAAAAUUUUCGGAUUGAUGUGUAAUAUUAUUUUAUUGAAAAAUAUAUAUUAAAAAAUAAGAAAGAUAAAAAUAUAUUUUAAAAAUAAUGGGGAUCAAACACAGGCUUAGUCUAGAACGCUAAAGGUAGUUGCAUUUUGUUAUUAUUGAGUACAUAGAACCAACUAGUGUUCCUUACUUUUAGAUAAGCCCGUAUAAUUUAUUUUUUCUUGAACUUUCGAGCUGUUACUAAAUGGUACACAAAUGAUUAUUUGCAACGUUUUGUUGUAAUUAUGGUUUUAUUCUUUAAUAAAGACAUCCACACAUUCUUAGCGAAUUUUUAGGGUCCACCAGGAAGGUCGAUAGGGAUUAAGGGUUCCCUAAAUAUAUAUAUAUAUAUAUAUAUAUAUAUAUAUAUCUUUGUAUUUUGUCUAUCAUAAUUUUGAAUCUCAAUUCUGCCAAAUGCCAUUCUUCUGUAUUCUACGUGAAGUUUUUAGGCCAUUAAUUAUUCUGCACUUUUUUAUUAACCCAAAUUGCAGAGGCAACCAGAAUUCAGUAAUUCCGGCAAGAUAUGGAGAAGAUGAGAAGAUAAUGUGAAGAGACGUGAAGACAAGAUGAAGUGAAAUGGAAAGAGAUUUGAACUUUUCCAUAUUUAUCCCUCUUUGGAUCUUAAUUUGAUUGGUUGAUUGGUUUUUAAUUGAUUAGUAUAAUAUUUCCAUUUUGGCUUGAUUNNNNNNNNNNNNNNNNNNNNNNNNNNNNNNNNNNNNNNNNNNNNNNNNNNNNNNNNNNNNNNNNNNNNNNNNNNNNNNNNNNNNNNNNNNNNNNNNNNNNNNNNNNNNNNNNNNNNNNNNNNNNNNNNNNNNNNNNNNNNNNNNNNNNNNNNNNNNNNNNNNNNNNNNNNNNNNNNNNNNAUAUAAACCAAACGUUCGAAAAAGCAACAAUGCAUAAAGUGAAUAAAAAAGAAAUUAAAGCAAUAAAUAGGAAAGUACUACUUCUCGGUACAAUGGAAUUAAUGCAAAAAAUGGAACCUAAGCUACAAACCUCUAAGCUGGGUAGUCCAUAUCUAUCGAUCUGCACCAAUGUCCUAAUCUGUAGUGGUAGGUCGGACGAUCCAUACUUCUGAUAGCGCCAGUGAUCCCAACCCGCUGAAGCAAGCGAGUCUGCAACCUGGUUCCCUUAUCUAUAGAUGUGGGAAACCAUGUCUCUGUUGAAGGAGAUGAGGUCUUUGAUCUGUCUAAGAUUGCCCUGAAUCUUCCAUGGUCCUUUGCCCCUGGUGAUGCAGUGAAUAGUCACGGUUGAAUCUGCCUCAACCGAAAUAGCUAAUAUCCCAAUUCCUCGGGCCAAUAGAAUCAGUUUUCAAAAUCAAACAUGGGACAUAUGAUGCUGAGAAUGCCUUGAUGCAGUGUGUUGUGUGGUCCCUAAUGAUGUCUCCACCACUCGAAAAUUCAUCAUGGACGUAUCCAUCAAUGUUGAUCUAGUAAGAUCCUACUGCUAAGGUACGCCAAACAACCAUAAUAGGUGGUGGUGGAGAUAUAAAUACCAAAGAGUGGUGCAAGUGCUAAGUCUCACCGCCAGUGCACAACUCUAAAAAGUCCUCCCAUAUGAAGAAAAGAAAUCAUGUGGUAUACUCUUCAAAUGAUCCAUCUGGCUACUAUGCGGAUCUUCCUAUGAUUUGCAUCAUUCCUCUCGGUCCAUAAAAACCAGAAAAUCAGUAGAGGAAUAAUAGUGCGAAUGUGUCCACAGCGAACGUACAGAAUACCUCCAUCUCUAGAACCUCUGUCUGACCCCAUCUCCUAAUCUCGUAGGUAUAUGGAAAAUGUCCCCAAAGUGUUGCCAUACAUGAUCGGAGAUGCUAUUGCCAGUGAAGAUAUGAUUGAUGGUCUCAAUCUCAGAGCAACACUGACAUCGAGAAGCCAAUUGACACCCAAUCCUCCUCCUAAUAACUACAUUUACUGGAAUGAGAUCCUGCCAUAAUCUCCAAUAUAAGAAUGAAACAGAUGUAGGCAAAAUAGAGCUCCACGGCAAUUAAUACGAGUCUCGAGACUAGUGAACCAAACUAAUUAACUGCCAUGCUGAAUUGGUAGCAAAACUACCAUCCGAUGUAACCCUCCAAACAAUAUAGUCCAUGGCAUCUAUAGAUAAAAGUAUCGCCCCUAUCUGCUCUAUCAUGUGAGAAGGAAUAGCCGAUAAUAAUAGUCCAAAAUCCCAACCAGUGUCAUCAAAGAAAUCCUGCACCCUCGCAGAUGUGUUCUGACUAUUUGGGAAUAGGGAUGCAAAUGUGGUAUCACCCAUCUAGCAAUUGUGCUAGAAGAACAUUUGUCUCGUGCCAAGGUGUCAUGCAAUGUGUGGCUCAGUGUGUGGCACAACUCUUUUCAACCUCUUUUAAGUGGAGAGGCCGAGUAGGGGAACAACUGCAAGUGAUGGAUGAGUCCACAUACAAUAUUUUCCCAAUAAAAACUGAGCUCAAAGAUAACUUUGAGACCGAAACAACCACCAAAGCUUCAUAGAAAAGUAUCCACCAUAUCUUAGAGUCUUCUGAAACCUAGUCCGCCCUCAUCUACUGGAAGGCAAAUCUCCUUCCAACUCCUCUAGUGUAGUUGGCGUGCCUAUUCCAUAGAAUCCCAUAGGAACUUUGCAAAGAUGCUCUCCAACUUUUCAGUACAGCCUUGGGAGGCUACAUAAUCUAAAAAAGAUAAAGUGGCAUAGAUGAUAAUACUAAUCUCCAUCCUUCAAAAUUUUCUAACAAUCUCAAACUAUAUUUUGUGAUGGAGAACAAGACAACCAUGGCGACUAUCAAACUUAUGAAUCAAGAUAUGGUUCGAUUGGAUCGUUUUGACAGGACUAACUUGAUGCGGUGGAAAGAUAAGUUGAAGUUUCUCCUUACUACAUUGAAGAUCUUUUACAUUCUAGACUCGAAUUUGGCACAGUUACCGAAACUAACAAAUGGAGAGACCAAAGCAAUCAAGGCUGAAAGAUAGAAAUGACAAGAAGAUGAAUUAAUUUACCACGAUCACAUAUUAAAUGUAUUGUCAAAUUGCUUGUAUAAUCUAUACACCAACACUUCUUCGACGAAAGAAAUAUGGAACGCAUUGGAAAGUAAGUACAAAGCGGAAGAAUAAGGUAUAAAGAAUUUUUUUUAUUUCAAAGUACUUUGAUUUUAAAUUUUUGGAUAAUAUCUCCCUUCUUCUCCAAGUACAUGAAUUGCAAGUGAUUGUCAACAAACUAAAGAUGGUAAAGAUUGAGUCCCAGAGACCUUUCAAGUGGGGGGCUAUAAUUGCUAAACUCUCGGGGGUUUGGAAAGAAUACCAGGAGAAGAUCAUGCAUAAUUCCGAAUAUUAUUCUUUGGAUUUGUAAAAACAUCUUCAGAUUGAGUAAGAAUCCAGAUUGCGUGAUAAGAGUGAAAGAACUUCCAAGGCUAACGCCAUUGAAAAAUUUGAGCAGCCUACAAAAUUCGACAAGAGGAAGCCUUCGAGAAACUUUAAUAAGUCCAAGGAGACGACUAAAGGAGGGUGUUUUGUGUGUGAAAAAUUCGGUCACUAUGCUAAGAAGUGUGGACACUAAAAACAAAACAACUUUGAGGGUAAAGUGAAUUCCAUCCAAAAUGAUAAAAUUAUAGCUACCGUAAGUGAAAUAAAUGCUAUCAAGGGAAAGGUUCCCGGGUGGUGAUAUGAUACUUGUGCUACCGUACAUGUAUCAUAUGAUAAAUCAUUUUUCAAAAUAUAUCACGAGGUGGAUGGAAACCAAGAAAUUCAAAUGAGUAACGAAGUGCGGUCCAAAGUGAUUGGAAGGGGAAAUGUUGAUAUUAAAUUCACUUCUGGGAAAACUGUUACUCUUACAAAUGUACAUGUUCCUGAUAUGAAUAGGAACUUGGUUAGUGAAAAUCUCUUAGGCAAAUCGGGCAUUAAAAGUGUAUUCGAGUCCGAUAAACUUGUAUUAUCUCUUAAUGGAAAAUUUGUUGAAAAAGGCUUUUCUUGUGAAGGAAUGGUCAAAUUAUGUACCGUUGACAAUAAAAUAAAUAAAACUGAUUUUGCUUAUGCUGUUGAUUUAUUUUCAUUAUGGUAUGCUAGAUUAGGUCAUAUUGGAAUAAGAACUAUGAAAUGCAUGAAAAAUUGUGAAUUGAUUUCAUAUGAUGAAAAUAAUGAAAGUAAUUGCAAGAUAUAUGUAGAAUCUAAAAUGAUUAAAAAGCCUUAUCAUAGUGUGAAAAGGACUUCUAGUAUUUUAGAACUAAUCCAUACCGAUAUAUGUGAAAUGGAUGGCAUGUUAACUAGGGGCGGAAAUAGAUAUUUCAUUACCUUUAUUGAUGACUUUUCUAGAUAUACAUAUGUUUAUUUGAUAAAGCAUAAAAGUGAGACUUUUGAUAUGUUUAAAGUAUACAAAAAUGAGGUUUAAAAUUAUCUAGGAAAGAAAAUCAAAACUUUAAGAAGUGAUAGGGGUGGUGAAUACUUUUCCAGCGAUUUUAACUUGUUUUGUGUACGUGUCUUCACCAAUGUUCUGCAUCUAGGACUCCCGAGCAAAAAUGGUUUGGCUGAAAGAAAAAAUAGAACCUUAGUUGAAAUGAUUAAUGCCAUGCUCAUUUAUGCUAAGUUUCCAUUUAACUUGUGGGAUGAAACUUUAUUAAGUGCAUGUAGGGUAUUUAAUAGGAUUCCUUCAAAACGUACUAAGGUUUCUCUUUAUGAAUUGUGGAAAGGAAGAAAAUCAAACAUUGGAUACUUUAAAGUGUGGGGUGUCUUGCUUAUUGCAAGAACACAAACCCCAAUAGAACCAAACUGGGACCAAGAGGCAAUAAAUGUGUCUUUGUUGGAUAUGCGAAUAAUAACAAAUCUUAUAGAUUGCUGAAUUUGGAGCCCAAUGUGAUUAUUAAAUCCAACGAUGUGGAGCUCUUUGAAGAUUCAUUAUUUUCGGAUAAUGAAUUGAGGGAAAAUCUUGGAAAUGUCCCUAGCUCAAGCGGAACACGUGAUGAAAUAUCUUCUAAAGAAGUUGAUGAAUCUAGUGAACCAUGAAGAAGCAAGAGAACUCGGGUUGAGAAGACUUUGGGACCAAAUGAAAUUAAUUUUCAACUUAUCUUCUUUUUUUAGUAGAGUUAAAUGAGUUUAAUGUUGUAAAAACAAUUCCUUUUGUUUUACAAGUUGAAAUCGACCCUAAAACUUAUAAAGAAGCUAUGGCUUCUCGUGAUGGCGUCUUUUAGAAAGAUGCAACUAAGAACGAAAUGAAUUCGAUAAUGUCUAACAACAAGUGGGAACUUAUCAAUUUACCACCCGGAUCCAAACCUAUUGGAUGUAAGUGAGUAUUUAGGAGAAAAUAUAACAUGUUAUGUCCCUUGAAAAAUUUAGUUAUUGUGCAUUCUUGGUUGAGUAUUUCUCUUGAUGUACUUGGUUCAUUCCUCUUGAAACAAAAUCUGAACUUGUCUAUACUUAUUUGGCUUUUGAGCAAUAUGCCGCGAUCCAAUUUGAUGCAAAAAUUAAAAUCUUUCAUUCUGAUGGAGGUGGAGAAUUCAUUAACUUAGGGCUCAACUCUCACUUCCAAGCACAUGGCAUCAUUCAUCAGAUCUCUUGCCCUCACACCUCAGAAUAAACGUAUGGUUGAGCAUCAUCAUAGAAUAAUUCGUGAACUAGGUAUGGCAAUGUUAUUUCACCAUGCUGCUCCUUUAUACGUAUGUGUUCAUGCCUUUGCAACCGUUGCUUUUCUUAUUAAUUGUCUAUUCUUGAUUUAGAUGCACCAUAUUUCAAAUUUCAGGGAAAGCAUCCAAAUUAUUCCUUUCUAUGAGUAUUUGGGUCUAAAUAUUUUCCACAUACUUGGGAACUCGGAAAAAUAAAUUUGAUCCAAAGAUAGUACCAUGUAUUUCUCUGGGAUAUAGUGAUCGGCACAAAAACAGUAAGUACUUACAUCCAUCGACAAAAAAAUAUUUAUCUCACGGCAUGUGGUUUUUGAUGAGAACACUUUUCCUUGCAAGAAACCUCGAGGCCAUGAUUAUGUCAUUUCCCUCUAAUCAAUGGAUGAGUAUUUUUAACUUAUGGACUCUUUCUCAAACUAAUUCUUCCCCUCUGUCUAUAGGUAAUUGUGACUCACCUCUUCCAUCACCUGGUCUGUCAUAUCCAUGCACUCCACUUUAUGCUGUCAUCCAGCCCCUUCCAUUCCAACAACUUCUUCUAAAUCAACUUCAAUUUUACCCUCUGCCUCUGCGGACUUGAUGGCUACCCCACAUUUGCCACCUCAUUCAUCUGAUGAAACAGUCUCUGACACCUCUCACUUUCAUUUAACAAACUCUCAUUUGUCUUCUUAGCAUCAGGAUUCGGACACAACACCCAUGUCGCCUCUUUCCGCUUCAAAGCACGUCGAGUCUCAACAUAAAGUUGUUCCUAAUGUUUCAUUUGGGCAACCUGAGUUACUUGAACUAUCGGAGCCUACGAAUCAGCUGAUGGUAACAAGCUCUCAACUUAGCAUUUACAAACCCAAUCCCAAAUAUGAACUCACUGUUGUCUGUCAAGAUAUCCCAAGAGUGCUCUACUCAGUUAAAAUUGCUUUUAUUCAUGUUGGUUGGAGAGCAAAAAUGCAAGAGGAAAUGGAUGCUCUUCAUCGUAACAGCACCUUAUACAUUGAAUUAAAUUCUGGUAAUUUAUGAGUAAAUAAUAGACUUCCAGCUACAAAACCAAUCACUCACAAUGUUGAAAGCUUGGCGACGGCGUUGGGGCUCUCGACUGCAUAGUGAGAGGGAGAUAUAGGGUUUGGUUUGCGCCACACCGUCGUCUGUUUUUUGCAAAUUCAAUUUGUCGUAUAACAGGGGCUGGGUGCAAUACAAAGCAUAAAUUAAUGGGGCUAAUUUAAAAAAAAAACCAAAAAACACAAAAAAAAAUAUUAUAAUGCGCUUACAGAUAGAAAACUUUAAAGAAAAUGCAUACAUAUGAAUCUAAGAUGACACAUUAUUGUUUGCCUUUUAUGAGAUCCAUUACUUGACACUUAAUUGAAAUUCUCCAUUUACAUAAAAGGAAAGGGAAAAAUAAAAAAAAAAAAAAAAAAAAAAAAAAAAAAAAAAAAAAAAAAAAAAACCAACAACAACAACAAAAAAUUUAAAAAGGCCCAAAUCCAAACUUUAACCUUUUUUCCUGCUUCUCUAAUUCGUCCCCGGCUUCAAUCUUCCUCGCGGCACUGGAAGUUUGCUACAAUGGCAGCAUGCAACUUGUAAAUUCCGAAAAAAGUCUGCACGAGCGAUCGCACCAACUCGCCGGGUGCUGGCUCCGCCACUGACCAGAGCACCGUAAGAGCUACUUUUUACAAUGAGAAUUGCCACCAAGUGAAGGCAAGAUGCUGAAAAACAAGAUUUGGCUUGGAUUGUCUAUUUCAUCUCUCUUUCAUAAGAAUUUUCUGGAAUAUUUAUCUAUAUCUUAACCAUACUGACCUUUUUAUCAUUUUAUUUUGAAGAAUGUUAUAUAACACCAGUAGUGAUAUAGUAUCAGUUUCGGUGACUACACUUGAUAUGUUCAAUUAAAUAAAUUGCGUUACAUUACAUUUAAGUAAAUAUAUCAUUUAAUAUCAUGUAAUUGUCACAUUAGGGUGGUACUUGGCACUAAAGAUGCAAAAUAAAAUUAAUCUUUACUUUUUCUUGUACAUGUAUCACCUUGUCAUUAGAGGCUUAACAUAUUGUGAUUAAAGAUAGCUCCAUAUAUGACACGUGACAAACACGUGAAAUACGGUGUAUUUAAAUUAAGAACUGUUGAUGGUAGACGAUUAAUAAGAAAAACAGUAGUUGCAAAGGCAUGAACCCAUACUUAUGAAGUAGCACCACAGUGAAAUAACACUGCCAUACCUAGUUCACGAAUUAUCCUCUGACGAUGCUCAACCAUACGUUUAUUCUGAGGUGCGAGGGCAAGAGAUUUGAUGAAUGAUGCCACGUGCUUGGAAGUGAGAGCUGAGCCCUGAGUUAAUGAAUUCUCCCCCACCAUCAUAAUGAAAGAUUUUAAUUUGUCUCAAAUUGUCUCUCGGCAUAUUGCUCGAAAGCCAAAUAAGUAUCGACAAAUUCAUAUUUUGUUUCAAGAGGAAUGAACCAAGUACAUCAAGAGAAAUCAUCAACCAAACAUGCAUAAUAACUAAAUUUUUCAAGGGACAGAACAGGCGAUGGGCCCCAUAAAUCACAAUAAAUUUUAUUGAAGACGGUUGAACUAGAAUUAUUAGAACAAGAAAAGGGUAAUUUACUGAGUUUGCCUAAUUGACAGGUAUCGCAUAUUGAUUGUAAAUUAUUGGAUCCUUGAACAUGAAUUAACCCUUUUCUGUUUUAGAUGCGACAGCAUCUAAAAUGUUUGGAAAUUAACGCUUGCCGUCACCACCAAGCUUUUGGGCACAUUGCUCUUAGAGGCCUUCUGUGACUUGGACAUCAACUCCACCAUCUUCGCCGCCUUCUCGUCCUUGGUCUUCUUUAUUCUCUCCUUGAUCUCACUGAAAACAAAUACAAAGAGUCACGAUGUGUUCGGAUUAAAAGCGAGUACGAUGUUCUAUUCAAAGUAAGUCAGACCUUCAAAGUUGAUUUUUCUUACUGAUGAAACUUACCUUUCUGAAAUGGAAGUCUUACUUACUUUACAAAAGAGUAACUUAUAAGCACAGCCAAACAUACUCUACAUCUUGCUGAAAGCAUACUCAAACACUUCUAUAUUCACGAGAAUAUCAAACAUUUGAAUCUUUAACAUACCGUAAAGCAGCAUGACGUGCAGCAUCACGAACUUCUGGCUUUUCAGCUCUUUUCUUCUGUAUGACUUCCAAGGUUGCACCAACAAUUGAUCUAGAGUAGGGCUUCUGAGUGGUUCGGCGCUUCUUCUUCACAGUUUCAGCAGCAAUGUCCUAUAAAUCAGUCACGAGAACCAUCAGUGACAGCUAGAUUAUGAAGGGAGCCAAUUCAUCUAAGAAACAAAAGAAAGAUCAUUAAAAGGAAUUAUCACUAUAUUUCACCUUCUUAUGUUGUUUCCGGUAUACAGCAGUCCAUGUAAGCUUUGCAGGCCUCAGGCGAUUGUGAAAAUACCUCUUGCGUUUUGAGUUGGCAAAGUGGAAGACCUUCAACAGGGGAAAAAAAACGUCUUCAUUCCCCAAAAAUAACACAAAGUAAUAUUGGGUGAAAAGUAAAGUGAAAACUGAAUCCGCCCCUUAACAAAGUGACAUAAAUAAAGUAGGAAAAACAUAAAUUGUAUACAGUUCGCAACAAAAACAAAAGGGUGAAACUUUAGGAGUUAAGAAACUAGGCAAAAGGUUAUAAUGCGACACAAAUAUGAUAAUUCAAGCAACAAAGCUUCAACCACCUGGGAAUCUGAGCGAAUAAAUUUGAUACCCUUCCCUGGGUAUAUCUUGGCACCACUAAAUCGGCAAAGCUCUGUCCUGACAACCCAUAAUUAACAGGUGAGACAAACAAAAGAAAAUUAACUCUGAAAUUGAACGUAAAAUCUAUACAGAGUAGAAGCAAAACUUAUCCAAAGCAAGAUAACAUAUAUAUAUUUUGCAUCACAAGCAAAAUCAGGAGUAGGAUCAUCGCUUACAUCGCAUGAAUUCUUUGAAACACAUCAAAUACAACAAAGCAACGUCUAAAUAAGACGUUUGCGUCCUAUAUUUAUCUAUUUGAUAGCAUCUUCUGACUUUCAAAGUAAAACAAAAGAAUUCCAGAUUGAAAUACCAUAUGCUACUGUCUAGCCACAGUAAAAUAUUAAAUCCCCCAAUAAAUCUAAACUCAUACUAAAUUAACAACCCAUCUUUUUAAAAUUGUUAUUGCUACCUUUUGAAAUACCAAUAUGUCCUCCAUCUAAUAAAUAUUUUACACUCAACCUGUACGUGAAUUUCACCCCCCACACACCACCACCAUUUCUAUCGUAAAGUAGAAAAAAGUUCAAAACAGAUCCUUAAAUGCAACAGAUGACAUAUACACUAGAAAUCAGAAUUGAGCACUGGAUUACGCAUCUCAUCACAGAGAAGGAUGGCGGAACUCACUUGAGAACCAUUGUCAUGGAUGCCGAGCUCGCAGCGCUUCGUUUACUCCCGGAAAUGCAGAAACCCUGACUGCCCAUUCAGCAAUACACAGAGUAAAAGGCCACAAUGCGUAGGUUUAGGCUUGGAGUUUGGACCUUCCAUUCAUGAGCCCAUAUAUUAUUGUUGGGCUCAUAUACUAUCUACGAAGAGGAAAUUAGGCCCUAUACCCUUCUUUUUUAAUUGUUUUGAAUGCUAUUUCUCCGACUCCCUCUUGCUGUGCAGCUGGUGGCCCCUACCCCAUCGUCGAGCCUUCAAACUUGUAAGUGGAUUGGUAGUGGGUCUUUUGAAGAGCUUUAGUUGAGUAAUUUUGAUUUCCAUUUCCGAACCACAAAUUAUUUUCUUCUGGGCUCUUUUGGGUGUGAUGUUGUUUGAAAUGAUUUUACUUCAAUUAAUUUCAGAAGCAAAUAUACAAACUCGAGAAGAAGUUGUCGUGAAGCUGUUUAGUAUGAAAGUUUCGUAACUUUGUGAAUUUAAGUUCUUAUUUGGAAUAAAUUUUUUAAUUGUUAAUUUAUUAGUGGUUAAUCAACACCUUUAUUUUUUAUUGUUUACCUAUUGGGAAUUAGUAUUUGUAUUUACUAAGCUAGUUUAUUUGUCAAGUUUUAGCUAUUAACGAGACCAGCUGACAAAUCACUCGAGUUCAAGCAAUAGAUGUACUUCUUUGACAUCAAUGUGUGCAUUGAUUUGUUUCAAGCUUCACUUUGUGUACCUUUUCUGAAAUUUGUAGUGUCAUUUUCUCUUUAAGAAUCUGUUAAAAUUUGUAGUGUCUUUUUCUCUUCAACCUUGUGAAUGACUGGGAUUUUCAUUGGGAAAGAUUUAUGAUUUAUGUUUUAUAAAUUAUGAUUGUGAGUCUGCUGACUAAGAUUUAUGAUUUAUGAAAAUUGGGAAAUUAGUAAAUAUGUGAUAUACAUGGACUAUUAUUUGUGAUAAAUGAUAAAUUUGGGAAUUUGUGAUAAAUGAUAAAAUAGUCAUGUUUGCCAUUGUGAUUCUAGAAUGAGUUAUGCCUUAAUGGAAUUGGUGCACAAUGAAUAAGUUGUUGCUUAGGAUCCAUUAACGCACAAUUAGUAAGUUGUUCCUUAGAGGUGAGUUUGCUUUUUGAAAUCGAUAAUAAAAAGUAAUUAUCUCGUAUCUAUAAUGAAUAAAAGUUUCGAGGCUAUUGAGAUUCCGUUCAAAAUCUAAGUGUGGCCCAUCAAUUUUGCAAUCAACCAAAUUUGCUCAUAUUGUAAAAGAGUAAUGCUAUUUAACAACACUAAUAUUUGAUAGAGCAAUGUUAUUUGUCCCCACUGGGGAUGAAUAGCAUUUUUCUGAUAUUUAAUACCAGUCUAGAUAGUAGUACUAAUGACAUUAAAUUAUAGAUUCAAUUAAAUGUAAAUCACAUAAUUUUACAUUUAAUUGAAUUAAUCACAUAAUGUCACGUACUAGGUAACAUUAUUUAUUGUAAAAUUUUCAAUCAAGUCAUAUUCAGAUUACCGUAAUAAAAUUGUUGAAUUGCAAUCAAGAGAUUUGUAUUGCCAUUGUUUAUUGAGCUAAUCAUGGAUUACCUAGGAGAAAAUGUUCUGUCUGAUGACUGAAAAUUUAUUACAAAUAAUCUUAAAACGUAUAAUCAUAGAUGACAACUUCACAAAAUUCUCUCAGUUCAUUUUUUUUUUUUUGGCUAAUUACGUGUAGUUAUUUUGCAAAUAAUGAGAAAUAUAUUUUUUGUUCAUUCAUAUUUUAAAUUUAUUAAAUAUCAAUGAUUUAAAAUUCAACCCGAUUAUUGACUCAGAAAAGUUAAACAAUCAAGAGCCAAUAAGUUUAACAGGGUCUAAUUGAUGGUAAGAAAUUAUUAAAUCAAUACAAAAUAGUACAUAAGACAGUGUAAAUAUAUUUUUUUCCUUAUUUUUCAAAUAUACUUAUUUUAUACUAUUUUUAUUAAUUCUUAAUAAUUAUGAAAUAAAUAAGUACAAAAAUACAUAUUAAGCGGAAUAAUUUUAUUAAUUUACUACUCCCUCCGUCCCAAUUAUAUAGGUUGAGUUUCCUUUUUCGUUUGUCCCAAAUAUAUAGGCUUGUUUUCAAAUUUAGAAUCUUUUAUUUUGUUCCUUUACCAAUAUACCCUUAUUCAAUUUUAUGCACUUAAUAUGCCAAUUUCUUGAAAUCAUCCAAUUAUGCACAUUUCCCACUUCUUAAAAAUAUGGAACAACUCUCAUUUCUUUUUCGUCAAAUUAAAUCAUUCAAAUUAUUUAUUAAUUCCAACAAUAAUUUAUUACCACAUACUAAAAAUUAAAUAGUGGUAAAUUAGGAAUGAUCUUGACAAAAAUUAGUUUUCCAAUGAUAUUAAUAAGCCUAUAUAAUUGGGACGAAGAGAGUAUUAUAUCAUAUUGGGGUAUCAUUUCCACAUAGUAGAUUCCACCAUCUUCUUGUUGUGCAGUUCAUAUUUUCUAAAAUUAAUUGAUGGUGGCUAUCUCAAAACGAAAGAAAUGAAUGGGUGUGAAAUAUAGGAAUGUUACCAAAUCGGAAUCGGUUCAGGUGUUUCGAUUUUCGAAAAUCCAUUGACUUGCUAUUUUUUAUCAUAAUUUUUAAUGGUACGUUUUUUUUGUCUAACAGGCCCAAUUUCGAAGCCGAUUUCCAAUUUUGCCAAUUGAACUGGUCGGGCCGUGUCGAUUUUAAUAAUAUUUUUAAACAUUAUUUUUGGUCAUUGGCUAAACUUUCUAGAGUUUAUUUUCUUUAACAAUGGAUUUUUCAAUGAGAGACUAACAUGAAUUGAUGGGCACUUUAUUGUGACAUCAUUAACUAUGUUAACUUUUUUAACGGGCUUAGUUGAAGUGGUGGAUGGAGAAUAAUGAAUAUUUCAAGUUUAUUUCUCAAGUUCAGUGAUGUUAAUGAGAAGUAACGACGAAAGUUCAAUGACUAUUAUGAUAAUUAAGGCCAAUAGUUUAAGAGAGAUAAGAAAUACGCAUCAUAGUUAAUUAAUAUUUAAUUCAUUAAAAUAUUUUGUUUGUCUGUGCGACUUUGUCUUGUUAAUUAAUUUAUUUGUAAAUAAUUUUGAUUGGUGGGGCAUUUGAGAGUAAUUAGUCAAUUUAUUUAAUCUGUUAAAUUUUAGUUAAUGAUUUUCUCAGUUAACCACAAUAAAAUUAUUUGAAUCGACUGCAACAUCACCUAACUCAGCUCUUGUUUGCUCCCCUUAUUUUGAAAAUACGUUUUUUUUCUCUCUCUCUCUCUCUUUCUUUUUUUAAUCAUACAUUUUUUAAUAAAAUAAUAUUACAUGCAAAUCAAAUUUUUUUUAAAAAAAAAAAUUUAACCACACAUUUUCCAUUAAUUUACUAUUCUGAAAUGCAUUCUUAACCAAAAAUGGGGCUCAAUCGGACGCUCAAUUAGUUAACAACUUCACAUUGAAUUUACUUAACCUAAAAUAUUAGAAUUUUUUAUGCUAGAAUACCAACCAAAAUUAAACCUAUUCAAAUCUUAAUUUAUCGUUUAAAGAUAUAAUAAAGAGUAUACUUAAUUAUUUUUGUGCUGGAAUACCAACAAACAGCAAACCUACUUGGGUGCGAUUAGUGGAUCAGACUAGACUCGAUAAGAUAAAUAUAAACAUACGGCGAAUUGUAUUAAGUAAAUAGUAUUAUGUUGGAUUAAGAUGAAUUUAGUUUUUACACUUUUCAGGCAACUAGAUAACAUAGUGCUGAUAGUGAUGAGUAUAAUCCGGGAAAGAUAAGAUAUUAUUUUGUUCGCGUUGAAAUAAUGACUUCCAUUACCUUACCAUAAUAUUAUAAUGCUUAAUUUUUUUCCAGUCUAAUAGGUUUGCAGAACCCAUCCUUCAAGCGUUAAUUUAUCAAUUAUGGGAUUAGCGAGGAUUUAUCCUUGAUAUCUCUAGGUUGGUGUUAUCUAAUAACAUUUUCUAUAGGUAUUGACCCUAGUUGUUAGGUGGAUUCAUAGUCAAAAUUUCCAACUAUAAUUUAUAGAAAAAAUUGCAACGAAGGCUCUUUUAGACAGUUUUCAUCCAAAUGUCUGUUAGUUGACUAAAAAAUUUGACUUUGACCAUAUUUUUAAUAUUUUUGAGCCAGUAAAAUAGUAACUUUUCAUUUAUUAUAUUAAAAUAAGUUAGAAUUUAAAUUAAAAAAAUAAGAAAUGAGAAAUAAAAUAAAAUAAAAACCUCGUGGUCUUCUUUCUCUCACCCCACCCCCACCCUGCAACACCCUUGCCGGCCGCCGGAGGCUGUGCCACCAGUUGGAUCUGCUUCGGUACCAUUUUUGGAGAAUUGGGACCAAUUCUUUUGGCCCCAUAAAUCACCAUAUCAUCAACUGGACUUUGCUUUGGCGAACCCCUUUUUUUGUUGUUGUUAAUUUUCGGAUUCAGAGAAUCUAAUGACUCUCCUCUUCUCAAAAUGGUGACUUGCCCCAGAUCAAAAAAAUGACCUGUUCAACUUGUUUCUAGAUGUAUAAACUGACAAUUGCAUAUGAGCUGAGAUAGAAUUCCCACGUAUGAGGAAAUCAGUGCAUGGGUGCUCAUAUUGAUUAUGGUCAUCAAAUUUUUCGAUCUGAUUUAUUUUAUAUAGAUGCUUGAUUCUCUCAAGAAUCGUAAAAUAGGGAUCUCAAAAGUAGCCGAACAAUAUUGUCAUAUGUUCUAACCCAAGGAGACGCCUCUUGAAUAUUCUUCACUUCCAGACAUUGCCACAUUACCUUCCGCUGAAACCUAAAUAAAUUCACUUGGCCCGUAUCAGCACCAGCCCUCAUUUGCCUCGGAUUCUGCUCGAGCUCUACCGAUACUUCAAGCUCUUAACACAAUUGCUCCAUGCUCGCAACAAACUUCUCGAACCUGAGAUAGAGAGAGGAGGAGAGAGAAGGGGAGAGAUGGAAUGGGGGUGGGGCAUAUUAAAUUACUAUUUUUCCCUUUUAAAAUUGUAUAAAAUGUGGUUAAAAUUAAUUUUUCAGGUCAAAAUCAGUUUUUUAGGUCAACUAAUGCAAAAUUAGACAAACUCCAUCCAAAAGGGCCCCUGCCACAAUGUUUCGAAAGGUUUUGGGUGAUGGUUGCAACAAAUUAAAGGUUUGGGNNNNNNNNNNNNNNNNNNNNNNNNNNNNNNNNNNNNNNNNNNNNNNNNNNNNNNNNNNNNNNNNNNNNNNNNNNNNNNNNNNNNNNNNNNNNNNNNNNNNNNNNNNNNNNNNNNNNNNNNNNNNNNNNNNNNNNNNNNNNNNNNNNNNNNNNNNNNNNNNNNNNNNNNNNNNNNNNNNNNNNNNNNNNNNNNNNNNNNNNNNNNNNNNNNNNNNNNNNNNNNNNNNNNNNNNNNNNNNNNNNNNNNNNNNNNNNNNNNNNNNNNNNNNNNNNNNNNNNNNNNNNNNNNNNNNNNNNNNNNNNNNNNNNNNNNNNNNNNNNNNNNNNNNNNNNNNNNNNNNNNNNNNNNNNNNNNNNNNNNNNNNNNNNNNNNNNNNNNNNNNNNNNNNNNNNNNNNNNNNNNNNNNNNNNNNNNNNNNNNNNNNNNNNNNNNNNNNNNNNNNNNNNNNNNNNNNNNNNNNNNNNNNNNNNNNNNNNNNNNNNNNNNNNNNNNNNNNNNNNNNNNNNNNNNNNNNNNNNNNNNNNNNNNNNNNNNNNNNNNNNNNNNNNNNNNNNNNNNNNNNNNNNNNNNNNNNNNNNNNNNNNNNNNNNNNNNNNNNNNNNNNNNNNNNNNNNNNNNNNNNNNNNNNNNNNNNNNNNNNNNNNNNNNNNNNNNNNNNNNNNNNNNNNNNNNNNNNNNNNNNNNNNNNNNNNNNNNNNNNNNNNNNNNNNNNNNNNNNNNNNNNNNNNNNNNNNNNNNNNNNNNNNNNNNNNNNNNNNNNNNNNNNNNNNNNNNNNNNNNNNNNNNNNNNNNNNNNNNNNNNNNNNNNNNNNNNNNNNNNNNNNNNNNNNNNNNNNNNNNNNNNNNNNNNNNNNNNNNNNNNNNNNNNNNNNNNNNNNNNNNNNNNNNNNNNNNNNNNNNNNNNNNNNNNNNNNNNNNNNNNNNNNNNNNNNNNNNNNNNNNNNNNNNNNNNNNNNNNNNNNNNNNNNNNNNNNNNNNNNNNNNNNNNNNNNNNNNNNNNNNNNNNNNNNNNNNNNNNNNNNNNNNNNNNNNNNNNNNNNNNNNNNNNNNNNNNNNNNNNNNNNNNNNNNNNNNNNNNNNNNNNNNNNNNNNNNNNNNNNNNNNNNNNNNNNNNNNNNNNNNNNNNNNNNNNNNNNNNNNNNNNNNNNNNNNNNNNNNNNNNNNNNNNNNNNNNNNNNNNNNNNNNNNNNNNNNNNNNNNNNNNNNNNNNNNNNNNNNNNNNNNNNNNNNNNNNNNNNNNNNNNNNNNNNNNNNNNNNNNNNNNNNNNNNNNNNNNNNNNNNNNNNNNNNNNNNNNNNNNNNNNNNNNNNNNNNNNNNNNNNNNNNNNNNNNNNNNNNNNNNNNNNNNNNNNNNNNNNNNNNNNNNNNNNNNNNNNNNNNNNNNNNNNNNNNNNNNNNNNNNNNNNNNNNNNNNNNNNNNNNNNNNNNNNNNNNNNNNNNNNNNNNNNNNNNNNNNNNNNNNNNNNNNNNNNNNNNNNNNNNNNNNNNNNNNNNNNNNNNNNNNNNNNNNNNNNNNNNNNNNNNNNNNNNNNNNNNNNNNNNNNNNNNNNNNNNNNNNNNNNNNNNNNNNNNNNNNNNNNNNNNNNNNNNNNNNNNNNNNNNNNNNNNNNNNNNNNNNNNNNNNNNNNNNNNNNNNNNNNNNNNNNNNNNNNNNNNNNNNNNNNNNNNNNNNNNNNNNNNNNNNNNNNNNNNNNNNNNNNNNNNNNNNNNNNNNNNNNNNNNNNNNNNNNNNNNNNNNNNNNNNNNNNNNNNNNNNNNNNNNNNNNUAUGAAAAAUAUGUUAUCAUUUCAAUAUUCUAUGAAACUUGAAAUAUAAACCAGUAUAUCAACUCUUAAUGAACUAUACUAUAAUUUCAAAACCACUUGAAUUUUUGACUUAUACCAUUCAACAUGACAACUAUAUCAUGUUGCCGAGUAUUUUUCCAUUAUGAUGUUUUACUACAGAACUAUAGUUUUGGCUCAUGCACCAUUUGUUUUAAAAGUAUGCCUAUACACAAGUCUUGGUCUUGUUUCUUAAUUACGUUUUUACGCUUUUUUCAGACAUAGACCCGCUUAGACUCGUAGAAACUUGAAACUUGGCAUUCCCACCUAACCAUGGUUUACACUCUUUAGAACAUUGCACCAUAUUUUAAUUGAAAUGAAGGUCCCAAACUUUUGCUCAUUUCAUAGUUAUGUCCCCAAUUUUUCAUUGUAUUUUAUUUCUCAACCUAUUAAUUAGCACAAUUUGUCCAUGCUGAUGGCCAAAAAAAUCACGAGGACCUCAAAGUAAUAGAAUAUUCGGACAGAAACCGUCUGCUUAGAUAAGAUAUGUUAAUGAGACGAAAAAAAUAUAGGAAUAUAAGUACGAAAACGAGCAUUUGUUGACGAUCAUGUCAUUGAUUUCAAUGAACUACCACAAUUACAAAUUAAAUUAAAAUUUGUUAAAUUAAAGUUAAAAUGCAGUUAUUGAAGAAAAUUAAAGUUAUCCAUAGACACUAGAUUAGAAGUAUAAUUUCCACAAAUGGAAUUUACCCAGUAAUUUAUAGUCUGAUGUUGUUAAGAAUGUCGACUAGGCCCUUGUAGUACAAGGAAAGAUGGCCCUACAAAUGACCCAAAUGCAGAUUCCACUUAGGAUGUAAUUUACAUUUCAAUUAGCAUUUCAUCAAAUUCAUUUCGUCUCGGUAUUAUCACUUUAAGAGCACCAAUUUGUUAGGUGACUGCUAGGUUAUAUGGUAGAGAGAGAAGUCCGUAUCGAUAACUGAGUAGGAAUCAAAUUGCUCUUUACGAGACAUUGGGUUUUUAAUUGAAAGUUAUUGUACGCUUAAAUGACUCUGACUAAUAAAAGAUUAUUCUCAGUGUACAGAAAAAAUUCACAGAAUAUUUACUGGCUCUCACAUGGGUGUUGGGUCCAUGUGUUGUUUUGCAAAAAAUAAACUAUCCAUCUCACUAUUGAGUCUGUAAUACUUCUGUGAAGUUUCUCCAAUGUAGCUUGACUCUUCAAAAAAUAUAAAGAUUACAUGUGAUUGCUGGUGAAUCGAAUUGAUAGGUCACAAAAUUUGUACCAUUAAAUGAGUUUUCUGCACAAUAGCUUCAGCUUAUCCCUUUCUUUGUGUUGUUGCACAGAAGAAAAUGGCCAGUUGUUGAAAAUAUCUGUCAGACCAAAAUAAUUUCUAUAGCGUUUGAGAUAUAUUUAAUUGAGAGCGUUUGUUUCCCACUUUUGUAAAAAUGAGAAUGAAAAAUAUAGUCAUUGUGGCCUCAUAAAAGAGGUAGAAAUUUAAAUUUGGUAGCUUAAUAUGAUGGAUAACGGUCAUAUUUAUUAUUUUAAUAGUAAAAAAAGGAGAAACAAACAGGGGCUUAAUUAAGUUAAAAAAAUUAGGGAAAAAACGAUUUAAUUGAGCUAAAUCAGACUGUUAGGUGACUUAUAUUAUAGAGAGAGAAGUGAGUAUUGAUAAUUGAGUUGGAAUCAAAUUGUUCUUUACGAGACAUUGGGGUUUUAAUUGAAAGUUAUUGCACGCGUAAAUGACUUUGACUAAAACACUAAAAAAGUAUAAAUAUUCCAUAUGGUUGCUGGUCACAGAAGAUAAAAUAUGUUAAUGAGGAAAAAAAAUUGAAAACCUUUAUUACAAUUUAAAUAUAGCACAAUAAACAGUAAAUGUGGUAUAAAUAUAAUUACCCAUUUAAAAAUCUAAAAGUAAGGGACACAAUUAUUUUCAAAACUCUUUAAAGAUACUUUUGUCAUAUCACCCAUUAAAAAAUCCAAAAGUAGUGGACACAAUUAUUUUCUUAGCUCUUUAAUAGGAACUUCUUUUUUUUUUUUUCUUUUUUUUUUUUUCAAUCUUUUUAAUCAAAUGGGACACUAGGUGAACACUGUUAAAAUCUCCACUUGCAAUGUUACCAAAUUAGUUAGUUUAUGCAAAUGAAAAUGGAAGUUGUGAGUAAUUCAUAAAGUAAAGUUAUGGUACCUAAUUUAGCCCUUGUUUGAGCCACAUUUUUUUAAAAAAAUAUAUUUUUCAACAGUGUUUUGACAUUAUUUUAACCAUAUUCUUCAAUAAAAUAAUAUUAUAUGUAAAUCAAUAUUUUUUAUUAUUUUUUAAUCACACAUUUCUCAUCAAUAUACUAUUCAAAAAUUCAUUCUUUCCCAAAAAUGGGAGGUCAAACAAGGGCUUAGUAUUAAGAAAUCAUGAUUUUAGACUAAUUUCUCCACUACAAGUUGGAAAGUGGCAGGAACCAUAGGCGUUUCAUCCAUUUUUCUUGCUUUGGAAUCGGAAUCUGGAUUUGAAUUAUACGGCGUAUGAUUUAUUCGGUAUAGAGAGAAAUGUAGAAUUCAAAAUCAAUAAAUGAGUAGGUAUCUGUCCUUAGCCAGACAAUUGGGCCCAUUCUCCGAUAAUACAUGGUAUUGAAUAAUUCAAUUUGUGUACCUUUCUUUAAAAAAAAAAAAAAAAAAAAAAAAAAAGUUGAACCCCAACCUUGAGGGCCCCCUCGCUCCGUCUUUAGAGUUUUGUGAGAGAGGCAAAUCGCGGGAUGUGCCUUAGCAAGUCAAGGAACAAGAGCUGUCUGUACACUGCGUCUACAAGGAGUCCAAUUCCAUGUCUCAAGAAUCGAACCUCCACACUGCGGCUGCUAGCAAGACGUGAGAUAAUCUCACACCUGUUCUUUGCACUACGAACAACUCCACUGGUAAUUUUAUUUAAAUUAUGUUACAUUGGGUAAUUAUACUUUGAUUCGAUUUCAUUUAAGAUGACUUCGUCGAAAUAUAACUAUUUGAAAUGUUGUGUCCUUUUUUCUAAUAUCUUAUUUUAUUUCACGUAUAGAAGAACAUUAAUGACAUCGACAAUAUGAAAAAUAUGUUAUCAUUUCAAUAUUCUAUGAAACUUGAAAUAUAAACAAGUAUAUAUCAACUCUUAAUGAACUGUAUUAUAAUUCCAAAACCACUUGAAUUUUUGACUUAUACCAGUCAACAUGACAACUAUAUCAUGUGUGCCGAGUAUUUUCCAUUAUGAUAUUUUACUACAAAACUAUAGUUUUGGCUCAUGCACCACAUGUUCUGAAAAGUAAGCCUAUACACAAAUCUUGAUCUUGUCGCUUGUUACGUUUUUACGCUUUUUUUACACAUUGGCUUGCUUAGAUUCAUAGAACCUUGAAACUUGGCCUUCCUAGCUAACCAUGGUAUACACUCUUUAGAACAUUGUACCAUAUUUUAAUUGAAAUGAAGGUCCCAAACUUUUGCUCAUUUCGUAGUUAUGUCCAUAAUUUUUCAUUGUAUUUUACUUCUCAGCCUAUUAAUUAGCACAAUUUGUCCAUGUUGAUGGCCAAAAAACUUCAUUAGGAGGAUAAAUAUAAAUUUUCAACGAAAUAUUUUCAUCAAACAAAUGGAAUAUUUGGACAGAAACCGUCUUCUUAGAUAAGAUAUGUUAAUGAGACGAAAACAAUUCAAGAAUAUAAGUACGAAAAUGGACAAAAAUUGAAAACCUUCAUUGCAAUUAAAAUAUGAUGCGAUUAACGACAAUAAUUAUCCAGUUAGAAAUCCAAAAGUAGUGGACACAAUUAUUUUCAUCUCUCUUUAAUCAUACUUUAUUUUAUUUUUAUUUUUUUGGGUCAAAUGAGACACUAAGGUAAAAAUGGUUAAUAUCUCAGCUAGCAAUGUCAUUAGAUUUGUUAUUUAAUUCUAAUGGAAAUGGAUGUAGUGAUUAAUGGUUUUAAGUAUCAUAAGUCAUAAUGUUGGGUGACUAAUUUAGUAUUAACAAAUCAUGAUUUUAGACAGACUUCUCCGCUACAAGCUGGAAAUUGGCAGGAACCAUAGGCAUUUCAUCCAUUUUCUUGCUCUGAAAUUGGAAUUUGUAAUAUUCUAGCAAUUAGACAACGAUAUCUUGCAAAAUUUCUCUUCAGUUGAUCUAUAAUUUCAACGACAAUUUUAGUAAUCAACAGAUUUCAAUUAAAUAACUCAGUCCAAUUCCAUUACUUGGAUGGAUGGAUUGAAAUUGAUGAUGCAACAGUAAAUAAAUUUAUUUCAGUAAAGUUGCACUUGAUUCAAGUCAAUAACUAACAACCACGUGUGAUUAACGUCAUUUGUUGACGAUCAUGUCACUGAUUUCAGUGAAUUGAAAUUGGACGAAGUUAUCAAAAUUAAAAAUUGAAUUAAAACUUCGUUACGAAACUUGAAUUCAAAUUAAAGCACAGUCGGUUAAAUUAAGAGCUUUCUGCACAAGAGCUUCAUUUUAUCCCUUUCUGUGUAUUGUUGCAAGCAGAAGAAAAUGGCCAAUUGUUGAAAAUAUCUGUCAGAUUAAAAUAAUUUCUAUAGCAUUUGAAUUAGGAGUGAAUUGUCCAAAUGGUCAUUGAACAUUGCAAAAAAAUUUUCAAAGGCUCAUUGAAUUUUAAAAAUUACCUAAAUGGUCACCGAACUUUGCAAAAGGUUUCUAUGGAGUCACUAAACUUUAAAAAUCACCUAAAUAAUCACUAAAUUUUGCAAAAUAUUUUCACGGGGUCACUUAACUUUGCAAAAGGUUUCUCAAGAGGUCACCGAAUUGGGAAACUUUUUACAAAAUUCAGUGACUAUUUAGAUGAUUUUAAAGUUUAGUGACCCUGUAAAAAUAUUUUGCAAAGUUCAGUGACUUCUUAUAAACUUUUUACAAAGUCCAAUGACCAUUAGGACCAUUCAUUCAAAAAUUAGGGGAAAAACUACUCAAGGGAUCCGAAACAGAGUAGAAAAAACAAUUUAAUAUAGCUAAAUCAGACUGUUAGGUGACUUAUAUUAUAGAGAGAGAAGUACGUAUCGAUAUUUGAGUUGGAAUCAAAUUGUUCUUUACAAGACAUUGGGUUUUAAUUUGAAAAUUAUUGCACGCGUAAAUAAUUCUGACUAAAAGAUUAAAAAAAUAUAAAGAUUCCACGUGGUUGCUGGUCACAAAAGAUAAAAUAUGUUAAUGAGGUGAAAAAAUUGAAAACAUUUAUUACAAUUAAAAUAUAGUAAAAUAAACAAUAAAGGUGGUAUAAAUAUAAUUACCCAUUUAGAAAUCUAAAAGUAAGGAACAAAAUUAUUUUCUUAACUCUUUUAAACGUACUUUUAUAAUAUCACCCAUUAAGAAAUCAAAAAGUAGUGGACAAUUAUUUUCAUAGCUCUUUAAUCAUACUUUUUUAUUUUUUUAAAUCAAGCUGAACACUGUUAAAAUCUCCGCUUGCAAUGUUACCGAAUUAGUUAGUUUAUGCAAAUGAAAAUGGAAGUUGUGCAUAAUUCAUAAAGUUAUGGUACCUAAUUUAGUAUUCAGAAAUCAUGAUUGUAGACUAAUUUCUCCACUACAAGUUGGAAAAUGGCAGGAACCAAAGGCGUUUCAUCCAUUUUCUUGCUUUGGAAUCGGAAUUUUGGAUUUGAAUUAUACGGUGUAUGCUUUGGUCGGUAGAGAGAGACGUAGAAUUCAAUAAAUGAGUAUAUCAAAUUGUCCUUAGCUAGAUAAUUGGGUCCAUUCUGCAAUAAUAAAUGGUAUUGAAUAAUUCAAUUUGUGUCCCCUUCUUAAACAGAGAAGACGAAAAAAAUAAUUUACACCCCAAACAACUCCACUUUGCAAUCUGCAUCCAAAUCUCUCUCUCUCUCUCUCACCAAAUUUCCAAAGCAAGAAAUAAAAUGGAAGCCGUGGCUAUCGAAGGCGUGAAAUUUAUACUGGAGAAGUUGUAUGCGGUAGCUGCUGACGAAAUCAAUCUUAUGCGUGGUUUCAAGAACGAACUAGCAAGCCUAAAAAAAUACUUGGAAAAGGUCAACCAAGUCUUGGAAGGUGCUGCAAGGCGUGAAAUCAUCGACGGGGAUGUUAAAAGCUGGCUUAAGGACCUCAAGGAUGCUGCAGAUCAUGCCGACAUUGUCUUAGACGAGAUCCAAUAUGAAGAUUUGCGUCGUACAAUAGAAACCGAGGACGAGAUUAGCCCCUGUUUGGCCCCCAUUACCUGAAAAUGGUAAUGGGGGGAAUAGUAUUUUUUAGAAAAAUGAGUGGUUGAAAAAGAAAGUAAAGUUUUCGAUUUACGUGUAAUAUUAUUUUAUAGAAGAUUGUAUGGUUGAAAAUAGGAGAGAGAAAAAUGAAAUGUAAUGUAAUGUAAUUUAAUGUUAAUCAAACAGGGGCUUAGGUGCUUAAACAUCCCAUGCUGUACUAAUACCGCUUUGACAUUUCAACGGGAGAUGGCCCACAAAAUCAAGGACAUAAAUGCCAACUUCAAAAAGAUGAACAACGAAGCUGAUCGCCUCGGCCUCAGCAGAGUUAGAGAUUAUCCUCUGGCAAAGCCUCCAGUCAUGGAAACUACCAGCUUUGCUAUUGAUCCAAUUGUCAUUGGACGAGAAAUUGAUGAAUCAGAAAUACUGGAGAUGAUAACCAGCUCGAUCAAUAAUGUCCUUUCAGUCCUUCCCAUAGUCGGAAUGGGAGGGCUUGGCAAGACGACUUUAGCACGCAAGAUCUACAAUCACCAUCGUACACAAACCCAUUUUGACGAAAGGAUUUGGGUUUGUGUAUCAGAAAAUUUUGAUCAGCUGACGCUUUUCAAAAGGAUUCUGGAAUUAUUAUCGGGCAAAGAUUUUGGCGGAGGUAGCAAGCAAGCUGUUGUUCAAAAGAUUGCAGAGGAAUUAAAAAACAAAAGAUACUUGCUAGUUCUCGAUGAUUUAUGGAAUGAAGAAACAGAAGAUUGGGAUGAAUUCAAAAAUACACUGGUGGGAGCUAGCUCCAAUAAAGGAAAUUUCAUUAUCGUCACCACACGUAAGGAAAAGGUGGUAUCUACUGUGAACACUUGCAAUCGUCCAUGCAGAUUGAGGUCAUUAACAGCUGAUGAAUGCUGGUCCAUAAUCAGAACAAUGAUAUUUCAAGAUAAAGAAGUAUUGGAAAAAUUUGCGAUUAUUGGACUGGAGAUUGCUCGCAAAUGUAGAGGUUUACCUCUAGCAGCAAAUGUGAUUGGAAGAGUUUUGCAAGGAAAGGAAAUAGAAGAGUGGGAUUCAGUUCUACAGUCUGGGCUUUCAAAUCUUGAAGAGGGGGAGAAGGGUGUGUUGCAAGUCUUAAAGGUAAGCUAUGAUCGCUUACCUUCUUCAUCACUGAAAAAAUGUUUUGCCUUUUGUUCAAUAUUUAUCAAGGAUUCGAUCAUGGAUAGAGAAGACUUAAUCCAGCUCUGGAUGUCGGAAGGACUUCUUCCAAACAAUCAAGAAAGUGAGAUGGAGACUACAGGCAAUAAAUAUUUUAAUAUUUUGUUGCAAAAUUUCUUCUUCCAAGAGCCCGAAAAGGACAAGUAUGGCAAUAUCAUAAGCUGCAAAAUGCACGAUCUUGUCCAUGAUCUUGCAUGUUUAGUUUCGAAAUCAGAAAGUUUCAUGAAUACGGAGGGUCUCACUGUUGAUGACAUUCUUCAAGUUAGACACCUUGCAAUAGAAUCAAUUGGAGAGGAAAUGGUCAAGGACAUAAAAGAGAGAGCAAGUUAUCUCCACACCUUGUUCUUAAGAAGCAACGUACCAGAUGGAAUUUUACCGUACUUCAAGCAUUUGCAUUCUCUAAAGCUAUGUAAUGCAAAUAUUAAAGAAUUGCCAACAUCAAUUGGCACCCUGAAACAUUUGAGAUAUCUUGAUGUGUCCGACAAUAAAGAUCUCACUACUCUGCCAGAAUCUAUCUGCAAGCUCUACAAUUUGCAAACUUUGAGGAUUCUAUGGCACUACCUUUAUCGCGAGAUUCGAAGGCUUCCUAGAGAUCUGCGAUUCUUGACUCGUUUAAAGCAUCUCUGUAUUGACACUGUUACCAAGGAUUUCAAGAUGCCACCUAAAAUCGGAAGUUUAUCUUGCCUUCAAACGUUACCAUUAUUUUGUGUGAGUGACGAGGAAGGUUGUCGAAUUGAUGAGCUGGGAAAGUUGAAGAAAUUAAAAGGCAAACUACAAAUACGGAAUUUGGAAUUGGUGAGAUCUAACACAGAAGUGGAGCAUGCAGAUAUGGCUGGAAAGCUAAACAUUUAUAAGUUUUACUUUCAUUGGACUCCUUCCAGGUACAGGUAUUUCAAUGAUGAGAGUGAGUCAAUGGAUUCCUCAGAAAGUAACAUCAAUGAUGAGAGUGUACUUGAAGGGCUGCAACCUCAUUACAAUGCAACAUACUAAACUUGAUGCUUAAUGUUUGAGAAGUCAUGAUUAUGUUAAUUAUAAAUCCAUCCAACCCAUUCAUUUAUAAUUCUACUACUUGAAAUUCAUUAGUGAAUAACGUCACUUGUACAAUGUUUUUGCACAACUUGGUUGACAAGUGUGUUGAAAAAAUUCUGAACAUUGAUUUUAAAAGCAGUUUUUCAAAUAAAUGGAAGUGCUGUUUGUCAACUUAUGCAUUGUAAACCAAGUUGUAAAAUAAAUUGCACAAGUAACAUGAUUGUUCAUUAGUACCAGCAAAUUCCUCCAUGCAGCUACAGUGUAUCCUAGUUGUUAGCUAGAUCUCCUACCUCCACUUUUAUGGAAGGUUGGUUAACAACCCUCAUGGCAUAGAAAUAGACAGAACCCAAAGACAAAUGCCUCUACCAACCACUGAAUUCUUGGUCUUGGGGGUAAGCCAAGCCAUAGUAUCAAUUAAAGUGAAAGAACCCAAAUCCUUCUCUUAUGCCUUCUACACUGCAUAAUAAACAUAAAUGAUUGAGAAUGGUAUCAAUUUAAUAUGCUAAACUUAGAGUUUUAGAUCUGUUCUCCCAUAGCUUAUGCAUUACUAGGUAACAACCAUUUUCAUUUAAUAAAACCCAAUUAUUAAACCCUGCAUAUGCUAGUCGGACAUAUUUACAUCACUAGACAUCCAAUAAGAUGAUAAACAGCGGCGGGAGUCAAUAAAAUUAUAUAUAUUUUUCAUGAGCUUUGGUAAGAACAUAUAAAGAUAUCAACUUUACCCGUCAAAAAUAUUAAUUUGUGUUUCUAACAUGAGGAAAUAUGACACUAAAGUCAAUGAAAUUAUGUAAAAGUGACGGAAUAUGGAAAAGGAAGCAAAUAUUGGGGGGACUGAAAAUCCAAUUUUAAAGGAGGGCUACGAAUAUUUCCAAAAAUGCUAAAGUCCAAUUUUUCAAAAAAUGAAAAAAUAAAAAUAAUAAAAAUUGAUUGUAACCCCUCGGAUUCGAUCCCCAAUCUCCAAGGCCAAAACAAGAAACAUUUAUCAAUAAGCUUAAACCACUUUUAUGUCAGUAAACUAAGUUAUAAAAAUUGUACUUGUUUUCUGUUUCAAAAUAUACAUAAAAAUAUUAGAUGACUUCAAACCUAGUAUAAACGGAAUAUAGCAUAUUGUUGGAAUAAUAUAUUUUAAAUUAGUUUUAAAUAUUUUUGUUCAAUUCUAAUAAAAAUUAUAUUAUUCUACAUCUUUCUUCUAUAUAUUAUUCCAAAUCAGAGUUCAACCAAUUCUACAUUUACAUAUGAACAUACUUUUUAAAUAUUGACUUGAACAAAUUGACUGUUUCCAUAGCCUCACUUUCUACAAUUCCCUAUUGCGAAUGAUCUCUUUUAGUGUCAUUGUCUGUAUAAUUUUAAUUAUGGCAUUGAAAGAAAAUAUUCUAAAAGAUGGAACUCUAAGAAAUGAUAAAGAAUUGUUUCAAAAUUUUUUGGAAGGUCAUGAAUGUGGUCAAUUUGUUAAUGCCAAUAUUAAAAAAUUCCAAUCUGGAUUCAUAUGUAAAUAUAAAAUUGGUUAAAAGAUGUCAUUUAUGUAGCUUUUCAAACUCUGUGGAAAUAUAUACCAUUCAUUUCAAAUUUUAGUGAGAGUUUAAUGCAUUUAAAGAAUUGAGAAGGCACCGUGCUCUUAAUCCAAGAGAAACUGGACGCAUUAAUAUUUGAAGAUUUAUAAGAUCUAACAUCGUAGGUCGUGAGUGUUGUUUAUCUUAAAUUUUGUGACUAUUUAAAAUUUUUUUAGAAUUAAUAUGUUACACUUGUAUGAUUUUAACCCCAUCCACAUUAAAAGUAGUUGAUCCAAAGUCCCAAAAAAUGAGGAUUUUUUCAAUUUUUAAAAAAUAAUAAUCGAAUGGGCUUGUGGGUGGCUCGACUCAACUCAUGAAUCCCAUGAGCCAAAAAACCAAAUCAUGCAAUGUUUUUGGACAGUAGUCAAAUUAGACUCGUUCUAAUCAAAAUUAUUUGUAUAAAGAAUUUUACAAAAUAAUUUCAACCUUGUCAACUGAUAGUAAAAGAACAAAAUCGGAGUAUAUACUAAUACGUAGUAUGGAUUAAAAAAUAGUGAUAGAAAGAAAUAACAUUCAACUUGUUCCAUUGCUACUUCUAGAUGAAAUCGAGUUUAAACGUUAGCCUCGCUUCUUCGAGAUUUAAAUUUGAAAAGUCAAAAUUGGCUUGUUUGGUGUUUUCAAUAGUAUUAGUAUGGGCUUUAUAUUAGUCUACUUCGGUUGGGCCAGAUUUAAAAUGUAUCCGUUUUUUAGCACCAUUCAUUUAUUUUUUAUAAUUAUAUUCACAUAAUAAUUUUUUUAACUGCACAACAUUUUAACUAAAAUGAAGAUCCUCUAAUUUUGUUCAGUUUUAGACUUAUAUCUCCUACUUUUUCAUCACUUUUUAUUUUAAUCUUUCAUUAAUUAAUACAUGCUGUCUCAGAUAACGAUUUCUGUCCAAAUAUUAUGUUCAUGUGGGAAAAAUAUAUUGUCAAGCUUAUAUAUUUAUUUUUUAUCUUUCUUGUUACAAAUCUUCAUCCUAAUGGAUUUUUUGAUUGUCAUCAAGAACUAGAUAAAAUAAGAUUGAGAUUAUAGUAUGAAAAAAAUAAAAAAAAUUAGAGAUGUAAGUGCCUAAAUGAGCAAAGCAAAAAAUUACGACUGCAAUUGUGACUUGACGUACUUCACAAAAAAAUAAGGUGUAAAUUAUAUUUAUUCUUUAUUUUUUAUAACUGGAUAAUCAGGCCAUUUAUGUUAUAAAACUAAGUUAAAAAGAGUGAACAAUAUAAGAGAAUUGAAGAUCAAGUCUCAAGUUUAGUUUCUUAUAAUAAUUGAUUUAUAUAAAAUUUCAAUGAGAAAUACAAUUUGAAAAAAAUAUACUUUACAGUAAGGGUCCGUUUGAUUGUAAAGAUAGAAUUUGGGUAGAAAGAAACAAAUUUCAGGGAAUUGAAUUGUCUAGAAAUUAUUUUCCUAAGAAUUGUAAAUUAUUGUGUUUGAUUGGUAUAAUUUUCUACGUGGAAAAUGUUGAAAUAAAAGUAUUUUUUUGUGUUUGUUUGACUUUGUUUUACAUGAAAAUUGUCAAUUAAAGAGAUAAAAAUUACUGGUAUUGGAGAUGAAAUUUGUUUACAUUGCCAAAAAAAAUUCAAGAAAAUUAUCUAUCUUUUAGUGUUCGUUUAGCUUUAUUUUACAUGAAAAUUAUUAAUUAAAGAGAUGGAAUUUAUUACAAUAAUUCUUAAAAUUUGUUUCAAUUGCAAGAUAAAAAAUAAAAAUAAAAUACUUCAAAAGAUGGAAUUUCAAUUCCCACCAUUUUGGUGAGAAUUGAAAUUCCAAUGGUGGGAAUUGAAAUUCCACAAUUUGGUGGGAAUUGAAAUGUGGCAACAAAAGAUGGAAAAGGAAUUCUAUGUCAAAUUUGUGCCAUCAUACACAUAAAAGAUGGAAAAUAAAUUCCAUUUUUCAUGGAAAAUAUAAGCCUAUAAAACAUUGCCUAAGUUGAAAAGUUAUAUAAAUUCAAUAAGAGUAACUAGUCAUUCAUCAUUAUUUAUUAUUUACAACAUUUCUCCUUCAAUCACUAUUUAUAAUAACCGCUACGUUAAAGGCCCCUGCAAAAACUCAAUGGGACAAAACACCAAGUGAAGGGAAAAAUACAAAUAAUUAUCAAAAUUUGGAAAUACUACCUCGUUAAAAUCUUGUCAAAAAAUAUAUUGGAACAAAACUUGAGCAAAAGAAAAAGAAUACAUCUAUUCCCUUGAUUUCAAUAAAUAAAAUUCCUUGUAUCGAGCCAUUUAUAUUUUGUACACCAAUAUUUCGACGCUGCUGUUGUCAUACAAGAUAUUCAUAUAUCUCUCAUUGGUUAAUUGUAGUUAGUAUGAUGGUCUAACUAAAAAAAUAAAAAAUAAAUAAAUCUUCUUGUUGCUCUUCAGAGGUUCCAAUAAUAUUUUAUAUGAGCAACUUAUACAUAAAUAACUACAAAUUCUGAUAUCAUUAUAUGAAGGAUGGUCCUUGCGGAACUUUUCACCCGUAAAAAAUUUAUGAAGUUUUUGUCUUGGGAAAUUGAGAAUUAGUCCUUGUUCCAAUAAAUGGGCUUCAGCCAUACACAAAGAUUAUUAAAGAACAGCUUGGUAGCAUACACUUUAAAAGGUUUAUUACUAUCAACGGCCAACCAGUAGUUAAUGGCGCAAAGUCAGAUUAUCCAAGUGUUGGUAAUAUGCCGUCUUUUGUUUUCUCUUAUUUAUGUACAGUUGUGUUACGCCUUUGCCCAUGAGACAGGUAGCGUAAAGAUUCACGCAAGGUCAGCGCUACAUUUAGCAUUAUUUUUUCAAUGUCUUUUUCGAGGUGAUUGGGCCAUGCCUCUAAAUGCCUAACCUAGAAUAUUAUUGUUAUCUAAGAUGAUGCGUCACUUCUCCUCUAUAAUAUGUAUCUGAGGCAAUGACAUUUGCUGCAACCCUUGCCUUAGCCAAAUUGUAAUAGUACACUGAGCAAAAUGAUUGAUGCGAUACUUUGCAACAACGUUGUCCAAUCAGAUCACAACUUUCAACUCAUAUUUAGGCUAUGGAACCACAUGCAUUUGAUGACUAUGAAUUGACACAAUUGAAUGUGACAAUUAAGCACUUAAAAUAAAGUCGCAUGUCAAGCAAUCAGAGAGGGCCUCUUCUACCUGUAAAUACUCAAGUCUCUCUCCUUUAAAGAUAAGUUUUUGAAUGGUUGACAAACAAUAAGUACCAAAACCUAGUAACAAUAUACUUCCCUACAUUGUGUUUUACCCACACCCAAAAAUACUUCACCAUCUGAUUUGAGUGUCGAAGUUCACGCGACCAUCUCACCCACCAUUGGAGCUAUGGUCUAUGCAGUCCAACGUGAAUGUACAAAUGUGUUGAUAAUAUACGCAUGAUAGUUGAAUCAUGCUGUAUUUGAAGAUCAAUUAGUAUGUUGUUCAUUUCAGAUAUAAUAUCUAUGUAUGUACAUGUAUUUAUGUGCAGAACAGAUUUAAGCAGCAAAAGAGUGCAAAAGUUGUUUGCCAUGUACUCACCCAAUAUAUGUGGAUAGUAUAAUUAUUACGCCUUUUGAGCCUAGCUCACCGGUAAGUGUGUUUUUGCACACUCGUUCAAUAUCUAAAUAAUAUUAAAAUAUUAAUUAAAUGAGCGAAUUUCUAUUCACAAUUAUAUCGUUAUUGCAUUUGUAAGUAAAAAUCACCCAAAAAAAGGACACUGCAAAAUGGUGCGAAAAGGGCUCAGAAGCAUACAAAAAUGUGAAGUUGGGGACCAAAGUGCACACAUACUGAAAGUUCAAGGGCCUAUGUUGCCAAUUUUAGGGGUUUAAUUGAAAGAAAAGUCAAAAUUUGAGGACAAAAUUGUACAAAAUCAAAGUUGACGGACCUGCUAUGCAAUUAUCUCAUGAACUUAACUGCAAAAAUGACAAAAAUCCUUUUUUUUUGGGCCUUGAAAACAGAAAUUGGGCCUAGGCGCCAUUUUUAUGAUCAAAACAAGGCCCGGGACAUUUUUGCUUUUUUAUCCAAAACUCUGGGGACUUGUGCUGCAAUUUUCUGAAAAAGGGUUUUAAUUGAAUUGUAAAAAGACAACAACUGGGGCAUUUUCUGGAUUCUGCUUCUUUUGGGGUGGAGCGUCUUUUUUUUUUCUUUUCGUUCUUCUUUAUUUUUCUCUUCUUUUUCCUUUUUAUUUCCUUGGUAUUUUGAAGGAUACAAUAAAUAGUAAAAGAAGAACAUCAAGAAAAAGUGAAAAAAUAUUUGGGAAAAGCAAGAUCAAGCUCUAAAAAGGUUUCAUCUAUAACUUUGCAUAUCUUUAUUUUUUUUUGUCAAAUUUGCGAUGUAUUGUAUAAAAUAUUUUCCUUUUUACUAUUUAUAUAACAUGGGCCAAAUAUUUGUGUUGGGAUUCACGGCAUUAACUUAACAUAACUUUUUAAUUAAUUUUAAUAUUUGCUCUUUGAAGUUAAGUUAUUUAUUUUCAUGUGUUUUUACUACUGUUAUUAUUGCAUUUUCAUUUAUCUGACCAAUGUAUUAUUAUUUUUAGUGAUUUGUAUAUCGUUCGAGAGAAGCUUGUGCAUUUUAGAUCAAAUAGUGGAAACCCUAUGUUUGUGUAGGGGAUCUCUAACCCUAGGUGACUUAAUGAGCUAUUUUCACAAAGAGUUAAUGCGGUUGUUUGAUUUUAAUCGACAUAGAAAUAUAGUAUGUUAAAUCAAUUAAUUAGGAUUAAUUUCGCUCGAGAGAGGUAACUAAAUAAAAUUGAAUGAUCGGGUCUAACAUCGUAAAUGAGUAAUUUGUCAAUUAGCUUUUAGAAAAAUUAAUCGCGCAACGGUUAAACGAAACCAUGAAUCCUAACUACGUUUGCUUCCAAAAUUCCCAAAAUUUUUAUAUUUUCUUAGUUUGUAGAUUUUUAGUUAUUUUCCAAAAUCAAAUAUUUAUUGUGUGUUUAUUUUUAUUGUUAGAAUUAAAUUAAUUAAAGUUGUGUAAUCUAAAGUAAACAUUCCCCGAGGUAUUGACAAUCCGGACUUAAAAGAUCAACUUUAUUACUUGAACGCGAUCCAUGCACUUGCGGCAUGCACUUUUAUCAAACAAGUUUUUAGCACUGUUGUUGAGAAAUGUUUUUAUUUUGAUUACCACUUUAGUUAAUUUUAGUUUUAACAAUUUCUUUUUAUUUAUCUUUAAUUGCUUUUGUUUUUGUGUGCUUUGGCUAAGCCCCGUAUUAUUAAUCUACCUUGUGUUUAUUUUCUCUCCCUAUACGUUUCAAAUAUUUGCAGUAUUCUGACUUUGGAAAAGUAACAAAAUUGUUUCAAUGACAAAUCUCUAUAUGGAAAGUCAAGAUGUGCUUGGAGGAUAUCCAUGUUGUGAAAAUUGUUACGCGAUGCAUUGUAAUGGGAAUUGUUUGUUUUUGUAUACUAGUUUUAUACACGUUGAAACUUCUGAAGUUUAGAAAAUAUUUGAGGUGUCGAAAACAAGCCAUUGACAAAAAUGAUGAAGGGUACAUGCUCGCGGGAGAUUUGAUACCUUACAAUUGAGAUGACGUUGUUAAGCUUAUAGGAGAUGGCCCUUUCCUACUGAAUGAAAAGGUAAUUGCAAAGUAUUUCAAAGAGCUUGCCAAAUUGGAUGAAAAUGAUAUGCUUAUGGGAGACUACAUGUAGUGGGAAUGAUUUCAACAAUGGGGGUAUAAUCCGCUUAAUGCAAUCAAUGAGACCAACUUCUCACUGCCUGUGGAUCUAGACCGUGGACAUGUCAUUUAACUCGAGGAUAUAUCGAUUAUGGUAGAAGAGAUUAAAAAGAGUGGAGAAUUGAUCACAAAGGAAUCAAGUAAAGAAGUGGCAAUUAAUGAGGAUGAAAUCAACAUAUAUUCUUUUGACUUUAUUGAUUGUCCAGAAUUUUGAUUUUGUAAUUAAACACUAUGUAGCAGUGGAAGUCUACAUAGUUGAAGUUAUGUCAGAUGGAAUAGAGAAGUCCUACUAAAUUGAAAAGGACAAUGUCGAGGUUUGGAGAUCAAAUGAGAACUGGAACAAAGCCAAAUGAAGAAAAAAAAAAUUUGGGCAAGGCAUCUAAAGCCUUCUUUAGGUGCCCAUGAUUCAAGGCCAAAGUUGAGCUAAAAUCUAUAAAAAAAAUUGCUUGUUAGGAGGCAGCCCAAUUUUUAAAUUUUUAAUACUUUUAUUUAAUUUUAUGUAUUUUCUUAUUUUUAUUUAAUUAACCAUCAUUUUUUGUGGGUAAUUUUUGAAGUCCCACAUAUCUACGAUUUCUCACAAGUAUGGGAGUAAAUUGUGUACAAGAAGGUCACUUGCCAAAACUCAUUGAAAGCAUCGCAAGUCCAAGUCAAGUAUUGGUACCUCUUCUAAAAUGUUCAAUUAGGGAAGUCUCGUUAAACUCCUUCUUCUCUUUAUCUACUUCUUUACACAUUGAGGACAAUGUGUAAUUUAAGUUUGAGAGUGAUUAUGCUUAAAUUGGUGAUUUUGUGUUGACAUGUUGGAUAGUCUUGCUGGUUUAGGAUUGCUUGAUGUUUAAAAUUGUUAUUGAUUCAUGAUAUAUGACCAAAUAUGCUAUUUGUACCUAUAUUUUUUUUUUCAAAAAUUGUUUAUCCAUUUUAAGAUCUUGAAUUACGUUGAGUACAAUAAUCAUGAUUAAUUAUUAUCUAGAUGUGGAAAUUUUUUAACUGAUGGAGAGAUUUUUGAAACGGUUGAACUAGAUUGUGAGUUGUUUGAAAAUUUUAUAUCAACAUAUAUCCACUUCUCUUCGACUUAACCAUAUUAUAAGAUAAGUUUGAGGAUGGUCGAGCGGAUGAAGGAUAUUAUCUAGAAGUGUAUUGAUUCCAUGAAUGUUGAAAAUAUUUGUGUGGGGUAUCUUUUGCCAAGUAUAAGCUAGGUAAUGAGUAAACCCCUUUUUUUUGUGCUUAAAAUAAAAAAUAAAAAAUCAAAAGGAAUGUUAUUAUACUUGUUGAAUUCUAGAUCUCACUUCUUAACCUUUUUGACUCAAGUCCAUAGGGUUAUUUCAAAACCCGAUACCCUUUAAACAACUGGGAAGUAACCGACUUAAAGCUCGCUACAAGGGUCAAAAAGAAAGCUUACGAGAGUGAAGUAAAACAAGAGAUUCGGAUUAAAAAAGAAAUAAAGCAAAAAAAAAAAAAAUAGAGGAAAAAAAAGAAGAAAUUUUAUUUGUUGUUGUGCAAUUGUAUUUGAUAUUUGGGUUUAGAUAAGUAGUGAGUUUGAAUUGUUUAGUACAAGCUUAAAUGUGUAAGCACUCAUUAGUAGAGAAUCAUCACGUGAUUAGAUAUUGAGAUUGUCGAUUAGACCCAACCAAAUUAGAGCAGGAAAGGAAAAUAGUGAUUGAGAGAAACAUUUAGAUUUACACCUCGAGAAAGAAAAGAGCACAUCUAUUUGAGGAAUGUAAAUCUCACAAACGAGAAAGGAAAUAUUUAACCACAAAGGGUCGGGCUGAAACCAAUUUGAAAAUGUUUCCUUUGUGACAAUCUUUUUCUAAUUUAGAGGAUAAUGCUCAUUGAAUGAGCAAUUCAAUAAGAGAGCUCGGAUCGAAUCGGUAUUGAUAUACGAUUCGAUCCGAGCUCUUGGAAUAAAAGUGACUACACACACACACACACACUAAUUGAACAUUAGAUAAGCUCAAAUUAUUUUUGCUAGUAUUACUUGGAACAUAUUUGUGAAUUGACUAUAAAAUUUUACACUCAUUGAUGACAAGUUAUCUAAUGUGUUGAUCCUUAUCUUAUUUUGCAUGAUUAUGUUAGUACAUAAUCUUGCUCGGGAUGAGCAAGAGCUUAAAUUUGAGGGCAUUUGAUAAGCGUAAUUUUGCACACUCAUUUAAUACCUAAAUAAGCCUAAAUAUUGAUUAAAUAAGCGAAUUUCUAUUCACAAUUAUGUAAUUAUUGCUUUUGUAGGUAAAAAUCAUCCAAGAAAAGAGAACAAAGUAAAAUGGAGUGGAAAGGGAUCAAAAGUGUACAAAAACGUGAAGUCGGUGACCAAAGAGAACAAAGCAAUUUUGGGGGCAUAAUUGAAAGAAAAGUCAAAUUUUGAGGACCAAAUUGUACAAAAUCAAAUUUGAGAGGGACUAUCAUGCAAUUAUCUCAGGGACUUAACUGCAUAAAUGACAAAAAUCAGUUUUUUUCCCCCCUGAAAACAGAAACUGGGGGCCUAGGUGCCACUGUUCCAAUGCCUAGGCGCAUUUUUACAAUCAAAAUAAUGCUCGAGACCUUUUUGCCCUUUGUCCAAAAUUCCGGGGACUUGUAUUGCAAUUUUCUGAAAAGGGUUUUAAUUGAAUUGUAAAAAGACAAGAUCUGGGGAUUUUCUGGAUUCUGCUUCUUUCGGGCUGGAACGCCUUCUUUUUAUAUCUUUUUCUUUUCUUUCUUCUUUAUUUUUCUCAUUUUUUUCAUUUUCUUUUCUUUUUCCUUUUUAUUUCUUUGGUAUUUUGGAGGACACAAUCAAUGGAAAAAGCAGAACAUCAAGAAAAGAGUGGAAAAAUAUUUGGGGAAAGCAAGAUCCAGAACUAAAAUGAUUUCAUCUAUAACUAUGCAUUUUCUCCAUUAUUUUAUCUAACUUGUAAUGUAAUGUAUGAAAUUUACCAUUUAUAUAACAUGGGCUAAACAUUUGUAUUGAGAUUUAUGACAUUAACUUAACCUAGUUUUUAAUUAAUUUUAAUAUUUGCUCUUUGAUGUUAAGUUACUUAUUUUCAUGUGAUUUUACUAUUGUUAUUAUUGCAUUUUCAUUUAUGUGGCCAAUGAAUGAUUAUAUUUUAUGUUUUGUACAUCGUUCGAGAAAAGAUUGUGCAUUUUAAACCAAAUAAUAGAAACCCUAGAUUUGUGUGGUGGAUAGAGACACACCCUUUACCCUAGGUGACCCAAUGAACUAUUUUCACAUAGAGUUAAUGCAGUUGUUUGGUUUUAAUCGAUAUAAAGAUUUAGUAGGUUAAACCAAUCAAUCAGAGUUAAUUUCUCUCUCGAGAGAUAAUUAACUAAAAUUGGAAGAUAGUGUCCAACAUCAUAAAUGAGUAAUUUGUUAAUUGGCUUUUAGAUAAAUUAUUUAGACGACGAUUAAGCGAAACCUUGAAUCCCGACCACGUUUGCUUCCAAAAUUUCCAAGAUUUUUAUUAUUUUGUAGAUUUUUAGUUAUUUUCCAUAAUCAAGUAUUUAUUAUGUGUUUGUUUUUAUUGUUAGAAUUAAAUUAAUUAAAGUUGUGUAAUCUAAAGUAAACAUUCCUUGGAGAUCACAAUUCAGACACAAAAGGUCCACUUUAUUACUUGAAUUCGAUUCAUGAACUUAUGACAUGCACUUUUAGCGAACACUCACGUCAGCCUCAUUCCUAAAUUUAUGCUCCUCAAACUUAUGAAUAACUACCUAAAGUUCACAAGUACCACCAAAUCACCAAUAAUCCUCAUGUUGUAGAAAUAUUAGGCACCAAAGAUAAAUGGUGUCAAGCCUUCAGCAACCACUGCAUUCUUGAUCUUGGGUGCGAGUGCAAGUAUUUGAAAAAUAUAUCCAACCAUCCGAAGUUAAAGAAUAGAGAUGGCAAAAGAAUCCGUUCAACCUAAUACACUUGGAGCCCUGCCUAACUGGGUAAAUGGGAUGGGUACAAGACGAGAGUCAUUGCUCCGUUUAAAGUUAAUUUCAAAUUUAAGUUUUUAUCAAACAAAAGUAAUAGAUUUAUCAUCAUUUUUUAAAGUGAACAUAAGUUGUUUUAACAAAUUGGUAAAAAAGUAAUGAUAUUUACUACCUAAGGACAAAAAAAUAAAAUAAAUAAAAAAUAAAAAGAAAAAAUAAAUGAGGCGAUAAAUGGGGCAGGUGAUCCGCCCCGAUCCCGUCCCGCUUUAAUUGGGUAUGAGUAUGUGUUAAAAUAACAAAAAUACCCAACAUGAUGGGGGUAGGAAUGGUCGACCCGUACCAUACGCGCACCGUUGCCAUCCCUAUUAAAGAACCAAAAUCCAUUUCUUAUGCCUUUAUGACUGAGCAAUAAACAAGCAUUUGAACCUUAAUUCUCAUCAAGAAUCAGUAGCUAAAAAUGAAUGCAUCCUAGUCGGAAAAUAUAUUUUGGAAUAAGAAGUGUUUAUUUCUAAUCACAAUAUACAACCAAUUGGUUAGACUUGAGCCCAGACGACCUUUAGGGAUGUCCAAAUACAAGUCUUAUAAGCAUGAAUGUGAUAUGCUAAAUUUUAAUACUCAAGACUUCAAUUGUUAGCCAAAUAAUAGCAGAAUUUAGUUUUUAUUCUUUUGAAGCGAGUAGAUAACAUAGUGAUGACAGUGAAGAUGUGUUUAAGCCGGAUAAGAUAAGAUAUUAUUUUGUUAGUAUAAUGACUAAAUUAACUUAGUCUAACGUGGUUUGCAGAACACAUCCUUCAAGUGCUAAUUUAUCAGUCACAGGGUUGGUAAAGAUAAAUCAUUAUUAUUUUCUAAAAGAAUACUAAUUUUGAUAUCAUUCAGCUGGAGUUAUCCAGUAAUAACAUUUUCUAUAUGUAUUAUCCCUAGAUGUUAAAUGGAUUCAUAGUCAAUUUUUUCAACUAUAAUCUAUAAAACUAGAGUGGAAAUUUUGUUUGAUUGGAACUGUAGUUCUUAGAUCGCCACGGUCAAAGCUCAGGGUCGGCGAGUCUAUGGUUAAGCAGGUUGGUCAUUGUCAAACUGAAAAUUUAUAUCAAAAAUACAUAUUUUAAAAUCACUUCAAAGAAAUGUAUACGGAUGAAUAUAAAAUAAGACAUAAAGCUCUUUGGCCUCAACAAUCGAGGAGUUAUCGACUUAAAGCUCGCUACAAGGAUCGAGAAGAAAACUUACGGGAGUGAGGUAAAACGUGAUAUUCGGAUUAAGAAAGAAAUAAAGAAAUAAAGCAAAAAAAAAUAAUAAUAAUAAAAUAUAUAUAUAUAUAUAUAUAUAUAUAUAUAUAUAUAUAUAUAGUAGAGAAUCAUCACGUGAUUAAAUAUUGAGAUUGCUGGUUAGACCCAACCGAAUUAAAGCGGGAAAAAAAAAUAGUGAUUGAGAGCAACCUUUAGAUUUACACCUCAAGAAAGAAAAGAGCACAUCUAUUUGAGGAAUGUGAAUCUCACAGGUGAGAAAGGAAAUAUUUGACCAUAAAGGGUUGGGUUGAAGCCAAUUUGAAAAUUUUUCCAUCGUGAUAGCAUUUUUCUAAUUUAAAUGACAAUUAAAAGUGAUUAUGCACACACACACACUGAUUAAACAUCAGAUAAGCUCAAAUUAUUUAUGCUAGUAUUACUUGGAACAUAUUUGUGAAUUGAUUAUAAAAUUUUACACUCAUUGAUGACAAGUUAUCUAUUGUGUUGAUCUUUAUCUCAUUUUAUAUGAUUAUGUUAGUACCUAAUCUUGCUCAGGAUGAGCAAGAGCUUAAAUUUGAAGGUAUUUGAUAAGCAUAUUUUUGCACACUCUAAUACCUAAAUAAGCCCAAAUUUUGAUUAAAUGAGCAAAUUUCUAUUCAGAAUUAUGUAAUUAUUGCUUUUGUAGGAAAAAAUGAUCCAAGAAAAAAGAACAAAGCAAAAUGGAGUGAAAAAGGGAUCAAAAGCAUACAAAAAACGUGAAGUCGGUGACCAAAGUGCACAAGUAAGAAAUGUUCGAGGACAUGGGCUUGCAGUUUUUGGGUCAUAAUUGAAAGAAAAGUCAAAUUUUGAGGACCAAAUUGUACAAAAUCAAAGUUGCGGGACCUUCCAUGCAAUUAUCUCAGGGACUUAAUUGCAUAAAUGCGCCUAGGCGCCACUGUUCCAACGCCUAGGUGCCAUUUUUAAAAUCAAAAUAAUGCUCGAAACCUUUUUGCCUUUUGACCAAAAUUCUGGGGACUUGUAUUGCAAUUUUCUGAAAAGGGUUUUAAUUGAAUUGUAAAAAGACGAGCUGGGGAUUUUCUGGAUUCUGUUCCUUUCGGGCUGGAGCGCCUCUUUUUAUAUCCUUUUCUUUUCUUUCUUCUUUAUUUUUCUCAUUUUUUCAUUUUCUUUUCUUUUUCCUUUUUAUUUUCUUGAUAUUUUGGAGGACACAAUCAAUGGAAAAAGCAGAACAUCAAGAAAAAAGUGGAAAAAUAUUUGGGGAAAGCAAGAUCGAGCUCUAAAAUGGUGUCUUCUAUAACUUUGCAUUUUCUCCAUUAUUUUGUCAAACUUGCAAUGAUUAGUAUGAAAUUUACCGUUAUAUAACAUGGGCUAAACAUUUGUAUUGGAAUUUAUGACAUUAACUUAAACUAAUUUUUAAUUAAUUUUAAUAUUUUCUCUUUGAUGUUAAGUUACUCAUUUUCAUGUGUUAUUGUAUUUUCAUUUAUGAGGCCAAUGAAUGAUUAUAGUUUAUGAUUUGUACAUUGUUCGAGAAAAAAUUGUGUAUUUUAAAUCAAAUAGUAGAAACCCUAAAUUUGUGUGGGGGAUAAAGACAUACCCCUAACCCUAAAUGAUCCAAUGAGCUAUUUUCAUAUAGAGUUAAUGUGGUUGUUUGUUUUUAAUCGAUAUAGAGAUAUAGUAGAUUAAACCAAUCAAUUACGAUUAAUUUCUAUCGAGAGAGAGGUAAUUAACUAAAAUUGGAAGAUUGUGCCAAAUGUUAUAAAUGAGUAAUUUGUUAAUUGGCUUUUAGAGAAAUUAAUUAAACGAUUGUUAAGCGAAACCAUGAAUCCUGACCACGUUUGCUUCCAAAAUUCCCAAGAUUUUUAUUAUUUUUUAGAUUUUUAGUUAUUUUCCAAAAUCAAAUAUUUAUUGUGUGUUUGUUUUUAUUCUUAGAAUUAAAUUAAUUAAAGUUGUGUAAUCUAAAGUAAACAUUUCUCGAGAGAUGACAAUUCAGACUCAAAAGGUCCACUUAUUACUUGAAUUCGAUCCGUGCACUUUCGACAUACACUUUUAGUGAACACUCACGUCAGCCUCAUUCCUACAUUUAUGCUCCUCAAACUUAUGAAUAACUACCUCAAGUUCGAAAGUACCACCAAAUCACCAAUAAUCCUCACGGUGUAGAAAUAUUAGACACCAAAGAUAAAUGGUGUCGAGCCUGCAGCAACCUCUGCAUUCUUGAUCUUGGGUGCCAGCACAAGUAUCUAAAAAAUAUAUGCAACCAUCUAAAGUUAAAGAAUAGGGAUGAGAAAAGAAUCCGUUCAGCCUGAUACCCUUGGAGCUCUGCCUAACCGGGCAAAUGGAAGGGUACGAGACGAGGGUCAUUGCCCCAUUUAAAGUUAAUUUCAAAUUUAAGUUUUUAUCAAACAAAAGUACUAGAUUUAUCAUCAUUUUUUUUAAAGUGAACAUAAGUUGUUUGAACAAAUUGGUAAAAAAGUAAUAAUAUUUACUAACUAAGGACAAAAAAUAAAAUAAAUAAAAAAUAAAAAGAAAAAAUAAAUGAGGCAAUAAAUGGGACAGGUGAUCCGCCCCGAUCCCGUCCCGCUUUAAUUGGGUAUGAGUAUGUGUUAAAAUAACAAAAAUACCCAACAUGAUGGGGGUAGGAAUGGUCGACCCGUACCAUACGCGCACCGUUGCCAUCCCUAUUAAAGAACCAAAAUCCAUUUCUUAUGCCUUUAUGACUAAGCAAUAAACAAGUAUUUGAACCUUAAUUCUCAUCAAGAAUCAGUAGCUAAAAAUGAAUGCAUCCUAGUCGGAAAAUAUAUUUUGGAAUAAGAAGUGUUUAUUUCUAAUCACGAUAUACAACCAAUCGAUUAGACUUGAGCCCGGACGACCUUUAGGGAUGUCCAAAUACAAGUCUUAUAAGCAUGAAUGUGAUAUGCUAAAUUUUAAUACUCAAGACUUCAACUGUUAGCCAAAUAAUAGCAGAAUAUAAUAUAUUAUUUAUAUACUGGAAGAACAUAAUAGAAAAUUACAAACAGAACUGAAACUAAAUUGAAUGGCAGAAGUGAAGAAACCAGCGAACUGAGGCCUGUAACACAGUGUCCUUAAAAGCAAAAAUUGGAAACUCCCGUGGGCCCAAUUUUUGAUCCGUUCGGUUUGACAUUCAUAUAAGCUAGUCAUGCCAGCACACUAGUUCAAGAUCUGAAAUUCUAAUUUAGUCCUUGAUUUGCACCUCCAUACGCGAGGACAUGGAAAGCACCUCUAUGCUACAAAUGAUUAAACACUUCCAAAGUAUAGCCAUAUAUAAAGUUGUAUUUUAUUCCAUCUUUUUUUUAUGUGGGAAAGACCUUAAUUGGUUUUCCUCCAACACAUAACUCCACAUUCUAAUAGUCCAAUUUGAACUUCAAUUUCUCAUUCACCCAAACAUCAAUUUUGACAAGUUAAUAUAUGAUUUCGAUGUUUUUACGAAAGAGAACAUAAAUCAACUUUGAUUUUUCAAAUUGAACCAACGAGUCCCACCUAAAAUUGUGCCAAAAUUAGCUCAACAAAGUCAUUUUUUCCACAUCAAUAUCGUACAAUUCUCACUAUAGAAGUGCUAUGAUUUGUAAGUGAAGAGAUAGAUAUAGAAGCAUUAUCUUGCAAUAUCUUUUACUAAUAUCUCACAUUCUUCCUUUUCAUUUCUUCGUCUCUUCAUAUUCUUCUGAAGAGUCAAGAAUAAUUUCAAAAAUUAACGUAAUCAAUACUUACAAAUUAUUAUGAAGUUAGCUCUUUAGCUAUUAAUUUUUCACUUAUCUUAGACCCGGAGCUCUGUGUUUUUUCAUUCCUUUAAAUAUAUAAACUCUCUAGUAUGCCUUAUUUAUGUCUUGAUUAAUGAGCAAUUAUCGUUUAGGGAUGAGUUUAAUGAGCAUUUAGUUAAUUAAUUUGACAAUAUAAUGUUAUCACUGUGUCACCUCCGAUUUCUGUAAACACGUAGAAAUUUCCUUCAAGUGGAAGUAAUAGAUUUCACUCUGUGAUGGAUGUGUAAUAAUUUGAAUACAUGAGUGAGCAAUGAGUAACAAUUUAUUUAUUUAUUUAUUUUUUAGCUCAGAUAGUAAGUAAUAACCUAGAGAGAAAUUUAAUGAGCAUUUAUUUAAUUAUUUCACAAAAAUGGCAGCAAUGGCAAAUUGUGAUUUUUUUUUUUUAGAGGAAAUAGGCAUCAUCAAUGGUGGUGCUUUUGAGGUGGUGGUGAUGCCGAUUUUGCAGUGUUUUUGGAUGAUGGCGAUUGUGGUCAUGAUGGCAACGAGAUGGGGUGAUGAUGAUGUGGUGAGAUGAGUUUGGAUGGCAUGACUAUAGUGGAGGUGGUUGUUGGUGGAGGUGGACAUAACACAAUAGGUUACAUGUAUAUUUCAAGCACAACAUAGUAUGUUAAGUGUUACAUUUAUAACACAGUAGAUUAUAAGCGUUAUAAUAAUUAAUCGUAUAACAAACUGUAAUAUACAUAUUAUAUUUGUAGAAGUUAUUAUUAAACGGGUAAUAUUUGGAGUAUUUGUGAAAAAUAAACGUAGUUAGUGGGAAAGAAGAACCAAUUUUAAGAUUCUUAUGUUGUCAGAAAUAUAGAAAAUAGGAAAUAAGUUCAGUGACUAACGAGAAGCAAUGAUAAAAGUCUAGUGACCGUCGUGAUAAUUAACCAAUAACUUGCCUUCAGAGAAAGUAAUUAAGAAAUACGGGUUUCAGUUAAUUUUAAUGUAUAAUUUAUUAAAGAUUUUUGUUUGGUGGUGGAACACAUUAUAAAAUUUUUUUUGCUAGCAUACCAACCAAAAUUAAACCUACCAAAGUCUUAAUUUAUCAAUUAAAUGAUCAGUAAAUAUUACUUUUAAUUAUUUUUUCUCCAAAGGCACUAUUGUGUCCUUGAUAUCAUACUUUUGGUAUAUUAGUCAUUUUCUGGAUGUUUUGUGGAUUUGUAGUCAUAUUUGCCCACGAUAAUAAGUACUUAAUUAUAUUAACAACAAUUCUGAACACUUUCGACUACAAGAAUUUUAUGUUUUUUAUAUAAAAAAAAAAUUUGUUGUAAAAGGUUUUUAUUUGUAGGAAAAACCUUUUGCGGAUGAAAUAAAUUUUAGAAACAUUUGUGGGGGAAACUUCGAGAGGAUAGGUAAAAGAUGAAAUUUUUUAAAAAUUUGUAGGUUAAAGAUUUUCCCUAUGAAAUCAUUAGAGAGAAAUACAAUACGUCACGUAAGUCUUUCCCCAACAAAAUCAUUUGUCUGCUAAAGUUAAUUUUGCCCACAAAAAGAUUUCACUUUUCCCUACAAAUAAAUUUUGUGUGAAAAGGAUAUUUGUGGGUUAAGAUAUACACAUUUUUCCCUGCAAUUAAAAAUUUGUGACAACAUGGUACAAAUUAUUUUGUGGAUUAAACCCUGUUUUUCACUACAAAUAAUUUUUUGGAGGGAAAGAAUAUCUGCGGGCUAUUAUGAAAUAAUUCGUAAGGAAAAAAUAAAUUAUAUUACUUUAUUCAAAAUAAUAUAAAGAUACAAAAAGACAAUAAAUUAAUUAAGACAUGUCAAUAUAAGAUUGAAUCUAAAGUAUUUCAUCAAAACACAAAUAAAAAUCAUUCUAAAUUAACUUUCUUCGUACUCCUUUUUGGAUGAGUUACUUUUGUUUGCUUUGUACCUUUUGAAAUUGUAGCCUUGCUAGUGAUAAUUUUAUUGAUUAUUUCGUUUAUGGUUUAUUCCACUCGCACAUUUAUGUAUACAUCCAAAUAUGUAUUCACGUCCAUAUCAUUGUCUUGAUGUUGCAUUUGUUUUAAAUAAUGCAAUGCCAUUUGAGUACUGAAUUAAGUAUAUUAUUUUUAUUAAUAUAUUUUCAUAAAAAACUGGAUUAUCAUUUCCAGAUUUCCGCACAGUGGAUGUCCCCUCUCUCAUUGUUGUACAGUUUAUCUAUCUACCUUCAUUUUUUUCCCCUUCAAUAUAAUAAAAGAGGUGUCGACACGCUAAAAGUGCAGCUCAAAUCGAAUAGCCCCAAGAAUGAAGCCUAACUGGGCAAUUAAGGAUAAAUGCCCAAAUAGGGUUAUUAAUGAAUGCAGUGGAAGCCCACGAACGCAGUAACACAAUCGCCCAAACUUGCAAGACGCCCAAGAUCUGAGCGAAUGAAGUACCUUACAGUCGCCCAGAGUUAUGACCUUGUUCUUGCCCAAACCUUCGAAUCGCCCAGGGUCUUAGCAAACAUAAGAUGUUAUGGUUAUCCAAAAGUGCAGUUAUCGAAACAGUUAUUGAGUAAUCUUAUCACGUUCCACGAUUCAAGGAGAUCAGUUGAAGACGGUUGAGCGACAAAGAGUAGUGACAGCAGUUAGAGACGGCAGUUCCAUGAUAAGUUGGCCACCAUGAAGAAAGUGGAUAGUUAUAAAGUAAUUAAGCAGUUUCUAAGCAAUUGAUCACAAAAAGAUCAUCAAGGGAAUAUAAAAGGAAGAAAAGACAUCGAGAAAAGGACCCCGAAUCAAACACUCUCAAACAGAAAAUAUUUAAUUUCAAUUCCUUAGUUUAGACUUAAAACAUUUCUUUUCAGUAUUCGUGUGCUUGUGCCCCUUGGAGGCAUUUUGUUUAAAGUUCCAAUUGUAAAGUCAUCGCCAAUAAAACACUCCUUUUUGGGACUUUGUCUCAAGAGGUUUGUUCCUUACACAAUCAUCUGAUCCCUUUUUAAUUAUUAACGACUACCCACGCGAAACAAUUUGGCACGCCCAGUGGGACCUUGGUGUUUGGUAUUGAAAAUACAAAAGGUGAAACAAUAUGUCUCAGAAAUCCGAUAAGGAAGCAGCAAGUCAGGGAGGAGUCCAGUCUGUGAUCGAGAGAUAUGAGGAGCAACAUAGCUCUCCACGAACAAAUGGACAGAAUCAGAGCAAUCAUAGUCAUUACGAACCAAUGACAGAGUUGAGUCCUCGAACCAUGCGUGCAUUACUCGGAGAACUCACACAAGAUGUCAUUGAACAUGUAAAUCUACGAAGUAUUCAUAAUAUGGAAAAAUUUACCCAGAAUGGGAAUGCGCAUUAUGACAACAUGGCCAAACAACUGAAUACUUUGAACGAAAUAAUGAAUAAGUUAGUAGGCCAAAUUUGUCAGCCAGUUGUGCCUCUAGCAAACAACUUUCAAACUAGGACAAUUGUGAGACAUAAUCCCCCAGUCCUAAGUUUAAAUCAAGGGGUAGAACCACCUUUUGACCCCUCUACUUCAAACCAUGGGGGUGGUGCAAUACCAAAUCAAAAUAGUGGCAUUAUUACAUCUAACUUGGGGGGUAAUCCAAAUGUAAGGGAUAAUGUCCUAAAUAAUGGGCAGAAUACCUCACGUAUUAAUGAUGGAAUAAAUGUUCAGGCUAAUAGUAACAAUGGCCCAAAUUAUGGCAACUUUGUUGCCAACCAAGGACCAAACAUCAGGCCUCAAGCAAAUCAACCGGUCAACCAACCUGUAGGGAUCCCAUAUGACCCCAACGUCAUGUUGAGGAAUCAGAUUAUGGAAAUCGUAUAGGACCAGAUGGCUUUUGGAGUACGUCCUGUCAUUAGGCCGACUUACACAAAGCCAUAUCCUGAUUGGGUAUACCAAGCAUAUCCAUGGCCUAGAGGGUAUAAAGUGCCAAAAUUCUCAUUGUUUACCGGUUUAAAAGAGGUGUCUACUCUAGAACACAUAGGGCGAUUCACACUGCAAUGUGGUGACGUAACUGAUUAUCAUAAAAUGAGGCUGUUCCAUAAUUCAUUAACAGGAGUAGCCUUCUCCUGGUUCAUCAAUUUGCCAACAAACUCUGUUCAAACAUGGCAACAAUUGGAGUAAUUGUUCCACGCUCAGUUUUAUAAGACUGAGUCUGAAGUUACUUUGGUCGAUUUGGCGAACCUACGUCAAAUGCCAAACGAAUGGGCAGAAGGUUUCCUUCAAAAGUUCAAGACAGCAAUAAGUAAAUGUUUUGUACCUUUGUUCGAAAAGGAGUUUGUCAAAAUCGCUCAACGUUGUCUAAGCUUUGAUUUGAAGAAGAAGUUUCAAGAUAAGGAAUUUCUUGAUCUUUUUCAAUUGAGCGCAAACGUGAUUAGGUAUGAACGAUUAAUAAGAGAAGAAGAACAAAUGAAAAGUUCUAGCAAGGGGACUUAUUAUAGAGACCCAAAUUUUGAUGUUCAUACCAUUAAUGAAGAGUAUUACGAUCAAACCGAAAUGUGUUUAGCCGAAUUAGUUAAAGGAGACACAUAUACUUGUUCUAUAAUGGCUAAGCCUAGGCCAUCGGGUAAGGAUGAGCCUAUAAAAGAUGAAAACAUAAAGGCUAGAACGUUCUCGUUCGAUGUAACCAAAGCUGACCUUAUAUUUGAUAAAUUAUAUAAGGAUAAGCAGAUAAAGCUGAGCGAUAAGCAUAAAUUGCCAAGCCCUGAACAAGUUAAGGGUAAAAAAUAUUGUAAGUGGCAUAAUGCAUGGUCACAUUUGACUAACAACUGUUUGGUUUUUCGCCAUGUGUUACAGGAUGCCAUUGAAUCAGGACGAAUUACGUUCGAGGAUAAGAGGAAGAUGGCAGUGGAUGAAAAUCCUUUUCCACAGCCACUUGGAGUGAAUAUGGUGACGUCUGGUUUCAAAAACAAGUUACCAAAAUUCAAGUUGGUUAUAGAUGAUGGAGAAGAAGAAGCUGGACCACAUCCCAGCGUCUUUGAACGUAUCAAAGGGAAUGAACCCAAAAAGGACGAAGACGUCCUAUGUGCAAGAUACAAAAAAGAAGUGAGUGCAAGUGCAGAGAAACCAGGGAUAUGGCAGCAUCACCAUCGCCCUAGUUUUUUCCCAAACGCUCAGCCUGGUAGAGGGUGGGGUACAUCAUUCUAUAAGGGACCGCCUUUUGAGAGGCAGUUCAGGCUAGUAAAUAAUGGAAGAACAUUCAGACCGCAACCUCGCUAACCAAGUGUAUGGCAUUCAUUCCAGUAUAAGGCUGGAAGGGCGACACCUUUCAACGAGAUGACUAAAACUCAACAAAGGUGUUCUCAACAGAACUAUGGGCGAAUGAUGAGGCAACAACAGGGAAUACUACGUCCAAAGGCACCUAGGCUACUCGAGACAGCCAAUCAAAAUGUUCUCAAAGACAGUGAAGAGACUGGUACAGGAGAACCUAUGGAAGAGUUGCCAGAGACUUCUUCUGGGAGGUCGAAGUUUGAGCGAGACAGAAGGGAUGGAGAAGAUCCAGAUCAGCCCCUUACUAUUCAGUUUGGUACGUUGCCUCUUGUCGUGGCUAAUAACUAUUUGCUAGCCAAUGAGUUCAAGAAUAAAGAGAAGGGAGAAGAAGAAAAGGAGGAUAACGAAGAGGAAGCAUGCCUGCUGAAAUAUGAAGAAGGCCAAACUUCUAGCGAGGCCUACAAUGGUGAAGAAGAUGAUGGUAUGACAGACAUCGAAGAGGAAAUCGAUCUGGAAGCAGAAAGAAGAAGAAGAGGAGUAUCGUACAAUACUCUGUUGAAGCAACUACAUCGAGAGGGAGUUCGUGAAGUAGACUUAUUAGGAGAACCAUCUGGGCGUUCUUUUGAUUUUUAUGUGCUGUAUGGAAUGCCCAAAAGGAAGAAGAGAGUGCCUCAUUCUGAAACGUAUGGAUCACCUCCAAGAAUAAUACCUCCUCCCACACGUUGGAUAACUGAAGAAGAAGCAUUAGAAAACAUUAAAAAGGAAAUUCAGGAGACAGAGGCUCAGUGCGAUAUGCUGCACGUUGACUUACCACAAAAGGAUAACUCGAUAGAGGACAAGCAGGAAGUGGAAAUAGAUGCUGCCGAAAAAGUUAUUUUUAAGCGACCAACCAUGAAAUUGACCAAACACUUGAGACCAUUGGCAAAAGUGCUUGUCGAUAAUGGAGCAGCUAUAAACACCAUUUCAUCUACGAUGAUGAGGUAAUUCGCAAAGACAAAAGGUGAUAUGAUCCCAACGAAAGUCAUCCUGACAAGUUUCAAUGGAGGAGCAACUUCAGCUAAAGGGGUUAUGCCAUUGGACAUAACUAUAGGAACAACUACUAGGACCACAGUCUUCUUUGUAAUAGAUGGUCCCACUAGUUACAAUGUGUUAUUAGGAAGAGAUUGGAUACACGGAAGUCGCUGUAUACCUUCAUCGCUCCAUCAUUGCCUAGUUUUUUGGAAUGACAACGGCGAAGCAGAGAUGGUGCAGGCCGAUCAUAGGCCUUUUGUCACAGAAGCAAACUCAGUAGAAAGGUUCAUGCACGCAGGAAAUUAUGGACCUGUCAGAGUAGUCCAAGAUGGAGAAGAAACUCAGAUUGUCGCGCAGAGUGAAGAGUUGUUUUCGGUGGAUGCACUCACUGAAAUGUUCAAUCAGAUGAGGCCAAACAUAGUGGCCCUGGAGGAGCCAGUAAUUGAUAAAAGAAUAAUCAAGGAGUUUUAAAUGAGUUGUAAGCAACAAAGACAAAUGACCGAUAUUCAGGCCUUAAAGCAAAAUUAAUGGCUUUCAAUAAAGAAUGCAAGGACAACACAAAAGAAGCAGUAGCCUUGAAAGCAUUGAGAGACAAAUUGACAGUGUUCGAGUUGGAACAAAGUAUUGGCCGAGAAGUCAACAAGGCGGAUUGUUUAGAAGAAGAAGAAGUGCCUACAAGGGAACUGGACGACGAAGUGAUAAGGAUCGCCAAGCCUGGAUACGCUCAAGCACAAGACCCUCUGAUUAAAGUGAACAUUGGCAAUGAAGGAGAAGAUCGCCCAACGUUCAUUAGCCAAAUGCUCGAUCAAGAGGUUAGUGAUAAAUUAAUCGCUUUAUUAAAGGAGUACAAAGAUUGUUUUGCUUGGGAAUAUGAACAUAUCCUGGUUUAGAUAGAGAUUUGGUGGAACAUAGAUUACCAACCAAGCCUAAUUUUAAACAUCAUAGGCAACCUCCUAGGCUUUUCGCUCCUAAUGUACUCCCUGAAAUUAAGGAAGAGAUAGAGCGAUUAUUAAAAGCAGGCUUUAUUAGAACGGCCAUAUAUGUUGAAUGGUUAUCCAAUAUCAUGCCGGUAUUAAAAAAGAAUGGUAAACUAAGGGUGUGCAUAGAGUUUAGGAAUCUAAACAUAGCCACACCUAAAGAUGAAUAUCCAAUGCCCACGGUAGAUUCUUUAGUAGACUCGACUACCGGACAUGUAAUGUAUUCCUUCAUGGAUGGGUAUUCAGGAUACAAUCAAAUUUAUAUAGCUGAGGAAGAUAUACACAAAAUUGCCUUUAGAUGCCCUGGGUCUCUAGGAUAUUUUGAAUGGGUGGUUAUGCCUUUCGGCCUGAAAAAUGCAGGAGCAACUUAUCAAAGGGCAAUGAAUUUGAUUUUUCAUGAUAUGAUAGGCAAGUUUGUUGAAGUGUAUGUAGAUGAUAUAGUGGUCAAAUCCUUUAAAGAAGAGGACCAUUUUGAACAAUUAAGAUGUUCAUUUGAGCGAAUGAAGCAAUAUAAACUAAAGUUGAAUCCCUUGAAAUGUGCAUUUGGUGUUAAUGUAGGAAAUUUUCUUGGUUUCUUAGUACACAAAAGGGGGAUUGAACUAUAUAAAAAUAAAGCGACGGCCAUUUUAGAGGCCAAACCACCUAGCAACAAAAAAGAAUUGCAAAGGCUUCUAGACCAAGUAAACUUUUUAAGACGCUUUAUUUCUAGCUGUGCACGGCGAACUAAAGCUUUUUCGCCGCUUUUAAAAUUGAAAAAUCAGGACGAAUUCGUCUGGAAAGAAGAGCAUCAGAAGGCUUUUGAAAGCCUAAAGAUAUAUUUAUCAAGUCUACCAGUGUUGGUGUCACCAAUCCAAGGACGGCCAAUGAAAGUGUAAGCAUCGGCUGAAAAAGAAUCAAUAACUGGAAUGGUCGCGCAGGAAGACCAAUUUGGUGAAGAAAGGGCGAUUUACUACUUGAGUAGACGGUUAACAAAAUGUAAAUGUAAUUAUUCUGCCAUUGAAAAAUUAUGUCCUACAUUGUAUUUCACAUGUACAAAAUUAAGGACUUAUUUACGACCCGAGACCGUUUAUUUAAUUUCUAAAGUAAAUUUGAUUAAGUAUAUGUUCUCUCACCCUAUUUUACAUCAAAGGGUAGGCCUUUGGACAUUAGUUUUAUUAGAAUUCGAAGUACAAUACAUACCCCAAAAGGCAGUAAAAAAUCAGGCUUUGGCUAACUUUCUGGCCAAUCAUCCAUGCCUUGAUAUGCUUGAAGAAAUUGAGUUAGAGAUCAAUUCAUUCGAAUUAAAACCUUGGGUUUUAUAUUUCAAUGGAUCGAAAACCUCUACAGGUGUAGGAGUAGGAGUAGCAUUGAUAAAUCCUUUAGGGAUUUGUUACAUGUUCGCAUUCACUUUGGACAGGAUGUGCACCAACAAUCAGGUCGAAUACGAAGCCUUAAUCGUGGCCUAGAAUUAAUGAUAGAUUGGGGGUAAAGAAUGUGAUCAUUAGAGGCGAUUCUCAAUUGGUAAUUCACCAAUUGAUUGGUGAUUUUAAAUGCCAAAGUGAUUCCAUUAUAAGUCAGUAUGAAAUCGCCCAAGAGUUGUUGGAAGAAUUCGACCAAAUAGAGCUUCAAUGUGUUAAUAAGAUAUAUAAUGAUGUAGCGAACAAAUUGGCCCAGAUGGCCUCAGGGUACUCAAAGGUUUUAAAUUGGAAGUCUACUUGUGAGUAUGGAACAAUAUUGCCCGUGAUCCAAAGAAGGGCAAGAGCGAUUGAAAUUCAUUGCAUACAAGAUGGAGAUACAAUAGAUUGGAGGGCAGAGAUUAAAAGGUUCCUUAAAGAACCCAAUAAAGGAGAUAGUAGAAAAAUGAAGUUGCGUUUGCUAAACUAUACACUGAUAGAUGAAGAGUUGUUUAAGAAAUGCUAAGAUGGUAUAUUGCUAAAAUGUGUAAGUUUGCAAGAAGUCAAGACUAUCAUGGCUGAAGUGCACGAAGGAAUAUGUGGAGCUAAUCAAGCUGGCCAAAGGAUGAGAUGGUUAAUUAUUAAGAAUGUGUAUUUUUGGCCAAAGAUGGAAGAAUCAUGCGUUCAGUAUGCAAAGAGUUGUCUAGUAUGCCAAAAGCAUGGUCCAAUACAAAGGGCGCCAGCAUGAGAGAUGACACCUAUUAUUAAACCUUGGUCGUUUAAGGGUUGGGCGAUAGACCUGAUAGGGAAGAUUUAUCCCCCAUCAUCCAAGCAACAUACCUUUGUUAUAAUUGCAACUGAUUAUUUCACUAAGUGGGUAGAAGCGAUACCUUUAAAGGAGAUCACCCAAAAGAAUGUCAUAGAAUUUAUCCGUGAUCACAUCAUUUAUAGAUUUGGAAUUCCACAAACUUUGAUGGUAGAUCACGGAAUAUCUUUAAAUGGGGAUCAAAUGAAUAAAUUCUUGAGCGAGUUUGGAGUUAAAUUAGUGAACUCCACACCAUAUUACGCUCAAUCCAACGGACAAGCAGAAUCUUCUAAUAAGAUUCUAAAAAAUAUCAUAAGAAAAAUGAUAGAUGAAAUGCUAGAAAUUGGCACGAAUGUCUAAACAAGGCCUUAUGGGCUUAUAGGACGUCGCCUCGGUCAAGUACCAAAAUUACUCAUUUCCAACUUACUUAUGGACAGGAGGCUGUUUUGCCUAUGGAAAUCAACAUGCAAUCGAUCAGAGUGUGUUUGUAACAUAAGUUAAGUGGUGAUGAGUAUACCGAAUCACUAGUUCAAAACUUAUUGGAGUUGGACGAAUUAAAGUUGGACGUCGUAGAUAGAUUGCAAGUUCAAAAACAAAGAAUGACUAAAUUUUAUAAUAAAAAAGCUAUAGCCAAGUCGUUCAGCCUGGGUGAAUUAGUUUGGAAAACAAUACUCCCUUUGGAUAGUAAAGAUCCAAAGUAUGGCAAGUGGUCGCCCAAUUGGGAAGGACCAUAUAAAGUAAAUAAUACAUUGCCUAAUGGAGUCUAUCAUUUGGAAGAUUUAGACGGCACCAAGCACAUGAGAUUCAUUAAUGGCAAAUAUUUAAAAAAAAAUAUGUUCCUUCCUUAUGGGAAAGUGAACAAAUAAAAGUAUAAUCAAAUCGUGUUGAACGAUCGUAGAUUAAAAGGGCCAAAGCGAAAUACGUUCAAAUAAAUUCCUUUAUUAUCAAACGUUCAUUACAAAGUUGUAAAAUACAAAAUACUAAAUGCUCUACAAGUUACAAUUAAGAGCAAACUAAUCUCCCGGUAGAUCGUCGAGUAAGAGGGUGAACUGGCCUUGGUUGCCAUCAUGAUCGCACUGUUGCAAAGGCAAGCAGAAAGGCCGAGAAGCACUCUCAGCAAGCAAAAAGGAAGAAGAAGCACCCUCACAUCGCCUUCCUAAAUGCAUCGCUGCAAUAGCGGGCAAGGAGGUUGAGAAGCACUUUCAGCAAGUAAGGUGACUUGUAGGCGUCCUCAAAAAUUGUCUUCCAUCAUCGAACUCCUUGUAAGGAAUAUGGAGAUGAUGGGAAAAACUUUGCUGUUGGCCAAAGAAUAUUUCCUAUAUCUCCCAUACCAAAAGUGACAUCAAGAAGGAUGGCAAAAUGGGUGGAUCAAAUGAUCCAUCUCCAUGGAAAACGAAGGUUUUGGAUCGAUUGUCAAAAUGCCAAACAAUGGCAGCAAAUUGGUUUUGAAGAAGAGAAUGGAAAUGAAAAUGACAAGUGUGGAAUAUAAGUGCAUUUAUAGAGGCAUGAAGGUGAAGAGACAGAAUAUGAACAGCCACAUUCGUGCCUAGUAACUAGAAUCAAAUGGCCCGAAGUCUUGGAAAAAGAAACAGAAAUACCAAGAGAAAAUAUGCGUGAAUCUUAGCAUAAAGCAAUAAAAUGUUUGGGGGGUUGACGAUUAAAAACAACGUCAAUAAAUACACAAGAAGACAAAUUAAUCGUUCAUUAAUGAUAAUGGCUGCUGGUAUGUUCAGAAUUACCAAUGGACAUCAGUACGAGGUUACAAGGAGAAAGUUAAUACAAAGUUACAAAAAGAAAAGUUAAGGCAUUAGAUGUCUUAAUUACAAUUCGCCCCAGACUGAACGUAUUAUUUCCCUAAGUCUCCCCCAAUCCUCGCUCUGCUGAGAAGAAGUGACAUUCAAUUCAGCCACAAAAUCAUCAUCAACCUCCAGCUUCUUGUACUGCUCGACCAAAGACUUGGUUCGCUCAAUUCCUUAGGAGGCAUUCGUCCUUAGUUUUGUUGAUCUCCAGAAGCAAAGACUCUCUUUCAGAUACAGCGCGAAGAUAUUGAGUACUUUUGGCCUUCAGUUCAACAUUUUUGGCCAGUAAGGAGAGAAUCUCGGAAUGGACAACUUUCAACGUCGCUUUCAAAUCAAUAGAAAGAUUGAGCGAAGGAAGUGUCAAUGCUUGCGCCAACUUCGCACUCAAAUGCUCAAGCUUAUCCUUAUGUUUGGCAGCACUAGCCUGACCGAUGUCUAUAUCCAUAAUGGAUACAUACUCAAAUAUCGACUGCUUGAGGAACUAAUAUCUUCCUCUGAAGAAGCAGAAGGACGACUGGUUGAAGCAGAGCGAGACGUCUUGACUUGCCCCCAGGAAGUGAACAAGUUUUGGAUGGAACGCACAAUCUUAUCAGCAUCCUGCAAAAAAAAAUUGCCAACAUUGAAGGUUUUCACUAUAAUAAACAAAGUGGAAGUAAAAGUGAAGCAAGGAUUACCUCAUCAGCAAUCUUGGGAGGUGGCAUAUCCCCAGCCAAGUCUACCACCUGUGGCUCUAACACUUGUGAGGACUUCCCCUUGUCUAAGCGAGAAGACUUUGCCACAACGGGCAAACCCAUGGGAGCAUCUGCAGAACUCAAAAAAGUAAUGAAUUAAAAACCAAUAGCACAAGUAAAGGUCAAACAUCAAAAAAUGUAUUACCUUCUGGUUUGACGUUUUGGAGGUUGACGCCCUGGGAAGAAGGUGGCUCAUCCAUUGGUUGUGAUAAGGAUUCCGGGACUGAAGGUUUCUCUUUAAGCGUAGUCCCUUCAUCAGCUGGUUUGGAUGAAGCAGCCUCAGCAGAGGAUGAUGGAGCAGGAGCUGCCAACACCAAAGCCUUCAAAGGAGAGGCUGAGCUUUUCUGAGAAAUCCGAAUAAAUUAUCAGCACAUAGAAAAGUGUCAAGUAUAGAAAGGUAUGCUUGUGAGUAAACUAAUUUAAUUACCUUUCUCCUGACAAUGAGAGGAGUGUCAUCAUCAUCAUCAUCAUCAUCCUCCAAAAUGGGAGAUGCUGAGGCUGGCCGUUUGCGGUUUGGGGCACUCUUAGCUGCAGUAAGCUUGGUAGGAAGAGAAGUAGAUGGAUGAACAGACUGUUUGGCACUAGCAGAAGAGGAAGGACUCCUAAUAGACACAGGAGUGACCAAAACAGGAGAAGUGAAAGAAAUGUCUACCUGAUCCAGUGAAUGGAAAGCGCGAUUGUCAUCAGUUGCAAACAAUUUGCGCUGCACUGAUGGCCAGAGUUGUUCAAAAAAGGGAUGGCAUGGCAUGGCUAGAAUUGAAGGGGGCUAAUGAAAAGUUACUUGUCAAAAGAAUAUUGCGAGCAUCUAUAACUUCUGCCUCUGCCUUAUUAAUGGUGUAGAAGCGAUCUAUCAAAUUUCUUGAAUAACAAGGGGGAACAGGCCAAGUUUGGCCAAAACUAAGUUAACGAGCAAAAAAUUGGGGAGCAUGUAUUUCAACCCCAGCUUUGGCAUUGGUUCCAGUCAAAAUAUCAUGGAACAACUCCCUCCCGGUCAAAAACUGAACUGAAAUGAGCAGAGAGGUGCUCGCGUUUUCCAAAGUGGAUGGGGGUUGCACAUAAUCUGGAGUUAAAAAAGGAGGAAAAGAAAAGAAAGAAGGAAUUGAAUUCAAAGUAUAAAAGAAUGAAAAGAUGUCCCUUCUGGACAUAUUUACAGGGCUCAGUGGGCCAAUAGCUAGCCCAUGGCAGCUAGUAGAAGGAAGGGAAAAGGAUAGAGCACCAAGUGAUGGAAAAUAGGCUUUCAACCACAUUUGAGUGAACUAAAGAGGCCCACUGCCAGUAGGAGAUGCACCAUUCUUCAAUUGGAAUUGGAGAGAAGCCAUGCCUCUAUAGAGGGCAGCUAAAAAGAAAGAAUACAAAUUCAGAGGUCUACCACGCUCCAAUUCGUGCGCUAUGGGUAAAUAGCUCAUAGAAGGCUUCAUGCUUGGCACACACAGAACAUAUUUACAAAGCCAAAUUUGAAUAAAGGCCACACGCUCAGCAUGGGAAGGCUCAGCUCUCGAGUGAUUAUAACAACUUUGCAGGCUUGAAUAAGACUCGGUGAGUUUUCUCUCAAAUUUUGGGGCAACACCAGAAAUCAAAAUACCAGGAAAAAUGGUAUCGCCCAAAGGUGUCAAAUUUACUAAGGCCCCAACAUCUCUUAAAGUAAUGGACAUAGGACCAAGAGAGAAAAUAAAAGUAUUAUACUCAGAGGACCAAAAACUUAAAGCAAUAAGGAAAAUCGUUGAAUCAAAAAUAUGGGGUUGAAGAGAGAUUUCUAACAAAUCAAAAAUCCUAGCAUUAUCAAAAAUUGCCUUGGUAGGACCAUGGAUCACAAGGCGAGCAUGCCAUCUACGGAAAACAACAUCAAAUUUAGUCCAAGUGCGAAUACCUCUUUUGCAAAGCGGCCUCAGCGGCAAAGAGUUUAGAAACGGAGGGCCUUGAGUACAAGGGAACAGCUGGCUCAUCGCCACUUAUUCAAUGGCCUCGGCGUUGUUGAAUGAAGGACCUAGGUAGAACUCAUUGAGUUUGACAUUGGCUGGUGCAAGAAAGUUCGGAGUUCUAUAUGGCCGAGUGAGGAGUUUCUGGAAGUCUUCGAAGCUGAAAGAGUCACCAGAUUGGGAUUGUGAAACAGCCAUUAAAAAUGAAAUAAAGUUUUGUUGAAAUUUGCUUGAGAAACAUAGUAGAGAAGCAAGAAGAUGAAUAGUAAUAUUGCAAGAGAGAAGCGCGAAACAAUGAGGCGUGAUUUAGUAGUGCGAUGAAAUGGCGUGUAUUUGGGGUUUAUAAGGGUUUGCAACGUCGCACCUUUUCAGGCUAUGGAAGAAAAUAAUGAUUGAAAUUCUUGAGAAUUUCAAAUGUUGCUGAAAAACACAAAGUGAAUACGACAAAAAUUAAUAAUUGGUAUUAAUUCUGCCAUAUUGGGGGAUAAUUGUUGACACGCUAAAAGUGCAGCCCAAAUCGAAUAGCCCAAAGAAUAAAAUCCAACUGGGCAAUUCAGGAUAAAAGCCCAAAUAGGGUUAUUAAUGAAUGCAGUGAAAGCCCACAAACGCGGUAACACCAUUGCCCAAACUUGCAAGAUGCCCAAGAUCUGAGCGAAUGAAGUGCCUUGCAGUUGCCCAGAGUUAUGACCUUGUUCUCGCCCAAACCUUCGAAUCGCCCAGGGUCUUAGCAAACAUAAGAUGUUAUGGUUAUCCAAAAGUGCAGUUAUCGAAGCAGUUAUUGAGUAAUCUUAUCACGUUCCAUGAUUCAAGGAGUUCAGUUGAAGACGGUUGAGCGACAAAGAGUAGUGGUAGCAGUUAGAGACGGCAGUUCCACAAUAAGUUGGCCACCUGAAGAAAGUGGGCAGUUAUAAAGUAAUUAAGCAGUUUCUAAGCGGUUGAUCAUAAAGAGAUCAUCAAGGGAAUAUAAAAGAAAGAAAAGACAUGGAGAAAAGGACCCCGGAUCAAACACUCUCAAACAGAGAAUAUGUAAUUUCAAUUCCUUAGUUUAGAUUUAAAACAUUUCUUUUUAGUACUCGUGUGCUUGUGCCCCUUGAAGGCAUUUUGUUUAAAGUUUCAAUUGUAAAAUCAUCGCCAAUAAAACACCCCUUUUUGGAAUUUUGUCUCAAGAGGUUUGUUCCUUACACAAUCGUUUGAUCCCUUUUUAAUUGUUAGCGACUACCCACGCGAAACAAGAGGAAUUUUGUUUUGGCAUUGUUCAUUGGAAUCUGUCCCUCCCUUUUUUUUCCUUCCUGUUUUAGUUGUCCAUCCGGACUCUUCUACGUCUUUCAAUUUAAUUUUUCCAUAUUUUCACACAUGCAACGAGCACCGUAUCUUUUUACGGUCUUGAUUUAAUUACAAGCUCAAUGACAUAUUUAAAAUUCUGGAGGACACAUGUCAAUACAUAAUUGGAUAGUUUGACAUAAUGUCAUGUGUCAUUCCAUCAUUAGACAAUUUAAAGCACGGUCAACUUUUUCAUCCAAUUGUUUACGGGCUUUGCUUGGUAUAUAUAAUGUUUUGUACAUCAAGGUAUCCCACACUCACAUGGGAUAGGGCCCGCUUGAAUAUUACGGGCUUUGCUUGAUGUACAUAAUUUUUGUACAUCAGGUGUCCCACAUUCACAUGGGGUGGGGCUCGCUCGAAUAUUUACUGGUCUCAUCCCAUCUGAGUGUAUAGAUACCUUAAUGUACAAAAAAUUAUGUACAACUAUUGUUGUUCACUAUUAACUGUCACAUACAAUUAUGUCAAGUUUCUUAUCAAAGUAGCUUUAUCCAUCAAUUAUAGCCAUCCCAUCCUAUCAUCCAAUUUUUUGUCAAUCACCUUGGCCACAUAUGUGUGUGUGUAUAUGAAUUAAGCCCCCUGCAUAGGUCCAUUUGCACAGGGACUCUCACAUGGGCGUGUACUCCAUGUGUAAGCUCCACCCCCAUGUGUGUGCACCUGUACAGACCCUGUGCAAAAGGGUCUGUGCAGGUAGCACAAUUGAUUGAUAUAUAUAAGUGUAUUUUAUACACUUAUACGACGCACUAAAUUGUCGAACUAAAAAAUUGAUUAAUAAGGGGGGUUCUACAUCUUAUCAACAUUUCUUGUGAAGUUGAUAAAUUUUAUUUACAUUGCUUUCUAGUUAGUCGAUAGAUUUAAUAGUUUUUAGUUACCACUCAUUUUACUAUUCGAUUAAGGGUAGGGUUAACUUAAACUUGAUCAAACACAUAGUUCUCAUGGGUUCGACACUGUACACACCACUUUAUUACUUGUUCCCGAUUUCGUUCACUUGCGGAUAAUCAAACGAUAUAUAUAUAUAUAUAUAUAUAACCCCAUAUUUAAAAUUGAUCUAAGGCCCCAAAAUCUCAGGACCCGUCUUGCUGGCCAAGUAGCAUUAUUCAUCUUUUUACUCUUACUUCCCCCCACAAAAUUACCAUUCAUACGUCUCCUUCUUCUAACCUUUUGUUUUCUUUCUCCAAAAUUCUCUCUAACAAAUUCAAUUUUUGUAGAAUCAUAUGUUACUAGUGCAUUCUGUGAACUUCUUGAGAAAAACCGAGAGAACUCUGUUCAGAGGACGGAAUGAGAACAAGAAUCGCAAAUCAAGUACAAAAAUGGCAUCGAAGAUUUCCCUAAAGGCGGCGAAAGGGCAAGAGUGUAAAGAAGCUUGCGGUGGCGGCCCAAGGUGGAGUGUUGCGAAGUGGGUUAGCUACAGUUUUGAAGGAUGGUCCCCUGCAUAAAUACAGUUCAUAUGGAUUCAAGUUCGUUAGGUGAGAACUAGUCCUCGGCAUAAAUACAGUUCAUAUGGAUUAAAGUUCGUUAAUUUUUAGCUUGUUUGCCAUUUCUCUUUUAGUUGUUUGGUAUCUUUCCCAGCCGCAUUCUACUAUUAUUUCUAUUAACUUCUCUAUGUUCUUUUCUCCUCCACAUUUGCAGUUUCAUCCAGGGAAGAAUGUGGGUCUUGGCAAGGAUCACACCCUUUUCUGUUAGAUAGAUGGCAUCAUAAAAUUUGAGAAGUUUGGGCCUGAUAAGAAAAAGGUUUAUUUCAUAGAUACAUAAACUCGUCUCUCUAUUUGUAGCCGUAUAAAUAAUUGGUUAAAAAUUUUGCAGAGCGUAAAGAUAUAACGAUGUAUAUGUUUAUAAUGUAUGAAAUUACUUGAGUAAACAAAAUGGUUUACAAGACUCAUGGGUGGAUAUAAAUUAAUGAAGAUUUGGGUUGUGUGUUUGUGUUGUACAAACAUUAAAAAGAAAUGGCCUGCAGCUCGUGUGGUUGCGUGUUUGUUUUUGGAUGCAAGAUACACAAUUUCAGUUCCCUUCAAUGGCACUCCUCCUUUUGGUUCCUGUUUGGUUAAUUAAUGGAAAAAAAAAUGGGAAUUCUUUUCAGAUAUGGAGAUUAGAUAAUUAACUCUAUACUUUCAAACUUGUGUCACAAAAGGCAUCGAAUUAAAAGUUAACGUGCAUCGGUAAUUUUAUUACUCACAAUAUGUAAUUAUUACUUUUCCUGCAUUUUAUUUUUACCAUCUUCUCUCCAAAUUAUUAUAUUAGUGAUAUGUCCCUUCAUUAUUAUUAUUAUUAUUAUUAUUUUUUAUAGCAUUUCAUUGGGUCAAUAUAUGGAGCAUUGUAAAUUGAAAUAUUUUAGAUGCAUUCAACUAUAGAGAGUGACUUUGACUCUUAAAUAGAGAAAUAUUUCACUUUUAAAUAACUUCUUGGAUGUUGUAGUAGUAUUAAGAAAAAUUUGUGACAAAAAUCACUCUAAUCAAACCUAAUUUCUUCUUUGCCUGAGUUAUCCAUGUCCACGCAAACUCCUCCACAAUACCGACUUCCAAAAAUCUUAAAAUCAUGCUCUAAAUCCAAAAUCUAAAAAAUAUAAGCAAAAAAUUGAUUGGGAUGGAAACAAUCUAAAAAAAUUGAUUGCCUUUUCCUUUAUGCAAGAACUUAUUAAAAAUCAACUACCUAUAAUGGACAAGACUUGUCCAAUAGCCUUACUGGAAGCACAACUUAUUUGUUGGAAUUACCAUUGUCUCCAUUAUUGGGAUUUGGAUAAUGAGAAAUGAAAUGCAGGUUUGGGAUUCCCAUUCCCACAUAGCAAGCUUCUAUGUAUGUACAAUAUUAUGUGUAUGAUAGAUUAGAUUUAGUGCGACCAAUUAAACAAUUUUUACAUUUAUAAUUACAAGGGAAUUGCGAGAGAGGAAAUGUCACUCAUCUUAUUGCUUUCCUCUUGUUGCUGUAAUUUUAAAUUGGCAGAACUUAAUUUGAUAUAUAAUUUGUGUUCUCUGCAGGUUGUGCUAUCUGCUUUUGAUUCAGACGCCUCACUUGAUGUAUUGGACCAUCCAGUUCUGAACUUAAUCUACUACCAUGUAGUAGAUUAACUGAAUUUUUGUUCAGUUAUAAGAAAAUAUUUAUAAUCCAAUAGAAAAAAGUUUAGAUUUUUAGUGUUGUUUUCGAGGGAUUUUAUCUUUAUUCGAGCUAAAUUAUACGUUAAACCUUGAUUCUCUAGUUACAAAGAUAGACCAUAAAUUUAGUUAGAUAGAUACAUAACUUGUUAAGUCAAAUAUAUUAAAGAAUUAUGCUAAUUGUACAUAAAAAUGGUACAUAAAUGAUUACAUUAAAUAAUGCAGAGGGAAAAUAUAUGAUAAAAAAGUUGAUUGUGUUUUAAAUUGAAAAUAUAUAUAUAUAUAUAUAUAUAGAGCAAGAUUCUAUAUUAAAUCCCCAUCACUCUGUAAAUCAAGCUAAUUGUGUAGUGACUAACUGUUUCGUGCGGGUUCGUCGCUAACAAUUAAAAAGGAAUCAGACGAUUGUGUAAGGGACAAACCUCUUGAAACAAAGUCUCAAAAAUGGGUGUUCUUUAUUGGCGGUGACUUUACAAUCGGAAAUUAAAAACAGAAUGCCUCUAAGGGGCGCAAGCACACGAGUUACUGAAAGAAGUGUUUAAAUCUAAGCUAAGAAAUUUAAAAUUACAUGCUCUCUGUUCGAGAGUUUUUGAUUCAGUCAUUUUGCUCUAUGUCCUUCCUUCCUUUUAUACUCCCUGGAUGAUCUCUUUGUGAUCAACCGCCUAAAAACUGCUGGAUCGUUCUAUAACUGUCCAUUUUCCUCGUAAUGGCCAACUUGUUAUGGAACUACCUUUUCUAACUACUGCCAUUACUCUUUGUCAUUCAACCGUCUUCAAUUAGGUUCCUUGAAUUGUGGAACGUGAUAGGGCUGCUUUAAUAACUGUUUUGAUAACUGCACUUCUUGAUAACCACAAUACUUUAUGUUUGCUAAGACCUUGGGUGACUCGAAGGUUUGGGCGAGAAUAGAGUAACAGCUCUGAGCGACUGCAUGGCACUCCAUUCGCUCAGAUUCUGGGCGACUUGCAAAUUUCGGCGAUGGUGUUACCGCGUUCUUGGGCCUCCCCAUUUGGGCCUUCAUCUUGAAUUGUUUGAUUGGGCUUCGUUCUUUGGGCUAUCUGAUUUGGGGAUCCUCCAAUUGGGCUUCAUUCCUUGGGCCGUUCGAUUUGAGCUGAAUUUUUAUGUGUCAACAAUUACCCCUCAAUAUGGCAGAAUUAAUACUAAUUGUUAAAUUUUGCCAUAUUCAUUUUGUGUUUCCUGCAGCAUUUGAAAUUCCCAAGAAUUUCAAUCAUUGUCUUCUUCCAUAGCUUGAAAAGAUGCGACGUUUUGCAAACCCUUAUAACCCCCAAACACGCCAUUUCACUGCACCAUUAAAUCACGUCUCACUUUUUUUCCGUUUCUCUCCCACGAUUUACUGUUCAUCUUUUUGCUUCCCUGCUACAUUACUCUGAAAAAACUCCGUUUCAUCCCUAAUGGCUACUUCACAAUCUCAAUCUGGCGACUCAUUUAGUUUUGAUGACUUUCAGAAACUUCUGAGUCGUCCAUACAUAACUCCGACUUUUCUCGCGCCUGCCAAUGUCGAACUCAAUGAGUUCUACCUAGGUCCUNAAGACACUUUUUGAUAAUGCUAGGAUUUCUGAUUUGUUAGAAAUCUCUAUUCAACCCCCUACUUUUGAUUCAGCACUUUUUUCAAUCGUUUUGAGUUUUUGGUCUUCUGAGUAUAAUACCUUUAUUCUCUCUUGGCCCCAUGUCUAUUACUUUAAGGGAUGUUGGGGCCCUAGUGAAUCUACCACCUUUGGGCGAUACCAUUUUUCCUGGUAUCUUGGUUUCUGGUGACGCCCCAAAGUUUGGUAGAAACUACACCGAGUCUUAUUCAAGCCUGCAAGCCCUUCAUAACCAUUUGAGCGCUGUCCCAUACUGAGCGAGUGGCCUUUCUUCUGGUUUGGCUUUGUAAAUAUGUUUUGUGUGUACCAAGCAUAAAGCCCUCCCUGAGCUAUUUACCCAUAGCGCACGAAUUAGCGCGUGGCAGGCCUCUCAAUUUAUGUUAUUUCUUUUUGGCUGCCCUCUAUAGAGACAUGACUUCUCUUCAAACUCAAUUGAAAAAUGGUGCAUCUCCCACUGGCAGUGGACCUCUUUGGUUCACUCAAAUGUGGUUGAGAUCCUAUUUUCCAUUGCUUGGUGCUCCAUCAAUUUCUCGUCCUUCUGCUAGCUGUUAUGUGCUAGCCAUUAACCCCUGGCUCCUGUAAAUAUGUCUAGAAGGGACAUUUUUUCAUUCCUUUAUUCUUUGGAUUCAGUCCCUUCAUUCUUUCCUUUUCCUCCCUUUUUGACUCCAGAUUAUGUGCAUCCUCCCUCUUCUAUAGAUAGCGCGAGCACCUCUCUGCUCAUUUGGAUCCAGUUUUUGACCGGGAGGGAGUUAUUUUAUGAUAUUUUGACUGGGACCAAUGCCAAGGCAGGGGUAGAAAUAUAAGCUCCCCAAUUUUUUGCUCGCCAACUUGGUUACGACCAAACCUGGCCUGUUCCUCCUUGCUAUUCAAGGAACUUGAUUGACCGCUUCCAUAUUAUUAAUAAGGUGGAAGCAGAGGCUAUAAAUGCUCGCAAUCUUCUUUUAACAAGCUAUUUUUCAUUAGCCCCUUUCAAUUCUAACCAUGCCAUCCAUCCCCUUUUUGAACAGCUCUGGCCGUCAGUGAAGCGCAAAUUAUUUGCGACUGAUGCCAAUCGUCCCUUUCAUUCACUAGACCAGCCGAGCAUUUCUUCCCCUCCUCCUGUUUUAGUCACUCCUUUGUCCAUCUAGAGUCCUUCUUCUCCUCGUCGCACUAAACAGUCUGCUCGUCCAUCUUCCUCUCUCCCUGCCAAGCCUACUGCAGUCAAGAGUGCCCAAGCCGCAAACGGCCAGCCUCGGCAUCUCCCAUUCUGGAGGAUGAUGUUGAUGAUGAUGAUGAUACCCCUCUUAUCAUCAGGAGGAAGGUAAUUAAAUUGGUUUACUCACAAGCAUACUUUUCCAUACUUGAAACUUUUCUAUGUGCUGAUGAUUUAUUUGGACGUCUAAGAAAAGUUCAGCCUCUCCUUUAAAGGCUUUGGUAUCGGUAGCUCCUGCUCCAUCAUCCUCCGCUGAGGCUACUUCAUUCAAACCAGCUGAUGAAGGGACUACGCUCAAAGAGACAUCUUCAGUCCCAGAAUCCUCAUCACAACCAAUGGAUGAGCCACCUUCUUCCCAAGGCGUCAACCCCCCAAACAUCAAAGUAGAAGGUAAUUCAGUUUUUUGAUGCUUUACCUUUGCUUGUGCUAUUGGUGUCUGAUUUGUUGCUUUUGAGUUUUGCAGAUGCUCCUAUGAGUCUGCCCGUUGUGGCAACAUCUUCUCGUUCAGACAAGGGGAAGUCCUCACGAAUGGUGGAGUCACAGGUGGCAGACUUGGCCGGGGAUAUGCCAUCUUCCAUGAUUAUUGAUGAGGUAAUCUUUGCUUCACUUUUAUUUCCAUCUUGUUUGUUAUAGUGAGAAUCUUCAAUAUUGGCAAUUUUCUUUGCAGGAUGCUGACAAGAUUGUGCGUUCCAUCCAAGACUUGUUCGCUUCCUAGGGGCAAGUCAAGACAUCUCGCCCUGCUCCAUCUGGUCGUCCUGCUGCUUCUUCAGAGGAAAAUUUGAAGUUCCUCAAGCAGUCAAUAUUUGAGUACGUGUCCUUCAUGGAUAUGGACAUUGGUAAGGCUAGUGCUGCCAGACACAAGGAUAAGCUUGAGCACUUGAAUGCGAAGUUGGAGCAAGCACUGACACUUCCGUCACUCAAUCUUUCUGUCGAUUUUAAAGCGACGUUGAAAGUUAUCCACUCCGAGGUCCUCUCUUUGCUGGCCAAGAAUGCUGAACUGAAGGCCAAAAGUACUCAAUAUCUUCGUGCCGUAUCUGAAAAAGAGUCUUUGCAUCUGGAGAUCAACAAGGCUGAGGACGAGUUGAAAGAAAUCUCUUCCGAAGUCAUGAUUGAAGACUCUUUGAUAGUUAGUUUGGCUGCUCAGAUGAAGGAACUUCAAGCCAAAAUGGACGACUACAAGGCGAGAAUGGCUGCUAAAAAGCGUAACGCCUCCUAGGAAAUUGAGCGAACUAAGUCUUUGGUCGAGCAGUACAAGAAGUUGGAAGUUGAUGAUGAUGUCGUGGCCGAAUUGAACAUCACUUCCUCUCGGCAGAACGAGGAUUGGGAAAAGCUUAGGGAACGAAUUCGUUCAGUAUGGGGUGGAUUGUAAUUAAGACAUAUGACGCCUUAACUUUUCCUUUUGUAAUUUCGUAUUUGACUUUCCCUUUGUAACCUUGUUCAUCAUUAAUGAACAUAUAUGUUAACUUAUUGUGCAUUUAUUUGAAGUUUGUCUUUUAAUCGCCAAUUCUUCAAGCAUUUAACUGCUUUGUGCUAAAAUCUUGCACAUUUUCUUUUGAUAUUUCUACCUCUUUUCCCAAGACUUUGGGCUACUUAAUUCCAUUUACUAGGCAAAAUGUGGCUGCUCAUAUUCUGUCUCUUCAUCUCCACCCCCUAUAAAUGUACGUAUGCUUCGCACUUUCCAUCUUCUAUCUUCAUCUUCAUUUUCUUCUUCGAAACCAAUUUGCUGCCAUUGUUUAGCAUUCUGACAAUCAAUCUAAAAUUUCGUCUUUCUAUAAAAAUGGAUUGUUUGAUCCGUCCAUUUUACUAUUUGCCUUGAUGUCACCUUUGGUGUGGGAGAUACAGGAAAUAUUUUUUUGCAAGCAGCAAACUUUUUACCAUCAAAGUUCUUCCCAUCAUCUCUUUGUCCUUUACAAGGAGUUCGAUGAUAGAAGGCAAUUUUUGGGAUGCUUGCGGGCCACCUUGCUUGCUGAGAGUGCUUCUCAGCCUCUUUGCCCGCCAUUGCAGCGAUGCAUUUAGGAAGGUGGUGUGAGGCCAAUCCACCCUCUUACUCGGCGAUCCCACCAUUGCAGCGAUGCAUUUAGGAAGGCGGUGCGAGGCCAGUCCACCCUCUUACUCGAUGAUCGACCGGGAGAUUAGCUUACUUUUAAUUGUAGUUUGUAGACCAUCUAUUAUUUGUAUUUUUGUAUUUUUGUAAUGAACGUUUGAUAAUAAAGGACUUUAUUUGAACGUAUUUCAGUCUGACCUUGUUAUCCUUAAUCGUUCAACAUAUUUUGAUUAUGCUUUUAUCUGUUUACAUUCCCAUAAAGAAGGAACAUAUUUUUUCAAAUAUUUGCCAUUAAUGAAUCUCACGUGCUUGGUGCCAUCUAAAUCUUCCAAAUGAUACGCUCCAUUGGGCAACAUACUGUUUAUUUUGUAUGGUCCUUCUCAAUUGGACGACCACUUCCCGUACUUUGGAUCCUUGCUAUCCAAAGGGAGUAUCGUCUUCCAAACUAGUUCACCCAGGCUGAACGAUUUGGCUAUGACUUUUUUAUUAUAAAACUUAACCAUUCUUUGUUUUUGAACUUGCAAUCUAUCUAAGACGUCAAACUUUAAUUCGUCCAACCCCAAUAAAUUUUAAACUAGUGAUUCGGUAUACUCAUCAUCAUUCAACUUAUGUUGCAAGCACACUCUAAUCGAUUGCACGUUGAUUUUCAUAGGCAAAAAUUUGUUCACUUGAUCCCCAUUCAAAGAUGAUCCGUGAUCUACCAUCAACGUUUGUGGAAUUCCAAACCUAUAAAUGAUGUGAUCACGGAUAAACUCUAUGACAUUCUUUUGGGUGAUCUCUUUCAAAGGUACCGCCUCUACCCACUUGGUGAAAUAGUCGGUUGCAACUAUAACAAAAGUAUGUUGCUUGGACGAUAGGGGAUAAAUCUUCCCUAUCAGGUCUAUCGCCCAACCCUUGAACGGCCAAGGUUUAAUAAUAGGUGUCAUCUCUCGUGCUGGCGCCCUUUGUAUUGGACCAUGCUUUUGGCAUGCUAAACAACUCUUUGCAUACUGAACGCAUAAUUCUCCCAUCUUUGGCAAAAAAUAUCUACUCCUAAUAAUUAACCAUCUCAUCAUUUGGCCAGCUUGAUGAGCUCCACAUAUCCCUUCGUGCACCUCAACCAUGAUUGUCCUGGCUUCUUGCAAACUUACAAAUUUUAGCAAUACACCAUCAAAGCAUUUCUUAAACAACUCUUCAUCUAUUAGUGUAUAGUUCAGUAAACACAGCUUCAUUUUCCUACUAAUCCCUCCAUUAGGUUCUUUAAGGAACCUUUUAAUCUCUGUUCUCCAAUCCAUUGCAUCUCCAUCUGGUAUGCAGUGAAGUUCAAUCUUCCUCGCCCUUCUUUAAGUCACGAGCAAUAUGGUUCCAUACUCACAAGUAGACUUCCAAUUCAAAACCUUUGAGUACCCUGAGGACAUUUGGACUAACUCAUUUGCCACGUUGUUAUAUAUCCUAUUAACGCAUUGAAGUUCUACUUGGUCGAAUUCUUCUAACAAUUCUUGGGCGAUCUCAUAUUGACUUAUAAUGGAAUCACUUUGGCAUUUAAAAUCACCAAUCAAUUGGUGGAUUACCAAUUGAGAAUCGCCCCUAACGAUCACAUUUCUUACUCCCAUAUCUAUCAUUAGUUCUAGGCCUACAAUUAAGGCUUCAUAUUCGACCUGAUUGUUGGUGCACAUUCUGUCUAAAGUGAAUGCGAACUUGUAGCAAAUCCCUAAAGAAUUAAUCAAUGCUACUCCUACUCUUGCACCUUUAGAGGUUUUUGACCCAUCGAAAUACAACACCCAAGGUUUUAGCUCGAACGAAUUGAUUUCUAAUUCAAUUUCUUCAGGCAUGUCAAGGCAUGGAUGAUCGGCUAGAAAGUUAGCCAAAGCCUGAUUUUUGACUGCUUUUUGAGGUAUAUAUUGUAUCUCGAAUUCUGAUAAAGCUAAUGUCCAAAGACCUACCCUUUGGUGUAAAAUAGGGCGCGAGAACAUAUAUUUAACUAAAUUUACUUUAGAAAUUAAAUAAACGGUUACGGGCCGUAAAUAAGCCCUUAAUUUUGUACAUGUGAAAUACAAUGCAAGACAUAAUUUUUCGAUAGUAGAGUAAUUACAUUCACAUUUUGUUAACCGUCUACUUAAGUCGUAAAUUGCCCUUUCUUCACCAAAUUGGUCUUCCUGUGCGACUAUUCCAGCUAUUGAUUCUUUUUCAGCCGAUAUGUAUACUUUCAUUGGCCGUCCUUGGAUUGAUGACAUCAACACUGGUGGACUUGAUAAAUAUGUCUUCAGGCUUUCAAAAGCCUUUUGAUGUUCUUCUUUCCAAACGAAUUCGUCCUGAUUUUUCAGCUUUAAGAGCAGCGAAAAGACUUUAGUUCGCCCUGCACAGUUAGAAAUAAAGCGUCUUAAAAAGUUUACUUGGCCUAGAAACCUUUGCAAUUCUUUUUUGUUGCUAGAUGAUUUGGCCUCUAAAAUGGCCUUCACUUUAUUUUUAUCAAGUUCAAUCCCUCUCUUGUGUACUAAGAAACCAAGAAAAUUCCCUGCAUUAACACCAACUGCACAUUUCGAGUGAUUCAACUUUAGCUUAUAUUGCUUCAUUCGCUCAAACGAACAUCUUAACUGUUCGAAAUGGUCUUCUUCUUUAAUGGACUUGACUACUAUGUCAUCUACAUACACUUCAACAAACUUGCCUAUCAUAUCAUGAAAGAUUAAAUUCAUUGCCCUUUGAUAAGUUGCCCCUACAUUUUUUAGGUCGAAAGGCAUAACCACCCAUUCAAAACAUCCUAGAGACCCAGGGCAUUUAAAGGCAGUUUUGUGUAUGUCUUCUUCAGCUAUAUAAAUUUGAUUGUAUCCUGAAUACCCAUCUAUAAAAGAAUACAUGACAUGUCCGGCAGUCGAGUCUACAAAAGAAUCCACCGUGGGCAUUGGAUACUCAUCUUUGGGUGUAGCCAUAUUUAAAUUCCUAAAGUCUAUACACACCCUUAGUUUACCAUUCUUUUUUAGUACUGGCACGAUAUUGGACAACCAUUCGACAUAUCUAGCUGUUCUAAUAAAACCUGCUUUCAAUAAUCGCUCUAUCUCUUUCUCAAUCUUAGGGAGUACAUUAGGAGCAAAACGUCUAGGAGGCUGCCUAUGAGGUUUAAAAUUAGGCUUAGUUGGUAACCUAUGUUCCACUAAGUCUCUAUCUAAACCAAGCAUUUGUUCAUAUUCCCAAACAAAACAAUCUUUAUACUCCUUUAACAAAGCGAUUAAUUUAUCACUAACCUCUUGAUCGAGCAUCUGGCUGAUAAAUGUUGGACGAUCUUCUCCUUCAUUGCCAAUAUUUACUUUAAUCAGAGGGUCUUGUGCUUGAGCGUAUCCAGAUUUGAUGAUCCGCAUCACUUCGUCGUCCAGUUCCCUUGUAAGUACUUAUUCUUCUAAACAGUCCACCUUGUUGACUUCUCGGUCAAUGCUUUGUUCUAACUCGAAUACUGCUAAUUUGUCCUUCAACGCUUUCAGGGCUGUCUCUUCUUUUGCCUUGUCAUUGCAUUCCUUAUUGAAAGCCAUUAGUCUGGCUUUGAAGGCCUGAAUAUCGGUCAUUUGCUUUUGUAACUUAGAAUCCAUUCAAGACUCCUUGAUUAUUCUUUUGCCAAUUACUGGCUCUUCUAGGGCCACUAUAUUUGGCCUCAUCUGUCUGAACAUUUCAGUGAGUGCGUCCACUGAAAAUGGCUCUUCGCUUUGCGUGACAACUUGAGUUUCUUCCCCAUGUUGUACUACCCUGACAGGUCCAUAGUUUCCUUCAUACAUGAACUUUUCCACCGAGUUUGCUUCUGCGACAAAAGGCCUAUGAUCGACCUGUACCACCUCUGCUUCGCCUUUGUUAUUCCAAAAGAUCAGGCAUUGAUGGAGCAAUGAGGGUAUACAGCGACUUCCGUGUAUCCAAUCUCUUCCUAGUAACACACUAUAACUAGUAGGACCAUCUUUACAAAGAAGACUGUGGUCCUAGUAGUCGUCCCUAUAGUUAUGUCCAAUGGCAUAACUCCCUUAGCUGAAGUUGCUCCUCUAUUGAAACUCGUAAGGAUGACUUCUAUAGGAAUCAUGUCACCCUCUGUCUUUGCGAACUUCCUCAUCAUCCUAGAUAGAAUGGUGUUUAUAGCUGCUCCAUUGUCGACAAGCACUUUUGCCACUGGGAUGCCGUUAACUAGAGCUUUAACAUGCAAUGGCCUCAAGUGUUUAGUCAAUUUCAUGGCUGGCCGUUUAAAAAUAACCUUUUCGGUAGCCUCUAUUUCUACUUCCUGCUUGUCUUCUAUUGAAUUAUCCCCCUGUGAUAAGUCGACGUGCGACAUAUCGCGCUGAGCCUCUGUCUUCUGAAUUUCCUUCUUCCUGUUUUCUAAUGCUUCCUCAUCAAUUACCCAUCCUGUGGGAGGAGGCAUUAUUCUUGGGGGUAAUCCAUACUUUUCAGAGCGAGGCACUCUUUUCUUCCUUUUGGGUAUCUCGUACAGUACGUAGAAAUCGAAAGGACGUCCAGAUGGUUCUCCCAACAAGUCUACUUCGCGAACUCCCUCCCGAUAUAGUUGCUUCAAUAGAGUAUUGCGCGAUACUCCUCUCCUUCUUCCUUCUGCUUCUAGGUCAAUUUCUUCUUCAAUGUCUGUCAUCCCGUCGUCUUCUUCAUCGUUGUAGGCCUCUCUAGAAGUCUGACCUUUUUCACAUUCCAGCACGCAAGCCUCUCCUUCGUCGUCCUCCCUUUCUUCUUCUUCUUUUUUUUAUUCUUGAAUUCAUUGACCAGUAAGUAAUUAUUGGCCAGGAUAGGAAAUGACGUACCGAACUGGAUAGUAAGGGAUUGAUCUGGAUCCUCUCCAUCCCUUCUGUCCAGCUCAAACUUUGAUCUCCCAGAAGAAGUUUCUGGCAGCUCUUUCAUUGAUUCAUCUGUACCGGUUUCUUCACUAUCCUUGAGAACAUUUUGAUUGGCUAUCUUGAGCAGUUUAGGCGCUUUAGGAUGUGGCACUCCCUAUUGCUGCCUCAUCAUUCGUCCAUAGUUUCGUUGGAAACGCCUUUGUUGGGUUCUAGUCAUCUCAUCGAAGGGUAUUGCCCUUCCUGCAUUAUACUGGAACAAAUGCCAUACAUUUGGCCGGCGAGGUUGCGGUCUGAAUGUUCUCCCAUUAUCUGUUGGCCUGAACUGCCUCUCAAAAGGCGGUCCUCUAUAGAAUGAUGUACCCGCCCUCUACCAGGCUGAGUGUUUGGGAAGAAAGUAGGGCGAUGGGGAUGCUGCCAUAUCCCUGGUUUCUCCAUGUUCCCACUCACUUCUCUUUUACAUCUUGCACACAGGACGUCUUCGUCCUUUUUUGGUUAUUUUCCCUUGAUUCGUUCAAAGAUACUGGGAUGUGGUCUAGGGUCCUCUUUUCCAUCAUCUAUGACCAACUUGAAUUUGGGCAACUUGUUUUUGAAACCAGACGUCACCAUGUUCACUCUAAGUGGCUGUGGAAAAGGAUUUUCAUCCACUGCCAUCUUCUUCUUAUCGUCGAACGUAAUUCGUCCUGAUUCAAUGGCAUCCUGCAACACAUGGCGAAAAACCAAGCAAUUGUUAGUCAAAUGUGACCAUGCAUUAUGCUAUUUACAAUAUUUUUUACCCUUAAUUUGUUCAGGGCUUGGCAAUUUAUGCUUAUCGCUCAGCUUUAUCUGCUUAUCCCUAUAUAAUUUAUCGAAUAUAAGGUCAGCUUUGGUUAUAUCGAACGAGAACGUUCUAGCCUUUAUGUUUCCAUCUUUCAUGGGCUCAUCUUUGCCCGAUGGUCUAGGCUUGGCCAUUAUAGGACAAGUAUACGUAUCUCCUUUGACCAAUUCGGCCAAACACAUUUCGGCCUGAUCGUAUGACUCGUCGCUGAUGGUAUGAACGUCAAAAUUUGGGUCUUUGUAAUAAGUCCCUUUACUAGAAUUUUUCAUCUGUUCUUCCUCUCUUAUCAGUCGGUCAUACCUAAUCACAUUCGCACUCAACUGGAAAAGGUCAGAAAAUUCAUUGUCCUGAAAUUUCUUUUUUAAAUCAAAGCAUAAACAGCUCUGAGCGAUUUUGACAAAUUCUUUUUCGAGCAGAGGUACAAAACACUUGCUUCUUGCUGUCUUGAACCUUUGGAGAAAACUUUCUGCCCAUUAGUUUGGCAUUUGACGUAGAUUUGCCAAAUCAACCAAAGUGACUUCAGACUCAGUUUUAUAAAACUGAGCGUGGAAUAACUAUUCCAAUUGUUGUGUUUGAACAGAGUUUGCUGGUAAGUUGAUCAAUCAGGAUGUGGCUUUGUGUAAGUCGGCCUAAUGACGGGACGCACCCCAAAAGCCAUCUGAUCCUGUACGAUUUUCGUUGGGAUCAUAUGGAAUCCCUACAGGUUGGUUAACCGGUUGAUUUACAUGAGGCCUGAUGUUUGGUCCUUGAUUGGCAACAAAGUUACCAUGAUUAGGGCCACUACCAUUAGCCUGAACAUCUAUUCCCUCAUUAACACGUGGGGUAUUCUGUCCAUUGUUUAGGACAUUAUCUCUUAUAUUUGGAUUACCCCCCAAGUUAGGCGUACCACUACCAUUGUUCUGAUUUGGCACUCCAGCACCCUCUUGGUUUGAAGUAGAGGGACCAGAAAGUGGUUCUACCCCUUGAUUCAGAUUUAGGACUAAGGGAUUAUGUCCCACAAUUGUCCUAGUUUGAAAGUGAUUUGCAAAAGGUAUAACCGGUUGACAUAUAUUUAUUCAUUGUUUCGUUCAAAGUGUUUAGUUGUUUGGCCAUGUUGUCAUAAUGUGCAUUCCCAUUUUGGGUAAAUCUUUCCAUAUUAUGAAUACUUCGAAGAUUUACCUGUUCAACGACAUCUUGUGUGAGUUCUCCAAGUAAUGCACGCAUGGUUCGAGGACUCAACUCUGUCAUUGGUUCGUAACGACUGUUACUGCUCUGAUUCUGUCCAUCUGUUCGUGGAGAGGCAUGCUGCUCCUCAUAUCACUCGAUCACAGACUGGAUUCUUCCUUGACUUGCUGCCUCCUUAUCGGAUUUCUGAGGUAUAUUGUUUCACCUUUUGUAUUUUCAACACCAAACACCACUGUCCUACUGGGCGUGCCAAAUUGUUUCGCGCGGGUUCGUCGCUAACAAUUAAAAAGGGAUCAGACAAUUGUGUAAGGGACAAACCUCUUGAGACAAAGUCCCAAAAAGGGGUGUUCUUUAUUGGCGGUGACUUUACAAUCGGAAAUUAAAAAUAGAAUGCCUCCAAGGCGCGCAAGCACACGAGUUACUGAAAGAAGUGUUUAAAUCUAAGUUAAGAAAUUUAAAAUUACAUGUUCUCUGUUCGAGAGUUUUUGAUUCGGUCCUUUUGCUCUAUGUCCUUCCUUCCUUUUAUACUCCCUGAAUGAUCUCUUUGUGAUCAACCGCCUAAAAACUGCUGGAUCGUUCUAUAACUGCCCAUUUUCCUCGUAAUGGCCAACUUGUUAUGGAACUAUCUUUUCUACCUGCUGCCAUUACUCUUUGUCGUUCAACCAUCUUCAAUUAGGUUCCUUGAAUCGUGGAACGUGAUAGGGCUGCUUUAAUAACUACUUUGAUAACUGCACUUCUUGAUAACCACAACACUUUAUGUUUGCUAGGACCUUGGGCGACUCGAAGGUUUGGGCGAGAAUAGAGUAACAGCUCUGGGCGACUGCAUGGCACUCCAUUCGCUCAGAUUCUGGGUGACUUGCAAACUUGGGCGAUGGUGUUACCGCGUUCUUGGGCCUCCCCAUUUGGGCCUUCAUCUUGAAUUGUUUGAUUGGGCUUCGUUCUUUGGGCUAUCUGAUUUGGGGAUCCUCCAAUUGGACUUCAUUCCUUGGGCCGUUCGAUUUGGGCUGAAUUUUUAUGUGUCAACACUAACGUGAGCCAAGAUCGGAAUGCCAACGUUAUUCCUAUAAUUGCACAAUUAUUUUCCUAUUAUUAAUUUUUCUAUGUAUAACUUAGAUUUUAAUGUUUUAUAUUUGGUACCAUGUAGUAAUAUAAUUGCACGAUAAUUUUCCUAUUAUUAUUAAUUCAGCCUUUUGGUUUUAGUAAUUAUACCUAGAAGUUUGAUGAAAGCUCUGAUGAGCAGGGACGGAUUUUGGUUUGUGGGGGGGGGGGUAGGACAGGGCUGUAGUCCCCCACCCUCAGGCCCAACAAAUUUUUUUAAGGGUGUUUUUUAUUUUUUGGUAAAAAAUCAAAUUUUUAUGUGUAAUUUUUUUUUCCACGUAGCUGCCCGGUUUGAAAUUUUAUAGAUCGAUCUUGGAUCCAAUCUUGGAUCCGUCCGUGCUGAUGAGGCCUGGAAGCGGUCAAAAAACACCUAGUGAUAGUGAUCAGGUUUGUUAUUGUCACUAAUUGUGUUCAUAGAAGGUGUUGGAAAUGUUGAUUAUAUUAUUCAACUUAAUUCAAUUAUUCUGAAACUAUUAUAGAAUUGACGUCCAUAGAAGACUGGAAAAAGAUUAGUAGAAAAAAUUUCAGAUUUUCUUUGAAAUCCUAUAGUUUAUGUAUAAUUGUACUAUUCGAACACUGGACGGAGUGGUCAUUGAGUAGACAAGAGCUGAAUUAGGAGGUGAGUUCCACUCCAUGCUUCUUUAGUAGGUAUCAAUGGGGCAACUUUUAAAAUGGCUGGAUAAUUGAUCCAAUUUUUCACAAUGGUCUUUUUUGUUGGAAGUAUUAUUUUGCCCUUACUAUAAUUAUUUGCAAGAUGUAUCUUAUAUCUUUAAGGAUUUAUUAGUCAGAACCUAUAUUUAUAUUUUUCAAUCUUUCAAAUACCUUUAAAUAUUCAUUAUAUUUUAGUAGUUCUUCAAAGAUCCUAGGCUGACCUUUCUUGGUUAUAUAUCCUCGAACUAAUCCUUCUGAAAUUUCUUCUUGUAUAUCUCUAUGUUUAGUUAUAAUAUCUUCUACCUUUCUUAUUUCUCUGCUAGUUCUUACAGAAUCAAAUCCUAUAUUAUUUUUACAAUUAUAAUCUAUAUCUCUAUAUAUUUCUUCAAUUUUUUCUUUGCCAACACGAAAUAUAUCUUCAGACUUUUCAUCUAAUUUAAAUAAAAACAAAACAUCUGUUUCAUCUAAUAAUAUGAGAUUAUUAUCAUUAGUGGAUGUGGAUGCUUGUGAAUUGUUCAUCAGAAUUAUUAAAUCAUAAGCAUGUAAAAACAAGUAAAUAACUUACAGUAAUCAAAUGGAAGUAAACAUACUUUCCUCCAAUAUGCUCUUAUAGAUGCUUUGUAUAUACUUAAUCAAUCUUCUGAAUCAAGUAAAGGUUUAAAAUAUUUUUUGAAAUCAUUUGGGUCCACAACUGCUUCCGCAAAAGGCUUUUCAAUUAAUGUUGCAUUUCUCACUCUAGAGAACUAGCCGUGUUGCCACAUACGCUAUCACACAGUAUCUAAAGUCUCUGUUUUCACCUUUAUCCAAAUUCUUUUCAGAAUUAAAUUCUUACUUGGAACGAAAUUUUAAAAGAUAACUCACACACAAUGUGCUACAAUUUUGUUAGAAAACUGCCUUUUUACCCUAAACAAUUCAUCAAAGACGGGUACUUUGGCAUGGCUAACAUCCAUUCAAAAUCAAUGUUUUGAAAUAUUUUAAAAUCUCUAUCUGUACUGCCGAGAAAUCAUGAGAAACUUAACGAAAUCCUUUUAUGAAAGUUUUGUUGAACAUAACAAACUUUACUUUGAUAUUCAUAAACUGAAAUUGUACAUGCUUACAAACUAUAUUUACAUAUCUUUGGUACUCACCUUAUGAAGUUUAGAACUCCAUAAGUGAUUACCUUAUUACACGCUUUACUAUCUUCAAGCUAUAUAAUAUUUUUCUGAAUACAAGUGGUGUAUACAGAUUGCAAAAGAUAUCUUUCUAAGAUGUGUUUCCUCAGAGUGUUUAAGAGAUAAGUUGUUUCGAGAUAUCCCCCUUCUUCCUUCUUGCCUCCUUUUAUAGAAGUCUUUGGGAAUCUUAUCUUGACAGAUGUUUUCCACCUUUCUUUGUUGGGUAGUUAGGCCAUCUUAUCUCCACCGAAUUUUCCAUUAUCUUCUUGCUAAGUGGACCUCUUCUUUUGAAAUUAUAUGCCUUGUCUUUUGAGUUUAUCUGCCACUUGUGACAAUUGGUGGGGAGAAGUCACAAUUAUGGAGACUUUUCUUGCACUAUCUUCUGUCUUUUAGUAGCCACAGUUUUUCUUUAAUAAAUUUAUUUAUUAAAGUAGUGAUAAAGGGCUACUUUUGUCACCAUCACUUUUCCAUUUUCGAAUCAAAGAAUUCUGCAGGGAAUUCUUCAUCAUUAAGGGAUGCUUGACUCAUAUCUUCAACUACGCAGUAUUCACAAUGGUGAUCACUGUAGUUCCAAAGUAAUUUGCAUAAUUCUUUAGCCAUAUCUUCUGAUCCAUGCACUUGGUUAGAAAUAAUUGCAGAUAAUAAAUGGUCGAGAUAACAAAUAUCUUCUUCCUGGGUGGCCAUCCUUGCAUUGGAAUAGAUAAUAUGAUCUUCAGAUGGAUAAACCCAUAUUUUUUUCUUUUUCAGUAAUUAUCUGAGUUACAUGUUCAAAUAUCUCUUUGUACCCUUUUGCUUUUCUGUAGGGCAUCAUAUUUAGAAUAUCUUGAUAUCCAUUUUUAACAACCUUUUGAUUGGUUGGUAAAAAAUGUUGAUUUGUAAGUCCCAUUUUUAUCACAUGGAACGAUGGAUGCAUAUAUUCAAGAACGGGAUCCCAUUCCAUGGUUGCUGAAUGGAAUCUGAUAUAUAUAUAUUUUGUGUUGACGACUUCAGUAUAUCUUUUAACAACUUUCCUAAUGUUGGCUGGAAGCUGAGCUAUCUCUUUGAGAUCUUUGCUAGGAUAUAUACAAAGUAUAUUUCCUAUCUCAAAAUAAUUUCGAACCCAGUUGGCUGGUGCUCUUGGAUAAAAAUUUAUCUUGUUGUAUUUUGAAUAAUGGAGAGUCUUCAUCCACUUUCCAAUCUCCAGAUACCAAUCUGAUAAAAUAUUAAAAAUAACAAUAAAGAGUGUUACUUCUUCAUGGUUAUCUUUUCUGGGAAUUUUUGCUUCAUGGCAUAUCUUGACAAUAUCUUUUAGAUCUAUCCUUUCAAUAGAAAGUUUAGAUUGAAUUUGGCUCUGUGAAGAGCUACAUUCUCUUUUGAUAUCUUGAAUAUCUUUAUUACUAGUAAUAGGUUCAAGUUUUCCCUGUGAAGGGGUCCUAUUACCUUCUUUUCUUUCCCUUUAUCCUCGGGGAGAGCGCUAGUAUUCACAAGUCCUUGCGAAGGGAUACUAGACUUGGUACAAGUAACUCCUGCCUCAAGGACUAUAUUUUUGUCUCGAAGGCUAUCUUGAAUAUUUUGAAUUUGUGUUUCCAAAUAGGAAACUUUUAUCUCAAGUAUUUGGACUUUCGUCCUUAAUUAUUCUAGCUCCAUCCCUGCUAAGAUAAUCAGGAAGAAAGUUAGUUUUACCUUUUAUGUAUUCAAUAUCAAAUUUGAAAUAUGAGAACCAAAUUUGUAUCCUAAUAAUAUAUCUAUUGGUAAUAGAUGGAUCAACAUUAUUUUUUAAAAAGGCUUUAACUUGAGUAUUAUCAGUUCUGAUCAAAAAUUUCUUUGGUAACAAAUAAUCUUCAUAUUUUUGAACUCCUCUUUUUACAGCAAUGAGUUCUUUUCUAUUUCUCUCAUAUCUUGUUUCAACUUCUUUAAAUGUUCCUGAUGUAUAUCCUGCAAGUAUCUCAGGACAAGAACAAUCCUCUUCACAUUUAUAUUUUUUAUGAUUCUUUUUAACAUUUAAUACUGCUCCCCAGCAAUUAUUUGAAGCAUCAGUUUCAAGGAUAAAGAAAUCUUCUUCUUGUGGUAUUACAAGUUUGGGCAAUACCUUUAAUUCUUUUUUAACUUUCCUUAUAUUUUCACAAUCUUGUUCUUCCCAAGACCACAUAAUAUUUUUUCUUAACUUUGGAAGAAAAUAAUUUUUCAGUUUGGCACAAUUUUCAAUGAAUCCUUCAACAUAAUUUAAUAUACUAAGGAAGCUUUGUAAUUAUUUUUUAUCUUUGAUUUCCUCGGGAAAAUCUUGAAGUUUUUCUCCAACAUGAGAUUGCAAUUGCAAUUCUCCUUCUUUUAUAAAUAAUCCUAAAAAUUCUAUUUCUAUUCUAACUAUCUCAGCUUUCUUUUGAGAAAGUGUAAUACCAUGUUUUUUCAUAAUAUAACAAAAUUUCUCAAGAUAUUCAAUAUGUUCAUCAAUAUUAUUUGAAUGAAUAAGUAAAUCAUCAACAUAUGCAAUACAGAAAUGAGUAAUUGGUUUGAUUACCUCAUCCAUUCUUCUUUGGAACAUUUGUGGUGCAUUUUUCAACCCAAAUGGCAUUACAUUCCAUUCGUAUUGUCCUAAAGGAUUGGGGGUACUAAAUGCAGUUAGUGGUUUACUUUCUUCUGUAAGCAUGAUUUGCGAAAACCCUGACUUACAAUCAAAUUUUGAAAAUAUCUUUUUGUUAUGUACUUGUUUAAUAAGGGUAUCCUUAUUUAGCAAGUAGUAUCCAUAAAAUUUAGUAACUUCAUUUAAUUUUUUGUAAUUUAUCACCAUCCUGGCUUUUCCUCUUUUUCUCUCACUAUGUUUUCUAACCAUAAAGGCUGGGCUGCUAUGUGAACUUUUACUAGGCCUAAUUAAUUUGGCUUCUAGCAAUUCUUUUAUCUGGUUUUUAAAUUCCUUCUGGUCAUCAACACUAUAUUUCAUGGGUUUGACUCUAACAAUAGUGUCUGGAUUGGUUAAUUCCAUCUUUGCCUUUACUUUAACUGUAUUCUAUUUUUCUAAUGGAUUUUUCAGAAUAUGUUUUAGAAAUUUCUUUUUUCAAUUUUUCUAACCUAUUUUCUGUUGCCAUCUUUAAGACUGUAACUGGUUUAAAUUUUUCUGUACUCCAACAUCUAACGCUGGGUUGAGGAACUCUGAUGGUUUACAUCUGUAUAUGCUAUUGUAACAGUUUUAUUUAUUUUUGGUAUAAAUAUUUUAUGUGCACAAGGUGUUGUGAACAUAUACUUAUCAAUAUAUUGUGUAAAUAGUGGAUAUUUUAAUAGGAAAUUUUGUCCUAAUAAAAUAUCACAUCCAAUUGUGGUUGACAUAUAUAUUGUAUCAACAAAUACUUCUCUAAAGGAAAUUAGAAAAGGUACUUGCGUAGCAUAUUUGCUGUAUAUUACCUUAUUUCCACCUGCUGUUGUAGUGGUGACUAUCCUCAUUGAAUUGUCUAUUCAGUAUUCAGAUGGUAGUACAUUUGAUAAGCAUAAACUUAUUGUACUUCCUGUAUCUAAGUAAGCAUGAAAUUUAAUUCUACAAUAACUUUUUGUAUUAAGUGUAAUUUCAAUAUAUGGACUCAUGGGGUUAGUACUUAUUACUCUUUCCAUGAUAACAAUGAUUUCAUAUUUUCAUCUAUUCUUGAUAUGAUGAUUUGGUUAUCAUCAACUGUUAUCUUUAAAUAUCCUUGGCUGAUUUUAUAAGGACUAUAAUUCUCAAGAAAGUUCAUUCCUAAUAGAAUAGGUGAACGAUCUACUCCAUAUAAUUCAUCUUUAUAUAGAAUUAUUUCUUUAGUAUAUUCUUUCUGAUCCUCUCCUAUAAGUAUAAGAGGGAACUUAACAUAUUUUCUUAUUUUAAGAUUAUUUUCUAAAUAAUCCUUAAAUAUAUAUGGUUCUGGUAUUUUAAAGUCUAUUAAAUGACUACCAAAUUUAGCAUUUAUAUGACUUUUAUCUGCUCCAAUAUCUAUGAGGACAAGAAGAUUCUUCUUGCAUCCUUCUUGAUUUACAUAUCUUGUCUUAAUGUAAUAUUGCGAACUUGUUGGUUCAGCAAUACUUAAAUUCUUAAGUCUGCUUAUCCUAGAGUCUUGUCUAGAGGGAAAUCUUGCAAUAAGAUUAUCUCCUUCUAAGCUGACACUAUUUCUUCUUAUUAGUUUUCCUUCAGAAUUAAUUUCUCUAGCUUGUUUGUGGAAAUCAAGCAUUAUCUGUUCUGGUACAGUGACUUCAUGUUCUUGGUAUUUUCUAGGAGGUAUAUAUUGUGCUAAUUCCUCAAAAUCUUUAUGUAUGAUAAUAUUAUCAGUUAUCUUCCUUAGAUUGUUAUGAUGGCUAGUACUAAAAGCAAAAAUUGAUUUUAUACUUAUACUAAUAGCCUUACUUCUUCGUAACAUUUUUAAGUUUUCAAUUCUAUAGUAUAGAUUGAAACUUUGGUCAAUAUUUUCAUCAUUUAAUGAUAUUGCAUAAUUUGGUUUUACUGUAAAUAUUAUAUUUUGAUAGACUAAGUUUCCUACAACUGUUCCUAAUAGAGCAUGUAUAGGAUCUUGUAAGAUUCUAUUGUCCAUACAGUAUAUUUCUAUUGGUAUGUUCAUACCUUCUCUAAAAAAUCCUUUUACCAUUAUCUGGACUCCUCCUAAUUCAAUGCAUUUUAAUUUGUUUCUUACGUUUUCUGGAAUUUUGGAUAACUUUUGUUUUACCCAUCCUUUUGUAAUUAUAGGAAUCCUUGCUUUUUCUAUAGUAUCUUCUAUAUUGAUAGACAUUUCUUUAUAAUUCAUACUUACAAUUGUUUUAUUUACUCUUGAUAAAAUUCCUAAGAAUCCUUGAUGGAAUACAUCUUUUUCUUGCAGGUCUAAUAUCUUCUUAGUGAUUCCUGUGUAUUUUUUAAUAUCAAAGGUAAUUUCUUGAUUUAUACCUUCUAUAGAGUCUUCAACUUUUUCAGUUGUUUCUAUUUCUAUUUUUGAUUGUUGUAUCUCUUGAUUCAUAUAUACUAUUUCCUCAUAAUCUUCUUCUGAUGAAGAUGUAUUUAAUUCAUAAAUGCUACUGCAUUCACUACUUAGAUUUUCAAAAUAUUCAAUUGGUUCUAUGUCAUUAUCUUCUUGAAAUUUUUCAUAAAUUCUAAGAGUUUUUAUAUUUUGUCUAUCUUUCUUUUUAGGACAUUGAGGGGCAAUGUGUCCUUCUUCAUUGCAAAUAAAACAUCUACAUUUCUUAAUAUUUCUUGAUUUAAAUUUUUUAUUCCAAUUUCUUUUCUUGAAAUAUUUUUUAUGUGGUUUAAAAUUCCUCUUCUUGAAUUUUUUGUAGUUUUUGAAUUUUCUUUUAUAUUUUUUAUAUGGUGUUUAUCUCUUCUUAUGGCAUCCAAAUUGUUCGACUUGGCCAUUAUCGUUAUAACAACAUAAUGAAUUCUUUCUUAUUUUAUAUGCUUUUUUAUUUUCUAAAGUUUCUCUACACCAUAUGUCUAUCAUUUUCUUUAUAAAUUCAAUUCUACUUCCAAGACUAUCUGUUUUUACUCAUUCCUCUUCUCCUAAAGGUAAUAAUUUUUCAUAUUCUUUUAAUAACUUAAUUCCCCAUGGGAAUGGUAAUUUAGUAAAAUAAGACCUUAAUAUAGAUUUAUUUUCUUGAUAAUCUCCUUGAUUUAGUAUAUAGUAUAUUUCUUUGAAUUUACAUGUGUAUCUUUCUAGCUCACACAUAUCACAUAUCUUUAAAUUUUUCAUUGCUAUCAUUCCUUGAUUAUAUUCAUCUUGUUUUCUUUCUUCAUCAUUAGAAGUAUAUCUAUCUCCUAAAAAUUCUGUUCUUAAGAUUUUUUCAAAUCUUUUUAAUAUCUCCUGAAUAUUUUGUUCAUUUAAAGUAUUUCUAUUAUCUAAUACUUCAGUUCUACUUGCUCCAUACUUUAUUCUUCCUUUAAUAGUUUUUGGUAAUUUUCUCCACCAUUCAAAAAUAAUUCCUCUGAAUGUAUGUUCGAUAAAUCCAAAAGCUAUAUAUGUUUCCCAUUUAUUGAAUUGUAUUGCUAAAUCUAUACUUUUUAUCCAUAUUUCAAUAGCUUUAUUUUUAUCUACACAGUCUAGAUCUAACCAUAUACCUGUUGUAUGAAUUGGUUCAUUAUAAGAUUUCAUUGGGUUUAUUUCUUUUAUGGACUGUUUUCUUACAUUUUCAGUGUAUCUUUUCUGUGUUUUUCUAUUUUGGUAAAUACCAUCCUUAUUAGGUAUUGGGGUACCAUAAGGAUAAUCUUGUUCUUCAUCACUACUGAAUUUUACUUUUAUAUUUUGACUUGAAGAUGGAUUAGUAUUCAUCUUUGUAUUUUCCAUUUUUUCAGUUAAUUCUUUUAACUGUUUUUUAUAUUCUUCAUACUCUUCUCCUGUAGAUUCUAAGAAUUUUUGUUCUAUUUCUUCUAUAUCUGUAAUCAUAUAUUGUUUUUCUUCAUGUUUUUUCCCUUUAUUAUUUUCCUUUUGUGUUAUCCUAAAAUCUUGAGGUGGAUUAAUUAUAAUCAUAUCUUUUUCUUUAAGAUUUUUAUCUAAAAGAGCGUUUCCUACUUGUAGAUUAUGUUCUAGAUUUUCUAAUCUUUUGUGUAUAUCCUCAAAACUUUCAUUGCGGUGUUUUUAGGUAAAUAGGGAUAACUAGGUUUUUUAUGUUUUUCAACUUUUUUCAAAAAUUUUUCAAUUAUAUUUUCUUCAUCUACUAUAUUCAUCAUAAUUUUUGGUUCGUAACAUGGCUCUAAUACCAUUUCAUCGGAGUAAGCAGCGGAGGGAUUAAAAUUUUUGAGCCAAUUAAAAUCUUUAUAAUUAUUUAAAAUAUCACAAUAGAAUUUAUAAAAUUCACUAUUUUUUAUUAAUACUUUUUCUUCAAUAAUUAUAUUUAGUUCUUUAAUUCUUCUUCUCAGAUUAAGAAUUAGUUUAUAUAUAUCAUUUUCUGUUUUGAUUGUACUAUUAUCUAUAGAAACAUUUUUAUUUUUUAAUUUUGGAUCUAAAUAUUCUGUAAAGAAACCUUUUAGAUCUUCUUCUAAAUAAUUUAAUUCAUUUUCUGUUGCGUUUUUUAGAUCAAUAAAAUUUUGUAUAAUAUUUGGGUUUAAAUUUAUUAAAGAUUUUUUUAUCUAUAUUUGAAGGUUUUUAUACAUUGUAAUGGCUUUGGUUGCAAUUUCUCAAUGAGGGGUAUUUUUGGAAAGAUUAUUGUUAAAAUGCUAUUUCUCAAAUGAUUAUAUUUUUUUGGUCUAAUCUUACAAACCUCCCUUUUAUUUAGGCUAUCUAGAAGUAUUUCCUCAGGUAUCAAUGUAGCUUGCAAGUAAGUAGUAAUAACAAAAAACCAUAAUGUAGAAGUAGAACAGGAAGAGAGCAAAAGAGGUUAUAGACUGAAAUUUUACCAGUGGGGAUUUGCUUAGUCGUUUUGAUUAUUUGCUUUCCAUAUUGGUUGGAUAUAAUAUUUUAAUUUCGAACAAAAAUUCAAUUAUAUUUACUUGUUCAGAACUUCGUUCCCAUUGAGUCCAAAGGAAGGCGAGCAAUGUGUUGCUACCAUGUGUUCCAUUCCAUGCACGGACACUCUACACUCCGUGCACAGAGUGCUAUACUCCGUGCACACUCUUUGCACGGCGUGAACGAACUAUUUUUUUUUUAUUUCUAACAAAAUAAAUCUGAAAACAUUAAAAGAUUUAUAUUAAAAAAAUGAGAUUUUUUUGUCAAAAAUCUUAGUAGGAGGAGUGCGUGUGGCUUCUUUUUAUUUUAUUUAUUUAUUUAUUUACAUAAUUAUAAGUUUAAAAAAUUUCAUUCUAUAUUUACCUCUUCCACAUAAUUUUGAUUUUAAGAUCAAUAAAUCAUUCAUCAUGGAAAAGAGAAGACCCAAUAAACUUUAGAGAGAAGAAGAAAUUGUCGGUAAUUUGUGUGGUGAAAUGGACAACCAAAAGGCAAUAACGUGUAAAAAUUGAGAAGAUAUAAAAAAGAUAUACACGAAUUGAGGAAGAGGGAAGAUGUCAGGGAAAAUAGGUGAAUAGGAAACGACAUCGUUUUUGGUCACAAAAAAAAAAAAAAAAAAAAAGGAGAAGAAGCUAUAGUGAGAUAAAAAUGGAACAAUUCACUGUUGAUUUCUACGGUAACUUCACAUUCUUCUUUUUAUAUAGUAGAAAUAGGGAUAAAUAAUAACUAAACAAUUACGUAUUAUUAGUUUUCGUUUUCGAAAUAAUUUCUUUAAAAAUUUUAUCGGCUCGAAUUAUUACUUUUUAAUAUAGAUACUUCUAUUAUUGAGUUUAAUCAAUUUAUUUUAUAAAAUUCAAAUUUGGACAAUUUAUAAAUUGCUCUUUAUUGUUUAAAGAGUUCGAAAAACACUUUUCUUUCGAGGUUAAAAUAGUUCUAGUUCUAAAAAUCAUUGUUUCAAAAUUUUGCAUAACCUUCGUCUAAGCUUGGAGCUUCUAUUUAUCAUUCAAUUAUGCUUUACGUAUAAAUUUCAUCUUGUCUUGCUUAAGUUCAUAAAAAAAACUUGAAAAUUGAUCAUAAAUAUAUGAUUGAAAAAUGUAUUUAUUUCUUAUUAUAUUCGGUUGUAUUUGAUGUAGGAUAAUCUUAUUGUAAAUAGGGUAAAAGUUAGAUAAUUAUAAUAAGAUUUUUACUUGUGAUAGGUUUUAUCUUUUUAUUUUAAUAUUUUGUUGAGAAUAUGAUUUCUAAUUACUUUUAGAUUAGGAUUUAUUUUAGUUUCCUUAUAUUAGUUUCCUAGUAGUAAUAGUAUGGAAUAAUUUUGCCUAUAAAUAUAGAGGCAUUGUAUACUUUUCAACAACAAUCAAUUAUUAUUCAAUGCAUACAUGACAUAAUUAUUCAAAUAUCGUUUUUAUUUAUUACAUAAUUCUUAUUACAAGAAUUUCAUCACGCUUCUGCACCAGUAUUUUAUUACAUUUUUAAUUGUAUAUGACUUUAACAUUUUUGUGAAUUUAUAUAUAGAUUAAAAAUCUUUAAUGUUAUUUAAUUAAAUAUUAAUAAACAAUCUUACUAUUGUUGGCGUCAACGACUACCCUAUCUCACUCAAUUUCCAGGAUCUGUCAAUGUCCAUGAGGAAUUUAACAGACUCGAUUUCGUAUUUUCUGAAGAGUUAGCAUUGAUUGGUUUUAUAGGGUAGACGCCUAGAUGGUAUAUCUGUGAUUAUGCUGCUCAUUGAAGCAUAGUCAAGAUUCGGAUCCAAUAGUGACGGCCUUCUACGUGACUUCAAUUUCAUUUUCUUAGAAAUUAAUUUGAUCCCAUUUCAAAAAUUUAUUUUCUCUGUGUUUGUGUAUUAUGUCACGUUUAACUAGGUAGGAGAAUUUACUUUUAAGUGACUUUUAUUGUUCUAAGUAUUGUCUUUUAACAGUAAUUAUCUGUUGGUAGCAUACUUAUGUUUUUAAUAGAUAACGCCUUUUUGCUUUUAAGCACACCCAAAAAUUGUGAUAAAUAUGAACAUCUAAUUAUUGUGAUACUUACUUGUAUAAUUGCAUGUUAACAAUUUACUUAAUUACAUGGUAACAUUUACUUUUAAGUAAAUUUUUCAGAUUAGCCAAACUUGCUGAGUACUUACCUCCACACAAACACAUGCCUGUUUGUGCCACGUUGGAUAUUGAUUAUUGCGCAGUUGGUUGCAUAGAAUUCACAAUAAGUGGAUAACUAUUGAUAGCGAUGCUGUUAUAGAUCCUGAUAAAAUUCUAUAGUUUAAUUUUUGAAAUCAUUCUCUCUAAAAAUUACUACAAUACCUAAAAUUUCAUGAACUUGAAAUUAAUCAAUAACUCGGUAACGUUACAGUUUUCCCUUCAUUUUAUUUAGGGAGGUCUGGAGCUAAUACGUUAUCGGCUUCCCUGAUGCGCCUCUCCUAUAAUUCUACGUGAAGAUGAUGAUGGGCAAGUAAAUACAUCGUUCUAUCAAAAGUUAUUCAUGUAGACAGGGGCGUAUCCAGGAGUUUCAGUCAGCACGGGCGGCCGUUGACCAUUUAUCGUUAGCCGCAACAAAAUAUUAAGAGUCCAUUUAAUACCCCUUUUUUUCACAAAAAAAAAAAAAGAGAAAAAGGAAAGCAUUUUGGAAUAGGGAUUUGAUGGAAAAUGCUUGGCUAAAAAUAAAGAAAUGUUUGAAUUUGCGUGUAAUAUUAUUUUAUUGAAAAAUGUGUGGAUGAAAUAAAAGAAAAACAUGUAUUUAAAAAAAAAGGAAUCGAACAAAGCCUAAAGUUUAAAUAAAACAAUUAUUUUGCUCAAAUUCAACAUAAAAUUCUGUUUUAAGAAUAAAUAGGACUCAUCAAAUGACAUCGUUGCCAACUUUUGUACAAUUCAAAGGAAGGGCGAGGAUUCAAAUCUUUGCAAUUGUUUUUGUAUUAAAACAAUUAAAAUCUAACAAAUAUUAUUUUGUUAAAUUUAGUGACACAACUCAAAAAGUGCUGUAAUGGUUAAGUUUACAACAACCCUUGCAUGUGGUCACAUGAAUUCCCUUUGUCCCCUUCCCUAUUGAAUUUUGAUAAAAAUUGUAGAAUAAAAAUAAAACACAACAAAUCCAUUGGUAAGUGGUUCGAACCCGAGACUUUAAAUAUGCACAUGCAAACUCUAACUAGCUGAGUUGCAAGAGAAGUUUGAAAAUGAAAUGAGUUACAAGUAAUAUAACGUAAAAAUUAAAUCUAUUUUCAACAAAAAAAAUUUCUCCAGCAGUUUCGGCGAAUCCAACUUGCCACCACCUAGAUCCGCUAUUGACAAUGAUUUACUAGUUCUCAAAGGUUUAGACAGAAUAUGACAACAAUCGGAAGUACGAGCAACCCUUUAUCAGAAAAGAUGAAGAAACUUGUUGUGAACACAACAAUGGUUGCUGAUACAAAUAUCUACUCUCUGGUUCUGCCAACCCCUGAUAUUUUAAAGGCCUUAUGCGAGCUUCAAAUAUGGGGUCCUUUUAAAAAAAAAAAAUCAUCAUAUUCUUACUUGAGCUUUCUUAUAGAGAGUUUUAAUAUAAUCAUGAAGAAUCUAAUAAAGACAAUUAAGUCCCAAAAUUUGAAAAAGAAAAUAAUAAAAUUUAAAAUUUAAACAUGCAAUACAAAUUAUAGGUGAAGUUUACCAUACAGAAUUAUAAUGCAAUGGCAAAUGGAUCUAUUCGUUUAUUUGAUCACACAAUUUUUAUGCAUGUGUUAAAAUCUUAAAUUAUCUAUUUGCACACUUUUUAAUUAUUUUCGUAGAAUUAUCAUAUUUAGGCCAUGUUUGAGCCAUAUUUUUUUUUGGAGGAAAUAGAUUUUGGAAUAGUGAUUUUUUAGACAAUGUGUGAUUAAAAAUGAGUUUUGGGAAAAGUGGAGCCUAACAUAGGCAUCAUAAUUAAAAUCUCCUUUAAAUUUUUAAUUGCAAAUAGAAAUUAAGUAUAAUUAAAUCAAUAGUUAGCUAAAUAGAUACCUGAGUUCAACUCCCAUAUAGUUUACUGAGUGAAUUGCCCAAAUAGUCACUGAAUUUUACAAAAGGUUUCCGGGAGGUUACUGAACUUUAAAAAUUACCUCACUCAUUACUGAACUUUUCAAUUCGUAAUACCAUUCAUCACUGAGCUAACGGCUGUUUAUAAUUUGGACGGAAUGCUGAUUUGUUCAAUGACGUGGCGCGCCACUUAGAUGGUUAUGCCAAAUGGAUGAAUUGUUACACAAUUGGCAUUCUUGAACACAUUUUUUUUCCAAAAAAGAAAAUUAAAAAACGAAAAAACAAAAAACAAAAAUCAUACUACCUUUAAACCACCUUAGAGCCACCACUUAUGGACCACCAAAACUGUACCCUCUGACCACCUUGCCACUGGAUCAACAUACCAUCUUGAAACCCUCAGUUCCCUCUUUGCAACCCUUGUAAGCUUAGGCCAUAACACCAACCGAUUUAGAUGAAAAUUCAAGCCAAAAUAGGCUGCCCACUCAACGAAAAGUCGCCGGAAUCUUCACUUAUGCGACACCCAUGCCUACACAACUCCAGAUCGAUCAAGCUUCUCAAUACUCACCUACAGAUGUCCUCAUACCAUCAAAUACUAGAAAUAAUCCAAAUCCCCAACCAAUUUUGUCAACAGCGAACUCGAACUGUUUACACUUGACUUUCGGCGCCAGCAGGAUGAUUCACGAUUGCGAACCACUUCCACUACCACCGCCUCAUCAAGACGCACCUAAUGCACCUAUGGGUCAUCUCCAAUUUUGCCCCCAUAUGGAAGAAAUAGCUUUGAAAGUUCGCAUGCAAGGAGAAACCGACGAUCCCCCUUUCAAUUGAUGCUUCUCCAUAGCUUCAACCCACAAAUUGGACCAACCAGCAUGAAAUUCAUGAAAAAAGGACUCCGGGUAAGGAUUCAAUUGCUGCAUUUCAUCAAUCAAAAGAAACAAUUUUGGAUUUAGCUUCAAGAACGGUCCACCAACGUUCAUCUCCAAUUUCAUAUUCAAUUUCUUUUUAAUUUUUUUUCAUUUAUCCUUAUUAAAAAUGUCAACUAUGUAACAAUUCAUCAUUUGGCAUUCAUCGUCUGAAUGGCGCGCCACGUCAUCGGACAUAUCAGCAUUCCGACCAAAUUUUAAACGGUCGUUAGCUCAGUGAUGAAUGGUAUUACAAAUUGGAAGGUUCGAUGAUGAGUGAGGUGAUUUUUAAAGUUCAAUGACCUAUCAGAAACCUUUUGUAAAGUUUAUUGACUAUUUGGGCAAUUCACUCAAGUUUAUUAGAUCAAAUAAAGAAAAAAACCACCACCGACCGAGGAUAAUAGCUCCCAAUAAGUACUUGUACAAUAGACUUCAUUCCUGCAAACGAAAUAGCACAAGUAAUGAGCAGAUAUACAUGAUAAUAAUACAAAAUCACCGAGAAAUUAUGCACUAAAAUUGAAUAUGCGUCAAAAAUUUGUGGAAGGGAACGCAAUCAUUCAUAUUUGUGAAGCAGCAAAUAUUUAAAAUAUAAGUUAGUAAUAAUGUUAAUGUAGCCUCGACUGACAACUUUUUAAAUCAACAUAUACCUCAAAUAAAUUUACGUCAUCUAACUAAUGUUACGUAUAGGCCAUACUGCAUGAACCAGCUUCUGAUUAAGAGUCCUCAAUUUUGUAAAAAUUGGCCUUAGAUUUUGCUAGAAAAUUGGAAAUUUGGAAUACUAAAAUUUAAUAAAGAGAGUUUAUGUUUCUUCUUUGUCCAAUUCAAUAAAAUUGACGGGCAAAUAUUCAUUUCUUUGUCCAUUGUUCAAUUUUGUGGCUAACCCCUAGGCCUAAGAGCCCUAGAUCAUGAAAGAAGACUGAAUUCGAUAUAGAGUUGUAAAUUUAGAUCGAGCAUCCGUUUAGACUUUCUUUAAUUUUAUUCGGUUUCUCUUUACAAAAUUUCAACAAAGAAGAAAUCUAGACCAACAUGGGUCGUGCCUUGUCUCGCAAUUUUUUUGGGCCAACUGAAAUGCGGCCUGUUGGUUUUUCUACUACACGUCUAGUUUGGUGAGAUCAAUCAAAUCAAGUGUAAAUGUCACGGAUACUAAAAUUCUUUAGAGAAUUUAAAAUUAGAAUGCUUAAAGAAUUUCUUAAAAAUAAAUGGGAAAUUGCCCUCCUAGAUAUGCCUAAGGUCAAUAGGAUGGCCCAUGGGCUGGUGUUAUGCUCAGCCCCCAAAAAAAGUUGAAAGGCUUGAAAUAGUUAUUGUGAAAAUUUUGCCGCAUAAUAUUUAGAAUCUACCUUUCAAUUUAUUUUUUUUAAACCAUAAAUGCUGUAUUUUCAUAGUAAAAUCGAAAUAUGAAAACUUAACCAAAUAAUAAAGCCAAUUCACUUUCUGUUCCUAAAUUUACUCCAUCAAACGUGUCCUUAACUUACGCUACAACCUUAACAUGACAAAUUAAUAUCCAAAUCCAUAAAAUGGAGCCCAUUCAUCUUCCACACAAAUCUCCUCCCAAAUCAUCUCUCACUAGAAUCAUCCAUCAAAAUAUCCACACAACAUAAAAAUCAAAUUGAUCUUCUACAGAUCUACCGCACCGCAUAAUCCAUAUCAUUAUCACACAAAUUCAUCAUUUGAUUCUCGUUUUGCAUUCAUUAGGGCAUUAUCGCAUGUAUAAAAUCCUAGUUGGAGGCGUAGUACCGCCAUCCAGAUUCAAAAAUUUCUACUUAUCCACUAUAAUACACAAUGGUUUACGAGUUUUCAAAGGUUCAGACAGAAUAUGUCAACACCCCGGAAGCGGGGGCAAACUUUUUUCAGAAAAGAUGGUUGCUGAUACAAAUAUCUACUUCUGGUUCUGUAUAGAUACAACAAAAUAUGGAAAAGACUCUAAUCAAUGGCGAUCCCGAAACGCCAUUUGUCCAUGGGUCCCAUCAAGACCCAGCAAGUAUUCUUGCUACAUGACAAGUUUUGAAAAGAAAUGAUAAUGUGAAUGACUUUUUUUUUUCCUUUUUCACUUUAUCGAAUUCAUAAUAAAAACUUAUCUUGAGCAACUGAAUUUGGAUAGUUGUUUGAUUUUUUGAUUGUUCUAUUAAGUUCAUUGUGCACUAUGGUUUACUUUGUUGGUAGAUUAUUAAGCGCUAGAUUUAUACAGGGGAUUAUGUAGUUGUGCAUGUUAAAGGUAGCCUAAUAUGAUAGUUAAUGAUAUAGGUUACGUGUUUAUGAAAAUAAAAUCUACUACAAUCAUUUCCACGUGUGAAGAAUCACGUGUAGAUAAAUUUAUGCUCUUACUCUUCGCUUAGGCAUUAACAAUUUAUAGUUCACUGAUUCUGUAAAAAUAUGUAAAAUUGUGGGAUGGUUGUUGUUGACCUCGCGAAUUGGACCUUACACGUGUUCCUCCCUGUGCACAACAAUAAAUGGUAGGACGUACACAGCUAAAACCAGCGGGGUGGUGGCGGCCGCAUAUACUCCAACGAUGAAGUCAGUGGACGGUGUUGAAACGGUGUCGGAAUUGUGCAAGAGAGUAGGGAGGAGAAUAUAUUUUACUUAAGUAUGGAGUGCCAAAUCUGAGAAAGAUUCAUUACCUUUGUUUCUUGCCAAACCUUUGGUAUUUGCAGGUGAGGGGCACCGUUGAAUGUAAGACACGUGUAUGCAUCUGAUGGUAUGAAGUGUCUGCUCGUUGACGUCAAUCAGCCGUAUCUAGGGGGCAGGUAAUUAAUUCUUCUGAGUUGUGAGUUGACAUAAAGCUAGGAUGCCACAUCAAUCAAUAUAUGAAGAUAAAAGAUGAUCAUGACAUAAAGAUAUUUCUCUGAAACUGGCGACGGGGAGACCUCUGUUGCAAAGUGCCUCGACACUCCUCACACUUUGGUAAGAGGGGACACCUCGACAAUUACUUCAGAGAUGCAUGUGUUUCGUAACUUGCUAGUCAUGAGGUUCGAGCAAGAAUAGUAUCACUUUGGAAUCAUCUGCGCUAGAGACGUGGCACAUCGCUGAGGAGUAGGCAUAACGUGCCUAGGUGGAUAAGCUAGGGGCGUAACAGUGGUCUCCCAAGUUCAGGGAUGAAUAUUUAUAUCAUUUGUGGACUUUUUGAUUGGUUGUGUAUGCUUGCUGUUUUGAGUGUAGGUUGUUUGUCAUUUCUAUUGAAGUGCUGACCUACAGGGGACGACGCGGGCAAAUGGGCGGAAGCUUUAUAGGCUGCUGUUCAUUUUCUAACCGAGACAAUGGGGAUAGGGAGUCCUUUUGGUUAGUAGUUUGUUGCUUUAUAAAGAACAAUAAAUCUUCAACUAAUGCGUAAGAGUGUUGUGAAGCUGGGUGCUAAGGCGUAUUUGCGAUCGGAGCUUGACCCAUAGCGGACAAUGAUUGGGAGAUGGCUGAAACUUUGUAAAGCUUUCACAAUGCUGUAAUCGAGGCGAUGACCCUGAGGGGACUCCGCAUCGAAAGGGUUGAAAACUGUAAAGCUGAUGGAAGUGCUCAUCUGUGAUCAAUACGCUGACCCACAAGGGACGACGAUGGGGAGAUGGCUUGAAGCUUUGUAAAGCUUUUGCAACAAUGCAACCGGGGUAAUGACCUUGAGAGGACUCCGCAUCGAGAGGGUUGAAGCCUGUAAAGCUGAUGGAAGAGCUCAUCUACGAUCGAUGCGUUGACCAACAAGGGACAACUCUAGGGAGAUGGCUUGAAACUUUGUAAAGCUUUUGCAAUGCUGUGACUGAGGCGAUGACCAUAGGGGACUCCACGUCGAAAGGGUUGAAGUUUUGUAAAGCUGAUGAAGGGGCUCAUCUGCAAUAGAUGCGCUGACCCAUAAGGGACAACGCUUUGGAGAUAGUUUGAAGCUUUGUAAAGCUUUUGCAACGCUAUGAUCAAGGCAGUGACCCUGAGAGGACUCCGUCAAGGGAGGGUUAAAGCCUGUAAAGCUGAUGGAAAAGCUCAUCUGUGAUCGAUAUGCUGACCCACAAGGGACGACACUCGGGAGAUGGAUUGAAGCUUUAUAAAGCUUUUGCAACGCUGUGAUCAAGGCGAUAACCCAUAGGCGACUCCGCGUCGGGAGGAUUGAAGCUUUGUAAAGCUAAUGAUGGAGCUCAUUUGCGAUCGAUGCGGUGACCCAUAGGGGAUGAUGGUUGAAGCUUUGUAAAGCUUAGUUUCAAUCCGAGGCAUUCAGUUUGUAAUCUUAAAUGAUGUAACGACCGUCGCGUAUUUUCAAGGAGGACAGUUGGAUGUAAUGCCUAUUCCCAGAAAAGGCUGCUGCGGCUAAUUAUGGUAAACCGUUGUUGAAGCUCGAGGCGACGCAUUUGAUGCUUAGGUAAGAGUCACAGCUAGAUCUUGGGCGAUGAUUAAAUCUUGUGUUUUGUUUCUAUGGUCUAGAUUUGUAAUGCGAUCAACGGCCCAGAUUGAUAGCAUUUGAAUUCAAUGGUAUAGAUCAUCCUAAGCCUCUUAUAAAAGGCUGAUUUUUUGCCAUUCGAAGGUUUUCGCUUUGGCAAAAUCUGAAACUUCGUUUCUUUCAAGCUUUUUUUAACGUUCGACGAUCUUUUUGCGCUCUUUAGAGUUUUUCGGCCACGAUCAGUGAGCCUUAUGACAUUUUCGAUCGUAAGAUAUCAUUUUCAGUGAGUUUUUGUAAGUAUUCACAAUUUUUCACCUUUUUCUUUGAGAGAAAUGGCUUCUAAGGGUAAUGGGUCUUUCGGGAGGGAUUUGGAAAUUGUUAGGAUAGACAAGUCGAUGCUAGCUACUUCAACAGAGCUAUCCAAAGCGAUAGUGAGGGAAAAACAUUUCGAAACGACCAGAUAGCCCCGUGGAUACUUCUAUGCAUGGGAGGCAUCUGAUUACCCCUCGAAAUUGAAAUCAUCCGACCAGGUUAGGCUUAGGGCAGAAUAUAGGAUACCGAAUAGUGUGGGUCUAAUCAUAUCGGAUCCAGAUGAACGAGCAUGUUCCCUUAAGCUCGGGUGCGUGGCAAUAAGUGAGGCCAUUCUUAGGGCAGGGCUUAGGUUACCUAUCCACCCAUUCUUUUGCUACGUCCUUAGGUCUUGUGGCUUGGCCCCCACCCAACUCAACCCGAACUCGUGGAGUCAAAUGGUAGGAUCAUGGAUGUUGUGGAAGGGGGCUUCAUACAGGAUGGAGAUGCCUUUUUAGUUUUUCAGACCCUUCACAUUCCCAAAGGGCAGUGGGAAGUAAUAAAACUAGGGGUGGUACUAUCUGACCUCUUGGGAGGCCCACACUCCAUUCAUGCUCGAUUUGCCAAGCUCCAUUAAGGAAUGGAAGAGUUCAUGGUGCUGGGCUUCCAGGAAAUAGGAUACGAUGGAGGGUGGCCCCUUAGCACCUCUAACAGUUCCCACCAAAUAUUCCGCAGUUAAUGAGUACUAAUACUUCGACUUAUUGUAUAUUUCUUUGGCUAGCGUACUUAAAGCUCAUAUUCUGGUAUAGGUGCCCUUCCUUGGUGUGAAUUGUCCAUAGAGGAUUUUUAUAGUAUCUGCAUCAUCUAUCAGCUUCUAGCUAAGAUCCGGUCUUACCAGGAGUUGAUAAGGAAAAAUAUACACUUCGUCAAUCAAGGCUUGAUGUCUUCACAAGGUAGACUAUCUGACCUUAUCAUGUUUAUUCCGAGUCCUUUAUACUCGGGCUAAUAUUCGAAGUUUCUUGCAUAUGAUUUUAAUAAGAAAAGGCCUCUGAAGCCUGACUUCGCCACCAUCAAGCGCAUGAUGGCUGAGGCGAGGGCCUUGAAGACCUCCUCCUCAGCAUAUGAAAUGCAAAUGGAGGACUUGGUGGCAACCAGCAAGAAGCUGCCUCCUGCUGAGGAGGAGGGGGGAAGCCCCUACUCAAGAAAGGGAAAAAAGUAGCCAGGCCAUUCUCAAAUGCCUCAACAAUGGCGAGGCCGGCCACUAGGCAGACAACGAUUCCCACUGGGGUCAUGAUACGAGAGAGGUUUGUAUGUUUGUCGGAGACGACUCCUACUGAAGUGGCCCCUAUCCCACCUCUAGUUGCUUCAACUGCUGAUCACCCCGUCGAAGAAGGGAGGAAAAAAAGGGCCUGUCUUGACAAAGAGCAAGAUUUUUUGGGUACCAACUUUGAUGAGCCUGUGAAUGAGGUACUGAAGCCUUGCCAUCAAAGGCUGCAGCAGUAGCACUGACCCAUCACAAGUAUUAGACCGAGGCUUGGAAAGAUAACACUUCCUCUUAUACUGCCGAGGAUUUUGUGGCUGCCAACAACACUUGUGUUGCCCGAGCUCUGAGUACCAACACCCAGCUGGAGGGCCUCGUCAAAACUUGAGGGUGAAGAACAUCGAUCUAGCCCAAAGGUUGGAGAAGGCAGUAUUGUAUGGUGAUGAGGUGUGGGUUACUAGAAAUAAGGCCAUGGAGACAGAGAAGAGCAGAGCCGAGGCGAAAAGUAGGGUGGUGAAGGCUGAGGCUGAGUCAGAGCAGCCAAAAAAAUAGUUGUACGAACAGAAUGCCAAGUUUCUGUUCUGAUGAGGCGGAUUGACCACGCUAAUGAACAUCACUGCCUCACCGUGGAGACCUUGAAGCCUCAAAUAAGGAAUGGGCUAAGCUGAGGCAGCGGGUGGAGGCCCAAGUUAAAGAGAUCGAAUCUCUCGAAACAGAGGCAAAAACUGUUGGGGAGUCAGCCAUGUAGCAUUUUAUUGACCACUUUGAAGAGCACGAGCUGUACAACACAUUUACCAACUAUUAGGCCUCUUGGAACACCCAAGCUAUGUUGCAGCGUCUGAGGAAGGUGUACUCGAACCUGGACAUUUCAGCGUCUCAGAUCGAUGGGCCUACCAAAGGUCGUCCUGACAUUGCUGCUGUCAAGGAGGCUACAACGACUCCUCAAGAAACAAAGGCGAGGGAGGGGGACAUAGUGCUAGUAGAGCAGGAUUCUCUUUGUAUUUUGUAAUGGCCUCGGCCCUUAAUUGUAAUUAUUUGGGUAUUAAUGGAUUGAAAUAUUUUGUGACUUCUUCUAUUCAUGUUGAGCUGUGUAAUUGCAUUAUUGUGAUUGGAUAAGCGCCUAAGUUAAAAUCAAGCGUUACUUACCAAUAGUAAUAGUAGAAGCAAAAAAUGAUUAAUCCAUAGAACACUGACAAACUAAGGUUUCAUAAGAAAUUUGAACUUAACAUUAUCAUAAGCUAAGGCGAUUUCAGCACUUAAUCAGAUAGGAAUAAGUUACAGUGGAUCAUAGAAGAACAUGACCAAUUCAGAGCAUACAUUUAUUGGUAGUACUUCCUCAAGUGUUCAAUAUUCCACUGAUGUGGCAUCAUUUUUCCUGCUAUAUCUUCAAUCUGAUAAGUUCUGGGUCGGGAUUCUUUGACAAUGCGAUAUGACCCUUCCCAGUUCGGCCCAAGCACUCUGAAACCAGUUGGUUUUGAUGUUGGGGAGACCCUUCUAUGUACCAGGCCACCCAAACAUAGAGUUCGAUUUUCGACCUUCGAAUUGUAGUAGCUGUCAUCUUUCUCUGAUAUGUGGCUAGUUUGACUUAUGAAGAAUCCUUUUUUUUUCUUUCGGGAGGUGAAGCUCGUAUACUUGCAUUUAAUCGUUGCUGAUCUCAUUGAAGUGUAUGAGACGAUGCGAGGGAAUCCCCACCUCAAUUAGGCUCAUGGCUUCGACUACGUAGGUCAUAGAGAAGGGUGUCUCUCCUGUUGCAAUUCGGCAAGUUGUACGGAUGGACCAGAGAACAUGGGGAAGCUCAUCGACCCAUGCUCCUUUCGAGGCGUCAAGCUUUCUUUUCAGGGUGUGCUUGAUCGUCUUGUUUACAGCCCUAACAUGUCCAUUUGCUUGGGGUGAUGGGGUGUUGAGAAAUCCUUCCUUAUACCCAGUUCGUCGCAUAUAUCUCGCAUCUUCCUAUUGUCGAACUGACUCCGUUGUCAAACACCAAGGAGUGGGGAUUGUUGAACCUACAAAUGAUGUGCUUCCAGAUAAACUUCGUAGUAUUCGCUUCAGUGAUUUUUGCCAGAGGUUCAGCUUCGACCCACUUGGUAAAGUAAUCAAUAGCAACAAUCGCAAAGUUGCUCUUCCUCUCCCUUUUGGGAGGGGACCAAUGAAAUCUAUCUUCCACUUGGCGAACGGCCAGGGACUAGUGACUGCGGAGAGGCUCUGUGAAGGCUAUCUUUGAACAUUGGAGAACCGCUGGCACUUAUCACAUCUUUGAACAAACUGGUAGGAAUUAUUUUUCAAGGUCGGCCAGAAGCAACCUUGUCGAAGCACUUUGUGCACCAAGGCUAUUCUCCCGGAGUGGUUUCUACGUACUCCCUCGUGAAUUUCCCUCAUUAUCUACAUAGCCUCUUCUUUCCCAAAGUAUUGAAGGAGAGGCGAUGCGAAGCCCCUUUUAUACAGCAUGUUUUCCUGGAGGAUGAAAUGAGCAGCCAUUCUUCUCAACUUCUUGGCCUCGUUUUUUGAGGUUGGCACUCUUUGAUCUUUGAGAUAGGUUAUCAUUGGUUGUAUCCAAGGUGAGGUACCCUCAAUCCACAUCACCUCUUCGCCUUCGGUAAUGGAGGGCUUUAGUAGGCGCUCAAUUGGAACAAUCUUUAGUAGUUCGGAGUCCUUGCUACUGGCCAGUUUGGAUAGGGCUUCUGCACGAAUGUUUUCGAGGCGUGGGACCUGCACUAGUUUGAAUUUUUCGAAGUGGGGGACGAGGCUCAAAAUAGUUUCAAAUAGGCGACCAUGCCACUAUCUUUGGCCGCGAAUCACUGCUGGCUAGGAGUCUUUUGACUUGCAUUUCUUUGGCCAGUCUAAGGCCUGCUAAGAAAGCCUCACAUUCGGUAGCAUUGUUCGAAGCUUUGAAGCCGAACCUGAUUGCAUAGUUUAGCUUAUGGCCUUUUGGGCUUUCUGAAAUGACUCCUGCCUUGGAGCCAGUCUCUCUUGAUGAGCCGUCCACAAAGAGGUUGCAAGUAGGGGGCUCUGCUGGUUCCAUGGUUGCCUCAAUUUCUUGGGCUUUGGUAAUCUCUACGACAAAGUCUAUGAGGGCUUGUCCUUUGAUGGCGCUUCGGGGUUUGAAGAGUUGGUCAAACUCGCCAAAUUCAAUUGCCCAUUUGAGUAAGUGACUCGAAGUGUCUAUCUUCUGUAACACUUGUUUCAGUGAAAAAUUGGUUAGAACUUCAAUGGAGUGGGCUUGAAAGUAUGGCCAUAGUUUCCUUAAUGCAGUUACGAAGAAGAGUGCAAGCUUUUCCAUGUCUGGAUAGCAAGCCUUUGCUGGCAGCGGGGCUUUGUUGAUGUAGUACACUGGCAAUUGGCGUGUCUUUUCUUCCCUGAUGAGGACUGCAUUGACUGCUUCUUCUGAAACCGCCAAAUAUAGCAGAAGUGGCUCGAGUGGUUUGGGCUUCGACAGUAAGGGUGCCUCUCCCAAGUGCUUCUUUAUCGCUUGGAAGGCAAUCUCACAUUCCUCCGCCCAUUGGAACUUUUUUCCCUACUUCAGAAUCUUGAAGAAGGGUAGACUUUUAUCGGUGAUCUUGGAGAUAAAGCGGCUAAGUGCAGCAAUCCGUCCGUUGAGGGUUUGUACCUCUUUUGGCUUCUGAGGUGACCUCAUCUCUAAUAGGGCCUUUUGGAUUGGCCCAGCGUGCCAGCCAUUUUUUUGAAAAAAUAUAUUGAAUUUAAUUGUUUAUAAAUAUUUCAUGAAUCAUGUAAAUUGUUUAUUUAAGUAAAAUAAUUAAUUGUUUUUAUUUCAAUUUAUUUAAAAUAUAAAUAAUUUAAUUAAUGAAAUAAACAAUUUGAAUAAAUAUAAUAAACAAUUGAAUAUUCAAUAAACAAUUAAAAUAAAUAAGAAAUUAAUAUAAAUAAUUAAAUGAAGUAAAUAAAUAUGAAAUAAACAACUAAAUAAGUAAUUAAAUAGAGUUAUCAAAUAUUAAAAAACAAUAUACAUAACCAAUUAAAAUAAUUAAUGAAAUAUUUAAAUAAUAAAUAAAUUAAAUAUUAAAUAAAUAAUUUAAUAAAUCGAUAUUUAAUUUAAUUGUUUAUUUAAAUAUUUAAGUAAUUACUUUAAUUGUUUAUGUAUAUUAUUUGUUUAAUAUAUAAUUAUUUAUUUUAUACUUUAUUUGUUUAUUUAAAUAUUUCAUGAAUUAUUUUAAUUAUUUAUAUAUAUUGUUUAUUCAAGUAAAUAAUCAAUAACUAAUUGAAGUAAUCAACUAAUUGAAAUAUAUUAAAUAAAUAUUAAUAAAACAAUUAAAGCAAUUAAUUGAAAUAAUAAAUAACUAAUUGAAAUAAAUUCAAUAAACAAGUAAAUUAAAUAUUAAUUAAGGAAUAUAAAUAAUUAAUUAACAUAAAUAAAUAUAAAUAUAAAUAAUAAAAAACUAGUUCAAAUAAGUAAUUAAAUAUUAAAUAAACAAUUCAAACAAACAUUUGAAAUAAAUAUUAAAUAAACAAUUCAAACAAACAUUUGAAAUAAAUAAUUAGCAUUUAAAUAUUAAAUAAAUAAUUUAAAUGAACAAUAAAUAUAAAUAAUAAAAAAUAAGUAAUUUAAAUAAGUAAUUAAAUAUUAAAUAAACAAUUUAAAUAAACAAUUGAAAUAAAUAAUUAAUAUUUAAGUAUUAAAUAAAUAAUUUAAAUGAACCAUGAAUAUAAAUAAUAAAAAUAAGUAAUUUAAUAUUAAAUAAACAAUUGAAAUAAAUAAUUAACAUUUAAAAUAAACAAUUAAACAUUCAAUUAACAAUUAAAAUAAAUAUUAAAUAAACAACUAAACAAUUAAAAUAAAUAAUUUAAAUGCACAUUUAAAUAUUGAAUAAAUAAUUUAAAUGAACAAUUUAAAUAAAUAAUUAACAAUUAAAUAUUCAAUAAACAAUUUAAUUUUCAAAUAUUAUGUUUUAUCCAUUGUCUUUUGCAUAAGGCCCUAACAUUUUAAAUUUUAUAGGAUGGAUUAUCAUUUAGACGUCGCCAUGAGACAGAUUCCGACAAAGUUACGUUGAACUAUAACUUUGCUAGCUUUACAUUAGUCCUAGAUUUGUUGAAUGAGGAGUACGUAGACCUGUUAUGCCAAUCCUUCUUACGACGAUAACUCUGGCACAGUUAGGAGACGCAUUCAGGGAAUGCGUCAAUAUGUCUAGAAAUUGAAGUUGAGGAUAAUGUUUAUACUGGAAAGCACACUGAGGUAUCAUCACAAGAUGACGUCGAUCGAAGUUUUCAUUUAGAGGUUGUUAAUGACAUUGACAAAUUCAACAACUAUCCAUGGGACAAAGCUAACAGUUAUCGGCUCUCGUCGACGAUCCUAAGGUACGUAUUAUUCAUUUGUGAUUUAUGUUGCGCGUCAUUUCGAAAUCUCAAUGCAUGGUCAUUAAUUCAAUGAAAUGUUAAUAUGUCAGCUUGAACUGCUCACUGAGCUGACACCGUUGAUCGAGAAGGAAGUUAGAUUCAUAUCUGAGGAGAUACAGCUUGCAAACGAUGAGGAUUCCAGAUAGUGACAGAGAAGGUGGUAGAGAUGGUGACAGAGAGGGUGGCGGUGGAGGGGUGGGAAUGUAUACAAAUGUUUUCAUUAGAAUCAUUAUGGAUCUCAGUGGGGAUGGAAAAAGUGCCAGUGGAGGGGAUGAAAUAAUUGUAUAUAUUUUUUUAUUUAUGAAAUAAUUGUAUAUAUUGUAAAAUUUAUUUAAAUAAGGUAAUGAAAUAUUAAAUACAUAGUAUACACAACCAAUUAGAUAAUUUAUAAGUGAAAUAUCUGAAUAAGAAGUUAAAUUUAAUAUUACUUUUUUAUUUAAUGAAGUUAUUAAAUAAAUAAUUAAACAAAUUAAUUAAAUAUUAAAUAAAUAAUAUACAUAACUAUGCCAGAGAUGAGCCCCAACUUGAUAGAUAAUGUCGCGAGUUUGGAUAACGUGACAAUUAUGCCGGAGAGGAUAAUGGAAGUGACACCAUGUAAGAAACAUGUUAUUGAUGUGCCAAAGUAGAUGGUUAGCAAGAUGACUAGAUCAUCGUCACAAAUACAUUGUUUCUCUGUACACAAUCGAGGCAAAGAAGAGAACAUCCGUCGACGGUACAUUGCCCAACCUCUUUCGUGAAAUCGACUCGGGGCAAUUGUGGAGUCUUCACAUUGAAGUACAUUGAAUUUUUUUAAAUGAAAACGUUCUUUUAUGUAUAUUGUGAUCCGUAGUUAUAAUAAUUUAAAAUGUAAGCAUUUUUUUAAAACGUUUGCAAUACUUUAGUAAUUAUGUCAUUGUAUGAUAAAUAAAUAAUUACUCUUAAUUACAUAUAUAACACACUUCAAAUAAAGAAAAUUUAGGAAAUCACUAACAUACUAUAAAUAGAGAAUACAUACGAUUUAAGUAGAUAUUACAUAUCCGUCGGGUCAAAUUUCAUGUAAUCAAUAACACACUAUAAAUAGAGAAAAUUGAGGAAAUCGGUAACAUGCUAUAAAUAGAAAGUACAUACGAUUUAAAUAUAUAUUACAUAUCCGUUGGGUAGAGAAUAGCAUGCUAUAAUCGGGAACUUCCCACUCGACUUCAUUUGGUAAAGAAAAUAUAGUUUCAACAUUCAUGAAUAGUGUUCGAUGUUUUGAAAAUGUGGUCAUGCCCAAUGUUCAACUCCCGUCUCUGUUAGAUAUUCUCAUCCACCGUGUGAUUUAUGUCCAAAUUAAUUAUUAAAUAAAAAAUAUACAUAACCAAUUAAGAUAAUUAAUUAAUAAAAUAUUUAAAGAAUAAAUUAAAUUAAAUAUUAAUUUUCUAUUCAAAUAAGUGAUUAAAAUAAUAAUUAAAUAAGGUAAUGAAAUAUUAAAUACAUAAUAUGCACAACCAAUUAAGAUAAUUUAUAAAUGAAAUAUCAAAUAAGAAAUUAAUUAAAUAUUAAUUUUUUAUUUAAUUAAGUGAUUAAAUAAAUAAUUAAACAAAGUAAUUAAAUAUUAAAUAAAGAAUAUACAUAAUUAACUAAUGAAAUAUUUAAAUAAGAAAUUAAAAUAAAUAUUAAUUCUUUUAUUUAAAUAAGUGAUUAAAUAAAUAAUUAAAUAAAGUAAUUAAAUUUUAAUUGCAUAAUAUACAUAACCAAUUAAGAUAAAAUUAAUGAAAUAUCUAAAUAAGAACUAAAUGAAAUAUUAAUUUUUUAUUUAAUUAAGUGAUUAAAUAAAGUAAUUAAAUUUUAAAUAAACAAUAUACAUAACCAAUUAAGGUAAUUAAUAAAGAAAUAUUUAAACGAGAAAUCAAAUUAAAUAUUAAUUUUUUUAAUUUGAGUAAGUGUUUAAAAUAAAUAAUUAAAUAAGAAAUUAAAUAUACAUAACCAAUUAAGAUAAUUAAUUAAUGAAAUAUUUAAUAGAGAAAUCAAAUUAAAUAUUAAUUUUUUAUUUAAACAAGGGAUUAAAUAAAUAAUUAAAUAUUAAAUAAAUAAUAUACAUAACAAAUUAAGAUAAUUAAUUAAUGAAAUAUUUAUACAAGAAAGUAAAUUAAAUAUUAAUUUUUUUAUUUGAGUAAGUGUUUAUAAUAAAUAAUUAAAUAAAGUAAUUAAAUAUAAAGUGAAAAGUGUUUGGUUUUUUAAUUUGUAACGUAAGGGUAUUUUUAUCUUUUUAAACAAAAUUCUAUCUUUGUAAUUGUAUAAAUUAUUUAAGGAUAUUUUUGUCUUUUAUUCAACAAAAGAUCAUUUUGAUGAUAGGCAAAUUUUUUUCGUUAAAAUGAAAAAAUAGAAUUUUGACUUGGCCAAAAGUACCCUAGAAAAGAAUAUGGCCUUACAAAUGACCCAAAUGCAGCUUCCACUAUGAUGCAAUUCAUGUUUCAAUUAGCAAUUCAUCAAAUUCUUUUCGUCUGGGUCUUAUCACCUGCAGAGCACUGCACAUUGUAAUUAUAAAUGAACAUGAAAUGAACUCUCUGCAUAAUAGAUCCAGUUUAACCCUUUCUCUGUGUUGUUGCAAUUCUUACAGAAGAAAAUGGCUAAUUGUAGAAAACAUCUGAUAGACCAAAAUAAUUUCUACAAUGUUUUAGAAAAAAAUUAAUUAAUUUGAAAAUAAUUAGGGAGAAAAAUCUACUCAGUGAUUCGAAAAAGAGAAGAAAAAACGAUUUAAUUGAGCCAAAUCAAAAGAAAAUAAAAAAACAGGUCACUAGUAUCUAAUAUUCUUGAAAUGUCACAACAAAAUUUUUUUUUUUUAAAUUUAUUUCGGUAUAAUGGCCAUGUACGAUCACUGCUUGAAAUGUCAUCAAAUUUGUUGUUUAUAACAACGGGAUGAGAUGUAGUGACUAAUGCUAUAUAAAUAUCAAUAUUCGAUAAUUUAAAUUUAAAAUCAUUUGCAAGUAACCAGGUAAGUUUGGACACUUUCUAAUUGAGUUGGUAUCAAAUUAUUUUUGCAAGACGUAGGAGCCAUAAGGGACGAAUCCAGGAUGUUGAGCCAGCACGUGCGGCAGUUGACCGUCGAUCGUGGACCGUAGGCCGUAAUAAAAUAUUAAGAGUUCGUUUGAUGUUAUUUUUUGCAAAAAAUGCAUUUUGAAAUGGUGAUUUGAUGAAAAAUAUGUAUUUAAAAAUUAGAAAAAAUUUUGAAUUUGCGUGCAAUAUUAUUUUAUUAAAAAAUGUUUGAUCGAAAAUAAGGGAAAGAAAAAUGUAUUCUGAACUAAAUGGGAAUCAAACAAGGCUAAAAUUUAUAUAAAAUAAUUAUUUAGUUGAAGUUGAACAUAUAUAAUUUCGUUAUAAGAAUAAAUUGUACUCACCAAAUGACAUUAUUGCUUUGUAUAAUUCAAAGGAAGAGCAUGGUGUUAAUAAUUUUACAAUUGACCCGCUAAAAUCUAAUAUAUAUUAUUUUUUCAAAUUUGAUAUCAAAACUCAGCAAGUGUCAUAAUGGUUAAGUUUUCAACAUAUUUUUAAAAAGCUCACAUAUUCGAUUACCCAUUGGUCCUUUCCUUAUUUCAAUGGUUUUUGGUAAAUAUUGUAUAACUAAAAAUGUUAUACAAUAUAUUGGUGGACAAAAGUUUCGAACCCGAGACCUCUAAGAAACAAAUGCAAGCUCUAGCCAACUUGGCUAGGAGUUGUUGAAACUAAAAUGUAUUAUCGGUAAUAUAGCAGCAAGCUCUUGUUGCAUAACCUAUAUAAAGGUGCAAAGUGUAAGUAUUACGCCAUUGGUCCAAUCAAUUUUGGACAUAAAUACUUUAGAUAUAUAAUUAAUGCAAUUUAACGGCAGAUCUAUUAUUUAAUCAAUAGACAAUUAAAUAAAUAAUAGAGUUUGUAAAUUCAAAUCUUCGUAAUUUGUUAAUUACAAGAAAUUGUGAUUGUGAGAUACAAAUUACAUCUGAUUGAAUCUUAAAUCAACUUUGGACAUAAAAACUUUUGAUAUAUAAUUAAUUCAAUUUAAUGGCAGAUCUAUUAUUUAAUCAAUAGACAAUUAAAUAAAUAAUAGAGUCUGUAGAUUCAAAUUUUCGUAAUUUGUUAAUUACAAAGAGUUGUGAUUGUGAGAUACAAAUUACAUCUGAUUGAAUCUUAAAUCGUCCGUGGUCGUAAGUAAUAACGAGAUACGGAUAUCGUUAUUACGGAUAGACCAUCACGUGUAGCAUUUCUUACUUAUGAAGUAAGUAACUCAUCUCACAAGUUAAAGUGUGGUGAUACUUAAAUGAACACGUUGCUAUUUUAUUACAAAACAAAAUAUUGGAGACCCGUCGAGAGAUUUCACAUGGAUAACUAUCUGAGUGUCAGUGGUUAAUCUCUAAAGUUCGAUAGUGGGAUUGGUCCUUUUGACUUGAGGUCAUUAUUGUACCUUAUAUGAGGACGGUCAUGCUUUGAUGGUGUUGGAUGUUGCUCUGCCAAGGGCUACUAAUACGACAUUGUUUGGGUAUGUCAAUAAUCAUAUGAAGGUUAUGAAUGACCAAUAGAGGAUUUGUCACUCUUAGGUAGUAAGAGAUUAUGAUCUGCGUUUCAUUCAAUUAAGUCGACAACGAAAUCCUUGGCUAAGGUGUACUUAUAAGUCAAAAAGGAGUUUUCGACUUAUAUUGACUCAAUAGUAGAGUGAAAGAUAUGAUCGAUAAUUGAGAUUGACACACUUCCAUAUCUCGUAAUUAAUCGGAUCAUAUUGAUGAAGGGAUUAAGUUUCACGGUAAACGAACGAGUUUGGUUUUAUCAUACCAUAUGAUAUUUUACGUCAUAUGUAUUGCCCUGACACAUUGCUAGAUGUCAAUCUUGGACGGCGAGUGUGAAUUGAUAAUAAAUUAAAAAGGUAUUUUAAUUUAUCAAUUUUAAUUAGAUCAAAAUAAUAUUUCACGUCGUUAGGCAUCGCGAUCGGAAACCUGAUGGGUCGCACACAAAAGAGAAUUGGAAGAUUGCAAUUUGUCAAUUAAUUAAUUUAACAAUCGUUAGAUAAAUAAAUUAAUUGGUUUGGUUAUUUAUAGGCCCGAAUUAAUUAAUUGGAUUAAUUAAUUCACGGACCGGAUUUAAUUAAAUGGUUUAAUUAAAUAUUAGACCAGGCCAGGCCCGUUUUGGUUUAUAUAAAUACAUGGCUAGGGUUUUCAAUCUAUAUGUUUUUCUCAUAAUUAUUCUUGCUAGCACAAGAAGAGAAAACCCUAAUAGCUGCAAUCUUGUUUUCUAUGUGGAUCAUCGUUGGAGGCUGGACAAUUGGACAGCUGUAGGUGACGAAUCAAGAUUACUUGAACGAAAAGAAUAGCAAAGAAGUUUGCAGAUUUGGAAAAUGUACAAUCUUAUCACAAUUUCUAUCUAAACACAAAGGCAAUUCUUGGUGGGAAUCAAAAUAUGUUUUAAUUUUUCGCUGCGCAUGUUAAGUGGAUUCCCAAACGUGGUAUCAGAGCCAACUUUGUGUUUGUUAGGAAUUGAUUUACGUAUUAUUGAAAUCAAAAGUUGAUUUAUCAUGUUUUUUCUUUGAUCUAGCAAUUUAGAAUUAUUUUUCAUUUUCAAAAUUUGUUUGGAGAAGAAAUAAUUUUGGAUCAAAACAAAACAAAGGGGGAGAUGGCGGUGGAGGACACGACAGCGGCGGCGCACCACCCGUGAUCGACCGCGAGCAGUUGCAGCAAGCGUGGCGGUGGAGCAGCAGCAGCAUGCUUGCUGUAGCUGGCAGCGACAGUGACGCCGCUACUGUUGCAGGGCGGAGACGCUGCUACAGCAGCGCCUCAGCGCUGCUGGAGGGUGGGCAAAAAAAUCUAAAGGUUUUCAGUUGGGUGAGGGAGAUUUGAAGGCGAGGGCCUCAGUUGCAAUUUUUAAAAUUGCAGGCCCCCACUUGCAAUAUUAUGAAAGGGAUCGAGUUGUAAUUUUAAAAGGAAGGGCAUGUCUGCAAUUUCGAAAAUUGGAAGGUGCAACAAUUAACUCUAAACCAGGGUCAAAUUGCAAUUUCUAAAAGGUUUUGAAUUUGAAUUUUGAAAUGGUUUUAAAAUUAUAUCUUAAUUGGGUUUGACCCAAAUUAAAAAUUUUAUUUAAAAUUGACGACUUUUAUAUUUUCGUUAAAAUAUUAUUUUAACUCAAAUAUUAAAUUUGACCCAACUGAAUUUUUAUUUUAUUUAGGAGUGUUAUCCUAUAUUAAAAUAUUAAUUCAAUUUAAAUUAGGGUUGACUUUAAUUUAAUACUUAAUUAAAAUUUGAUUUUAUUUAAUUAUUCACUCGAUUAUAUUUUUGAAAUUAGAAUUGGAUUCUAAUUUGACAUUUAAUUAAAAUUUGAUUUUAAUUAAAUUGUGUUGCCCUAAAAUUUUAUUUAAAAUUAGAGUUAGACUCUAAUUUGUGUUUAAUUAAAAUUUGAUUUUAAUUAAACAUGUUCGCCCUAAGAUCUUGGAAUUAAAGUUGGACUCUAAUUUUGUUAUUUAAUUAAAAUUUGAUUUUAAUUAAAUUCAACCGCUUUAAAUUUUGGAAUUAGAGUUGGACUCUAAUUCGGUAUUUAAUUAAAAUUUGAUUUUAAUUAAAUAUGUCCGCUAAUUAAAUUAAUUGAUUAAUAUGAUUAAUUAAUUAUUUAAUUGUUCCAAUCCAUUUGUCUAAAAGAGUUUAGACGACCUUAAUUGCUAGAAAUUUGAAAUGUAUUUGCAUAUAAUAUUAUAUAAGAAUACAUUUAUGUGAUAAAUGCAUUAUUAGUGGACAAUUAUGGACUCGACCAUAUGGAUGUGUUUAAUGAUUUAAUUUUAUUCUUGUCGUUUUGUGAGCCUGCGAGCUCUUAAUUGUUUUGGGCCUGGGAGCCUGUUAUUAUUGUUAUUAUUACGGGCCUGCAAGCUCUUAAUUAUUUUGGACCUGCGAGUCCGUUAUUGUUAUUAUUAUUGUUGUCAUGGGCCUGCAAGUCCAAUUUCAUACAGGUCUGCGCGUCAACUAGUAUAAGAUACAUGUUGCAAUUGGACUAAUUGAAUACACACGAAGAGGAGGAAACCAUGAAGAUGGUGCAUUGAUACUGAUCAAUGCGAUACCCCCUAGGAAUUGACCAACUAGUCUUCCUCAUGGCUCCGGAAGACUAGAUAGUAAAAGUCCAUAAUCGUCCACACUAUUACAAUAUAUUAUAUAUGUGUUUAUUGGCAUGGUAGAUGUGUAAUAAAAUAUAUAUGAUUGUUACGAUGAGACUUUUGAAUGCAAAACCCCUCAAUAAAAUAUUAUGUCACAUUUAUAAUCGCCUUCCAUCAUUAUAGUGAAAAAUCAGAGUCCCAAAUCGUCUCAACAUGUUGAGUACACUCAAGGUUGGUCCAUUAGGAAUAUGUUUGACGCUAUGAAGUAUUUGAUAUUUCUGAAUGAUGAGUUUGACUUAACUAAAAUUUAUCUUUUAUUGAGUACACUCAAGGAGAUGAAUUUUAGAGGCAUGUUAACCUGACACAUAAGAUAUGUGAAGACGAUGAGUUGUCAGCUUAACAAUCUGGGAGUUGUAUGGAGAUACAAUUGAUAAUUGUAUUUACCUAAAUGUUAUAUUAAGGCUUGUUGACAACACUCUAGGACUUGAUAUAAUAGAUGGGAUCCCAGUCCACUGGGAGUCAAGUAUGGACUCCAUAAAUUUAUAUGAAAGGGUCAUAAAUUUGAGUUAAACAGUGGGAGCAUAAUUAAUUUAAUAAAAGUCCAUGUUGAAUUAAUUGAUGCAUUUUAUAUAUUAUUCUUCUUCUUUUUGUCAUUAAUACUUAUUGAAUCUUGAGUAACCAUAUGUUUUGAAUGGCAUACUGGAUGUCAACAACUAAAAUUAAAUCUUCUUGAUAGGCACUGUAAUUUGAGAAUUGUUCUCAUGCAUGAGAAAAUUGGUCACGUCCUUGAGUAGCCCUUUCCAGAGGCACCUGCUGAUGACUCGAUUAAAGAAGAGGUGGCUACUGUAAUAAAGACACUGAUGAUGAUAGUAUUGCAACAUGUGUGAUGUUUGUGUUACGUCACCUGAGUUACAAAAGAAGCUUGAGAGUAUAGAUGUUGACGCAUGAUUUUUCAUUUCAAAGAAUUGUAUGAUAAUAAUUAUGUGUGGAAGGAUGCGAGACUUCCAAGCAACUAUACUGAUGCAAAAUAACAGAGCGAUCUUCAGUCAGUGCAAAGGUACUGAAGGUGAUUGACGUUGAGAAGUGUCUCAGUUAAGUUCAAUCAUGAACCAUGAACUAAGUAUUGACUUUGUUCUGCAAUCUCUAUUGGAAAGAGCUAUUCGCUACUAAUUAUGAAAUAUGAUAUGAAUAAACUCGAAUGCUUACUCAUUAAGUUGCUUAACAUGCUUCGGACUGUUAUGCCCAAUAACAAUGUUAUAAGUGGGCAAGCUAUUGAUUCCUCUAAGGGUAUUAAGAGGAAGUCUAAAAGGACUUUGGAAAUGUACCCAAUAUGGUUAAGACAGUCUAAGUGAAGGACAAUACCAAAUCUAAUGACCCUUGGUUUCAUUAUAGAAUGAAAGGUCAUUGGAAGGAAUAUUGCGUGACUUACGUCUACUUUACGAGUUUCUUAGGUAUUUGAUACCAGAUGUAAAUCUCAUAUUUAUACAAAUAUGGAGAAACUAAAUAGAAGUAGACCACUGUAAAAGGGAGAAGUUGACCUACACGUUGGAGAUGAGCAAAGGUUGCUACAUUGCCUGUAGGAAUACACUUCUUGCCAUUGCCUUUUGGUUUAGCAUUGAAAUUAGAGAAAUGUCGCUUUAUACCCACCAUAGCUGGAACAUUAAAAUGAAUUUUAUGUUCGGAUAUGAACUAUUUUAAACGUGACUUACGUCUACUUUACGAGUUUCUUAGGUAUUUGAUACCAGAUGUAAAUCUCAUAUUUAUACAAAUAUGGAGAAACUAAAUAGAAAUAGACCACUGUAAAAGGGAGAAGUUGACCUACACGUUGGAGAUGAGCAAAGGUUGCUACAUUGCCUGUAGGAAUACACUUCUUGCCAUUGCCUUUUGGUUUAGUAUUGAAAUUAGAGAAAUGUCGCUUUAUACCCACCAUAGCUGGAACAUUAAAAUGAAUUUUAUGUUCGGAUAUGAACUAUUUUAAUGUUAAGGACAAUUAUUGUUCUUGUUUAUCUUGAUAAAGAUCCUAAUGGCUAUGGUAAAUUACAAAACACGAUGUUUAUAUUCUUUAAUACUAAGGAUUCUAUAAUGAGUAUAGAAAUUAUAAGGCAUAAAUGCGAUAAUCUAAUUAUAUAUGCAUGUCUGGCACAAUGACCAAAUCUUCUUUUAUUUGAAAAGAAGAAAGGUCUGCAUAAUUACUGGUCUAAUGCAUACCGAUGCAUAUGGACUCUUGUUAAUUGAUGUCAGGUAAUGUUUCUCUUAUUUCAUCAAUGAUCAUGUAUACUUGGUGAAAUUCAAACAUGAAACUCUUGAAGAGUUCAAGGGAUUCAAACUAGAAGUAGAUAAACAAAUAAGUAAAGAUACCCUCACAUUAAGAUUCGAUCGAGUAAGAAUAUCUUAAAGAUAAAAUUUAGAUUAUCUAAGAGAGAAUGUGAUUCUCUUGCAGUGGACUCCUCCAUAUACGCUGCAGCAUAAUGGUGUAUCUAAAAUGAGAAAUUGUUAACUAUUAGAUAUAAUGCGAUUAAUAACAAGCCAUGCAAACUCCCAAAAUUGUUUUGGGGUCAUACAUUGAUUGCAGUGUGCAACACACUAAAUCAUGUCCCAUCUAAAUUGGUUAACAGAACUCCAUACGAGUUAUGAAAAUGCAAUAGUCCCAAUUUAUCUUAUAUGAAAGUUUUGGGCAAUAACGCUUAUUUGAAGCGCCUUAAAUCAGAUAAGUUUGAGACUAAAAUCGAUAAAUACAUAUUUGUGGGAUAUUCAAAGCAGAUAUUUGAAUAUAAAUUUUAUUAUUGUAAAGAAAGUCUUUAUCUCACGACAUAUCGUCCUCUUAGAGUAAAUAUUUACUCUAGGGGAGGACAGUGGGAGCAAAAUAGAACAUGAAAGAGUUCAAGAGUCCUCAAAUAUAGUUAACCCAAGUAGAUAAAUUCGAGUUUGAUCCCAUAUUUGAUAUGGGACAUACUCUUGAUUAGGAAGUAAAGACUCCUAAGGACAUAUCAGCUCUAUAUGAAUCUAGUAGAAUCAUUCGACCUUCAAGAAGGUGCAAAUCAGUGAUUACUAAUUAGGUAUUACUGAUUUAGGAUAAUGAACAUACUAGUUGCAACAAAAUAAAAUCAAGUGUUGACUUAAAAGAGACAGCAAGAGGCCAUGAAACUCGAGAUGAACUCGAUGUAUGUGAACAAGGUCUGGACCUUAGUCAAGCUUCCUGAUGGAAUAAAAACCAUAAGUUUUUGUAAAUAGUUUAGAAGGAAAAUGUCGAUAUGGAUGGGAAUAUCCAUAUAUACAAAGCAAAGGUUAAGUGUUGACCUUGGUGAAACCUUUCUCCUGUAGCCUUGUUGAAGUGUAUUCGGAUUUUGCUUGCAACAGUUGCAUACCGUGACUAUAGGUUAAGAGAAGUCUUUUGGAGCUGAAAUCUUAGAUUUGAUGAAAAAGUCAAGUGUUUGAUUUUAUCAAAUUUGAAGACGAAUUGUGUGUUUACAAGAAGAUAGUGGGAGUAUUGUCGUAUUCUUAAUAUUAUAGAAAACGACAUCCAUAUGUUUCAAUCGUUGAAAUAAUGGUUGUUAAAGGAUUUAUUCAUGAACAAUAUGGGAGAAGCAACUUGAUCUAUAGAGGUAGAUCUAGAAGAUUGCUUAACUUAUCCCAAUUUACAUAAAUGAAAUCUUGAGAAGAUUUCAAGAUUUCAUACGAGAAACUUGUUUACUCUUAAGUGGUAUGUUGGAAAGGUUCCAAACAUGAAGCAACCGUUGAUUCAAUAGUAGAAACCUAAUAACUUCAGAAGUAGCAAAGAGUUGCAAUUUGAAUCAUGAUGUUAUAAAUGAACUUGGAGUAGUUCUGAUAUUGUUGAUCACAUGUCAUUGUAUUGUGAUAACAAUAGAGCCAUUACGAAAGCGAAGGAACUAAGGUCUCAUCAAUGAUCCAAACAUGUAUUAAGGCGAUAUAAUCUUAUCAGAGAGAUAAUACAUAGAAAUGACGUAAAGAGGAGAACAAAUUCCCACAUUUAACAAUAUUGUAGAUCCACUGACAAAGAGUUGUUGUAGCAUAAACAUGAUCGUCAUGUAGACCUAUGAUAUUGGAUACAUAAGUGAUUGGAUCUAGUGCAAGUGGGAGUUUGUAAGUAUUAUGCCUUAGAUCCAAUCAACUUUGGAUAUAAAUACUUUUGAUAUAUAAUUAAUGUAAUUUAAUGGCAGAUCUAUUAUUUAAUUAAUACUAUUAUUUAAUUAAUAGAUAAUUAAAUAAAUAAUAGAGUCCGUAGAUUCAAAUCUUCGUAAUUUAUUAAUUACAAGGAGUUUUGAUUGUGAAAUACAAAUUACAUCUGAUUGAAUCUUAAAUCGUCCGUGGUCGUAAGUAAUAACGAGAUAGGGAUAUCGUUAUUACGGAUAGACCAUCACGUGUGGCAUUUCUUACUUAUGAAAUAAGUAGCUCAUCUUACAAGUUAAAGUGUGGUGAUACUUAAAUGAACACGUGGAUGUUUUAUUAUAGAACAAAACAUUGGAGACCCGUCGAGAGAUUCCACAUGGAUAACUAUUUGAGUGUCAGUGGUUAAUCUCUAACGUUUGAUAGUGGGAUUGGUUUUUUUGACUUGAGGUCGUCAUAGUACCUUAUAUGAGGACGGUCAUACUUUGACGGUGUUGGAUGUUGCUCUGCCAAGGGCUGCUAAUACGGCAUCGUUCGGGUAUGUCAAUAAUUAUAUGAAGGUUAUGAAUGACCAAUAGAAGAUUCGUCACUCUUAGAUAGUAAGAGAUUAUGAUCUGCGUUUCAUUCAAUUAAGUCGACAACGAAAUUCUUGGCCAAGGUGUACUUAUAAGUCGAAAAGGAGUUUUCGACUUAUAUUGACUUAAUAGUGGAGUGAAAGAUAUGAUCGAUAAUCGAGUUUGACACAUCUCCAUAUCUCGUAAUUGAUCGGAUCAUAUUGACGAAGGGAUUAUAGUUUCACGGUAAACGAACGAGUUUGGUUUUAUCAUACCACAUGACAUUUCCCGUCAAAUGUAUUGUCCUGACACAUUGCUAGAUGUCAAUCUGGGACGGUGAGUGUGAAUUGAUGAUAAAUUAAAAUGGUGUUUUAAUUUAUCAUUUUGAUUAGAUCAAAAUAAUAUUUCACGUCGUUAGGCAUCGUGAUCGGGAACCUGAUGGGUCGCACACAAAAGAGAAUUGGAAAAUUGUAAUUUAUCAGUUAAUUAAUUUAACAAUCAUUGGAUAAAUAAAUUAAUUGGUUUGGUUAUUUAUAUGCCCGAAUAAAUUAAUUAAUUCACGGAUCGAAUUUAAUUAAAUGGAUUAAUUAAAUAUUGGACCGGACCAGGCCAUGCCGAUUUUGGCUUAUAUAAAUACAUGCUAGGAUUUUCAAUCUAUAUAUUUUUCUCAUAAUUAUUCUUGUUAGCACAAGAAGAGAAAACCCUGGUAGCUGUAAUCUUGUUCUCUGUGUGGAUCACUGUUGGAGACUGGACAAUUGGACAGUUGUGGGUGGCGAAUCAAGAUUGUUGGAACGAAAAGAAUAGCAAAGAAGCUUGCAGAUCUGGAAAAGAUACAAUCUUAUCACAAUUUCUAUCUAAACACAAAGGCGAUUCUUGGUGGGAAUCGAAAUAUGUUUUAAUUUUCUGCUGUACAUGUUAAGUAGAUUUUCAAAAGUGAUAUCAGAGCCAACUUUGUGUUUGUUAGGAAUUGAUUUACGUAUUAUUGAAAUCAAAAGACUCGCUCGAGAUUUUCGCUUGAACAGGAAGUCUCAGUAACUGCUAUUAGUUAUACAAUCCAAGGAGCCUUCUUCAUUGGGAUAAAUUCUCUCAAGGUCGCCCAACUUAAAAGUUACUUCCAUAUUGAUCCCUAACUUGUGUUUUUGUUUUGAUUGGAUAAUUUCAUCGAUAGCCGUCGAUCAAAACUUUUAAGAGAUUCUGUAACCUGGCACCAAACAAAAUUAGUGAUCGCAGAUCAAUCUCCGUGCCCCGCACCAAAAUUUCAUUAAGGACUGUCUAAUAACUUGUAGAUUUGUAAAAUUAUGUUAAAGAAUUGAAGUUAUUGUAAAAUUCGAAUUUGUCCUAAUUUAUCUUAUAAUUAUGAAGGCAUCCUUAGAUUUUAACAUUAAGGUUAGAGAAGAUGAGUUUGUGAUUUUCUCUUGUAAAAUUUUUUCAUCAUUGUAAAUUACUGCAACAACGAAAUGUGAAGUAAUUUAACAUUGAAGCGAAUCUUUACAAAUCUUACUUAUUUCUAGUGUUUCGAUUGCUCUUGAUGGAAUAUAAUUAUAUUUUCAAAAAAACGAAUUUUGAAAAUGAAAAAUAAUUCUAAAUUGCUAGAUCAAAGAAUCACAUAUAGAUGUAUCUUCAGAGAGAGAGAGAGAGAGAGAGAGAUGCGACCUUCACCAGUAUCGACCUAACAGUACGUGGCUAAUAAAAUCUAGUACUGUAGUACAGAUAAUUAAGAGUGUAAAAAAUGAAAACAAAACCAAGUAGGAGCAUAUUCUUCUGCAACUUGUUCCUAUGCGUUCGUUCACAUAUUAAAAUAAUUGAAUUUUUAGUUUCUUGCAGUGUAGAAGGUUACAUUAUUACAAUUGAAAAAAGAUAAUGAACUAACAAAACACAGCUUUGUUAAUUGUAAACUUGUUAAUCCCCUGUUUGUUUCCCAUAAUUUGACAUUAUAAUUUUUGGAAUAAUAUUUUUUUGGAGAAUAUAUGGUUGAAAAUGAAUUUUUUUAUUUAUGUACGUGUAAUAUUAAUUUAUAAAAAAUUGUGAAGUUCAAAAUAAAAUAUCGAAAAAUUAUAGUAUGAAAUAAUGAGGGACGAGCAUAGGCUAAUAAAUCAAAAGUUGAUUUAUCAUGUUUUUUCUUUGAUCUAGCAAUUUAGACGUUGGAGCCAUUUCUAAUUGAAAGUUAGUGCACGAGAAGAAUACGUAUCAAUAAUUGAGUUGGAAUCAAAUUAUUGCCUGUGAGACAUUGACAUUGGGGCCCUUUCUAAUUGAAAGUUAUUGCACGCGUAAAUAACUUUGGCUAAAAGAGUCAAAAAGUAUAACAAUCACAUGUGAUUGCUGGUGGAUUGUAUUGACAAGUCCUACAAAAAUCAGCCAUAUUCUUUCCCAGGGAAAUUUCAUGAAUAUUGAUGAAAAAAAUUGUCUACCAUUUAGAAUUCAACAAAAAUGUUAGAAAAAAUAUGCUAAAACUUUAAGUUGUCCUUUUUACAAAAAUUGUAAAUGGCCACAUUUUUGAACGGGUCAGACAUCAUUCAUGAUGGAGUUAGGGACACUAUUGGGUGGUUAAAAUUUUACGUAUUGAGGUGGCUUAUGCAUUCCAUUCAUGUCUUUUUUAUUUCAACGGAAUAAGGGAUCUCGAAACUAUAGAAAUAUAUACCAUCUAUAAGAAAUAUUUGAAUCUCAUUUAAGUUCUAUUUUAAAUAAUUCAAUCAAAUUUUGAUGGAAUUAUAAUUAUGACUAUUAAAAUGAAGUUUACUUUUUUCAUUGUGUAAUGAUUCUUGAUCUUGUUGAUAAAAUAUUCUUGGUCUUUCUUUUAAUUUUAAAUUUUUAAUAGAUAUGUCACAACUGUUUUCAAUUUAUUUCGGUAUAAAGGUGUAAGAUCACCGCUUGCAAUUUCAUCAAAUUUGUUUGCUGAUAGAAACAGAAUGCGAUGUAGUGACUAAUGGUGUUAAAUAUCAAUAUCAAUAAUUUAAAAUUAUGUUGUGUAAGUGUAAUUUACUAGGUGGAGAGAACACAAAUUAAAUAAUUGAGUUGGAAUCAAAUUGUCCUUAGUGAGACAUUGGGACCCUUUCUAAUUGGAAGUUAGUGCAUGAGUAAAUGACUCUGACUAAAAAAUUGAAAAAGCGUAAAGAUUACAUGUGAUUGCUGAUGAGUUGAAUUGACAUGUCACACAAAAUAAUAGCAUAUUCUUUCUUGGGGAAAGUUGAUGAAAUAAUAUACCAAAAGUUUAAGAAUUUUUAUUUUUAUUAUUAUUAUUAUUAUUUCUAUUUUAUAAAGAAACGCACAUAUUGCUGGGCAGCCUAGAUAUCAUCCACGGUGAAGAUAUGAACAAUAUUGCGCGACUAAGAUUUCAUGUAUAUUGGCGUCGUUUGCACAUAUUCAAGGACUACACUUUAGAAUAAAGAAAAUGCAACCAAUUCAUUCGAAUUGAGUACUUCAAUCCAUGUCCUUUUUUUCCCCAGUUUCGAUUCCAAAGAAAUAAGAGCUCCAAACAAAUCAUUGAUUUGGGCAACUUUCGCUAUGGAUUGACCUACAAAUGAAGGAAUGAAAUAAUUUUCAUGAAUAAUUUUUUUUUUUUUUUUAACAACUAGGAUCUUUUAGGCUCGUAGAAGCUUGAAGCUUCCCCUAUCAUCUAGACCCUAGCCACGAUUUACAUUUUUAGAGCAUUGCACCAUAUUUAAAUUGAAAUGUUGUUCUUCAACUUUUGCUCAUUCUAUGGUUAUGUCCCCAAUUUUUCCAUCGUAUUUUAGUUUUCAACUUUUUAUUAAUUAGUGUACUUUGUUCGUGUUGGUUGCCAAAAUAUUCAUUAGAAAGGAGUAAAUAUAAAAGUUUGAUAAAAUAUUUUUCUCGUACUUAUAAAAUAUUUAGACAAAUCCUAUCAUCAAAGAUAUGAUAUGAUACUAGGACGAAAAAAUUUCGAGAAUACAAGUACGAAAAUGAGCAAAAUUGAAAACUUCCAUUACAAUUAAAAUAUAGUGCAAUUAACUAUAAAUGUGGUGUAUAUAUAUUUAUCCAUUAAGAAAUUUAAAAGUAGUGGACACAAUUAUUUAAAUAACUCUUUAAUCAUACUUUUAUAUUAUUACCCAUUAAGAAAUCCAAAAGUAGUGGAUACAAUUAUUUUCAUUACUCUAUAAUCAUACAUUUUCCCCCCUGUUUUGUAAUCACGGGGCACGAAGGGAGACAUUGUUAAAAUAUCUUCUUUCGUUGUCAUCAAAUUCGCUAGUUUAUGCUAAUGGAAAAGGAUGUAAUGACUUUGGCCUCAUUUGUUUCUUAUUUUUUGAAGAAUGAGAAUGAAAAAUAUAGACGUUAUGAGCUUCAAAUAAGAGAUAAAAAUUCAAAUUUGGUGACUUAAUGUAAUGGAUAACGAUCAUAUUUUUUAUUUUAAUGAAAAAAUAAUGGAAAACAAACGAGGGCUUAAUAUUGGGUAAUUUAUUUAGUAAUAAAAAAGAACAUGAUAUUAGACUAACUUCUCCACAAGCAUGGGCAUUUCAUCGACAUAUUUCUUGCUUUGGAAUUGGAAUUUGAAUUAUGUGGUGCAUGAUUUAAUUGUGCCAAUCAGAAGAAAAUAAAAAUACAGGGCACUCGUAUCUAAUAUUCUUGAACUUUUUUAAAAUUUUAUUUCGGUACAAUCGCCACGUACGAUCAUUGCUUGAAAUAUCAUCAACUUUAUUGUUCAUAACAACGGGAUAAGAUGUAGUGAUUAAGCUCUGUCUGCUUCUCAUUCUUUCCUUAUUAAAAUGAAAAAAAUAUAACUGUUAUUCAUCACAUCAAAUUACCAAAUUUGAAUUUCUAUAUUUUGUUUGAAAUUCAUAACGAUUAUAUUUUUUAUUUUCAUUCUUUCAAAAAUGAGAAACAAACGGGAGUUUAGUCAUUUGCAAAUAACCAGGUAAGUUGGGGCCCUUUCUAAUUGUGAGUUGGUAAAGAAUACGCAUUAGCACCUUUUUGAGCCCGAUUAAUUUAUAUUACAUUUCAUUUUUCUCUUUCCUAUUUUCAACCACACAAUCUUCCAUAAAAUAAUAUUACGCGUAAAUCGAAAAUUUUUCCUUCAUUUUUAACCACUCAUUUUUCAAAAAAAAUAUUAUUCCACCCAUUAAAUUUUCACGUAAUGGGGGCCAAACGGGGGCUAAUAAUUGAGUUGGGAUCAAAUUUUUUUUGCAAGACGUUGGAGCCAUUUCUAAUUGAAAGUUAGUGCACGAGAAAAAUACGUAUCAAUAAUUGAGUUGGAAUCAAAUUGUUGCUUGUGAGACAUUGGGGCCCUUUCUGAUCAAAAGUUAUUGCAUGCGUAAAUAAUUUUGAAUAAAAGAGUAAAAAAGUAUAACAGUUACGUGUGAUUGCUGGUGGAUUGAAUUGACAAGUCUUACAAAAAUCAGCUAUUUUUUUUCCCAGAGAAAUUUCAUGAAUAUUGAUGAAAAAAAAAAAUUUGUCCUCUUUACAAAAGUGACCACAUUUUUUUCAGACAUCAUUCAUGAUGGAAUUAGGGACACUAGUGGGUCGUUAAGAUUAAUUUCAAAGGAAUAAGGGAUCUCAAAAUUAUAAAAAUAUAUAUCAUCUAUAAAAAAUAUUUGAAUCUAUUUAAGUUGUAUUUUAAAUAAUUAUAAUUAUAACUAUUAAAAUUAAGUUAAGUUUUUCAUUGUGUAAUGAUUCUUGAUUUUUUUAUUUUUUUUUUUGUAAAAUAUUCUUGGUCUUUCUUAUACUUUUUUAGAUGUGUCAGAACUUUUUUCAAUUUAUUUUGGUAUGAUGGUGUAAGAUCGCAGCUUGCAAUGUCAUCUAAUUUGUUUGUUAAUACAAACGGAAUGAGAUGGUGACUAAUGGCGAGGAAUACUAUAGUGUACAACCUCCUCACAUGAGAAGAGAGCCCACAAAUCCCUUUCUAAUUGGAAGUUAGUGCAUGAGUAAAUGAUUUGGGAAGUGUUAUAUGUUUAUAAUUUGUUUACAUAAUGAUAUUCAUAAUUACAUGUGGUAUUAAAUUCAAUUUUUAAUUCAAAUCUCAUAAUUGUACAUCAAUAAUCAAAUUAUUGUCACAUCACAUUAUGAACAUCAUUAAGUGCAAUAAUUAAAUUUUUGACAAAUGACUUUGACUAAAAAAUUGAAAAAGCAUAGAGACUACAUGUGAUUGCUGAUGAAUUGAAUUGACAAGUCACACAUAAUAAUAACAUAUUCUUUCCUGGGGAAAGUUGAUGAAUAUUGACGAAAAAUGUCUGAAAUAAUAUACAAAAAGUUUAAGGUUUUUUAUUUUUAUUAUUAUUAUUAUUUUUUUAUUUUAUUUUACUUUUUUUUUUUUACAGAAAUGUACAUAUUGCCCUUGUUUGAACCCCAUUUUUUUGAAAAAUAUAUUUUUUUACUAGUAUUUUGAUAUCAUUUUAACCACAUAUUUUUCAAUAAAAUAAUAUUACAAGUAAAUUCAAAAAUUUUCCUUAUUUUUUAACCACACAUUUUCCAUCAAUACACUAUUCAAAAAUUCAUUCUUUCCAAAAAAAUGGGGCUCAAACGAGGGCAUUUUUGAACAGUAUAGAUAUUAUCCAAGAUGACACUACCACGCGGCUAAGAUUUCUUGUAUUUUGGUGUCGGGUUCACAUAGUUGAAGGACUGUACAAUUUAGAAUAAGAAAAUGCAGCCAAAUUCAUUGGAUCGGAGUACUUCGAUCCAUGUCCUUUUCCCCAAUUUUGGUUCCAAGAAAAUAAGGUUGUGUUUGAUAACUCCCUUUUCCAUGGAGGACUGUACACUUUAGAAUAAGAAAAUGUAGCCAAAUUCAUUGGAUCGGAGGGUCGAACUUUAGAAUAAGAAAAUGCAGCCAAAUUCAUUGGAUCGGAGUACUUCGAUCCAUGUCCUUUUCCCCAAUUUUGGUUCCAAGAAAAUAAGGUUGUUUUGAUAACUCCCUUUUCCAUGGAGGACUGUACACUUUAGAAUAAGAAAAUGCAGCCAAAUUCAUUGGAUCGGAGUACUUCGACCCAUGUCCUUUUGCCCAAUUUUGGUUCCAAGAAAAUAAGGUUGUGUUUGAUAACUCCCUUUUCCAUGGUAAAGGGAAUUUAAAUUAUAUUUGCCCUGUUUGAUAGGCAACAUUUUCUAGGCAAUAGAAUUUCCAUUUUCCAUACGCGUGACUUGUUUUCCACCAAAUUGAGGAAUUCAUAUUCUUUUGCUUGGGGUGGGAGAGUAUGGUUUUUGGUUUUCCAGGCAUCUGGCAACUUUUAUAAAAUUUUUUCCUUUUUUUUCUUUUUUGCAAUAGAAACAAAUUCUAUCACCAAUUAUAAAAGAAUAUAUUCCUUAAAUUGACAAUUUUCAUAUAAAACAAAGUCAAACGAAUACCAAAUUUUUUUUAUUAUUAAUUUUUUUUGCAAUAGAAACAAAUUUUAAUAACAACAAUAGAAGUAGAUAUCUCUUAAAUUGAUAAUUUUCAUGAAAAAUAAAAUCAAACGAACACUAAAAAACACUUUUAUUUCAACAUUUUUCAGGUGAAAAAUUAUAUCAAUCAAAGACUAUUAAUUGACAUUUCCUAGUAAAACAAUUUAUAGGCAAUUCAAUUCUCUAGAAUUCAUUUUUUUCUACCCAAAUUCUAUCCAUGUAAUCAAAUGGACUCUAAGAGUUCCAAUCAAAUUAUUGAUUUGGGCAUCUUUUGCUAUGGACCGACCUGCAGGUGAAGGCUGGAAAUGAUUUCACGAUUUAGGCAUUUAGGUACAAAGCUUGACCUUGACGUUUAAACACGCUUUAUAUAUAUAUUUUUAACAACUUGGAUCUCUUAGGCUCGUAGAACCUUGAAGCUUGCCCUAUCACCUGGACCCUAGCCAUGAUUUACAUUUUUAGAGCACUACACCAUAUUUUAAUUGAAACGGUGGUUUUCAACUUUUGCUCAUUUAAUAGUUAUGUCCCCAGUUUUCUCCGUCGUAUUUUACUUCUCAACUUUUUAUUAAUUAAUACACUUUAUCCGUGUUGAUUGCCAAAUAUAUCCAUUAGAAAGGAAUAAAUAUAAUAGUUCGACAAAAUAUUUUUCUCAUGCUAAUAGAAUAUUUAGACAAGUUCUGUCAUUAAAGAUAAGAUAACAUACUAGUUUGAAAAUUUUUUGAAAAGUACGAAUCAUUACAAUUAAAAUAUAGCGCAUUUUAAUUAUAUAUGUAGUGUAUAUAUAAUUAUCCAUUAAUAAAUUUAAAAGCAGUGGACACAAUUACUUAAAUAAUUCUUUAACCAUACUUUUAUAUUAUCACCCAUUAAGAAAUUCAAAAGUAGUGUACACAAUUAUUUUCAUUACCCUUUAAUCAUACUCUUUCCCCCGAAGGAACACCUUGUUAAUAGCCACACACCCCAACAUUUGGUAACAGGCUCGCUCAUCCGACCUCGAAAGUAUCAAGUCUACGCUAUCUGGUAUCCUAUAUUCCCUCUUAAGUCUAUCGAGGUCGGCAAAUUUAAGUUUCGAUGGAUAGUCAGACGCCACCCAGUGCACAGAAGUAUCUACUGGGCUGUUAGGUCUUCUUCAAAUGUUCUCCCACUAAUAUCGCGUUCGACAGUUCGACGGAGGUCGCCAAUAUGGGUUCAUCUAUCCUCACCAUCUCCAGUUUUCUCCCUGAAGUCCACUACCCUCAAAAGCCAUUUUUUGAGAUAAAAAGUGCGAAGAGAACUCCAAACGGUCUUGUGAAUGUCACUAGAAUACUUAAAUGUCACCGAAGGAGUUUGAAAAUUGCAAUAACAGUCGUCGAAAAUCACAGAGUUAAGAACAAGAAGAUUUUCUAUGUUUCCAAGAGUCAGACAAUCUCAAACGUUGAAUUCAAAAUACUAUUGAUCUGGGUCGUUCAUCGCAUCACAAAUCUAAGCCACUGAAACCAAACGCCAGAAUUGAUCAACGCCCAAGAUCUAACUGUGAGACUCACGUGAAUACCAAACACAUUGCAUCAAGCUUCAACAGUCGUUUGCCAUAAUUAACCGUAGUAGCCUUUUCUGGGAGUAGACGUCACAUCCAAUUGUCUCUUUGGAAAUACGCGACGACCGUCGCAUCAUUUAAUAUUACAGCCUUCAUGCUUUUGAUUUAAACUCUUUAGCUUUAAAAAGCUUCAACACCCCCAACGCGGAGUCUGCAGUGGUUCAUCACCUCAAUCGCAGCGUUUCUAUGCUUUACAAAGUUUCUAGCCAUCUCUCAAAACAUCGUCCCCUGUGGAUCAGUGCAUCGGUCAUAGAUGAGCUUCUCUUCAGCUUUACAAAGCUUCAACCCUCUCGACGUGGAGUUCCCUGUGGUUCAUCACCUAGGUCGCAGCAUUUCUAAGCUUUAAAAAGCUUCAAGCCAUCUCACAAAGCAUUGUCCCCUGUGGGUCAGCACAUCGCGCAUAGAUGAGCUUCUCCUUCAGCUUUUCAAAGCUUCAAUGCCCCCGAGGCGGAGUCCUGUGUGGGUCAUCACCUCGAUCGCAACUUUUUAAACUUUAUAAAGCUUCUAGCCAUCUCUCAAAGUAUCGUCUCCUAUGGGUCAACGCAUCAGUCAUCGAUGAGCAUCUUCUUCAAGCGUUACAAACCUUCAACCCUCCAGACGCGUAGUCUCAUGUGGAUCAUCGCCUCGUUUGUAGCUUUUCUAAGAUUUACAAAGUUUCAAGUCAUCUCCCAAAGGGUCGUUCCUUGUGGGUUAGCUCACCGAUCGCAAAUGAGUUCCUCCUCCAGCCAGAAUCACACACUUCUACGCAUAGGUCGAAGGUGAACUGCUCUUUACAAACCAAUGAACUACUAACCGAGAGCAUCCUCUACCCCCAUCGCCUUAGUUACAACGCAAUUCAGCCCACAAGGCUUCUGCCCAUCUCCUCGCGUCGUCCCUGUGGGUUAGCGCUACAGAAGAUGUGUCAAAACCUAUUCUCACAGUGGCCAGCGUACACAAUCAGUCAAAAAAGUUCACGAAUGAUAUAAAUGUUCAACCUUUAAUUUGGGAGGACCACUAUUACGCCCCUGACUAACCCACUUCAGUGCACCAUACCUACUCUCAACGAGGUGCCGCAUAUCCCUCCAAAGUGGUGCUGAAGUGAUAUGAGCCUCGACCAAACUUUAAGUUGACAUGCUACAAGACACAAGCAUCGCUAAGUAAAUCUGCCAUGGUGUCCGAAGUGUCUCUUGGUGCUAAACGUGAGGUACUUCGAGGUGCUUCUUCAGUGCCUUCACCGCCAGUUUUAGAAAUAUAUAUAUGUGUUAGGAUCUCCUUUAUCUACGUGGAUUAAUUGAUGUGACAUAUCAACUUUAUGUCCACUCAAACUUAGAAGAAUUAAUUAUCUGUCCACUCUAAACGUGGCUGAUUAACGCCUACGAGCAGACGUCUCACACCCUUAGAUGCAUACACAUGUCCCACAUCCAAUGGUGCUCCUCGUCUAUAAAUAUCAAAGGUUUGGCAAGAGACAAAACUAAUAAAACUCUCUUUAAUGUACUUGGCACUCCACACUCAAGCAAUAUAUAUUCUCCUCCCCACCAUAUUCUACAACACCAACCACUGCCCACUGACUUGAUCGUUGGAGUGUAUGCGGCCGCCACCGCCCUGCUGGUUUCGACUGUGUAUUUCUAACUGUUUAUUAUUGUGCACAGGGAAGAACGCGUGGAAUAGCUUUCGGUUGGCCACGUGGAGGGUCCAAUUCGCGUAGUCAAUAAUUUCAAUUGUCAAUAAAUAAAUAGAUAUCAAAUUGUCCUUAGUUAGAAAGUUGAUAUCUUCGAUUGCUCACUACACUUUAAAAUAUUAGGUUUUGACUACUAAACUUCUCAAAGUGUCAUAAUUAUUCACUGAAUUCACUUCCAUUUUGCGUUCAUGCAAGUAAGGUGUCUAUGAUUGUUGACUAUACUUUGACGACUUUUUUGAUUGAUCGCUAUACUUUUAGCUAUACUUUUCAAAUUGACGUUGUGAUAACAUUAAAAUAUGUGUUUUGUUUAUUUUCGUGUAUAAUAUUUGUUAUUAUGUAUUUAGAAAGUUCUUUCUAUGCUGAACAUUUUAUUAAAUUACUUUGCUGGUGGAAUAUAAUAUGGAACACAAUCAAAUAAAACUCGAUCACCAUUUCUUACCGGUAGUUUUACUUAAAUUUUGUUUAAUUGGGUAACUAUACUUUGAUUUGGUUUUAGUUAAGGUGACUUCUUCCAAACAUAACUGUUUGAAAUGUUGUGUCCUUUUUCUAAUAUCUUAUUUUAUUCCAUGUGUAGAAGAUCAUGCGGCAUUAAUGGCACCGACAAUAUGAAAAUACGUUCUCCUCUUAGUAUUCGAUGAAACUCGAAAUAAAAACUAGUGUAUCACCAAACAUACACAUUGAAACAUAUUAAACUCUUAAUGAACUACAACAUAAUUCCAAAACCACUUGAACUUUUUACUUCUACCAUUCAACAUGACAACUACAUUUUGCCGACUAUUUUCCAUUAUGAUAUUUUACUACGGAACUAUAGUUUUUGCUAUAUAUACCAUGUGUUCUAAAAAGUAUGCAUAUACAAAAUCUUGGUCUUGUUGCUUAUUUACGUUUUACGUUUUUAUUUUUUACACUGGCCCACUUAGACUCGUAGAAUCUUAAAACUUGGCCUUUUCACCUAACCAUGGUUUACACUAUUUAGAACACUGCACCAUAUUUUAAUUGAAGUGAAGGUCCCAAGCUUUUGCUCAUUUCGUAGUUAUGUUCCCAAAAUUUUCAUUGUAUUUUACUUCUCAACCUUUUACUAAUUAGCAGACGUUGUCCAUGCUAAUGGCCAAAAAAUUCAUUGGGAGGAAAUAAAUAUAAAAUUUGAACAAAAUAUUUUCCCCAAGUUAAUAAAAUAUUUGGACAGAAACCGUCUUCAAAGAUGAGAUAUGUUACAGAGAAAAAAAAAUUUCAGGAAUAUGAGUACGAAACUGAGCAAUUAAUGACAAAUGUGGGAUGAAUAUAAAUACCCAUUUAGAAAUCCAAAAGUAGUGGAAACAAAUAUUUUUAUCUCUCUUUAAUCAUACUUUUUUCUUCUUUCCUUUUUUUUUUUUUUUUUUUUUUUUUUUUUUUUUUUUUUUUUUUUUUUUUUUUUUUUUUGUUUUUUGUUUUUUGUUUUUUGUUUUUUGUUUUUUUUUUUUGGGUCAAAUGGGACAUAAAAUCUAUGGCAAUAAAUUAAGAGCCAAUAAAGUUCUUUUGCAAAUUAGAAAAUAAGGAAAAAGAGAAAAUGUGAAAAGUUAUCCAAAAACCUAAAUCUCGGAUCACAUAAUAUAAGAACAAUAGCAAAUAAAUAAAAUUUGAUAAAUUCCAUUAGCGAUACUAUAGUUUCGUCUAGUGUUUAUCAAGUCAUUGCAAUUUAAUUUUGUUCAUUCGGAGUUUGGUUUUAAUAUGAUUUCAAUUAGAGUAACUAUUCUUCAAUUAAGAUAGUUUUAUUUGAACCUACUUAUGAAAAUUGAUGACAUGACAAUCAAUAAAUGAUAGUCAUUACAAACAAUUAUAGAUGUAGAAUAAGUAUAGUGUUUAAUUAAAUAAAUAAUGAUCAUCAUUUAUUUAUUGUCACGUUAUAGUUUUUCGUGAUUCAAGCGAUCGAUUCGGACAAUUUUAUCCGUUUAAAAUAAAAUCAAAAUGUAGUUACUCGAUUGAACAAAAUUAAAGUACAAGUACCUGAUUAUUAAAAAAAUAAAAGUAUAAUUACCGUGAAUAAUUUGUCCUUCCAUAAAUUUUUUCGAGAAAAAAACUUGGAUUUUUAUAUCGCUUCCGUAAAGAGAAAAAAAUAUUGGUAAGAAAUGAGCAGAGCAUUAUGUGGAUGAUGCGUGAUUGACACCACUACCACAUUUCAUUAUAGGUAGUAGAAAUUGCACUAUGGUCAUCAACCUAUUGCCAUUUUAGCAAGUUGAUCUAAAUCCUUGAUCUUUUAUUACCGUUGUACAACUAGUUUUCAAUUAACUGUUAAAAUCUAAAUCUUCAUGAAAUAAUUUAGUGAAAAUGUGGACAUUAUUGAUAUUGAAUGAAGAAUUGGAAUACCAAAACAUAACUGAAGUAAUAACUAGGACCAAUAAUGCAAUUUUCUAUAGGUAAAAAUGAAUAGGUUUUUGCUUUGAUUUGGAAGAAACUUGGUAGUAGUUGAAGUUAAUUCUACUUGAAUUAAAAUUUAAGUUUUUUCGAACAUUAUCUUAGUAGGAAUUGAAGUUAGUUGAAAUUAAAACAGUGUCUGCUUGGAAAUCCAAAUCAUCAAUAUCCAAUUUGAUCCCGUUCCAAUAAAAAUAGAUCCGACCCAAGUAACAACCGAAAUUUCACGGAUGAAUUUGAAAGAUUUCAUUUACAAUGACGUAAUCAAAUCAAACCUGACACAGUGGUCGUGCCUCGCUCCAAUGUCAGCUUGCAAUGUCAUCAGAUUCAUUAUUUAAAAAAAAAAAAAAAAAAAAGGUCUAACCCCAAUCUUGAAGGCUCCCAUGGUCCAGCCCCUAAAACUUUGUGAGGGAAAUAAAUCUCGAGAUGUGCUUCAGUAGGUCAGGGAACAAGAGUUGCAUGUAUAUUGCGCCGAUCCAAUUUCAUAUUUCAAGAAUCGAACCCUCACACUGCGACUGUCAACAAGGUAUGAGAUAACCUCACUCCUGUUCUUUGCACCACUAAACUAUGCCCGAAGGGCCAUCAUAUUCGUUAUUUUAUUCUAAUGAAUAUGGAUGUAGUGAUUAAUGGGUUAAGUAUCACAAGUCAUAAUGUUGGGUAACUAAUUUAGUAUUAAAAAAAUGAUUUUAGACUAACUUCUCCACUACAAGCUGGAAAGUGGCAGGAACCGGUGGCAUUUCAUCCAUUUUCUUUCUUUGGAAUUGGAACUUAAAAUAUGUGGAGGAGAGAGAAAUGUAGAAUUCAAUUAUCAAUAAAUAAGUACGUCUCAAAUUGUCCUUAGCUAGACAAUUGCGUCAUUCUCUAAUUGAAUGUUGCAAAUAAAAAAAAAAAGGUUGAACCCCAAUCUUAAAGGCCUCCACGGAUCUUGUCCUGGACUAUUGUGGAGGAGGUAAAUCGCAUGAUGUGUCUCUUAGGAGCCAGGGUGGAGAGCAUAUGGGUAGGCCAAGGCUGUUAACCUAUAUGGUAACUUUCGCUUGCAACAAAGUCAAUUCUACCUUGCGGGGAAUCGAACUCUGCACACUGUCGUGCUGAGCCCUAUCCGCCCUCCCCUUUGCCACUGGAAGAUAUGCCCUGGGGGCGAAUGUUGCAAACAAGACUUGACUAAAAGAUGGUAUUGAGGCCUGUUUGAGUUCCAUUAAUUUGAAAAAAAAUGUAUAUUAUAGAAUAAUAAUUAAUGAAGAAGGUAUAAUUAAUAAGAAUAAAUUUUUUUUAUUUUAAUUUAAGCCUCCGUUUGAUCCCAUUAAAUUCAAUUAUAUUACAUUCUAUUUUUCUCUUUCCUAUUUUCAACCACACAAUCUUUUAUAAAAUAAUAUUAUACGUAAAUCGAAAUUUUUUUCUUCUUUUUCAACUAUUUAUUUUUUUUAAAAAUACUAGUCCUUUCAUUUUCAAGUAAUGGGGCUCAAACGGGGGUUAAGUAACUUAUAUUGUAGAGAGAGAAAUACGCAUCAAUAAUUGAGUUGGAACCAAAUUGUUCUUUACUAGACAUUGGAACCCUUUUUAAUUGAGAGUUAUUGAACGCGUAAAUGACUCUGACUAAAAAGAUUAAAAAUGUAUGAAGUUUACACGUUAUUUCUGGUGGAUUGAAUUGACAAGACAUGAAAAUCUGCAAUACAAUUUCUCGGGGAAAGAUGAUGUAUAUUUGUGGAAAAUCUUUAGGACAGUUCCAUUGAGGGCAUCAAAAGUUGUACCCCUCUCACAUUGUGCGCGGACUUUGCGUCAAUAUAAAAAUUCUCAAGUGUGAUCUUUAUUUUUUUUACCGUGAGUAAUAGGUAAAUGAUUAUAUAAAAAUAUUAUGCACAUGUAACAUUGUCUAAAUUUUUAUAUGUGGUUAUUGGUGGAUUGAAAAUUGACAAGUCACACAAAGAUAAGAUACGUUAAUGAGACGAAAAAAUUGAAAACUGUCGUUACCAUUAAAAUAUAGUACAAUUAAAGAUAAGACCCUGUUUAAGCAAUAUUAUUUAAAAAAAAUAUAUUUUUUAACAGUGAUUUAAUAUAAUUUCAAUUACACAUUUUUAAUAAAAUAAUAUUACACAUAAAUCUAAAUUUUUUUGUUAUUUUUUAACCAUAUAUUUUUCUCAUCAAUAUAUUAUUUAAAAAUGUAUUUUCAUUUCAAUAAUGCGGCUCAAACAAUGGCUAAGUGUGGUAUAAAUAUUAUUACCCAUUUAGAAAUCUAAAAGUAAGGGGCACAAUUAUUUCCAUAACUCGUUAAACAUACUUUCAUAAUAUUACCCAUUAAGAAAUCCAAAAGUAGUGGACACAAUUAUUUUCAUAGCUCUUUAAUCAUACUUUUUUUUAAAAAUCAAAUUGGAUACUAUGGUGAACACUGUUAAAAUCUCCACUUGCAAUGUCACCAAAUUAGUUAGUGUAUGCAAAUGAAAAUGGACGUUGUGACUAAUUCAUAAAGUUAUGGUACCUAAUUUAGUAUUAAGAAAUCAAAAUUUUACACUAACUUCUCCACUACAAGUUGGAAAGUGGCAGGAACCACAGGCGUUUCAUCCAUAUUUCUUGCUUUGGAAUCGGAAUUGGGCCCAUUCUCUAAUAAUAGAUGGUAUUGAAUAAUUCAAUUUGUGUACCCUUCUUAAACAGAGAAAAAAAAGGAAAUCAUUUACACCACAUACAACUCCACUUUGCAAUCUGUACCCACCUUUCUUACUCUCUCAACCUCCCGAAAUCAAUCAAUCACACCACCAAAUUUCCAAAGCAAGAAAAAAUGGAAGCUGUGGUUAUUGACAGUGUAAAAUCCAUGCUGGAGAAUUUGUUUGCAUUUGUCACCGGAGAACUCAAACUUGUGCGGGAUUUCGAGGAUGAAUUUGCAAAUCUGAAAAAAUAUUUGGAAUGGAUCAACCAAGUCUUGGAAGAUGCUGAGAGGCGCGAAAUCACCGACAAUGCUGUUAAAAGCUGGCUCAAGGACCUCGAGGGUGCUGCAUAUGAUGCCGACAAUGUUUUGGACGAGAUCAAAUAUGAAGAGUUGAUUCCUACAAUCGAGACCCAGCGCACGAAAAAACGAAAAUGGAGCACUUUGACAUUUCAACGGGAGAUGGCUCACAAGAUCAAGGACAUAAAUGCCAACUUUGAAAAGAUAAACAACAAAGCUGAUAGACUUGGCCUCAAUAGAGAUUUGAAUGCUUAUCCUCUGGCACAGCCUCAGGCCAUUCACACUACCAGCUUCACUUUUGAUCCAAUUGUCAUUGGAAGAGAAGUUGUUGAAUCAGAAAUUCUGGAGACGAUAACCAGCUCGAACAAUAAUGUCCUUUCAGUCCUUCCCAUAGUCGGAAUGGGAGGGCUUGGCAAGACGACAUUAGCACGAAAGAUCUACAAUCACCAUCGUACAGAAACCCAUUUCAACAAAACGAUUUGGGUUUGUGUAUCAGAAAAUUUUGAUCAGAUGACGCUUUUUAAAAGGAUCCUGGAAAUAUUAUUGAAAGAAAAAUCUGAUGGAGAUAGCAUGGAAGCUGUUAUUCAAAAGAUUGCCGAGAAAUUAAAAAAUAAAAGAUAGAUGCUUGUUCUCGAUGAUUUAUGGAAUGAAGAAGAAGGUGUUUGGAAUGCUUUCAAAAAUACAUUGGCGGGAGUUAGCACCAGUAAAGGAAGUUUCAUUAUCGUCACCACACGCAAGGAAAAGGUGGUAUCUAUCGUGAACACUUGCGAUCAUCCAUGUUGCUUGAGGUCAUUGACAGAAGGUGAUUGCUGGUCCAUAAUCAGAACAAUGGCAUUUCAAGAUAAAGAAGUACCAAAACAAUUUGCGAUUACAGGAUCGGAGAUUGCUCGCAAAUGUAGAGGCUUACCUCUAGCAGCAAAUGUGAUUGGAAGAGUUUUGCAAGGAAAGGAAAUAGAAGAGUGGGAUUCAGUUCUGCAGUCUGGGCUUUCAAAUCUUGAAGAGGGGGAGAAGGGUGUGUUCCAAGUCUUAAAGGUGAGCUAUGAUCGCUUACCUUCUUCAUCACUGAAAAAAUGUUUUGCCUAUUGUUCAAUAUUUAUCAAGGAUUCAGUCAUGGAUAGAGAAGACUUAAUCCAGCUCUGGAUGGCGGAAGGAUUUCUUCCGAAUGAUAAAAAUGGUGAGAUGGAAUCUGUAGGCAAUAAAUAUUUUAAUAUUUUGUUGCAAAAUUUCUUCUUCCAAGAGCCAGAAAAGGACAAGUAUGGCAAUAUCAAAAGCUGCAAGAUGCACGAUCUUGUCCAUGAUCUUGCAUGUUUAGUUUCAAAAUCAGAAAGUUUCAUGAACAUGGAGGGUCGCACUGUCGAUGACAUUCUUCAAGUUAGACACCUUGCAAUGGAAUCAAUUGGAGAGGAAAUAGUCAAGGACAUAAAAGAGAGAGCAAGUUAUUUCCGCACCUUGUUCUUAAGAGGCAGCGUACCAGAUGGAAUUUUGCCAGACUUCAAGCAUUUGCAUUCUCUAAAGCUAUGUGAUGCAAAUAUUAAAGAAUUGCCAACAUCAAUUGGCACGUUGAAACAUUUGAGAUAUCUUUAUGUGUCCGAAAAUCAUCUUCUCACUACUCUGCCAGAAUCUAUCUGCAAGCUCUACAAUUUGCAAACUUUGAGGAUUCUACGUUGCUUAAGUUUUCUCAAUCUUCCUAGAGAUAUGCGCUUCUUGAUUCGUCUAAGGCAUCUCUGUUUUGAUAAGGUUUGCCGUGUUUUCAAGAUGCCUCCUAAAGUCGGAAGUUUAUCUUGCCUUCAAACGUUACCAUUAUUUUGUGCGAGUGACAAGGAAGGUUGUCGAAUCGAUGAGCUGGGAAAGCUGAAGAAAUUAAAGGGCAAACUACAAAUACAGAAUCUGGAAUUGGUGAGUUGCAAAACAGAAGCGGAGCAUGCAGAUAUGGCUGGAAAGCUAAACAUUUAUAAUUUUAGCUUUUAUUGGAAUUGUUCAACGGAUUCCAAUGAUGAGAGUCAGUCUACGAAUUCCAUAGAAAGUAACGUCAAUGAUGAGAGUGUACUUGAAGGGCUGCAACCUCAUGAAAAGCUAAAAUGCUUAACAAUUGAUGGAUUCCGAGGUAAAAAAUUUCCAUUAUGGACUAGAAAUAUGAGAAUAUAUAAAGGCAAUUCUGGCCUUCCGGUGAUAUUUGAUAAAUUGAUCAAGAUCGAAAUUAUAAGUUGUGGCAAUUGCGAAGAAAUCCCAGUGCUCGGCCACCUACCACUCCUCAAGUAUCUACUUAUCCAGGAUCUGGGUAACGUAACAUUGAUAAGUUCAUCAUUCUAUGGAGAGAGUGAUUGUACCACAAAUAGCAGCAACGAUGGCCAAGAGACAAGAGAAUCAUUCCCGUCACUCAAAAGUCUCGUAAUAAUGGAAUUGCCGAACCUAAUAAAUUGGGAAGAAGCACAAAUGAGCGGAACACAGGUAUUUCCUUGCCUUGAAUAUUUGGAUAUACUUUUUUGUGACAAGUUAGCUCAUGUUCCCCAUUUACGGGGCAGCGGAGCUUCUCUUAAAAAGAUGAAAAUUGAGAAUUGUCUUAAAUUGAGGAAAUUACCCUAUGACCUUGGUAGCCUCCAGUCUCUUGAGACAUUGGAAAUAGAAUCAUGUGGAAAUCUGAAAUCAAUUUCAUAUCAAAGUGGACAAAAAGGCCUCCUUUCCCUUCAGAAGUUGGAAAUUCGUAAUUGCCUCUUUUAAUUUUUAUAGAUAUGUCACAACUUUUCCCAAUUUAUUUCGGUAUAAUGGUGUAAGAUCACCGCUUGCAAUGUCAUCAAAUUAGUUUGUUGAUACAAAUGGGAUGAGAUGUAGUGAUUAAUGAUGUGUAAAUAUCAAUAUCAAUAAUUUAAAAUCAUACUGUGUGAGUGUAAUUUAUUAGGUAGAUAGAAAUACAAAUUAAAUAAUUGAGUUGGAAAUCAAAUGGUCUUUAGUGAGACAUUGGGACCCUUUCUACUUGGAAGUUAGUGCACGAGUAAAUUCGAAAACAAAAAUGAGCAAAAUUGAAAACUUUCAUUACAAUAAAAAUAUAAUGCAAUUAACUAUAAAUGUGGUGUAUAUAUAAUCAUCCAUUAAAAAAUUUAGAAGUAUUGUACAAUUAUUUAAAUAACUCUUUAACUGUACUUUUAUAUUAUCAUCCAUUAAGAAAUCCAAAAGCAGUGGACACAAUUAUUUUCAUGUACGUCUCUACGGACUUUAUGUGUGGAACACUGCCAUAAUCUCACUUCACUUCCUGAAAUGAGUGGGAUGGGUUCUCUACAGUCUCUAGUUGUGGGUGGAUGUAAAAAUAUCACUUCAUUUCCUGAAAUGAGUGGGAUGAAAUCUCUACAGGAACUAUGUUUAAAGUCAUGCACUUCCUUUCCAGAAUUGAGUAGGAUGGGAUGCCUUAACAGCUUAAUUGAAUUGUCCAUUGGGUUCUUCCCAAAUUCAAUGGAAUUACAUUCAUUUCAAUCUUUUAUCAACGGCAUCAAACGCAUGAAAUCCCUUGAAAGAGUAGUCUUAUAUGGUUCGGGAGAUUGGGUCUCUCAACUAGAUCAGCUUCAACAUCUCAGUUCCCUAAAAGAAUUGUUAAUAUAUGAAUUUGAAAUGGAAGCCUUGCCUGAUUGGAUUGGAAAUUUGUCAUCUCUUGAAAGUCUAGGAGUACGGUACUGUGGAGAGCUUAAGUACCUGCCCUCUAAAGAAGUUAUGCAACGGCUCACCAAAUUAGAACUAUUAAAUAUUUGGUUUUGUCCGAUAUUGGAGGAGAGAUGCAGGGUAAAAAGCGGUCCUGAUUCUGAGUGGCCAAAAAUUUCUCAUAUUCCCCAUCUGAUAAUAAAAGAUCUGUGAAGUUUGGUGUUCCUGUAAGUAUAUUUAAAGUUUGAAUAUUGACUUUAUUGUUUAUUAAUUUUGGUUAGUGUAUGUUCUAAAUAUUGCUACAGGGUGGUUUUAAUUGAUUUCUGUUACUAAUAGAUAAAAAGAGUUUGCAUGAGGUUGUCCUUUAAUUUUGUCAAAUAACAAAGAUUUCUCGAUUAAAUGUUUACCAAAGUAUUCAGUUAAAUGACUUUAUUUUUCAAUUAAUUAUAUUAUCCUUUCUUAAGUUAGCUAGUGUGCUAAAAUAGUUAUAGUUAUGAAUUGCUUCGAGUGCCUUAUGGAAUUUGUAUAAAUUUUAUUAGGUUGUGAUGAAGAAGAGCAUCCACCCUCAACAACUUGAUACUCAUUUAUUGUCCUAUCAAUUCCUAAUUCUAUUUGGAUCUUCGUCAACUUUACUAUUGUAAGUUUUCUUAUCAUUACAUAAAUAUUAGAACGAUUUGAACUAUCUUC